AGCGUAUAGUCCAACGGUUUUAAUGAUACAAUACAGAAAAAUAAGAUGCGUAUUUAAUAAAAUUAGGUUUAGAUACAGGUAUAAACGAAUUUCUUAUGUGUAUCUAACAUUUGAAGUAGUGUCUAGAUUGUAGACGCAUAAAUUCGGGAACUCAUAGCUGAGAACUUCAUUGCCAUGGCAUCGUCAUAGUUAAAUUACAGCUGUGAAGAACCAACUACAUCAUGAUUCGACCGAUAACCCAAACUCCAGAACCCGGCACAUCUCUACACCUUCUAGCCAGACGGUGAUGACAGAAACUGCGACUACUACUUCGACCUCCACCGCCACGACGCCUAGGCCCUCUCCACACGGAUACGGCGGGCGAGCUGGAUGUCCUUGGGCAUGAUGGUGACGCGCUUGGCGUGAAUGGCGCAGAGGUUGGUGUCCUCGAAGAGACCGACGAGGUAGGCCUCGGACGCCUCCUGCAGCGCGGCGACGGCGGAGCUCUGGAAGCGAAGGUCGGUCUUGAAGUCCUGGGCGAUCUCACGCACCAGGCGCUGGAACGGCAGCUUGCGGAUCAGCAGCUCCGUGCUCUUCUGGUACUUGCGGAUCUCCCGGAGCGCGACGGUGCCGGGGCGGAAACGGUGGGGCUUCUUCACUCCGCCGGUCGCCGGGGCAGACUUGCGCGCCGCCUUGGUGGCCAGCUGCUUCCUUGGCGCCUUGCCGCCAGUGGACUUCCUCGCCGUCUGCUUCGUGCGGGCCAUCGGGACAGUAGGAAGGCUAGCGCUUUGCGUUGCACGAGGAUCUGCUGCUAGGGAGAUUGAGAUCGUUGUGUGAGAUGGAGUUGAGCGGCGGGGCGAUUAAUAAUAGGGGACGGGUGGGCGGGCGAGUGGGAAACUCGGGGGCAGCGGCGGGACUUCAUGGAGGGAAAUGGGGUUUCGAGCGUUCGAUUAGAACAGAACGGACGGUCUGGAUUGGAUAUGCGUGUGAGCGCGCGGAUCGUGGCAGAGCGAUCCGUGGGAAGGAGGUUACUGCGUUCUUAUUAGCUGGAAUACUUGCGGAGAGAAGGGUGGUGUGCUGGCGACUUGGCAUACAUGGGGCGAUCCGUGAGUAUGGAUUCCUGCUUUGUGAUUGGAUGAUUGCCGCGCUGCGCGGAUUGCUGAUCUGCUUCUGCUGCAAAAGUCCGUCUGCAGUGUAGUGCAUAAUUUUAGCUUCUUCGUUUGCCUAAUAUGUACCGGUUUCUAUUCAUUUUAUAGUUUUGUCUCUAUAAAUUGUAGCUGCUACGGUCCAAACAACUAGUUUUAAUUUAAAACGAACAGUUAGUAUUUUAACUAUUUAUAAGCACGGAGCAACACAACAACGGUGAAAAUUGUGGAGUAACAUAGCUGCCUUUGUACACCAGGCGCCCCGCCGGGAGGGAGGAAGCUGUCGGGAGAGUCAUGCUGCUCCGUGUGGUACCCGCCCCGCGCUCCGUGCCUCCAGCCCCAGGCUGCUUCGUGGGGCGCCCCGCCGGGAGGGAGGUAGCCGCCACCAGGAGGGACCCGCUGCUCCGUGCUUCCGCGGAUCCGGUCGCCUCCGCUGCUCCGUGCCUCGAGUCCACGGAUCCGGUUGCCUCCACUGCUCCGUGCCUCACGGUUAGGGUUUAGGGUUCGGCCGCCUCCAGUCCUCCAGUUGGUCCCGCGGUCUCAUGCACCGCACAUCCUCGGCGGCGGCCUGCUUCUUCGACGGCGCGAUGUAAGUCACCUUCUCCUCAUGGUAGCCUGGUGAUCUUCUCCAGUGCUGUUGUCCAUGCUCUUAGCAGAUGAUUGGAGCUAAAAAUAUCUUCUUGGAUUAGUUCAUGCACAUCUUAGAUUAGUUUAUGCACAUCUCAUGCUCUUAGCAGUUGAUUGCUUAAAAUUUGCUAACUAAAAUUUGCAAACUGAAGCAAAGCUAUUUGCUUGAUUACCAUUUUUUCUUUAUCAAUGUGUAACAACAGCAGUUAUAACUGAGAGAAAGAAAUAAUUGUGUUUGUGUUUAGUAGCACGGAUUCACGCAUGUCGCGGGCGAGCGGCUCCUCCGAUGGAGGACAAGGAUGGCCCAUGUAUGGUCCGGUGUCGCUCAUUCGGUGCCCCAAAUGUGAAAGGUCGGAGUCACUUGUUAGACUCAGAUCGAAGAGAUGGGAGAACGAGAAUUUUGGUCGAGAGAUCGUGAAGUGUGAAAGCAGUAUGUCCUUAUUUGCCCAUUACGGUUGAUUUCAUUUUUGUGCUUACUGCUGAAUUGUGGAACUUUAUUUGGAUUGUUUAGGUUCUUAAAUUAUGCAAUUUUUUAUGUGGAUGGACGAUUAUGUGAAGAUGCUUGAAGGGGCAGGGUUGGUGGGUGGCUCAGGAGAGAUGAUGGUGUCUAAUAUGUGGGACGAACGGGCGACAAAUAGGGCAGAUGUGACUACGAAUUGGAACAAAUCUGCUGACGACUUUCUGUAGGAACCAUGUCCAACUUUCUGUUGACUCUGCCUCGAGAACACCAUAAGCCACUGGAAAUCUAUACUACUCUAUAAGAGUCUAAUGUAGACCAUCCGUGCACCAAGUUCUGCCUUUCUCUCGCCGACAGGUGGGACCUACACACUCGCGGUGCAUCCCCUACCGGCCUCCACUUCUUCCCCUACACACUCCGAUCCACAAAGCGCCUCCGUCCUCCCCUUCCCUCCCCCGCCGCCGUCAUGCGUCCUCCCCCUCCCUCCCCCGCCGUCGUUGCGCGUCCACUCCCGCUCGCGCACCCCGCCCCCUCCUACCACCUAUGUGGCCACAGCUAGCGCCGCCCCCGCCCUCUACCAGUGCGCACAUGCGUUGUUCGUGACAUCCCCACCCCACCCUUGUUGUCAUCGCUCCGCCUCGCCUUGCCCUAUUCUUCCUCGCUGCAGAUCACGAUGGCCACGCCUCGGCCCACCUUCUCCUCGUUGCCCCCUAACCUUUGUUCCAUUUCCGCGCCUCCCCCUUCCAUCCCUCGCCUCCUUCGCCAUGCCGCAGCCACCACCUCCGGCGGCUGGAGCCUGACCUAGAUGCGAUGGAGACCUCAAUCCCACGCCGCCAGUGGAUUUGGAGCGCUGGCCCUCACCAUCGCGGAGCGGUGGCACAAGGCGAUGGACACGCGGGAGCGCGUGCUGUCGUGGAUUUGCAACCGCUCCCCCAAUCCUCGCCCGCAUUUAGCGCCCCUCCCUCGCUCAUCCACGCGCACGUAGCCACUGCAUCGUCGACCCCGACCGCCGUCGCACGUCCGGUCGCGUCGGUGCUCAUGGACCUUGAGCCUGGCACCAUGGACGCCUUCCGCAUUGGCCCCUACGGUCAGAUCUUCCGCACAGACAACUUUGUCUUUGGCCAGUCCGGCACCGGCAACAACUUGGCCAAGGUGCUCUACACCGAAUGUCGUAGUCCAAGGUCCACGACCUAGAGAGCCUGGAUGGGUGGUACAAAGUGGUGGUGUGACUGGAUAUGCUACUUCGACUUCCUCAUGUGCGUGGUGGAGUUGUUCCCAAGCCAGUCCAAGGCCAUGCACGCCUAUCUAUGCGCCGAAACAUGCGCAUACCCUCUAUGGAGGAUGUCGUUCGCCAGGCUGGCUGGCAAGUCGCCCCCGUAGAUUCAUCUCCAUUGAGGGGAAUGGGAACAAGAGGAGGCCACUACACUUGGGACUUCGGAAACUUAUAGAUAGUUAUGUAAGUUUCUAAUUGCUUGUUUAUUUAAUUUCCUAAUUGAUAUACUAUAAUCUUCUGCUGCUGAUUCAUACAACACAGGGAACCCUGAGGGUCAUGGGGCUUCACCUUCUAUCCGUGUUUUUACUGAACGCAGUUGGGCACACUUGGUGUCUGGUUUUCUGCUUAACAUCAUGUGUAUGAUCAACAAUUAGAGAAGGUAACAUUUUUGUUCAACACACUUAUGGAAUAAGCAUUUGUUAUUUUUCUAGAAUUUUCAGUGAACUUUAUAUAUGGUAGGUUAUCAAGAGCGAAACAGACUCAUAAGUUAAUUGUGCCAUUUACAUAAACUGCAAGCUCGAGACGUCCUUUCAACUUUUAUCCUUUGCUGCUCUUGUUUGUUUAUCUUGAAUGUAUCGUCAAUAGGAAUACAAAUGCUUUUCUGUAGUCUGCUUAAUAUACUUGUGCUAGCCAGUUCUUUCGACUUGCAAAUUUCCCCAAUGCGCAUGCACCGGAUAUUCCACUAAACUUAUAUUGGUCUUUUUUUUGUAAACAAUUAAUUUCUAAAUUGUCACGCAGUUUUGCAUGGUACAUACUUUCUUGGCACAGAGUUUCUUCGUGUCAUGAACUUAUUUUUUCAUAUCAAUUUUAGAAAUAUACUGAAAGGGAAUUAGGCUUACACCUAGUCCCUAAUUAAUUUUGGUGGUUGAAUCGCCCAACACAAACAAUUGAACUAACUUGUUUGCUCUAGAUUAUAUGUUCUACAGGAGCCAAAGGUUAAUCUAUAUCUAUACUAAAUCGACUGUCCGGAAUACCGUAGAUUAUUCCGGACAGGAGAAGCUUUUUGGAAAAACAGGCCAAGCGCGGACCGUCCGGGCCCUUGCGGCGGACCGUCCGCGACACGAGUAUGUCACUCGGACAGAACCAAUGCAAAAAUCCAAGUCUGCACUAUGGACUGUCCGGAGGAAAAGCAAAGACCGUCCGGGCCCUUGCGCGGACCGUCCGGCUGCUGGCGCGGACCGUCCGGUAGGUGAGAAACCGAAAAUCCCGAAGGUAACGGGUUCGGAGAAAUGAAUUAUAGCGGGUUCGCGGACCGUCCGGGCCAGGCUCGCGGACCGUCCGCGACUGGCUCUGUCUGACAUCUGACGACGCAUUAAAUGCAAUAUAGCCGUUGAUAUAGCCGUUACUGCUGACCGUUGCAUUUUCAGCCGUUGAUCUACAGGGGCGGACCGUCCGCACCAGGAGGGCGGACCGUCCGCGCGCAGCAGAAUGGCCCAACGGCUAGGAAGUGGUUGGUGGCUAUAAAUACAACCCCAACCACCUCCAUUCACGUCAUCCAAGCAUUCCAACCUUCAACAUUCAAUACAAGAGCUAGCAAUCCAUUCCAAGACACAUUCAAAGCCUCCAUCUCUCCAAGUUUCACAAUUGAGAAAAGAGAUCAUUAGUGAUUAGUGGCUUGAGAGAGAAAGUGAUCCGUGUGUUAUUUGUCGCUCUUGUCGCUUGGCUUUUUAAUCGUGCUUUCUUGAUUCCUUCAUUGCGAUCAUACUCACUUGUAAUUGAGGCAAGAGACACCAAACUUGUGGUGGUCCUUGUGGGAACUUUGUGUUCCAAGUGAUUGAGAAAAGAAAGCUCACUCGAUCCGUGGAUCGUUUGAGAGAGGGAAGGGUUGAAAGAGACCUGGCCUUUGUGGCCUCCUCAACGGGGAGUAGGUUUGCAAGAACCGAACCUCGGUAAAACAAAUCUCCGUGUCUCACUUGCUUAUUCGCUUGGGAUUUGUUUUGCGCCCUCUCUCGCGGACUCGUUUCUUUGUUACUAACGCUAACCCGGCUUGUAGUUGUGUUUAUAUUUGUAAAUUUCAGUUUCGCCCUAUUCACCCCCCCUCUAGGCGACUUUCAAUUGGUAUCAGAACCCGGUGCUUCAUUAGAGCCUAACCGCUCGAAGUGAUGUCGGGAGAUCACGCCAAGAAGGAGAUGGAGACCGGCGAAAAGCCCACUACAAGCCAAGGGAGCACUUCAUCGGAAGAGUCCCGCACCAAAAGGAGGGAGAAGAAGAAGAGCUCCUCCAACAAAGGGAAGGAGAAGAAAUCCUCUUCUCACCACAAAGAGAAGAAGGAAAAAUCUUCUUCCCACAAACCGCACCGGAGUAAGAACAAGGAAAAGAGGAUGAGGAAAGUGGUCUACUACGAGACCGACACUUCAUCAACAUCGACCUCCGACUCCGAUGCGCCCUCCGUAACUUCUAAACGCCAAGAGCGUAAGAAGUUUAGUAAGAUCCCCUUGCACUACUCUCGUACAUCUAAACAUUUACUUUCCGUCCCAUUAGGCAAGCCACCAACUUUUGAUGGUGAAGAUUAUGCUAGGUGGAGUGAUUUAAUGCGAUUUCAUCUAACCUCACUCCACAAAAGUAUAUGGGAUGUUGUUGAGUUUGGUGCACAGGUACCAUCUAUAGGGGAUAAGGAUUACGAUGAGGAUGAGGUGGCCCAAAUCGAGCACUUCAACUCUCAAGCAACAACGAUACUCCUCGCCUCUCUAAGUAGAGAGGAGUAUAACAAGGUACAAGGGUUGAAGAGCGCCAAAGAGGUUUGGGAUGUGCUCAAAACCGCGCACGAGGGAGAUGAGCUCACCAAGAUCACCAAGAGGGAAACGAUCGAGGGGGAGCUCGGUCGGUUCCGGCUUCUCAAAGGGGAAGAGCCACAACACAUGUACAACCGGCUCAAGACUUUGGUGAACCAAGUGCGCAACCUCGGGAGCGUAAAAUGGGACGACCACGAAAUGGUUAAGGUUAUUCUAAGAUCUCUCAUUUUCCUUAACCCAACUCAAGUUCAAUUAAUUCGUGGUAAUCGUCGAUAUACAAAGAUGACCCCCGAGGAAGUUAUCGGGCAUUUUGUUAGUUUUGAGUGCAUGAUUGAAGGCUCGAGGAAGAUCAACGAGCUUGAUGAACCCACCACAUCCGGAGCUCAACCCGUCGCAUUCAAGGCGACGGAGGAAAAGAAGGAGGAGGCUACACCAACUCGACAACCAAUAGACGCCUCCAAGCUCGACAAUGAGGAAAUGGCACUCGUCAUCAAGAGCUUCCGCCAAAUCCUCAAGCAAAGGAGAGGGAAAGACUACAAGUCCCGCUCCAAGAAGGUUUGCUACAAAUGUGGUAAGCCCGGUCAUUUUAUUGCUAAAUGUCCUAUAUCAAGUGACAGUGACCGAGGCGACGACAAGAAGGGGAGAAGAAAGGAGAAGAAGAGAUACUACAAGAAGAAGGGCGGUGAUGCCCAUGUUUGUCGGGAGUGGGACUCCGACGAGAACUCAAGCGACUCCUCCGACGACGAGGAUGCCGCCAACAUCGCCGUCACCAAGGGACUUCUCUUCCCCAACGUCGGCCACAAGUGUCUCAUGGCAAAGGACGGCAAACGGAAGAAGGUUAAAUCCAACUCCUCCACUAAAUAUGAGUCUUCUAGUGAUGAUAAUGCUAGUGAUGAGGAGGAUAACUUGCGUACUCUUUUUGCCAAUCUUAACAUGGAACAAAAGGAAAAAUUAAAUGAAUUAAUUUGUGCUAUUCAUGAAAAGGAUGACCUUUUGGAUUCCCAAGAGGAUUGUCUAAUUAAAGAAAACAAGAAACAUGUUAAGGUUAAAAAGGCUUACGCUCUAGAAGUAGAAAAAUGUGAAAAGUUAUCUAGUGAGCUAAGCACUUGCCGUGAGAUGAUUGACAACCUUAGACAUGAAAAUGCUAGUUUAAAUGCUAAGGUUGAUUCACAUGUUUGUAAUGUUUCAAUUCCCAAUCCUAGAGAUAAUAAUGAUGAUUUGCUUGCUAGGAUUGAAGAUUUAAACAUUUCUCUUGCUAGCCUUAGAAAUGAAAAUGAAAACUUGCUUGCUAAGGCUAAAGAUUUUGAUGGUUGCCAAGUUACAAUUUCCGAUCUUAGAGAUAAAAAUGAUAUUCUUCAUGCUAAGAUUGUUGAUCUAAAUUCUUGCAAACCAUCUACAUCUACCAUUGAACAUGUCACUAUUUGUACUAGAUGUAGAGAUGUUGAUGUUAUUGCUAUUCAUGAUCUUAUGGCUUUAAUUAAACAACAAAAUGAUCAUAUAGCAAAAUUAGAUGCUAAAAUUGCCGAGCACAACUUAGAAAAUGAGAAAUUUAAAUUUGCUCGUAGUAUGCUUUAUAAUGGGAGACGCCCGGGCAUCAAGGAUGGCAUUGGCUUCCAAAGGGGAGACAAUGUCAAAAUUAGUGCCCCUCCUAAAAGAUUGUCUAACUUUGUUAAGGGCAAGGCUCCCAUGCCUCAGGAUAACGAGGGUUACAUUUUAUACCCUGCCGGUUAUCCCGAGAGCAAAAUUAGGAGAAUUCAUUCUAGGAAGUCUCACUCUGGCCCUAAUCAUGCUUUUAUGUAUAAGGGUGAGACAUCUAGCUCUAGGCAACCAACCCAUGCUAAGUUGCCUAGAAAGAAAACUCCUAGUGCAUCAAAUGAUCAUAAUAUUUCAUUUAAAACUUUUGAUGCAUCUUAUGUAUUAACUAACAAAUCCGGCAAGGUAGUUGCCAAAUAUGUUGGGGGCAAGCACAAGGGCUCCAAGACUUGUGUUUGGGUACCCAAAGUUCUUGUGUCUAAUGCCAAAGGACCCAAAACCAUUUGGGUACCUAAAGUCAAGAACUAAACUUGUUUUGUAGGUUUAUGCAUCCGGGGGCUCAAGUUGGAUACUCGACAGCGGGUGCACGAACCACAUGACAGGGGAGAAGAAGAUGUUCUCCUCCUACGAGAAAAACCAAGAUCCCCAACGAGCUAUCACAUUCGGGGAUGGAAAUCAAGGUUUGGUCAAAGGUCUUGGUAAAAUAGCUAUAUCUCCUGACCAUUCCAUUUCUAAUGUUUUUCUUGUAAAUUCUUUAGAUUACAACUUGCUCUCUGUAUCUCAAUUAUGUCAAAUGGGCUACAACUGUCUUUUUACUGAUAUUGGUGUCACUGUCUUUAGAAGAAGUGAUGAUUCAAUAGCAUUUAAGGGAGUGUUAGAGGGUCAGCUAUACUUGGUAGAUUUUGAUAGAGCUGAACUCGACACUUGCUUAAUCGCUAAGACUAACAUGGGUUGGCUCUGGCACCGCCGACUGGCUCAUGUUGGGAUGAAGAAUCUUCAUAAGCUUCUAAAGGGAGAACACAUUUUAGGACUAACAAAUGUUCAUUUUGAGAAAGACAGGGUUUGUAGCGCAUGCCAAGCAGGAAAGCAAGUUGGCAAUCAUCAUCCACAUAAGAACAUAAUGACGACCGAUAGGCCACUGGAGCUCCUACACAUGGAUCUAUUCGGCCCAAUCGCUUACAUAAGUAUCGGCGGGAGUAAGUACUGUCUAGUUAUUGUGGAUGAUUAUUCUCGCUUCACUUGGGUAUUCUUUUUACAGGAAAAAUCUCAAACCCAAGAGACCUUAAAGGGAUUCUUGAGACGGGCUCAAAAUGAGUUCGGCUUAAGGAUCAAGAAAAUAAGAAGCGACAACGGGACGGAGUUCAAGAACUCACAAAUUGAAGGCUUCCUUGAGGAGGAGGGCAUCAAGCAUGAGUUCUCUUCUCCCUACACACCUCAACAAAAUGGUGUAGUGGAGAGGAAGAAUCGAACUCUAUUGGACAUGGCAAGGACCAUGCUUGAUGAGUACAAGACUUCGGAUCGGUUUUGGGCCGAGGCGGUCAACACCGCUUGCUACGCCAUCAACCGGUUAUAUCUACACCGAAUCCUCAAGAAGACAUCAUAUGAACUCCUCACCGGUAAAAAGCCAAACAUUUCAUAUUUUAGAGUUUUUGGUAGCAAAUGCUUUAUUCUUGUUAAAAGAGGUAGAAAAUCUAAAUUUGCUCCUAAAACGGUAGAAGGCUUUUUACUUGGUUAUGACUCAAACACAAGGGCAUAUAGGGUCUUUAACAAGUCCACUGGACUGGUUGAAGUCUCAUGUGACGUUGUGUUUGAUGAAACUAACGGCUCUCAAGUAGAGCAAGUUGAUCUUGAUGAGAUAGGUGAUGAAGAGGCUCCAUGCAUCGCAUUAAGGAACAUGUCCAUUGGGGAUGUGUGUCCUAAGGAAUCCGAAGAGCCUCCAAAUGCACAAGAUCAACCAUCCUCCUCCAUGCAAGCAUCUCCACCAACUCAAAAUGAGGAUGAGGCUCAAUUUGAUGGAGAAGAAGAUCAAUCAAAUGAGCCACCUCAAGAUGACGGCAUAGAUCAAGGGGGAGAUGCAAAUAAUCAAGAAAAGGAGGAUGAGCAAGAGCAAAGGCCGCCACACCCAAGAGUCCACCAAGCAAUCCAACGAGAUCACCCCGUCGACACCAUUCUCGGCGACAUUCAUAAGGGGGUAACCACUAGAUCUCGUGUUGCACAUUUUUGUGAACAUUACUCGUUUGUUUCCUCUAUUGAGCCACAUAAGGUAGAGGAAGCACUACAAGAUUCGGAUUGGGUGGUGGCGAUGCAAGAGGAGCUCAACAACUUCACUAGGAAUGAGGUAUGGCAUUUAGUUCCACGUCCUAACCAAAAUGUUGUAGGAACCAAAUGGGUUUUCCGCAACAAGCAAGAUGAGCAUGGUGUGGUGACAAGGAACAAAGCUCGACUUGUGGCCAAAGGAUACUCCCAAGUCGAAGGUUUGGAUUUCGGUGAAACCUAUGCACCCGUAGCUAGGCUUGAGUCAAUUCGUAUAUUAUUGGCCUAUGCUACUUACCAUGGCUUUAAGCUUUAUCAAAUGGACGUGAAAAGUGCCUUCCUCAAUGGACCAAUCAAGGAAGAAGUCUAUGUUGAGCAGCCUCCCGGCUUUGAAGACAGUGAGUAUCCUAACCAUGUCUAUAAGCUCUCUAAGGCGCUUUAUGGGCUCAAGCAAGCCCCAAGAGCAUGGUAUGAAUGCCUUAGAGAUUUUCUUAUUGCAAAUGGAUUCAAAGUCGGAAAGGCCGAUCCUACACUCUUUACCAAAACACUUGAAAAUGAUUUGUUUGUAUGCCAAAUUUAUGUUGAUGAUAUUAUAUUUGGGUCUACUAACGAAUCUACAUGUGAAGAGUUUAGUAGGAUCAUGACACAGAAAUUCGAGAUGUCUAUGAUGGGGGAGUUGAAGUAUUUUCUAGGAUUUCAAGUGAAGCAACUCCAAGAGGGCACCUUCAUCAGCCAAACAAAGUACACUCAAGACAUUCUAAACAAGUUUGGGAUGAAGGAUGCCAAACCCAUCAAGACACCCAUGGGAACCAAUGGGCAUCUCGACCUCGACACGGGAGGUAAGUCCGUGGAUCAAAAGGUAUAUCGGUCGAUGAUAGGUUCUUUACUCUAUUUAUGUGCAUCUCGACCGGAUAUUAUGCUUUCCGUAUGCAUGUGUGCAAGAUUCCAAGCCGACCCUAAGGAAGCUCACCUUACGGCCGUGAAACGAAUCUUGAGAUAUUUGGCUUAUACUCCUAAGUUUGGGCUUUGGUAUCCUAGGGGAUCCACAUUUGAUUUGAUUGGAUAUUCGGAUGCCGAUUGGGCGGGGUGCAAAAUCAAUAGGAAGAGCACAUCGGGGACUUGCCAGUUCUUGGGAAGAUCCUUGGUGUCUUAGGCUUCAAAGAAGCAAAAUUCGGUCGCUCUUUCCACCGCCGAAGCCGAGUAUAUUGCCGCAGGCCAUUGUUGCGCGCAAUUGCUUUGGAUGAGGCAAACCCUGCGGGACUACGGUUACAAAUUAACCAAAGUCCCUUUGCUAUGUGAUAAUGAGAGUGCAAUCAAAAUGGCCGACAAUCCCGUCGAGCAUAGCCGCACUAAGCACAUAGCCAUUCGGUAUCAUUUUCUUAGGGAUCACCAACAAAAGGGAGAUAUCGAGAUUUCUUACAUUAACACUAAAGAUCAAUUAGCCGAUAUCUUUACCAAGCCUCUUGAUGAACAAUCUUUUAACAAACUUAGGCAUGAGCUCAAUAUUCUUGAUUCUAGGAACUUCUUUUGUUAAAUUGCUCACAUUGCUCUUCUAUAUACCUUUGAUCAUGUCUCUUUCAUAUGCUAUGACUAAUGUGUUUUCAAGUCUAUUUCAAACAAAGUCAUAGAUGUAUUGAAAGGGAAUUGGAGUCUUCGGCGAAGACAAAGGCUUCCACUCCGUAACUCAUCCUUCGCCGUCGCUCCAAGCAACUCUCCGUUCUAGGGGGAGAAAACAUGAGCACCCAGCAAAAGGCCUUCGUCUUUGGUAUAAUCUUAACUCAUUUAUUUAUGACCAAAGAGGAAGAUAGCACUUCGAGGGCUCUAAUGAUUCCGUUUUUGGCGAUUCAUGCCAAAGGGGAGAAAGUAAGAGCCAAAGCAAAAGGACCGCACCACCACCAAUUUCAAAAACUUAAGUGUUGAAUUUUUUCAAUCGGUAUCAUAUUGUGUUCAAAAGGGGGAGAAAGUAGUAUUUCAAAAUGAUAUAUCAAAACCCUCUUGAACACUAAGAGGAGAAUCUCUUUUAGGGGGAGUUUUGUUUAGUCAAAGGAAAAGCAUUUGAAACAGGGGGAGAAAAUUUCAAAUCUUGAAAAUGCUUCUCAAAAUCUUAUUCUUUUUGCCUUUGACUAUUUGCAAAAGAACUUUGAAAUAUAUUUACAAAAGAAUUUGCAAAAACAAAACAUGUGGUGCAAACGUGGUCCAAAAUGUUAUAUAAGAAAGGAACAAUCCAUGCAUAUCUUAUAAGUAUUUACAUUGGCUCAAAUUCCAAGCAACCUUUGCACUUACAUUAUGCAAACUAGUUCAAUUAUGCACUUCUAUAUUUGCUUUGGUUUAUGUUGGCAUCAAUCACCAAAAAGGGGGAGAUUGAAAGGGAAUUAGGCUUACACCUAGUCCCUAAUUAAUUUUGGUGGUUGAAUCGCCCAACACAAACAAUUGAACUAACUUGUUUGCUCUAGAUUAUAUGUUCUACAGGAGCCAAAGGUUAAUCUAUAUCUAUACUAAAUCGACUGUCCGGAAUACCGUAGAUUAUUCCGGACAGGAGAAGCUUUUUGGAAAAACAGGCCAAGCGCGGACCGUCCGGGCCCUUGCGGCGGACCGUCCGCGACACGAGUAUGUCACUCGGACAGAACCAAUGCAAAAAUCCAAGUCUGCACUAUGGACUGUCCGGAGGAAAAGCAAAGACCGUCCGGGCCCUUGCGCGGACCGUCCGGUUGCUGGCGCGGACCGUCCGGUAGGUGAGAAACCGAAAAUCCCGAAGGUAACGGGUUCGGAGAAAUGAAUUAUAGCGGGUUCGCGGACCGUCCGGGCCAGGCUCGCGGACCGUCCGCGACUGGCUCUGUCUGACAUCUGACGACGCAUUAAAUGCAAUAUAGCCGUUGAUAUAGCUGUUACUGCUGACCGUUGCAUUUUCAGCCGUUGAUCUACAGGGGCGGACCGUCCGCACCAGGAGGGCGGACCGUCCGCGCGCAGCAGAAUGGCCCAACGGCUAGGAAGUGGUUGGUGGCUAUAAAUACAACCCCAACCACCUCCAUUCACGUCAUCCAAGCAUUCCAACCUUCAACAUUCAAUACAAGAGCUAGCAAUCCAUUCCAAGACACAUUCAAAGCCUCCAUCUCUCCAAGUUUCACAAUUGAGAAAAGAGAUCAUUAGUGAUUAGUGGCUUGAGAGAGAAAGUGAUCCGUGUGUUAUUUGUCGCUCUUGUCGCUUGGAUUUUUAAUCGUGCUUUCUUGAUUCCUUCAUUGCGAUCAUACUCACUUGUAAUUGAGACAAGAGACACCAAACUUGUGGUGGUCCUUGUGGGAACUUUGUGUUCCAAGUGAUUGAGAAAAGAAAGCUCACUCGAUCCGUGGAUCGUUUGAGAGAGGGAAGGGUUGAAAGAGACCUGGCCUUUGUGGCCUCCUCAACGGGGAGUAGGUUUGCAAGAACCGAACCUCGGUAAAACAAAUCUCCGUGUCUCACUUGCUUAUUCGCUUGGGAUUUGUUUUGCGCCCUCUCUCGCGGACUCGUUUCUUUGUUACUAACGCUAACCCGGCUUGUAGUUGUGUUUAUAUUUGUAAAUUUCAGUUUCGCCCUAUUCACCCCCCCUCUAGGCGACUUUCAUAUACCACUACUGUCAUUUGGUGAAUGUGUUUAGCACAUUGCUACUGCUAGGAUUUGUGGGACUAAAUGGCUCUACAACUCAAACAUCAUCAAGGCCCAAGAUGUCAUAUGUAUGCUCAUGAGUCAAAAGAAUUUGUUAUUAACAAGGAAGAGGUGUUAGUGUACCAUGGGUAUGCAGAACACUGAAUUUAUUUUUACAGCCAUAGUGAACACUCUCUUAGUUGACCUUUUGGUUUGAAAUAAACCACUAUAGAACAUUGAUUUUUCUUUUACAGUCAUAGUGAACACAAGAUACCUUAAGCACAAUUAUAACAGUCUGUCCCAUCCAUGUAUCGAGGAAGGAAGUUUUUCUGAUUGACAAUUUGUUGCUUAAUUACCACUUUAUAUACUUUUGUAGGUUUCAUCACCUUGCUCUGUUGAAGUUAUAGAAUUUUCAGCAAGGAUAUGGAGUACACCCCCUACACAACAAGCUCCUAUGUAUCUCACAUCUCGCUGCUCGAGGAAGUUCUUGGCUGGAGGUUUUGACUUUACGGAGACUUCAUGUUCAUCUAUUUUGUCAACUGCACCUGAGGAUCAACCAACACUUAGCGACUGCCUUGAAUGGUCCCAUGUUGUCAGACAUUAGGUAUGUGCACACUCUCUAAUGUAGACAUGAUCUAUUUAUGACUUAUCAUUAUGCAGACGUAUUGUCGCAAAAAGCAUGGGAUUAGCAUACAUAACUUUGAGAGGAGUAUCCAGUGACUUUGGUGUUGUAACAUCCAAAUACACUCCUGUUAUACAACUGUUCUGAAAUAAGGGCAGUUUUGUGCACCACCAGCGAAUAAAAUGGAGAGGUGAAGAUGCUCUAUAACCAGAUGAUUAUAACAAAUUAGAAUAUUGUCUAAGCUGUUUGGAUAUCUUUUUACCUUGUUUUUGCAUUGAGCACUAAUGAAUAUAGUGUGUGAUAUAUGCUUAUACAAGAUCAUGCUAACUAAUGUAAUGUUCAUUUAAACAUUAGUCUUCUUAACCCUGAAAAUUAUAAAAUAUCUCAUUAGCCAUACCUGCCAUUCAUAUAAUCAUAUCCUUUUUAGUUACAUGUGUUAACUUUCCACUUUGAGAUAGAGAGCAUUGUAAGGAAAAUGGACCCCGGGUCUUUUGGCUAAAGAAGUUUUGGUGGUUGAUGACUGACACAAUCUGUGGACUAAUAUGUUUGCUAGUGUUUAUAAUUAUAGUUCACAGGAUGCGGUGAGGAUUGGACCAAGGCAAUGAGGAUGCAACACCUCAAAUGAAGACAUAAAAAGAUGCAUAGAAGUCCAAGACUCAAGAACAAAAGAAGCCCAUAGAAAUCAGCAAAGAAACCUGAGAAGAGGGCUGUCAGCCAGCGCCUGGUGGCGCACCGGACAGUGCACAGUACCUGUCCGGUGUGCACCGGACUGUCCGGUGGGACAACCGGACGGUCUGCGCAGAGAGGCCGCAGGCAGGCGCUCUCGGGCUGUAGCACCGGACUGUCCGGUGUGCACCGGACUGUCCGGUGUGCCAACGGGCAGACGGCAACGGUCGAAUCCAACGGUCGGAUCCAACGGUCGACUGCUACAGACGCCAACGGUCGGCUGACAUAGGCGCACCGGACAUCUACUGUUCAGUGUCCGGUGGUGCACCGGACUGUCCGGUGCACCCGACGACAGAAAGCUGCUGCUUUCUGUCCAACGGCUAGUUGAGGGUGUGGAGGCUAUAAAUAACACCCCAACCGGCCAUUCUCAAGUGUGAGAGCCCAAGCAACAUUCCAAUACACAUAGUGCAUAUUUCCAAGUGCUCAAACACCCAAGUGCUUAAUAGAAUCACUCGGUGAUUAGCGUAGGUGCUUUGCGAAGUGCUUAGGUUAGUUAGACCGCUUUAGCGCUUGCUCUAGGUGAAUCCUAGUUAGUUGAGUGAGUUUAGAUAAACCUCACAACCCCUCGGCUCUUGCGCGAGCCGUUGUAAUUGUACCGAGUGGGGCGAGAGUCUUGCGAGACCGUGACAACCGUGUUUGUGUCACGGCCGCCACCGUGUACCGGAGGGAACGAGGCCCGCGGCGUUUCGGCCGGAAGCUCGAUAGUGGAGACGGCGGGGAGCGUCCGAGAGGAGCCGGAAGCGGAGCACCACUUGCGCGUGGAGAAGGCCCGCGGCUCUCUACGGAGUUACUCGACCGAGGUGCUUGGCCCUCGCGUGGGCUUCCCUUUGCGUAGGGGCACCAACGAGGAUUAGUCGGGACCUUGCGCGGUUCCGGAUACCUCGGUAAAAAUACCGGCGUCAUCCACGAGAGUUUGCUUCUCUACUUAGCUCUUUACAUUCCGCAUUUAUAUUAAGCAUUUAAGUUUCAAUCUUGUUGUCAUACUUAUUUAGUGUAGAUUGAAACUUAGUCUUUGCGGUAGAGAUAGCAACACUUAGACCAAACCUAGUUUGCACAUUCUAGUUUUGAUUCUUGCAUAGGUUUUGCUCUAGGGAUUUAAUUGUGGCCAAGUUUAGUAAAAGUUUUAGAAGUCCUAAUUCACCCCCCCCUCUUAGGCGUCACCCGUUUUCUACAAUUGGUAUCAAAGCCCGGUUUGGCUCAUUUGAAACGUUUUAGCUUCACCGCUAAAAGGGCCGACGCUUUUUAGAGGAAGGGAUGGAUACCCAUAGGCCACCACACUUCGACGGCACUAACUUCCCAUAUUAUAGUGCUAGAAUGGCUUGUUACCUAGAGGCCGUUGAUCUAGGUGUUUGGAGAGUCACUUGUGACGGGAUGAAACCCCUCAAGAAUCCCGAGAAACCCACCACGAGUGAGGAAAAAGAAAUUCAUUUAAAUGCUAGAGCCAAAAAUUGCUUGUAUGAAUCUCUUAGCAUGGAUAUUUUCAAUCAAGUAUUUACCCUGAAAACUGCUAAUGAGAUUUGGCUAAAAUUGCAUGAGCUCCAUGACGGCACAUCCAAUGUCCGUGAGCAAAAACAUUGCCUAGUCUUAAAUGAGUAUAAUUCUUUUGCUAUGAAAAAUGAUGAGCUUGUUAGAGACAUGUAUUCUCGCUUGAAUCUAAUUAUCAAUGAGCUCAAUUCUAUUGGCAUUAAUAAGCUAGGUGAUGCGGACAUUGUGAGGAAGAUUAUCUCCCUGCUACCACAACAAAGAUAUGGGAGCAUCAUCACCAUCCUUCACAACAUGGAGGACUUGAGCAACAUGACCCCGACCAUUGUGAUUGGGAAAAUCGCGGCCUUUGAGAUGUCGCGAAAAAUGAGUCGGGGAGAGGAGCCAACUUCCUCAAGACCAUAUGCUUUUGCAUGUGAUGAAAGGAAGGGCAAAAAGAAGGCUCCCACUCCAAGUUCCUCAAGUGAAGAAGAGGAAGAAGAAGAAAGUGAUGAUGAUGAAGAUAAUCAACCAUGCACAUCAUCCUCCGAGGACGAAGAAACGAUCCGACGCGUCGGAAAGGUAAUGGGGAUGAUCCGCAAGAUUAAUCUAAUGGGUGUGCCCCUGCAGGUCGAGGAUCUUCUCUUUAACAUUGACAGGAAAAAGCAAAGGAAGAGAGGAUGCUUCGCAUGUGGGGAGAAGGGCCACUUCAGGGACAACUGUCCAAAUAUGGCCAAACCCAACAAGGAGAGGAGCAAAGGCAAGGCGCUAACAAGUGUUAGAACGUGGGAUGAUUCUUCAAGUGAAGAUGAACCUCCAAGGACGCGCAGCCACCGGUCCUCGUCACGAUCAUCACGGUCAUCACACAAAUGCCUUAUGGCAAGAGGUAACAAAAGCACUCCAUCCUCUAGUGAUGAAAGUAGUAGUGAUGAUGAAGGUGAGGGAAAAGCCUCUCUAGAUGAGCUUGCGGAAGCCGUAGAAUUUUUCCAGGAUGUUUGCACUAAGCAAAAAGCUCAACUUAAAACUUUGAAAAAUAAGUUGGUUAGCUCUCAAAAUGAUUACAAAGGUUUGCUAGAAAAAUUUGAAACUUUUGCAAACUUAAAUAGUGAGCUAUCAACUAAACUUGAGCUAUUAGAAUCUAGUGCUCCAUCCACUGCUACCGAUGAUAGCCUUAUUAAAAAGAAUGAAAAACUUAAGGCUAAGUUAGCUAGCUCCCAAGAAGCUAUUGAAAAUUUGCUAGAGAAAAUGGAAAUUCUCAGCAUACACAAUAAUGAGCUAACUACUAAGCUAGAAAACAUUGGUAGCACCCCAGCAGCAUCUUUAGUUGAAAUUCCUGAAAUUAUUAAGAAAGAUGCUUCUACUUCCUGCUUUGACUUAAUUGAUGAUUCUAACCCCUGCAACCAAGUUGUUGUUGAGAAUAUUGUUGUAGAGACAUGCUCUGAUGAGGUUGCAAAGGAAAAUGAACAAUUAAAGCAAGAAGUGACUCGUCUUGGCAAGGCUUUGUAUGACAAGAAAGGCAAAGCCAAACAAAUCCGACCUCCACAGGAUAACACCACUGCGGGAGUGAACAAGCCUGUAGAGGGAGAAACUGUGAUUUGUAGGCUAUGCCACAAGGAAGGCCACAAGUCUUUCCAAUGCAAGGCGAUGACCGGAGAUAAACAAAGGCAAAAGCUCAAGCAAAAGCCAACAAGCAAAAUCUCCAGCACCUACAUCAAAAAGGUGAACAAAAAGGACGCUACACCAUAUUUGAUCAAGAAGAAAAAGAAUGGAAAGGUGAUAGCAAUCAAGGCCAACAAGCAAGCCAACAAAGGAAAGGGGGCCAAACGCAUCUGGGUGCCAAAAGAGAUAAUUUCAACCAUGAAAAGCACCAAGAAGGUUUGGAUCCCGAAAGGGAAGUGAGUGGACCAAAAGUCUGCGGGAAAUUUGGAGACUUGGCAAAGUUGGGAUGUAUAUCAUGGGGUACAUCAUAUUGGAUCAAGUUUAUUGCCAAGUGGGUUAGUGAAAACUUUGGACCCAAAUUUCCCACCCAUGACCAAGGUAACUAGUUUUAUUGUAUUUCUCGUUUUUAGAUAUGUGUAUCUAUUUAUCUUUUAUCUAGUUUACCUUUCUUGCCUAGUAUUACAUUUGUUAUGUACUUUUGUUUAAAAUCAUGCAUACUAGGUAAAUCAUAUGGUAGGAUUGCUUGCGUUUAAUUCAUAUACUUAAGCAAACCUACAUGGCUUAAAAUGUGUAUUUAAGCACGGCACAUAGCUUUUAUAUCACUCCAUAGUAAAUGAUGCAUCAAUUGAAAAUCUUUGAUUUCCACAAGUGUAUCAUUUAACUUAUAUGUGCCAAAGUUUGGAUUAUAGAUAAUUUGCCCCUCUUGAUAUCAAAUCAAAGUGCAUGUCUCCUACAAGUAUUCAAAACUUGUAUGCACACCUUUAGGGGGAGGUUACUCUAUAAUCUAACACUUUGAGACUAACACCUUUUCAAGUCUAUUUCAUGUGAUAGUCUCAUUGUAAGGAAAAUGAAGUCCCUGGAGAAAGACAACAAUCUUCCACUGCAAAAUCUCUAAGAACUCUCAUGUCUCUCAAACUCGCCAUUGAUCAUCAAUUGGUAUCUUUUGAGACUACAUUCAGUAUCAUUUACAUGUCUUCUCCAAUAUUUGAUUAGACUAUAUUUCAUAUCAUAUGCUUCCAUGUUGCAAAAAUGCAUAAGUAGUUAAUUCAUAUUCUGUUACCUAUGCAUAAGGGAAGCUAGUCUUUUCAAAUCAUGUCUUGCACCUCUAAUUUUCACAUGCUUUUUCCUAAGUAGAGGAUCUCUGUCAGGGGGAGUAUUUCUUCAUCUCUAAAGGGGGAGAAAAACUCUUUCUAAAGGAGUCAACUCAUUUAGGGGGAGUAAUCUUUUGAGGACUCCUUCAAGUGGUAUCAUUCACUUAGUUUAAUUUUAAUAUCCUUCUAGUGAUAUCAUUUGAUACAAUUCUUGAUGAGGGCAAGCUUUUAUUUACUUCCUACAUGCUUUUAAUGUCUUCCUUUUCGGUGGUUGAUGCCAAAGGGGGAGAAGUUUAGGGACCAAAGCAAUGAAAACUUUAUCAAACACCAAAAACCACCACUUUAAAAUUUUAUCUGCAAAUGACUUUUCAAGUGGUUUUGGUUAUUUGGUCCAAAAAUAGGAAGUAAGUGAUUUAUGGAGUUAGGGGGAGGCUUAAGUCCAUAAUAUCACAUUAAGGGGACAAUCAUGCAUCUUAGCAAGUGAAAUGCAUAUUUACAUUCAAAUACUUGUAUUAUUUGCUUGCUUUGGUUGUGUUGUCAUCAAUCACCAAAAAGGGGGAGAUUGUAAGGAAAAUGGACCCCGGGUCUUUUGGCUAAAGAAGUUUUGGUGGUUGAUGACUGACACAAUCUGUGGACUAAUAUGUUUGCUAGUGUUUAUAAUUAUAGUUCACAGGAUGCGGUGAGGAUUGGACCAAGGCAAUGAGGAUGCAACACCUCAAAUGAAGACAUAAAAAGAUGCAUAGAAGUCCAAGACUCAAGAACAAAAGAAGCCCAUAGAAAUCAGCAAAGAAACCUGAGAAGAGGGCUGUCAGCCAGCGCCUGGUGGCGCACCGGACAGUGCACAGUACCUGUCCGGUGUGCACCGGACUGUCCGGUGCGACAACCGGACGGUCUGCGCAGAGAGGCCGCAGGCAGGCGCUCUCGGGCUGUAGCACCGGACUGUCCGGUGUGCACCGGACUGUCCGGUGUGCCAACGGGCAGACGGCAACGGUCGAAUCCAACGGUCGGAUCCAACGGUCGACUGCUACAGACGCCAACGGUCGGCUGACAUAGGCGCACCGGACAUCUACUGUUCAGUGUCCGGUGGUGCACCGGACUGUCCGGUGCACCCGACGACAGAAAGCUGCUGCUUUCUGUCCAACGGCUAGUUGAGGGUGUGGAGGCUAUAAAUAACACCCCAACCGGCCAUUCUCAAGUGUGAGAGCCCAAGCAACAUUCCAAUACACAUAGUGCAUAUUUCCAAGUGCUCAAACACCCAAGUGCUUAAUAGAAUCACUCGGUGAUUAGCGUAGGUGCUUUGCGAAGUGCUUAGGUUAGUUAGACCGCUUUAGCGCUUGCUCUAGGUGAAUCCUAGUUAGUUGAGUGAGUUUAGAUAAACCUCACAACCCCUCGGCUCUUGCGCGAGCCGUUGUAAUUGUACCGAGUGGGGCGAGAGUCUUGCGAGACCGUGACAACCGUGUUUGUGUCACGGCCGCCACCGUGUACCGGAGGGAACGAGGCCCGCGGCGUUUCGGCCGGAAGCUCGAUAGUGGAGACGGCGGGGAGCGUCCGAGAGGAGCCGGAAGCGGAGCACCACUUGCGCGUGGAGAAGGCCCGCGGCUCUCUACGGAGUUACUCGACCGAGGUGCUUGGCCCUCGCGUGGGCUUCCCUUUGCGUAGGGGCACCAACGAGGAUUAGUCGGGACCUUGCGCGGUUCCGGAUACCUCGGUAAAAAUACCGGCGUCAUCCACGAGAGUUUGCUUCUCUACUUAGCUCUUUACAUUCCGCAUUUAUAUUAAGCAUUUAAGUUUCAAUCUUGUUGUCAUACUUAUUUAGUGUAGAUUGAAACUUAGUCUUUGCGGUAGAGAUAGCAACACUUAGACCAAACCUAGUUUGCACAUUCUAGUUUUGAUUCUUGCAUAGGUUUUGCUCUAGGGAUUUAAUUAUGGCCAAGUUUAGUAAAAGUUUUAGAAGUCCUAAUUCACCCCCCCCUCUUAGGCGUCACCCGUUUUCUACAAGCAUGACUGUCUACUAUAUUUUGUUGCCUCAAUCAAAUAGAUAAGAAGCUUUGUGCAUAUGGUAGACCAAUAGCGCUCAUUACUUGUUUCUUUCUUAGAUAAUUCUUAUGAACAUUGGAUUAUCUCAACUAGCUUCUGUGCACUAUUUGUCCCGCAUUUUCCCCUUGUCUUGCUUUUCUGAACUUACGUGUCUGCUCUGUCUUUUUAUUAUCACAAAACCGAAAGAGCUUGAAAACUAUAUAUUGUAUAUUGUAAGAGAGAAUAAAUAUUGGGACAAUUUUUUUGAUGUUCUAACUUUUAAUAACAUUGCAUAUGGGAAAACAAAUUUUCUACUGCAACAGCAUAUAAAGCGUGCAAUACUGUACUGGGUCUAGGCAAGAUAUGGCGGGGAUGUUCAGUUGUCCACAGAUGCCAUACUUGUUACCGUAGCAUUACCUUUUUAUAGUUUCAGUUUCAGGUUGCUCAUAUAGUUUGCUUAUGCUUGAGUUAUUCACAUUGUUCCUUACUUGGAUUCAUUCGCUGGAUUCAUCAUUUCUACAUAUGUUUAUUUAAGUUUUCUUUGUUACACUCAACAUGAACAAUGCCUCAUGUUCUUGUAGCCAUUGUGAUUCAUGUUAUCCUCACACUGCACUGCUAACCAUUUAAGUAUUUUUUGUGCAUCGAUAGUUUUACCUUUAUACCAGCAUAGAAGAGAGAUAAUUUGGGCAGUGUAACACCACCGAAUGUUUGUUUUGUAUUAAGAUUAACACCUCAGGCAUGCCAUCAUCCUACUUUGACCUCAUACCAAACACAUCCAUAAUCUUUUAGUAUUGACAACAUAAUAAGGCCACAUGACUGAGAAAGAUUGAAGUUAAGCUCUGCAACCAUUGUUUAUCCAUUUACUGCAUCAAAAUAAUGGAAAUAUUUAUUAAAAGGGAAGUAUGUCCAAACAAUUUCACAAGAGACUAAAUUAUGGGCAUAUUUGGGAUUUAGGAGGUGUUAUGCUGACCUUGGGUAAGAAUCAUUAGUGGUUCACUUGUUCUUGAGCUUUAUCAUUUGUACUCCGUUCUGUUUAUAAUAUAUGGGACCCACAUGAAAAAUUCAGAUUAUCGAUCAAACACUACUUAUCUCAAUUGUGAAAUUUAUUAGGAGAUCUAUAAUAACGGUGGGAGAUCUAUAAUAUUAUAGCGUUGUCCAUGGAAGGAGAAUCAGAAGCCCCGGAUCGCCGCCCCAGCCUCCAUGGAAGGGGAGUCCUCUUGAUCCGUGUCUGCGCUGUCCAGGAAAGGGGAGCGUCUGACGCCCUGGAUUUGCGCACCCCAGCCUCCAUGGAAGGGGAGUAUCUGACGCCCCGGAUCUGUGCGCCCCAGCUUCCAUGGAAGGGGAGUCAGACGCCCCGGAUCUGCGGCGAGAGAGGACCGUGCGAAGGGGAGUCAGACGCCCCGGGCUUGUAACAUUGAGCGGCGCAUUCUACAUAGAAAUCAGGUCUGGCUUGCUCUUGCAUGUCAUUCAUUUCUUAGCGUUGGCUUGUAACUUGUGUUUGUUUUGCUUAGUCCAUUUCUUUUGGUUGUCUGUAGGGAAGAGACGACGACAACAUAGACAUUAUCACAAAGCGGUUUCAGGUUUUUCAGGAGUCGACUCUACCUGUUGUUUAGUACUAUGACAAAAUGGGGAGGCUCUGAAGAAUAAUAAUUUGCGGUUGCUCUUAUUUUUUUCGUAUGAAACGUAGACUGUGCUAAUAAAUUUUGGCUGCACUUCUGUUUAGGAAGUAGAAACAUUAAAUGUUUUAGGAAUAAUAAAUAUUUGCUUAAAUUCAUUUUUAUAACCUUCGUGCUACUGAGUUUCUUUCCCUAUAUCCUCCCCUAACUUGUGUUACUAUGUUCUUUAGGAUUCAAUGCUGCAGUUGUUGGGUGCUUUUUUUGCUAUCGAAACAGUAUUACGGCCACUUACUACUACUAUGAUUAUAUUAGCAUCAGUUAUGAAAUGUUUUGCUGCUGCUAUGAUUAUAUUAGCAUCAGUUAUGAAAUGUUUUGCUGCUGCUAUGAUUAUAUUAGCAUCAUUUAUAUCAUCAACUAUUUCCAAUGUUUUGCUAGGGGAAAAUGCAACAUUUAUUAUGUCUACAUAUGAACUAAAAUAUGCUGCUGGUAUUUUACCUUAUUCUGAUUAUUUUUUGUGUCAAUAAGGUAGAUGUGUCUUAGCUACCUUCAAGAUAUAGGGAAGUAUGUGUUCUCACCUUAUUUUUUGCUCUAAUUGUUAAACAUAUAUGAAGUAUGUUCUCAUGAUAAAACAUAAAGCUUGACACUGAAUAUUUCUUUUUUUCUUGUAAUUCUCUUCCUUAAGCUUAGCCCUCUUUCAAUUCCUUGAAAUGGUACUUGCCUACAUUCCUCUCACAUGAAUUUACGAUCCUAAGAACUAAUCAACUACUAGAGUUAUUAAUGCAGAAAUGAUCAACUAAUGUUAGCUUAAUGAUUUCUACAGUUGCUGCAUUUCAGGAUUUGAUGAAUAAUUGGUAAAAUGAGCAACCAAGCUGGAAAGGUUUAACUGAUCUCUGCUACUCUUUUAUCAGGUGAUUUCUCUUAGCCAAUGAAUACAUAAGAGAUACACACCGAUGUGUGCCCUGUAAGUAGUUUUCUUGACCAAGUUUCUUCCGUUGCUUAUCUUUUCUCUUACGGUUGCACUCGUAUUUUUAUUGUAUCUUCAGGCCCUCGGUAUAUAACAACUAGAGCGAAUAAUUAGUAUGUACGGGGAUGAUGUGAAUGGUACAAACACUAUUUUAGCAGAGGUAAGUUGGUCAGUUCCCCUAAUAUAGUUUACGAUCUUGUACCACAUUUGGUUUGUGUUCUUUUCCAAAAUGGCAUCAACUGACAACUUACCUUUUCAUAGUUUACAUCAAUCUUGAAAUAUGCGGUACUUGAUGAAUCAAAUAUGACCAUGUGUUUCUCUAUACCGCUAGAUGCUGAUUCCAGGUUUGUUAUCUGUGAAAAAUGUUAUCCACAUUAUUUUAAAAAACUAUUACUACUGAUAUUUAAUGGUUUCCCUUAUUCAUUCCUAAAUGCAGUAUACCCUUUUCACUUGAGGAUAUUACAAAGACAUUGCCUGACCUCUUCCUCGUAUCAUGUGUUUACAGACGCCUGACUCUCCUGUUGUUGAGCUAGACCAGACCCGUCUCUUGUAGGUCUUGUUGGUGCUGAGGAUCCUCUAAAACAACAUGUCAUCGUCUCGGUUCGAGCCUGUGGUAAGAUAAGGAGCGCUGGUAGCAUGAUAGCUCUCCAUUCUCUGAAGCUAAAGCUUCAUUUUAGCUCACUGUGUAUUUGCUCUGCUUUCAAGAGAAGGUUGUUGUCAACGUAUGAUCUGACAAGAGCUUUAUCUGGCCAAUUGGUUGAGCGUGAUACUUUGAGACAACCUGGCAAGUGAGCCGCAGCUAACACACAUGGAUGGACAUUUUAGUCAAGUGUAUCAUAAAAUUUAUUAUAUAUUGUGUAGAACUUAAUUGUUUAUGGUGAUGUUUUACACUACUGCCACACUAAUAGUACUGUCCUUGAUUCUUUAAAUUCUUUGACCAAAGCAUGUACAAGCCGCUGCUACUAUCUUAUUUCUCAAAGAUAUAAUAUAAGUAUGAAUACCCUUGGAAGUUAAGUUUUGUAAAUGGUUGUCUUUGUAGGGUCAUGUUUUUACUAUAGUCGUGCUAUACUUGCCUCUGAAGGUGGAGAAAAAUUGCAAUCAUGUACUGUGAAAUAUCAACUAUGUAUAUUAUUUAUCAUAUUUGUUUGAGAUUAUUAAUGUCAUGCUUAGUGUUCGUGCCAAUAGAUAAGUUUGUAGUUGAUGAUAAUAUGUAUUGUUUAUUUUUAUGUAAUCGUUAUAUACUAACUUUGUAUCGAAUAAUUUAUAUGCCGUCGCAACGCACGGGCAUAUACCUAGUAGCCAAUUAUGUGCAUCAAUGACACAAGCAGCUACUAACUGGCCUCUAAACCUCCCAUAAAGAGUUGUUGCAUCCACUGCUAAAUAAGGCCUGCAACCAGCUAAGAACCUACUCCAACAUGCUUUGAAUGAAACGAACACCCUUAUAAAACAUUCUUUGUUCAAAAUCUUGCCUCUCACUUUAUAAUCCACCGUAUGAUGGUCAAUCUCAACAACACUACCUGGGCACGCCUUCUCCACUUCAGCUUUGAAAGUGAAUAAUAAGUUAAAGCUUUCCUUACAUGGGCCAUAAAUCUUGUCAAGAGCCAUUUCCUUGCCAUAAUACACUAUCAUGUAAGGCACCAAAAUGUUGUACUUCUCUUUGAUCUUCUUUACCGGUUCAGUUGUACCAAUGCAUGAGUUAUAUGUCGCCCAUUCUAAUACUGCAUUUGCACACCAUCUACUUUUAGCUACUUAUGUGACCCUUUUCUUUCACUUGGACAAGUGCGAGGAGAUGGAUUCACUUUGACCUGAAUAAUUGUACUAUUCCGCAUACUGGAAGCAUAUAUCCUCCACUGACAGCUCUCAAAUGCGCAAUGAACAGUCAUUCUAGUUGGCUCACUCUUGUCAAUUACAUAAUCAUACUCGCCUUUGAUGCAAUAGGUAUCAAGUGCAUUCCUAAAUUCGGUCAUCGAUGCAAAUGUGUUGCCUUCUUUUAAGGAUGGAUUAUCUCUGUCAUAAUCAUUUCUUGGUACAUCACCACCCUCUCCUUGCUCAUCCACCCCCAUAGCUAUGUUUUCUUCCUCCUCCUCUUUAUCAGUCUCUUUAAAUUGUGCCCCUGUGAAAAUGUCUCCAUUAUAGUCCUCAAAUUCUAGCAUAUCCCACUUGUCAACAAACCCAGGAUACUGUCUCUCAUCAUCAUCGGGGGCAGCAACUACUUCUAUUGGUUCAACCUCAUCAUUGGGAAUAAUACGAUUCAUCCCAUUUCAUAGGAAAUAACGACGUUAAGAACCCAUAUAGGCAAAGGGUGGCAACAUUUAUAGAUAGUAGAGGGUUGUGCUCCUUGCCUGGAGGAGACUGCUGCUGCUGUCAAGAAGAUCGCGUCGGUGUCUGGAUCUCACACACUACUGUUAAGAAGAUCACGUCGACGACUGGAUCUCACAUAGGAGCAGCAGGCCGAAAGCUUGCAGUGCCUCUGGAUCUGGAGUGCGAGUAGGGGCGCAGACCCGCUGAAGGCAUCGAGAGCACGAGGCACGGACCAACCGGAGGCACGGAGCAACGAGUCCCUCCCAGUGGCGGCUUCCUCCCUCCCGGCGGGGCGCCCCCACGAAGUAGCCUAUGGCUAGAGGCACGGAGCGUGGGACGCGUACCAACUGGAGGCACGGAGCAGUAGGUCCCGGCGACGUCUUCCUCCCUCCUGGCGGCUCUAGGCAUCAAACCAAAGACAUCAUCAGCACCUGGGCGUCUGGCAUACAAAGGCAGCUGUGUUGUUGUCAGAUUAAAAACCUGCGCCACGGUCUUCCCUCUCGCCUUGGCUAUCUCCGCGAGGACCUCGAACUCGAGCACAACGUUUCUUUCUGCCGCCCAGCUCUGGCCUCCCAACGGCGAGAUCUGCUGGCAAACAGGGUUCACCUCCACCGGGAUUCGCCCUCCCGGCGGGGCGCCCCCACAAAGCAGCCUGAGCGCUUGUUCCCUCCCGCGGCGGGCGAGGCGGGCGUGGUGAGUGGGCGGCCACGAAGCGACGGGCGGUUGCGGUUGAGAUGGAGUUCGGGAUUGGGAGGAAGAAGAGCCUGCUGUCGAGUGGGGAUUUUUUUGCAGUGGGCCCACUCUGUAAGUCACGUUAAAGUGGACGGAGACGGCGUCCAGGCGUAUUUAUGAGCAAAGGGAACGAGGACCGAAUAAAAUUGCGUAUUUAUGAGCAAAGGGAACGAGGACCGGAUAAAAUUGAGUAAAAAAAACUAAGGGUAGCAACGAGUACCGUGACGAAACUAAGGGGACCAAUGUAAAAAAACCCAUAAAAUUUAGCACAUAUUAUUUAAUAAGCUGCUCAAAGAGUGCUAAAAGUAGCUAAACGUGGGCCAGGGAACCCCGUUUUCCACCCAUACCCUGUAACCCCAUUCUCUCUCUCCGCAUUAGGGGCAUGGGUGUCUUUUUGUUCCAAUAUGUUAAACUUUAUUAAAGUAGUCCAAACACCCCAAGGAGCUAAACUUUAGCACUUCAAUUCAUAUGGCUAAAGUUUAGCAGGAAGCUAAAGUUUAUCCCGUGAGAUUGAAACGGGCCUAAAAACAACUAAAAGUUAGAGUCAUUUUUGUACCGCGGAGAAGAAGCCAUAAAUAAUAUUUUCACCUGAUUUGGCUUUGCUUUAGCUCUACGAUAAGAUGUUUGUGUCACACCAUUUGCGAAACGCUUUAACUCUAGCAAAAAAACUACUUUUCAGAAAAACUCAGAGCCAAAGUUGUUUUUGUAAGUCAAAGCCCUGCCAAACAUACCCUUAGCCUUUAGGUUUUGUUUGUUUUGCUCUCAAUCCAUAUAAAUUUGGUGAGAUUGAGCGUAUUUCAAUACCAAAUAAGUCAAAAUCUUUUAUAUUUUUUUACAAUCUCAUCUAAUCUACGUGUGAUAGGAAUAACCGAAUAAGGCCAUAGUUAGAAUCUGCUAACCUGCCAUCAGCUUUUGAACCUUCAUCUUCACAGAUAGGGCCUCGACAUGACAACAGAAGUUCUCGGGGACACGGAACACAAAGUCAUGCAAGCGUGCUAAUCUUGGCUUUUGGCUAACUCGGGAACUCGCAUGGUACUCGAAGUAAAAUCCAAGGCAAAUGAAGUUUGCUCCAACAGUAUCUAAAACAGUUGAGGCCUUGUUUGGAUAAAGAGGGAUUGAGGUGGAUUGAAGUGUAUUUUAGGAAUUUAAAGGGAAAUUAGUUUAUAUUACACUUCAAUACACCUUAUACCACCUUAAUCCACUCCAAUCCAAGAUUACCCAAACAAGUCCUGAAGGAUAAACAAUUUACCCCUUUAGGACUAGUUUGAGAGCCAUAAAACCGGAAGGAAUUGAAGGAGUUAAAUUCCCCUUCUUACUCAAAAUUGAAUAAGAAGGGUAAUUUAGCCCCUCCAAUCCUCUCCGGGUUUAUAUCUCCCAAACUAGCACUUAGAGACAACAACAGCUGUUUCAUGAGAAGGAAUAAAACAAACAUAUCCAAGUAUAAAUCAACAACCACGCCACGGCGGGGCGCAAAUGCGAAUGAUUCCAUGACCACGUACAGAAGUGCAUAAACCAACUGAACUCUCAAAGACUCAAACUGCAUGGGCGACACGCGACAGCCGGCACCCUUGCGUCGUGUAGAAACCCAGAUCGCGCAUAUCAGGAACGCACUGAUCUGGUGGUCUUGAAAAAAAAAACACUGACCUGACCAUCCGUACUACUGAAGUUACACAUGUUUCUUCAUGUAGUACAUCAGUCGACCUAACCAUCUUUCACAAUGCUUCAUGGCCAACAGCCCUUCAAUGAUUUAGAAAGAACCAAGAAUGCUAGAGAAACCAUGGGACAAUCUAGCAUCCCAACUAACUGAAAAUAUAAGUAAAUAACAGAUAUACAGCUCCAGAAUUCAGAAACACUUCAUGUGGACGAUGCCUGGACCAGAUUCAUCAUACUCUUCCUUGGAGAUCCACAUCUACACAACACAAUAACAAGAUUAAUAAAUCAAACUUCAUAUACACUAGAACUGCAAAGCAAGCAGAAACGUUGAAUUUAGAUUUUGAGACAGUAACAAACUAACAACCUGCUGGAAGGUACUGAGAGAGGCCAGAAUGGAGCCACCAAUCCAAACGCUGUACUUCCUCUCCGGCGGAGCAACCACCUUCACCUUCAUGCUGCUGGGGGCAAGCGCAGUGAUCUCCUUGCUCAUGCGGUCACCGAUGCCAGGGAACAUAGUGGAGCCACCACUGAGGACAACAUUACCGUACAGGUCCUUUCUGAUAUCGACGUCGCACUUCAUGAUGGAGUUGUACGUGGCUUCAUGGAUGCCAGGAGAUUCCAUGCCAAUGAAGGAUGGCUGGAAUAGCACCUCAGGGCACCUAAACCUUUCUGCGCCGAUUGUGAUGACCUGGCCAUCGGGCAGCUCGUAGCUCUUCUCGACGGUGGAGCUGGUCCUGGCCGUCUCCAGCUCCUGCUCGUAAUCAAGUGCAACGUAGGCAAGUUUUUCCUUGAUGUCCCUGACAAUCUCUCGCUCGGCUGUCGUGGUGAAGGAGUAACCCCUCUCGGUGAGGAUCUUCAUCAGGUUGUCGGUGAGGUCACGACCGGCAAGGUCCAAUCGAAUAAUAGCAUGAGGAAGCGUGUACCCUUCGUAGAUGGGGACAGUGUGGCUCACGCCGUCACCAGAGUCGAGCACAAUACCUGCACAGAAAGAUUGUCGCCACUCACUACACGUACUGCUAUUCGAAUGCUGACAUGAAACAGGUUCGAUGCAGCAACGUAACGUACCAGUCGUUCGUCCACUGGCGUACAGGGAAAGAACGGCCUGGAUGGACACAUACAUUGCCGGGCAGCUGAACGUCUCAAACAUGAUCUGGGUCAUCUUCUCCCUGUUGGCCUUGGGGUUCAGAGGAGCCUCGGUCAGCAGUAUAGGGUGCUCCUCAGGCGCCACACGGAGCUCGUUGUAGAAGGUGUGGUGCCAGAUCUUCUCCAUGUCAUCCCAGUUGCCCACAAUGCCGUGCUCGAUUGGGUACUUGAGCGUCAGAAUGCCUCUCUUGGACUGGGCUUCGUCGCCCACGUAUGCAUCCUUUUGGCCCAUGCCCACCAUCACGCCAGUGUGGCGUGGCCUGCCUACGAUGCUGGGAAAGACUGCCCUCGGCGCGUCGUCACCAGCGAAACCUGCCUGUUUGGCAUCAAGAUCCCAUCAGUUUAUUAGAUCAGUAAUGAAUAGACAGGCAAAAGGAUUGGCUGCUGGACAGGAGAACGAACCUUAACCAUUCCAGUGCCAUUGUCGCACACAAGGGGCUGGACAUCCUCUUCAGCCAUUCCUCAGUGUUCUGCAGCAGAAUGCUAUACUCGGUGUUAAUCGUUAAAGUGUCCAUGGAGUCAGGUAAACCCCACAAAAGAAGCAUGCCGCCGCCGCUGCAAUGGUAAACCCCACAAAAGAAGCAUGCCGCCGCCGCCGCCAUUGCAAUAUGCCAGUCGUCAGUCAAAACUAAUGUGCACAACUGCUCAUGAUUAAGAAACUGAUACUCAAAUUUGUGUAAAAAAACCCUGAUAAUUGACUUAUAAGUUUCCAAGCAGUCCGCAGGGAUGGCUGACACUAGGAGGAUCACGGGGGAGGGGAAUUUGGUUGAGGAAAAUGGUUAGCUGAAUGUUUGAGAGUGUGAUCGUGUGAUUUUUCACUGCUUAAGAUCAUCUCCAGUUCUUCACAGAGUGACCUGAAAACAAUUUACGGGUUCGGCGUAGCACACAUCUUAUUGCAUGCUGAAUCAUAUGUGCUCCUAUGAACUGACUGAGUAACUGGCCAAACUCGACAUGAAGUUCAUCACAUAAACAUAAAACAGAGCAUCCAAUCAAACAUCACAGAGGUACUAUAGUAAUCAUGAUGACACAUAGGAGAGCACACGACUACACAUAUGACGGUAGUUUAUUAAAGUUGAAAACCGUACCACACCGCCUAUCCGAACUCCAGAGCCGAGACAAACAUGACAAAAAACAGAAAAAUGGACACGAAAAAAAUCGAAGUCAGCAGCGACGGGAAGCUCGAGCGGGGGGGUCUAUCGAAACGAAAGCCUACAGCCGAUCACUUCCUCGGAACAAAAUCGGUGCCAGAGCAAGGGAGAAAUACGGCUAUACCUCGGCGUCGUUGACGAGGCCGCGAAGGGGAUCGGAUCGCUCGCCCGCGGGGUCGCUUCCGGUGACGCAGGCAGGCGUGAGAGCGAGGUGAGACAAAUGGGAGAGCAGCAGCCGAAGUAUGUGUGUGUGACUGGUCUGCGGGCGCUGGGCGUGUGCUUUAGCGGCAGCGGUCCCGAGCGCAGGGACGACCCGGCCAACACCAACAGCUCGCUCGCUCUGACCUCGCCUCGCCCCUGCUGCCUGGUCAAUGGAGACGCAGCAAACAACAGCGCAGGCGGCAUCGGACCGCAAAGGUUUCGGUGUCGAAUCCGACCACGUCCCCGUCGGAUGGCAGGGCACGGCGGCGGCUAUGCUCCGUGGGUUGGUGGACCCAGACGUCGCAGGCAGAGUAGCCGUAGCAGAGCAGGACGGUUCAAAAAAAAAAACAACUAGCGCUACUGGUUCAGCCCAUUCAUCGUUACGGUCGCCAACAGAAGUCGAGAAGAAGGUUCGUCACUUCUAGUAAAAAAAAGGCCAUAAACGUUUUGUAGGCCCACAGAUUUGUUCCCGCUGGCCCAAAGGCUCCAGGACCCAUUGAGCUGGGCCGAUGGUUGCCGUUUCCGUUCGCAUCCGGCCAGUCCAAUAGUCGCGCUAUUCGUUUUCAGAGGAUGAGAGGAAGCCCGCAUCACGUUCCACUCUCGAGUCUCCAGUUCCCUCACCCCUUUAUUACCAGGUCAGGUGCGAUCUGAGCUCAAAGAUCUAUCGCGAUUUCACAGCAGAGCGACAAAGGCAGGCAGGUUCAACGUCAGCAGUUACUCACCUCCGACGACUAGCUACUAGCUACGAGAACCAGUAACAGUAAUGCAGUCUUGUUAUAUUCGCUCUCGAGUCCAGGCAGUCCAAAUAGUCGGAGCGGAACAGCCUAACACACUAUCGUCUUUUCUCUCUCCCUCUCUCUCUAGCAGAUCCAAAUGCGAUAUUUCUGGAGGGAAGACGUAUCAUGCUCCACUUUCGAGAUAAAUUCUUUUCACCCCUUUUGUUACCAAGUGCGAUCCGAGGCCAAAGAUCUUUCACGGUAGAGUGGAGUCAGCAGAGGCCACGAGACAGGCAAGUUCACCGUCGACCAUUGCUCGCACUCCAAACGAAUCCGCAUCAGAUGAUCGCGAUUUCUAGCACCCCUGUCUGGUGCAUGUGGCGCACGUGUCUGGCGCAUUUGCCCCCCCAAAACGACUUAAAAAAAUCUCGCUGGUGAGGAACACAUCGCCCUAACAAAAAAUAUGGUUUCAACCGAGAAAAUCUCGGAAUCUUGGUCCUCAUCACUAGCGGGCUAUCAACAUCCACUCUACAACGUCCCAGACUCCUGGUUAGAGUGUGACACACAAUACAUAAUCUGGAAGCGAACGGAACAUAACGAGGAGAUUUUUUAACUAAACCUGUAAUUCGUCCACAUCGAAAUCGGGACCUGUAGGUGCUACUCAGAAGCCUUGAUCAUUACUCUAGGGAGUCUUUCACACCCCUCCCCCCAAACGACUUAAAAAAAUUCGGCCGGAGAGGGACAAAUCGUCCUCCUGAUAUUAAAUAUUAAGAAGAUACCAAAACAUAGUAUCGGCCGAGAAAAUCUCCAAACCCUGGUCCUCAUCACUAGCGUACCUUCAUCGUCCACUCUGCAACGUCCUAGCCGCUAACUGGAGGGUGACGGCGACGCGUAAGACGUAACCCGGAAGCGAACGGGACAAAACGAGAACAUUUUUUAAAUCAAAUCGAAGAAAAUGUCUUCGAUAGAGAUUAAACUCGAAACCUGAAGGUGCUACUCGGUCUUAACCACUACGCUAGAGGCUACAAAACGACUAAUUACGAGGUAUACCAUGUUAGUUAUACUACCGAGUGGUAAACCGUCUCAUGCCUCGUGACUCGGGAUCCCAACAAGGAGCGCGGCAAUUGGAGCCCUCGUACUUAUCAAACGCGAUAGUUUCGAGGGCGUGGGAUCGACAGCAAUAUUAUCUGUGACGAAACUGCCCGCACCAACACCAGCACCACCGCCGAAUCACUCUAGCUUAAGGACCGCAGAAAGCGCGAAACCAAACUCCCGGAGUUAACAAGUCCAAUCAUGGACUUUUUUCCAGCUUCUCAAAGUGGCAAUAAUUCGCACGUCGAUCCUGACGCGAUUCCGUCGGUUUCCUUUCCUUCCUCUGACACCGGAACAGCGGCGUGCAUCAGUGCACCGGUGAGCCGAGCCGGGGCCAAUGCGGGUGGGGGUGGUGGUGGGGGUGGUGAUACAUCGUCGGUGCUUUCAGCACUCGAGCGCAUGAUAAGGCGAUACGCAAAUUCGCCUCACGCGGUCACGCCCGACUCACCAGCAUACCAUAGCCAACAGCGCCGGCUUAAUUUGCCGCACAAUAAUAGCCUGGUGCUUUCAGCAAUAGUGGCUGCAUUAUUGGCGUCCUGCAGGCUGCAGCUGCAACUCCGUCGAGCAACACGGGCUGCUGCACACGCGUCGCUGUGGUGAUUCCGGUAGUGGAAGGUCCGGGGAGAAGCCAUUACGCGAGGCAAUAAUUCAUUUCAGCUCCCACAUUCCAACGUCCGAGUCAAAAAAAAAAGGCGCUUCAGGCUUCCGCGUCAUUUCAGCCUUCCAUUGCGAUGAACAGCGCUAAACAAAGCAAAAGUUCUGCACCCACGAGAUGGUUUGCAAGCAAACAAUGGAUUGCAGCUGCUAAAGUAUUUUGUUCGCUGUGGUUUAUUGUGGUUUUAAUUCAGCUACUGCUACUGCUUCUAUAAUAUUUUAUCUUUAUAGCCGCAUUAGUGUGAGAAACAGCUAAGCUGCUGCUGCCGGACAAUUCAACAGCCUGGGAAGCACAUGGCCUACUUUCAGUGGCAUCGCCGUUCGGAGGUGGCGCAAUAGAGUUUCUAGAGCACCUUUGUAUGUGUUCAGUGUUCUCUCAGCUUUGAUUUUGUUUCUAAAACAGAAUUUGUAGACUGUAUCUAUUUGGCUAAAAUGAUAUUAAACGAAGCUGAAAAACAUGGAACUAUCCAAACAGGCCUGCACUUCAGUGCUGACUAAAAAAUCUUUUUAUUUUGUCAUAAAUAGUGAUUCCGCGUUUAUGUGUUAUAUAUAUAUAUAUAUAUAUAUAUAUAUAUAUAUAUAUAUAUAUAUAUAUAUAUAUAUAUAUAUAUAUAUAUAUAUAUAUAUAUAUAUAUAUAUAGUCGGUUGCCCGUGCGUUGCGACGGCUUACAACAAUACCCAUGUAAUCUAACCACCAAAAAAAAUUCAAGAUUUUUUAUUAAUUGUCUCCGCUCUCCGUAUAAUAUUUUUUGAUUUGGCUAACUGAUGUUAUUAUUUACUCCAUCCAAUAUGUCUUGGUACAACACGGCCAAUGAAGUGAGCGGUUAGAAGAGAGUUCACAACGACUAACUGAACGAACAGAGAUUAUAAAAUGACAUAAUUCCGUCAUACAGAGAUCAAAUAAGAGAGAGUUUGUGAGUUCAAGUUUCUAAAAUAAAUCACAUGAAUUCAAACUUAUAAAAAAGAUAGAUCAAAAUAUGAAGUGAUUGCUAAAGUCAGGCAUCAAUAAAAACUUGAUGCGCUCUAUAUAAAUUAUGCUGCUUUGUAGCAAUUACUAACGUUUAAAACCAACAAAUAACCUUUUGUUUUACUGUUAGUGCGACAAAUCAUUGCCGUUUCAUCCAAUUCAGCAACCUCAAACACCAAGGAGUCCAUUGUGCCAAUGUGGUCUCAGAAACGACCUAAUGCUUGCAGGAGCCAAGGUCGUGUCGUGCUUGGGUUGUAGCCUCGGCCCGUAGUACUGGUCCGGCCCGACACGAUUAUAUAUUUUUUAUUUUACAAAAAACGUAUAUACAUAUAUAUAUAAUUUAUAUUCAAUAUUAAAAACAUUUGAGCAUGAUGUUCUACUGGUUAGACAGAUUUACCUAUUGUCUCCCGCCCUUCUUCCACGAGGGCAUGGGUUCGAAUCCCACCUCUUGCACCGUUUUUAACAUUUUACGCUGAUAAUCAAAUGGGCCGACGGGCUAACGGUCUGGCCCGGCAUAGUUAGCAGACCGACAUGUGUCUGGGCCAGAGUUGUGGCUCACGCGCGUCUGGCCUGUGCCGGGCCGCCAUUUGGCCAUCUAUAGUCGUGCAGCGGAUUAAUUUGAAAUAGCUGUGAGGGGUUAUUUGUAAAAAAAUGACGUUGGACGACCGUUGAAACUGGUGCUUUAAGUAUAGUAUAUACACAAUAUAUAAUACGAGCCCACGACUUCCAAUAACUAGAAGCCCAGGUCCGAGCUGCGUGCGAGCGGUGGCGAUCCUGGGGGCCAACGGAGGUGCCGCUCCGAGGCGGGUGACCGACGGCAGCGCUCCACCAGGAACGAGCGACGACGACGCUCCCGAGGCGGGCGGGCAAGCGGUGACGGCGCUCCCGAAGCAGACGGGCGGCAGCGGCGCACCCUAGGCCCGGUGGCAACGGCGGUUUUGCGAGGCGCGGUCGUCUCUAGCGAAGGCGGCCAUUCGGCGGCUUCAGGAGCGUCCUUUGAUCUAGCGGUCUCGGGAUAGUCCUACAGCGACGAACUAUCCAAUCCAUAUUUAUGCCAUCAAUAAUUAUAUUUUAUGUCUGCUACUUGCACUAUAUGUAUUCCAGUGAUAAUUUUUACGACCAUGAAUACAAUUUUAUGUUGCCAUAAAACUGCCCCUAAUUCCCACGGAGGCUGUUAGUUGAACAGAUAUUAGAUUUUUUUAUCAAUUAUGCUACACAGUGUAUAUAUUUAUACGACUUUGUAUAUAAAUUUAUGCUCUGCAUGAACCAUGUCAUCAAAUUUUUUGCAUGCGUGCAGUGGAAACGAAAAUAUCAUCCAAAAUUUUCGCGCAUGCAAUGGAAACUCCAACGUUCUGCUAUAAUUUUUGGAUCUCCGUAAAAAUUGAAACCCCAUGGAUGCGACUCCCAUAUUUUUCGGAACUGCCAUAAAAAUAGGAUCAUGAAUACAAACCACCAGAGAUAUCAACCUCUCAUAUUGUCUCGGUAUUUACGCUUAUAACCGAGGAGUUUCAUGCUCAAAACUUAGCAUUUUUACACUUGAACCUAGAGAUGCGUCCACCAGUGAACCACAUACCAGUUUUUUUACGCAGUGUACAACAUUGCAUAAAUACCUACACCGUAUAACAUAAUUUGUAUAAGUAUAUAUCAUGAACUUAUUCUAACGAGUCUAGUUGCAUGGCUGUUGGAGCGAUCCUAUAUUUAUGAAGUAAAUAAAGCAUUAAAUACGAUUUUUUUGUUUCCAUACAUGCCAAUCUAUUUUUUUUCAUCGUACAUUUUUGUCAUCCUAAUUUUGUACGCAUGCAGCAGGUAACAGAUUUUUACGCGGUGUACCAAAUUGCAUAAAUAUCUACACCGUGUAGCAUAAUUAGUAUCAAUAUAUACCAUAAACUGAUCCUAACGAGUCUAGCUACAUGACUGUUGGAGCGAUCCUAUAUUUAUGGAGAAAAAUAAAGCAUUAAAUACAACUUUUUAUUUCCAUAAAUGCAAAUCCAUUUCCUUUCAUCGUACAUUUUGGUCAUUCUAAUUUUGUGCAUGCAGCAUUUAACAGAUUUUUACGAAGUGUACUGAAUUGCAUAAAUAUCUAUGUUGGGGGCCUUCGUCUUCCGAAGGUUCUCAAAAACAUGAUUUAACAAUGUUUCUGGAGUAUAAUACAUAAACAGGUACCUUCGGACGCGGAUCAGAACCACAAUGUGAAGAAGUACAAAGAAUACGAAGGUUGGUGCAGAUCCGAAGCUGUGCGCAGGGGAGCUUCGGCAUGGUAGCAGAAAGGGGAACCGACUUAAAAGGGAAAAUGCUAUUUAGACCUCGAUGGAUUACUAUAAAGUCAUUAGCAAAUGUAAAGGGCAUGAGUGUAAUUUUACAUGGACUGCGUCCCGUGCCUAUAAAUAGAUGAACAGUGCUCCCGUACUGUUCACGCUGACUUGACAUUUGCUUUUGCGUCACACUUGUACUUUUGCCUUCUCUCAAGCCGAAGGUACAUUUGUAACUUGAUAUCAUUUCUAUUUUUCCAUGAUAAUAAAAUAGAAAUGAGCUGAUAAUGAUACAUAAAUGUUCAUGUUAUCUUUCACAUUUCAUAUGAUUCUCUUUUUCACUAUCAUGUGCCGUAAUGAUGAAGGUAUGUCCCUCAUGACCUUCGUCCGAAGAUCAUUAUAUUCCAAGGGAAAUAAUGCUUCAUUGGACGAAGGGCAUUAACGUUUAAUAUUCUUUAUGUUGCCUUGUUCUUAACUCAUAGCAUUUGAGGACAAGUCCCCAACAUUGGCGCCCACCUCCGGUGAACUCUUUUCGACCACCUUCGGCAAGCACUGACCUUCGUCAUGCCACCGAAGAAAGCUUCAGCGAUAGGGACUGCCGCUCUGCAGCCGCUGGACCCGAACCAGGAGACCCUUUCUCUUCGAGAGGCCUGAAGCCAUAAGAGGAAGGCCACUAGUCCAACACCCUAGGAGGACGAGUUGGACCAAGAAAUCAGAAACAUGGAGAUGCUUCAUCAACAAGUACAAAGGAAGAAGGAGAAGAUGGCCCGACUAGCCGACCUUCAAAGACAGAUUGACGAAGCCACUGAAGAAGUACGUCAUCUUGUUCAAGAUGAACAAGAACGAAGGCCCCAACACAGGGAGCUUCAUCAAGAGGGCUUGUUCGAUGAUGAUGGAUUGUAUGAUGAUUCUAAUCAUGGUACCUUUACUUUUGACGAUGUUUCACCCUUGGCAGCAGAACUGCAGGCUAUCCCAUGGCCCCCAUCGUAUAAGCCACCUCAACUUCCGAUGUAUGAUGGGCAUUCAGACCCGAAGCAGUUUUUGAUGAGCUAUGAAGCAACCAUAUCUUCAUAUGGAGGCAAUGCAGCUGUCAUGGCCAAAUCCUUCGUCAUGGCAGUUAAGAAUGUGGCCCAGACAUGGUAUUCUUCUCUUCGGCAAGGAACUAACACUUCAUGGCAGAAGCUCAAAGACAUGCUGGUGACAAGCUUCCAGGGCUUCUAGACGAAGCCAAUCACAGAUCAGGCUCUGUUUCAAUGCACGCAAGAUCACGAGGAGUAUCUCCAUGCAUACGUCCGAAGGUUCUUGCGUCUGAGAGCACAAGCGCCUACAGUGCCCAAUGAAAUUGUCAUUGAGGCCAUGAUCAAGGGGCUUCGUCCAGGACCUACUGCCCAGUAUUUUGCUAGAAAGCCUCCACAAACUUUGGAGAAGUUGCUUCAAAAGAUGGAUGAAUACAUCCGCGCUGACAAUGACUUUCGUCAAAGAAGGGAUGAAGCCUACAGGUUCUCCGAGAUGACCAGGGGCUUCGGAGGGAGAAUACUCCCAAGGCACGUCAGAUCAAUCCACUCCACCUAGAAUGACGAUAGAGGAAGUCAGCAACAGAGGCCACAAUAUUCCUCGCAAGCUUCGGGGCAGCAACAAAGCUAUCUUCGGCCGCCAGCUCCAAGAGGCAGAGGCGCUAGGGGCUUCGGAGGAAGGUUUGGGGAUCAGCCUAGAAAAAUUUAUUGCCUAUUCUGUGGUGAGGACAAGGGCCAUACUACAAGGAUGUGCCAUGUCACCAUUCAGAAACAGAAAGAAAUAGCAGAAGCUGUAGCCCAACAGAACCAGCCGAAGCAGGUCAUGCACACUGCUUCAUAUCACUCACCCUACAUACCAGAGUAUGUGGGUAACCAUCCUGCAGCUUCUGUUGCUUCGGCUAGCGAGCCACAGGCAUCAUGGCAACAACCUCCACCUCCGCCACCAUUGCAACCUGCAUAUCCACGGGGACAGCAGCCAGAAGGGAGCCAACAUACCCACCAACAGCGAGAUUUCAGGGAGGAGUCCGAAGCUCGCAUAGUCAACAGUACUGUGCCAGAAUCGAAGCAUAUCUAUUAAGAGAUAUCCUACCCUUGAAACAGUUUUUACAUUCAUUAUCAUUUUCUUUCUUACUAAGGAACAAUUAUUGAAAACCUAGUUUUCUUGUUGUUUUCAAUUCCUUGUAAUAGCUUCAUUUUUGUCAUAGUGAAAAUAUAUCUUCUCCACAGACUUACGGAGUCCAAAAGUCGCUGAAGCACAAAAAGUCGUUCCUAAGAGAACGCGCGGCUAAAAAGUACAUCACAAGUAUCUCCGAAACUACAAAAAGUCGUUCUACGGAACGCAACGUAAAUUUGCCAAAGCUACAAAAAGUCGUUCCUAAGGGAGCGUAGUGUAUGUUUUCUGCUCAAAAGUCAUUUCAAAGGGAAUGCAGAGCCAAAUACUGCCGAAAUAUAAGGCGAAGCGCGAAAAGUCAACGCGAAUACCACCGAAAUAGAAGGCGAAGAAGUUCAAAAUAUGUUCCUAAGAGAAUGCAGAACUUACAACGAAAAGUCAGCGCUGAUACACCAAAAAAUAAGCGGUGAAGCCGAAAAAUAAACGACAAAGAGAUUGUGUAUUCCAAUAUGGGGAUGUGAGUGUGUGUCUUCGGCACAAAGUAUCAUUUUGCAUAGCAUAACAUCAUCACAUCAUUUCGCAUAACAUAACAUCAUACAUCAUUGUCGGCGUUAGGCUGAGUCCGAGCCCUGGGGUCGGGCGAGGCGGAGUUCGCCGUCUUCCGGAGCCGAGGCUGAGCCCGAGCCCUGGGGUCGGGCGAGGCGGAGUUUCCUAUGGCGCCCGAGGCUAGACUUGGCUGCUGUCAGCCUCACUCUGUCGAGUGGCACAGCAGUCGGAGCGACGCAGGCGUCGCUAUCUUCUUGUCAGGUCGGUCAGUGGAGCGGCGAGGUGACUGCGGUCACUUCGGCUCUGUCGACUGAAGAGCGCUUGUCAGGAUAAGGUGUCAGGCGAUCCUUGCAUUAAAUGCUCCUGCGAUACGGUCGGUCGGCGUGGCGAUCUGGCCAAGGUUGCUUCUCGGCGAAGACUGGGCCUCGGGCGAGCCGAAGGUGUGUUCGUUGCUUGAGGGGGCCCUCGGGCGAGACGUGAAUCCUCCGGGGUCGGCUGCCCUUGCCCGAGACCGAGCUCGGGCGAGGUGAGAUCGUGUCCCUUGAGUGGACUGAGCCUUGACCUUAAUCGCACCCAUCAGGCCUUUACAACUUUGUGCUGAUGGGGGUUACCAGCUGAGAUUAGGAGUCUUGGGGGUACCCCUAAUUAUGGUCCCUGACAAUCUUAUUGCAUCAAUGGCACAAGAAGGGGACCUUCGGAGAAUGCUUCGAAAAAGUGAAAUUGUGCUAAGGCACAAAAUAAGUUUUGAAGAAAUACAGUUUUAUCAGCUCUGAUGUGGAGGAAAAAGUCUGUUGUUGACGAAGCAUCAGUGAUUUGGCGACGCCUGAAGCAUUUUUUAUGAAGCACUCUGAUAUGGAGGAAGAAAGUCUAUUACUGACGAAGCAUUAAUGUUUUUGCGACAAUUGGAGGAUUUUUCACGAAGCAUAAAAGCUCUCCUUUAUGAAGCAUGAAAAGAAGGAAAGGUGUUUUUUCGCCGAAGGCUCAAAAACGGUAUGUACAUAAAAGUUUCAUGCAUCGCAAAGAAAUGAAUUACAAAGCCAUUUAUACAUUACAUUAAGAACCCAUGAGCACCAAAUAUUACAAGCAUAGUCCAGCAAAUGUUACAUUAAUAUUCUAGCAAUAUUUUUUACAAUAUCUAUUCUUCUUCUUUCAAAACUUUGUCUGCAGCUUCGAUCAGCAUUUGAGUAACGACUUCGUCCAUAAUGCUUUCGGCCAUGUUAAUAAUUUCUACUGAUUCCUUUGCCUCUAUGUCGACCAAUGACUCGAAGGGAUCUGGGGGAGGAGAUAGUUCGGCUGCGGUAGAAAACGUAAAUAAGUUCGAAGUCACAAAAAUAAAUAAUAAAGUUAAAAGCUAUUAAGCAAUACCUAUCCGCCUUUCGAGUUCCGCAGCUUUUUCAGCUGCCUUCGUUGCUUCCCUAGCGUCAUGAGUAUCUUUUUCGUUCGUCUUUAUAAUCUCAUGGGCCAUCCCUCGGCCGCCAUUUUCUCAUAUGUCAGUAAAAAAAUUUUGCCUACUAAACUUGCUUCGGCCGAGGAGUCCUUCGUAUCGUCAACCGAUAAAGCAGAUUCGGUUUGGGCCGAAGUUUUUACAUGAUCGCAACCUGACUUCUGCAAAAUAGAUGCAAUUCCCCUCGCGCCAGAGAAGGCACAGAUGUCUCCACGGUCAUUCAAAAUCUCCUCAAAGGCUUCGACCUCGCUGCUGAUCCAUUCAAUUGGGCCUUCGGGAUCGCCCCGUACGAAGUUGUCUUCACUUGAAUAUGCGCCAACAUUGGCGAAGCUAGUUUUUAUCUUUCUCACACAUUCUACAUAUUUUUCAUAACAUCUUUCUUUUGAGGAGCAAAGUUCUACAACUGUUUUUCCCAAUAUUUUUUCCAGUGAUCACUGGCGUCUCGGUCAGCUUCGGCAAUAGCACAUUUCAAUUUAGCUUCGGCUAGUUGCUUUUGAAGGUUUUCGAUCUCGCUCCUUUGGAUUUCAGAUUGGAUCUUGUAGUUAGCUUCAUCCCCCUUUACCUUAUCCACCAGAGUAAGUAGAAUUUAUCUUUUUCCAAAGCUUCGUUCCUCAGCUUAAUAACCUCUGUUCGAAGAUUGUUGAGAGCAAUAGUGCAACUCUCGUCUUCGGCAUUCUUCUGCGCCCUUAAGGCGUUACUAAGUAUUAAACCCUAUAUGAAAAGAAUGAAUGAGUUAAUAUAAGAGCAAAAGAAUAAUUCAGAAUUCGUAAACUUCCAAAUAUACAAUUUUUGUACCUUCAAACUGUUAUAUGUGAGGCUAUCUGCAAGAUCGUCCUUCGUCAUGGCGCAGAGGCUAGCUUCGAGGUUCGGGAACCCCAUGCUUCUGGCCAUCUCCCGACAGACAAAUAAUUCUUUGUUGUCUGGGAGACAGUAUAAGAAGUCAUCUUCGUCUGUGCCAUUGAACACUAAGGCCCCCUUCGGAUACUUCAGUUCUCGGGCAUAGUGUUUAGCUUCAAAAAUCUCAUCUUCAGACAAUUUUUUUCCCGAAGCAUGUCAUAUAAUAUAAUCAAGAACUUCGGAAGGUGCUUCGGGAGUAGGAGUGGCGGCUUCUUCAGGCAGAAUUUGUUCUACAACUUCUUUUUUCGUUGCCUUUUCUCCGGUUUCCAAGGAUUUCUCCUUGGUGGGCUCUGAAGGCCCAGCUUCGGUCUCGGCCUGGCUCUUUGUAGCUUCAGCUUCGGUCAGCUUUGUCUCAGUCUGCGCUUGUGAAGCCUUGGCUAUUUUCCCUAGAGUAGAACAUGAAAUUUUUAUCGUCUCCAGCACAUCCAGAACACUGGCCAUCCUUUUCCUCUUGGGGGUCGCUGUAAGACCUUUUUGUGCCUUCGGCACUAUCACUUCUGUCGAAGGGCUUAGAACUUCUAAUAUUUUUGUCCCUUCGACUCUUGUUUCUUCAAUAUUAACCACCUUCGGCUCAGCUAAUUUGGCUGAGGGUGCCUUCGGCACUCUAGCCGGCUCUUCAAUCUUUUGCGUGGGGGAGCAGGUUCUUUCGCUUCAGUAGCCAAAGAGGUCUCACCGCCAAAUUUAGGCAUUGUGGCCGGUUCAAUAUAGCGCGGUCGGUGAGUAAGAACCUUCACCUUUUCCCUCUUCGACGCGGGCUCGCUUGGAGCAGCUGAAGCAACAUCCUUCCCAGAAGUUGCAAUUUUUCUCUUCUGCCCCCGUGGCGGGUAGCGGUAGUCAGGGUACAUAAAUACAAUAGCAUCAAAAACUCUAUUUAGCCUCUUCUUUUUUUCGGCUUCCGAAGGCCGCAGAUAGUGUGUUAUCUUCAGAUUUUGAGUAGACUCCAAGUAGUUCAUCACUAGUGUUUUCAACACACUUCAGCCAGUCGUCGUCUGGUUCGAUAAAUUGGUCUCUAAACCUGAAGGUAUAUUUCAAUCGAACCAAACCACCUUCGUUAGGGUUGCUGAUGGUCUCUUUUGGCAUCUCCCAGUUGUCUACCAAUGGUCAUAUCCUGUAGGCCACGUAUUCUUGGACUAAAUCCCUUGUCCCAAUGAAAGAGCAAACUAUGCCGAAGGCCCUUCGACAUUCUUUGGCUGCUUCAUCAAUUUCUACCUUCGGUUUCCGAAGGCCGAAGCGGGACCAAAUGGGGCGCAUAAUGAUCUCUGUAAUAUCUUCUCUUGCCUUUAAAUCAUUCUUCAAAUAGAAGCAUUCUUUCAUCCAGUCUCCGGGCCAUCUUUUUCCGAAAUGUUGUCACUGGGCGGCUUGAGCCUGAGCGAGCAACGAAGCUAUAUGAUAGUCGCCUAGAGGGGGGGGGGUGAAUAGGGCGAAACUGAAAUUUACAAAUAUAAACACAAACUACAAGCUGGGUUAGCGUUAGAAAUAAAACCGAGUCCGCGAAAGGGUGUAAAACAAAUCGCAAGCGAGUAAAGCGGUGAGACACACGGAUUUGUUUUACCGAGGUUCGGUUCUUGCAAACCUACUCCCCAUUGAGGAGGCCACAAAGGCCGGGUCUCUUUCAACCCUUCCCUCUCUCAAAUGGUCCCUAGGACCGAGUGAGCUUCUCUUCUCAAAUCACUUGGGAAUCAAACUUCCCGCAAGGACCACCACACAAUUGGUGUCUCUUGCCUCAAUUACAAGUGAGUGUUUGAUCACAAAAAAGAAUGUCAAAGAAAAGAAGCGAUCCAAGCGCAAGAGCUCAAAUGAACACUACAAAUCACUCUCUCUAGUCACUAUGGCUUUAUGAGGAGUUGGGAGAGGAUUUGAUCUCUUUUGGUGUGCUUUGCAAUGAAUGCUAGCUCUUGUAUAGUAGUUGGAAACUGGAAAACUUGGAUGCAAUGAAUGUGGGGGUGGUUGGGGUAUUUAUAGCCCCAACCACCAAACUUGACCGUUGGUGGAGGCUGUCUGUCGUAUGGUGCACCGGACAGUCCGGUGCACACCGGACAUGUCCGGUGCACACCGGACAUGUCCGGUGCGCCAACCACGUCACCAAUGUCGUUGGAUUCCGACCGUUGGAGCUUCUGUCUUCUGGGCCCGCCUGGAUGUCCGGUGCACACCGGACAUGUACUGUUCAAUGUCCGGUGCGCCAGUAUGGGCGUGCCUGACUUCUGCGCGCUUCUGGCGCGCAUUGAAUGCGCCUGCAGGUGACCGUUGGCGCGAAGUAGUCGUUGCUCCGCUGGUUCACCGGACAGUCCGGUGUACACCGGACAUGUCCGGUGAAUUAUAGCGGAGCAGCCGCUACGUUUUCCCGAGGCUGGCGAGUUCCGGAGGCCGCUCUUCCUUGGAGCACCGGACACUGUCCGGUGUACACCGGACAGUCCGGUGAAUUAUAGCGGAGUGCCUCUGGAAAUUCACGAAGGUGGCAAGUUUGAGUUGGAGUCCUCUGGUGCACCGGACACUGUCCGGUGGUGCACCGGACAUUGUCCGGUGUACACCGGACUGUCCGGUGCCCCAGACCAGAGGUGCCUUCGGUUGACCCUUUGCUCCUUUGUUGAAUCCAAUAUUUGAUCUUUUUAUUGGCUAAGUGUGAACCUUUUACACCUGUAUAACUUAUACACUAGAGCAAACUAGUUAGUCCAAUUAUUUGUGUUGGGCAAUUCAACCACCAAAAUUAUUUAGGAACUAGGUGUAAGCCUAAUUCCCUUUCAAUCUCCCCCUUUUUGGUGAUUGAUGCCAACACAAACCAAAGCAAAUAUAGAAGUGCAUAAUUGAACUAGUUUGCAUAAUGUAAGUGCAAAGGUUGCUUGGAAUUGAGCCAAUAUAAAUACUUACAAGAUAUGCAUGGAUCGUUUCUUCGUUUUUAACAUUUUGGACCACGCUUGCACCACAUGUUUUGUUUUUGCAAACUCUUUUGUAAAUUCUUUUCAAAAGUUCUUUUGCAAAUAGUCAAAGGUAAAUGAAUAAGAUUUGCAAAGCAUUUUCAAGAUUUGAAAUUUUCUCCCCCUGUUUCAAAUGUUUUUCCUUUGACUAAACAAAACUCCCCCUAAAUGAGAUCCUCCUCUUAGUGUUCAAGAAGGUUUUGAUAUAUUAAUUUUUGAAAUACUACUUUCUCCCCCUUUUGAACAUAAUAGGAUACCAAUUGAAAAUACUCCAAAGAACUAAGUUUUUGAAAUUGGUGGUGGUGCGGUCCUUUUGCUUUGGGCUCAUACUCUCUCCCCCUUUGGCAUGAAUCGCCAAAAACGGAAUCAUUAGAGCCCUUAUUAGAACUUUCUCCCCCUUUGGACAUAAAUAAAUAAGUGAAGAUUAUACCAAAGGUGAAGUCCUUUUGUUUUCUCCCCCAAAGAUGGAGAGUGGCAUGGAGCGACGACGAAGGAUGAGUUACGGAGUGGAAGCCUUUGUCUUCGCCGAAGACUCCAAUUCCCUUUCAAUACACCUAUGACUUGGUUUGAAAUGGACUUGAAAACACAUUAGUCAUAGCAUAUGAAAGAGACAUGAUCAAAGGUAUAUAAAUGAGCUAUGUGUGCAAUUUAACAAAAGAAGUUCCUAGAAUCAAGAAUAUUUAGCUCAUGCCUCAGUUUGUAAAAAGUUUGUUCAUCAAGAGGCUUGGUAAAGAUAUCGGCUAAUUGAUCUUUAGUGUUGAUAUAAGAAAUCUCGAUAUCUCCCUUUUGUUGGUGAUCCCUAAGAAAAUGAUACCGAAUGGCUAUGUGCUUAGUGCGGCUAUGUUCGACGGGAUUAUCCGCCAUCUUGAUUGCACUCUCAUUAUCACAUAGCAAAGGGACUUUGGUUAGUUUGUAACCGUAGUCCCGCAGGGUUUGCCUCAUCCAAAGCAAUUGCGCGCAACAAUGGCCUGCGGCAAUGUACUCGGCUUCGGCGGUGGAAAGAGCGACCGAAUUUUGCUUCUUUGAAGCCCAAGACACCAAGGAUCUUCCCAAGAACUGGCAAGUCCCCGAUGUGCUCUUCCUAUUGAUUUUGCACCCUGCCCAAUCGGCAUCCGAAUAACCAAUCAAAUCAAAUGUGGAUCCUCGAGGGUACCAAAGCCCAAACUUAGGAGUAAAAGCCAAAUAUCUCAAGAUUCGUUUUACGGUCGUAAGGUGAGCUUCCUUAGGGUCGGCUUGGAAUCUUGCACACAUGCAAACGGAAAGCAUAAUAUCCGGUCGAGAUGCACAUAAAUAGAGUAAAGAACCUAUCAUCGACCGGUAUACCUUUUGAUCCACGGACUUACCUCCCGUGUCGAGGUCGAGAUGCCCAUUAGUUCCCAUGGGGGUCUUGAUGGGCUUGGCAUCCUUCAUCCCAAACUUGUUUAGAAUGUCUUGAGUAUACUUCAUUUGGAUAAUGAAGGUGCCCUCUUGGAGUUGCUUCACUUGAAAUCCCAAGAAGUACUUCAACUCCCCCAUCAUUGACAUCUCGAACUUUUGUGUCAUGAUCCUACUAAAUUCUUCACAUGUAGACUCGUUAGUAGACCCAAAUAUAAUAUCAUCAACAUAAAUUUGGCAUACAAACAAGUCAUUUUCAAUAGUUUUAGUGAAUAGAGUAGGAUCGGCCUUUCCGACUUUGAAUUCAUUAGUGAUAAGAAAAUCUCUAAGGCAUUCAUACCAUGCUCUUGGGGCUUGCUUGAGCCCAUAAAGCGCCUUAGAGAGUUUGUAGACAUGGUUAGGGUACUCACUGUUUUCAAAGCCGGGAGGUUGCUCAACAUAGACCUCUUCCUUGAUCGGUCCGUUGAGGAAGGCACUUUUCACGUCCAUUUGAUAAAGCUUAAAGCCAUGGUAAGUAGCAUAGGCUAAUAAUAUUCGAAUUGACUCAAGCCUAGCUACGGGUGCAUAAGUUUCACCGAAAUCCAAACCUUCGACUUGGGAAUAUCCUUUGGCUACAAGUCGAGCUUUGUUCCUUGUCACCACACCAUGCUCAUCUUGCUUGUUGCGGAAGACCCAUUUGGUUCCUACAACAUUUUGAUUAGGACGUGGAACUAAAUGCCAUACCUCAUUCCUAGUGAAGUUGUUGAGCUCCUCUUGCAUUGCCACCACUUAAUCCGAAUCUUGGAGUGCUUCCUCUACCCUGUGUGGCUCAAUAGAGGAAACAAAGGAGUAAUGCUUACAAAAAUGUGCAACACGAGAUCUAGUAGUUACCCCUUUAUGAAUGUCGCCAAGGAUGGUGUCGACGGGGUGAUCUCGUUGGAUUGCUUGGUGGACUCUUGGGUGUGGCGGUCUUGGUUCUUCAUCCUCCUUGUCUUGAUCAUUUGCAUCUCCCCCUUGAUCAUUGUCGUCAUCUUGAGGUGGCUCAUUUGCUUGAUCUUCUAUUUCAUCAACUUGAGCUUCAUCCUCAUUUUGAGUCGGUGGAGAUGCUUGCAUGGAGGAGGAUGGUUGAUCUUGUGCAUUUGGAGGCUCCUCGGAUUCCUUAGGACACACAUCCCCAAUGGACAUGUUCCUUAGCGCGAUGCACGGAGCCUCUUCAUCACCUAUCUCAUCAAGAUCAACUUGCUCUACUUGAGAGCCGUUAGUCUCAUCAAACACAACGUCACAAGAAACUUCAACUUGUCCAGUGGACUUGUUAAAGACUCUAUAUGCCCUUGUGUUUGAAUCAUAUCCUAGUAAAAAGCCUUCUACAGUCUUAGGAGCAAAUUUAGAUUUUCUACCUCUUUUAACAAGAAUAAAGAAUUUGCUACCAAAGACUCUAAAAUAUGAAAUGUUGGGCUUUUUACCGGUUAGGAGCUCAUAAGAUGUCUUCUUGAGGAUUCGGUGUAGAUAUAAUCGGUUGAUGGCGUAGCAAGCGGUGUUGACCGCCUCGGCCCAAAACCGAUUCGAAGUCUUGUACUCAUCAAGCAUAGUCCUUGCCAUGUCCAAUAGAGUUCUAUUCUUCCUUUCCACUACACCAUUUUGUUGUGGCGUGUAGGGAGAAGAGAACUCAUGCUUGAUGCCCUCCUCCUCAAGGAAGCCUUCGAUUUGAGAGUUCUUGAACUCCGUCCCGUUGUCGCUUCUAAUUUUCUUGAUCCUUAAGCCGAACUCGUUUUGAGCCCGUCUCAAGAAUCCCUUUAAGGUUUCUUGGGUUUGAGAUUUUUCCUGCAAAAAGAACACCCAAGUGAAGCGAGAAUAAUCAUCCACUAUUACAAGACAAUACUUACUCCCGCCGAUGCUUAUGUAAGCAAUCGAGCCGAAUAGAUCCAUGUGGAGUAGCUCAAGUGGCCUGUCGGUCGUCAUGAUGUUCUUGUGUGGAUGAUGGGCACCAACUUGCUUUCCUGCUUGGCAUGCGCUACAAACCCUGUCUUUCUCAAAGUGAACAUUUGUUAGUCCUAAAAUGUGUUCUCCCUUUAGAAGCUUGUGAAGAUUCUUCAUCCCCACAUGUGCUAGUCGGCGAUGCCAGAGCCAGCCCAUGUUAGUCUUAGCAAUUAAGCAAGUGUCGAGUUCAGCUCUAUCAAAAUCUACCAAGUAUAGCUGACCCUCUAACACUCCCUUAAAUGCUAUUGAAUCAUCACUUCUUCUAAAGACAGUGACACCUACAUCAGUGAAAAGACAGUUGUAGCCCAUUUUGCAUAAUUAAGAUACAGAAAGCAAAUUGUAAUAUAAUGAAUCAACAAGAAAAACAUUGGAAAUAGAAUGGUCAGGAGAUAUAGCAAUUUUACCCAAUCCUUUGACCAAACCUUGAUUUCCAUCCCCGAAUGUGAUGACUCGUUGGGGAUCUUGGUUUUUCUUAUAGGAGGAGAACAUUUUCUUCUCCCCUGUCAUGUGGUUUGUGCACCCGCUGUCGAGUAUCCAACUUGAGCCCCCGGAUGCAUAAACCUACAAAACAAGUUUAGUUCUUGACUUUAGGUACCCAAAUGGUUUUGGGUCCUUUGGCAUUAGACACAAGAACUUUGGGUACCCAAACACAAGUCUUUGACCCCUUGUGCUUGCCCCCAACAUAUUUGGCAACUACUUUGCCGGAUUUGUUAGUCAACACAUAAGAUGCAUCAAAAGUUUUAAAAGAAAGACUAUGUCCAUUUGAUGCACUAGGAGUUUUCUUCUUAGGCAACUUAGCAUGGGUUGGUUGCCUAGAGCUAGAUGUCUCACCCUUAUACAUAAAAGCAUGGUUAGGGCCAGAGUGAGACUUCCUAGAAUGAAUUCUCCUAAUUUUGUCCUCGGGAUAACCGGUAGGGUAUAAAAUGUAACCCUCGUUAUCCUGAGGCAUGGGAGCCUUUCCCUUAACAAAGUUAGACAAUCUUUUAGGAGGGGCAUUAAGUUUGACAUUGUCUCCCCUUUGGAAGCCAAUGCCAUCCUUGAUGCCAGGGCGUCUCCCAUUAUAGAGCAUACUUCUAGCAAAUUUAAACUUUUCAUUCUCUAAGUUAUGCUCGGCAAUUUUAGCGUCUAAUUUAGCUAUAUGAUCAUUUUGUUGUUUAAUUAAAGCCAUAUGAUCAUGUAUAGCAUCAAUGUUAACAUCUCUACAUCUAGUACAAAUAGAAGUGUGCUCAACGAUAGAUGUAGAGGGUUUGCAAGAUUUUAGUUCUACAACCUUAGCAUGCAAUAUUUCAUUUUUACUUCUAAGGUCGGAAAUAGUAGCUUUGCACACAUCAAAAUCUUUAGCCUUAGCAAGUAAUUUUUCAUUUUCAUUUCUAAGGCUAGCAAGAGAAAUGUUCAAUUCUUCAAUCCUAGCAAGCAAAUCAUCACUAACAUCUCUAGGAUUGGAAGUUGAAACAUUACAAACAUGAGAAUCAACCUUAGCUAAUAAAUUGGCAUUUUCAUUUCUAAGGUUGUCUAUAGUCUCAUGGCAAGUGCUUAGCUCACUAGACAAAUUUUCACAUUUUUCUACUUCUAGAUCAUAAGCAUUUUUUACCUUAACAUGCUUCUUAUUUUCUUUAAUAAGGAGGUCCUCUUGAGAAUCCAAAAGGUCAUCCUUUUCAUGAAUAGCACUAAUCAAUUCAUUUAAUUUUUCUUUUUGUUCCAUGUUAAGGUUGGCAAAAAGGGUACGCAAAUUAUCUUCCUCAUCACUAGCAUUAUCAUCACUAGAGGAUUCAUAUCUAGUGGAGGAUUUAGAUUUAACCUUCUUUUUGCCGUCCUUUGCCAUGAGGCACUUGUGGCCGACGUUGGGGAAGAGAAGUCCUUUGAUGACGGCGAUGUUGGCGGCGUCCUCGUCGUCGGAGGAGUCGCUAGAGCUUUCGUCGGAGUCCCACUCCCGACAAACAUGGGCAUCGCCGCCCUUCUUCUUGUGGUACCUCUUCUUCUCCUUUCUUCUCCCCUUCUUGUCGUCGCCCCUGUCACUAUCACUUGAUAAUGGACAUUUAGCUAUAAAGUGACCGGGCUUACCACACUUGUAGCAAACCUUCUUGGAGCGGGACUUGUAGUCUUUCCCCCUCCUUUGUUUGAGGAUUUGGCGGAAGCUCUUGAUGACGAGCGCCAUUUCCUCAUUGUCGAGCUUAGAGGCGUCGAUUGGUUGUCUACUUGGUGUAGACUCCUCCUUCUUUUCCUCCGUUGCCUUGAAUGCGACGGGUUGAGCUUCGGAUGUGGAGGGAUCAUCAAGCUCGUUGAUCUUCCUCGAGCCUUCGAUCAUGCACUCAAAACUUACAAAAUUCCCGAUUACUUCCUUGGGGGUCAUUAGUGUAUAUCUUGGGUUGCCACAGAUUAAUUGAACUUGAGUAGGGUUAAGGAAAAUAAGAGAUCUUAGAAUAACCUUAACCACCUCGUGGUCAUCCCACUUUUUGCUCCCGAGGUUGCGCACUUGAUUCACCAAGGUCUUGAGCCGGUUGUACAUGUUUUGUGGCUCCUCCCCUUUGCGAAGCCAGAACCGACCGAGCUCCCCCUCGAUCGUCUCCCGCUUGGUGAUCUUUGUGAGCUCAUCUCCUUCGUGUGCGGUUUUGAGCACAUCCCAAACCUCCUUGGCGCUCUUCAACCCUUGCACUUUGUUAUACUCCUCUCUACUUAGAGAGGCGAGGAGUAUUGUUGUUGCUUGAGAGUUGAAGUGCUCGAUUUGGGCCACCUCAUCCUCAUCAUAGUCUUCAUCUCCUACGGAUGGUACCUGUGCACCAAACUCAACAACAUCCCAUAUACUUUUGUGGAGUGAGGUUAGAUGAAAUCGCAUUAAAUCACUCCACCUAGCAUAAUCUUCACCAUCAAAUGUUGGUGGUUUGCCUAAUGGGACGGAAAGUAAAGGUGUAUGUUUAGAAAUGCGAGGGUAGCGUAGGGGAAUCUUACUAUACUUCUUGCGCUCUUGGCGCUUAGAAGUGACGGACGCCGCGUCGGAGCCGGAGGUGGAUGUUGAUAAAGAGUCGGUCUCGUAGUAGACCACUUUCCUCAUCUUCUUUUUCUUGUCCCCACUCCGACGAGGCUUGUGAGAAGAGGAUUUUUCCUUCUUCUCUUUGUGUGAAGAAGAUUUCUUCUCCUUUCCUUUGGAGGAGUUCUUCUUCUCCUUCCUCUUGGUGCUGGACUCUUCCGAUGAAGUGCUCCCGUGGCUUGUAGUGGGCUUUUCGCCGGUCUCCAUCUCCUUCUUGGCGUGAUCUCCCGACAUCACUUCGAGCGGUUAGGCUCUAAUGAAGCACCGGGCUUUGAUACCAAUUGAUAGUCGCCUAGAGGGGGGGUGAAUAGGGCGAAACUGAAAUUUACAAAUAUAAACACAAACUACAAGCCGGGUUAGCGUUAGAAAUAAAACGAGUCCGCGAAAGGGUGUAAAACAAAUCACAAGCGAGUAAAGCGGUGAGACACACGGAUUUGUUUUACUGAGGUUCGGUUCUUGCAAACCUACUCCCCAUUGAGGAGGCCACAAAGGCCGGGUCUCUUUCAACCCUUCCCUCUCUCAAACGGUCCCUCGAACCGAGUGAGCUUCUCUUCUCAAAUCACUUGGGAAUCAAACUUCCCGCAAGGACCACCACACAAUUGGUGUCUCUUGUCUCAAUUACAAGUGAGUGUUUGAUAGCAAGAAAGAAUGUCAAAGAAAAGAAGCGAUCCAAGCGCAAGAGCUCAAAUGAACACUACAAAUCACUCUCUCUAGUCACUAUGGCUUUGUGAGGAGUUGGGAGAGGAUUUGAUCUCUUUUGGUGUGCUUUGCAAUGAAUGCUAGCUCUUGUAUAGUGGUUGGAAACUGGAAAACUUGGAUGCAAUGAAUGUGGGGGUGGUUGGGGUAUUUAUAGCCCCAUCCACCAAACUUGACCGUUGGUGGAGGCUGUCUGUCGUAUGGUGCACCGGACAGUCCGGUGCACACCGGACAUGUCCGGUGCGCCAGCCACGUCACCAACGCCGUUGGAUUCCGACCGUUGGAGCUUCUGUCUUCUGGGCCCGCCUGGAUGUCCGGUGCACACCGGACAUGUACUGUUCAGUGUCCGGUGCGCCAUUAUGGGCGUGCCUGACUUCUGCGCGCUUCUGGCGCGCAUUGAAUGCGCCUGCAGGUGACCGUUGGCGCGAAGUAGCCGUUGCUCUGCUGGUUCACCGGACAGUCCGGUGUACACCGGACAUGUCCGGUGAAUUAUAGCGGAGCAGCCGCUACGUUUUCCCGAGGCUGGCGAGUUCCGGAGGCCGCUCUUCCUUGGAGCACCGGACAGUCCGGUGAAUUAUAGCGGAGUGCCUCUGGAAAUUCCCGAAGGUGGCAAGUUUGAGUUGGAGUCCUCUGGUGCACCGGACACUGUCCGGUGGUGCACCGGACAUUGUCCGGUGUACACCGGACUGUCCGGUGCCCCAGACCAGAGGUGCCUUCGGUUGACCCUUUGCUCCUUUGUUGAAUCCAAUAUUUGAUCUUUUUAUUGGCUAAGUGUGAACCUUUUACACCUAUAUAACUUAUACACUAGAGCAAACUAGUUAGUCCAAUUAUUUGUGUUGGGCAAUUCAACCACCAAAAUUAUUUAGGAACUAGGUGUAAGUCUAAUUCCCUUUCACUAUAGAAACCAAAAUUGUUAUAAUACUGUUCCUUACCCCAGGGCUUCGUCUUAUAUAAAAGUUCGUGCAUGCUGCAGAAACAUUUUGCACAUGGCUCCAAACCUUGAUUCCUCACGGCCUAGACGAAGAUCCCCAUUCUAAUAAUUGCUUCGGGAGUAAUCUGGUGAAGGAAAAUCUCAUAUAUCUUUAAAACUUCAACAACAAAUCUGCUUAAGGGGAACCGAAGCCUAGCCUUGAAGAAGCUUCGGUAGAUUACGACUUCAUUCUCUUCAGGAACAGGAACAGUCCUAUCUCCGUUGUCAGCCCUCACAAUAGAUAUGUCUCGAAAAUACCUUCCUCUCAUGUUAUCAAGAUGACUCUGUCUGAUAGUCGAUUUCCCAAAGAUUGCGUGACUUGGUCACCAGGGCCGAUCUUUGGAGUCUUCGCCCCCACUUUCCGCAUCAUAACUAUCGUUGUCAUCGGUAUCUUCAGAUAAGCCUUCUAGAAUUUCUUUUGUAAUCUUUUCUGUAUUUGUCUUUACAAUUGACUCAAUGAAUCCAGCAGUCUUUUCCUCAAGAAGCUUCUCCUCUUCGGUUAGCUUCGUUUCAGCAACAGUUUUCUUGUCUUGAGACAUCUUAUCUUCGAAACUGACGAAAAUAUGUCCUUAAAUCCAAAGCUUAGAAAAUUUAAGAAACUAAGCAACUGUUGGAAAGCAAGAGCUAAGAAAUCAAGCAAAACAAAGCAGGCAUACCAAAUGUGCUCGGGGUGAGUUCUUAUUUAUACGCCCAGCGCGCUCCAAGUUGGAGGGGCCCGUCUGUCAUUGACUGUUGCUAUUCUAGCAAAAGGAAGGUGUUUUUUCGGACCUUUGGCUUAGGGCCUUCGUCCAUAUCGCAAUCUGAAUUCGUUAUUCUAACAAAUUAACCUUGCGAGGGGCUACUGUUGGGGGCCUUCGUCUUCUGAAGGUCCGCAAAAACAUGAUUUAACAAUGUUUCUGGAGUAUAAUACAUAAACAGGUACCUUCGGACGCGGAUCAGAACCACAAUGUGAAGAAGUACAAAGAAUACGAAGGUUGGCGCAGAGCCGAAGCUGUGCGCAGGGGAGCUUCGGCAUGGUAGCAGAAAGGGGAACUGACUUAAAAGAGAAAAGGCUAUUUAGACCUCGAUGGAUUACUAUAAAGUCAUUAGCAAAUGUAAAGGGCAUGAGUGUAAUUUUACAUGGGCUGCGUCCCGUGCCUAUAAAUAGAUGAACAAUGCUCCCGUACUGUUCACGCUGACUUGACAUUUGCUUUUGCGUCACGCUUGUACUUUUGCCUUCUCUCAAGCCGAAGGUACAUUUGUAACUUGAUAUCAUUUCUAUUUUUCCAUGAUAAUAAAAUAGAAAUGAGCUGAUAAUGAUACAUAAAUGUUCAUGUUAUCUUUCACAUUUCAUAUGAUUCUAUUUUUCACUAUCGUGUGCCGUAAUGAUGAAGGUAUGUCCCUCAUGACCUUCGUCCGAAGAUCAUUAUAUCCCAAGGGAAAUAAUGCUUCGAUGGACGAAGGGCAUUAACGUUUAACAUUUUUUAUGUUGCCUUGUUCUUAACUCAUAGCAUUUGAAGACAAGUCCCCAACAAUCUACACUGUGUAGCAUAAUUAGUAUCAGUAUAUAUCAUAAAUUGUUCCGGACGAGUCUAGUUGCAUGUCUGUUGCAGCGAUCCUAUAUAUAUGGAGGAAAUCAAGUAUUUAAAAAUAGAAAUAGUCACAUAUCUAUUUCCUAAAUUUACACGCAUGUAGAGAAACAUGUUUGAGUCAUGCAUGUCUUCCUAUUUUUUUGCAUGCACAGACGUGGCGUGGGGGCGCACCCAACAGCCUGUCUUGGCGAGUGGGUGCAGUGGGGGCACUGGGCUAGACCAGGUCGCAGGGGGUGGUCGACCUGUGCUUACUCUAACUAGAGGAAGCCCAGGUCUCCUAAUAUAACUACCCUAUAUAUAUACAUGUGGGGAUAAAUCCUCGUUAGGGAUCCCCGUCCCCACUUAAAUUAUAAUUAUGACAUACUUUUUUUGUUAUUAAUGUAAAAUAUUGUCAUUUAUAUACAUUAUCAGAUAUAAGAAUUCAUUAUGUGUACAUUAAAAUGAAUACAUUUGUACAAUGAGUGAUCUCUUGACAAAGUAAUAAUUUAUUUUUAUUAUUAACUAUUAUAUAAAAGCAUCGUCACGUGUAAGUUUAACGGGUCUCCGUGGGGAAUGGGGAAUACAUCCCCGGGGAAGAAACUUCCCCAUCCCCUAAUAGAAGAAUUCCCCACGGGGAAUUGGGGAUUAGGGAUCAUUACCAUCUCUAGUCGUCAUCGUUUCUUUUGUUGCACACGCGGUGCUAACAUACUCGUAUUGCAGCGUUUCAUCCUCGUACAUGUGGACACAAUGGAUACAAUGAUGUUGUUGCAGUGUCGAUCAACAACAAGCUUGAGGAGUAUGUUUGAACAUGUUGUGCUGGUGAUACAAGAGGACGUUCGACUACUUCGAGACGUUCUUCUUCUGCUAUGCUACACAUCUAGUGAUAACGAGAUCCUCUUCUCACAUGCUAUCUUGGUUAAACAUGGUAGACAUGUUAGUGUGUAGAGUAUACAUUUUUUAUAGUGGUAUCAAGGUUAGGUGAUACACAAUUUUUGAUCUUGAUGAUUUGCAUAUAGGUGAUAUGCAUGAUAGAUUAGAUCUACAUUGUUUUGGUUGUAUAGUCACACAGUGUAUUUGUUCCUACCAACUAAAAUCACUAUCAAGGCAUAAGAUUAGUUCACUUUCCCUCUUGACAACUCACACAACUUGCCCCUACCCGCCGAAAUAACCAUUGGGUCUAACAAUGCUUAUAUCUUUUAGGGUGGACAAACAACAUAUCCAUGUUUGAUGUCAUAUACCUCACACUAUUGUCAAGAUGAUGGAUAAUGAAAAUAGAGGCAUUUAGAAUGUCUUGGAAUCAGAUCGAUUUGAUCAAAUUGAUGAGGUUCUUAUAGCAGUUUCAAUGAUGUGACCAAUAAAUUUCUAAUAGGUUUUAGAGGAGACUGCCCUGAGACCCACGGAAGCGGCUCCCCCCAUUUGCUCGUAGCGUGUAUAAUAUUUGGACAAUAUCUUCUUGUGUUGUAGUAAACGGUUCUCCAUCUAACUUGGUUUUAGACCUAAUGUUUCAGUGAUGUUAGAAUACCUCUUACCCCUUGCUGCUUACAUGCACUAUUGCAUUAUUUAUACCAGAGGGGCUUGAAGUCUUGCAACAUUGCACCAACUAUAUUUGUGGUGUUUUCGUCAUCGUGUACCGGAGGAAACAAGGUAUGUGGCGUUUCGGUCGAAAACUCAAUAAUGAAUAUGGAAGGGAACAUCUAGGAGAGGCUACACCAGAGACCCCACUUGUGUGUGGUGAAAAUCUUGAGACUAUCCACUGAGUUACCCCGCCAGGGGAUUAGCCCUGGCGUGGAUAUCCUUGCGAGGGGCUCCAAUAAAGGCUAGAGGAAAUCUUGCGUGGUUUUCUGUAAUUUGGUAAAAUGUUGAAGUUAUCAACACAGUUUGUAGUUCUAUCGUAUUUAAGAUUUCAUAUUUAUUUGUGUAUCUUAGUCAUGUGCUUUAAAGACUAACGAAUACACUUGAAACCUAGAUUGCAUAAAUUUUUACAGAAGAGAUAGUAACACAUUUAAUUAAAUUCAUAGUUUUACAUAAGAUAGUUUAUUUAUUGUAUAUGUUAUAAUUAGAUAAAAAUAUAGGUUUUAGUUAGUUUUGCGAUAAAUAGACUAUUUAAUUCACCAUUUUCUUAUAGGUUCAAUUAUCCCAACACAUCUACUGGUGGCCCUGAGCUAAUAACUAAUCCCGUCAAUAACCCACACAUACGACAGAUCAUACUUCGUACAAUAGUUAUUUCCGCAAAUACUUCAAUAUUUGAGUUCUCUUCAUUUUUGAACUAAACCGCGACAAAUAAAAAAGAACGUAGGGAGUACUCCCUCCAGUCCAAAAAAAGUUGUUUUGGAUAAGGUUUGAGUCAAACAUAUAAAACUUUGACUACUAAUAACAGUUUUGUUAUUUUAGAUUGAAACUUAACAGUCAUAUAUCUAUAUACUACCUAUUAAGAAGGUAAGAGUAGUCUGCCUCCCCUACGUUCUGCCGUUCUGCCAUCUCUCAAUCUCCACCGUCCAUCCCACAUCUAUGUUUUUCGUGCGUCGUACGUGCGUCGCCUCCCGUCCGCCCCUUCCCCGUCCGCGCGAGAGCAACCUAGCUCCCUCUGCCCCCUCCCGUUCGCAGUUCUCCGCGCGCUGGCAACCGCUCCUUGGUCCCGCUCGACUCGCUCCUGCUCCACCUCACCGCGCUCGCCCCCGCGCCGCGGCGGUCGCACCAGACGCCGCCGCCGCCGCUGCACUCCUUCCUCUCCCCCGCCGCGCAGGCACUGGUGCUCGCCAUCUCCUCGCACCUGCUCCCCACGCUCGUGGCCUUCCUGGCCUCCCGCCGCGACGAGCUCCUCCGCGCCAUGGGCGAGUCCAACCUCGAGGUUGCUCCAUGUACCAGCGCCCAGAUCCCACGCUUGGCGAGAUGAACUUGCUGGGGACGGGGUCUGAGCCUCGGCCUCGACCCAGAUCUCCCCCAAUCUCUCCCUCAACUGCCUGGGCGAAGAUCUAGGGCGCGACAUCGGCCAUGGAGAGCUCCAGACUCACCUACCCCGACCACUUCUACACCGUCGCGGCCUACGCCCCGCACAAGGACGAGGCCAUCGUCGCUCGCCAUCUCCCUCCCUUCUAUGGGAUGAGCCCUUCCCGUCCUCUGUGACGGCGACGGCCGCGGCUGCGGGCGGCAUGGGCCAGCUCCUCCUGAUGUGCAGCUUCGGAGGCCGGAUCAUCCCAUGUUCAACCGGUAAGUCGCUUUGCUACUUGUGCGGAGAGAUCCAGAUCAUGGCCGUGAACCAGCACGCAUCACGCGCCGACAUGGAAACUAGAGUUGUCCCUCCACUAGCCGCAUGGAUCCUCUCUGCCUUUAGUUCCUCACCUCUUCUCUCUCUUUGCAGGUCUGCGAGGUAGUACCAUCGACGAGGCUUCUCCAUCCCCUCCGGCGAGCUCCCCUUCCAAAAAAGUGGUGAGGUAUGCCUGCCCUCAUUCCUUACCUCUCGUACAUGCCCUUAGUACUAAUAUCACCAUAGAUGGUGCAUACGAAACGAAACUGCUUUUGUUGACCCCGUGCAGCAGGAUUAUUGCUUAAUAAUGGCGGUGAAUGAAGGAAUGAACGAAAGCAAACUUUAUGCAACCUGUUCUUGGGCCCAAGAAUCUCUCUAUAUUGACUGAAACUUAACAGGUUUUCAACUGCAUCUACUGCAUGGAUUAUACACGGGCGUCGUCACAGCGAGCAGCCCGGCCCACCGGUAACAAUCUCCGGAAUCCUAUCAUUUUCGUGGCUUUGUUCAGGUAUCAUCGUCAUUCACAUGCUUUUGAUGGAUCAAAAGCGACCGCAUAGAUAGCACAGAGUGGCAUAUCCUCCCUUGGGGCAAUUUUCAUAAUUGUCUUGAUAUUUUAGGAACCAUUUUUCUUUUGCAUUUGAUGAUGCAUUUAUUGAUUUCAGUUCAGAACUCUAUUUGUACUUAUGUUUGCAUAGGCUACCGUGCUCUAAUUUCACACGAGAUUUUGAGAUACUUCUUGGCACUUGUAUUUUUUUUGUCAUUGAAGCCCAUAUGCUCUGUUGCUAUGCCAUAAUGGACUGCUUGGAUGAUGCCGACCUUCCAGCUAUUAAUUUAUAUUUAUCUAUAAAAAACAGAAACAUACUUGUGACAGUCUUGUCAGUAGAAGUAUCUGCAGGUUUAUUGUCCUUUUCCGAUGGAUGUUUCAGCUCAUAUAUACCAAAAAGGUUUCCCAUGGUUAAAAAACAAUAGCAGAUUAAAGUUGUUCUCAUGUAUGGAUGUGUGAUUGGUUGCUCUUUUUCUUUCCAUAGUUAGAUGAUAUGGUGAAUCGAGGAUAAGUGACCCAAACUUAGACAUAUUAUGUGUUCUGUACUUUCUUAUCGUGAAUAGAGGACAAGUGACCCAAACUUUAGACAUAUAAUGUGUUAUGUACUGCCUUAUCAUGUACGUGUGUGUAUUGUGGUGUUGUUGUAGCCUUAACAAGGGGUUAUACUUUGAUAAUGUGUAGUAGUUAAUGUCAUAUCUUUGGUUUAUGUUCUCCAGGUCAUCAAAAACCACAUCUUUAAGUUCCUUGCCAUGAAAUUCCUAAUUAAUCGAGCCCUAAAACCCGCACGGACACUUGACUUUUUUUUGGAUCGUCAUUUUUUUAUUUUGCUUGUGAGGCUUGUUCUACAAAUGUUUAUUAUACUAUACUCUAUUGGUUCAGAUCUGAACAUUUUGUAAACUUAUACUUGAAAAACUAAAAAGAAAUAAAUUUGUGCUUUCAUUGAUGUAGUGGUAGGUACAUGAACGGAAGAACACAAGACGAUCACUAUCAAGGUCUCAAAGGUCUCGAUCCCACUGCAAUGGUGAAGCGAUUUAUAAAAACUAAAUGUUAAAUUUUUUUUUUGUAACCUACUUGGCAUGUGAAAUAUAAAGACACUUAGUCUGAGAUACUUCACUGUUGAUUUUUUUUCCAGAUUUUCAGUUAUACUAUCAAUUAUGAACACUUACAACUUAACACUACUAUUUUCUCUUAAUUUUGAAAAUAUUUAAACUAACAAAACAAACUAAGAUCAUUUCACUAACUGUAGGUGCUCAUUUGUUAUGUUGUUUUGGUACAUUCGAUAUGAUUGUUGGACCACUGCAUUGGGAGUUGUGACCUAUUCGAUUGUUAGGCACUUAUUGGUUUAAGACUUAAGGGUUCUGUUCUGAUAUAGAUUGGAGUGUAUGGACAUAGCUGGCUCUUUGAUGUUGUAUAUCGUUUUCUUAUAUGUUUGCAGCUCUUGAACACCGAAGCUCCUGACUUGUACAUAAGGCAGAAUCCUGUUCCAAAUGCCUACACCUUAGCAAUCAACGGCAAAAAACCAUUCAUUGUCGUUCACACAAGCCUUGUGGAGCUGCUUACUCCAAGGGAAUUGCAGGUAAUGUUGUUUACUCUAAACAAACGCAUCGGCUGGUAUUGCCUAGAUGAACAAUCAAAACAAGAAUUAUUAUUUGCUUACCUACUGCCUAAAUGCAUUGAUUACUCAUCAUAUUGGAUUUGUUUCAAUUAGGCUGUUUUGGCUCAUGAGCUGGGUCACCUCAAGUGCGAUCAUGGUGUUUGGCUCACUUUUGCCAAUAUACUCACAAUGGGAGCAUACACUGUCCCUGGUAGACCAUCUGACUACUUGAAAUCUCAUUAGAUUGGUGGGCUAUGUACCUAAAUACACUUCAUUUGAACUACAUCUCAUGGUAAGUACAUGCACUUUUAUCAGGUUUCGACAUGGUUGCUGGCUUUUUGGAAGAGCAGCUAUAUAGAUGGCUACGAGCUGCAGAGCUGACUUGUGACAGGGCAGCUCUUGUGGUGCAAGACCCGAAGGUACCUUUACUGCCUUAACUCUGAAACUACCUCAAUUUUUAAAAUAUAAGACCAUGAGCAAUCUGCAUGUUCUUAUUCCUGUCUAAUACCUCGCCACGUCUGGACAUUUGUAACUACUGAGUUCUCUUUAUAACUGAUUAGUGUCCAAAAUGGUUUAAUGUCAGUAUGUUUUGUUUUGUGCUUGGUGCAGAGAUGGAGAACCAGAGAGCGCUCAAGGGCAUCAUCCCCGCCAAGAGGAUGUUGUUCCGUGCCAUGGCCGCCACAUCGGUGGCAACUGACGAGAUCGCGGCAGCAGGAAAGGGUCGAUCCAAUCAGGCUAAUAGAUGACGACACGUUAGGGGAAGUCCAAUUCACCAUAAGACUUUUUUUUAAAACCUCUAUGUGGUGCUCAUAUUUUUUCAAUCUACAGGUUGUCGAAUACUUUUGUUGCAGAUGAUCCAAAUGUUGUUGCUAUCCACAUGAAGAAAGGCGUGAGGCGAUAGCUGUAGAGACAUGACAUUGCCACAACAGCGGUAGUGCCAUAUCGGUGGGCUUGUAGAUGCACCCUGCUAUCACAACAAUCGUUCUUACAUGCGGUCUGCAGGUUAGUCCUCUUCUACAUCCUCUGAUGGUCUGAUCACAAACAUGUGCACAGACUGAUAUGGAUAAACUCAUGGUCUUCUUUAGCUUUAGAGGCGAGUGACUUAUUAAGUUGUUUCCAUGUCAAAUCAGACGACAGUGACCUCCUGGUGGCGGUGGUGCUAGAUUGCUGGGGCUAAAGAGGCGCCCUGUUGUCACAACAAGUCUUAGACGUGGUCUGCAGGUUAGUUCUCCUACAUCCUCCGAUAGUCUGAUUGCAAACAUGUGACUUAAUGAUUUGUUAUCAUGGGCAUGACAGAUUAGAUGAUAGUGACCUCCCUUCCUUGCGACUCAUUGUUUGCUGGAGCUGUAGGAUUCUCCCGGCACAAUGGAGGUGCUAUCGUCUGAUUUGGAGCAACAAGGAAAUAUAAAGUAGUAAAACAAUUUCUUUACGAAAGAUAAACUUUUCAGGGUCAUUGAAAAUUAUGAGUCAAAACCUAGAGCAUAAUCUUCAGAAUGCCUUGCUUUUAAUAAGUGAUUACCUAUUUUGUUACAGAGCCGAAAUCUACUUCUAGAUGACCCUCAGAUUUGACUGUGCAAUAUAAGUUUGAUCGUGCAAUAUAAGUUUGUAACCCUCAGAUGAAGUAACCGUAGUGACUGCUGGUAGUGUUGAGUAAUGACCAAUUAGUGCCUAAACAAUUUUUACCAUGCUGCAUAUGUAACCCAACUCGUCCAAAUACGAAUGUUUCUCUCUUAAUGUGGGAUGCACAUAAAACUUGUUUUCAUAUUUAUGAGCUCAGUAAGCAAGUUCAGUUUUUUUUUACUGAGAUACACUAUUGUUCCACUGCAGGAUGCAAGUUACCCUUCAGAACAACUCUUAAUUUCUGGAGAAAAGGUGAACAAUUACGUUCCUUGUAGAUGCCUCCCCCCUCCUCAUGUAUGAUUUGCAGUUGAUUUCUCCAUCAUCCAAAUCUCUGAUGGUUUUUAUAUCAAGUUGCCCAUAUCCCUUUACUGUGCAUGGUGUUUCAUGCUGCCUCGUGUAACACAGGAAACACAGGACCAGAUUUACUUUAUAAAACAGAUCGAAUCAUUGGGAAAUGCUUGUGGAACUAUUGCUCUACUCCAUGCUGUUGGAAAUGCAUCUUCCAAAGUCAAUUUAGGUGACCUAAAACGAUUAUAUGCAGCACACAGAAUUCUAUAAGAUGGUUGCAAUCUUUCUUGUUCUCUCCUUGUUUCUGAAUUGAAUUAACCUAUCUGGUCUUUUGUAGUGGAGAAUUCAUGCUUGGACUUGUUCUUCAAAUCAACUGCUACCAUGGAUGACCCUCAUGAGGUUCUUGUUUGUUUUCUCAAAAUGCAUUCUCAUCACCAGGAUAGCUUGAGCAGUCUUGCAGUUUUUUCCCUUACGCGGUUAUGCCUCAUGCUAUGUUUUACAGCGUGCUGUGUGUCUGGAGAAGGAUGAUACAAUGGCAAGGGCUCAUUUACUUGCUGCCAAUGAUGGUGCCACUGAGGUACUGGUUUAUUUGCAUAUGUGAACUGGAAAUCAAUCUGGAAAACAUCAAAGAAUAAUAACUGUCGAACGUAAGGCUAUGCACUAAAUACAGUUCAUGAUGUUCCACUAUAUUUUUCUUUAGUUAGCAUAGUUUCAAGGUCUGAGCUGAACUGUGCUGUGCUGUGUGCAUUGACAACAAAGUAAAAUCGUGAAGUUUAAAUUUGCGAUUCUAUUUUAUAUAGAUAGAUGAAGCAUUGUUAUGGUUAUUGUUUUCUUCAGCUGAAAAUAGAUAAAUAAUUUUGUUACAGGUCAUACACAUGAAAUUCAUUAGUGGGUUUCAAUUUCAACUCGAGUUGUCCCAAACAAGGGAAAAAUAAUAGCCAAUUUUUUCUCAUCAUUUUUUUGCACAUUAAAAAUCUUGUUUUGAAGUUUUGCUUUCUUUGCACUCCUAUGAUUACCUGUUCUUUUUUCUUAUAGGGUAUGAGCCCAGAUGUUGCGACAGCCCCAAAGAGCAAAGGAUGCCUGAUGAUUGGAGAAUAUAACAAGGUCGCCAAAAAGUGACCGUGGCGUUACCGAGGACGACGCUCGCCGUGGACCUGCAAAGCGGCAUCGACGACCACCGACACCGGGGACGGGACCACGGGCACACCGGCGACAUGAGGUACUUCAUGAGCCCCUUCCAAAAUCCCGAUUUUUUCCUUUGAUUUCAACCCUUCAUUUUCCUCUGCUUCGUCCUCUGCUCCAAUGCUUCAGGAAUAUAGAUAGUCAGAAAAAACAGAAAAUGAGCGGAGGGGAGGCAUCAAAAUUCCAAAUCCCCAGUUCCUCUACAUAUGGAUCAGAUUACUAUGCAUUGGCUUUCCCAAGUUAAUUCCAAAUAUGUUCCUAUCACUUCCCUUGCAAUUUUAAUUCUUGCAAUGUUAAUUUGGAAGCCAUCUUACGACGACUACUACUACUCAUGUGCACAUUCUUUGCUACUGCUAUUGCCCAUUGUGCUGCAUCUGCUACUGCAUGGACUAGGGGGUUGGAGUUCAUCCGUGGAGUUUAUUUAGGCUAUAGAUGGCAUACAGGCUUGCAAUCUGGAGUUUAUGAAUGCUUUGCUCUGUUUUAGGCUAGGCCACAAUUCAUAUUCUGUCGUGAUGGUGUAGAAGAUAUAUGCAACUCUAGAUUGAUGCUUCUAAUAGUAGAUCUGUUAUACUAAGUAUUUUCUCUGGUUUUAUAAAAUUUGUAGAAAACACUUCUCUCUAGCCAUCUAUAUCUUUUUAGCCGGUAACACUUUCAUUUGAAAUCAUCAAUCAAAGAGUAUUAUGUUUGGGUUCUCAAAUUUUGAACCAGGUGACGUGAAAUAAAUUUCACAUGGAAACGUGCUAGAAUAGAAGGCAACAGACAGACUAGCAUUUAAGCUUGUUAUUGUGUCCAUGGGACUCCAUACUACUACUUGCUUGCAUUGGACCUGAACUACAACUGUAUAAAUAUGAGCAAGCUACAGGUUGUACUAGGCUGCUAGGUGGUGAUUCACAUCCGAAUACACUUGCAUUAGUUUGUUAGUGAGCUUCACGGUUACACUAUGUGUAUCAACAUCUUCAACACUAAACUGAAAGUGCUCAUUCCAGAUAGGAUUCAGAUCGUUGUUCUAUAAAGUAGUAUAGGGAACACGACACCCAGUUAUCUGCUACAAAAAUUAGUGUAUUGCCAAACCUCAAGAGUGUCUGAAAUUUCAGGUACAACAAAAAAUUCGCCACUAAUGAUCUUCAGUCUGAAAUCUAGCUUUUUCUGACAUAGCGCAUGAUUUGAGAAAAAUAAAUGAGAUAACUAGGUUCAGGAGUUUAUAAUGAACCUCUAGAAUCUAUAUGAUAUCCCCAUGGACAUUGGUUUCAUUGGGAUGCUGAUGUCAAUUAUUAUAGUUCUCCCACAUUUCUUCAUGUUGCUUGCUAUAGAUCAAAGGAUUCUGAUCAUGAUGCACUUGGCAUAAUUUCCCUGACUAUAGUCCACUCUUAUAAUGGGAUUAUCUAAUUUCUCAAAUUCAUUUGCAGGUAGCCAGAUUAUUAUUUCAGUCGUGAGUGCUUCGACCACCGUCCAACAUUGGGAGCAUCGAGUUUGAGGUGACCUACCUCGACGACGACACAUGUGUCACCCACCCACUCAUAGCUCUUUGCAGCUGGCCAUAGUUAUAGGCGAUGGUCUACACACCACCAAAACAGCAGCGCGAGCUGUCAGAAGCGUCUAUCAGAAGCAAGUGCUCUGUCAGAAGCUACCCUCACACACCCGCACAGUUUCAAGCAUUCCAUAAUAACAGAAUUAAGUAUGUAGUAUAUCUGAGUACUGAUGCCUUACACAUAUUUUUUUGCAGGCUAAAUUCACCUCCUUUUUGGUCCUAGGAUUAAGGAAGAAAUUGGUGGGUUUAUUAAUUUUGUAUUUUCCAGAAUACUAUGAAGUCUGUAUUAUCUGUCAACCAGCUACAAGAUGCAGAUUUGUGUUUCUGAUGAUGUUGUUGCUGUUCAAAGAAGCCCUGCGAUCCAAAGAAGCCCUUACUGCUUUCUCACUUGUUCUUCAUCUUGCACAGUCGAGCUCCCGCAUCAUGGCUCAGCCUUGAAGGAACAGAUUUCUUCAACCAAGAUUCCUGCCCGUCUCAAGAGUGGCAGCGGACUAUGCUCGGCCUGUGAAAACUUCACGAGCGAAGCCGUCACUUAUCUCGGCAAGGAACAAACACAGGACAGGAUCAUGGAGUUCCUUCAUGAUGCUUGCUCCCAAUCAUUCUCCUUUGAACAGAAGGUGAUCAUCUUGUUGAACAUAUUUUCUUUAUUAUUCUUAUAUAUAACUAGAUGUGUAGUAUUGUAGAAAACUAAAACACUGCUGUGGUUGCAAGAUAUUGAAUGCAUAAACAUUUUAUUCCCAUACUAUGUGUCUAUAUACCGUGCUGGGAAGGUGCUGCCUGAUAUGAAUAGUAGUACUACGUGGGUUUAUUGUAGUUUUUCUCUAACAACUUCCCUAUCUCCGCAGUGUGUCGAGCUGAUGGACUCUUAUGCGACUCUCCUGUUUGCCAAGAUCACGGAGAUCAGACCGGAAGCGUUCUGCAAACGGUAUGGCCUGUGCAGGGACACGACUCUUCUCUCUGGUGUGGGAAGUGACAGCACGUCUGCACGUGUGUGUUCUGCCACCAUCUGCUCGAUGAAAUCAUGUCCAAACUGAAAGAUCCAGAUGCGGAGGUAAUAGCUCUUGCGACAUUUACCGUGUUCCCCGCCAUGAGUUGUCAUCCUGUGUGCCUGACAUUUUGGCUUGGUUGUGUUGUGUGUCUGCAGUUUGAGAUAAUUCAGAUUCUUGUCAAGGAGUGCAAUAAGAUCGAAGGUCACGUCCAGCAGGUAGGCUUUUUGGCUCUUCCUCUGUCCUUGUGAUUCUGUGCAAAAGGCGAGCUCGUCCUCUUCCUUAAUGAGGUUCUUAAGAGUGUUUCCUCAGCUGUAUUGGUUACCCUUACUACUUUGGAUUUUGGAAACAGUCCGAGACCCUUAUUAGUUAACAAUAUCAUAGUUGUUGCAAAGGUACUCUACUUUUUUUCAUCAUCUCUUCUUUACCAUUCAUAUCUCCCAGUUGUUGCAAGGGAAAAUUAACUCCAGUAAUUCUUUCUUGAGGGGUAGAACAGGAGUGUCGUUCUCAGCUUCAAUGAUUAUCAAACAACAUGUACUAAUUAUAUUUUAGCAAGCUGGCAGUUGAUGUGAUUCUCUAUGUUUACAUUUUGUCAAAUUAACGACAAGAGGGUUAAGUUUUAGAAGCAACUACCCUGCACCGGUUAAUAAUAUCUGUGAGGACCCAAGUUGGUCCCAGUCCUCUUCGAUUGGUGCUCUGUCCCUGUGAUUUGAGGAAAGUUUCAGUACAACACAUUGUAUUUUGAUUAGUGAAUGAAGCAUUUAGACGAUAUUGUUGCAGGUGUGCAUUCUCUUUCUUACAUUUGAUUUAAGCUUUCUUAUUUGAGCUUUAUGAUACUAUGUACUCAAUACUUGUGCUCUUCUAAGAUAGGUUGAGCAGAUAGUGGUUGAAAGGUCUGAAGGUUGGCAUUGUGGAUAUUUUUGCUAUCUUGCAUGGAUUCCCAGACAAUGUGAGGACGGACCAGAAGGGCGAGUUCUGGGUGGCGAUCCACUGUCGGAGAAGUAUGUAUCCUCGGCUAAUGAGCUGCCAUGUCAAGCUGAGGAAGUUUUUGCUCAGCUUCCCAAUCCCUGCCAAGUACCACUACCUGAUGCAUAUCGAUAGCAAGCUCAUUAAUGGUCAACUACUAAAUCAGUAGUUUCUUUAAUACAUCAUGCAUUAUCUAAUUUUUAUUUUUUCUUAUUAAAUUGUAUGUUGCUGCUGCUCAAGGAUUUGAAGCAUGAGAAGCGUUGUGGGAGAGAAGCUUUAGUGCAACAUUGUUGUUCUAUAGGGAUCAACGUCCUCAAGGUCACUUGGAAAACUUUCACGAAAAACUCGUAAUGCAAGCAUAUGUUUUAUUGGAAAAGUUUUCUAAGCUGAAUUUCUGAAAGCCUCCUCACUGCUUUAGUUAUGCUGAAUUAGAAUUUGCAACUAGAGGUUUCUCACAAGUAAAUUUCUUAGCUAAAGGUGGAUUUUGGUCUGUUCAUCGACAUGUCAUUUCUAAUGGUGGUGGUGUUUGUUAGCUACAAAAUCAUCAAUCAAAGAUUGUAAUUAUAUUGCAUCACUGUUUUGUAUCAAUUUUUAAGUUGCCGUAGCAACGCACGGGCACCCUACUAGUAUAUAUAUAUAUAUAUUUAUCUUAAAAUUAUUUUUGCAAAAGUAUAAAUAUAUUAAAAUUUUGUUUUUAUUUUAAGAAAAAACAUUGGUCAAAACUAUAUCUUGGAGACCGUGUUGCUGUCCUCAACGUCUUGUAUUUUGAUUUUUAGCUCAUUUUCGAAAGCUAUUGCGAAUUCUUUUCAGAGAUCUUCUCGAUCCAUGCAUUAGUGAACCUACAGUACCAGUAGUUCAUGAGCUGAAUGUUUGCAGUGGGCCGCUUCAUGUUUGCGGGCAGUUCUUCGCAGGCUUGAAGGCUUGAAGCACAGAACGUUGGACCUCACUUCCGAGCCCCCAGUUCCAAGACGUAACUGUCAAACCCAACAAACCGAGUGAUUUGCUCAAGAAAGAAACAGAGAAAGAAACCGAGUGAUUGAAAUAUAGUGCCUAGUAUUUAAGUGCUGGUUUGUGGACAACGGAAUUAGAGAGGACUUGCUAUGAAAAUCUCUUGCAGCUUAUAGCAAAAGAUUUUCUUUUUCACGGAUCUCCUCCAAUUCCUUUGUACUUAUGCAGCACUUUUUUUUUCGAACUGCACGGUAUAGUCACAGACGCUACUUCUUCAAUGAUUCUAGCAUAUAUUUGCAAUUGGAGCUAUCACUCUAUCUCAUACCAUCGGAACGGGCCACUUCUACAGCCUUGUAAAAAAAACUGAUCAUGACCUCAGCAUCACAGAUGAGAGAACGUCGAGAAACAAAAAAAAAUGUCCACUGCUCACAAGCACUAUGACUAUACAGUUAAUCUUCAUAGCUUCACGGCACGCUAUUGAGUCUCGUGCUGCCCGGCCCCGGAUUCAACGCGCGCCUGAAGCUGCACGGACUCCGGUGCCUCCGCGCUGUCCGGCAGCGAGAGCGAGGGUUUAGCGGCGAACGGCGCCCGCCUGCACGUGGGGCACGUCUGCCGCGCGGCGAGCCAGCGGUCGAUGCACCGCACGUGGAAGCCGUGGUUGCAGUGCGGCAGCGCGCGUACGCGGUCACCCCGCACGAACUCCGUGAGGCAGAUGGCGCAUUCCGCCGCGCCGCACCCCGUGAGCUCGACCUCGCGGGAGUAGAGUAUCCACGGGGGCAGCCCGGUUCGCGGCCCACGCUUCCUCCUGGGACCGGCCUGGCAGGAGAAGGAGGCCGCGGCCGCCGAUGCAUCGGCGCCGCCGCCGCCGCCGCCGCCGGGGGACUCCUCGUCCUGCCCGUAGCACACGCGGCGCGUGACGCGGAACGCGCACCGGACGACCGCGUGCACCGCGAGCACGACCACCAGCCCGCACAGGAGCAGCGACAGCGCAGUGAUCACCAUCGUGUUCAGGGAGCUGAAGGGCGCUGCUGCGUGAGCGUGCGCGGCAGGCACCUGCGCCUCCGUCGCUGGCGGUCCCGCCGACGAGGCAGCCGCGGCGGCGGCGGCGUGCGACAGGAGCUUCCUUGCGUGCAGCUGUUCGACGCUCAUCUUGUCGAGCUCUGUAACGCAGAGGCGCGUCUGUAACGCGUUGGCGGUGGUGCUGGUGUGCUGGCACUUGGGAGAGUGUUCUCUCGUUGCACGGCGCGGGGAGGGGUUUAUAUAGGAUCGGGAGCAGACAGUAAAGAUAUUUUAGGUCACUGUCAGUGGAUUGUUUAGCGGCAAAUUCAAAAGGAGUUUUAGCUUAAACUGACGAGUAGUUGAUCGAUCUAAGAUAAUAAGGGGACGUGGGUUAAUGGAGAUAACAUCGAGUCGUGGGGAUAAGAUACACCUCGCGCACUAGUUGACACCCGAUGAACCCAUGCACUUGGGCGGCAUAAUUCAUUGAUUGACAAAGCUUUUUUCCUUUGACUAUAAUUAAGAAUCCAAUACUGCAAAAAGGAAUUGCCUCACAUCCACAUAUAAUUUUUACCUGCUUUAUAUUUACAUUGCUUUGAGGUUCUUACAGCUCAUCAGUCUGAAAAAUGGAGACUAGCUCUGCUGUGCAUAACAGAAGGGGGUGCUGUGUUGUAAGAUGAAAGCUACUGCUACAAUGAAAUAAGCACUGUUGUAACACAAAGUUGUUAAGUAUACACAAGAUAAAAGACGAGAGCUCAACAAACACCCACAGAUUGCGUGCUGAAGCAGACUUUUGUAAGACCAAAAUGCGUCGACAGCGGCUCGCUGAAACGAAGGCCGGGCGCCAAACCGCACUCACUGACGCAGUCACGCUCAUCAUUAGCGACUAAAUAACAUAAGUUCAGGAAUAUGGGCGACAUGAUCCGGCCUAUUGGAGCCUCCACUAACUGCGACCCGUCGGCGCGCGGGAGAGGGACACCUGGCUGCGGAGGUGCCAUGGUGUCGAUGACUUGUCAAUGCGCGGAUGGUUUGUCCAUGUCCCGUAGGAUUGUUCUCCGUCCUACGUGUCCGUCUCUGGUGUUCCUGCCCGUCGUUGGCUUCGCUUGGGCGGGUGCGGGUGUGAGCAUAAAAUAGACUGCGGCUGCGGAAUUGUGGGUAUAUUAAGAAAACAGUAUGGGCCUGCAAAGAAUUGUUCCAAACUAAGACUUCGUUUGGUCUGAGGAAUAAAAUAUUAAUUUCUUUAUUUUAGUUCUAUUUAGUCUCUAAAUUUGCCAAACAGUGAGACUAAAAUAUGGACUAAAUCAUAUAAAUUGUACUUUUUGCCACUAUUUUAUUUCAGUUGCACUAAUGGAGGGAGAAUUAUAAAGGAUAUUUUAGUCAUCUUAUGAUUCAUUUAAUGUGUUUUGAAUACUUUUAAUCCAUAGAACCAAACAAGAUACAGACUAAACUUUAGUUUUUUAACUAAACUUUAGUCUCUGGAUUAAAUGAACCAAACGGCCCCUAAAGUAAGUUUCCUUUCAAAAUGAAAUGUAUUUCCCGUGCUCAAAGCAGCAAUAGAGUUUUUUUUGAAAAGGGAGAAAAAUAGAGUUCGGAAACGUACAGUUAAAGCUUGAACUUAUGGCUUUUCAAAUAGUGGCGUAGAUUCCUUUUUCCUUAGAGCAACUCCAACAAAUUCCAAAACUAAAGUCCUAAACCAUAUUAUAGGAAAAAUAAAAAUAAAACCAAGCUCCAAUGGAUCUCUACCCCUGCUUCCAAUCCCGUCACACGCGUAAACCUGACGGCUCCCUACAUAUAUUUGCGCCGACCUAUCGCACCCAAUCCCCACACGAUUUCCCUUUUCAUGCGACCUCCUCCUGUUUCGCACUUUCACUCGUCGAUUUGGUGUGGUAGCUGUGCCGAUGACUUGUACAACUUUCGAGCGCUUAACAACGACGUGCUCCACCGAGGCCUCGAUGACUCCCGCAGGAUCUGCAUCUCCACCGGUCGUCAGGCUCUCAUACGCCAACAUCGAGCCACAGCGAACCAAGGCCGCCGAGAGGCGGCGUGAGGCCUUCAUCCACCGCAAGCUCGGAGGAGGAGAAGGGUCUACCUCCGCCUCCCCACAUCAUCAGGAGCAGGAUCCAACCCGAAGCCCUUAGGGCCCGUGCCUUUCUGUCCUGGUCCUGAUUUGUUUCUUCGGUCCACCAUCUCUUCCUCCUCUCACCCACAUAUUUCAAUAUAAAACAGAGAAGCGCUUCAGUACCAGUAUCAGUGCUGGCGACGUAUGGCGGUGUAGGAAGAAGUGCAACGAGCCUGAAAAAACAACAACGAAACAAAGGCCCACAACGACCCAUUCAAACGGAUUUUGAGUAAUUAUUGGGAGUUAUUGGAAAAGGGGAGCACGAAGCAGAAAGAAAAAAGAGAGAAGAGCCUAAUAGAAAUCGAGUCCCUUAGGAUCUGCCUAAGUCUCUAAUUUGUUAAUCUGAUCUACCUUGAUGAUGAUAUGUAAAGGGGGUAUGAAUGCAUACAUCCAUUCGUGUCCAAGUGAAAUGGCCGUAUUGGUCAUUGUUGUGGUGUCCACCAUCGGUGCACCUAUUUCUCCCUUAGCUUCUCCAGUGUUCUUCUUUUCAUGGUUAGUUAGUGAAGGUGGAGGCUCCUCGGUGCCUGGCCCCAUAGGAUGGCCAGGCUCCAUGGACGAUAUUCCUAUAGCUUUUCUGAUCAUUGGGAGUGCAAGGUGGAUUGGGAUCUAUGGGAAUGUUGUGGCUACAGUUUCAAGCGUGUGAAUGCAUUGACAACUUGACAUCCGUGCUGGCCCUAAGUCUCCUAAUUAUAUCGCGCUCCUACGAUCCGGGGUAUACCCAUGGGUCGGUUUGCGCUCUCAAUCAAGACGCUUAGCAACGUGCUCGGGAGUUUGGAUAACACCGACUUGGUCCUUUAUCCGAGCCAGAGAACAACUCGAACGGAGCCCGCGUGUUGGGCCUAAUUAAAAGUGAGAGAGAUAAAUGGGAAAAUGUACCAAAUACUUUGGGUGAAUUUAACCCUAGACGAAUCUAGGAUUUAAAGUUAGGGUUAUCCAAAUCUUAUAAAAAUCACUAAAUAAAUGAGUUUACAUUUUAAAUUCUAUAACAUAUGAGAAUAAAAAAACAAAUAAAUCAAAAACAUCUAUCUAAUUUAGCAGGAUCAAAAUCAAAGGGUGGGCCGGAGCCUACCCCGCUCACCCUCUAGAUCCGCCAAUGGAUAAAUUUUCAUGUUUUGCACUUGUGGAGCUCUAACAUUGUAUCGAGUGGCUCAAUGCGCUUAUUCAACCGGAUCUAGGCAACUUGGCUACUUGCAGAACGAGACCGGGCAGUCAUCCACAGUGCUCAUACGAACGAUCAAUCUGUUAUCUUCAAUAGUGGGAGACGUACUGGACAAUGCGCGAGACCGGAAAGAGCGUGGUAGAGGCACCCAAGAAGUGACCAGAAGCCGUGUCACUCGUUCCAAUCCGCUGAGCCACAGCAAGCGAACACUGUCCAAGCAUCGCUGCAAGUUGUAUGGAGCAAUUAACUUAAACAAGGUAACGGACGUACGGCAGUGCAGCAAACAAGUAGCGGGCUGGACCUCCGUUGUGGCCGUAGGGGAGGGGCUACGAGUGCAUUCUAUCCUUUCAGAUGUGCCGGGGGCCGGGGCACGACGUUCGAACCGGAUUAGCAGCAAUCUGACGCACGCUGAUACGCUGGACAACUACAGAGCAAGUGCCUCGACGCCCGAUUCGAUCGCAUGUAUGUGCGCCGAUGGUUUGGUCACGUCAAACUUAUACUAAUCCACUAGUACAAUUUAGCUCUAUACAAGCGGUAGACUUUUUACAUCACAGACGGUUCGGUUAGAAAACCGCCUGUGAUGUCCCAGGCGGUUCAGUACGCCUGUGAUGUAAUAGUAUCACAAACGGUUUUUGUUUAGGACCGUCUGUGGUGCUCUAUCCUUUUCACAAGCGGACCCUAAGACAAAACCGCAUGUGAUUGUAAAAAUAUGAAAAUACAAUUUAAAUAUGAAAAUAAUUUUAAUUUUUAACAGAAAUAUGCAAAUACAAUUUAAAUGAAUUAAUAUUUAAUUUUUAACAAUAAUAUACAAAUACAAUUUAAAUGAAUUAUAAUAGCACACAUAGAUAACUAGAGAGAUUUUAAAUUAAUUGGCAACCACAAUUCAUAGUCGAUCAUACAUGAUAACAAAUACAAUUUGAUUCAUACAAUUUUUCAUGAACUACCAUUUUUCCGCAUGUAUGGCUUUAAGUUCUUAUCAAUUUUCUUUUCCACACGCUUGAUUCUCUCUGGACCGUUAAAGACGAACAUCUCUUCAUACUUAUUGUAUUCCUCAUCUUGGUCUCCCACAUUCUCAACUCCAACAAUUUUUUGCUUUCCAGAAAUAACUACAUGCAUCUUCUCAUCUGCUGGAUCGAGUACAUAGAACACUUGUGCAACACAUUCGGCGAGAACCCACGGGUCAUCUUUAUAUCCUACUUUCUUUAAGUCUACCAGUGUGAGUCCGUAGUUAUCCACUAUCACCCCCACGGGAUGUUGUACCCAUUGGCACUUAAAUAAGGGUAUUUUCAUGCUUGGGCCAUAAUCAAGUUCCCAUAUUUCCUCUAUGAAUCCAAAAUAUGUGGUCUUCUGUCCAUGUAGGUCAAAAGCAUCGAUACGAACACCGCUAUUUUGUGCAACACUUUUCAUGUCUUUUGAUUUACUGUAGAAUGUGUACCCAUUGAUGUCAUAUGCUUGCCAUGAUGUCACAAAACACGAUGGCCCAGAAGCCAAAUUCUUCAUUGUUUUCUCUUCCAAAGAGUCUCCGAAUGGGAUGUUUUUGUCCAUUAACCAUUCGCUGAAACGAUGUUUGUGCUCCCUCAUGAUCCAGUCCUCUGUGCGGUUCUGAUUUUCUUUAUGAAGCUCAUCCAGGUGUUCCUCUAUGUAAGGCUCGGCUAUCGUGAGAUGUUGUAGUACACUACCAUGAGCACAAUGUACUAGCUUGUAAUCCUCAACGCGAAAAGUUUUCUUGCCCAUUCUCCCUCUCCCACAUAGUUUACCCUCAUGUUUAGGUACAGGCACACCUAUCAUUGUUCCGUCACUGAUGUAAUCUAUACAACUCUCAAUCACUUCUUCUGUAGUGUAUCCCUCCAUGAUUGAACCCUUUGGGUGAGCGCGAUUUCGCACAUAACCUUUUAAUACUCCCAGGUAUCGCUCCAACUGAAACAUAUGAUGUAAAUAUAGUGGCCCUAAUAUUUUUAUCUGAUCCACGAGAUGUAUGAUUAGGUGUACUUGCAUAUCAAAAAAUGAUGGAGGAAAACACAUUUCAAGCUUGCACAUAGUCUCGAUUAUGUAUGCCUUUAGAUAGUCCAAGUCUUCUAAAGCUAUUACUUUUUGUGAAACCGCAUUGAAAAAGUAACACAAGCGUGUGAUGACAACUUUGACAUGCUCUGUUUCGAGGGCUCUUACCGCAAUUAGGAGGAACACCGUCAUCAUCACAUGGCAGUCAUGAGAGUUGUAGCCAAAUAGAGACAAGUCCUUCAUCCUGACUAGUCUGCUGAUAUUGGAUGAGAAACCUGUGGGCACUUUGACCCCACGCAAACAUUUGCAAAUCUUUGUUCUCUCCUCAACUGACAAGUUGUAGCUAGCUGGGGGGAGGUAAGGCUUCCCUUUGCCACUAUCCACUGGAUGAAGUUCCGGUCUGAUUUGAAGAUCUACUAGAUCAUUGCGUGAUUUGAGUCCGUCUUUUGUCUUACUCGGCAUGCCCAGCAAGGUUCCAAUGAUGCUGUCAAAAACACUUUUUGUUACAUGCAUCAAAUCAAUGCUGUGGCAAAUUUCCAUAUCCUUCCAGUACGGGAGGUACUUGAAAAAAAUUGAUUGCUUCUUGAAAGUUGUGUAAGUUGAAGGGUCAGUUCUCUUUCUCUUUUCUCCUUUGUUUUUUCCCUUUCCGAAUACAACAUGAAUGUUCUUUACAAUUUCAAAAACAAGUUUCCCACUAUAAGGCUUUGGUGCACCUUCACUUUCCAGUUGAUUGUUAAAUUCCGCUUUCAUCUUUCGAUACUUAUGUUGCUUCAUCAAGAACCGUCUGUGUCCCAUAAACACCAACUUCUUGGAUGAUUUAAGGUACAUGGAAGCAGUUCCAUCGACGCACACUACACAACCAUUCUUUCCUUUAGUCUUUUGCCUUGAUAGUGUGGCGCCACCGGGAGAAUCAUGGAUGGUAACAAAUAUAAUUGCUCUUAAGUUGAAAUACUCAUGGCAAUACUCAUCCCAUAUUCUAACUCCUUCAUUCCAGAGCUUUGUCAUAUCUUCCAUAAGAGGUUCUAGGAACACAUCAAUAUCAACACCAGCUGAUUUCGGACCUUGAAUAAGAAUAGUCAACAUAAUGUACUUUCUUUUGCGACACAGCCAUGAUGGAAGGUUGUACAUCGUUAAAGUCACGGGCCAGGUGCUAUGUACACUUCUUUUUUCACCAAAUGGAUUCAUUCCGUCUGUACCCAAAGCAAAUCUUACAUUUCUGGUUUCUUUGGCAAACUCAGGAUACAUAAGAUCGAAAUUUUUCCAUUGUGAUGCAUCAGCAGGGUGUCAAAUCUGUUUGUUAUUCUGCUUGCGAUUUUCAGCAUGCCAACGCAUAAGCUCAGCCUCCCUAGGAUUUGAGAACAAACGUUUUAAGCGAUCAAUUACUGGAAGAUACCACAUCACCAAAGCUGGGUUCUUUGACUUCUUUUUCCCAUCCAUGUCAUCAAAAGUGUCAUCGUCACUUUCAGGUCCAAUAGUGGAUUUCUUGUUUUUAUUUUUCUUCGGGAAUUUUUUUACACAGUCUUGAUUGUAGCUCUUCUUGUAUCGACUGACAUUGCAAACUGGGCAUCUUGAUGCGUUCUCAAAAUCACCACGAUACAGAAUACAAUGGUUCGGACAUGCAUGAAUUUUUUGCACACCCAGAGCUAUGGGAGAUAUAAGCUUCUUCGCUUUAUAAGUGCUUGUUGGUAGUUUGUUGGGUUUUGGUAGUGAUUGAGACAGAAAAUUCAAAAGAUCUGUGAAGCUAGUAUCAGACCAUCCGACGCUAGCCUUCAACUUCAGAAGUUCUAGAACUGUACGCAGUGUAGUAAACUCUUUGUCACAACCCUUUGAUUCAUCAUAUAAAGGUUCUUUUGAAGCACUUUCCAGUCCCUCCAUUUUAGAUAGCCCUUUCUGCGAUCCCACAGAACUCAACAUUUCUGGUUCCAUAUGGCGCAACAUCUCUUCGCAAUCAAAUUCUUCAAAAUCUUGAUUAGCAUCCACAUUAUCCACUUUACCAUCAACUUUAAGAUCUAAAAUUCCGACAACUCUCUCGUCAUUACCAGGCACUUCACACGGAUCCAACUCACCAUGUUCUGACCAUAUCGUGUAAUUGUUUGUAAACCCUCUUUUUAGCAGAUGUGAUUGGAUUACUCAUGUAUCUCUCCAAGCUAUCUUAUUAUCACAGUCGAUGCACGGACAUAAUAUCUCCUUGCUCUUUCGCAAAUUCGCGUGCUUUUUGGCCGCUUCAAUAAAGCUUCUCAAUUUUCGAAUAUAUGACAGAUGUGGUCUUGGCACAUUGUACAUCCAACCUCGGUCCAUUACCUAUCCUUAUAUUGAUUAACAUCAAUAAAAUCAUUAAUUAAUUGAAUUCAUCCAUAAAACAUGAAACGAAUUGAUAUGUAUGAAAAUAAAACAAACAUUGCAAUAAUAGAUACCUUGAGGUGAGACAAUUGUGUUUUUAAACAAUCUUUAAACUAGAUCAACUAUUAUAAGUCCAAAUCUUGAAUUCCAAAGCUUUUCUUCAAAUCCGUUCUAUAUUACAAAAUUAAGACAAAAAAUCGCAUCAAAAUGAGAAAGAAAACAAAUGGAGAUCAUAUAUAUGCAUAAACUAUUGAAAUCAAUCAAUAAACUCAAAAACAAAACCUUCUCCCUGUAGAUCUAAAAAAAAACCCGCCGCCACUAUUGAAAUUAGGGUUCUGCGAGUUAGGGUUCUGGAACCCGUCGGGGGGCUAGCCCUUUUAUAGUGUACACACAUCACAGGCGAUUAUUUAGCCAAACCGCCUAUGAUAGAAAACAUCACAGGCGGUUUUUGUUGUCGACCGCGUGUGAAGUUAAUUUAUCACAGGCGGUCGGAAUUAACAACCGCCUGUGAUGUUGUCUAUCACAGGCGGUUUGGCUAAAUAUCCGUCUGUGAUGCUUUACAAUAUAAAAAGUUGAGCGCCGCCAGGAACCCUAACUCUUCCCGCCCGAGCAAGAACCCGAGCGCCGCCAGGCUGCCGCCGUGUCCCCGUCCCCGAGCACGAACCCGAGCGCCGCCGUCCUAGUCCCCGAGCUCGAGCGCCGCUGUCCCCGUCACCGAGCCCGAGCGCCGCCGUCCCCGUCCCCGAGCCCGAGCGCCGCCGUCCCCGAGCGCCCGAGCAACGUGAUAGUCGCCUAGAGGGGGGGUGAAUAGGGCGAAACUGAAAUUUACAAAAAUAAUCACAACUACAAGCCGGGGUUAGCGUUAGUAAUAAUAAAUGAGUCCGCAAGAGAGGGCGCAAAACAAAUCGCAAGCAAAUAAAGAGAGUGACACGUGGAUUUGUUUUACCGAGGUUCGGUUCUUGCAAACCUACUCCCCGUUGAGGAGGCCACAAAGGCCGGGUCUCUUUCAACCCUUCCCUCUCUCAAACGGUCCCUCGGACCGAGUGAGCUUUCCUUCUUCUCAAUCAACCGGGAACAAAACUUCCCCGCAAGGGCCACCACACAAUCGGUGCCUCUUGCCUCGGUUACAAUUGAGUGUUGAUCACAAGAGCAAAAGAGAAAGAAAGAAUGCGAUCCAAGCGCAAGAGCUCAAAAGAACACGGCAAAUCUCUCUCGCUAGUCACUAAGGGCUUGAGUGGAAUUGGAGAGGAUUUGAUCUCUUUGUAUGUGUCUAGAAUUGAAUGCCUAGAGCUCUUGUAGUAGUUGAGAAGUGGAAAACUUGGAUGGCAAUGAAUGUGGGGUGGUUGGGGUAUUUAUAGCCCCAACCACCAAACUUGACCGUUGGCUGGAGGCUUCUGUUCGAUGGCGCACCGGACAGUCCGGUGCACACCGGACAGUCCGGUGCCCCUGCCACGUCACCACUGCCGUUGGAUUCUAGCCGUUGGAGCUUCUGACUUGUGGGCCCGCCUGGGUGUCCGGUGCACACCGGACAUGCACUGUUUGAUGUCCGGUGCACCGGUAUGGGCAGCCCUGACGACUGCGUGCGCUGCGCGCGCAUUUAAUGCGGCGCAGAGAGCCGUUGGCGCCGCAGAGAGCCGUUGCUCCGCUGGCACACCGGACAGUCCGGUGCACACCGGACAGUCCGGUGAAUUAUAGCGGAGCGGCUGUCGUGAAAACCCGAGGAUGACGAGUUCCGGAGGCCGCGGUUCGUUGGCUCACCGGACAUGUCCGGUGCACACCGGACAGUCCGGUGAAUUAUAGCGCGCCGGCCUCCGCGAAUUCCCGAGGGCGAAGGGUUGGAGUCUGAGUCCCCUGGUGCACCGGACAGGUACUGUUCACUGUCCGGUGGCACACCGGACAGUCCGGUGCGCCAAACCAGGGGUGCCCUCGGUUGCCCCUUUGCCCCUUUAUUGAAUCCAACACUUGAUCUUUUUAUUGGCUAGAUGUGAGCCUUUUGCACCUGUAUAACUUAUACACUAGAGCAAACUAGUUAGUCCAAUAUUUGUGUUGGGCAAUUCAACCACCAAAAUUAUUUAGGGACUAGGUGUAAGCCUAAUUCCCUUUCAAUCUCCCCCUUUUUGGUGAUUGAUGCCAACACAAACCAAAGCAAAUAUGGAAGUGCAUAAUUGAACUAGUUUGCAUAAUGUAAGUGAAAAGGUUACUUGGAAUUGAGCCAAUAUAACUACUUACAAGAUAUGCAAGGAAUGUUUCUUUCUUAUAUAACAUUUUGGACCACGUUUGCACCACAUGUUUUGUUUUUGCAAAUUCUGUUUGUAAAUCCAUUUCAAAGAGCUUUUGCAAAUAGUCAAAGGUACAUGAAUAAGAGUUUGCAAAAGCAUUUUCAAGAUUUGAAAUUUCCUCCCCCUGUUUCAAAUGCUUUUCCUUUGACUAAACAAAACUCCCCCUAAAAGAGAUCCACCUCUUAGUGUUCAAGAGGGUUUUGAUAUACCAUUUUUGAAAUACUACUUUCUCCCCCUUUUGAACACAAUAGAAUACCAAAUGAUAAAGACUUUUGGAAAGCACUAAGUUUUUGAAUUUAGUGGUGGUGGUGGUGCGGUCCUUUUGCUUUGGGCUCAUUUCUCCCCCUUUUUGGCAUGAAUCGCAAAAAACGGAACCAUUAGAGCCCUCAAAGUGCAAUCUUCCCCUUUGGUCAUAAAUAAGUGAGUUAAGAUUAUACCAAAGGCGAAGUCCUUUUGCGUUUGAGCUUUUACUCUCUCCCCCAAGGAUGAAGUCCUUUUUCUUUGAUGCUCAUUUCUCCCCAAGGAAUAGAGAGUUGCUCGGAGUGAUGGCGAAGCAUGAGUUACGGAGUGGAAGCCUUUGUCUUCGCCGAAGACUCCAAUUCCCUUUCAAUAUACCUAUGACUUGGUUUGAAAUGAACUUGAAAACACAUUAGUCAUAGCAUAUAAAAGAGAUAUGAUCAAAGGUAUUCAAAAGAGCUAUGUGUGCAAGCUUAGCAAAAGAAAUUUCUAGAAUCAAGAAUAUUGAGCUCAUGCCUAAGUCUGGUAAAAGAUUGUUCAUCAAGUGGCUUGGUAAAGAUAUCGGCUAAUUGAUCUUUAGUAUUAAUGUAAGAAAUCUCGAUAUCCCCCUUUUGUUGGUGAUCCCUAAGAAAAUGAUACCGAAUGGCUAUGUGCUUAGUGCGGCUAUGCUCGACGGGAUUGUCGGCCAUUUUGAUUGCACUCUCAUUAUCACAUAGCAAAGGGACUUUGGUUAAUUUGUAACCGUAGUCCCGCAGGGUUUGCCUCAUCCAAAGCAAUUGCGCGCAACAAUGUCCUGCGGCAAUGUACUCGGCUUCGGCGGUGGAGAGAGCGACCGAAUUUUGCUUCUUUGAAGCCCAAGACACCAAGGAUCUUCCCAAGAACUGGCAAGUCCCCGAUGUGCUCUUCCUAUUGAUUUUGCACCCCGCCCAAUCGGCAUCCGAAUAACCAAUUAAAUCAAAUGUGGAUCCCCUAGGGUACCAAAGCCCAAACUUAGGAGUAUAAGCCAAAUAUCUCAAGAUUCGUUUUACGGCCGUAAGGUGUGAUUCCUUAGGGUCGGAUUGGAAUCUUGCACACAUGCAAACGGAAAGCAUAAUGUCCGGUCGAGAUGCACAUAAAUAAAGCAAUGAACCAAUCAUCGACCGGUAUACCUUUUGAUCCACGGACUUACCUCCCGUGUCGAGGUCGAGAUGCCCAUUAGUUCCCAUGGGUGUCUUGAUGGGUUUGGCAUCCUUCAUCCCAAACUUGUUGAGAAUGUCUUGUGUAUACUUCGUUUGGCUAAUGAAGGUGCCCUCUUGGAGUUGCUUCACUUGAAAUCCUAAGAAAUACUUCAACUCCCCCAUCAUAGACAUCUCGAAUUUCUGUGUCAUGAUCCUACUAAAUUCUUCACAUGUAGACUCGUUAGUAGACCCAAAUAUAAUAUCAUCAACAUAAAUUUGGCAUACAAACAAGUCAUUUUCAAGAGUUUUAGUAAAGAGUGUAGGAUCGGCCUUUCCGACUUUGAAGCCAUUUGCAAUGAGGAAAUCUCUAAGGCAUUCAUACCAUGCUCUUGGGGCUUGCUUGAGCCCAUAAAGCGCCUUAGAGAGCUUAUAGACGUGAUUAGGAUACUCACUGUCUUCAAAGCCGGGAGGUUGCUCAACAUAGACCUCUUCCUUGAUUGGUCCAUUUAGGAAGGCACUUUUCACGUCCAUUUGAUAAAGCUUAAAGCCAUGGUAAGUAGCAUAGGCUAAUAAUAUGCGAAUUGACUCAAGCCUAGCUACGGGUGCAUAGGUUUCACCGAAAUCCAAACCUUCGACUUGGGAGUAUCCCUUGGCCACAAGUCGAGCUUUGUUCCUUGUCACCACACCAUGCUCGUCUUGCUUGUUGCGGAAAACCCAUUUGGUUCCUACAACAUUUUGAUUAGGACGUGGAACUAAAUGCCAUACCUCAUUUCUAGUGAAGUUGUUGAGCUCCUCUUGCAUUGCCACCACCCAAUCCGAAUCUUGGAGUGCUUCCUCUACCCUGUGUGGCUCAAUAGAGGAAACAAACGAGUAAUGUUCACAAAAAUGUGCAACACGAGAUCGAGUAGUUACCCCCUUAUGAAUGUCGCCGAGGAUGGUGUCGACGGGGUGAUCUCGUUGAAUUGCUUGGUGGACUCUUGGGUGUGGCGGCCUUUGCUCUUCAUCCUCCUUGUCUUCCUCAUUUGCAUCUCCCCCUUGAUCAAUGCCAUCAUCUUGAGGUGGCUCAUUUGAUUGAUCUUCUUCUUCAUCAACUUGAGCUUCAUCCUCAUUUUGAGUUGGUGGAGAUGCUUGCAUGGAGGAGGAUGGUUGAUCUUGUGCAUGUGGAGGCUCUUCGGAUUCCCUAGGACACACAUCCCCAAUGGACAUGUUCCUUAGCGCUAUGCAUGGAGCCUGUUCUUCACCUAUCUCAUCAAGAUCAACUUGCUCUACUUGAGAGCCGUUAGUUUCAUCAAACACAACGUCACAUGAGACUUCAACUAGUCCAGUGGACUUGUUAAAGACUCUAUAUGCCCUUGUGUUUGAGUCAUAACCAAGUAAAAAGCCUUCUACAGUUUUAGGAGCAAAUUUUGAUUUUCUACCUCUUUUAAUAAGAAUGAAGCAUUUGCUACCAAAAACUCUAAAAUAUGAAAUAUUGGGCUUUUUACCGGUUAGGAGUUCAUAUGAUGUCUUCUUGAGGAUUCGGUGAAGAUAUAACCGGUUGAUGGCGUAGCAGGCGGUGUUGACCGCUUCGGCCCAAAACCGGUCCGGUGUCUUGUACUCAUCAAGCAUGGUUCUUGCCAUGUCCAAUAGAGUUCGAUUCUUCCUCUCCACUACACCGUUUUGUUGUGGCGUGUAGGGAGAAGAGAACUCAUGCUUGAUGCCCUCCUCCUCAAGGAAGCUUUCAAUUUGAGAGUUCUUGAACUCCGUUCCAUUGUCGCUUCUUAUUUUCUUGAUCCUUAAGCCGAACUCAUUUUGAGCUCGUCUCAAGAAUCCCUUUAAGGUCUCUUGGGUUUGAGAUUUUUCCUGUAAAAAGAAUACCCAAGUGAAGCGAGAAUAAUCAUCCACAAUUACAAGGCAAUACUUACUACCGCCGAUGCUUAUGUAAGCGAUCGGGCCGAAUAAGUCCAUGUGUAGUAGCUCUAGCGGCCUGUCGGUAGUCAUGAUAUUUUUGUGUGGAUGAUUAGUGCCAACUUGCUUCCCUGCUUGGCAUGCGCUACAAAUCCUGUCUUUCUCAAAAUGAACAUUGGUUAGUCCUAAAAUGUGUUCUCCCUUUAGAAGCUUAUGAAGAUUCUUCAUCCCAACAUGGGCUAGUCGGCGGUGCCAGAGCCAACCCAUGUUAGUCUUAGCAAUUAAACAUGUGUCGAGCUCAGCUCUAUCAAAAUCUACUAAGUAUAGCUGACCCUCUAACACACCCUUAAAUGCUAUUGAAUCAUCACUUCUUCUAAAGACAGUGACACCUAUAUCAGUAAAAAGACAGUUGUAGCCCAUUUGACAUAAUUGGGAAACAGAAAGCAAGUUGUAAUCUAAUGAAUCUACAAGAAAAACAUUGGAAAUAGAAUGGUCAGGAGAUAUCGCAAUUUUACCCAAACCUUUGACCAAACCUUGAUUUCCAUCCCCGAAUGUGAUAGCUCGUUGGGGAUCCUGGUUUUUCUCAUAUGAGGAGAACAUCUUUUUCUCCCCGGUCAUGUGGUUUGUGCACCCGCUGUCGAGUAUCCAACUUGUGCCCCCGGAUGCAUAAACCUACAAAACAAGUUUAGUUCUUUGUUUUAGGUACCCAAACGGUUUUGGGUCCUUUAGCAUUAGAUACAAGAACUUUGGGUACCCAAACACAAGUCUUGGAGCCCUUGUGUUUGCCCCCAACAAUUUUGGCAACUACCUUGCCAGAUUUGCUAGUCAACACAUAAGAUGCAUCAAAAGUUUUAAAUGAAAUGGCAUGAUCAUUUGAUGCAUUACUAGUUUUCUUUCUAGGCAACUUGGCAUGGGUUGGUUGCCUAGAUCUAGAUGUCUCACCCUUAUACAUAAAAGCAUAAUUAGGGCCAGAGUGAGACUUCCUAGAAUGAAUUUUCUUAAUCUUAUUCUCAGGAUACCCGGCAGGGUACAAAAUGUAACCCUCGUUAUCCUGAGGCAUGGGAGCCUUGCCCUUAACAAAGUUAGACAAGUUCUUAGGAGGGGCAUUAAUUUUGACAUUGUCUCCCCUUUGAAAGCCAAUGCCGUCCUUAAUGCCCGGGCGUCUCCCAUUAUAGAGCAUGCUUCUAGCCAAUUUAAAUUUUUCAUUUUCUAAGUCAUGCUCUCUAAUUUUAGCAUUAAGUUGUGCUAUGUGAUCAUUUUGUUUUUUAAUUAAGGCAAGGUGAUCAUGGAUAGCAUCAACAUUAAUAUCUCUACAUCUAGUGCAAAUGGACACAUGCUCAAUAGUGGAUGUAGAGGGUUUGCAAGACUUUAAUUCAAUAACCUUAGCAUGCAACAAAUCAUUCUUAGUUCUAAGGUCAGAAAUAGUAGUAUUGCAAACAUCAAAAUCCUUAGCCUUAGCAAUUAAUUUCUCAUUCUCAUUUCUAAGGCUAGCGAUGGAAGCAUUCAAUUCAUCAAUCCUAGCAAGCAAAUCAACAUCAUCAUUUCUAGGAUCAAUGCAAACAUGAGAAUCAACCUUAGCCAACAAAUUAGCAUUUUCAUUUCUAAGGUUGUCUAAAAUCUCACGGCAAGUGCUUAGCUCACUAGACAGUUUUUCACAUUUUUCAACUUGUAGAGCGUAAGCAUUUUUAACCUUAACAUGUUUCUUAUUCUCCUUGAUUAGGAAGUCCUCUUGGGAGUCCAAGAGAUCAUCCUUUUCAUGGAUGGCACUAAUUAGUUCAUUUAAUUUUUCUUUUUGUUCCAUGUUAAGGUUAGCAAAAAGAAUGCGCAAGUUAUCCUCCUCAUUUUUAUCAUCAUCCUCAUCACUAGAUGUUUCAUAUUUAGUGGAGGACCUUGAUUUUACCUUCCUUUUGCCGUCCUUGGCCAUGAGACACUUGUGGCCGAUGUUGGGGAAGAGAAGGCCUUUGGUGACGGCGAUGUUGGCGGCGUCCUCGUCGUCGGAGGAGUCGCUUGAGCUUUCGUCGGAGUCCCACUCCCGACAAACAUGGGCAUCGCCGCCCUUCUUCUUGUAGUAUUUCUUCUUCUCCUUUCUUCUUCCCUUCUUGUCGUCCCCCCUGUCACUGUCACUAGACAUAGGACAUUUUGCAAUGAAGUGACCGGGCUUACCACACUUGUAGCAAACCUUCUUGGAACGGGAUUUGUAGUCCUUCCCCUUCCGUUGCUUGAGGAUUUGCCGGAAGCUUUUGAUGAUUAGGGCCAUCUCCUCGUUGUCGAGCUUGGAGGCGUCAAUUGGUUGUCUACUUGGUGUAGACUCCUCCUUCUUCUCCUCCGUUGCCUUGAAGGCCACGGGUUGCGCCUCGGAUGUGGAAGGCUCAUCAAGCUCGUUGAUCUUCUUGGAGCCCUUAAUCAUGCAUUCAAAACUAACAAAAUUCCCGAUGACUUCCUCGGGGGUCAUUUGUGUAUAUCUAGGAUUGCCACGAAUUAAUUGUACUUGAGUAGGGUUAAGGAAAAUAAGGGCUCUCAGAAUAACCUUAACCACUUCGUGGUCAUCCCAUUUUGUGCUCCCGAGGUUGCGCACUUGGUUCACCAAGGUCUUGAGCCGGUUGUACAUGUCUUGUGGCUCCUCCCCUUGGCGAAGACGGAAGCGACCGAGCUCCCCCUCGAUCGUUUCCCGCUUGGUGAUCUUGGUGAGUUCAUCACCCUCAUGCGCCGUCUUGAGUAGGUCCCAAAUCUCCUUGGCGUUCUUCAACCCUUGUACUUUGUUGUAUUCCUCCUUGCUUAAAGAGGCAAGGAGAAUGGUUGUGGCUUGAGAGUUGAAGUGCUCGAUUUGGGCCACUUCGUCCGUGUCACAGUCCUCAUCCCCUACGGAUGGUACCUGUACACCAUACUCAACAAUAUCCCAUAAUCUUUUGUGGAGAGAGGUUAGAUGACAUUGCAUCAAAUUACUCCACAUAGCAUAAUCUUCACCAUUAAAAGUUGGUGGUUUGCCUAAUGGGACGGAAAGUAAAGGUGUAUGUUUAGGAACACGAGGGUAGCGUAGGGGGAUCUUACUAUACUUCUUACGCUCUUGGCGUUUAGAAGUGACGGACGCCGCGUCGGAGCCGGAGGUGGAGGUCGAUGAAGUGUCGGUCUCGUAGAAGACCACCUUCCUCAUCCUUUUGUGCUUGUCCCCACUCCGAUGCGGCUUGUGAGAAGAUUUUUCCUUCUUCUCCUUAUGGUGAGAAGAGGAAGAUCUUUUCUCCUUCCGCUUGGAGGAUUUCUUCUUCUUCUCUCUUCUCUUGGUGCGGGACUCUUCCGAUGAAGAUGAAGUGCUCCCUUGGCUUGUAGUGGGCUUGUCGUCGCCGGUCUCCAUCUCCUUCUUGGCGUGAUCUCCCGACAUCACUUCGAGCGGUUAGGCUCUAAUGAAGCACCGGGCUCUGAUACCAAUUGAUAGUCGCCUAGAGGGGGGGUGAAUAGGGCGAAACUGAAAUUUACAAAAAUAAUCACAACUACAAGCCGGGGUUAGCGUUAGUAAUAAUAAAUGAGUCCGCAAGAGAGGGCGCAAAACAAAUCGCAAGCAAAUAAAGAGAGUGACACGUGGAUUUGUUUUACCGAGGUUCGGUUCUUGCAAACCUACUCCCCGUUGAGGAGGCCACAAAGGCCGGGUCUCUUUCAACCCUUCCCUCUCUCAAACGGUCCCUCGGACCGAGUGAGCUUUCCUUCUUCUCAAUCAACCGGGAACAAAACUUCCCCGCAAGGGCCACCACACAAUCGGUGCCUCUUGCCUCGGUUACAAUUGAGUGUUGAUCACAAGAGCAAAAGAGAAAGAAAGAAUGCGAUCCAAGCGCAAGAGCUCAAAAGAACACGGCAAAUCUCUCUCGCUAGUCACUAAGGGCUUGAGUGGAAUUGGAGAGGAUUUGAUCUCUUUGUAUGUGUCUAGAAUUGAAUGCCUAGAGCUCUUGUAGUAGUUGAGAAGUGGAAAACUUGGAUGGCAAUGAAUGUGGGGUGGUUGGGGUAUUUAUAGCCCCAACCACCAAACUUGACCGUUGGCUGGAGGCUUCUGUUCGAUGGCGCACCGGACAGUCCGGUGCACACCGGACAGUCCGGUGCCCCUGCCACGUCACCACUGCCGUUGGAUUCUAGCCGUUGGAGCUUCUGACUUGUGGGCCCGCCUGGGUGUCCGGUGCACACCGGACAUGCACUGUUUGAUGUCCGGUGCACCGGUAUGGGCAGCCCUGACGACUGCGUGCGCUGCGCGCGCAUUUAAUGCGGCGCAGAGAGCCGUUGGCGCCGCAGAGAGCCGUUGCUCCGCUGGCACACCGGACAGUCCGGUGCACACCGGACAGUCCGGUGAAUUAUAGCGGAGCGGCUGUCGUGAAAACCCGAGGAUGACGAGUUCCGGAGGCCGCGGUUCGUUGGCUCACCGGACAUGUCCGGUGCACACCGGACAGUCCGGUGAAUUAUAGCGCGCCGGCCUCCGCGAAUUCCCGAGGGCGAAGGGUUGGAGUCUGAGUCCCCUGGUGCACCGGACAGGUACUGUUCACUGUCCGGUGGCACACCGGACAGUCCGGUGCGCCAAACCAGGGGUGCCCUCGGUUGCCCCUUUGCCCCUUUAUUGAAUCCAACACUUGAUCUUUUUAUUGGCUAGAUGUGAGCCUUUUGCACCUGUAUAACUUAUACACUAGAGCAAACUAGUUAGUCCAAUAUUUGUGUUGGGCAAUUCAACCACCAAAAUUAUUUAGGGACUAGGUGUAAGCCUAAUUCCCUUUCACAACGCCGUCCCCUUCACCGAGCCCGAGCGCCGCCGUCCCCUUCACCGAGCUUGAGCCCCGCCGUCCUCGUCCCCGAGCCCGAGCGCCGCCGUCCCCGAGCGCCCGAGCAACGCCGUCCCCGAGACCGAGCCCGAGCGCCGCCGUCCCCUUCACCGAGCCCGAGCGCCCACCGUCCCCGAGCCCGAGCUCGAGCCCCGCCGUCCUCGUCCCCGAGCCCAAGGGCCGCCGUCACGGUCCCCGAGCCCGAAGCGCCGCCGUCCCCAAGCUCUUAAACUUCUUCCUCUCGUAGUAAGGUCAAAGUUCAGGUUCAUUUCUUCUAAGUUCAUAGCUCGAAUUUCCUAUAUGUGUUUGAAUCAUAUAUGUUAAUUGAUGGCAGAUUACUUGUGUUUGAAUCAUAUAUGUGUUUGAAUACACAGCUGGAUAUAUAUGUGUUUGAAUCAUAGCUUAGGUUAAUCAAAUGGUUAGGUUAAUCGAAUGCUUAGGUUAAUCAAUGGUUCAAACACAUUAAGGUGUUAAUCAAUGGCUAUCCCUGAUUAUCAGUUCUUAGAUUAAUUACUGUUGUUGUUUUCACUUACAUAUUUUGUUUGGUUGUCAAUAUGCUUAUUGCUUAUUGCUUGGUUGUCAAUUACUUGUUUGGCUAUCCCUGAAUUUUGUGUCCCUCCAUCGAUUGGGAUCUAUUUUUAUCCCUUGUGAUUAAAUGUUUUUUCACUUACAUAUUCAGUUAUAAGAAAAUCAUGGAAGUACAUAGCCAUGGCAAUGUUAUUAUCUCCCUAUGUUAUAAGACUUGUUCUUAUCUCCCUUCUUAGUUUUUUGACUACCUAUCUUUGCUUCCCAACCCUAUGUUAUAAGACUUGUUCUUAUCUCCCAUCUUUGACUUGUUCAUAGCCAUGACAAUGUUAUUUGGACCCCUCUUUUUGCCCUAUAAGCCACAUCCUUGUUUUCCCUUUGAUCCCUGCCUUUGUUGCGAUCUCAAUUUUGAUUGUGAGACUUGGCCAUUUUCAGUUUUAGAGAUGGAAAAAGAGCCACUUGACAUGGUUGAGAGCUCAGUUCGAGUCAUCGAGACACAUGUUGACAUCAUUCGCAGUCUAGUGACUGAUGGGGUUGUGGAUACUAGUGAACCGGAAUCAGUGUACACACUUAAGACCACUUUGUUUCAAAUUGGAGAUGUAUGCGACAUGCUUGAGAAGUGUGCUCUGUCCAUCAAAAAGUAUGCUGACUCCAAGAGGGCUAAAAUUAUUCAAGAUGAAGCCCUACAAUAUGCUGAAGAUGAUGAAGCUGCAGAUGAUUUGGAGGAACUCCCAAGCCCAGAUCUCCUUACUCAAGCCGACAUAUUGGAAAAAUAUUUUGGAAUUGAGUAUGAUAGCGACCAGUCAAGGGGUUGUUGAUGUUUAGUCCUAAACAACACGAUAUGAGUAUCGUAGGUUUCACUCUUAGAGAUAAUGUAUUUUGUAUGAACCUCUUAGAGAGUGUCAAGUCAAUGAACUAUCUUCGAGUACUAUUGGGAAGUGGAUCUCUUUGAUGUAUUUUUUUCUAGUGAUAUCGAUGGUGCCGAGUAGCACCAAAUUUGGACUUGUGUCCAUAUCUAUAGAUGCUAGUAGUUGAGCACUAGCGCCUACAAUCUUGACUACCUCAUCCCUAUUCUCUGUUUGGGACUUAUAUGGAGAAUGACAUCGGCGGAAUGCCUGAAUCGGGUCGGGAAGCAAGCUCGCAAAUAGAAGUGCACUUUCCAAUGCAGUUAGACAGAGAAGGCAUGGCUGUGAUGUUAUAAUGCUGAAGGACCCCAAGAAGAGAUUAAGUCCUGUAGUCUACCACCUCCCGUUAUUUGUGGGCUUCACCGAUGGCUGGAAACAUUUGGUGAUAGCAAACGACCUUCGGGCUGAAGACGUCUGCGAGCUUGUUAAGGGGCCAGACGAUGGUGAGCCGGUGUACUAUGUCCGGAUGUGUGGUCACAAAAUUUAAAGCUGCCCUAGCUGCAUGUGUGUGCUUCUCUUCUCUUAGGUGGGGUGCUAAGUGAUCUUAGUAGCCGACAUAAGAGAAGAGAAGCGCACAGAUGAAGCCGGGGCGGCUUUAAAUUUUGUGACCACACAUCCGGAUAGAGUACACCGGCUCACCAUCGUCUGGCCCCUUAACAAGCUCGCAGACGUCCCCAGCCCGAAGGUCGUUUGAUGUCACCAAAUGUUUCACGCCCUCAGUGAAGCCCACAAAUAACGGGAGGUGGUAGACUACAGAGCUUAAUCUCUUCUUGGGGUCCUUCAGCAUUAUAACAUCACAGCCAUGCCUUCUCUGUCUAACUGCAUUGGAAAGUGCACUUCUAUCUGCGAGCUUGCUUCCCGACCCGAUCCUGCCCCGGAGGCGGGUUUGGGCUCGAUUUCUUUUGAAUCACCUUUUCUCCAAGUUCCCUUAUUGAUGGAACCUACAAUCUUGACUACCUCAUCCCUAUUCUCUGUUUGGGACUUAUAUGGAGAAUGGCAUCGGCGGAAUGCCUGAAUCGGGUCGGGAAGCAAGCUCGCAGAUAGAAGUGCACUUUCCAAUGCAGUUAGACAGAGAAGGCAUGGCUGUGAUGUUAUAAUGCUGAAGGACCCCAAGAAGAGAUUAAGCCCUGUAGUCUACCACCUCCCGUUAUUUGUGGGCUUCAUCGAUGGCUGGAAACAUUUGGUGAUAGCAAACGACCUUCGGGCUAAAGACGUCUGCGAGCUUGUUAAGGGGCCAGACGAUGUUGAGCCGGUGUACUAUGUUCGGAUGUGUGGUCACAAAAUUAAAAGCCGCCUCGGCUGCAUGUGUGUGCUUCUCUUCUCUUAGGUGGGGUGCUAAGUGAUCUUAGUAGCCGACAUAAGAGAAGAGAAGCGCACAGAUGAAGCCGGGGCGGCUUUAAAUUUUGUGACCACACAUCCGGACAGAGUACACCGGCUCACCAUCGUCUGGCCCCUUAACAAGCUCGCAGACGUCCCCAGCCCGAAGGUCGUUUGAUGUCACCAAAUGUUUCCCGCCCUCGGUGAAGCCCACAAAUAACGAGAGGUGGUAGACUAUAGGGCAUAAUCUCUUCUUGGGGUCCUUCAGCAUUAUAACAUCACAGCCAUGCCUUCUCUGUCUAACUGCAUUGGAAAGUGCCCUUCUAUCUGCGAGCUUGCUUCCCGACCCGAUCCUGCCCCGGAGGGGGGUUUGGGCUCGAUUUCUUUUGAAUCACCUUUUCUCCAAGUUCCCUUAUUGAUGGAACCAGUAUAUCAGACUAACGGUAUAUCCCUUUAUCGAUGGAACCAGCUUGAAUGGCAGACAACGAGCAGCCUAGUAUGGAUGUGGUCUGCACCGGUGCGUCUAACAAAGUUGAUGAAGACGCGACCAAACUUGAAUGGCAGACAACGAGCAGCUUCGGUGAAGGGAGCGGGGAGGAUAGUUCUAGUGACGAUAAUCCUUGUACUCCUAUACCUCCAAGGAAGAAAAAAACAUCAGAUGAGCUUGAUGCUGACUAUAUUCCCAACGAUGAAGAGGUAAAUAGAAAUAUGCCGACUAUAUUCUAAAAUAAUGUUCAUAUAUGAAAGGCCAUUAAUUUUUUCACUAUAUAGAUUUCAAAUAAAGAGAAGAAAGAGGAUGCAUCUUCUACACGAAACACGGAGGAUGCUCCGAUGCCUGAAUCAUCCGUUUCACAUAAGCGGAAACGAGGGCGACGAGGUCCAAAUCAGAUGAAAGAAGGUGCAGUUAUGUACGUAACAAAACUAAAUGCAGAGGGGUUUCCUGAAGAACCACUUGACGUGGUUACAAAGUUUCGAAAUUCCUGCGGGUCUACUGUUAGAGAUAUAGUGCCAAUCACACUUCAAAAAUGGAAGGAUUUAGAUGAAGACACCCGCAACAAGCUAUGGGCUAAGUUGUCUGAGUCAUUCAAGUUCUCAAAAGGCACAGAGGAUGCAGUAAGGAAGUCGAUGCUCUCUGCUAUGGCCAAGAUGUUUCGUGGGUGGAAGGCCGAGAUGAAUAGGGAAUUUGUUAAGAAGAAUAAGGUUCCUCCGCCCAAGAAAAUGGGGAAAAUCACUCAAGCUCAGUGGGAGGAAUUUGUUCGUCAGAAGACCGAACUGAAGGCCAAAGAACUGGGCGAAACUAAUUCUCAGAGAGCGAAGAUGAACAAACACCCCCAUCGCCUGGGGUCAAGCGGAUAUCACCAUAAAGUUGUGCAGUGGAACAGGAUAAUCGAGGAAGCUAUAACUAACGGCACUUUGGACCCAAUAUUAAAAGAUAUCGAUGAGAGAGCUAUUCGUUGGAUCUUAGGUCGGGCAGGUUUGAGUGAGGACGGCAAACUUUUGCAUCCAGAAUUGGUAGGCGAAGUUUCGACAAAAAUUCAAGAAUAUGCAGAUAAGAGAAAAAAAGGAGAAUUUAAGCCUCGGAGGGAGAAUGACAUACUAACUGCAGCACUAGGCAAUCCUGAACACACUGGACGGGCUCGGGGAAUCUCUUCUAAGAUUUCCUGGAGAGAGGCGUUUCCAGAGUAUGCGUCGUCAUAUAGGAAACACGAGAAGUCGAAAAGGACCCUUGAAGAGACUAUUGAUGAAAGGGUACAAAAGGCUAUUAAUGACGUGAUGAACAAAAUGAAGAAAACAGAAUGCAUAUCAUUUGAACUCAAGCCAAGCCACAUGAGUCCACCUAUAGUCCCUAGCAGCGUUGGAUCUGUGCAAGACUUGACCAAGUACCCUGUAGACGAUAUUAUUGAGGACAAGCCUUGCUUUCUUCAUAUUCCAAUCAAUCGAUCUGGGACAAAAACAAAGCAAGCUGCUACUGGUUUGGUAAAACUAGGACUUGUUAACUACAAGGAUAAUCCUGUCCCGCCACACUAUGCUGUGGUCCAAGUUCUAGAAAUCACAGACAGUGGUUGUGAAGAUUGGGAGAUAGAUUUUCCAGUUGAGGGGAUCAUAACUUUGCAGGAGGCAAUGAACGAGUUGGUCCUUUGGCAUCGACGCGACAUCAAGUUGGGUGAUGAGCCGAAUUCAACACCAAUGCAACAAAAAGAUAGUUCGAUCAUUCCACACCCCAUGGUGCAGGAAAAUAUGACACCGACCUCCAGAAAAAUCGUUGAAACAAUCAUAUCGCCUCUUGCGAAGGAACUCGACGACGGGGACGUAGACAAAAUUGUUCCUCAGAAUGUCGACGUCAACAUCAAAAAGGAACCAAAGGUUGGCACCAAUGUUGAAGGGCCAACUAUUUCAAAGAAAAUUCAUAAGCGAAUCGUCACUGACGAUGUCAAGAAACUGUCAGAAUCAGUGGCACGCUACCUGCAUAAAUUGCAGAGAGUUAUGACAAAUCAAUCAAAAGCGGAAUCAGCAUCUCAUGGAGUAGGCACAUGGUUGACCCAAAUAGACAAUUUCGAAGUAUGGGAAGAAGAUGGAAUGAUUCAUACUUGAGAAUCAUUACGUCUUAAAACCAAUAUCUCGGUAUACAAGAAGGAGGAUGUUCCUCCUAAAUUUGUGAAUGGGAGGCCGUUCUUAACGACGGUGCAACUUUCUAAGUUGUCGACUCCGGAGAUUAGAAUGCAUGAGUGGUACAUGGUGGCUAGCAACAAAUACAAACUCGAGGAAUUCACAUUUGUUGUGCCAGAAGAUGCAUUUUGGAGCAAUGAUCAUAUAGAUCCUGUGCGGCAUUUAUUCUUUGACGAUCUUUGGUCGUUGUACCACCGACAAAGGAUGGAAACCAACUACUUAACCCUCUUUUGCUUGUAAGUACCUCUAAACUUUCAUAAUUGUUAGUUUUGUACACGCACACAUAAACGAGAGUCUAACGAUUAACACUAUUACACGUAGGAUGCAAUACAUGGAUGAUAAGAAGAAACAACUUAAGACAGGGUUUCUUGACCCGUUGAUGAUAUCCCAAGCUCGCUACAAAGUAGUUGCUCGGAGGCAUGGAGAAGAAUAUAAAGACUUGAACGAUGCUGAAUUUGAGAAAGCCGUCAAACAGAAUCAGAGAAAGAAAAUGAAGGUAAUGGCGGCAUACAUUGGACGAGCCAUGUAUAAUCAUGUACAACAUGGCAAGGACUUAAUAAUAGCUCCGCACCACUUUAAGUAAGUUAUCGACAUGGUUUAAUUUUGAACUAUAAAUUAUUGCAAUCGUGAUAUUAACAUGUGUUUUCGUCUAUGUCUAUAUAGUGACCACUACAUUUGUAUCAUGAUCUGGCCAAAGGAUGGUAAAGUCGUGGUCUUCGACUCACUGAGAAUGGAAAAGACUACGUAUAAUGACUUCUUGAAGAUUUUAGAGAAGUAUGGUUAUUAUUGCACACUUGUACUUAUUACAACUUAACAAAUGUAUUCUUAAUCUCACAAUGCUAUUCUUAUAUGCAGUGCAUACCGUUUUUAUUGGAAAGAUCUUGGCGGCGAACAUCCAGAGGACAAGCCUAAUUUGUCAAUAUCAUUAUUUCCAUAUGGUGACAAACAACCUCCGGGUACUGUCCUGUGCGGUUAUUAUGUAUGCGAAUGGUGUCGUGUCACCUUCCAUUACAUGGUCAAUCGUGAGGAUGUAAGUUCGCUAUCAUUGUCUAUGUUGCAAUUUUUAUGUUAUAUUGUUGCUCAUCAUAUUACUCUUAGCACCGAUUGCUUUUUGUUUUCAUUGCAGGUUCCUAAAUCCAAGUUCAAUGCUGAAUGGUUAGAAAGAGAUAUGGUUUCCGUCGGCGUUGCUAAGGUUGUAAGAGACUUGCUUUACUUUAUGCGCCGUGAAGUUCUUCAUCAACAAGGGCUAUUCUACAAUGUAAAUGAAAAUUUGCAAAAAUUUCCAGAACUAAGUUUGUACACAAUAUCACACAGUGUUUAGGUCUUUAGUUAGGAACUUUAGAUGUUUAGUUGUCUAUGGAACUUUGAGAUGUUUAGUUGUAUAAUUCUGUGUAUGACGAUGGAACUUGAUAUGUGGAUGAAUCUGUGUAUUAUCCCUGUUAUGGAACUUGUAAUCUGUGUAUUAUACCUGUUAUGGAACUUGUAAUAUGUGUAAAUCUGUGUAUGUGGAUGAAUCUGUGUACAAUCUGUGUAUUAUGCAAUCUGUGUGAAUCUGUGUAUAAUCUGUAUAUAUGAAUCUGUUUAUACCUGUUUGAAAAUUCUGUGUAUUAUACCUGUUUGAAAAUUCUGUAUAUAUGAAUCUGUAUAAUGAAAACCGUCUGUGAUUUAUAGUGUAUGCAGUCGGUUCCUUUGAACUGGACCGCCUGUGAUGUGUGUCUAUCACAGGCGGUUCCGUUGAACUGGACCGCCUGUAAUCUGUGUUUUUCACAGGCGGUUUUUGAUUGACCGCCUGUGAUGUUGUUUUACAUCACAGGUGGUGCACCACAAGCGGUUACUGGAACCGCCUGUGUAGUGGCGAACCAGACCGCCUGUACAGAGAUGUGUUGUAGUAGUGAUCCAUUCAAUGCCAUUAAAAUUUAUAACUUCUCUUUAAUACCAUAACAUUUAAAUUUUAAACUCUUAAAUAUCAUUGUCUUUAGUUUGAAGCUAAUACUGUUGUUCACUUUAAAGCAAAUCCCUCUAAUAUCAUUAAAAUCUAUACUGAUCCAUUCAAUGACACUAGAAAUUGGUCCGAUCCAUUUAGGUUUUAAAAAUUCAGAUUAAAAAAUACAGAGAAAGUUCAGUCCAUACUUUUUGAAACCCUAAAAUUGCUUGAUAUAUUAGUUCGAUCCAUUUACUUCAUAAUAAUUUUGGAAAAAAUAUAUAUGAAAAACCGAAUAGAUAGAAUCGGUAUAAACGAAUAACCACGUAGUUUUCUAGGUUAUUAAAAAAUAUUGGCUGAAAUUUCUAAAUUAUUUAAAACCUCUAUUCAUAUCAAUUAUGAAAAAUAUAAAGAGUCUCUUGGAGUUGCUCUUUUGCAAUGCAUAAAUUUGCAUAUACAUUAUCUAUUAGAGAAAUAAAACAUUUGACCUAAUUUUAUAAAAUAAGAUAUUAUUGGAGUAGUUUUUUCGAUAUAGAGUCUUUGAGGCACGUUUUUGAGCCAUCGUGUUCGGUAUCGAGGGUCGAAGGAAAGGAUGGCCUAUUGGGACUGCUGAUUGAGCUAGGCCAUAUAUCAUUUUUUGACAUCUCUCCGCAUGUUUCCGACCUCUCUAUAAAUGAAAAAUUCUUUCCAUUCUCAAUCCCUCAAUCGUAACUAGAGGUGAAAACUACAUGAGCCGAGCUAGAACGGUGUGGCUCACUACCGAGCCAAGCCAGGCUCGGUUCGCCCAAACAUCGAGCUCCAUUUACAGGCUCGGCUCAGAGUAAGCUCGCUAGCCGCAGCUAAGGCAACCAGCCCGCAGUAGGACGUCUGGACUCCUCUGGACGGCUGCACCUCAGCACCUCUACGCCAUAUGAUCAGCGUUCAACAAUAACAAGGGAUGCAAGAGCAGCAAAAGCCAACAACAUUACAACAAACGCAGGUAGGGGCAGGGGGCCUCGAGUUGGCCAUUAGCGCCUCGUCGAAGAUGGAGGCGGAGAGCCAGAGGAGAUAGUCCGUCGGGGUCCACCGAAGAUGGAGCCAUGCCAUGGAGGCACCUUGAGCUUGACUGCUUAAGGGAAGGGAAGUGGAGGCGGGCAGCCGGGGAUCGGCGUCGGCGGACGGCGGGCAGCCGGGGAUUAGAGCUGGCCUACGACGACUCGCUGGUUCCACCAGUCCACCUCCACCCUGCGUGUGGCUUGCUUGGUCGGCGCUCCCCUGGAACGGGAAGGGUGCGACUGUCGCUGGCUCCUGGCGUAGGGUUUAAGGGAAUAAUGAGCUUGGUUGGGCCAGCUCGUGAGUGGCUCGCGAGCUUGUGCAGGCCGGCUCGUCUCGGCUCGAGAAAUUUUCGAGAUCACAAAUUCGAUUCGAUUUGGCCCAUUGUCAGCUCGCGAGCCUUGUCGAACCGAGCUCGAGUUGGUUCAUAGGUCGGAGCUAUUUUUUCAGCCCUAGUCGUAGCUACUAGCUAUUGCUAUGUGUAUAUCAUAGAAUCUAUACAUAAGGGAUGUUUAAAUGCACUAGAAAGUCACGGUAAAACGAAGCAGAAAUAAGGUCCCGUUUGGUAGGGCUCUUCCUCGAUCAACUUUAGUUUCAUCUUUGGUUCUGACUCCUCUAAGAAAACAACUCUCCCCUUUUUCAGAAAAAGAUCUAUAAAGAGCAUCUUGUUUGGUUGGAAAUAUAGCUCAUUCUAUAGCUUCUUCUUCUCGUCGACAAAGUGAAAAAUAUAGAAGAUGAGCCCGUAAAAGCUCAGUUUUUUUGGCUUCCGUCUGUUGCUGGUUUUUUAGAGCUCCUCUAGUUUUUCUAGGAAGAGUCUAUUAGAGAGCCUGCCCUUUCGUAGAUUUUUUUAAAAGCUUUUGUUGAGUUCCUUGUUUUAUUUUCAUGUGGAUACGAUUGUAAACGGAAACCAUCAGAGCGACCGCGAUUAGAGCGGUGGCACGGUUUCGUUAGCCCCGAACAAACAAAAAGGAGCAUCGUUAUCGCGCAUUGAAGGCGGCAGGGCCAGAGGCGCGAGUGCACGAACCAGGCCAUGUGAUGUGAGCGCCGAGACGACCCUAGCCAGCGUGGUCCACGGGGCGCGUGCGUGUCCGCACCAUCCGGCACUGGUUGCCACCAGCGCUCGGUGCUCGCUCCAUCAUCGCCCGCCCCCAGAUGGGGAUGGCCGAGUUUCAUGCCCGCCCCCAGCUGGGUGUCUGGCUGGGCUCCUGACUCGAGGUCCGACGUAGCAUGGCCAUGUGUUCGGAAGUUUGUCAACGCGCUCGUGGUGGCCGGUCUGUCGCGCUCACUUGUCUCUGUUGAUUGAGUUUUAAGAAAAACGCAGACUGUCACGUCACUGCAGAGUUGGCACGGCAUAGUUAACGGUUCGCGGGAAAUCUGGUAGUGGGAUGGAUCCGCAUAUUUAUUCAAAUAUUAAUUUUUUGUCUUCUUUCUUCGACGAUAAACAAAUAAUAUAUAGAAUUUGCUACGUAAAUCUCAAAUAUGUUCCAUAUCUUUUUAAACAAUUGAUAUAAAAUUCGGAUACCUAUCGAAUACGAAUUAAGAUAUUUUUAAUAAUGCACAUAAAAAAUGUACAAAAAAAUUAUUCUUGUAUUUUUAGCUUUAAAUUCUAUACAUAUCUAUGUUUAAAUUCUAUAUAUUUGCUUCAACUUUUUAAACAUGAGCAAAGAGCGUCACCAGUGUCGUCGCGGCUAGAGUAUAAGUUGAUUUAUUAUAAUAUCUCUACAUUGGUUUUACAAAAGUCAUCAGAUGACAUCAACAAAUGCUACUAUUAAAAAAAGGCAUUUUUAUAGUACAAAUUUGGAAGCAACUUAGAUCCCCUUUUGUUGCUUAUCAAGCUCAAUAUAUUGAUAAGGAGAUAUAACAAAUAGAAUUAAAUAAGAUUUAAAAACAAUUAAAUGUUAUAAUAAACAUAAUACAAAUAUAUUUUAAUCGAAAAAUAUCAACUCGGACGAUUAUCCUUAUCUCGUGCGUGGUUAUCCAUUUAAUCACGUGAGAUUUGUUAGCUAUCGCCUAUGAACAGGUCCAAACCUCUCCUUUAUAUAUGAAGGGGUACUGUCGAUUGAGAACCCCUGAACAUAUUCCAAUCAAACUAACUACUUUCUUUAUCGUUCCUGCUCUAGCAGUAGAUGUAGCAUAGUUCUAGUUAUAACUUUCUACACAUUCACCUCUACGUCGUCUAGAUCUGUCUUGUGUGGCCUGCUGACCCCAAGAAGACUAUAGGACCUUACCCCUUCCGGGGCACGAUUUAGUUGUCCAUUCAAGAUACUCUAACUCGACUAUCUCUUAAUUUAUAGGUUGCUCUACGUUGUAUGGGGACGCUUCGGGUUACCUGUCGAGCGGAGCACCCUAAGAUCCUCCUCCAGUGGAUGACAUCUAUCUACAUUCCAGCAAGAAGGAAGACAACCUUGCGCCAUCGCGGAUUGUCUGGCCCUGUACGUGGACCGUUCGGUGCGACGCAGUCACGCAGGGUAGGAACCGCUCAUAUGCCCAGAUCACGGACCAUUUGUGCCAUCGCAGAAAGCAUCGCCAGGUGAUACAUUCCUACUGAUUGGCACUGUCUAGAUCCACACCGACAGAGACCAGCCGUUAAAAACUCAUUACAAUUUUUGGACGGAGUCCUACUUCUAGCCUCCUUAUCUACGCCACUGAUGCUCUACAAUAUAUUGCAGACAACACCAUGGCCAAGUUAUUCCUCCAUCCUCCACGUCCUAAUCUGUGGUGCCCGUGAAACGCUAGGGAACAAAUGGAUAUCCAGGGUCUCUGUUGCUUGUGCGCGGCGCCCACGCACUGCACCUGCCGCCUCCGUACGUGUGUACAGGAUCGUCGAUCAGCUGGCACGACGGGCUCCGUCGUCUCGCCUGCGUGCAUGCACGAAUGCCAGCGCAUCGCCCCUUGUCCCUGUUCGCUCCAACCAAUCCAUCGUCCAUGCACGUACGUCCUUCAACGACCCAAUCAAUGCGUGUGGUGGUCGUUCAACCAUUGCUCUACACACACUAGCUCAUGAUCCAUCCCGGCCUGCAUUACUGCUUUGCCUGCCCAUUUUUUCCGACCCGGCCCUCUCCCCACACACGGAGCAAUCAGCUGGAAUGUACAAGGCCCGGCCAGUCGUGAUUGUUCAGGCUACAGUAGCUAGCUGCUAGCUCCAUAUAUAUCAGCGUCCGCGUGCAGAAACAGUCAAGGCUGUUGCGGUGCAGCUCGCACAGUCGUCGCAGCGCUGAGAGGAGUGUAGCUUAAGCAAGUGAUGUAGCCUCUCCUCACAGUCACAGCUAGCUAGGGGAUCGGAGAGCUACAAAAUCAUGGAAGCAACCACCAUGACUCCAGUGACCAGUGAGGCUGCUGUGGACGACUGCUAUUUGUGGUCCAGCGUCAAAGCUGCAGUCCGCCUUUUACCUACACAAGAAACACUGUUGCUGAAUCGAUCCAUCGUCCAUCGUCGGGUAGAUCUGACGUUACUCUCUUGCUACAACCCUCUAUGGUCACUGCAAACUUAACAGACAGUCAUAUUUUUUAAAACCUACUGACUGCAUAGACACAUUUUUGAAACUAGUCAUCUUUUAAGAUCUCUCUUAUAUAUAUGCAAUCCGUACCAUCUCUCUAUCACAAGCAGAACUGCAUGCAGGAGUGCAGAACCCCGUACAGUAGUGUGUGUAAGUGAUCGACUGAAGAGGAAGACAUACGGCCGUGUGUCAGGCUUGGUUCAGGAAAACUAGUACUACAGGAGUACGUACGCGCGUAUACCGACAACGUUAGCGGCAACAUCAUCAAUGAUGCACGAAUCAUUGGUCAAGUGAUCGUAUAGAGAAAAAAAAGUACACUGGCCGGGCUUCCCCGACAUGACGACCGCGCGCACGACUGAACGAACAACAUCGCUAGACCUCCUGUAUUAUAUGCUGUACUCUACUGCCUGUCAGACAAUCAAUGAAGUUAUAUCGCUCCUGUGUAGUAGAUUCGUCGCCCGUCGACGUUCGCUUCCUGUGCAGUGUUUUCGUGUUUUUUUAAUAAAGGAAUUGAAGGGUUUUUAUUAAUCCAUAUAUAGUUCUGUAUCAAGUUGAUUGCUCUAAUAAUUGUAAAAAAAAAAUCCAUGAUCGUCUGUGUUAAUUGAUACAUAAACGUUGUUGUAGCUAAAAUUCUGCGAAGCAACUUCUAAGGACAAUUCAAAUCCGUGUCCUGCGUGCCAGACAUUGUACCGCGCCGACCGUUCGGCAAUGUUUCAGUUUUCUUCGCUGUAUAUGACCGGACUGAAAUCUCCGGUUACAGCAGUACUGCUGUUUGCUGCCGUCCUUGGGUACUCUCCUUCCCCGGAACAGAACGUCCAACUUCCUCUCGACUGCACGCACGUACGAACACUUCCCUUUUGAUGAGCUGAUCUGGCCCAGGACCGAUUCAACCAGUGCGCGUACAUCGUCACGGCUUCUCCAUUGCCGUAGCCUCCUACGGUCUGCACUGUCUUGUGUGGUUCUUCAGGCCUUCAGGCAACUUAUAAUGGCCAUCGUUCUUCAGGGAAAUGCAUUUCUGCAACUUAUGCAGUAUAUGCCACGAUCAGGAUUCGGGACUAGGCAUGGACGACCAAUGGUGGCCCUGCAGAGGGGCGGUCGCUCCGGGCCCUGAAUUUAUAGGGCCUAAUUCUAGUCAUGUGAUCCAAUAGCCGAUCAACAAAAAUAAUAAAUAUCUAAAUAUGUUAGAAGAAAAUUAUAAGGUGAUACUAUAAUAUAUAUCCUUUUAUCUACUCAUUAUUUGAUAUAAAUAUUUUUAUAUGUAUUUGAGCGUUUAAUUAGUAACAUUUAUAUAUUAAAAAUAAUUUGAAGGCCCUCUGUUUAAAACAUUGUCCUUGUGCCCCUAAAUUGAGCGAGCGCGAUCAGGAUUUCCGCAACUUAUAAUGCCCAUCGUUUCUUCAGGGAAAUGCAUUUCUCUGCAACGUAUGCAGUAUGACACGAUCAGGAUUCGGGACUAGGCAUGGACGACGGAGCGAGAGCGCGAGAGCACGCGACGGGUGCAGGGACCGAGCGGCGCGCGGCGUUCACAUCACACCACAGGGACACGCCAGGCACACGGGCCGUAACUGUACGCGCGCGGCCCCCCGGCCCCAAUCAUGCAUAGCACGGGCGCGCCAGAGGCCGUGCACAAGCAAUCUAUUCUCGUCGUGCGUGCGAGGCCGACGGAUCGGCGGAUCCGCGCAGUAUUAACUCGCGUGCUUGCGGGUUACGGCUAGACAGCACAGAGAGCAGGACGAAACGCACAUCACUAGUGUAGUGUCAUAUCAUUCAGGCAGGCUAGCUAGCUUCUGACCGGCCGGCUAGCUCCCCCUUCGGCCUCGUCGACUUGUCACACUCCCAGUCCCAGAGCUAGCUAGCCAGCAGCCUUGCUCCCACGCACAAGCAAGUCCAAUUUGCAGUUGAUGAUUCGGUUUAACUCCCUUAAUGGCGCAUGGUUAGGGGUGGGGGGCCUGCCCUGGAGGGAGAUUGAAUGAUAGGUCGCGUAGCGGUUAGUGUACCCUCAUGGAGUCAUGGAGCCACAUGGGGGGGACUCCGCUGGGUUUUCCUUGCGCACAUCCGGCCGGCUGCGACCGGGACUGUCCGUCCGUCCAAAAAUGUACUGCGGGGUUGGAAUGUACUGUCCGGGCUAUCCCCCAUCCAAAGCAGAGACGACCUGCUGCAACUGCAACUGCAACGCAGCAAAAAAAAAAGAAGUUUUUUACGGGCCCGGCCAGGUAGACGGUGAGUGACCGACCGCCCGGGAUGACGAAGUGACCGUCCGGCGGAUGCGGAUGGGUCCACGCUCCACGGACCACGGCUGCGCAUUCACCUGUCAGAGCCGUGCGCUCGAGCCACGCCCGCGAGGACUCGGGCAGGACACGGGACGGGCGCGCGCGCGCCGGUUUGCGUUGCCGGUUGAGUGCACCGUGCACCGAACCAUGCAUGACCACGAACCGAUCGCAACGGAUCGGAGCAGCACGCAGUGAGUUGCCAGGUCGCCCUCAGCUCGCUCGCUAGCUGCAGGCCCCGACGACGUACGGCGCCGUCGCGCGGGCGAUCGGCAGCGCACGAUCGCACGUAACUGUCAGGUGUCUGCUGCACAUCGAUCCUAGCUACAGUAGCAAUCCUUAUGUACGUGACGAAAGUGUCUGCCAGUAGGAUGAUCGGAAUCCCUGAUGGCCUGAUCAGACGACGGGUAAGAAUUGACCAGUGUACAGUCCGGGCGAGUAUGCGAGUGCAGUGUCCCUCCCGCGGCACACUGCCCUAUGCGCCAGCACACGAGCACUGUCAACGCGCGUGCUGCAUUGCUGCCCAACCUAAACUCCUGCCGACGGCCGCGCCGCCGACGCGAUCGAGCACUGCGGCCCGCGCGGGCUGGCCUCGCCGACGGCCUUGCCGUACGUGCACGCACACCUGCCCAGCGGCCCAGCCACGAUUGCCCGCGCUGUUCAGAGCGACCCGGCGGCGAUGGGGAGAAGGCCGUGUGCGCUCGGCAGCUCGUGCUAGUUGCUACCAGCACCUUGCCCGCCGCUUGCAUUGACCUAGCUGCCCGCUUGCGCCUUGCUAGCCGGAGGAGCCCGUACCGCGCCCGCUCGCGUCGUCGGCCAGGCGCUCUAGCUUGCUCGUCGGUCGUCGCUCGCGGCUGCGCUGGCCGCGCGCGUCGUGUCUUUUGCCGUGUGUCUGCACGUUCUCGCCGGACACACCCACACCUUCGCUCGCACUGCCACAUGCUCCCCUUACGACUGCGACAGGCCUAAAGAUGAGGAUCGGCAUGGGAGAAGAGAACUGGACAGAGACAGGCAGCUAGACAGCGAGAUCGAGCAAGAGCCAUAUGGGCGAGAACUAAACGAGAGCCAAAAGCAACAGACCACACAACAAAUUAAUUACUACUAUGGACCCACCGAAGAAUUCACAGCUAGCGUUGGUUGUUACAGAAACUCUCAGCCUCCAAUCCUCUUGCUCCCAAACAAAACAAGUGGUAACCGUGUGUGUGUGAGCAGAUCCCGCCCCCAGCCCCCCUCCACAGGCCACAGCGUACCCGUCGAAGCGAUCUCCCUCGGGAAACCAAUAACAAAGUCGUAGGCGAUCUCGAGGAUUUGCUUCCCAUGCACCCCACCAGACCGGGGGCCGCCUAGGAUUUCACAUGGCACGCCAGUGCGUGGCGCCGCCACGUGAGCCCCGGGGCACCGCGCGAGUCCUGGCCGGCCACGGCGCAUGCAGCCGCGCAGACCGUAGCACAGCACCGUGCGGCCGCACCGCUCCCGUGUUCCGCUCCGCCACGGCCCCGGCCCGUCCGGCGAUCACUUGGGCGAAACGGCUCCGCCACCCACACCGACCACGCCUAGCAGCCCCGUAGCCCGGCUUGGGAUCCCCUGAGCCUGACGUCGCUCGCGGUCACUGUCGCGUGGGGCCAGGGCCCACGCGUAUCACUUCGAUCGAGUCGGGCGUAGACUCACAUGCACAUGCACGGCUGGAUCUGGACCAGGAGGAAAAUCUCUCCCAGCAGAGCAACUACCCACACCCACCGUAUAAAAACCCUACCACUUCCUCUCCCUCUGGGCUCUGGCCCUCGAUCGCCGGAUCUCUCAUCGAAUCUCUCGCAUCUCCAAGGUCUCCUCCGACCCCCUCUCACAUCACGACAUUCUUUGGCGAAUCCUUCCAGCUGCUCGCUCCAAGCUCCCAGCUCUCUGAGACUCUGACUGACCACCGCGGACGUGGUGGUCUCUAGCUAGCAUGCUGUCUUCACACCACGAGGCCGCCAUGCUGCCGUACGCGCCGGGGCCGCCGCCAUCGCUGCUGCUAGACCGGCGGUCGUACAAGCAGGGCGGCGAGGCGGCGCCCAGCUGCCCGCGCUGCGACUCGCCCAACACCAAGUUCUGCUACUACAACAACUACAGCCUCAGCCAGCCGCGCUACUUCUGCAAGGGCUGCCGCCGCUACUGGACCAAGGGCGGCUCCCUGCGUAACGUGCCCGUCGGCGGCGGGUGCCGCAAGAACCGCCGGGGCAAGUCGUCCUUGCGGUCGGCGGCGGACUCCAUCGCGAGCGGCGGCGGCGGCCGCGACGCGGCGUUCGGCCACCGGUUCCCGGGCCCUGUCCGCCCCGACCUGGUCCUGGAAGGCAUGGUGGGCAAUCACCCGUCCAACCCAGCUGGCCAGGCGGCGAUGCCCGGCGGCGUGCCCGCUGCGGCUGAUGGCUCCACCAUUGAUCUCGCAAUGCUGUACGCCAAGUUCCUCAACCACCCGCCGGCGGAGGAAGGCGUCGGGGCCGUGACGCCGCCGGAGUCGGCAGGGCAGGUCGACGAGGCGUUCGGCGCGUCCAGUGACCUGAUGAGCCCUGGUGCUCUGGCGCCGGUGCAGUUCGAUCCGUGCCAGGACGGGUUCGGUGAGUGGUCUGGCGUGCCAGUCAGCAGCGCUGGCCCCUCGAGUACGGCUAGUACUACCGCCGCAACCACCAUGCUGUGCACUGACGUGAGCGUGCAAGCUGCAUUCGGCGAGCUCAACUUCGCCAUGGACCAGAACUGCUUCGACUCGCUAGGGUUACCCACGGACGACGUCGGCAACCUCUCGUCGUCGUGGUGUUCGAUCGUGCCAGGCUUGUCGACGUUAGAGGACGCCAAGUAUGACUUGGAUUCGUUCCCAGAUGACGCCCUCAGCCUUCACGACGAGGGCAUGAUUAGCGGGACUGAUCAUGAUUGGAGCGUGGAUUGCCAAGGAUUGGAGACUCUCUACAUGCCGUAACUAUACACACGACCAAAAUUCUUCUUCUUCUCUUCUUGCUAAUUUGUUCUUGUUCUUGUGAUGAUUGGUUUCCUACAUAUUUUUCUCUUUCUUUUCUUUCGUUAAAUUCGGUUUGGAAGAAAUAUAUAUAGAGAUAUAUAUAUAUCUAUGUAUCUAUGUUUUGAAGAGAGGUACGUGAGGGACAAGUCGCGCGCUCAUGUAAUUGAAUUAAUGAUUCGGUAUACUUGUGAGAUAGAUCGAUGCAAUACAAUAAUGUUGAAGCUUGGAAAUUUUAGUCGCUAUAAGUAUAUCAUUAUAUGGUGUUACAGCAGUGGUCUUUCUACUGCGCCAGUGCAGAGUUUAUUCACAAUCUGCAGUUUUUUUACAUGAAUGUGUGGUCGUUGAUGAAUGCAUAUAUAGGAUGGAAGUUGAAAUGUUCACUGCUUACAGGAAAUGCUAGAGAAUGUGCAGGAAAUUUGACAAUACUCGUACUAUUUACUGACGAAAACUGGAAUCGCAAAACAUAUGCAUGGCGAGAACUGAUUCGCCUAUUAGAGUUUUGGUCAGCAUCAUCACACUGUGUGACUGGACUUGGUUAUACUAGUCAGCCAGUUAGGAGAGUAGGCUUAGCUUCCGAAGCAAAUAAUACCUUGCACCAUCCCAUUCCCAUGUAUUGAAUAGGGCAUGUGUCCCUUGUCUCCCGUCUGCUUGUUCAAAAUGGUUAGUCAAACAAAAGCAGUGUGAUCAACUGAGGGGCGUUUGGUAGAGAUCCAAUAGCUCCACUCUGAGCGAAAAUCACUCCUACGCCAAAUGGUAAAAAACUGAGCGGCUAAAUGGUGGGAGUGGAAUGAAUUUAGUCUUUAUUUUGUACUACCUCUGUUUUCAAAUAUUUGUUACCGUUAGUUCACUUUUAAACUAAAACAUCAAAUAUUUGUUGCCCGCUAGUUCACUUUGAACUAAAACACGAUAAAUAAGAAAGAACGGAUGGAGUACUAGAGAAUGAGCCAAAAGAAUCUGCUUUGCUUUCCACUGCUCUCUACCUACUCCCCACUCUCCAACCCCUUAGGAAUCACUUCAUAGACUAUUUAUCAAAUGGUUUUCGUUAGAUAGAUUCACUUCUGCUAAAAAAUUAUUUGGAAUCACCCUAUUAAAAAAUCAACUCUCAGAGUUAGAAAAUAAUGAAGCGGAGCUGUGUCAAACGAGCGAGAGGAGUAGCUUCAAUUGCCUUGUUAGAGAGAUUGCUUCUACAGAAGCAUUCAAUUCACCUUCAUGAUGACUUCUUUAUUUCUAUCGUCAAUAAUCUACAAUUGUUUUUUAUGCUCCACGGUUAAUAACGUGAUUCAAAGGCAGUACAUAGUAGUUAGUCCAGCUGUUCAUUCAGUAGCUACUAGCUAGUAAGAAUAUUCCUGCUCCGGCAUUGAAAAAAAUCAGUAAGCUUCACUGCAGUUCAUAUUCCCCUAGAUAAGUAAUACUAGAAAAUUAUUGUAGUUUCUUGAUCAACCAAUAAUACACAAAACCUUCACUAUUAGAACAUCUUAGCAAUUGGCUAACUUACAGCGUUUGGUAUGCAUAACACGGUAUGUAAUAACAGUAGACUCUCUUCAACAAGACUUCCUAAAAUGAUCAUUACUUUAUAUUUAGAGGAGAUCCAUCUACUCUAUCCAUUCUUAUAGAGAUUCUCUCUCCUCUCCUCCAUCCAUUUUAAUACUCUAAAUAAUAGAUUUAGCAAAACUAAAAUAUGUACAAAUUUGAGAGUAUGAUAAGUAUGUACGUACAAAAAAUAAAAGUAAAAAUAUGUCUCCAAUAUAGAUAUUUACGUUUGGAUGACGAGAUAUAGAGGACGUUGCUGCAGAGGAAGAAGAUAUAGAGGAGGCAACCAAGCCCUAAUGAGGGUUUUGGUGUGAUGACCGCCAGAUUAAAGUACUAAUAAGAUUUAUUGAGAUGACAAGCAGGGAAUCGAAAAGGGAGGUUGUUGUACAGGUUGAAGGAUCCCUCUAAUCACUAACGAUGGCUUUUCCGACUCACUAAGUUUAAAUGCUUUUAUGUUUUGUAUCCUAAGUUUAGAAAAAGUCGUACUAUCAAGAGGGAGUCAAGGACAAUUAGUCAAUUGUUGAACCAGAUGCUCAAAAUCUCUUAUUGGCAUCCUUAUACCCAUCCAAUUAGCCACCAAAAUUUUAUAUUCUAUCUCCUAAUUUGGCUAGGACGACAGUGCAACCCAUAACAUAAUGGUUAGAAUCACAAGUACAAAUACCCAUCUGUUCGACCACAACAGUAUCCUUCCUUGCAUCAGUCCGUUGCAAAACAGAAAACUACUCAGCUCUCUCUCCUCCAUUGUUUCCUCUCAAGCUCACAAGCAAAUCUUUGAUUCCCACCAUCAAAACUUGAGAGAAAAGGCAACAAACUUCAAUUAGAGAGUGAAUAUACUGAUUUCUAAUCUUAAAGAGCAUUUAGUUCACGUUUGGCCGACAAUUCUAGGGUUUGUUAUUCUUAGAUCUUGCUUCUUGCCAGCUAGACAUCGCACUUGUGCUUGCCAACUUAUAUGGCAGCCUUGGGAGGUUUGUAACACUCAAAUUGUACCUAAUAAAUUACCCAUUACUUCAAGAGUUGGGUCUCUUGAUUUGAGAACGAGGUUAGGGCAAGCCUAAGUCUUUUCUGACUUUCUCAACAAUGUGGAAUUAGACAAGCCUUUGUGGCGAGCUGAACCACGAGAUAAAUCAAUGUCUUGCAUGCUUAUUUACUCUCUUGCAAGUUCUUAUUGUUGAAUUGGGGUUUGAGGUUGAUCUAAUUGCUCACUAUUGAUAUACUUGAUUUAGCUUUCGAUCUUUUAUAUAUAUAACUUCAGAAACGCUAGAAAUUUACUUUAUUUAUGUUUUGUAGGUGAUCUAUUAUCUAUAUAACUUCAGAAACGCUAGAAAUUUACUUUAUUUAAGUUUUGUAGGUUACUUUUUGAAUGCAGUUCAAACUUUCCUGCGUAGGCCGACAAUGACGCCGUAAUAGGCAAACAGUGCCACCCUCUGUUCUAACAGAGUUUCGAGUUGAAUUAUUACAGGCCUGUUCACCCCUCUAGGCCUCCAUCCUAGUCCAAGAGAUCCUACAAAACAUAAGAGUAACUAUCUUGAUCGGUGGGGGAAACUUCUAUAUAAUCAAGCUUCUCGUGCAAUCAUCGUGCAAUGAAACCAUGAAAAGUCAUAAAAAUCUUUAAAAUAUUAUAUGUACUUCGUUAAAUACCAAAAUUAAAGUCUUAAUUAAUCCUAUAUUAAGAUAUAUGAAAAAGAGAAAAUGUUUCGUUUUAAACCCUAUGUAUUGGCUAGAAUUUUUUGUUUUUAUAUCUUUUAACACAAAAUGAAUUAGAUAUUAGAAUUUAAUAUAUUGAUAGAGUAAAUAAUCAACUAUAUUUAUAAUGGUUUUAAUAAUUUUCAUAUUUUUUAGUAGUUUAAUUAUACAUCGACUACACGAGAAGCUUAUAUGUUUUAAUUUAUUGGUCGUUUUGGUAGUUCUAGAUACGUAACUUUUAUUUUAUAUAUAGACAUGUCAUAUAUCUAGGUGUGUAACGAGAAAGUAACCUAUCUAAAAAAUAAAUAAAAAAUAUAAUUCAGAAUAGACAGGGACGAUACUGUCUAAAGUACUAUGUCCUCGAGAUUAAGAACACAUACUACACAAGAAGAACAAGGCGUAAUUAUAUUUAAAUAGGGGUAUAAAGCUUUUGCAGUUAUCGAUAGAAGACCUCGGGAAAUAAAAUGGUACUAAUGGGUAAGGAGAAUGCUAGAAAGAAUUUAGUUGACCAAGGCAGAUCGGGACCAACGCUGGCUGAUCAUACUGCACUGCAGUACCCGUGCGCGGAAUAUUUUACAGAGGGUCAACGCCUCCUCUCACGACGGAUAGCGUAGGAGCUAGAGCUCUGCGUGCAUGCGUCCGGUCCGCCUCCCAUUGCAUUUUAUGCUUGCCAUCCACUGCUGUCCCGAGCUGAGAUUGUAAUGAUCGAUCAACCUUGGGACCUAACCUCUGAAUCGAUCUCCUCUACAAAAACCGGGCUGGGGGGCACGCACAUGGGUUUGGAUUCUCGAGAGAGAUCAGGGACGAACAAGCCUGGUGGCCCAUGAUCCAAGAAGCGAUGGCUGCAAUACUCAUGGCGACCAGCCGAUCAAUAGCGCCAGAUACCUCCCACUCACAGUAAUCGAUCGAUCCUGUCCUCACCCUCUGUGAAAGAAAAAAAACUAUUUUGUACUCUCAAAACAGUUUUUUCUCCCUUAACAUAACUCCAAUACCAGAAAUAGCUCCCGCAUCAUCUUUCAAAACUGCUCACUUAGUACAUGUUUGGGAACAAGGGGAAUAUACUUAACUAUUUAAUUUUGAAUAGUAAAAAAGAUUUUAGUCCCUCCAAUUCUCUUCAUUUCCCUAGCUCCCAAAUAAGCCCUUAACGUUAUCUAUGUUUUCCUAAUAGUUUUUAUUUUUUAUAUAUUUAUUUCAACCAAAUCUUUUAAAACCAUAAUAAGUAUAAAAAUCAUAAAAUGGAAAUUCUGAUUAUAUUGAACUCCACAUAAUUAGAUCUAUACAGUAAAUAUAGCCACUUGCACACUUCCUUGAUGUAUGACCAGUAGAUAACUUCAAAACUUUUCAAUAGGUUAACCAUGUUGUAUACAUCAACUAAGGUUUCAACCAAUUGCAAAGUACACUUUGCCUAGAAGGCUCUCCUCUUUUGCCAUGUGGAAUCAGGAGUACCCCGCAUGUCUUCCACACACCACUUCUUGGACGGAUUUGGCGUACCACGCCAUGCCACCAUUUGGUGUGUACCAUAACUAGUCUCUACCAUUUACUAUGCAGGCCACACCUAUAUUUGGCUCGUGGUUAUACGAUUUUCAUGGAUGGUUGCCCCUUAAAUCGGUCCUUAAGAUUCAUAUAAUUCAGGUGAUAAACACAAACAAGGAAACUACCGAUAACCUCAGACUAGCCUUGAGCAUGGGCCACCCGACUUAACCUGCCCAAAAAUUCUGAUCCCACCGACCUGACCAAUGCAACAGAUUGGCACAAGCUAUAGUUUUUGACCCACAAUAAUUCACGGGCCACCCAUGGGCCAUGAAUUUUGACACAAAUCCCAAUCCAACCCGAAAACCCUGACCUAACCCAAAAAACCUCCGACCCGACUCAUUCAACGACUCAUUCAACAAGAAGGCACGAAUCAACCCAGUCUGACCUAACACUAGGCACACGUCGGGUGUGGGCCAUACCAAACAACCCAUAGAUCGAACUUACCCGACCCGACCCGAGGUUUGAAGAGAUGUACUCCGGACAUAGUUUCCAAACUUAUGGUAUCCCCGACGUAGUUUUCGAGACUGUUAGUAAUACCGAACACAACCCUCACCUUAUCAUCCAAAAUAAACUAUGCAUGUUACAUAAGAAUCAAUUGGCUAAAUGAAGUAAUUAAUUAAUCAAAUCAAACUUUAUUCCAAAUAGAAGCAUGACUAAGCAAUUCUACCCAUAACAAAAAGAUAACAACAGUUACUAGGAAUUUUGUGGAACUUUCUAGUAAACCCUAUAGCUAGAUUCAAAUUCAUUAACUCAACUAUAUACUUUUGCAACCAAAACAUUUAUAAAAAUCAGAUCAACGCCAUCAAGGACACUCGCCUCCGUUCUGGUAUCGUUGCUCAAUGAAAUGUAAACCUUGUUCUUGAAUGUCUACGUAGCCAUCGUGAAACAUGUUCUCGUCUACGGCGAUCGAUCACACACGCCUACUACAUAAAAGAAAAACAACAAUUCAUAUAUUGAUAAAAUAAGUAAUAAGUAUAUCUAUAACUUGUUUUUGUAAUUUUUGUAGUUUAAUUACAUAGGAAUAUUAAUUGCACAUUAGUUUUUCUCGACAUAUUUCGCUUGUCACGAACGAACGAGAGCCACUACCGGAAAAGGCUCCGUUGUGACGACGAUUUUUCUUUGCCGAGCAUCUGGUGACACUAGACAAAGUCUUUGUCAAGUGCCCGAUAAAAAGUACUCGAUAAAGAAGCUGUUGUCGAUGUACAGUUCACCGAUCUUUCUUUGCCGUGUGUCACACUCGGCAGGACCGUGCCGACAAAAUCCGAGGCCCUGUAAAAAAGAUUUUAAAAUAAGACCUCUUUACUAGUCGAGGACGUUAGAUAUCAGUGAACAAAAUAUCGUAAAACUGCAGACAUGCGGGUUGUGGCUAAACUCAUGGCUCACGUCAUGGAAUAGAAGCAUACGUACAGACAGAUUAAUAAAGAAUUAGAGAUGUUUGAAUGCAUUAAAGCUAAUAGUUAUUUGACUGAAAAUUGUUAGUGAAAUUAGCUACCUAACUAUUAGUUAAUUUACUAAAAAGAGGUUAAUAGCUGAACUAUUAGCUAUACUAUUUUAAUGUAUUUACCUAAUUUUAACAGCUAACUGUUAGCUCUAGUGCAUUCAUACACCCCUAAUUAGCAAAGUGAUCCGACAUAAUGUUAACAUUUUUUUGAAUUUAAAUGUGGAGACAACGUGGAACCAAAACAACUUGUGCUUUCAUAUAGUACAAAAAUAGACUAUUAUAUAAAUGUACCGCAAAUUUACACGUUUGGAGGCCCUAAAUAUUUAGGGCCCCUGUUCCAGUGCAAAGCCCGCACACCCUCUGGCACGGGUCUGACACUCGGCAAAGCAUUUGCCGGGUGUUUUUAAACACUCGGCAAAACAGCUGAUUCCGGCAGUGAGCGCAACAACUUGUUUGUCAUGGAAUGAUUAUAGUUGAUGCUUGGUGCAAGAUCCCAACCGUUUGACUUGUUUCUUUCUAGUCGUGUGAGCCUGUCGUAGUUUGCAAGCGGGCCUUUGACCCAGAGAACUCGGGUGCCGUUUGGUUCCCAAAAUGUAACGUAAAUGGUAACAGUAACGGUUUGCAUUCGAUUACCAGUGGUAACAAGUUUGAAUAGACUGGUAUCAAUUUCUAGUGUGGUAUCCGAUUACGAUUUGACUUAAACAAACAUGAUUUAACGUUAUUUGUUACCGAUUACAUUACAAAUAUGUGAACCAAACAGCACCUCGGUUGCUUUAACUUACUGUUCAUAGCCGACAGCUGGAGACUAAUUUGAAAACCAGAGUCUAAAACUCUGCUGGUGGUAUUUUCGAAAUAAAUAUAAAUAAAUAAAACCAAGUAAUUAAUUAUUUUCUCAAACAACGAAAGAAUCAACAAAUAACUGUAGAGCAUGUAAAACCCUACUAUUUAAUAUGAGGUCUCUUAACUCUUGAGAGAUUUUAGAGGACUAAAUUAAAAAAAUAUAAGAGUGUUGUAUUAUAUAAAACCGAUCUAGGGGGUUAGGACUUAGGAUUGUACAUCAUGCAUAACAAAUAGCCAUGUGCCCACUAUCACCCAGAAUCCCAGAUCCUCAUCACAAAUGCAUGAACAGAAGCCGACGUUGCAUACAGCAGCCAUCGUUAUGGAGUAUCCGUAUGCCGUUGCUGCACCGCGGUCCAUGCAGUUCUAGCGUGCGAGGGUCCUAAAGGCUAAAGAUCCUCGUUGCGCCACAUGCUCCUGCUGAUGCGCCCGGUGAAGAUUCAGCCAGCGCUAUGCCUGGGCGGAAUGGCGGAUCAAGCGGUAAACUGUGGUCGUUGUGCAAAACUGCUGCUAAUAACGAGGACCGCCUGCCCCACCGACCGGCAACGGUGCAUGCGGCAUGCCACCAGCAGGCCGCGAUCAUGCACGGCGGAGACCGGAGGCUGGAGGGGGACGUCGUCACGCGACUCACGCCACCGCCUCCCCGCAUGUAUCGUCCUCCUCAUCCUCGCCUGGAUCCACCGCCGAGGCACCAUCGAAACACUCGGGGUUGUGUUUUGGUUAGAUGUACAUAGAAUGAUGAAAUUCAAGAGUGACUAUAGUUUCUAUAGUGUUUGAAUAAGAGUUACGUAGAGACGAGGUAAACACCAAAAUAGUUUUUGAUGGCGGCAUGAUACCAAUAAAUCGAGGGGACGAUGUUGUCCCGGCUCAUCUCACUUUAACUUAUUUUUCCAAGUUUAAUUUAGAACAACUCUAUAAAAUAAUUUAUUCAAGGACAGAGAGGGUGUGCCAUGAAGAACAGUAUAUAUGCAUACAGGCUUGCGUAGCAGCAGCCACAACGCUUCUACAGCACGCAGUUCCGACCAGUAUCAGGCAUAGUACGUGUUAUACGUAUGUUAUAUGGCCCAAUCGACAAAUGAGAUGCACUAUCAUGUAAUCUAAAUUUUUUUGACUAGCAAUCUAAUAUUUUUUUCAAAUAUAUUUUUUGCGGUCGCAACGCGCAGGAGCACGCACGAGUGAUUCACUAAUGCAUGACCGAGGUGACACGCCACCGCUGCCUCCGGUCCAGCCGUCGCCUUCGUCGGUCCGGGUCCAGAAGUGAGGUUGUGAUGAAUGAAGAUAAAACUAGAACAUUAGGCGCCCCUUCGGGCGCCCUACAGUGGACCGUAAGCUCGAGAAGACCAGGAAUCGCCCCUUCGUUCAGGAUGAGGUCCCUGUACCUGCUGCGGUCGCUCUCGCACAUUGUCAGGAGCGCUCCCACGGCGUGUUCUCUGCCCUGAAGGGAGCCCUCCUCAAGCACCUCUACGACGGCGAGCACUCCGCCUUCCUCGGAUGUCAAGGCCACCCGACACUGGUCAAAAGCGAGCAACGACUCGAGAAGAGCACAGCAUUUGUCGGCUGUUUUGGAGGACCUCUUGCCACCCUUCAGUAGCUCUAUUAAAGGGGGGAUCGGCUGGGCAGAAAGGAUAGCUUGAAGGUUGUCUGCGAUUGUGGAGAGGUUGUACAGGGCCAUCACAACAUCAUUCUUGGCUUGGGGAUUCCCUCCUUUGAGGACUUCCACAAGUAGAGGGAUUGCUCCUGAGGCACCUAUGACAGGCUUAGUGGUGGAUGAGGUUGAAAGUGUAAGGAGAGCAGCAGUGGCGUACUCCUGCAAAUUUGGAUCGCUUGAUCGCAAAUAACCAAGCAGGGGCUCAAGUGCACCAGCAUCCACUAUCUUGGUUUUAUUUCUGCAUAGAUGCAACAAACAAUAACUUAGGAACUAUUUGCAUCAUAAUUAGUCCACAACAAGCCAAAAUAUUCAUGCAAAGAUUACAAUACUCAUCAUACCAGGUCAGCUACUCCAGAUUGUACAGAAAUUUAAGGCUAUACAACGACAUAGUUCACUGAUGGCAUCCAAGUAUGAACUUAGGCCAAGAUCCAGACAAAGCCACAGUGACAAUACAUUUUACUGAAUUCCAAGUAUUAUACAACGAUGUUACUUCUUUCCAAAAAAUUAAAUCAAUGCACAAGACACUGCUGGCUUACAUCUUCAGUUGGUUUCUCUUUCGAAAUCACAACAUAUGAGAUUGUAAGAAAAUGUUCCUGAAUGUUCUCUACUUUUCAAUAAAAAAUAUAAAUCAACUGUUAUAUCUUUCAUAUUUCAGGAAAAUUUGUGCACGCAAACACUUUUUAAGAAUUAUCCCUUAGCAUUCUUGCACAGGGAAAAAGGAUCAGAAAACAAAUAUUUAUCAUUCAAUCUAAUAAUUUAUGUAAGAAAAAAAAUCAAACGAUUAUCUGUGUACUGGUACAUCAUGAAAACGAAACAAUACAUGGAGAAUGUCUAUUAUACACUAUGUACAUCUUUAUAUGUUAUCAUUACAUCUACAUACAAUCCGGAAGGGGGGGGUUAAGUGCCAUGCCUAUGCUAAAUCGUGGUGGGGGUAAAAUUUGGGCAAAAGAAAAAAAAGGUGUCACGACAACGCACAACGCUGGAAAGUGGUCUGACCACAAAUGUAAACAUGUAGAUUAUUAGACAUUGAAACCUGAGAAUGCUCUGACCACAAAUGUAAAUGUGGCAGGGAAGCGAAAUGGUUGAUCAGCAGCAAUCACCAAAAGAUCCUCUCCUACAAAAUUUAAUUCAAGUCAACAUAAUAAAAUUUGUAGAAUAAACCUGAGAAUGACAAUAGUGAAUGUUGUGCCGAUUACUAACUUCCAAUGACUGAAUUACAGAAAAAUUUUACAGUUAUGCACUAUUGUUACAUUAAUAUUCUGUGCAUUGGCUGUUAACGAUGCUAUAGAUAGGAAAAAAUCUAACCAUACCAAAUUCUGAGUUUCCAGUAGUCUACAGGUCAUGCCUACAGCCGCAACAGAAAAAAGGUAUCAAGUCAUCCCUGCACCGAAGAUAAAAAUAGUUAUAGCAGCAUCUUUCAAUGAAGCACUUAUAAGGAAUUUACUAACAUUAGAUCAUAGCAAGUUUCAGUUCAAGUGAUUUGUUUACACGAAGCUAAUAUACAAUAUGGUUACUUAACUUCAUUUUGGCUCUAUUAACAAUUAAUUAGGGAUGGAAAGCGAAUAAAACUGAAGCCAUCACAGCAACUGAUAUGAAAACAAAUAUUAUGCAUUCAAAAUAAUCACCACCAUGGCAAAAGGAGUAAACUAAUGAACCCAUCUCAUAGGAUCAUACACCAUUCAGGAAAAUGCAGCAGGCUUUUCAACCACACUUAGCUUCAUAUUUUGGCACGUACCAAAAAGGAUCCUUUUGGAGCCAAAGAAGGCGUUGUUGCAGCUAUUACCUUCGUUCCUAAAAGACUGUCAUUCUGGCUAUGCACCUCUCUAAGGAACAGAGGUAGUGGCUGAUAUAACAGCAUGUAACUAAAUUACAUGGUACCGUGCAACGGCAAAUAAGCCGAGUAUAUCUCAAUUUUACCGCCUUCCAGCUUAUAACUGGUCUUCCAAAUUAUAACCGGUCAUUGAGGAUUUCAUAAUCCAAAGGGAAAAAAUUAUAUGACAAAGAAAACAUAACAAGCAUAAGAUUGCUCAGUCAAAUACUUCAAGAAAUUUCAUGUCAGAUCUGUUUGAUAUUUGAACAGGAAAAAUUCUAUCAUAACAGGAAUCGUGAUGUCAAUUGUCAACAACAAGAGGUAACCAGAACAUCGACUGGCGAGUGCAGCAGGAGAAAUGCAAGCCUGGCAUAGUUUUAGUUUCUACUUGAGUUGGGUCAUGGUGGAGCAUAUUCUCUUAGCCGAAUGUAUUCUUGCUCUCUGACAGUCAUCUGAGUCACUAAGGAGCAGAACAUCGGCUGGCGGGCGCAGAAGCAGGAGAAACAUAAGCCUGACAUAGUCGAUACACCUGCUCAACUUGCUUCUGAUUAAAGGGCUUUGUUGUUGCCUAUUAAUUGAUGAGAUUAUGCUCUAUAUAUCUGUAAUUCAGUAGACCUAUAAUAGCUGAUUGAUGGAGAGUACAGGUUCGGUUCGACCUUCUUGAUCUAAUAAUUUGAGUGUUUAUUUUUUCCCUUGAUCUACUAUUACUGCUAUUGUGGUUACAAUAAUGCCCUCUUACUUUUCUUAUCCUCUUUUUUUGGUGAGCCUUGUUGGGUUUCAUUAGUAGCCAAUCCCAAGUUUUUUUUGGGACUAAUAGGCUUUGUUGUUGCUGUUGUUCGUGUACAGGGGGCAGAGUUCAGGAUGCUUGGACAAUGCGGGAGCAGCUGGAACACUUUAUGAAGCAGUACCUAAGAGUAUUACUGUUAGCAACAAUAACUUGAGCACACAAACGGAUACAGUUUUUCUAGACCCCCCAUAUGAGCCACUCUGGACAAAUGUUUUUGUCAGAAAUUGUGCCAAAGUUUCUCUUCCCUUACAGUGGAGCCGUAUUCAGGUUUGAGGCUGAAAGCAUUAUCUCUAUUGAUAGUACAUCCAUACAAUUUUGGUUCAAGCAUUGCACUUAUGUUUUGCUUUACCGUAGAUGAACUCACAGAAAAGUCACAAACAUGUUUGUUCAGGAAGAUAUUAGCUUUGUUUGGCUUUAUGUGUUUCUUACAUAGAUAGGGGGAGUGCUGGUGUCCUAUGGCUUUUCUGUACUUUUUGUAACAUUUUAUGCCAUAUGCAUACAUAGAUCCUUCAGUCACAAAUAAUUGGUGUGCUGGGCAUGAACAUUGUCCCGCAAAACCCCUAACUGUGACCAUUGUUUGUUACUGAAAUAUAUGUUUAAAACAAAACAAAAGAACGAGACUGAAAGUCUUUCUUGAGGCUUUCUACAAAAUAUAUAAUAUAAAUACCUUUUCAAUUGACAGAUCUAAAUACAUACACACUCACACACAUAUUAUUUCACUAAAAGUUUCCUCAAUUCUACUAUCAUUUUCUUAAAUGCUUCCUAUUUCAGGCUCAAGGACAGAUUCUUUUAGCUGGUGGUACUCUAACUUUUGGCCUGACACAUUAUCCAUAUUCAGAAUUUGAGCUGUUGGCUGAGGAACUUCUUAUGAGUGAUUCCACAAUCAAGGUACUUUUUUGGCAUUGGGAGACACCAUAGUAUCUGGGGGGACAAUGAUUUUUAAAGCAAGCUCAUAAUAACAUUUUUCUCAAACGGGUAGGGGAGCUGCGUAUUUUUAUAUUAGAGGAAAAAGGGGGAGAAAGCCCAUACAAGGCAACCAUUACCUCAUCUACGAAGUAAGAACAGGUUGCAAACAAACCUAAUUAAUGGCCAAAUCAUUUUUAGCUUUCAUAGGGUGGUUUAAAUGCAAUUAUUAACUUUUCUGGCAGUUUCUGGCAUUGAAACAAACCGAGAACAGUAAAAAAACCUUGAAAACACUGUACUUUUUUGAGCUCAUUGAUAUGCAGCAUCAGUAUUCAACUUGGCAUGAUGAAAAAGGCAAAAAAGCCGCUAUGAAUGACCAAAUAAACAUAAUAUUGCAAGGAAAAUCUCGGUAUAAAGAACAAAUGCAUAUUGUUAUCCAGAACAGACCCCAUAAAAAUAUUGGUAACAGGCCAGUUGUAGAAUAGACUAACACAUCUGCAUCUGCCUGGCUUGCAAUAAACAUACCUCCAUAGCUACCUCCUUAUCUUUUUCCUUUAUUCUGUAAGCAACUCCCCACUAAAAGAUGUAAAAUAGACGGAUUAACUCGCAAAAUCAACCACAUCAACUGCGCAGCGGAUCGUUAGGCUCACAAAACACAGAUGUAGAUGAUAACAUGACGGAAGGGGAGUAACAUCAAGUCAUCAACCCUGAAAUUAUUAACCAUCCUUGUAUUCAGGCUGUCAUAGCAGUUACAUUGACAGAGUAGGAGGGUGGACAUGUGAAAGGGCGUACGCAAGUCGCUCCGAGCUGGUGCUCGAGCGUGACGGUCCUCCCGGGGAACUGCGGCGUGCCCCUGUGUUCCAUACUCCCUGUCCACCCACCGCUGAAGGAAAAAUAAUUUGAGGGCGUGACCGUGAAGACGGACGGAUUGCACCCACAAGCAGGUAAGCAGUGUGGAGGUUACCUUGGUACAAGACGUGGUGGUAGUCCCGACGAAGCCGACGACGCAGGCGUCGUGGGUGAUGCCUGGGUUCCAGAUCAACGAGCAGUACUCGAACACCCAGAUCUGAGACAUGGUCACUGCGUCUCCUCCCCUGUCUCCCGGCGUCACCUUCCCUCUGGUCCCUUUAUGGGGGCAUCAGCUACAUGCUUGCUCCUCUUGUUGGUGCGAGCACGAGUAGAAGAAGGCAGCAAGAAGACAGGCAGGCGAAGCCGCGCAAUCGCCGCCUCCAGAUCCUCUGCCACCUUGCCCCCAGAUUCAUGGUAGCCGGCGCGGGCACCGGAGCCUCCAUCUCUGUCGCGCACUCAGCCGCCCUUGACCGGCGUGUGCUCCCCCUGCGGCGGGCUAGAAGAGACCAGAAGGGGCAGGGGAGCAGCAGAUACAGAAGUCAGGCAGACGACGGCGUGUGAGGAGAUAGCGGAAGGGAGGACAAUCAAAGCUGAUAAACAAUUUGUAUCUAGAAACUUCACGUCCGUGAUAGAGAAAAUCUCGCUCGCGUCCGUGGUGCGUGGACGUGUCGGUAUACGUGAGGACGUCGUACCCGGGAACGCGGAGGGAGCCCCAAACCCCAGCGCCUUUUAACUAGAAGUAAUAAGGGGACAAAAUGAGAGAGAGGGCGAUGCGAGUAUUUAUACAGGUUCUAAAAACGUAUUUAUAUGGUUGCUGUUUUUACGGAUCUGACUGUUGCCAAUCUUGGAAUUGUGUGGGUUAAUGGGCUCUAGUUAGGUAAGCGCCCACCUUUAUCGCUGGAACAAAGUCCAAGCCCGCUUUAGGGUGAAGCGGGCUUAGUCCUCCACUUCGAACUGCAGCAAGCGUGCAGAUCUGCUUCUGUCCGGUAAAUCACACAGACCGAUUCGUCAGCCUGCUAGGGGUCAAAUAGGUAAGCGGGCCAAAACAGAACAGAAUUUAUGUGUCGCUUUGAUUCGGCUUUCAAGGGUCCCGGCUUCCGUUUAGGCAGCAUAUCAUACAUUUAUAUAGUAGUGCGAAACACUAUAUAGUGUAGAUAAUAUUGCUUAUAAAGUCUAAAAAGUCUAAAAUAAGAAGUAAGACAAAUAUAAAAUAAGAGAGCUACUAGAGAUAACCUUAUGGUCCUACUAGUAUAACACCUAGCUAGUGCCACAGUGACGAGAUCCCACCCACGAUUAGACUAUCUCUAUCAGCUUAUCUAUUCUCAUACUCACAUUAAAACUUUACUCUACGCAGAACAAAACAGUGCAAUACACUAGCGGUUGAGCUAAGAAAACACUGGCGGUCGAGGUAAUAAAACCAUAGGUGAAAAUAUUUUCCAAGAACAUAAAAAUGUGUUUUAAAAAUAGCAAUAAAAAUAUUAGGAGGAAGGCCCCAGUGCCCACCUACCCGCCCGUCUCUAUCGAAGUCGUAAGUCACAAGUCGCGGCAUUUUUCACGCAAAAAUACGCGGUCGAUGGGAAUCAAACGGACGACCUUCCCCUCAUGUGUAACCUCCUCUAGUACUCCGCUUAUCACUACUUAAUAUCUAUGUUGUAGUUUUGUUGCCCACCUAUUAUAACCAAUGGAGUGUAAUUGAUUGUUUGAGGUUGUAAACGAAUUAAAAUGAGAAAGUUGUUAACUAUAAAGUUUCAUAACUUUUGAAGUUCUACAACUUUUGUUUUGACACUUUCCCAUCCAAGGUUGUUUGUAAAAUUUAUAUUUUAAAUUUGACAAAUUUAGAUGCAAUUUUUGAGAGCUGAAAUGAUUUCAAAUAAAAAGUUGUCAACUAUAAAAUUUCAUAUCUUUUAGAGGUCUACAACUCACAAUUUUUGAGAGCUGAAAUGAUUUCAAAUAAAAAAGUUGUCAACUAUAGAAUUUCAUAACUUUUAGAGGUCUACAACUCUUAUAUUGGUGUUUUUUUUUCAUACGGGUCAUUUAAAAAAAAUCAGGAUAAAAAUGAUUUUGAGUGGCGGUUUUUUAAGAAAUCACUAAUAGAAAUAGCAUUGUCGUUUGAUAACUGAAAUCGCCUGUAAAAAUUAAGCCCCACCACAUGCUUUGAUUUCUUUUCUACCAGUGGUUUAUAGGUGAUUGGUUAAAUUAAGUGAGACGGGUUGGUUAAAAAAAUAUAAUGACGGUGGAAUUAUGGAAACUAGUACUUUAUAUUAUCUAGAAGUUCUAUAUUUUUAUCUGACUUUUUUAUAUUUAACAUGCUACGAAAAUUGUGGAUAGUUUUCCUCUUGAGCCCCGCUUUCUAGUUAACCAAUGAACCACUCUUUAACCACUCUUUGAGAUUGCAUGUCAUCGAUGAACCACUCUUUAACAUUGCAUGUCACCGGGAGAACCCCUUACAUCAAACUCAAAACUUUAAUCUUGAGCGGAUCGUGUAAAAUAGGGGAUGUAAAACUAUAGAUGACACUAUUUAAUAUUGUUUAUAGAGUGAAGUUUGAAAUCGGAGAUGGAAUAGAAGUGAAAUAGAGGAUCCGUUGGAAAUGAUCUAAAUCCUAAACUUUAACCUCACUGUUACUGAAGCAAUCCACCAGAUAGAAGACAUUGGAGAAGAGGAAGAGGUAGACUAGAAAAAUUCAUGUGUGGUAGGCUAGGGAUAGAAUUUCACGGGACACAAACACACCGUAUUGUUGUUGAAAAAAAUGAUACGAAAGCAACUAGGGGUAUUUGAAUGCACGUAGUUGAUAAAAAAUUGCUAGUGAAAUUAGCUAGCUAGCUGUUAACAAAUUUGCUAAAAGUAGUUAAGACUGUCUUCAGUAGACCGUGUAGAAUAGAGGACGCGACACUAUAGACGACACCGUUUGACGAGUGAAGUUUAAAAUACAGAAUGAGAGAAGAGGAUAUAUAUGAUAUGGGCGGGCGGAGACGAUCUAAUAGCUAAAUUAUAUUUAGACUAUUUAGAUAUAUUUAGCUAAUUUUAAUAACUAAAUAUUAACUCUAGCACAUUCAACCAGUUUGCACAACAUCAAACACCGACGUGUACCAGCACCGCCCGUCGUGACAGUGACUCACAGUGAAAGCUACCCAUAGAAAGGUUUAGCUUUUAGUCGAGUUUUAUUAUCUGCAUGUUGAGCUGCGAGUUCUUCACAUGCUCGAACUCGGUGAUGGUGAAAGCUAUCAAUCCAGGUCAACGCCGCGUGCGUCCCCACAUGAGCGUUGAAAAAAGGCAAAUUCCCCAUGCAAUUUCCUAAACGAAUCAAUACUGCUGUGUACGUACGAGUAAGAAUAAAAGGAGGAAGGAAUAACGCACAAAAAAAAAGCCGAAAAAGUAAACGGUGAUGUCGGCGUUCGACACGAGCACUACACGAUCGAUGAACCGAUGAUCCACAGGGAAAUAUGGAAUCCUUCUCUGUGUUUGCACCCCCCCGGAAUUUAAGAAAAAAAGGUCAACUCGAUAGAAUAACAGUCGUCCCCACACCAUCCCUCUUGCCCACCACACAAAAAUUGGGCUAAACAAUUUUUACUCGAUAGUAUUAUUCUUGCUUUGCGAUUCAAACAGUUCUUUAUCGAUCCUUGUGUACGAAUAGUGUAUCGUUGACAUCCGGCAUGCAUGUUUACUUUAUAAUUAAGUGGAUCUAAAGUGCACGAACGGCUGGACGAGGUAAGUUGCGUAGGUAACUUCCAACGAUACCAUGUUGGUAAUACAUGGUACGUGCACAUGACCCGGCCAGAGGGUGGGGUUGGGCCUUGGGAGCUUAAUUAGAUCACACGGCUUAUAGUCUGAUGAAGUGCUGAGAUACAACUACUAAAUCACUACUCUAGAUUUGGGAGGAAUUAAACCAUGCAUGGAGCAAACCAAGAUGGACCCAACAACUAGGCAAGUUGACCUAAAUUUUGUAAUGUGCCUGUAAGAUUCUUAACACUAGAUUUCUUUUAUCAUAACCAAAUAGUUUGUGCCUACGUGUCUACGUGGCCCAACAUUCAUUUCUAGCGUAGCUAGAAUUGAUCACAUCAUGCCAACCUUUUUCGAGGACCAACUAUUUGUAUUUUUUUUGUUGGCGAAAGCUAAAAAAAAGAAAGCACACAUCACUAUUACAGAAUUCAUUUUGGGUCGACCAAAAAUGACUUUCAGAGACGGACAACACACCAGCCUAGCUAACCUUCGGUGUUAAUCCAUAAUUUCAGAGACGAUCUCUUUGUGCUCUUUGUUGGGGUCGAGAACAAUAGACCCAAGCACUCGGAUAUAUGGAUGUCAGGUGACACGAUAAAACGGAUGGUUGAGGGCUCAAAUGUCUUGUCAAUCGUGUCACGUCUAGCUAUAGGAUGGAGGCAUUUAUAGAACAAUCGGGGGUUGGUGGCCUAAAAUACAUCCAUACCCUAGUUAUCUACUACAUUCCUAGAAUAUACUGCACAACGAGAUAAUUACAGAACAAUAAGCCUUUCAUCCUAUUUACACUAGAUUUCUACCUUACAGAGAGGUUGACAGGUGGGGCCAUCGCUUUCCAAUUGGCAACGGGCCCUCCCAUGUUGGGUUGUAGGGGUUGUCUCCGCUGUCUGGAGUAGCAAGGUCGUCGGACUCUUCGUCAUGACUUUACAGAAUUCAUUUUGGGUCGACCAAAAAUGACUUUCAGAGACGGACAGCACACCAGCCUAGCUAACCUUCAGUGUUAAUCCAUAAUUUCAGAGACGAUCUUUGUGCUCUUUGUUGGGAUCGAGAAUAAUAGACCUAAACACUCGGAGGUGACACGACAAAACGGAUGGUUGAGAGCUCAAAUGUCUUUAUCUCGUCCAGCUAUAGGACAAGGGCAUUUACAGGGCAAUCGGGGGUUGAUCGCCUAAAAUACGUCCAUACUCUAGUUAUCUACUACAUUCCUAGAAUAUACUGCACAACGAGAUAAUUACAGAACAAUAAGCCUUCCAUCCUAUUUACACUAGAUUUCUACCUUACAGAGAGGUUGACAGGUGGGGCCAUCGUUGCCUAGUUGGGAACGGGCUCUCCCCUGCCGGGUCGUAGGUGUCGUCACCGCUGUCUGGAGUAGCGAGGUCGUUGGACUCUUCGUCGAGAGUCGAUGUGGGGCCUUAGUUUACUGGUGUGGACUUGCCCGUCGUCUUUGCCUUGGGCCUUCCCUCUUCUGUAACGGCAUCUCCGCUACAUACGUGGAGGGAGACUUCGCCCCUACUGAAAGCUAAGCCCCCACCCCCGCGUCUGCCUUUGUUUUCCCUUGGCUUGUUACCUUGCAUCAGAAAUUUUGACAAUUGGUGAAAAUGAAGGGUGCUCGAGGGCUGGUUCCGUCUUCGCUCCAACACUCUUCUUUGGAAAAUAGUUUUUUUAAAAGGCAUGGACUCAUCAACGAGUCCAUCACAAAGCCCACUUUGAAGUCCAUACCCGGUUGAAUCCGAGUGUCACCGUCACCACAUCGACACAUUGCCGAGUCUGCCAUAUUCCCACUAUGAUCAUUGUGAACGCUGAGCUCGCCAUGGAGGCCGUGAACCCAUGGUGGCUGCCAUCAACCCGCUCUGAUUUGUAAGAGGGAGAGUGAGCGAGGUUGUCUCCAGCAGAUCGUGUAUAUGCUUGCACAAAAUAUUGUUUUGCACUAUAGACUACACUGCUCACAGAGUGAAGUUUGAAAUAGUGGAUGACAUAUGAGAUAGAAUGAGUAAGCUACAGAAGUUUGAGCAAGACAUAUUUAGGAGAUGGGAGGGAGAGAGAAUGAGGGGCUUUACCCAUGCCACAUCCUCGGUUCGUCAAGCAAGAUUUGGUGCAAAAACCACCACCAUUGUGUUCAUAGCUCAUCGGGUCUAGGGACUAGCACGUCGGAGAAGGGAGGGCGAUCGCCGAAGGGAGACAGUCUUGUGCACGCUGUUGGAAGGGGCUAAGCUCUGGCGAGAGCUAGUGUGGCAAAGAGUUCAUGAGGAGAGCAAAGUUGAAAUGACUUUGUGUUUGGUGAGAUAGAAGUGAGAGAUGAAGAAAAAUAUCUAAGGGUUUGUUUGGUUCGAAGGGAAGGGGAUUGAUGGGAUUUGUUCCUCAACCCUCUUCGAUCCCCUUUAAUCCUGUUUUAACCAAACAAGCUCUAAGUGUUGCAUAUAUGUAAGGGGAAGAUUAUGGUUAGGUUGAGCUCGAUCUAUUUUUAGAGAUAGGACUCUUAAAAAAUUAUCUUUUAAAAUUGUCUCACUUUUGAGACUGACCUCUUAAUUAAUCGAUUUUCGCAUUUACACUAAUCAAUACAUCUAUCUGCUAAAAUUGUUUUUAUGGCAGUCAUGUAUUUGCACACUUCAUCCUUUAUUUUAUGGCUAAGGUUAACUCGUUUUGUUCAUAUUUGAGUUCCAAUUAAAAUGUAAGCCUUCUAAUCAUUUUUGUUUUCAUGGAAAACUUCAUUACACAGAAAUUGAGGCCAAUUCUUCUCCCCCCAGAUCAUGGAUAUAAUUUGGAAUACUGUCCAAGACUAAGACAGUGCUCAUUCAAAACUAGUUUCAGAGAUAAAGAUAGAUCGUAGGCAUCCAGCGAGCCAUAUUCCAUAGCCCAUAGAUAGAGGGAAGCCAACGAAAGAUUCAGAAGCCAGAAGGUGAUCACUAAAAAAAAUCUGAGCAAUGACACGCAUAAACAGAUCAGAUGUCCAGAUCGGUCAGGUGAACGGUUAAACAAUUAACAGAAAUCUGUAGGUCAAGCAGGGACACCCGGCACCAGAUACCCUGCCUCAUAUCCAAGCUGCGGGCAGGGUGCGCACAUCUCUAGGGCUAGAACAUGGCAGUGUUUCAGAGACCUGAAUAAUAAACAAAAGCGUUAACAGAGGCGCGCCAGCGAGCCAAUUGCUACUGUGCCUGGCUUUCUCGGCAUUGUUAAUCGUCGACGUUGCCCAGGUCAACCGUUGAGCCUCCCCACUCGUCCAAUAAUCCAUCCCCACGAAGCUGCGGCGCCUCUAGCGAAUGGACGCCUCGACUUGUGCUUAUUUGCGCUAUGAGAGCCCCCCCCCCCCCCCCCCCCCCCCCCCUGAUGGUUGACUUUCCAACAAGAUUGGAACGAGGUUAGCGGAUCAUCGGUUAAACGCCACAGAUGGCACCGGCAAACUGUGUUAGAUGUACUUUGGACAGGAUAAAAAAUCAUCGAUUUUUAUGAUAUAAAAUAAAUAUGUUACAAAAUACAUUUGUAUAAUGAAUUAGUUUGGAACCUUAAAUAUGAAUACUAUUCACUAAGAACUUAGUUAAAUAUGAACCACUUUACCUGCCACGUAAUUCAUAGUAGUUACAAUUUUUUUACAAAAGAGUAUUGUUUUAAAGUUAUAUACACCAAAUAUAUAGAGAAAUAAGGCCGACGUGAGAUUUUGAUUGUAAUAAUGAUGUUCAGCACAAAUUUAGUAUUAUAAUAAUAAUGGGAUUGGCUUGCAAAUAAGAAAAUAAUUGAAACUUAAAACAAUACGUGAACGAACCAGGAUGUUGGAAGGUGUUCAACUUAGACAGCUCUAACCUCUCCAUUAUGCAAAACAAGUACAAUGCCGUAUGCUUAGGUUUCUUGGUAGUAGACGUAUUCAGCGAACUACCUAGACUACUGUGCGAGUCAAAGCAUCUGAUGAACAAGAAGUCAGAGCAUGCAUCCUUCACACAUUUCACUACCUCUAUUUGUGCACCAAAGUCAGCCUGUCGUUAUAGGAGAACGAAAGACUAGCAGGCCUUAAUUUGCAGUGUCCUAAGGGUCUAAACUGGAAGAGCACCAGACUGAUGUGACGCAUGUGAGCACCACGGAUACGAGACGGGAUCCCCGGCCUCGCGCCUUUAACUAACCGACGACAACCGCCCGUGCCACCGCAACGCGCGCUCACCGUCCUCCUCUUCUCCCCGCUAAAGUUUCAAGUGUCAACGCUCCGGCAGUCCACCACCGCCACCCACAGGCCACAGCACCUUAUAAAGCUUCCUUCAGUCUCAAACCUUCUCUUCAAACCCGAUCGGGGACAAUGGCGAGCGCGCCCGGCGAGGUGCCGUCCCACUUCCUCUGCCCCAUCUCGCUGCAGCUCAUGCGGGAACCCGUCACGUUGCCCACCGGCAUCUCCUACGACCGCGCCGCCAUCUCCCGCUGGCUGGCCACGCCUGCGCCGGCCGGCGGCCGCACCUGCCCGGUCACGCGCGUGCCGCUCCCGCCGCAGCCCCAGCUCACUCCCAACCACACCCUCCGCCGUCUCAUCCACGCCUGGCUCGCGUCCCUCUCCCCCGAGGCGGAGGUCAACGAGGACGUGGCCGCGCUGCGGGGGCCCGUGCCCGGCGCGGAGGUGGUCGUCGCGCUGCUGUCCGACGCCGCCGGGGCUCAGGUUGAGGCGCUCAAGAGGCUGCGGGAGCUGGUGGCCGAGUGCGAGGACAGCAGGGCGGUUCUCGAGUCCCAGGACGGGGUGUUCGACGCCUUGUCCCGCGUCGUGAGCAGUGCCGACGCGUGCUCGACGGCGCGCGAGGAGGCGGUCGGGCUGCUCGCGUCGCUCCGGAUCCCGGAGCCGGAGCUGGCCGGCGUCGUGGCCAGGCACAGCAACCUGGGGGAUGCACUCACGGCCGUCCUCCGCUCGUCGAAUCUGAAGUCGCGCGCGAACGCCGCUCUGCUCGUUAGGUCCCUCUCGGAAGCGGCGUGGCCGGCCUGGGUCAUCGGGCUGAGCCAGGAGCUUCUAGCGGAGGUUGUCCGCGUGGUCCGCGACCGUGUCUCCACGCAGGCGACCAAGGCAGCACUGCACGCCCUCGCGGCGCUCUGCCCCUACGGCCUGACCCGCGUCAAGAUCGUGGGCGUGGGCGCGGUGCCGGCGAUCGUGGACCUCCUGCUCGACGACCCCGAGAGGCGUGUCAACGAGCUCGCGCUUGUGGCGCUGGACCGGUUGUGUACGUGCGCCGAGGGCCGCGCUGAGCUGGUCGCGCACGCGGCGGGGCUGGCCGUGGUGGGCAAGAAGGCGCUGCGGGUGUCGGAGACCGCGAGCGAGCGGGCGGUGCGCGUGCUGCGCUCCGUGGCGCGUCACGCGGCCACGCCUGCCGUGCUGCAGGAGAUGGUGGAGUCCGGCGUCGUGGCCAAGCUCUGCGCGGCGCUGUGGUCCCAGCAGUGCGGGUUGAGGACCAAGCAGAAGGCGCAUGAGGUGCUCAAGCUGCACUCCAGGACCUGGAGGAGCUCGCCCUGCCUAUCUCCAAAAUUUUUGGGGCUCUACCCAUCAUGAGGUGCUCUGUGCAAUUUGACCGAUCCGGAUUUUAGGGUUAAAUCGAUUAAGGUUGAACCCUAACUCGUUCUGCGUUUCUGUUACUUUUCUUGACUUUGUUCUUGGUCGUGGAUCGUUGGUUCCCGAGCCAUUGUGAUAUCUGUUGACCCAGAUAAAACCGAUUAGGGUUAGGUUACUAAAACCCUAACCCUAAAACGUUGAUCUGUUUUUACUAUCUUGGAUUCCAUGGCAUUGACCGAGACCAAGUCUCUGACAGUGGCAAAAAAAAAACUAGAUUUAUGGUUAGGUUAAAACCCUAACUCGAGAGAAACAACCUCUUUCUAUCUAUUCUUUCUGGAUCUAAUCUGUCUGUUCUCGAAAAAAAAAGAGUUCAAUCAUAUUGAACCGAGACCUUUCUAUUCUUUCUGGAUCUAAUCUGUCUGUUCUCGAAAAAAAGAGUUCAAUCAUAUUGAACCGAGACCUUUCUGUGAUCUCCCGAUGCGGAUUAGGAGUUCUAAGGUUCUUAGGACUGCCUCUGAUACCAUUGUUAGAAUCUAUACUGUCUAGGAUCGAUUCCUAAGUCCCUAGAAUACCAAUCCGUAACUGAGUAAAACCUUGAUGACGUGUAGAUCUGAUCUACUGAUCUACUAAGAGGAACGAGGAACACACCUUGUUGUUGCUGUUGCUAUCUUCAUACCGUCGCCUUGCAGAGAAGCAGCAGGCAUCGGGAUCCGAGCCGCCGUAGGUUGUCGCGUUUCCAAACACUCCGACGCCUAGGCGAUGGGGGCCUCUGUGGACUAGGGUUUUGGGGUGAGGUAGUAGCGUUAGUUUUUCCUGCGACCCCUUAGUCCUAUAUAUAGCGUCGUGUGUCUGGGGGCUCCAACCGAGGUUAGCGUGGGCCCUCCCGAUCAAGGGCCCGAUUAAAGGAACGAUAGUUGGGUUAAGCCCAAUCCAGUCUCUAUUGACCGGCUGUAGAGGACACACCCAACAAUCUCCCCUUUGUUCUCUACAUUCCUUGUACUCAACUUUUCUGGAUUCCAUCCCUCGACAAGUUUACACAUAGAGACCAAUGCGUGACGAUAACCGAUUAAGUAUCAUCGCACUCAUUGACUACAACAUGCUUGCCUGUUUUAGAACGAAAAGAGACUUUAUUUGGUUGCAAUCUGUAGCCCCUUUGAUUCAAGAUCAUAGGUACUCCCUUAAACCCAUGCCGGCUGCGUGCUUACUAAACACGCUGGGUGGAAGACCUUUUGUGAGCGGAUCCGCUAGCAUCUGCUAUCUUCUGUUAUGCUCAUCUUUUAUGGUUUGAUCCUGAAUCUACUCCUUAACAACAUAAUACUAAAAGUCAAUGAACUUGGCAGCGCCACAUGACUUGUUGUUAUAGGAGUACGGUACCGCUGGCUCAUUAUCGCAGUAAAUUCUCAGUGGUCGCUCUAUGCUAUCAACCACUCUUAAUCCGGGUACAAAUUUCUUUAUCUUUAUUGCCUGCCCAUUUGCCUCAUGCAUGGUUACAAACUCAGUGUGCAUUGUCGACGAUGCUCUCGCUGUCUGUUUGCAACUUUUAUAAGAAAUAACUCCCCCAGAUAUAGUAAAUUUAUACCUCAAAAUAGGGAACUAGAUCUUCUGUUUGUUAGCAUGAGGCCAUUUUCGUACCUUGGAGGUACAUUAGAGCCUUCUUAACUGCCUAACAGUGUUCUAUGCUUGGGUUGAUCUGAUAUCUCCCAAGCAUCCCGGUAGUGAAUUCUAAGUCAGGGCGAAUAUAUAUUUGAGCAUACAAAAUGCUUCUGAUAGUAGAAGCAUAUGGUACUGACUUUAUCUGAUCUUUCUGACACUGGAUCUGGGGACACUGAUGAUUCCCAAAAUUAUCACCCUUGACUUUUGGCGCAGGCGCGGCCUUACACUGAUGCAUACUGUACUUCUUUAGUACUUUUCUAUGUAUGACUUCUGUGAGAGUUCUAAUACUUUAUUAUGUCUAUCUCUGUGAAAUUCUAUUUUAAAACGUAAGAGGCUUCUCCUAUGUUUUUUUUAUAUCGAAGUUCGAGGAACGAAAACUUUCUGUUUCCGCUAGUAGAUCUUUAUCACUACUAGCUAAAAAAUAUGCCAUCGACAUACAGAACAAGGAAGAUAUACUUUCCUUAGACUUCGCAUAAAUGCAAUUGUCUUCCUCGUUUUCCUCGAAACCAAAACUUUCUGAUAGUCUGAUCAGAUUUGAUGUACCACUGUCUGGAGAAAUGUUUUAAUCCCUAAAUGGACCUCCAUAAGUGACAUCCCUUGAUUUUCUUUUACUGCUCAUGACAAAACCCUUUGGUUGUGCCAUGAACACGUUUUCUGUUAACACUCCAUUUAGUGAUGUUGUCAUUACAUUCAUCUUAUGGAGCUCUAGAUCAAAUGAGCCACUAGUGCCAUAAUGAUCCGAAAUUAAUCUUUUGUUAGGACAAGUGAGAAGGUUUCAUGGUAGUCAAUGCCUUCUCACUGUGUGAACGCCUUGGCCACAUGUCCUUGUCUCUUUCUAUAUUCCCUUUGGAGUCACGCUUGGUCUUCUAGACCCACUAAUUUGCGCUUCUCAUAGCUAUUUCAUAUGUAGUGGGAUCACCUUCUGCAUCGAUGUCCUCACACAUAUAAAUAUCAUCACUUUCUAUGUCUACACUUGUGUAAACUCUAUAAUCAUCAGGAAUCGCAGAUCGUCUAGACCUUUGAGACCUUCAUAAACUUUGUUUCUAGUUCUGGUUCGUUCUGGGGCUCCUGCAUUAGUGCAUCACUUGGCGUGACACUACUACUGUCAUGUGAACUCUCCUGUGCAACCGACUCAGAAGAGCCAGAAUGUGCAGAAGGUGUAGUGACUUGCUCUGUAGUAGUUGCACUUGGUGAUACAAUAUUUGCAGCAAGGGUUUCACCUCGAGUCGUUACAACCGUUGGUGGAACCACAGCGGGUAUCGAGAAGUAUGGUUCUUCAACCAUCGGAAUCGGGACAUACGUCCUCUUUCCUGAAGGUCAACCUCUCUGAGUACCUUACUCCCCUUGAUCAUGUCAUCUUCUAGGAAAAUGGCAUGUCUGGUUUCUAUAAACUUGGUUUGUCUGCCUGGGCAGUAGAAUCUGUAACACUUCGAUCUCUCAGGAUAGCCAAUAAAAUGGUAGCUAGUGGUUCUCUCAUCUAGCUUUUCCUGCCCAGGAUUAAAUAUUCUAGCUUCUGUUGGACAACCCAUAUGUGGAAGUAGUUGAGCGUGAGCUUUCUGCCAGUUCACAACUCAUAUGGAGUUUUAGCCACUGAUUUACUAGGAACUCUGUUGAGUAUAUGCAUAGCGGUUUUUAAAGCCUCCAUCCAUAGACCCAAUGGCAGGUUAGAGUAACUUAGCAUACUCCUUACCAUAUCCAUUAGCGUUCUGUUACGCCUUUUGGCAACCCCAUUCUGUUGUGGUUCGCCAGGUGUUGAAUAUUGAGCAACAAUACCGUUUUCUCUUAGGAACCUCGCGAAAGGUCCUGGGACCUGGCCAUACUCGGUAUGGCGCCCAUAGUACUCCCCCCACGAUCUGAUCGAACAAUCUUUAUCUUCAAAUCGUGUUGAUUCUCUACUUCAGCCUUGAACUGUUUAAACUUGUCUAAAGCUUCUGAUCUUUCCUUAAUGGGAUAAAUAUAACCGUAGCGAGAGUAGUCAUCUGUGAAGGUUAUGAACGAAUUAAACCCAUCUACUGUCCUAACUGGAAAAGGACCACAGAUAUCUGUAUGAAUAAUUUCUAACACUCUCGUGCUAUGCUUAGCAUCUUUCUUAAUCUGCUUCGCAAAUUUACCCUUAAUGCAAUCUCUGCAUUGCUCUAAGUCUGUGAAGUCUAGGGGAUGAAGAAUAUGUUCCUUAACAAGACUUUCUAUUCUCCCCCUCGAAAUAUGGCCCAAACGAUAGUGCCAUAAUUUCGACGAGGUUUCUCCAUCACUUCGUUUUCUUUUCCUGCCACUGCUGGCUGGAUCGUUUUCUGGUAUAUCUAAUACAUUAACAACAUCACUUUGCGAAAGUAAAUAAAGCAUAUCUCGUCAGAUGACGAGACCAACAUCUUUAUUAUCAAAACUGAAUAACACACAGUCUCUGUCACCGAAGUGAUAGUGGAUGUGCUGAUUGUCUAAUCACGGAACUGAAGUUAAGUGUCUGCUUGCUUUCCGUUAACCACUGUAACUGUUUUUAGCCCUCUAGGAGCCUUAGGUUUGUACGGAAUUGCAUUCUGUAGCAUCUAUUGCAGGAAUUCUGAACACUUUCUUUGUAUGCCCUGUCUUCUUGCAAUAGAGGCAGGUCUCAGGGGAUCUGAGAAACAGUCUGAUUGUUGCAUAUAGAAAACAUCGUGAUCAUGUUUGAUCUUAUUCUUGAACCUUUCUUAGAGGUCUUGUUCUGUUUGAGGAUUCUUGGUUUGGGAAGAUUGAUAGAAUCACUUAUUUGACUUAUCAACCUUUCCUCCUUCUAGACAAACUAUGUCACGAGUUGAUCUAUAUAGCACUUGUCCAUUUAGACAGGUGUUUUACUGAUCAUGAAAUGUCUCAUAUUCUGGAAUAGCACCCUCAAUAAGAUCCUGGAUGAGACUCUUAUUGUGAUCAAGUACAUUACACUUGGAUUUUUUUUUAGUUGACCUUAUAGAUGCUAUACUGCGCCAUCUUAAGGUCAUCCUAAGGUGAGCCUACUGUAGGCUUAGUGGGUUUCUUAAACCACAGUGAGGAAUCUAUUUCAUUCACUGUAGUUAUCAUUUCAAUCUUUUCCCGCCAUAAGUGACAAUAAAUACCACAUAGCGGUUUAAUCUACCUUAUCUGACCAACUAGUAGGCCAAUAUGUGCACUUUUGCAAAGUAAAACAGAAAAUAUUUAGGACAUCUGAAGUAAAUACUGAAACAUAGAACUUGCAUGAAUUAAAUAUUCGACGUUGGUCAAAUAAUAACCAUGUUUGGUCUACAAAAUUUUCUUGUUCUAAAAUUCUAAACCAUCGUUGGAUGAUCUAGAAAACUUAAUUCUUGUAUAAAAUGUGGCAACAAUAUUCGACGUUGGUCAAAAUAUUCAAUCACCACAAAAAAAUCUGACUUUCUAUGCACUUAAAGAUAAUUAAUCCACAUAGGCUUCAUAAUAAACAAUAAGGCAUAGAAAAAAAAUAAUAAUCUAGUUCUAAAAUUCUAAAACCAUCGUUGGAUGAUCUAGAAUAUAUAUACUUCUUGCUCAAAAUGUGGUAAUAAUAUCUAACGUUGGUUAGAAUAUUCAAUUACCGCAAAUUUUCUGAAUUCUAUGCAAUUUAAACAAUAAAUUAAUCCACGUUGGUUUCAUAAUUAACUGAAAAUUGCAUAAGAUACUGAAUAAAAUACCAAAGUACGCAGCGGAAAAAAAUAGUCCAUAAAUAUCUCUGUAUUUUAUAUAACUGAGAAAAUAUUUCUCAGAUUUUCUGAAUUUUCUUCACUAUUUCUAAUUUCUAUUUAGUGUUUCUAUUCCAGGAAAUAAAUAAAUAAAAUUUAAUUCGCUGGAAAUUAAAUUUGCCAAAAUGGCCUAACUAGCCUUACGGCCCAGCUCUGCGUGGCCCAUGCCUGGCCACUGUGGCAUGGCCUCCAACGGCCUAGGAGCCUGGCCGCCGGGCAGCCCACACAGGCAAGGCGCGCCAGGACACAACCUGGGCCUAGGCCACCAAACCGGCCCAUGCGUGGCCCCCUCCAAUCCCGCCUCAAUCCUGAUCAUCCGUGGGCAUCCGACGGCUCCAGAUCAACACAGGUACUGUAGGCGGUCUAUAAGGGGCGGAGAUUUCGGGCUAACUGAAACCCUAGCUAUUUUCUGUAUUCUCUUCCUGCCGGCCGCCAGAGAGAUCGCCAUUUUGACUGAGUUUCUUUCGUUUCUGUACGCCGUCAGGGAGCUUUCUCCGGCCGCCGUUCUACUCGGUUGCCAGGGAGAACCAGCCGUUGGCUGAACGUCGGAUCCUCUCUCCCUUUUUUUUUCUUUGUUUCUAGCAGCUGGCCGCUAGUUUCUCUUCAACUCAUUCUUUUUUUUUAGUUUUUUUUUUGUUCUAGCAGCUGGCCGCUAAUUUCCUAGCCGAGCCCAGGCAACUGACCGUACGGCCGUCGAUGAAUCGGCCGGCAGCCAUACUCGGCUGUUCAGUCUGCGCGGCGAAGCGGGGCCCUGCGGGCUCUCCCGCCGGCGUGCGCGUCCCCUAGUGCGGGCGCGCCGCCGUCGGUAGAGCGGUCAGCGGUGGUCACUGCAAACCCGGCUAAAUCUGUUGUUACUGUGACUUUCUGUUUUCUCGCCCGGAUCUAGCCUCUAUCUCGAAUCCCUCUGAGUGAAUGAAUGUAUGAAAUGAAACUAUAUGUUGCGUUUUUCCCUGUGAUUCACGCUUGGAUCCAGUCACUGGAUUAAACGAACAUUGCUCUGUGCAAUUUGACCGAUCCGGAUUUUAGGGUUAAAUCGAUUAAGGUUGAACCCUAACUCGUUCUGCGUUUCUGUUACUUUUCUUGACUUUGUUCUUGGUCGUGGAUCGUUGGUUCCCGAGCCAUUGUGAUAUCUGUUGACCCAGAUAAAACCGAUUAGGGUUAGGUUACUAAAACCCUAACCCUAAAACGUUGAUCUGUUUUUACUAUCUUGGAUUCCAUGGCAUUGACCGAGACCAAGUCUCUGACAGUGGCAAAAAAAAAACUAGAUUUAUGGUUAGGUUAAAACCCUAACUCGAGAGAAACAACCUCUUUCUAUCUAUUCUUUCUGGAUCUAAUCUGUCUGUUCUCGAAAAAAAAGAGUUCAAUCAUAUUGAACCGAGACCUUUCUAUUCUUUCUGGAUCUAAUCUGUCUGUUCUCGAAAAAAAGAGUUCAAUCAUAUUGAACCGAGACCUUUCUGUGAUCUCCCGAUGCGGAUUAGGAGUUCUAAGGUUCUUAGGACUGCCUCUGAUACCAUUGUUAGAAUCUAUACUGUCUAGGAUCGAUUCCUAAGUCCCUAGAAUACCAAUCCGUAACUGAGUAAAACCUUGAUGACGUGUAGAUCUGAUCUACUGAUCUACUAAGAGGAACGAGGAACACACCUUGUUGUUGCUGUUGCUAUCUUCAUACCGUCGCCCUGCAGAGAAGCAGCAGGCAUCGGGAUCCGAGCCGCCGUAGGUUGUCGCGUUUCCAAACACUCCGACGCCUAGGCGAUGGGGGCCUCUGUGGACUAGGGUUUUGGGGUGAGGUAGUAGCGUUAGUUUUUCCUGCGACCCCUUAGUCCUAUAUAUAGCGUCGUGUGUCUGGGGGCUCCAACCGAGGUUAGCGUGGGCCCUCCCGAUCAAGGACCCGAUUAAAGGAACGAUAGUUGGGUUAAGCCCAAUCCAGUCUCUAUUGACCGGCUGUAGAGGACACACCCAACAGAUAGGGCUUCUUUUCCUGUUGAUUCAUUCUUUCAAUCUAAGGCACCAGAUUGUGCCUGCAGAAGUUGAACACAUCUGAAUUCUUUUUGCUUGGUUACCGAAUUAGUGUAGGAUGAUGUAAUCUUUUUGAUAAUCUGUUCAGUUCAGAGCACCUGAUUUGCGCCAAGAUGUUGAGAUGGAGAAUAUUGUUUGCAAUCACUAAAAUUAGAAUAAAGUACUGGUAAAAUCAAGAAAGGAGUUGCAGAAUAAAAAUGGAAAAGCUAAAUCAUACACGAGCAUUUCAUGCGCGAUUCAUGCUCCAUUUUCCAUGGACCUGAUUUACACCAAGACCUGCGCUGAGGUGAACUUCACUUCCGACAUAAUGGCUCUGGUAGGAUUAGAGAUGUCAAUGGGGAAUUCCCCACCGGGUUAUAGCAUCCCAUACUCAUCCCCAUCAUGUUUGAUCCAUCCCCAUAUCCAUCCCCAUACCCAUCAUGGGUACAAAACUCAUCCCAUACCCAUCCCUGUUUGGGUUUCGGGUCCCCAAUGGGUCCCCAUCCCCAAUUAAGGGAUAACUAGGUACUAACAUGUAGCACAAACAACCUAGAUUUUAGACAGCACUACAUCGACAAAGCACUCAUCCAUGAACCAUGUUCCAUUCAUCCAUCCAUCAGAAAAGACAUAAGUACUUCGGGACCGAUAGAAGAAAUGGAGAAAUGGAGUUUUCUCACCUUCCUUGGUCACCAUCUGAGUUCGUUGGCGCAAUGGCGCCUGAGAAUCCAUGGUCAUCAUCGUCGUCUCGGCAAGGCGUAGCAUAUGGCUGGUUGUUUUAGGGUUUUGUUUUUACUAGUCUGCUAGUUGGCUUGUUGGGCUAGGACCUGGGGCCUGGUGCGCUGUUGUGCUGGGCUUGGUGGCCGGCUCGGCCUCAACUCAUUCAUACAAACACGACAGGUGUACACGUAUGAAAUACCCAUGGGUAAUCGGGUUCAGAUUAUUGCUUCCCAAACCCAUACCCGUUUACCCAAUGGGUGGAGAUUUUGUCCCAUAUCCAUACCCAUGGGUACAAUUUUCGUCCCAUACCCUUACCCUAAUAGGGGAAUUCCCCAUGGGUUGACGGGUAUCGGGUCCCCAUUGACAUCUCUAGGUAGGAUGCAAAUUCCAUUUGUUUGGGUCAUCAGGUUGACAUACAACUUGCUAAAAUAAACUAAGGUCCAGUUUAGCAGGCCUCUUCACCAGAUUCGAAAGUUGUUUGGAGCAGUUUUCUGGUAGUAUCCGUUUGGUAGGGAUGGAUAGUAAACAUUCGAAUUAUAUAACAGAUUUAAUACUUUAAUAUAGAUAUGCAUAGAAUUUGAUGCUAAUAUUUAGUCACGGUAAUAAUGUUAUGAGGGACAAGAAUAAAAUUUUGUAUAUUUUUUUUGCAUUAUUUUCUCCCCACGACAAUAAAGUGAAAGCAUCUCAAUCUGAAUAUAUAUUCGUAUUUGAAUUUUAUUUCAAUUAUUUAAAAUAUAUAUAACGAAAUUGAGGUUUACUUUUUAUGAAUCUUAAUAAACUUAAUACUAAAAAAAUAUAAAUUUUCAUAGCAAAUUCUAUAUACUAUUUGUUCACAAUAGAAGAAAUAAGGCUAGAAAUUUAAAUCCGGAUCCAUCCCUACCAUUUGGUUUAGGAGUGAGGUGAGAUUGAGCCGCUACAUUCUAUAUUUGGUUGGGAAGCAAACAGAGCAAUCAAAGUGGAGCGACUCUAAAUCUAUAAUACUUCCAUCAGAUUUGGGACGAGCUCACUCAAAAAUCAGUGGAAUCUCACCAUUCCACUUCUCUCUCUUUUGCAGUGGAUCCAAAUAGAAAACGGAAUGAUUCUACCCUGCUCUUAGAAUUUGUAAUGAAGUCGCACCGCUUUCGAAAUCUAGAAUGGAACAACUUCGCUCAUGUGGUUUUCUAACCAAACUGAUCCUAAAAUGGCUUCACAUCUAAAACCCUCAAAACCUCCUGUCACAUAGAUUCGAGACGAGAAAAAAUAGCUUCACUUGGCUUUAACCCAUGACAAUGGGCCCUAUUAUACCAAGAUGGCAAAAAGCAAGGUCGUAUCCACUAUAUUGUUUCCAUUUUGUUUGGUUGUGCUUCCCCUCUGUUUUGUAUGUAUGGAAUGGAAAACUGAAAAUAUACUGAGUAAUAUAGAUUCUGCAGUUUUGACUCAUGAUUCCUAGAACAUGAUUUCUUUUCUCAGCAAUGCUGACCCCAGUGGUAAACUACCUGAAGAAACAUUGAACGUAGCUUCUUUAAAGACAUUAUUCAAUAAGAAGAGCUUCUUGUGAGAUGUCCUCUUUUUUCUCAAAUUAUAUAUACUGCAUACAUUCCAGUUCUUAGUUUUGGUCUCUUAUGUUCACCUCAUCUCCUGAAGACAGGCAAUAUCUAAGAAGAUUCAGGACAAUUAUUGUUGAAUGCAAACAAAACACUAAAAAAUCUGUAUAAGUAACUCUAUUCUUUUUAAGAUAUGUUGGGUUUAGUUAUGCUCUACAUUUUGGAGCAAGACAGUUAUGAUUUAUCGUUAUAUGUUGUAGGUUAAGAUUAUGUAAGUAGUUAUAAAUUCCUAAAAAUGUUAUAUAUAGAAACUAUAGUAACACAUAAGCAUAUACUUAUAGCUAUAUUAAAAUAAUAAAAUUUAUGUAUAUCUUAGAAUAACAAAUGGAUUACAAAUUUGUUCUCAUAACAAUAUAACACAUUCACAUAUAAACUAUCAUAAUAUUAUUUAUAUUAUUUAUAUGUUUCUGUUGCAACUAGGGCUGACAAUGGGCCUCAAAUUUUACACUAUAAAACUUAAGGAUCGAAUCGGAUUAGGAUCGGGCUUUGUUUCUAUUCAUUUUUGAACUAUAAAUAUAUUAGGGCCUUACCAAAUUGUGAAGAACCAUUUGGAUCGCGAUCCAUUACCACCCCUAGUUGCAACACACGAGUAUUUUUUAUAUAUUUUUUAUUAUCUCGGUGAUGUUGUCUGUCGUAGUAAACCUUUGAAAAAGGCCCCUAUGGCCCUAUCUAAAAUUUGACGUUACCAGCCCUAUAAUGCAACCUGUCGCUGCCUGCUGUAUUCCGACAUGCACUUGAGAAAAUCUCGCACGCACUGAUCAUUCAUCUCGUCAUUUCCAAACAACUUGGCGAGCUCUUUGGCCUUAUCCCCGAACACCUCGCAUUCUUCAUCCACUAGGACCCUCCUCAAAGCAGCUGCAAUGUCUUUGGGCGCGAACGAGCCAUCUUCCUCGUCCCGCGGCACCUCGACGCUUAUCUUCUUCUCAGUCAGAUGCCUCGCGUUGAGGCCCUGAUCGAACAUCAGCGGUAGCAGCACCAGCCUGACGCCGCGGGCGAGGCCUUCGAUGAUGGAGUUCCAACCGGCGUGGGUCAAGAACCCUCCGACAGAUUCGUGGGCCAAAAACCUGGCCUGAGGCACCCAGCCGCGGCAGACGAGUCCGCGGCCGUUGAUGCGCUCCUCGAAACCUUCCGGCAAUCCGCUUUUGCCUUCGUUGGCAUCGGUUGGUUGCCUGAAUGCCCACAGGAACGGCAGGCCGGAAGCCUCGAGACCGAGCGCAAUUGCCUGCAGCUGUGCGCUAGUCAGCUUCGCCUCGCUGCCGAAGGCCGCGUACACAACGGAGCGAGGCGCCUGCCCGUCCAGCCAUUGCAGCGCUGCCUUGUGGCUGCCGAUGUCUUGUGUGGGUGGUGGUGGAGGGAAUAGACCGACCGGGAUGACCGGCUUCUGGUAUAGCCCACUGACCACCUGAAGCCACUCCGGUUCGAACUCCGCGCUGCUCCUGAUGCCCACGAGCUGGCUCUGUUCGAUGCACUUGCCAAACCGGUAGCCUUCCGAUACGCCAGAUUCGUCCGGGGCCAACACCGGCGUGAAAAACUCGCGCGCCUCCAAGCCGCGGUACGCGACGGUGGUCGGGAACGGCACGUAGUCGGGUACAACGGUGAGGUCCUCCGGCUUCGUCCUGGCGUACUUGCCGCGUCCCAUGAGCCCCUCCGGGGGGCCAUAGAAACUGAGCGCCGCGGCGCCGAACAGGCUCAGGAACGCGCAUGGCACGCCGUGCCUCGCCGCGGCCGCGGGCGCCCAGUACGCGGCAUAGUCGAUGACCACCCAGUCCGGCCUCUCCGGCACCGGCUCCUGCAGGAUGGCCGAGAGUUUGUCGGCGAAGGCGGCGUCGUAGGCUACGCGGAGGUACGGGCGGAGGUCAUCGGACGGGAGGUCUAUGCUCGCCUCGCUGUCCUCCGGCAGGCGCUCCACGCGCGGCAGGGUGAUGUCGACGACUCGGAUAUUCCCCGCGAGUUCUGGAGGGAUGCGGAUUAACCGCCGCGUGUUUCUUGGCGUGGAGAAGAGGGUGACUCGGUGGCCCUGCCGAGCUAUGCGCUUGGCGAGCUCGGUGAACGGGAGGAUGUGGCCGAAAGCCAGCCAUGGCAGCAUCACAACGUGCAUACUGCUGCUGCUUCUGGCGUCCAUUCGCGAGGCUUUUUCUACGCAAUCAGAGGUUAUUUUUAUGAGAUUGGGGAAGAUGGCCUGGCAGUAUGCCACUCUCUGUUCUUAUAAUAGGCGUGGAGUGUACCGUAUGUACAGUACAGUCCAACAGUUGCAUGUUCAUCAGAUAUGAAAAGUUCAGUUUGAGUACGUCCUCUAGCCAUUGGCAAUUUUGCCGCUUCGCCAGUAUAUUGCUGUUCAAAUAAGCAGUGGGCGUAGAAAAGGAGAACCAAACAAUCGGUCACAGACUCUGAGUCUCACAGUCAGCUUAUGUCAUGGAUGAUGCACUACGGGUCUACGCCACAGCUGACACAAUCUCCAAUUCACCAUAGCGGUUAUAUCCAGCGUAUCGUGUGUAUAAUCAUACAAAACUGUUCUAAUACAAUAGACUGUUUAUAAAAUAAAGUUUAAAAUAGAAAAUGAAAUUAGAGAUAUGAUGUAAAAACUGUUGGAGACAACCUAACGCCGUCUAUACACUCUAAGCGAUGGUUCCCAUCAUCUUUUUUAGAGUUCAAGGCCAAAGACCAAAAACUCAUACAACAUUCAGGUGGGUUACAUCCAGUAUAAAACACAUUCGAAGAGAAUACAGCAGGACAAAAUUGGUCGCUCUAAGCAACUUUUACAUCACUGUGAAUAAGUGACGCCCAAAGCCGCCUGAGCAUCAAGUCAUCAAGUGCUAACUUAGGGGAUGUUUGGUUUCUAGGGACUAAUGUUUAAUCCCUUUAUUUUAUUCCUUUUUAGUAUAUAAAUUGCUAAAUAUAGAAACUAAAAUAAAGUUUUAGUUUCUAUAUUUAGCAAUUUUAGAACAAAAAUGGAAUAAAAUGUAGAGACUAAACAUUAGUCCCUAGAAACCAAACACCCCUUUAGCUUCCUUCCGAUUGCAAGCACUUCAGAACAGAAACCUUUUAUCUGUUCAUCAACUUGAUUCAUCCAAUCAACUUUUAUGGGCUUGUUUUAUGCAGAAAGCCUGGAAUUGAACUCCCGAAGCUUGUCUGGAGGGCGGAGAACACCAGCCUAGGAGAGAAUUUAUUUAGGAUAGGUUUGGAAACAUCCAGUUUAUAAGAAAUUUGUUUAUAGAAACUGAGAUAUUUUCAAACAGACCAUUUUAUGCUUCACUUUCUAAAAACUGAAUUUCCAAUUUCUAAGAAAUCAGUUUUUGUCUAACAAAUUACGUACCGUCAUUAGAGCCUAUUUGGAAGCACUCGUUUUUUUUAAAAAACUUGUUUGUAAAAACUAGGGUCCUUUCAAAUAGGCCACUUUAUGCUUCAAUUUCUAGAAACUGAUUCCCAGUUUCUAAAAAACCAAGAAGUUGGUUUUCUCUAGCUAAAACCAGUUUUUGUCUAGACGGUUGUCACUGCUUCUAGACCUACGCGUGCGAUUCUCUCAAACUCGAUUUUAAUGUUUAAUUAUUAUUUAAAAAAAUUAAAUUAAAAAGUAUACGUUCAAUCUAUAUUUAAAAUUGGUAACAAAGAAAAUUGAAGCAAAUAAUUGAAUCAAUUUCUUUUAAAAUAGUGUAAAGGUAGACUUGUAUUUGUGUAUCGAAAAAAUUAGAAACUGGUUCCAAACAUGCAUACCUAGUUUUUUUUCAUAAACCAGUUUAUAGAUAAUGUGGAUAAAAAUCAGUUUCUUAGAAAUUGUGUUGCUUUCAAACAUGCCAUUAGUUGGUUUGGUGAAAAUUACAGUGAUUACCACUUCUCUCAAGCCUAUGCAUGGGAUCCCCUCAAUGAAUGUUCUGCUCUCAAUCUUUUGAAAACUCUUGAAUUAAAAAAACAUGAGUCCAAUCUACAUUUAAAAUUGACAGCAAAGAAAAAUGAAGAGAACAAUUGAAUCAAAUACUUUUAAAUUAGAGUAAGGCAGAUUUGUCUUUGGGUAUCAAACAAACUAGAAACUGGUUUAAAAAAUUAUGUUCCAAAUACGGGCAGACUCAGUUUGUUUCAUAAACCAGUUUCUAGAAACUAGUUUCUUAUAAAAUGUAGUGCUUCCAAAUAAGUCCUUACCCAGUCAACCUUUCUGUCCUUCUAGCCAAUUUGUUCCAAGAGGUUAGCCAACUGUUAAAGCAGGAGGGUAGAAAAUGUUUAAGGACAGUACAUUUUUAAGAUUAAAUUAAUUUUAAAAUAAUUACUACAUAAAUAAUAGAGAAACCACACGUAAUAACAUGUCCACAUAAAUAAUAAAUUAUGUCUUAAACGCAUCUAACAGAAACAUGAGCGAGUGUAACACCCGGAUUUAAGGAACAAAGCCGGGUGCAUCUCAUACAUGCGCCAAAGAAGACAACAUAUAUAAUAACAGAGUGUAUAGAGAUAAAUGUCAUAAAACAUCAGAGUAUUUAUUACAUAGCGGAAGACUUAAUACAAAAUAAAAGAGUAAACAUAAAACGAACUAAGGAUCGUCGGCGCCAAUGUCAACUGAGAAACGCCACCUAGAUCAGAUCAUACUCCUUGCCUUGUGGUUCCUCCUGAACCACCUGCUCUUCUCCUGUGGGGGGGUGUGAGACAACAAGGGUGAGCUCACACAUGAUCAUCGCUCAACAAGUUGUGGGAAAUAAUGUGACAUGAACUCACCAAAGGUGGGAGUUCAUGAAGUGUAAGGCUGAUCAAUGAUAUAAGGCUGAAGCUGAGCAUUGCUUUUAAGUUGGUCAAAAUUUUAUUAGCAAUUACUAAGUGUAAGUAAAUACCAAACCUUAAUAAUAAUAAAGAAAAGCAAUAGUAAAAUAAUCCCAAAUGCGAUGCAAAUGUCAAAUUAAAUUUAAGUUUCAUAAAUUAAUCAUGUGAGGGUCCGAGCCGCUCAUGACCGUGAGCACGGCUAGUAUACCAGUUUUACACUCUGCACUCUGCAGAGGUUGCGCAUCUUUACCCACAAGUCAUGUUACCCAUCUACCAAGGGAUCGCGACUUCCCAUACACCUCUACCGAGGAGGCGAGGCAGGGUAACACUACGAGGCCUUUACAAAGUUCCACUAGCUUCAGAAAACCCGCUACAGUUUAUAGGAAGCUCCAAUGCAGGGUUCUUGCCUGACCGCCAUCGCAGCAAAAUCAACCCAAGGACCUCCCUACACUGACCACUCCCCUACUGCCCUUGCCCCUUUCGGGUAAGGUAGUCAUCCACUAGCUUUUCUAGUUAAUCAGCCAAGGGCGUCCCAUUAUACCCUUGUGGUAGCACUGUUUUCCCGGGUGGUUCUCCAUGUUCCCAUUAACAUAAUGAUCUUAUCAUGAAUAAUAAUAAUAAACAGAUAAUAAAAAGUAUAACAAUGAGUGAUGAAUAUCUUUAUACCCAAAGCCACGUAAAGCAAUAGCAUAUACUACCCAAAAAGCUUGUAGUAAAACCAGUGGUGAAACAAGGUAUAAAGAUAGUCAAAAUCUAGGGUAACCUAUUGGGUCCCAUCAAAAUUAACCUAUGCAGAUCAUUAUGAUUAAUAAAAACAUGAAUGGGUAAAAGAAGUGAUCAAGGGCACAACUUGCCUUCAAUUAGCUCCUACUCAGCUACUUCUACUUGCUGAACCUCAGAAUCCACAGUUGCUUGCUCGUCUACUCGCAUCAACAUACAUAGUAUAGCAAAAAUUAACAUUGCACCAAACAUGUAAAUAAAAUACACAGUAAAAUCUACACAUUAAAAUAAGAUCAUAGGAACUAGAAUCACUAAAUUUGGAGUUAUAGAUUUCAAGUUAUGAAUUUCCUAAGGUUUAAUGUGAUUAAAAUAGGAUUAGAUGAGAAAUUAAUUUUCUAACUGAGUUCAUGACAAAACAGUGAUACUAAAUGAUAGAGAAUCUUAUUACAAAAUUUUAGAAAUUCGAAUGGUUCAAUUUGGAGUUAAAAUCAAUUUUUUAUGCAUUUUACAAGUUUCUAGAAUUGUUUUUGUAUUAAAAACUAAAUUCUAUAAUCAUUUCUCGUUUUUUUUAUAUUCCUCUGGACUAGGCGUCAAUUUUCAGAAAGACCAGGGGCCUCGGUGCUAAGAAAACAGAGACACAUGGUACAGGAGUAUGGACCGCGGGUUGUUUUUAAAUAAACAGAGGGGCUCUUAAGCAAUAUGGGCACGACGAAAGGGUAUCGGUGAAUCUGAGCCGUUGGAUCUUUUCUGGACGACCCAGAUUAGAUCUUUAGGUUUAACAACUGGUAUUCUAUGCGGACCGUAGGAUUUAAGAUCUGCGGUCAACGAUCGAGCGCAACACGAGCCUUCCCUGCACCGUUUGAUCAUGAAUCUACGGACCGUAGCCGUCGUCAUCCCUUCCCCCCCCCCCCGCGAUCGAGCAGAGCUGGCACGCAGCCACGCCCACGGCGGAGUCCCCACCGGCGCACUGCCGAAAUCUCCCAACCCGGUGACCGAGAUCGAUGCAAUAAACAUGUGCCAAACGAAAUUGAGGGCUAGACGAAGCACGGAGGAGAUAUCUCACCAAGGAUUCGGCCGCGAAGGUGCCCAGUCCACGGCGCGGUGCGGAUCCGCGGCUGCGCCCGCGCUCCGGCGAAAAAUCAACCUCGCCCCGCUGCCGGAUUCGCCCCGCCAAGUGCACGAACAGCUUCACCACGCCCCUGGGAGGCUCCACAACCCGACAAUGCGACCAGGUCGGCUAGGGGGACCGCUUGCCCGAUCAGCGGAACACGGUCCUCUCGGCUCUCACGGCAAAGGUGGAGAUCGCUUUGGUUAGAGCUGCUUACACGUUGAUGAAGAAAAGAGGAGGAUGAGGAUCGGGUUCCGGUCUUCAUAUGGCCGCCCGAGGUCCGCUUGCGGCCCACUCAACGGAUCCCGCAAUCUGCGCCAUAACCGAGCCCGAGCACGCCCGGGUCGCGCGACGAAGGAAGAGGACGGUUCUGGCAGAGCGGGCCCGCACAGACAGCGAUAGAGAAGCUAGCACGCAGUAGAGUGGGCGCUGGCGUGUGGUCCCGGACGACAGGGGCAGCGCACGCAGGUAUUCCCCAGUUGGGCCACGCGGGAGGGGGAAAUGUAACACGGGCCAGAUUGAGGUAUGGCGGCCCAGGUAGCCUUUCUUUCUUUUUAUCUUUUAUCUUAUUUUCUCUAUUUCUAAUUUUAAAUUCGAAUUCGAAUUUUGAAUCCAGAUUUGUGUCAAACUUAUUCUCAAAUCAUAUUGUGGAAUUAAAAAUACCAAUUUUAGGAUUAUAAUUAUAUUAUUUAUAUUUUUAAACCAUUUCUCUUCUUAUUUUCAAAACCCAAAUUUUUAAUUUAGGAUUUAUUUCAACCUUAAGAAUUAUUAUUUUGUUAUCCUUAUUCUUAUUAUUUUAUUUAAUGCACAAUAUAUCAAACUCCAACAAGAUGCACCUUAUUUUAGUUUGGAAUCAUUUGUUUCGAUUAAUCCCUCUUGGUUACAUGUAUGCUCUUUUCAUGAUGCAAAUGAGGCACAUAAAAUAGGAUAAUCACUAUAUAAUCCUUUUAUACAAUUUUGAGUAUUACAAAUCCUACCCCCUUAAAAAUAAUCUCGUCCUCGAGAUUUAGGAAGAUCUAGGGAAAAGGUGAGGAAAAUCUAUACGAAGCUCUUCUUCUCUUUCCCAAGUUGCUUCAUCUUCACCGUGGUGGCUCCAUUGCACUUUACAUAUCUUUAUAACCUUAUUCCUCGUGACACGAGUCAGUGUAUCCAGAAUCUUGAUGGGGUACUUAGCAUAAGUCAAAUCUUCUUGAACACUAAGGUCUUCCAUUGGUAAUUGUUCCUCAGGUACCCUGAGACAUUUCUUCAGCUGAGAUACAUGGAAUACAUCAUGAACAUCCGCGAGAUGAUCCGGUAACUCCAAUUGAUAUGCAACCUCUCCCACUCGCUUUAAGAUUAAAAAGGGUCCAAUAAAGCGAGGGGACAACUUUCCUUUGACUUUAAAUCUUCUCAUACCCCGGAGUGGUGACACCUUCAAAUAGACAUAAUCUCCCUCCUUAAACUCUAGCAGUCUUCUCCGGGUAUCAGCAUAGCUUUUCUGUCUGGACUGUGCAGUUCUCAAAUUCUUCCUUAUUUGCUGAACUUGUUCUUCUGCUUCUUGUAUAAUCUCAGGCCCAAACAACUGUCUUUCUCCAGUUUGAUCCCAAUACAGUGGAGUCCUGCAUUUUCUGCCAUAUAGAGCCUCAAAUGGUGACAUCUUCAAACUGGCCUGGUAGCUAUUAUUAUAAGAAAACUCAGCAUAUGGUAAGCUCUUAUCCCAACUUCCACCAUGUUUAAGAGCACAAGCUCUUAACAUAUCCUCCAGUACUUGGUUAGUCCUCUCUGUCUGUCCAUCAGUCUGAGGAUGGUAGGCUGAGCUAAAAUUCAACUUUGUAUCCAAGCUCUCAUGCAACUUCUUCCAAAAUCGAGAAGUAAACUGCGAUCCUCGAUCAGACACGUUCUUCUUAGGCACUCCAUGCAGACAAACUAUCCGAGCCAUAUACAAUUCUGCUAGCUUGGCUCCUGUGUAAUUAGUCCUCACAGGUAUGAAAUGAGCCACUUUUGUCAAUCUGUCCACAAUUACCCAAAUAGAGUCAUACCCAGCAGGGGUGCGGGGUAGUCCAACAAUGAAAUCCAUACCAAUUUCUUCCCAUUUCCACUCAGGUAUCUUCAAUGGGUGCAAUAGUCCAGCUGGUCGUUGAUGUUCGGCCUUGACUCUUUGACACACAUCACACAUAGCCACAUGGACAACAACAUCUCUUUUCAGUCCAUACCACCAAUACUUUUGCUUCAAAUCUUGAUACAUCUUAGUGCUACCUGGGUGGAUAGAAUAAUCAGAAUCAUGAGCUUCUUUCAAUAUAAUCUCACGAAGGCUAUCAAUCUCUGGAACACAUAUCCGAUCCUUGAACCAUAUAGUACCUUGCUCAUCCUCCGUGAAUUCCGGAACUCGACCUUCCGUAAUCAGAUCCUUAAUCUCUUGAAUUUUAGCAUCACCAACCUGACCUUCACGGAUCUCUUGCUCCAAAGUAGGUUCCAAUUCGAUGGUGACUCCUUCAGUGUGAGUAACAAUUCCCAGGUUGAGCCUCUCAAAAUCUUUUGCUAAUUCAUCGGGGUAGCUGGACAACAAAAGCGGAGUGAACAUGCUCUUUCCGACUCAAGGCAUAUGCAACCAAAUUUGCCUUGCCCGGGUGAUAGUGAAUCUCCAAAUCAUAAUCCUUAAUGAGCUCCAACCAACGGCGUUGCCUAAGGUUGAGAUCCUUCUGAGUGAAUAUAUACUUCAAACUCUUAUGAUCCGUGUACACUUGACACUUAGUUCCCAUAAUGUAGUGUCUCCAAAUCUUCAGUGCAUGCACAACUGCUGCCAGCUCUAAGUCAUGAGUGGGGUAGUUCAAUUCAUGUCUCCGCAACUGACGAGAUGCAUAGGCGAUCACAUGUCCUUCUUGCAUGAGCACACAUCCCAAUCCUUGGCCACAUGCAUCACAAUAAAUGUCAAAUCCCUUCUGCAGAUCUGGCAUAAUCAACACUGGUGGUGACAUCAAUCUCUCCUUCAAUUGAUCAAAGCUCUCUUGACAUUUGUCAUCCCACUUAAAUUCUCUUCCUUUCUCCAGAAGCGAUGUCAUAGGCUUGGCAAUCUUAGAAAAUCCUUCAAUAAAUCUCCGAUAAUAUCCUGCUAGUCCCAAGAAACUCCGAAUCUCAGUAACUGUAGUGGGUACUCUCCACUCCAUUAUCUCCUUAACCUUAGCAGGAUCCACUGAUAUUCCUCCAUUAGAAAUAAUAUGACCAAGAAAUGGCACCUCGCCAAUCCAAAACUCGCACUUGCUAAACUUGGCAUAGAGUUGAUUAUCUCUUAGCUUCUGUAGCACCAAUCUCAGAUGUUCCUCAUGAUCGCUAUCACUCUUGGAAUAGAUAAGAAUAUCGUCGAUGAAUACUACGACGAAUCUGUCAAAAUACUCCAUAAACACCUUGUUCAUCAAGUUCAUGAAAUAAGCUGGUGCAUUAGUUAAUCCAAACAACAUAACAGUGAACUCAUAUAAUCCAUAUGGAGUCGAGAAUGCUGUCUUGGGAAUAUCCGAUGGUCUAAUCCUCAUCUGAUGGUAACCCGAGCGGAGAUCAAUCUUCGAGAAUACCUUUGCACCUCUCAUCUGAUCGAAUAAAUCCUCAAUACGUGGUAACAGAUACUUGUUCUUCACAGUAACAUCAUUAAGUGAUCUAUAGUCCACACACAUCCUCUGGGAUCCAUCCUUCUUCUGUACAAAUAGAACCGGUGCUCCCCAAGGUGAGGAACUCGGACGAAUGUAACCAGCCUCUUGUAACUCCGUCAACUGCUUCUUCAGCUCCUUUAACUCUUCUACUGACAUCCUGUAUGGUCGCUUGGAUAUAGGGGCAGUUCCAGGUAGAAGAUCAAUCACAAACUCAACUUCUCUAUCUGGUGGCAUCCCUGGUAACUCCUCUGGAAAGACAUCCGAAAAAUCUCUAACCACCCGGAUGUUGUCACCAACGAACUCCUCGGGUAUAAAGAACAUUGCACGCUUGGAUGAGGUGGUUACUGCAAUAUUAACUUGAAAUGUUUCUCCUUUAGGGCUAGUGAGUUCUAUAGUACCUCUACCACAUGCUAUAAUGGCCUUUGCCUUCCUUAACCAGGACGUACCAAGGAUCAGAUCUAUACUGCUGGCCUCUAAUAUUAUGGUAGUAGCUCCAAAUUCUCUCCCCAUAAUGGUUAAUAUCAAUCUACAUGUCAUUUGAUUUGCCUCAAUAGGCCCUUUAGGUGUAAUUACUAUCAUUGGUUUUCUCAUAUUUAGGAGUGGUAUUUCAUUUGCGUUGGCAUAACGAGCAGACAUGAAUGAAUGUGUAGCACCAGAAUCAAAUAAUAUGGUUGCAGGAAUUGCAUUAACAUAAAACAUACCAAGUACGAUGUCCGCACCAUCAGGAGUAUCAUCAACACUGACUUGAUUCACCCUGGCUAUAUAAUAUCCCUUGCCAGAUCGUGGAGUUUGUUGCCGAUUCUGAACUGGAGUAGUAGCAAUCCUCUGUGGGCAGACAUUUGCAUAAUGACCAGUCUUCCCACACUUGAAACAAGUAGUGCCUGGACUCUAUCCUGAAAACUUUGUCGGGGUGCCAGUAGGGGUAGCCUGUCGAGGAGGUGGAGUCCUCAGUGGUGAUUGCUGAACUGGGUGCUGACCUCCGCUAGUGCGAACUGGUGUUCCCUGGGGUGAACUGUAGCGAGGACGAACACUGCUGCUUCCUUGUCCUUGAGAUAUAGCCUUUCUCUUCAAAUCUCCCAGCUGAACACGCUUGUGUUCAAUGGCUAGCGCCUUAUCGAGUAGCCUAUGAAAUGAUGGAAAUGUGUGUGCCACUAGAGCAUACUGCAGGGGUCCAUUAAGUCCUUCAAUAAAAUGCUCUUGCUUCCUCUCAUCCUCAGCAACUUCAUCAGGGGCAUAUCUGGAUAACUGGAUAAACUUGUCGCGGUACUUGCUGACUGACAUACUUCCUUGCUUCAGCGACAAAAAUUCCUUCUUCUUAAUCUUCAUUAAUCCAGCUGGUAUAUGAUAAUUCCGGAACUGUGUACUGAACUCUGCCCAUGUGAUAGUGUCAGCAGCAUCGUGGGCAGCAGUGUAUGAAUCCCACCAAUCAGCAGCAGGACCUGUCAGACGUCCAGAAGCAUAUAAAACCUUCUCCCGGUCCGUGCACUGAGCAAUGUUCAACAUCUUCUCUACGGACUUCAACCAAUCAUCCGCGUCCAGUGGAUCAGGAGAACUAGCAAAUGUCGGUGGCUUAUGACUCAUGAACUCCCGGUGCUUAUCUCGGGGUGGAACUGGUGGUGGUGGUGGAGGCAGUGGUACUUGUUGUUGUUGUUGUUGUUGUUGUUGUUGCAGCUGCUGUUGCGCCCUCCUUUCCUGACAUAUCUCUUCUCGUUCUUGGCGCAGCUCUCGACGUAUAUGCUCCCGCUCUUGGCGCAUCUCCUGGCGUUCCUGCUGCAUCUGAGCACGCAUAUCUGCCAUAGUGUCCGCCAUCUGUUGCAUCAUCCUCAUCUGAGCUGCAACCAGUGGGUCAACUCCUGCUGGUGGAGGUGGUGGUGGAGGAUCCAUCUCUACUGGUUGUGGCUGGGGUUGUCUAAAUAUCCUCCGAGUGUGUCGAUUGGGAGGUAAAUCAAUUCCACCACCCCGCCUGGUAUUGACCAUCUGAGUUAGAUACAUAUGGUAAGAGAAUAGUAGACAAUGCAGUAUUUACAAAUCAGGUUACUUUGGGGGAUUUUAUUAGCUAAGCAGAUCAAUAUCUUACCUACCAUAGCUAAUUCAAUACCUUAUGGUGGUACAUGCUAAGAUGUCCAUCUAUAAUAAUUCAAUCAAUCAAAGAAGCAAAUCAGGCAUUUAUCAUCAGCACAAUCAACCAAUCAUUUUUUAAAUAAAGAAAACAAUUUUAAAUUUUGUCUUGGGUUCCCUAUCUCUUAAAAGAUCAUAGUGGUAGGAUUCCAAGGUGUGAAAUCCAUCUUGUCUUAGAAUAGAGGAGGUAAGAAUGAUCAGAGUAGAACAACAAAAGGUGAGACAAGAUCAAGAUGAGAUGAGUAUAGAAUGAGUCAGAGUAAGGUAAGUAGGAAAGGGUCUGUCCAUUUCUAUCUAGGUUUCGUCCUACAGUCAACAUUUCCUCUGAUACCACUUCUGUAACACCCGGAUUUAAGGAACAAAGUCGGGUGCAUCUCAUACAUGCGCCAAAGAAGACACAUAUAUAAUAACAGAGUGUAUAGAGAUAAAUGUCAUAAAACAUCAGAGUAUUUAUUACAUAGCGGAAGACUUAAUACAAAAUAAAAGAGUAAACAUAAAACGAACUAAGGAUCGUCGGCGCCAAUGUCAACUGAGAAACGCCACCUAGAUCAGAUCAUACUCCUCGCCUUGUGGCUCCUCCUGAACCACCUGCUCUUCUCCUGUGGGGGGUGUGAGACAGCAAGGGUGAGCUCACACAUGAUCAUCGCUCAACAAGUUGUGGGGAAUAAUGUGACAUGAACUCACCAAAGGUGGGAGUUCAUGAAGUGUAAGGCUGAUCAAUGAUAUAAGGCUGAAGCUGAGCAUUGCUUUUAAGUUGGUCAAAUUUUUAUUAGCAAUUACUAAGUGUAAGUAAAUACCAAACCUUAAUAAUAAUAAAGAAAAGCAAUAGUAAAAUAAUCCCAAAUGCGAUGCAAAUGUCAAAUUAAAUUUAAGUUUCAUAAAUUAAUCAUGUGAGGGUCCGAGCCGCUCAUGACCGUGAGCACGGCUAGUAUACCAGUUUUACACUCUGUAGAGGUUGCGCAUCUUUACCCACAAGUCAUGUUACCCAUCUGCCAAGGGAUCGCGACUUCCCAUACACCUCUACCGAGGAGGCGAGGCAGGGUAACACUACGAGGCCUUUACAAAGUUCCACUAGCUUCAGAAAACCCGCUACAGUUUAUAGGAAGCUCCAAUGCAGGGUUCUUGCCUGACCGCCAUCGCAGCAAAAUCAACCCAAGGACCUCCCUACACUGACCACUCCCCUACUGCCCUUGCCCCUUUCGGGUAAGGUAGUCAUCCACUAGCUUUCCUAGUUAAUCAGCCAAGGGCGUCCCAUUAUACCCUUGUGGUAGCACUGUUUUCCCGGGUGGUUCUCCAUGUUCCCAUUAACAUAAUGAUCUUAUCAUGAAUAAUAAUAAUAAACAGAUAAUAAAAAGUAUAACAAUGAGUGAUGAAUAUCUUUAUACCCAAAGCCACGUAAAGCAAUAGCAUAUACUACCCAAAAAGCUUGUAGUAAAACCAGUGGUGAAACAAGGUAUAAAGAUAGUCAAAAUCUAGGGUAACCUAUUGGGUCCCAUCAAAAUUAACCUAUGCAGAUCAUUAUGAUUAAUAAGAACAUGAAUGGGUAAAAGAAGUGAUCAAGGACACAACUUGCCUUCAAUGAGCUCCUGCUCAGCUACUUCUACUUGCUGAACCUCAGAAUCCACAGUUGCUUGCUCGUCUACUCGCAUCAACACAAUACAUACAUACUAUAGCAAAAAUUAACAUUGCACCAAACAUGUAAAUAAAAUACACAGUAAAAAUCUACACAUUAAAAUGAGAUCAUAGGAACUGGAAUCACUAAAUUUGGAGUUAUAGAUUUCAAGUUAUGAAUUUCCUAAGGUUUAAUGUGAUUAAAAUAGGAUUAGAUGAGAAAUUAAUUUUCUAACUGAGUUCAUGACAAAACAGUGAUACUAAAUGAUAGAGAAUCUUAUUACAAAAUUUUAGAAAUUGGAAUGGUUCAAUUUGGAGUUAAAAUCAAUUUUCUAUGCAUUUUACAAGUUUCUAGAAUUGUUUUUGUAUUAAAAACUAAAUUCUAUAAUCAUUUCUCGGUUUUUUUAUAUUCCUCUGGACUAGGCGUCAAUUUUCAGAAAGACCAGGGGCCUCGGUGCUAAGAAACAGAGACACAUGGUACAGGAGUAUGGACCGCGGGUUGUUUUUAAAUAAACAGAGGGGCUCUUAAGCAAUAUGGGCACGACGAAAGGGUAUCGGUGAAUCUGAGCCGUUGGAUCUUUUCUGGACGACCCAGAUUAGAUCUUUAGGUUUAACAACUGGUAUUCUAUGCGGACCGUAGGAUUUAAGAUCUGCGGUCGAUGAUCGAGCGCAACACGAGCCUUCCCUGCACCGUUUGAUCAUGAAUCUACGGACCGUAGCCGUCGUCAUCCCUUCCCCCCGCGAUCGAGCAGAGCUAGCACGCAGCCACGCCCACGGCGGAGUCCCCACCGGCGCACUGCCGAAAUCUCCCACCCCGGUGACCGAGAUCGAUGCAAUAAACAUGCGCCAAACGAAAUUGAGGGCUAGACGAAGCACGGAGGAGAUAUCUCACCAAGGAUUCGGCCGCGAAGGUGCCCAGUCCACGGCGCGGUGCGGAUCCGCGGCUGCGCCCGCGCUCCGGCAAAAAAUCAACCUCGCCCCGCUGCCGGAUUCGCCCCGCCAAGUGUACGAACAGCUUCACCACGCCCCUGGGAGGCUCCACAACCCGGCAACACGACCAGGUCGGCUAGGGGAAUGCUUGCCCCGAUCAGCGGAACGCGGUCCUCUCGGCUCUCACGGCAAAGGUGGAGAUCGCUUUGGUUAGAGCUGCUUACACGUUGAUGAAGAAAAAGGAGGAUGAGGAUCGGGUUUCGGUCUUCAUAUGGCCGCCCGAGGUCCGCUUGCGGCCCACUCAACGGAUCCCGCAAUCUGCGCCAUAACCGAGCCCGAGCACGCCCGGGUCGCGCGGCGAAGGAAGAGGACGGUUCUGGCAGAGCGGGCCCGCACAGACAGCGAUAGAGAAGCUAGCACGCAGUAGAGUGGGCGCUGGCGUGUGGUCCCGGCCGACAGGGGCAGCGCACGCAGGGAUUCCCCAGUUGGGCCACGCGGGAGGGGGAAAUGUAACACGGGCAGAUUGAGGUAUGGCGGCCCAGGUAGCCUUUCUUUCUUUUUAUCUUUUAUCUUAUUUUCUCUAUUUCUAAUUUCAAAUUCGAAUUCGAAUUUUGAAUCCAGAUUUGUGUCAAACUUAUUCUCAAAUCAUAUUGUGGAAUUAAAAAGACCAAUUUUAGGAUUAUAAUUAUAUUAUUUAUAUUUUUAAACCAUUUCUCUUCUUAUUUUCAAAACCCAAAUUUUUAAUUUAGGAUUUAUUUCAAUCUUAAGAAUUAUUAUUUUGUUAUCCUUAUUCUUAUUAUUUUAUUUAGUGCACAAUAUAUCAAACUCCAACAAGAUGCACCUUAUUUUAGUUUGGAAUCAUUUGUUUCGAUUAAUCCCUCUUGGUUACAUGUAUGCUUUUUUCAUGAUGCAAAUGAGGCACAUAAAAUAGGAUAAUCACUAUAUAAUUCUUUUAUACAAUUUUGAGUAUUACAGCGAGUAACUUGUCAUUACUUACGGUUGGAUCGCUCUAGCCUAGUCGAAGUUGAGUCCGCAGUGUCGUUAAAGUUCGUAGAUGUCACUGUACAGAUCAGCUUAGUGAUCAGUCAUGUGAUCGUUGUCCAAAAGCCUUAUUCACCCCCAACUUUUGCAGGUUAUUUAGUAGAGCGAGAUUUCCGAGACACUGCUCUCUCAGUCACUGUCGUCAUGCUAGCAUCAGAGAAGAGAGUGUAAGGACUCCCUCGUUUAAAACCCUAACUCGUAAUAUAUUAGUUGAUUCUCUUUACCUUUGGGGGGAAAUGUUCUCUCUACUAUAUAGGAUUUAUGCUCAUGGUAACCACGUGUGAAAAGGAAGUAACAUACUCGGUCAUGAUCUCCGUAGUAUGAUCAAUUCAUUUCCAAAAUUGUUGCACAAGGUAAAGACUGAUUAUUGUAGAAAAUGACAACAUAUAGAAGUUGAAUAUGCGCUAGUUGCCACGUCCCAAGUCUCAAGUCCCGCCAAUAAUCACAUGGUCUAAAACAUGAAAUGCUCGUGCAUAUGCUCGUGCGUAUGGCUUUAGCUUCCUUUCUCCCAUGUUUAGUUACAAGGAAUGGCAAGAGACAAGCUAUUUAAGUUGGUUUCAUUCCUCUUCCAUUUCUCAUGUAAAACUAAAUCUCACCACUCCUACUAAUUAAUGGUGAUAAUGAAUCAUGAUCCAAAUAUUUCUUCAUGAUUCGUUUGAGACCUAAUUAAUUUUAGCUCAAAAAUGAAUAGAAAUAGAGCUUGAUCCAAAUAUGAUCUGAUCCUUAAAUUUUAUAGUGUAAAAUUUAGAUCCCAUUACCACCCCUACUUCUGCUCUCACCAUGCAUGUGUGGGCCUUUGAUAUUUUUUUUAUGGAUUUUAUUAUAAAGUAAAUAGGUCAAGCCCAAUAAACUACGAUGAUCUAUCACUAUAUCUCAAAGAUAGAACAUAACCGACUCUUCAAUUAUUAUCAAAUAUUGUUUAUAUACAAGUUUUAUAGUGGAGACUGUUAAGUUUAACAUCCAUCUAACCAAGAACUUAUGUUAGCUCAUAACUAGUCAAUUGAUUAUGCCUUGAAUUGACACUUUUAUAUGAACUGGUUUCACUUAAGACAAUAAUCGAUAGAUGACACCCAAAAGCUACCUCCUCGGGUGGAGCUUAUAAGUCAUACUAUUGUGUUCUUUCAUGAGCUUCGUAGAGAAUUCACAUAACUCAUAGACCGUGACCAAUGAUAAGCUCUAUAUAGGUGUGUUCAUACAAGAAUACCUUGUAGGAUGGUAUCUCAUUAUUAAGCCUCUAAACACAUUAAAACAAAAUUCAUCUUGCCUUAUAGACUAGAUAGUACUCUCCUAGUGGAUAACAUAAUGUAUACUCAUGUAGUUACAGUCAUGACUUGUUUUCCACAAAUUCUAAUUCUUGGGUUCUCUGAUCACAAAGGUUUGGGUUGCCAUUGUAUGCAACUUAUGUGUGUCUCAAACCCAUCUCCUUUGUUGUGUUAUCUAUCACAUUCCUUGACUGACCUUUCGUAAAUGGAUUUAUCAUAUUUUACAUGUAUUUAGAAAAUUGACGGCUAUUAUUCACGAGUUUAUUAAUUUUCUAACAGACUUCAAUAAUCUUUUCACAUGUCUUGGGGACUUCAAAUUGUCCUUUAAACUGGACACUUUGGUGACAAAUGUUGGGUUAUCACAGUUCAUAUGUAUCGAGGAUCGGAUCCCUAGGUCCAUGGGGCCUAGAAGUCAGAGGGGAGAUGGAUGAUAUGUCCGCUGUGGAAGGACCCGCCCCUAAAUGACCCAGGGGCACCGAGCACGGGGCCAGGCGAACCGUAAGGAGGCCACUCGAGUGGAUUCUACACCUGACCCACAGACUUCCCCCAUCAUUUAUGAUCGCUUGCAUUAAAUACGCCUAGUGCUGAGCUGCGAUAGUAAGUCGAUCCUCAUUCCACUCAUGGCCUAUGCAUCCGAGCUAGGGCCCCACUCAUUACUUAUGGGACGUAGACUUGUGGCUCGCUCAUAACCUGUCGAGCCCUUGGCUUGAGUCCCUUGAUAGUCUACGAAGCCCGCAACAUGACGAGGAGCACCAAGGCUCAGGCUACGAAGGUCAUGGGUCGGCAUGGAACAGGAUGUGUAAUUAUGAAACUUGAGUCCCGCUACGCAUACACACUAUCCCAACUGACUUAAAGGAGCACGACUAGAGAGCUCAGACAACAAGGACAGAUACCGACAGAUGGACUUAUACCAAGGGUAGAAUACCUCGUUUUACCAUGACGCAACAACUCCUUCCACAAGAACUCACUUGUAACUGCCCCCUCCUUAGUUUAUAAAAGGGGGAGGACCGACCCAACCCAAGGAGGAAAAGAGGGGACAAAGAGUGAGCAGCGAUACACGAUGACUUAGCUAGGUAGAGAACACCUGAUACAUAGUCCCUUAGAACCAACGUCGCAUAGAGACCUAUGAUCCUUCCCUCUCUCGCCUUCUUGUAACCCCAACUACGAGCGAUCAACAACAAGGUGCUGGAAGAGCGAGCAACCAAAGACUAGAAGUAGGGACAUUUUGCACGAACCAUUAUAAAUCUUACGCCCACUGAGCACACCAUCUGGACUUAGAACAUGCAUACACAUAUUUGGAAGCUCAACCCCUAGAUUUCCCCGCUAACCUAGUAGUAAUGGGUAUUCAAGGGUUAGAUGUCAUCCUAGGGAUGAAUUAGCUGCAGAGAAACCAAGCAACCGUCAGCUAUGACAAAAGGACAGUAAAGUUAGUGUCCCCAUCAGGGAAACAGGUAGUGACUGAAUUAUUCAUGCCUGAUCUAGAAGAAGGAGACUGUCACCAUAUGUCUGUAGAUUGUAAGGAGGCCAACCUGCUUGAGGCCACCGGAGUUGUGUCGGAGUUCCCUGACGUGUUUCCUAAGGAGUUACCAGGCAUGCCACCCGAGCGUAAAGUUGAGUUUGCGAUAGAGCUUGAACCUGACACCGCCCCUAUUUCUAAGAGAGCCUAUAGAGUGUCUGGACCAGAAUUGGUGGAACUCAAAAAGCAGAUCGACAAGCUAUUAGAGAAAGGUUACAUCAGACCAAGUACUUCGUCUUGGGCCGCUCCAGUUUUGUUCGUGGAGAAGAUGGGACAAAGAGGAUGUGCAUUGACUACAGAUCCUUGAAUGAAGUCACUAUCAAGAACAAGUACCAUCUGCCAAGAAUCGAAGAUUUGUUUGAUCAGUUGAGAGGACCCGGAGUGUUCUCAAAGAUAGAUCUGAGGUCAGGUUACCAUCAGCUCUGGAUGCGACCUUCGGAUAUACUGAAGACGACAUUUAUAACCAAGUAUGGGCUAUAUGAGUAUACAGUUAUGUCCUUCGGAUUGACAAAUGCACCACCUUUCUUUAUGUACUUGAUGAAUAGUGUGUUCAUGGACUACCUUGACAAGUAGUGGUGUUCAUCGAUGAUAUUCUCAUAUACUCUCAGAAUGAGGAAGAACACGAGGAGCAUUUGAAGAUGGUAUUGCAAUGGUUAUGGGAGCAACAGUUGUACGCCAAGCUGAGCAAAUGUGAGUUCUGGAUCAGCGAAGUAAAUUGAACAUGUGCCAGCUAGACUAGCCAUUACCAAAACAAGUAAGUUCGGAACUAAAUUGAACAUCUUUGCCUUGUGCGAUAAGUUCGAAACUAAAUCGAUCAUAUUAUGAACACCAAAACCAAGUAAGUUUCUUCCUUUUUGCACAUGGUUAUCUUGAACAUAAACUUAUAUAAUAUAGAGAACGUUUUCCCUACAAAUAGCAAAGAGAAACAAGUGAUUUAUUACGGGUUAGGGUUUUAAAUGAGAAAGUCCUCGAUGUUGCAUGACCUCAGGUUCUAUGUGCCUAACACUAGCGUGACGACGACGGUAAAGAGAGCAAUGUCAUUGAAACCUUGCUAUGUUGAAGAACCUGCAUAAGUUUGGAUGAAUCAAUCUUUUGGGCAGCGAUAUCGUGACCGCUCACCGAGUUGAUCUGCACUGUGACAUCUACAAACUUUAAGUCUUUAACAUCAGAGCGAACUCAUCUUCAACUAGGUUGAAAUGAUCCUCGCUGUAAUAAUGAUGAGUUACUCACUCAUAUUUUUGUUAGAUGCACUCAUGACAGAUUUUAUCUAUUAUAUGAAUAUAUUAUUAUUUGUUAUGUGUGGUUUAUCUAAUGUUCUUGUAGUAAAUGUAUUAACAAUUAAAUUAAUAUUAAAAUGUGUAAUUCUCGACCAUUCUCUGCCCUCCAAGUUUAAUACCAGACUAACCUCUCAGCAGAAAUUGGCCAGAAGCCCAUAAAGGUAGACUGGAUAAAUAAGUUCAGUCCCGGUGGGGGCAUUCUCCGCUCUCUAGACAAGGUUCAUGAGUUCAAUACCAGGCUUUCUGGAUGAAUCAAGCCCAUAAAGGUUGACGAGAUAAAUCAAGUUGAUGAUGAAUAGAAAGGUUUAGGGUUUGAAAGUUCUUGCAAUUGGAAGGAAGAGAAGUUAUCACUUGAUGACUUGAAGCUCAGGCAAGGCUACCAACAUCUGGUUAGGGUCGAUCCUGAGGGUGGGCCACAUGCGCGGUCGCUCAGGCCCUGCCUAUCCAAACUAGUAUGUGUCUAAUCUAUAUUCUCUACGCGGUAUAGACUUAUCAGUUUCUCUAUGCACUAUCUCAUCUUCUUUAUGGAAGCCGCGACGCUCUCGUAUACGUCAUCGGCUUAUGUGUAUGGAACCCUCUCAUGGAGGAAUUCGUGAUCUCCUAGAUGGCCAGCUUAGACCAAGCCGCCAAGAAGGCUGACAAGCUGGUAUGUGCCCCUUGGUUCUGUGCCUUAUCUGUUUCGUCUACUCUUGUUUCUCGAAUCCUGAUCUAAUUUCUGAUAUGUCUCCUUAUAAUUCCCCUCGUGAUUUUAUUUAGAAAGUUGUUCACAAGAUUUGUCUUAUUUAAAAAGCUAUUUAUUUAUUUUUUUAAAAAAUAGUUGUUACUGAUGUUAUAAACUAGAUGUGGGGGACAGAUAUCCCCCGUGUCCACUAAAAGAGUAAAAGACCUCACGAAAGGCCCAAGGGCCCAAUAAAUCGUAAGGUCAUUCUUUCGUGGGCCUGGGGAGGGACAAUCAGCAAAGCAGAUCGACAUGAGGCCGGAUUGAUGCCAGCCCGGACGGCCCACAACGUCGAGCGAGCGACCACAACAGAGAUCCGACUUUCCCGCGCUGGAGCCCCCAUGCAACGGAGCCAUGCGGGGAUAGGUCGGCAGAACUACAGGGAGAUAAACUCAAACAGUUCACUAUCUUUUAGCUACACAUUGUUAUCAUAUCCACGUGUAUUACCCCACGGUCGAGUAUAUAAGGCCUAGGGGGGACCCCUUCAGAACGAUCGACCUAUUACUCGGCCACCCACCUCAACUCUCUGCGUUCUCAAUUCAGAGAGCUCCCUUGUAACCUCAUUCACCAAGCAUACUCACCAGGACGUAGGGUGUUACGCAUCUCCAAGCGGCCCGAACCUGUAAACAUUGUCUAUUGUCCCUCGUGCAUCUGGCACGAACCAUUUUGCUACAGUCGGCGACACCGUCCUACUCCUAAAAACACCUUGAGGGGCAACCCCGGGUGUGCGGUCGGACCCAAAACACCGAUAGCUGGCGCGCCAGGUAGGGGGUGUGUCGACGACCCAAGCUAGCUCAAUGGCCGUCACCUUCCACAGCAAGAUCACCCUCCGUCCCGGAUCCGUAUUCUGCUUCGGAACAAUCUCGUCCGUAGCAGAUGAAGAGGGAACUCUACACCGCAUUGCGGACCCGCCGGAAAAUAAGUCUCCUCCAACAAACUCCGAAAAUGUCGGAGAAGGGCAACCUCCAGCUCUCCAGAAAAAGAUUGUCCCCGGAAAGUCAGGGGCCGAGGGCCCGCUGACCCGGAGAACUCCACUGUCUACUUCCCCGACAAAAGAAUGGACACAGAUCGCGAGGAAGAAGGAGACCAAGGGGAAGCAAGUUGUUCUUUUCGUUCCUCCGCCCUCAAAGGAGAACGGAAAGAAGGUCGUCACGACAGCAGCACCAUUCUAUCCCGACGUCCUCUUCAUCGGGAGAGUGGAGUCGCCUACCGUCUCCGACGACGAGCCGACCGCACCCGGAGAAGAACCACCUCAACGAGAAUCCCGCCGACAGAGAAACCGGCGCAGGAACGUUCGACGACAUCACGCGGCCGGAGAACGGGAUCCGGAGCAACCUGUCUCGCGGGACGAGGUCUCGGAGAUAGGAGAAACUCCGGAGGAACGCGUCUUUAGAGAACGAAGGAACUCCCGACGACGUGAUCGCCGCCGGGCUUAGGAACAAGCCGAGCAAGAAGCAAGGCAACGCCGGGAGAAUCCAUUCUUCGGGCGCAACCUGAAUCCCGACUUCGCUCGAGCCAUGAACACGCCGAGCGAAGUUGGAGGAGUACUAGCUCGGAUAGCUGAUGGACUCCCUCGGACUCCCGACGCCGAGGGCUACCGACGAUUGUUCACCCAGGCAGCCAACCAUCUUCUACCGCUUGCUCACCCGCCGAACGAUCUACGACACGCCAUCAACAGUCACCGAGACGCGCGAAGCUCCAUCAAUGCUUCGCGUGAACGACGACAUGAGAACGGGAUCCGCCGUCGGGAGGAGUACGACAGGGAUCAUGGCAUCCCAGCUCGGAGCCAGGCCACCAGAACUGAGUCGGCAACAGCCUCAACUGGCGGAACUACCUGGGGACGGUCGAGGAACCACAACAACUACUCCCCUCCCCGGGACAGACAUCAUCCCCGACGACAGGAGGACACAUGCGGAGUGUCUGCUCUUACUCCGCGCCUUAGGGCCAUCCAAUGGCCUCCCAACUUCAAGGUAUCCAAUGUCGACAAAUAUGAACCUAAGCAGGAUCCAGGGGGUUGGCUAGCCGUCUACACCACCGCUGCUCGAGCUGCCGGGGCGUCCGAAGAUGUGAUGACCGCGUACUUACCCAUUGUCCUUGGGCAAGACGCGCUGCAAUGGCUGCGACAUCUACCCCGACACUGCAUCGACGACUGGGGCGACUUCAGUCGGCGCUUCACCGCCAAUUUCUAGUCCCUCUCCGACAAACCGGCGCAACCGUGGGACCUCAAAUCCAUCAAGCGCCAGGGAGACGAAACUCUCCGGUCGUACCUCAAAAGGUUCCAGACCAUGAGAAAUCGUAUCCCCGAGGUCACGGAGGCGGCCGUGAUCGAGGACUUCUACAGAGGAUCCAAUGACUCGGCUUUCGUCCGAGCCAUAUUACAGAAGGCGCCGACUACCUCCGAGGAGCUGUUCCGGGAAGCCGGCCUCUACAUCACCGCCGACGAGCGGGCCCAGGACCUCAUCGGAGGAGCGAAGCCCGCACUGGCAGCGCCACGACGCGACGCGAACCAGCAACCCGACAAACGCUGGGAGAAGAGGCCCCGCGAAGAAGUACACGCCGCCGGGCCGCCAGCCUCUCGCGCCCGAGGAGGACCUCGCGGAGGCGAGCGCACGCUGGACGACAUCCUCGACGCCCAGUGCCCGUACCACAAGGACAUGCGCCACACUCUUCGGAACUGCCGAGACUUCAAGCACUCCGUCGGGCACGGCCGACCCUUCCAACCUCUACCUCCUCCUCCACCGAGGGGAGGACCAGAUGAACCACGACAACCCCAUCAGCAGGAGGAGGGAGGAAGAGGAGCUUUCCCACGCGUUGACAGGGAGGUCAACGUCAUCUUCGGUGGACACGGGUCACAGGAGAACAAAAGACAACAAAAGCUCAACGACCGCCAGAUACUGGUGGCGACCACUGGUCCUCCCGCCCCAUACCGGUGGUCGGAGCACCCGAUCAUUUUCACUCGGGAGGAUCAAUGGCUUAACUUCGACCAUCCAGGCAAAUACCCGCUCCUCGUCGAUCCGGUGAUCCGAGAGAGCCGGGUGAAGAAGGUGCUAGUGGACGGGGGGAGCAGCAUCAACGUCACCUUCCCCCGAACACUCCAAGGCUUGGGAGUUCACCUCAAAGAGCUCCACGAGUCGGACACUCCCUUCUUCGGCAUCGUGCCGACUGAAGGGGAAUACCCGCUGGGCCACAUCUACAUGCCUGUCACCUUCGGAACUCCAGAGAACUACAGAACCGAGUUCCUGAGGUUCGAAGUGGCGAACUUCGACUGCGGGUACAACACCAUCAUCGGGAGGCCGGGAUUGGCCAAAUUCAUGGUCAUUCCGCAUUACACGUACAUGAUACUGAAGAUGCCAGGACCGCAAGGAAUCAUAACUGUGCGCGCCGACUUCCAAGGCACCGCAGAGUGUUUCCGAGUGGCCAUCCAAGCAGCCCUCACCACCAAGCCAUCGACGAUUUCUUCAACACAGGCGAACUCUAAGCCUGAGGAGGACCUUGCAGUACCGGCAAACGAAGCUCAGGCUGCGACCUCUAUGCGGCCGACUAAAGAAACUAAAAGGAUCAACCUGGGGUUCGCUGAUGAACGCAAGACUGCCAUCAUCAGCUCCAGCCUGGACGACAAAUAGGAAAGCGCGCUCGUCCAGUUUCUGCAAGAUAACCGAGACGUAUUCGCGUGGCAACCUGCGGAUAUGCCGGGAGUCCCAAGAGAACUGGCCGAGCACAAACUGAAAGUCUAUCCCCAGGCGAGGCCGAUCCGGCAAAAACUACGACGUUUCACGCCUGACAAGAGAGAGGCCAUUCGCGCCGAGUUAGCUCGCUUGGUCACGGCUGGAUUUAUUAGAGAAGUAUUACACCCUGAGUGGUUAGCCAACCCUGUUCUUGUACUCAAAAAGAAUAAAGUGGAUUGGCGCAUGUGCGUCGACUAUACUGAUCUCAACAAACACUGUCCGAAGGAUCCCUUUGGGCUCCCGAGGAUAGAUCAGGUGGUGGACUUCACCGCUGGAUGUUCUGUGCUGUCUUUCCUGGAUUGCUAUUCCGGAUACCACCAGAUUAGCUUGGCAAAGGAAGACGAAGAAAAAACAGCGUUCAUUACUCCGUUUGGUGCUUUCUGUUAUACCUCCAUGCCGUUCGGCCUCAAAAACGCUGGAGCGACUUAUCAGAGAGCCAUUCAAACAUGCUUAGCCGAUCACUGGGGCAAGCGUGUGGAGGCCUACGUAGAUGAUGUGGUAAUCAAAACAGAGUACUCGGAAAACUUCAUCGAAGACUUACAGCUGGUUUUCAACAGUCUGAGACGGUAUAGAUGGAAGCUUAAUCCCAAAAAAUGUGUUUUCGGGGUACCAGCAGGAAAGUUACUCGGGUUUAUUGUCAGCCACCGGGGAAUUGAAGCUAACCCGGAUAAGAUUGAAGCUAUCAUGAAGAUGGAAUCACCUCGAUCACAAAAGAAGGUUCAGCGACUUACUGGAUGUAUGGUAGCUCUGAGCAGAUUUGUAUCCAGGCUGGGGGAAAAAGGUUUACCAUUUUACAAGCUACUCAAGAAGGUGGAUAAGUUUCAGUGGACUUCAGAGGCAUAGGAAGCUCUAGAUGCACUGAAGAAAUUCUUGACAUCACCACCAGUACUGAAGCCACCACGACGAGCUACAUCAACUCAACCAGCUGAAGAUCUGCUACUGUAUAUCUCUUGCACGACUCACGUGGUAAGCACCGCGUUGGUAGUCGAGCGAGCAGAAGAAGGACAUGCCUACCCAGUGCAACAUCCUGUUUACUUCAUCAGUGAUGUUCUGGGCCCCUCAAAGAAAAAGUAUCCUCAAGUUCAGAAGCUAUUGUAUGCAGUACUUCUAACUGCCCGCAAGCUACGUCACUACUUUGAUGACCACAAAGUCAUAGUAGUCACUGGUUUUCCGAUAGGGGAUAUUCUUCACAACAAGGAAGCCAUUGGCCGAAUAGCCAAGUGGGCUUGUGAGCUGGGAUCUCAUGACAUCGAGUUCCGACCUCGUACUGCCAUCAAAACUCAAGCACUGGUUGAUUUCGUAUCAGAGUGGACUGAACAGCAAGUACCAGAUAACCCAGAGACUACAGAAGUGUGGCGAAUGUAUUUUGAUGGCUCGCUGAAGCUGCAGGGAGCAGGAGCAGGAAUUCUCUUCACUGCACCUGGAGGCGAGCACCUCAAAUAUGCCCUCCAGUUGCUGUUUCCGGCCUCCAACAAUGCAGCCGAGUAUGAAGCUCUGAUCCAUGGAUUGAACAUCGCCAUAUCAUUGGGCAUCAAGAGAUUGAUGGUGUACGGAGACUCUCUGGUAGUCAUUAGCCAGAUAAACAAAGAGUGGCAUUGUUCAAGCGAUUCAAUGGGAAAAUACUGUACUGCCGUCCGAAAGCUGGAAGAUAAAUUUGAGGGUCUGGAAUUUCAUCAUGUAGAAAGAGAUCGGAACACAGCAGCCGAUGUGUUGUCCAAGCUAGGAUCCAGUCGAACUCAGGUCCCACCUGGAGUCUUUGUGCAAGAAAUACUACAGCCGAGCAUCUCAAUGGAUCAAGCAGAAGAGUGUAAUAUUAUAGAUCAACCCGAGUCAGACUCUGAUGACUGGAGAAGGCCAAUCAUCAGGUAUAUAAAGAAUGAAGAGGAACCAGAUGACAAGAAUUCAGCCGAGCGCAUUGCCAGACAGUCGGCUCACAACACACUCAUUGGGGAGACAUUGUACAAAAAGGGUGCAUCAGGCGUCCUCAUGAAGUGCAUUCUCCCAUCUGCUGGGAAGCGACUUCUGGAGGAGGUCCAUGCUGGGCAAUGUGGAAUACAUGCAACAUCCAGAACACUAGUCGGAAAGGUCUUCAGGUCAGGAUUCUAUUGGCCAACAGCGAAGAGUGAUGCAGCCAAGUUAGUUUAGAGGUGCGAAGCUUGCCAAUACUUGUCAAAACAACAACAUCUAGCAGCACAACAACUGCAGACCAUACCAGUAAGUUGGCCUUUCGCAUGCUGGGGACUGGAUAUGAUUGGACCUUUCAAGAAAGCUCAAGGAGGAUACACUCAUGUAUUGGUAGCAAUCGACAAAUUCACUAAAUGGAUAGAGUUCAAGCCCAUUGCUUCUUUAACCUCAGCUAAGGCCGUGGAAUUCAUACAAGACAUAAUAUUCAGAUUCGGGAUACCAAACAGCAUCAUAACUGACCUAGGAUCCAACUUCACAAGUUCAGAGUUCCUCGACUUCUGCGAGCAAAAAAGCAUUCAGAUCAAGUAUGCUUCUGUAGCACAUCCAAGAGCCAACGGGUAGGUCGAGCGAGCCAACGGGAUGAUACUGGAGGCACUCAGGAAAAAGGUCUUCAAUAAGAAUGAAAAAUUCGCAGGAACGAUUCGCUUCCAUGGUUGAAAGUAGUGGGACUGCCACAUAAUACAAUGAAAAUGAAUUCAUUCUCGGUUGAGCAGGAGAUUCUGAUCCAGAAGAUGCCGCAGAAGACUUUGAAACGAAAGUGGAUAAGGGAAUUGCCGUAUGUCGUUUGGAGCCUAAGAACCCAACUUAGCCGAGCUCUGCAUGGAAACACUCCUUUCUUCAUGGUCUAUGGGUCGGAGGCAGUGUUACCCGCCGAUCUCAAGUUCGGGGCGCCAAGAUUGAUCUUCGAAAACAUAGCAGAAGUCGAAGCCACCAGGCUGGAGGACAUUGAUAUACUCGAGGAAGAACGAUUGAAUGCAGUAAUCCAAUCAGCACGGUACCAGCAGACUCUAAGGCGCUAUCACGACAAGGCCGUGCGACAGCGAUUCUUCUCAGUAGGAGAUCUCGUCCUCCGCCGAAUUCUAACGGGGGAGGGACGACACAAGUUAUCGCCCUUAUGGGAAGGACCCUUCAUAGUAGCAGAAGCCACUCGGCCAGGAUCAUAUCGUCUCACUCAGAUGGACGGCACAGAAGUCGGGAACUCCUGGAACAUAGAACACCUCAGGAAGUUUUAUCCCUAACUGUAUUUCAAAAGCUAUCGGGACGACGAUGUACUCUGUAAAAUGGAAAUAUGUCAUCAAUAAAAAAGGGCUUCAAAGAUACUCAGUUUGUUCACGAUUGACUUGCAUUCUUACUUAACUCGGGGUGACCAUUAUGCCCUGCUAACGGAGCAAUCGACUUAAGUCGGCAACGUCUUAAGGCGGUGCAACAUGCUCACGCUUACUUAACGGGGUGACCACUAUGCCCUGCUAACGGAGCAAUCGGCUUAAGUCGGCAACGACUUAAGGCGGUGCAACAUGCUCACGCUUACUUAACUCGGGGUGACCACUAUGCCCUGCUAACGGAGCAAUCGGCUUAAGUCGGCAACGACUUAAGGCGGUGCAACAUGCUCACGCUUACUUAACUCGGGGUGACCACUAUGCCCUGCUAACGGAGCAAUCGGCUUAAGUCGGCAACGACUUAAGGCGGUGCAACAUGCUCACGCUUACUUAACUCGGGGUCACCACUAUGCCCUGCUAACGGAGCAAUCGGCUUAAGUCGGCAACGACUUAAGGCGGUGCUACAUGCUCACGCUUACUUAACUCGGGGUGACCACUAUGCCCUGCUAACGGAGCAAUCGACUAAAGUCAGCAGCAACUUAAGCCGGUGCAACAUGCUCACGCCUAUGCAAUCCAGGGUGACCACUACGCCCUAUUAACAGAAGCAAUCGACUUAAGUCAGUAGCGACUUGAGGCGAUCUGACGUGAUUGCAAUUACUCAUAUAAGGAUGACUUCUAUAUCCUGCAAACAAAUUUCAAAACUAUCGCGCAUCAUUUUACUACUGCAUAUUUAUGAACUGAUGAAUUCUGAAACAACAUGAGAAUAACAAUAUCGUCCAAGUACUGAAAUGACGUCCUAUAACAAAUGUCUGACCAUGCUAACCGCGCGCUCAAAACACGCAAAAUGUUUCUCUAUUUUGUGGUAUUUUUCUCAGGAGCAAUCGAUGAAGAAGGACGACUCGAGGAAUCAGGGGCAGCAUUCACGUCAGCCCUUAUAUCUUCGGGAACAACCACGCCGGGUCUACUCAUCAAGAUUCGCCCCGCCCGAAUAGCCUUGUCCAUGGCUCUGUCGCGCUGGGCCCUGAGGGUAACGGAAGUUUCUUCAGCAACCUUGGCAGCCAGCCAAGCAGUUUCUAACUCCUGGGCGAUGGAUUUCUUGGAAGCUCGGAGUUCUUUGAUGGUAGCGUCCUUCGCUGAUAUCAACUGCUUGAGCCGGGUCACCUCAUCCGUGGAUUCCUGCAGCUUACAGCGUUGGUUGUCUAACUCUUCCAUGGUGAAGCGAUGACUCCUUUCCAGGAUAGUCAGCGAGUUGCUAGAAUCACGAUACAAUCUGUCAAGACUGUCGCGAGAAGCAGCAAGGAUACGUUUUUCUUCCUGCAAGCAGAAGUCAACUCCCUCAAGCAUCAAGCAAGUAAUAGGAUCACGACAAGGCAAAGCACGGUUUCAUAAGUCACCUUUUCAGAAUUAAGCUGAGCAUGAAGAGAAGAACUCAGUGCAUUGGCGUCAUCUAAGGCAGCAGAGACCUGAGCUAGUUCAAUCUGACUUUGAGAAUACUUCCCUUCAAAGUCAGAGCACCGCUGGACCAUUUCAGCCUGAUCUCGAGAAUGUUUUUCUUCAAGAGUGGAAAUCUGUCGAGUCAUACCUAGCAGGAGACAACCAAACAAAGGGGGUCAGGAUGUAAAGCAGUUUAAUAGAGAAGACAAAAGAGAAGCAAAAAGCACUAACCAGCGUUGGUCGCCUCCAGUUCAGAGACACGAUGUUGAAGUGACACUGGAUUCCAACAUGCAAGAGACGAAGCUACUUCUGGGACAGAAGCACCCUGUAACCUCAGCUGGCUAGCCAUCCCAUCCACCAAAGCCUGAUGAGGAGAACAGAUGAGUGUAAUGACAGCAGUUCAUGCAGUGUAAAAACCAAGCUAAAAUACAUCACAGUACCUGGAGGUUGGAAAAGAACGAAGGGAUCCCCAAAUCAGGAGAGAUCAAUUGAUAACCGGGCGUAAGGCCACCACCCGAAGCAGCUUGCAACGAAUCAGCAGGAAUCAGAUCGGUGCCAUCAACAGAGCCCAACACUCGGUCAGCGGGGACGCUACCCUCUAAAGCGACUCCCUGGUCCAAGGCUUGGGCUACCACCAUACAGCCGGAGUGUGGAGGCGAUCCCGCAUGAACGUCCAUGGAAGUACAAGAGGGAGACUCCGCUCGGACAUCCUCGGGGGCUGGGUCAUAGUUUGCACUGCCCACUUCAGCCGGAUCAUCCUCGGCAGCACCCUCGGGGGCUGGGCAGUGGCUUGCACUUCCCACCCGAACCAAGUCAUCCCCAACAACAUUCUCGGGGGCUGAGCACGUGUCAACACCAUCCUUGGGGUCCAAGUUCUCUGCGGUAGCCACCUCUAAGGCUGAUGGACCCUCAGUUACUUCCAUAGGACCAGGACGAUCCAAGUUAGUCUCCCGACCCUCGAGAUCGCGCUCUAAGGUCGACGAGGCACGGGAUGACCUCAACCCAGCAUCAAGCACAUCAGCACAAACCUCCAUCACACCAUCACCUGCUGGCUCCGAUAACAAAUCUUCUGGAACCAUAUCCUCAAGAGUCUGAUCAAAAUUAGCCAGGGACAGUUAUUGCAGACCAAUGAGAGCAGACAAAGCAGGACAAGGAACUCCACUACUUUCACCGCUAGCGAUGAACUGCCGAUUGUUUUUCCGAGUCAAAGGAACUUCAUCUUCUUCCUCCUCGUCGUCCACAUUAGCAACACAGGCAGCACCCCCAUUGGGAUCAGCAACAAAUGGAGCACCCACAUUGGGAUCAGCAACAGAUUGGGUACACCCAUUGGGGUCAGCGUCAGUAAAUUCAGUCACAGGCACUUCUUCAGCAGCAGGAACCGAGGUACCAACGUCCCGAUCCAAACUGGAUACUCGCCGGAGGCGUCUCUUUUUCUUUUUUCUGCUCAUCAGCAGAAGGAUCAGGUUGACUGGCUCGACAAGGGCGCCUCGGGCGAGUACUGGCAGGCUUCUGAGUAUCCAAAGUUGUAUCAGCCUCUGGGAGGGGCGCCACUACCAAUGCCCCAGCAGGAGCAGCAUCAGAAGAGUCCUCAGCCAGCAAAUCAAGCAUAGCGCUUAUCUCUGCAUCACUAGGGUUCAGGGGCACCUCAAAAUGGAGCUGCCGUUCAUCAUCAGGAAUCUCCCCGAGCGAGGCAACCAAGGCACUAACUUCUUCAGCAGAAGGCCGCACUCUAAGGCCCAAACUACCAUCAGUGACAGGAGGAUUCGACACCCAAUGAAGUUCAGGGUCCUACAAAACAAAAUGCCGACCUCUAAGGCACAAGCACGAAACGAAGCUUCGGUUUACGAGUGAUCAAAGCAGGAGGAGACAGUAAGAAGUCGUUUUCUUCAAAUCGCCUGCAAGCUGGACCUGAGAUCUUUGGGCUGAUUACCUCUAAAUUAACCCAAAGAUCGGGGGCUUGUGGGGGACAGAUAUCCCCGGGUCCACUAAAAGAGUAAAAGACCUCACGAAAGGCCCAAGGGCCCAAUAAAUCAUAAGGUCAUUCUUUCGUGGGCCUGGGGAGGGACAAUCAGCAAAGAGCGAACACAACAGAGAUCCGACUUUCCCGCGCUGGAGCCCCCAUGCAACGGAGCCAUGCGGGGAUAGGUCGGCAGAACUACAGGGAGAUAAACUCAAACAGUUCACUAUCUUUUAGCUACACAUUGUUAUCAUAUCCACGUGUAUUACCCCACGGUCGAGUAUAUAAGGCAUAGGGGGACCCCUUCAGAACGAUCGACCUAUUACUCGGCCACCCACCUCAACUCUCUGCGUUCUCAAUUCAGAGAGCUCCCUUGUAACCUCAUUCACCAAGCAUACUCACCAGGACGUAGGGUGUUACGCAUCUCCAAGCGGCCCGAACCUGUAAACAUUGUCUAUUGUCCCUCGUGCAUCUGACACGAACCAUUUUGCUACAGUCGGCGACACCGCCCUACUCCUAAAAACACCUUGAGGGACAACCCUAAGUGUGCAGUCGGACCCAAAAUACCGACACUAGAUGUAUAUAUAGGACCUCCGUAUAGAUUUUGCUUAGGCCCCCGAAUUCUCGGGACCGGCCUUGCAUCUGCUUCAUUUGAGGAUGCUGCAGAAUCUGGCGGCUUCGAGCUUCACUCACAGCGACGUAAGGGUUGGUUAGAGCAACUGAAUCUGUCAUGUUGUUUUCUCUUGGAAUGUGUUUUAUACUGGAUGUAACUGUAACCCAUCUGGAUGUUGUACACAACGGGAAAUAGACUAACUUCUGACGAUCAAAGCUAUUGGAAAUUAGGCAAAGUCAUCGAAAGUUAACUAACAUAUGAUGGUAUAAUUUAACUUCAAACGAGUGCGUAUCGGAACAAAUAGGACAGAAGAAAUGGGACGGAAGAAAUAGGACGUAUCACGUAUGGGUGUUUUGAUCUUUGCCCUUGAACUCUUUGAACUCUAAAAAAGACAAUGGGACAAUCGGUUAUAGUUUAUGGGCAUUGUUUACAUCAGCUGCUGUGAUUGUGUCAGAUGUGGGGUAUACCCAUAGUGCUGACUGUGGUCUCAAAGUCCGUGACCGAUUGUUUGGUUCUGUUUUUUCUAGCUCUAGGCUCACUACUUACUAGCGCAGCAAUCUAGGACAGUCCACGUGACGACGUCCUCAAAUGGAACUUUUCAUAUCUGUUAGUGCGAAUGUACAUACGGUACACACCUCAUAUAAGAACAGGGAGAGUGGCAUACUUACUGCCACGCCAUCUCCCCCAAUCACAAAACAAGAACCUCUGCCUUCGUUCAAAAAACCUCGCAAAUGGACGCCAGAAGCAGCAUGCACGUUGUGAUGCUGCCAUGGCUGGCUUUCGGCCACAUCCUCCCGUUCACCGAGCUCGCCAAGCGCAUAGCCCGGCAGGGCCACCGAGUCACACUCUUCUCCACGCCAAGAAACACCAGGCGGUUAAUCCGCAUCCCUCCAGAACUCGCGGAGCAUAUCCGCGUCGUGGACAUCGCCCUGCCGCGCGUGGAGCGCCUGCCGGAGGACGCCGAGGCGAGCAUAGACCUCCCAUCCGACGACCUCCGACCGCACCUCCACGUAGCCUACGACGCUGCCUUCGCCGGCAAGCUGUCGGAAAUCCUGCAGGAGCCGUAUCCAGGGAAGCCGGACUGGGUGGUCAUCGACUACGCCGCGCACUGGGCGCCGGCGGCCGCGGCGAGGCAUGGCGUACCAUGCGCGUUCCUGAGCCUGUUCAGCGCCGCGGUGGUCGUUUUCUAUGGCCCCGCGGAGGGGCUCAUGGGACGCGGGAGGUACGCAAGGGUGAAGCCAGAGCAGCUAACCGUGGUCCCUGACUACGUGCCGUUCCCGACCACCGUCGCGUACCGCGGCUUGGAGGCGCGCGAGUCUUUCACGCUGGUCUUGGCCCCGGACGAAUCUGGCAUGUCGGAUGGCUACCGGUUCGGCAAGUGCAUCGCAGAGAGCCAGCUCGUGGGCAUCAGGAGCAGCGCGGAGUUCGAACCGGAGUGGCUUCAGGUGGUCGGUGGGCUAUACCAGAAGCCGGUCAUCCCGGUCGGUCUAUUCCCUCCACCACCCACACAAGACAUCGGCGGCCACAAGGCAGCGCUGCAAUGGCUGGACGGGCAGCCGAGGCGCUCCGUUGUGUACGCGGCCUUCGGCAGCGAGGCGAAGCUGACUAGCGCACAGCUGCAGGCAAUAGCGCUCGGUCUCGAGGCUUCCGGCCUGCCGUUCCUGUGGGCAUUUAGGCAACCAGUCGAUGCCAACGAAGGCGAAAGCGGAUUGCCGGAAGGUUUCGAGGAGCGCAUCGACGGCCGCGGACUCGUCUGCCGCGGCUGGGUGCCUCAGACCAGGUUUUUGGCCCACGAAUCUGUCGGAGGGUUCUUGACCCACGCCGGCUGGAACUCCAUCAUUGAAGGCCUCGCCCGCGGCGUCAGGCUGGUGCUGCUACCGCUGGUGUUCGAUCAGGGCCUCAACGCGAGGCAUCUGACUGAGAAGAAGAUAAGUGUCGAGGUGCCACGGGACGAUGAAGAUGGCUCGUUCGCGCCGAAAGACAUUGCAGCUGCUUUGAGGAAGGUCCUGGUGGAGGAAGGAUGCGAGGUGUUCGGGGAUAAGGCCGAAGUGCUCGCCGUGUUGUUUGGAAAUGACGAGAUGAAUGAUCAGUGCGUGCGAGAUUUUCUCAAGUGCAUGUUAGAAUACAGCAGGCAGCAUCAGGGUGCAUUAUAGGGCUGAUAACGUCAAUUUUGUAUAGGGACAUAGGGGCUCUUUUCAAAGGUUUACUAACGACGGAGAGCAAGAACACUCCUCAGAUAAUAAAUACUACAAAGAAUUAAUGAAAAAUAUUGUUUUAUUUCCUCUAUGAGAAUAGAACAAAUAUACCUAUAUUAGUAUAUGCCAAUCUUAUCUUAUCAUUAUUAAUAUCUCUAACAGACAGAUCUUUAGAUCGAAUAAGGCGUCAUAAUUAGCUCCUUAUCAACGGGCAUGUAAUCAGCUGAAAACUAGUUCAUCAAGCUUCUGCAUGGCUAAUUAAAGUUUUCUAUUGGACGCUAAGGUUUGGAGACAGUUGCUCGUUCCCCUAGCUAUGGAGGAUGCCCAUGGCGACAUCGUGCGACAAAACCGUCCCAUCAUUAUCCAUUGUCGGACCUGAUUUUUUAUAGGCUGUGUCGUAAUAAUUUUUAAUAUACAAUUCUGCAUAAUGUGUAUAUGAUUUCAUAGUAUUAUAUAAUUUUAUAGUAAAUUUAAUAACCAAUUUGGUACAGAGAUAUAAAGUCUAAUACUCAACAAGUUACAUAUAUUAGAAUAUAAAUAGUUCGAACAUGUUAUAAAAUAGACAUAAAAAUUACAAUACUACUUAUCUGGUGGUGUUGAUGAUGUCGUGUGGCGAUGGCAGAUAUGUCGUAGGUUUCACAAUUACUUCAGUAUUCUCUCUCUUCCUCUGCUAAUUUAUAUUUGAGCCACUAUAAUAAAAAAUAAAGUGAAUCAACAAUUAAUAAGACAACAAUUAACAAUGAAAUAUAUAUCUAUGUUGCAACAUAUAUUAAUCAUUGCAUAAUUACAAUUAAAGCUAACAAAGUAAUAGCUAGGGUUCACAAAUCACAAUAAAAACUUUGGAAAUUAAGAAUUAGAUAAUAGGAAUUGCUGGCUUGCUACUAUAGGGGAGGAGAUGACAUAUGGGCAGAGUUGUCGCCUGCAGAGAUCGAGAUGCUCGAGUAGUGGUUGGGCGAGGCAUGGUCGUGUGGGCGCUCGGCGAGUGACGGCCCACAGCUGGUGAAUGGGCGCUCCGACACAGUGCUAGAAACUUCGGCGACAACUCUUGUCGACAGGCCCUAGGCCAGGGAGCAGCGGCGGCAAGCGCAAAGAGCCCAGGAGUGGCGACGUUCGGGCGCUAGGUAUAGGGGCGUGCUAGUGCGGGGCUCAGACCAUCGGGCUUCGUCUUUCGAGCGUCGCAAAUUCAUAGACGCUCUACGCUUGCUCCUUGAAAAAAUGCCCGGGCCGGAAGAAAUGGGGCUAAGGUGGGGUCUUAGUGGGCUUGCCUUAGUAUGUGCCAUGGCUCAUGUAGACCCACAUGUGGGUCUGGCCCUGCCAUCAGCCUCGAUCUUCUUAAGCUAUUCUUAAUGAUGAUUUUAUUUUAUUUCAUCUUUAUUAAAUAUCCCAUCACAUGGAGUAUGAUGAUAUGGCAAGGAUUUAAUAAGAGAGGUAUAGAGAGUUUCAUGAGAAGGCGAGAGUUUCGUUUAGAUGAAACUCGGGAUGCAUGAUUUUUAUAGACAAAAACUGAUGUAGCGUUUAAAAAAAUGUGUAAUAAAACUCUACACUAAAAAUAGCUUUAGACAUCAAAAGCUUACCUAUGUGGUUUUGAAGCGUCUGUAUACGCCGCUCGACCUCAUCUUGGUGCUAUCGUCGAGGCAACACACCAUCAUCACACUUUAUAGUCGCCUCCUAUGGUGGGAGACCUAUAACAAAAGCUUCUUUUUGACUUGCACUCCUCUAUCGUCUCCAAUCUCGUGGCUCCUUCACUGGCAUCAUCGCCAAUUUGGGUAGCUCAUCCCUCUCUUGUGACCCUAAAUUCGAUUCUCACUGCAUGAGUGACCCUCUAAUUUGCAAUGGAUUCUUGGUACGAGGUUGUAUCAUCUUAAGACUAUGCAAUUCAUGUCUGGCAUGUCCGAAACACUGGGACGUCAUAAACCUGGUUGUAACUUGUGUUUUCAUUCAUCCCACGCUCGAUGUCACCAUGGUUGCCUUCCCAAGAACUCUCGAUCCUCCACAAGGAUGAAGACUACUUUCAAUGGGCGGGUUAUGGUUUUUUGGCCUGCCUAAAGCAUUAUUUCCGCUUCUGACAGUAAUGCACACUGUUGAAUAUAGAAUGUUAUAAAUGUUAAAGAUAUAAGGUUAUGUAGAGUAGGAAAUGGACAUACUCCUUGUUUGAUUUAAGGCUAUGACCCCUAAUAUUGUCAGUACUGUUACAUGCCAUGUAAAGGCUUAUGUCUACGUCAUAUCUCUUUAUAUAUACGAGUACAACCCUAAGAGGAUUUUGCAUUGCACUACUUUAACAUGGUACCGAGCAUAAGAAAUUUUUCUAAUUCCCCACCACAGAUCCUUCUUCUUCCUCCUCCCAUGUCGGAUGCUACUGCUUCUCCACCAUGGUGUCGAUCCCCAUACAUAAGUUGUCAUCAUUUGACUGACUAAAUUAAAUUUUCUCAUAAGGCAUUCUCAAUUCCUUUCACAUCUACAGAGCUCAGAGUUUUAAGGAUACCUUGAUGGAUCCAAUGUCAUCCCUGAGAAGAAGAUCAUGCAUCGACAACCACUGGCGCAACUAAAUCUCUAAUCCAACAUAUGUAGCUGGUAUGAUCAGGAUCAACAACUGUUGAGUGGUCUUCUCUUGUCGAUGACCAAAGGAGGCAUGGGACUUCCUCCAAAAGAAAUCCGCCUCAUCCACGAAGUCAUGCAUGGUGCAAAUUCAUGUGAAACUUGAUACAUCGAAGAAACGUGACCCUCCUACCACGUCUUCAAAUACCAAAGUCUACACUCGCUCUUGCGCCGUACUUGAAUCAACAAUCAAAAUCUCCAAGUCAAGACACUUGUGAGCAAUCAAGUUGUGACUAACUCAAAUGUGAAUACCGUUGUAAAACAUCUCAUCAAUCUCCAAAAUCCCAAAACAACCUUUGUUAUUUGUUCUUAAAUUUUACAAAGCUCGUGGAGAUAAUCUAAUAAAAACAGAGAAUCGCUAUUGGGUCAUGUCGGCCGGGAUUGUUGAAUUCAAAGUGCCGGUUCUGUCCCCACUACUCUCAAGUCAUGCGCAACAUCGCUGCUGGAUCAUAAUGGCUGGGAUCGUCAGCUGUGACAAAAUGGAUUCGUCUAAUCCAUGACCCAGCCUGGCUGAUUGAUUGCUUUUAUUUUUAUAUACCCACUGUCUGCUUGAGUACGAUAAUAGGACAUGAGAAUUUUAAGUCCACAAACUGAGGACACGUACAAUCUAUAGACUCUUGUUCGAUUUUUCAUUUAGAAAAUACGGUUAAGAAACCGCACCAUACAACUCUAACUUCUAAAACAUUAAUACAGUUAAGAUAGUUAAGAAACCGUGUAUAUAGAAAGUCGCGAAGAGACGAGCUCUAAAGAUUUCUCAAGAGACCCCUCAAUUAAUGGGUUGUACAUGCCACGACCCACGAUAAGUCUUCAUGUCUAGAAGCUUGCGUACCAACAAAACUGCAAUUAUCUCCUCAGUCUCCUUCAAACAACUCUUUUUUCUAUUGUUAGACUCGAAGCCUAUCCCCUUCACGGAGCUCUCGCCAAGCGCUAUGGGGGACGCCAACGGCGGCAGUAUGCACGUUGUGAUGCUGCCAUGGCUGGCGUUCGGCCACAUCCUCCCCUUCACGGAGCUCGCCAAGCGCAUAGCUAGGCAGGGCCACCGGGUCACCCUCUUCUCCACGCCAAGAAACACCAGGCGGUUAAUCCGCAUCCCUCCAGAACUCGCGGGGCAUAUCCGCGUCGUGGACAUCGCGCUGCCGCGCGUGGAGCGCCUGCCGGAGGACUGCGAGGCGAGCAUAGACCUGCCAUCCGACGACCUCCGCCCGUACCUCCGCGUAGCCUACGACACCGCCUUCGCCGACAAACUCUCGGCCAUCCUGAAGGAGCCGGGGCCGGAGAGGCCGGACUGGGUGCUCAUCGACUACGCCGCGUACUGGGCGCCAGCGGCCGCGGCGAAGCACGGCGUGCCGUGCGCCUUCCUGAGCCUGUUCGGCGCCGCGACGCUCAGUUUCUAUGGUCCCCCGGAGGGGCUCAUGGGACGCGGCAAGUACGCCAGGACGAAGCCGGAGGACCUCACCGUAGUACCCGACUACGUGCCGUUCCCAACCACCGUCGCGCACCGCAGCUUCGAGGCGCGCGAGCUAUUCAAGCCAGGCCUUGUCCCGGACGACUCCGGCGUGUCGGAGGGCCACAGAUUCGGCGUGUCCAUCGGAGAGAGCCAGAUUGUAGGCAUCAGGAGCAGAACAGAGCUCGAGUCGGAGUGGCUGCAGGUGCUUGGCAAGCUCUACAAGAAGCCGGUGAUCCCGAUCGGCCUGUUCCCUCCGCCGCCCACGCAAGACAUCGCCGGCCACGAGGCGACUUUGCGGUGGCUGGACAGGCAGGCUCAGGGCUCCGUCGUGUACGCGGCCUUCGGCAGCGAGGCGAAGCUGACGAGCGCGCAGCUCCAAACAAUUGCGCUAGGUUUGGAGGCUUCCGGCCUGCCGUUCCUCUGGGCAUUCAGGCCGCCAGCCGACGCCGCACCCGGACAAGGCACGGGCGGGUUGCCCGAAGGCUUCGAGGAGCGUGUCAAUGACCGGGGAUUGGUCUGCCGCGGCUGGGUGCCUCAACCCAGGCUUUUGGCUCAUGAAUCGGUUGGUGGGUUUCUGACCCAUGCCGGCUGGAACUCCAUCGCCGAAGGCCUCUCGCGGGGCGUCACGAUGGUGCUGUUGCCGCUGAUGUUCGAUCAGGGCCUCAACGCCAGGCUUCUUGUGGAUAAGAAGAUCGGGAUUGAGGUGGAGAGGGACGAAGACGACGGCACGUUCGCGCCCAAAGACAUCGCAGAUGCUCUGAGGACGGCCAUGGCGGAGAACCAAGACGGAACUAGGGUCAAGGAACUGGCCGAGGUGUUUGGAAAUGACGAGGCCAAUGAUCAGUGCCUGCGAGAUUUCCUCCGGUAUCUGUCAGAAUACAUCAGGCAGCAUCAAGGUUAGUUCCAGUCCAUUUCGAGGCUAAUGUUAAUGCAGAAAAGGGCAAAGAAAUGGCAGUGAGUCACGUCACGCCAUCAAAAAAAAUCCUUCCAGGCAAAUACUACUCCGUAGACAAUAGAAUAUGGAAUGGAAGCAUGCAUCUUUGAGAUUAUUGCCAAGAAAUUCUUGCUCUCUCUUCUUUAGAAAAAAAAGGAAGUUUUCUUUGUUAAGAAAUCUCUUUUUUUAAGGAUGUGAUGACAGCGGCCGACGGCCAGACCGAUUUUACGCGGUGUUGUUUGGUUAUUCAUACGAGGAUUCUAUGAGAUUAAUAAAGUAAGAGAGAUUUUGACUUUAAAAUGAACAGCCCUUCAAGGUUGAAACAUCUUAAGUUUUACUUGGUACGUACCCGUGUCAUGCUACGGAACACAAAUUGUGAGCCUCCAACAGGUUCAGGGCCCUGGCGAUGGACGGAGUGAGUACAAUGAUGACGGCAAAAUCCGUGAUUAAAGAUAGAUACAAAACCAUAUAAAUACGCUGGCGCAAAUAGAUUGAACCGAUGUCGAACAAACAUUAUCAAUAUCGCACAAAUAAUUUGUAAAGAGUAAAUAUAAAAUACUUAAUCAUAAGCAAAUAUGUUAACACCUCGUAUACUAAUCUAAUCUUUUUAGCAAUAUUGUUAAGUCUCUGUUGUAUGUUUGCAGGGAUGACAUAUUGACACGAAUUGACAUCGUAACAUAACAGAUCGAUAACAAAGUUCCUCCAAAGAAUCUUUGCAUCCUAUAUACAAGACAUAACCAUUGCUUACAAAUAUAGUCUAGGAACAAAACAGUGGCGAGAUAAAACUGAAAUUGCUUACAAUUUAAAAUAUAAAUUGAUCCAUACAGUAGUACGGAAGUUAUAAUACCUUCUCGAAGUAUUGUAGUUGCCAUCGAUUUUUUUUUGGUUUAGGGUUCAGACAAGGGAACGUCAAUUAUGCAUGCGAUGAAUCCUAAUUAAGGAAUAUAAUCAUGCAUGCCCUACAGAAAGGAAACACAGAACAAAAAAAGAAACACAAUAUUCAGGAAAGGAAUGCCCAGCCAUUGUAGGACUUUCCCUUUGAAUUAGACACAUUGAUGAGCAAGUAGAACAAGUGGUUAUAUUCUAGCCGCGAUGCUUAAAAUGAGGACGUGCAUCAAGUGCCACCAGAAAUAUCUUACCUUGUAUAAUUGUAAAGCCCAAAAUUGGUAGAAAAAAAUAAUACCAAUUAAAUAAAUAAAUAAAUAAAUUUAAGAUUGUGCUUUAGGGAUUUUUUUUACCAAGCCCAAAAUUCGCCCCCGGUAUCAAAGCUAGGAACUGCAGUAGCUACUCGAAAACCUUAUCCAUUACGCUAGAGGCUCUUUCGCAUAUAUAUAAAUAUAUGUGACUCACAUUGCAUCCUCAUCUUUUCCUGAUUGUGUAUUCUAAUUAAAUUUGAAGUUCAAACUUUAUUUGAAUCUAUUUGAAAUGGAAAAUUGAAAAUAGAAAAUAAAAAAAAGAAGAAAACGGGCAUUCCUCACUUGGGCCAUGCUUCACGCAUACAUGCCCACGUCCCAUGUAUAUGUUUUUUUUUACAUUUCUUUAUUUUUAUGGCUGGACGCUGCGUACUCAUGACGUCCGGCAUGAGGCCAGCAACCAUUUUUUUUUCGCUCGCGCGCCUGACCGGAGGUAGAAGCUAUGGCCGACGUGUGGGCCCAUACAUGCAGUUCUGUUCUUCUAGCUCAAGUCGGAAUCAGCCGAUAGUGUCGGCUUAGCUGUUGUAGCGAACAGGUCGCCCCUAUAUUCGCAUCAAUUCCGUUUGGGACUAUAAAGCCGGAAGUAGUAACAAACUCACCCGCAUAACAGAACACCCAUGAGUUUGUUAGAAAAAUCCGGAUGCUUGGAUCAGGCGCCCCUGGGAUAUAUAUAUUUGAAUGUCGUGGCCCUAGUCCUAUGGAUUCGAUAAGAUGGAAGCAUCGUGUCGCCGCCGGUGUUGAGCAGGAGAGCAGCCUAGUGAUCGAGGGGCGGAGCGAUGAUCACCGGGACCAUAGGGGGUUGUGCGUAGCUUUCUGGAGCACAGGGUCGAUCGUGAAGCCAGAGAUUUCUCGCCGAAGGCGAGCACAACCACAUAGCCAUGACUUCUCGCGGGCAGAAGGGGUUCCACACUGCAAAACUUUGUGAGUAUCAGUCUUAUAGAUUCGUCGUGGUCUACGCUUUGUGUAUCACUUGUCCGUGUUUGAUUUUAGUUCCUGAGCGACGUUUCGCUAGUCAUCGACGUGAUCGCCGCCGUAGAGCUAUGGCGCCGCCACAGUGGCGUGUUCGUCGUACGUAGUUGUUUUUAGGUAGAAGAUGGACACACCUAGAUCACAUAUAUUAUGUCUAUUUACCCAAUAGUUUUUAUAUGACCUCGAUCUAAACAAACAGAUCACGUCAGGUCACCUAUUUAUGUACAACCCUACUAAUUUAUUAAAAAUACGAUAUCUUCUAGGUCAGAUAAUUCGUUUUAAUCUAUUCAAGUUGUGUUAGGUUCAUAUCAAUUUUUGCGUAUGUGGUAAUAAUAUUGUUUUAAUUAUGCCACAUGGUUUAAUUAAUUAAUUACUUAUUUAAUUAAUGUUAAUUAGCUAGAUAAUCUAGUUAAUCUAAUUUAUAGUUCUAACCUACGUAUUUUAUAAAUAAUUGUUAAUAAAUUAAUAUCGACUCAAAUAUUUUAAUUUAAUACCUAUUUAGUUUAAAUGCAAUAUCUGUUAUAUCAUAUCUAUUAGAUUUAUUGUGCCUAAACUAUCGUUUUAUCCAUAAAUUCUUUGUUUUAGCUCUGAUUUUACUGGUUCUCGAACCUCGAUCUCGUAGCAACGCGUAGAUUAUUAUUACAUAAUUUGUACUUAUGUUUGGUGUAAUGUUAAUUUUGCCUAUACAAUGUUUGUUUGUAUUGCUACGACUAGAGCGAGGUCACGUGACAUCUAAAGAGCAAGUUGGUACCUGGAAUCUCAAGUCCCAGGCAAGUUGUGCCCUUGAUCACUUCUUUUACCCACUCAUGUUCUAAUUAAUCAUAAUGAUCUGCAUAGGUUAAUUUUGAUGGGACCUAACAGGUUACCCUAGUUUGUCUAUCUUUAUGCCUUGUUUACCACUGAACUUUUUGGGUAGUACUUGCUAGUGCUAUAUGUGGUUUUGGGCAUUGAGAUACACAUUAUUCAUGACUAUACUUUUGUUAUCCGUUGUUAUUUACUGUUCAUGUCAAGAUCAUUAAUGUUAAUUGGAACAUAGAGCUUAACUUGAGAAACACGUGCCACCACAAGGGUUUAUGGACGCCCUUGGCUGAUUAAUUAGGAAAGCUAGUGGAGGACUACCUUACCCGAAAGGGGCAAGGGCAGUAGGGGAGUGGUCAGUGUAGGGAGGUCCUUGGUUGAUUUUGCUGCGAUGGCGGUCAGGCAAGAACCCUGCAUUGGAGCUUCCUAUAAACUGUAGCGGGUUUUCUGAAGCUAGUGGAACUUUGUAAAGACCUCGUAGUGUUACCCUGCCUCGCCUCCUCGGUAGAGGUGUAUGGGAAGUCGCGAUCCCUUGGCAGAUGGGUAACAUGACUUGUGGGUAAAGGGUACCACCUCUGCAGAGUGUAAAACUGGUAUACUAGCCGAGCUCACGGUCAUGAGCAGCUCAGGACUCUCUGAUGAUUAAUUUAUGGAACUAAAUUCAAUUUGUCAUAUGCAUUGCAUCGCAGGUGAUGUUGUUACUUUUGUUCUACUACUUAAUUGGGUUGGUAUUUACUUAUACUUAGUAAUUGCUAAUAAAAUUUUGACCAACUUUAAAAGCAAUGCUCAGCUCUAACCAUCCUCUUUGGUAAGCCUUACACUUCACGUGAGCUCCCACCUUUGGCGAGUUCAUGCACAUUAUUCCCCACAACUUGUUGAGCAAUGAACGUAUGUGAGCUCACUCUUGCUGUCUCACACCCCCCCACAGGUCAAGAACAGGUACCGCAGGAUGAGGCGCUUGGAGGAUGCUGCGAUGUGUUCGUGAGAGGUCUAGGCCGUCGUCUCCCAGUCAACUUUGGGUUGCUGGACCGUUGUCUCCUUAUAAUGUAAUUAUUUAUUUUGUAUAGAACUCCUGUUAUGUAGUAAAAAUGUGACAUUCGAUCCUGUGCCAUGAUUCAUCAUAUGUAUGAGACUUGGUCCCAGCACACCUGGUGAUUAUGUUCGCGCCCGGGUCUUGGUGCCCCUAAAACCCGGGUGUGACAGAAGUGGUAUCAGAGGAAUGUUGACUGUAGGACGAAACCUAGAUAGAACUGGACAACCAAUACUUACCUUUGCCACUCUGAUUCUUUCUAAACUUUUCUUAAUCUUUUCUUAUCUAUUUCCGCUUUACUCUGAUUGCUCUUACCUUUUCUUUCUAAAGAUAAAUGUGGAUUUCACACUUUGAAAUCCUACACCUAAAGUGACUCUAGAAAUAGGAGACCUACUCUUAGGAACAAAAACAAAACUAUAGAUAUCUAUGAACUUGAAUGUUUGUUCUUAUGAUACUUGUCUGAUUUGGAUCUUUGAUUGAGUGUGAUGAGUUGUGGAGUAGUGUCCACAAUUGCAUCUACAUAUACUUAGGCAUAAAAUAUAUAUAUAUAUAUAAGAUAACUAAUCAAACUUAGAUUGUCCGUCAUUAAAAAAUGUAUCUAGCUUAAUAGAUCCACGCUAUCUUAAAAGACUCUCUCUUAACUUAAUAGAUCCAUCUCAUUUUAACAUAUUCUUUCUUAUCUUAAUAGAUUCAUCUUAUCUUAAAAAGAUUUUAUGUCAUCCUAAUAGACCUAACUGACCUCAAAAGAUUCUACCUUAUCCUUAUGGAUUCAUCUUGCCCUAAUAAGCACAUUUAUCCCACUCUAGAAUAACAACCAUGAGCUAAUCCAAAAUUUAUUUAGAUCUUAACUAGUCUAAUCUAGUCAUAUCCAAUCUAAUCUAGAUUUUAUCUAAUCUAUUAUGAUCUAAUCUAGAGUAAGUUACUUAAUGCUGGUACAAAAGAUAAGGCCAUACCCCUCAUGCACUAAAAAAACUAGUGCCUUAAACCAACUCAGCCACAUGCAUGAGAUCUGAUCCAACCAAUAGUCAAGAAGAAUUGCAUAAUCUGUCUAUCCCCAUCUAACAUCAAACAAACUUUGACCUACAACAUGUAGUUCAUCUCACCCUUAACUAUUUCAACCAUAUGCCCCAACUCUGAUGAUAUACCCUGACCCCGACUCAAUGAGACCAAGACUGGAAAAGGAAAAGAUCAACCUCGUCAAGAAAAAAAAGAGAAGUCAAACUUGAUCUUCCGAUGCAUUACCACACAACAAGGAGUUCUUUCUCACCGGAAACUUUCUUAUCCUAGGCUAUUCUUGCCCUAACUUAUCCAUCUCUUAGAACCUACAUAAUAAGUGGCUGGAUACCUAUGCUCUCCUAAUCAACCCCUAUUGACUAAAAAAAUGAGACUCUGGACUUUUGGUACAAUUAUAAGACUAAAAGUUGAAUUGUAAACCAAUCCUUUAGGAUCCCUUUUCUUACAAAUCUCGAGGACGAGAUUUUUGUUAAGGGGGUAGGAUUUGUAAAGCCCAAAAUUGGUAGAAAAAAAUAAUACCAAUGAAAUAAAUAAAUAAAUAAAUAAAUUUAAGAUUGUGCUUUAGGGAUUUUUUUACCAAGCCCAAAAUUCGCCCCCGGGUAUCAAAACUAGGAACUGCAGUAGCUACUCGAAAACCUUAUCCAUUACGCUAGAGGCCCUUUCGCAUAUAUAUAAAUAUAUGUGACUCACAUUGCAUCCUCAUCUUUUCCUGAUUGUGUAUUCUAAUUAAAUUUGAAGUUCAAACUUUAUUUGAAUCUAUUUGAAAUAGAAAAUUGAAAAUAGAAAAUAAAAAAAGAAGAAAACGGGCAUUCCUCACUUGGGCCAUGCUUCACGCAUACAUGCCCACGUCCCAUGUAUAUGUUUUUUUACAUUUCUUUAUUUUUAUGGCUGGACGCUGCGUACUCAUGACGUCCGGCAUGAGGCCAGCAAACAUUUUUUUUUCGCUCGCGCGCCUGACCGGAGGUAGAAGCUAUGGCCGACGUGUGGGCCCAUACAUGCAGUUCUGUUCUUCUAGCUCAAGUCGGAAUCAGCCGAUAGUGUCGGCUUAGCUGUUGUAGCGAACAGGUCGCCCCUAUAUUCGCAUCAAUUCCGUUUGGGACUAUAAGAGCAACUCCAAGAGCUUCUUAAGAAAUUGUUCCCCAAAACAUCAUAUUGGGGCUGCCGAAAAAAAAUUUCCUCCAAAAAAACUAAGCUCAUAUCAGAAUGCUAAUAACCGGUCCCUUAAACAUUUAAAAGAGCUCACGCCAUCAUAGGGUCUUCUCUCCGCCAUCAUGGUACAGCAGGAAGCAAACGGCGGCCUGCAGCGCGCCGCCGCGGAUGGCAGUGACGAAGACGAUUGCGGCAGGAACACAAAGCCAUCAUGCUCUACAAGUCCUCCAGCUACAGCUUCCCCAUGAAGCUGGACGCCCACCAGGUGGAACCGUCGCAGAAGGAGGACAACGACGACUACCUGACCCACUUGCUGUUCACCGAGGACAACGACAAGGACGAGCUGGUGAACGUGCCGGGGUCUGUCACCGACGUCAUGCGCGGUGCGAGGGAGCAGGAGGCCGGCGAGGGGAUUGGGGAACAACUUUGCUCGCGAAUAUUUGAGGGAUAGUGAAGCUCGGAUGCGGGACGCUGAAAAUUUGGAGAAGGAAAGGGGAGCUGUUGGAUGGAGAUUUUUUUGCUUUUCUACCCCAAAACACGUUUUCGGGUUGGUUUUAGUGUUCUUUUGGAGAUGCUCUAAAGCCGGAAGUAGUAACAAACUCACCCGCAUAACAGAACACCCAUGAGUUUGUUAGAAAAAUCCGGAUGCUUGGAUCAGGCGCCCCUGGGAUAUAUAUAUUUGAAUGUCGUGGCCCUAGUCCCAUGGAUUCGAUAAGACGGAAGCAUCGCGUCGCCGCCGGUGUUGAGCAGGAGAGCAGCCUAGUGAUCGAGGGGCGGAGCGAUGAUCACCGGGACCAUAGGGGGUUGUGCGUAGCUUUCUGGAGCACAGGGUCGAUCGUGAAGCCAGAGAUUUCUCGCCGAAGGCGAGCACAGCCACAUAGCCAUGACUUCUCGCGGGCAGAAGGGGUUCCACACUGCAAAACUUUGUGAGUAUCAGUCUUAUAGAUUCGUCGUGGUCUACGCUUUGUGUAUCACUUGUCCGUGUUUGAUUUUAGUUCCUGAGCGACGUUUCGCUAGUCAUCGACGUGAUCCCCGCUGUAGAGCUAUGGCGCCGCCACGGUGGCGUGUUCGUCGUACGUAGUUGUUUUUAGGUAGAAGAUGGACACACCUAGAUCACAUAUAUUAUGUCUAUUUACCCAAUAGUUUUUAUAUGAUCUCGAUCUAAACAAACAGAUCACGUCAGGUCACCUAUUUAUGUACAACCCUACUAAUUUAUUAAAAAUACGAUAUCUUCUAGGUCAGAUAAUUCGUUUUAAUCUAUUCAAGUUGUGUUAGGUUCAUAUCAAUUUUUGCGUAUGUGGUAAUAAUAUUGUUUUAAUUAUGCCACAUGGUUUAAUUAAUUAAUUACUUAUUUAAUUAAUGUUAAUUAGCUAGAUAAUCUAGUUAAUCUAAUUUAUAGUUCUAACCUACGUAUUUUUAUAAAUAAUUGUUAAUAAAUUAAUAUCGACUCAAAUAUUUUAAUUUAAUACCUAUUUAGUUUAAAUGCAAUAUCUGUUAUAUCAUAUCUAUUAGAUUUAUUGUGCCUAAACUAUCGUUUUAUCCAUAAAUUCUUUGUUUUAGCUCUGAUUUUACUGAUUCUCGAACCUCGAUCUCGUAGCAACGCGUAGAUUAUUAUUACAUAAUUUGUACUUAUGUUUGGUGUAAUGUUAAUUUUGCCUAUACAAUGUUUGUUUGUAUUGCUACGACUAGAGCGAGGUCACGUGACAUCUAAAGAGCAAGUUGGUACCUGGAAUCUCAAGUCCCAGGCAAGUUGUGCCCUUGAUCACUUCUUUUACCCACUUGUCGGGGACCAUAAUUAGGGGUACCCUCAAGACGCCUAAUUCUCAGCUGGUAACCCCCAUCAACAUAAAGCUGCAGAGGCCUGAUGGGUGCGAUUAAGUCAGGGAUCAGUCCAUACGAGUGACUCGAUCACGCUUCGCCCGAGCCUAGCCUCGGCCAAGGGCAGCCGACCUCGAGGGACUUCCGUCUCGCCCGAGGCCCCCCUUUUAACGGCGGACGCAUCUCCGGCUCGCCCGAGGCCUUGGCUUCGCUGAGAAGCAACCCUGACCAAAUCGCCGCACCGACUGACCGAGUUGCAGGAGCAUUUAACGCAAAGGUGGCCUGACACCUUUAUCCUGACGCGCGCCCCCCGGCAGAGCCGAAGUGACCGCCGUCACUCCGCCGCACCACUGACCAGUCUGACAGAAGGACAGCGCCGCCUGCGCCACUCCGACUGCAGUGCCACUCAACAGAGUGAGUCUAACAGGCAGUCAGGCCUUGCCAAAGGCGCCAUAGGAAGCUCCGCUCCGCCCGACCCAGGGCUCGGACUCGGGCUCAGCCCCGGAAGACGGCGAACUCCGCUCCGCCCGACCCCAGGGCUCGGACUCGGGGUAAGACCCGGAAGACGACGAACUCCGCUUCGCCCGACCCCAGGGCUCGGACUCGGGCUAAGACCCGGAAGACGGCGAACUCCGCUCCGCCCGACCUCAGGGCUCGGACUCGGGCUAAGACCCGGAAGACGACAAACUCCGCUUCGCCCGACCCCAGGGCUCGGACUCGGGCUCAGACCCGGAAGACGGCGAACUCCGCUCCACCCGACCCCGGGGCUCGGACUCGGGCUAAGACCCGGAAGACGACGAACUCCGCUUCGCCCGACCCCAGGGCUCGGACUCCGCCCGGGCCUCUGUCGAACGAUCUCCGCCUCGCCCGACCCGGGGGCUCGGGCUCGGCCUCGGCCACGGAAGACAGACUCGACCCCAGCUUCGGAGGAGCCCCCACGUCGCCCGACCUAGGGCACAGGCCCGCCACGUCAACAGGAAGCGCCAUCAUCAUCCUACCCCGAGCCGACUCGGGUCAUGGAGAACAAGACCGGUGUCCCAUCUGGCUAGCUCCGCCAGAUGGGCAAUGAUGGCGCCCCACAAGCUCUGUGACGACGGCGGCUCUCAGCUCUCUUACGGAAGCAGGUGGACGUCAGCAAGGACUCGACCGCUCCGACAGCUGUCCCUCCGCCAGGCUCCGUUGCUCCUCCGACAGCCACGACAUCACGCCAGCAGGGUGCCAAGAUCUCUCCGGCUGCCACAUUGGCAUGUACUUAGGGCGCUAGCUCUCCCUCCGCUAGACACGUAGCACUCUGCUACACCCCCAUUGUACACCUGGAUCCUCUCCUUACGCCUAUAAAAGGAAGGACCAGGGCCUUCUUAGAGAGGGUUGGCCGCGCGGGACGAGGACGGGACAGGCGCUCUCUUAGGGCCGCUCGCUUCCCUCACCCGCGUGGACGCUUGUAACCCCCCUACUGCAAGCGCACCCGACCUGGGCGCGGGACGAACACGAAGGCCGCGGGAUCUCCACCUCUCUCACGCCCGUCUCCGGCCACCUCGCUUCUCCCCCCUUCGCGCUCGCCCACGCGCUCGACCCAUCUGGGCUGGGGCACGCGGCACACUCACUCGUCGGCUCGGGGACCCCCCGGUCUCGAAACGCCGACAGUUGGCGCGCCAGGUAGGGGCCUGCUGCGUGCUGACGAACAGCUUCCCGUCAAGCUCCAGAUGGGCAGUCUCCAGCAACCUCUCCGGCCCGGGACGGUGCUCCGUUUUGGGAGUCUCGAGUUCAUGUCGUUCGACGGCAGCUACGACAUGAUACUCCUUCCACCGCCGCGCGACAACGACAAUGGCGGCCGACAACCCGCCCACCGGCGGCGGAACCGACGACAUCUUCCCCGCGUGGUGGAAGAACAACGUUCGAGCUCGCCCCGUCCUCUCCCCCGCCAACGGAGGAGGAGGCGGGGCAACCAAGGCCAAGCGGGAGGCCGCGCUUCGUCGGCCGUCGAGCGAAUUGAUGUUCCCAGCGCCCCAACGGAGGGCACGCCGGGCGUCGACCUCGCGUUCAAGACGAAGGCAGGCGCUGUCCCCCCGCGACACGCUGAUCCCGAGCAAGAAGACGACGCCGGCGCACUCGCGGAGAGCUUGCAGGACGUCGCCCUCGUACCUGAGACGACGGUGCAACCAGUCCCCGAUGUGACUACGUCGCUCCUCGUCGACCAAAAGGUACUGACUAACUCCCAUCUUACGUCAUUUCGACUCGGCCUCAACCCGCCAAGCGACCUCGCUUUGGCGGGCGCUCUCAUUGAGGCGAGUGCAACCCCACUGGGGUUUCGUAUGCGGUCGCCUUGGGACCGAUUGACGGACGUCUCGACCUACGGGCCCUCUAGGUCCGAGGAAGAUGACGAUCCCAGCAUCUGUUGGGAUUUCUCUGGAUUUGGCAACCCCAGUGCCAUGCGGGACUUCAUGACCGCAUGUGACUACUGCCUCUCCGACUGUUCCGACGGAAGCCGCAGCCUUGACGACGAGGACUGCGGCCCAAGCCGCGAAUGUUUCCACGUCGAGCUAGGGGAUCCCUCCGAAGGCAACCAUCUUGGCAUGCCGGAGGACGGUGAUUUUCCUAGGCCGGCGCCUCGCGCCGAUAUCCCGCGGGAGCUAGCUGUGGUCCCUGUUCCGGUGGGGGGACACGACCCACAGCUCGAGCAAGUCCGCGGGGCGCAGGCCAGGCUCGACGAGGGAACAGGGGCGCUUGAGACGAUCCGCCGGGACGUCGGGCAGGUAUGGGCGGGCCAACCCCCGGCCGGAGAAAUACGUCACCUGCCCCAAGGUCUCCAGCACCGCGUCGCCAACGAUGUCAGGCUCAGGCCGCCGCCCGCAUCCAGCGGGGUUGGUCAGAACCUGGCAGCCGCAGAGAUGCUCCUCCGCACGAUGCCGGAGCCAUCAACCACCGAGGGUCGGCGAAUCCAGGGAGAGCUCAAGAAUCUCCUGGAAGGCGCUGCGGCCUGACGGGCCGAGAGCACUGCCUCCCGAAGGCAGGGAUACCCCUCGAAGCCUCACGCCGCGACUUCCCGAUUUAUGCGGGAAGCCUCGGUCUACACCGGGCGCACACGCAACACCGCGCCUGCGGCCCCGAGCCACCUCGGCAACGAGCACCAUCGACGCGACCGUCGGGCCCACCUCGACGAAAGGGUGCGCCGAGGCUACCACCCCAGGCGUGGGGGGCGCUACGACAGCGGGGAGGAUCGGAGUCCCUCGCCCGAACCACCCGGUCCGCAGGCCUUCAGUCGGGCCAUCCGACGGGCGCCGUUCCCGACCCGGUUCCGACCCCCGACUACUAUCACAAAGUACUCAGGGGAAACGAGGCCGGAACUGUGGCUCGCGGACUACCGCCUGGCCUGCCAACUGGGUGGAACGGACGACGACAACCUCAUCAUCCGCAACCUUCCCCUGUUCCUCUCCGACACUGCUCGCGCCUGGUUGGAGCACCUGCCUCCGGGGCAGAUCUCCAACUGGGAUGACUUGGUCCAAGCCUUCACCGGCAAUUUCCAGGGCACGUACAUGCGCCCCGGAAAUUCCUGGGACCUUCGGAGCUGCCGGCAACAGCCGGGAGAGUCGCUCCGGGACUACAUCCGGCGAUUCUCAAAGCAGCGCACCGAGCUGCCCAACAUCACCGACUCGGAUGUCAUCGGCGCGUUCCUUGCCGGCACCACCUGCCGCGACCUGGUGAGUAAGUUGGGUCGCAAGACUCCCACCAGGGCGAGCGAGCUGAUGGACAUCGCCACCAAGUUCGCCUCUGGCCAGGAGGCGGUUGAGGCUAUCUUCCAAAAGGACAAGCAGCCCCAGGGCCGCCCAUCGGAAGAGGCUCCCGAGGCGUCUACUCCGCGCGGCGCCAAGAAGAAGGGCAAGAAGAAGUCGCAAUCGAAACGCGACGCCGCUGACGCGGACCUUGUCGCCGCCGCCGAGUACAAGAACCCUCGGAAGCCCCCCGGAGGUGCUAACCUCUUCGACAAGAUGCUCAAGGAGCCGUGCCCCUACCAUCAGGGGCCCGUUAAGCACACUCUCGAGGAGUGCGUCAUGCUUCGGCGCCACUUCCACAGGGCCGGGCCACCCGCGGAGGGUGGCAGGGCCCACGACGACGACAAGAAAGAAGAUCACCAAGCAGGAGAGUUCCCCGAGGUCCGCGACUGCUUCAUGAUCUACGGUGGGCAUGCGGCGAAUACCUCGGCUCGGCAUCGCAAGCAAGAGCGCCGGGAGGUCUGCUCGGUGAAGGUGGCGGCACCAGUCUACCUAGACUGGUCCGACAAGCCCAUCACCUUCGACCAGGCUGACCACCCUGACCAUGUGCCGAGCCCGGGGAAAUACCCGCUCGUUGUCGACCCCAUCGUCGGCAACGUCAGGCUCACCAAGGUCCUGAUGGAUGGGGGCAGCUGCCUCAACAUCAUCUACGCCGAGACCCUCAAGCUCCUGCGCGUCGAUCUGUCCUCCGUCCGAGCAGGCGCUGCGCCCUUCCACGGGAUCAUCCCUGGGAAGCGCGUCCAGCCCCUCGGACGACUCGACCUCCCCGUCUGCUUCGGAACGCCCUCCAACUUCCGAAGGGAGACCUUGACGUUCGAGGUGGUCGGGUUCCGAGGAACCUACCACGCGGUACUGGGAAGGCCAUGCUAUGCGAAGUUCAUGGUCGUCCCCAACUACACCUACCUGAAGCUCAAGAUGCCGGGCCCCAACGGGGUCAUCACCGUCGGCCCCACGUACAAACACGCGUUCGAAUGCGACGUGGAGUGCGUGGAGUACGCCGAGGCCCUCGCCGAGUCCGAGGCCCUCAUCGCCGACCUGGAGAACCUCUCCAAAGAGGUGCCAGACGUGAAGCGUCAUGCCGGCAACUUCGAGCCAGCGGAGACGGUUAAGGCCGUCCCUCUCGACCCCUGUGGCGACACCUCCAAGCAGAUCUGGAUUGGUUCCGGGCUCGACCCCAAAUAGGAAGCAGUGCUCGUCGACUUUCUCCGCGCAAACGCCGACGUCUUUGCGUGGAGACCCUCGGACAUGCCCGACAUACCGAGGGAUGUCGCCGAGCACUCGCUGGAUAUUCGGGCCGGAGCCCGACCUGUCAGGCAGCCUCUGCGCCGAUUCGACGAGGAGAAGCGCAGAGCGAUAGGCGAGGAGAUCCACAAGCUAAUGGCAGCAGGGUUCAUCAAAGAGGUAUUCCAUCCCGAAUGGCUUGCCAACCCUGUGCUUGUGAGGAAAAAAGGGGGGAAAUGGCGGAUGUGUGUAGACUACACUGGUCUCAACAAAGCAUGUCCGAAGGUUCCCUACCCUCUGCCUCGCAUCGAUCAAAUCGUGGAUUCCACUGCUGGGUGCGAAACCCUGUCCUUCCUCGAUGCCUACUCAGGGUAUCACCAGAUCCGGAUGAAAGAGUCCGACCAACUCGCGACUUCUUUCAUCACGCCGUUCGGCAUGUACUGCUAUGUCACCAUGCCGUUCGGUCUGAGGAAUGCGGGCGCGACAUACCAGCGGUGCAUGAACCAUGUGUUCGGCGAACACAUCGGUCGCACAGUCGAGGCCUACGUCGAUGACAUCGUAGUCAAGACAAGGAAGGCUUCCGACCUCCUCUCCGACCUUGGAGUGACAUUCCGAUGUCUCAAGGCGAAAGGAGUCAAGCUCAAUCCUGAGAAGUGUGUCUUCGGGGUGCCCCGGGGCAUGCUACUGGGGUUCAUCGUCUCCGAGCGAGGCAUCAAAGCCAACCCGAAGAAGAUCGCAGCUAUCACCAGCAUGGGACCCAUCAAGGACUUAAAAGGCGUACAAAGGGUCAUGGGAUGCCUCGCGGCCCUGAGCCGCUUCAUCUCACGCCUCGGCGAAAGAGGUCUGCCUCUGUACCGCCUCUUAAGGAAGGCCGAGAGUUUUGCUUGGACCCCUGAGGCCGAGGAAGCCCUCGGGAACCUGAAGGCGCUCCUUACAAAGGCGCCUGUCUUGGUGCCCCCAGCUGAUGGAGAAGCCCUCUUGGUCUACGUCGCCGCUACCACUCAGGUGGUUAGCGCCGCGAUUGUAGUCGAGAGGCAAGAAGAAGGGCAUGCAUUGCCCGUUCAGAGGCCAGUCUACUUCGUCAGCGAAGUAUUGUCCGAGACCAAGAUCCGCUACCUGCAAGUUCAGAAGCUGCUGUAUGUUGUGAUCCUGACAAGGCGGAAGUUACGACACUACUUCGAGUCUCAUCCGGUAACUGUGGUGUCAUCCUCCCCCCUAGGGGAGAUCAUCCAGUGCCGAGAGGCCUCGGGCAGGAUCGCAAAGUGGGCAGUGGAAAUCAUGGGCGAAACGAUCUCGUUCGCCCCUCGGAAAGCCAUCAAGUCCUAGGUGUUGGCGGACUUCGUAGCUGAAUGGGUCGACACCCAGCUGCCGACGGCUCCGAUCCAACCGGAGCUCUGGACCAUGUUUUUCGACGGGUCGCUGAUGAAGACGGGAGCCGGCGCGGGCCUGCUCUUCAUCUCACCCCUCGGGAAGCACCUACGCUACGUGCUACGCCUCCAUUUCCCAGCGUCCAGCAAUGUGGCCGAGUAUGAAGCUCUGGUCAACGGGUUGCGGAUCGCCAUCGAGCUAGGGGUCAGACGCCUCGACGCCCGCGGUGACUCGCAGCUCGUCAUCGACCAAGUCAUGAAGAACUCCCACUGCCGCGACCCGAAGAUGGAGGCCUACUGCGAUGAGGUUCGGCGCCUGGAAGACAAGUUCUUCGGGCUCGAGCUCAACCACAUCGCUCGGCGCUACAACGAGACUGCAGACGAGCUGGCUAAAAUAGCCUCGGGGCGAACGACGGUCCCCCCGGACGUCUUCUCCCGGGAUCUGCACCAACCCUCCGUCAAGGUCGACGACUCGCCCGAGCCCGAGGCACCCUCGGCUCAGCCCGAGGCGCCCUCGGUUCAGCCCGAGGUACCCUCAGCCCCAGGGGCCGAGGCACUGCACGUCGAGGAGGAGCAGAGCGGGGCCACGCCUGAUCGAAAUUGGCAGGCCCCGUACCUGCGAUAUCUCCGCCAGGGAGAGCUACCCCUCGACCAAGCCGAGGCUCGGCGGGUAGCUCGACGCGCCAAGUCGUUUGUCUUGCUGGGCGAUGAGGAGGAGCUCUACCACCGGAGCCCCUCGGGCAUCCUCCAGCGAUGCAUCUCCAUCGCCGAAGGUCAGGAACUCCUGCAAGAAAUACACUCGGGGGCUUGCGGCCAUCAUGCAGCGCCUCGAGCCCUUGUCGGGAAUGCCUUCCGGCAAGGCUUCUACUGGCCAACGGCGGUGGCUGACGCCACUAGAAUUGUCCGCACCUGCGAAGGGUGCCAAUUCUAUGCGAAGCAGACCCACCUGCCCGCUCAGGCUCUGCAGACGAUACCCAUCACCUGGCCCUUUGCUGUAUGGGGUCUGGACCUCGUCGGUCCCUUGCGGAAGGCGCCCGGGGGCUACACGCACCUGCUGGUCGCCAUCGACAAAUUCUCCAAGUGGAUCGAGGUCCGACCCCUGAACAACAUCAGGUCCGAGCAGGCGGUGGCGUUCUUCACCAACAUCAUCCAUCGCUUCGGGGUCCCAAACUCCAUCAUCACCGACAACGGUACCCAGUUCACCGGCAGAAAAUUCUUGGAUUUUUGCGAGGAUCACCACAUCCGGGUGGACUGGGCUGCCGUGGCUCAUCCCAUGUCGAAUGGGCAAGUAGAGCGUGCCAACGGCAUGAUUCUACAAGGGCUCAAGCCUCGGAUUUACAACGGCCUCAACAAGUUCGGCAAGCGAUGGAUGAAGGAACUCCCCUCGGUGGUCUGGAGCCUGAGGACGACGCCGAGCCGAGCCACGGGUUUCACGCCGUUCUUCCUGGUCUACGGGGCCGAGGCCAUCUUACCCACUGACCUGGAAUACGGCUCCCCGAGGACGAGGGCCUACAACGAUCAAAGCAACCAAGCUAGCCGAGGAGAAUCGCUGGACCAGCUGGAAGAGGCUCGGGACAAGGCCUUACUACACUCGGCGCGGUACCAGCAGUCCCUGCGACGCUACCACGCCCGAGGGGUCCGGUCCCGAGACCUCCAGGUGGGCGAUCUGGUGCUUCAGCUGCGGCAAGACGCCCGAGGGAGGCACAAGCUCACGCCCCCCUGGGAGGGGCCAUUCGUCAUCGCCAAAGUCCUGAAGCCCGAAACAUACAAGCUGGCCAACAAUCAAGGCGAGAUCUACGGCAAUGCUUGGAACAUCAAACAACUACGUCGCUUCUACCCUUAAGAUGUUUUCAAGUUGUUCAUAUACCUCGCACCCACGCAAAGUUUAGUCAUCAAGGAAGGGUCGGCCUCGCCUCGGCAAAGCCCGACCCUCCCUCGGGGGCUAAAAGGGGGGAGACCCCCUCCGCGUCGAAAUUUUCCUCGAAAAAGGAUCUCUUUUUAGCAGAAUUUCUUUCGUGCUUUUUGACUACUUCGAAAAGCGGAUCCUGGAAACGACGGAGUACACGUAAGCAGCCAAGGCUGACCGAGCCGAGGGACUCCUACGCCUCCGGGAUACGGAUACCUCACUCAUCACCUUCUGCGAUAAGUAACUCGCGUUCGGAUAAAGUGAUUCCGCGGACCGAGCAAGUCUUCAAGUUCGGAAGCUCUUCUGCCGAGGCGGUCCUUCAAGCCUUCUCGACUGAAUCGGUGACAGGGCCUCAUGGACGGGCGAAAGUACGCGUAAGCGACAAGGCCGACCGAGCCGAGGGACUCCCACACCUCUGGGAUACGGAUACCUCACUCAUCACCUUCCGCGAGAAGCAACUCUCGCCCACACAAACAUCCCUGUUACCAACGGAAAGUCCAGAUGCUCGGAAUGAGAGGAAAAGAGACGCGGCUUUACAACGCAGCGAGGAUGUGUUUUCUGGCCUCGGCGGCCGCAGAAGGCACACGCUACAAGAUAAUCUGAUCCUGCAGGCUCGGAUCUUCACGCUGGAAGGGGGCUGUAGCACCCUCGGCAUCGACGACGCCUUUAGCGAGAUCCGACCCAGCCUCGGACGACGACGCGGUCCGGGGACUUCUCCGGGAAUCCGGCCCGAGCAGGCGGCUCAGCCGGUUACCCCUGGGGCCUCGGCCAACCAUCUUCCAAGGGCGCCAGCUCGACCCGAGGCCUCGGCUGAUCGACUCCGGCGUCAGCCCCGCUGACGGGCAACCCGGCUAGGCUCCGGCCAACCAGGUUCCCAUUUUCGAGCCAACUCCGCCUCUGUUCGUACUGAUAUCGCUACCCCUGGCCUCGGCUCAUCGAAGAGCGGCCAAGGGGUCCCUUUAACUGAGCUAGAGGAGCCUCAGACAACAAGGCCGAUCGAGCCGAGGGACUCCUACGCCUCCGGGAUACGGAUACCUCACUCGUCACCUUGACACGGGGCGACGCAUGCUUGGUGAAGCGUUUCAGAUAAUCAACAGGCGAGACUUAGCGCUCGAAAAUAAGGAAAAAAACACGGCUCCGUGCCGAAAUUACAUACAUGUUCAGGCCUCGACAGCCACGACGGACAAAAACACUGCAUUCAAGGUGCCAUCACAAACGGAACUCCGGUUCCGUCCCCGCGGGUACGAGCGACCUCGGGCCUGCGGGGUGACGAACAUCGGGAGGCUCGCCAGCGACCUCUGCAGCAGCAGCCAUGGUCCCGGGUGGACGCGGCCACCGGAGGGCUCUUGUUCGCGGUCCCGCUCAAGGGACGCGAACCAAGCAUCAAAGCUAAAGAGCAGGCCGCUCCCAAGCGCUCCGGCAGAUCCUCGCUGCCGUCCUCGCCGCGAAUGCGAGGGAAAGGACGGAAUGUUGCAUCCUAGCUGGAUAGCAACAGUUUGCCUUCCCCGGCAUGACUGGAGGACGUCUCCGUCGCAGCGAGAGGACGAUUGCCACCACCAGAAGCUGGAAGAGGAGGUGGUUCGCCAACCCGCGCAGGAGGUAGAGCCCCGGCUCGCCUCGCUCCCCGCCCCAGCGAGGAUGACGAACACCCCCGAUGCUGGGGACGGGAUCACAGCCUGGUUUGCCUCUCCCCAUCCAGGAGCUGGAGGUCACCGUCUUGGGUGACCACCGGCGGAGGGGAGCAACCAGGCUGUGUGAUGAAAAUCCUUGAAGCCGAACGAUGGCUAAAAGGUACCAACUCCCACGGAGUUGCGUUCCUCCAACGAGGAGGCGGAAAGACGGCGGAUACCCCCCAUCCGGGGGCUUGGAAGAUGGAAAGACACGACGCAUAAGGGAGGAAGAAAACAUGGUUGCCUUCCGAAAGGGGUCGCCCCCAUUUUUAAAGGCAACUCUCCCUACGUGCGCCCCCAAACGCCACGGGAUGAGUCUUCUCCAACACGCUCCAAGGCCCUCCCCUGCGGCUUGGGGGCUGGGUCCCACAUGUCAUGCAAACCGGCUCAGAGCAGAAGAAGCCGAACCGCCGCGCGCGGUGCACGCGACCGCCCAGCGGUUACAAGCGACCCCCACUUUUGCCCAGACCAAUGGGCGGAAGGGGCGGGCAGCCAUGCAGGCGGCAUGCAACCGCGCCAGGUGGACGCGCUUCUCCGACUUCUGACACGCCAGCUUGGAGGCCCAGGCCCACGCGUCACGCAACCAGCGCGCCAGUUGCUGCAUGCAAGCAACCGCACCGCCACUUGCACCACCGUCGCACCUCUUCGGUUGCGGAACCUAUGCCGCGACUCGAGGCGACCCAGCGCACGACCCAGCAGCGCCAGCCUGGCGCGACGGUCAAUGCGGCCGAAAGUGGGCCGGCAGUAAUGACGGUGGCAGGCGGGCGGGAGCAGCGGUCACAUCGUCAGCCAGGCUCACGUCCCAUCUAGGGACAGCAAGAGAGCCUCCUCCCACGGCGUGAAGACGGUGCGCCCGUGAUCCGUUCCUCGAACGGCUCGCGCACGCGCAACGACCACCCCGCCAACCACUCGCCCCGUCGCAUUAACUCCACGGCGGGACAGGCGGCGCCUCUGGCAGGAGCGGCGGGCGACGCUUCGCCUUCGCCGUAAUUACCGCGCCAAAAAAAGGUACGCCACGUCGUUCGAUUUCGUAUCCUUUUCCUUUUUUCCUCUUUCUCUAUCUCUUGCAACAGGGACCGGGAAAGGGGGAUACCCCGAAAAGGAUCCUUCUCUGCGAAGGAACCGGGCUCCGAGCCCCCCCUACUGAUCAGAGGUUCGAAGGCUGGCCCUCCGAAGGGUUCAACAGUCGCCUCAGAUCGCGUGGGCCCAACACCCACUACUGGUCAGGGGUUCGAAGGCCGGCCCCCCGAAGGGCUCCAUGGCCGCCUCAGGCUACUCGGGCUCCGCGCCCAUUACUGAUCAGGGGUUCGAAGGCUGGCCCCCGAAGGGUUCACAGUCGCCUCAGACACCGAGCGAGGGAUGACCAGGGGUACGUUCGAUACAUAACCGAGGCUCGGGCUGCGCUCCCGAGGUACCCUAGGACAUUUCCGAGACCAGCGGGAACGAUCUUGUAACGGAAUCCCAUCGGAGGGAGGCAUCGAGCCCUCGGACCCCGUCGCCAGGGGACCGGGUCCGGCAGAUCACCCGCAGGUACUUUUGGGCGUGCCUCUGGGCCCCUAGCCGACCCCCAACGAACGGGGCACGGACGUCCACUCGGAUCACCCGCUUGCAGCUCACCGGAGACACCAUGUUCGGUGCCCAUCGAGGGUAACAUGGCGCUCUCCCCCCUCCUCAUUGCGGAAAGGCGAUGCAGGGGCAUAUGUAAAAAAGCCGAGUCUGUCCCUGAUCGUCCUCUCGCCCUGUGCGGAGGCUCGGGGGCUGCUCUCGCAAACCCGGCUCCGGCCAGACCGUUGACAGCGUCAACAUACCAGCCCGAGAGCUUGGGCCCCGACCGUGCACCCGGGCUACGGCCAGUUCGCAUGAGGGAACAACCAGACCAGCCGAAGCAUUACGCAAGGCAUUAAGACCUCGAAGGAGUGAAACCACUCCUCCGAGGCCUCGGGGGCUACACUCGGCGGGUGCGCUCGCGCGCACCCACCGGAACAAAAUGCAACCGAGAAAGGCUGGUCCCCUUGCAAAAAAGUGCGACGAAAGCCUCCAAGCGAGUGCUAACACUCCCUUCGAGGCUCGGGGGCUACUGUCGGGGACCAUAAUUAGGGGUACCCUCAAGACGCCUAAUUCUCAGCUGGUAACCCCCAUCAGCAUAAAGCUGCAGAGGCCUGAUGGGUGCGAUUAAGUCAGGGAUCAGUCCAUACGAGUGACUCGAUCACGCUUCGCCCGAGCCUAGCCUCGGCCAAGGGCAGCCGACCUCGAGGGACUUCCGUCUCGCCCGAGGCCCCCCUUUUAACGGCGGACGCAUCUCCGGCUCGCCCGAGGCCUUGGCUUCGCUGAGAAGCAACCCUGACCAAAUCGCCGCACCGACUGACCGAGUUGCAAGAGCAUUUAACGCAAAGGUGGCCUGACACCUUUAUCCCGACGCGCGCCCCCCGGCAGAGCCGAAGUGACCGCCGUCACUCCGCCGCACCACUGACCAGUCUGACAGAAGGACAGCGCCGCCUGCGCCACUCUGACUGCAGUGCCACUCAACAGAGUGAGUCUGACAGGCAGUCAGGCCUUGCCAAAGGCGCCAUAGGAAGCUCCGCUCCGCCCGACCCAGGGCUCGGACUCGGGCUCAGCCCCAGAAGACGGCGAACUCCGCUCCGCCCGACCCCAGGGCUCGGACUCGGGCUAAGACCCGGAAGACGACGAACUCCGCUUCGCCCGACCCCAGGGCUCGGACUCGGGCUAAGACCCGGAAGACGGCGAACUCCGCUCCGCCCGACCCCAGGGCUCGGACUCGGGCUAAGACCCGGAAGACGACGAACUCCGCUUCGCCCGACCCCAGGGCUCGGACUCGGGCUCAGACCCGGAAGACGGCGAACUCCGCUCCACCCGACCCCGGGGCUCGGACUCGGGCUAAGACCCGGAAGACGACGAACUCCGCUUCGCCCGACCCCAGGGCUCGGACUCCACCCGGGCCUCUGCCGAACGAUCUCCGCCUCGCCCGACCCGGGGGCUCGGGCUCGGCCUCGGCCACGGAAGACAGACUCGACCCCGGCUUCGGAGGAGCCCCCACGUCGCCCGACCUAGGGCACAGGCCCGCCACGUCAACAGGAAGCGCCAUCAUCAUCCUACCCCGAGCCGACUCGGGUCAUGGAGAACAAGACCGGUGUCCCAUCUGGCUAGCUCCGCCAGAUGGGCAAUGAUGGCGCCCCACAAGCUCUGUGACGACGGCGGCUCUCAGCUCUCUUACGGAAGCAGGUGGACGUCAGCAAGGACUCGACCGCUCCGACAGCUGUCCCUCCGCCAGGCUCCGUUGCUCCUCCGACAGCCACGACAUCACGCCAGCAGGGUGCCAAGAUCUCUCUGGCUGCCACAUUGGCAUGUACUUAGGGCGCUAGCUCUCCCUCCGCUAGACACGUAGCACUCUACUACACCCCCAUUGUAAACCUGGAUCCUCUCCUUACGCCUAUAAAAGGAAGGACCAGGGCCUUCUUAGAGAGGGUUGCCCACGCGGGACGAGGACGGGACAGGCGCUCUCUUAGGGCCGCUCGCUUCCCUCACCCGCGUGGACGCUUGUAACCCCCCUACUGCAAGCGCACCCGACCUGGGCGCGGGACGAACACGAAGGCCGCGGGAUCUCCACCUCUCUCACGCCCGUCUCCGGCCACCUCGCUUCUCCCCCCUUCGCGCUCGCCCACGCGCUCGACCCAUCUGGGUUGGGGCACGCGGCACACUCACUCGUCGGCUCGGGGACCCCCCGGUCUCGAAACGCCGACACCACUCAUGUUCUAAUUAAUCAUAAUGAUCUGCAUAGGUUAAUUUUGAUGGGACCUAACAGGUUACCCUAGUUUGUCUAUCUUUAUGCCUUGUUUACCAUUGAACUUUUUGGGUAGUACUUGCUAGUGCUAUAUGUGGUUUUGGGCAUUGAGAUACACAUUAUUCAUGACUAUACUUUUGUUAUCCGUUGUUAUUUACUGUUCAUGUCAAGAUCAUUAAUGUUAAUUGGAACAUAGAGCUUAACUUGAGAAACACGUGCCACCACAAGGGUUUAUGGACGCCCUUGGCUGAUUAAUUAGGAAAGCUAGUGGAGGACUACCUUACCCGAAAGGGGCAAGGGCAGUAGGGGAGUGGUCAGUGUAGGGAGGUCCUUGGUUGAUUUUGCUGCGAUGGCGGUCAGGCAAGAACCCUGCAUUGGAGCUUCCUAUAAACUGUAGCGGGUUUUCUGAAGCUAGUGGAACUUUGUAAAGACCUCGUAGUGUUACCCUGCCUCGCCUCCUCGGUAGAGGUGUAUGGGAAGUCGCGAUCCCUUGGCAGAUGGGUAACAUGACUUGUGGGUAAAGGGUACCACCUCUGCAGAGUGUAAAACUGGUAUACUAGCCGAGCUCACGGUCAUGAGCAGCUCAGGACUCUCUGAUGAUUAAUUUAUGGAACUAAAUUCAAUUUGUCAUAUGCAUUGCAUCGCAGGUGAUGUUGUUACUUUUGUUCUACUACUUAAUUGGGUUGGUAUUUACUUAUACUUAGUAAUUGCUAAUAAAAUUUUGACCAACUUUAAAAGCAAUGCUCAGCUCUAACCAUCCUCUUUGGUAAGCCUUACACUUCACGUGAGCUCCCACCUUUGGCGAGUUCAUGCACAUUAUUCCCCACAACUUGUUGAGCAAUGAACGUAUGUGAGCUCACUCUUGCUGUCUCACACCCCCCCACAGGUCAAGAACAGGUACCGCAGGAUGAGGCGCUUGGAGGAUGCUGCGACGUGUUCGUGAGCGGUCUAGGCCGUCGUCUCCCAGUCAACUUUGGGUUCCUGGACCGUUGUCUCCUUAUAAUGUAAUUAUUUAUUUUGUAUAGAACUCCUGUUAUGUAGUAAAAAUGUGACAUUCGAUCCUGUGCCAUGAUUCAUCAUAUGUGUGAGACUUGGUCUCAGCACACCUGGUGAUUAUGUUCGCGCCCGGGUCUUGGUGCCCCUAAAACCCGGGUGUGACAAUAAUUUUGAAGGGAUUGCCUUGUAUAAUGUUAACAUACAUAAUCAUGUUGCGUUCAACACUCAUGAGACGAAUUGUUCAAAAAGAAAUGUAUAUGUAUAUCAUGGGUCCUCGUAGUUAUCUAAAUAUAUUGUUUUAGGAUGGAGACUUUAUAUGAUUUACAGUACAUACAUAUGGUUCCUCCCAGUCCUAGACAUAUGUACUAUAUCUAUAAACAAGGUCAUUUAAACAUGUCAACUCAUCAUCUCCCUAACUGACUCUAGAUUAGGAUGGCUUCGACCAGAUUUCAUCAGCACAUAGCAAGCACCAUACGCAGCCCAGCACUGCACUGUAUGCCCCCCAUUUCGAUUUUGCCAUGCCAACAUGCAUGUCAUUGCCGUCCAUCUUCACAACCAUACGAAAAUUGAGAGGCCCUGGCAUCCAGUCCAGAACUAACAGCAGUGGUCAACGAGAGUUACUGUUGCACGAGACAGAUCCACUAUCAUUGCCAUUAACUCAGAUUACCAGUAUCACAUACUAAAAUUAGAAUUACUGCACAAAAGGUCAAUGCAUUAAACUACACAAAACAUAUAACUAAAAACAGUGAUGUCGAUGCGUUGAACUGCACAAAAGGUAUAUCUAAAAACAGUGACCAAAAUUUCAGCUAUGCCCAGGCUUGAAUUAGCACAAAAGGGAUUAAGUUAUAGAUGUGGCAACAGAAUUAGAAACAAUAAUAAAGUAGAUUGCUUUCGGCUCCAAUCAUAUGAAUAGUUCUCCAAUCCUAUAAUGAGUAAUAAAAAUUUGGGACAAGUGCAGACUAACAAUAGUUCUACGAUGAAAAACAAUUACCUUUGGUAUUGGAUUCUCUAAUAGUAAAUUGAUAGAACCAGCCCCUAAAGUGUUUUCCACUGCACCAUGCACAACUUGUUCCUUGAGGUCCUUCUCAAGCUAAAGAAUCCGCAUAAGAUGAUUUUAUGAGUCUACACUAUGGAAGAUUUAGUAGAAAAACAAGAAGUAGGAGGCUAAGGAAAAAAAUGGGCUUUCACCUUUUUCUAACAGAUUAUUUGAGCAUUUUUAGCUAACUUCAAGGGAGGUAACACUUUUAGAGUGUCAACAAAUAUGUUAUGUCAUUUAGUGAAGUUAGGAAUAAAAGACUUGAAUGAAUUAAAAUGUCAUAUAUGAUGAUUUGUACUUCUCAAAGGAAAAGAUCUCUUUCUUCCGACCUAGCCUUAUGUGCCAGUACUCUGUUUCUGUCUCCAGCUCCACAGGUGGAGGCUUUGUUGCAACCAAUCCAUUCACCACUGUCUGCUUGAGACACUUAAACAUACCAAACAAGACCCUCCUAGCUUUUGUUGGCACCAGCGGAACAGCAACAUUCAGCACCAAGAUCAAGAGCAUACCUUGUUGGGUGCAUAGGUGAGCACAUACCUGAAUAUUAUAUUAGAGCCUCCAUUCCACUAUUCUUCUCAAACAUGGUGAUUUUUUAACAGCGCCAAAAACAGAAAACACCUAAAAAUAUCACAUUAAUGUAACUAUACAGCUGGCUUUCAUGUCAGCUCUUUAUUUGAAUUAAAUAAAAGGUAUUGAGUUAUCUUACAGUUUGCAGAACAUCCACCGUCACAACAUAUUGCAUGUUCUCAAAUCUCAACUAAUCCUAAAAGCACGCUGCUCUUAGGCUCGGGCCUAUCGUGGGCUGCAAAUUUUUCUUUGAGUUAGAGCAACAAAAAUUAAAAAUGGGGGAGGGUGGGGUUGGGGUUGGGGGUGAAACAUCAUGAGAUAUGAACAUACGAAGCAUACCUGCAUAAUCCCCUCAAUUAUUAUUUGGUUGACAAAAAGGUCAGGAUUGGUGUAAUCCCUUUUAAAGCAACAAAACAGUGUCACAAUUCACAAGGGAUACUUAGUUAAUAUUAUCUUCGAAGCAUUAUCAAUAGGAAGCCGCAAAAUGUAGCAUAUGACACUUAUCAACAUGAAGUGGUAAGACUCUGCCUAUACCACUUUCUAGUACCUGUUGUGGUGCGACUAAAAUUUGAUAUUCAAAUCUUUAUGUGCAAAAAGGCUAUGGACAUGUGGCAGACAUCGUUAUGUUCGGGAAGGAAAUAUAUGAAGGAGAGUAAGUCGCAUAAGUAAUUUCAUAUCGCAGGCUUGAUAAUCCACAAUAGCAAUUAGUAAAUUCGUAAAAUGCAUUACUUGGGGAUGCUUACUCCAUCCAAUGACUUUUUAACUUCAAGAGAAGUUGGGGCAUUAGUAUAUUGGAUAAGUGUCUAUCAAAAGUCUGACAGUUAAGCUCACUGUAAAAUAGAAAAGUGUUUUGCAAAAACACAAGUUCUGAAUGGAUAAAAUAUAAAACAAUGUUCUGAAUGGAUAAAAUAGAGAAGCGUUCUACAAAAACACAGGUCUAAAAAAGCACAAUGACUUUUUAGCUUCAAUAUGAUGAAUGCAUACAGAAUAUUGGUGGAGGUAACAAACACGUUCUGGGGCCAAAGCUUUGGCGAACAAAAUCCACACAGGCUAUGCACAUCCAUGUAUACUCAAGAUAAUACACAAAUUGAUGCAAUGAUACCUUGCCGCUAAUCACCUCUGUUAGCAGAGCCAUUCGGAUUGUCCCCCUUGUACGGAUUUAAAAUUCAAAAUAAACAUUAGACUUAAGUGCACCAAAUGAUCUGUUCUACGUAUAUAUAAAAAGUUCUACGUACAUCCAUAUGGGGUUCCUUGGCUGGUUGCUUCUAUAAAAUGCUCACGGAUGAGCCAAAGUAAGGGGGUUCUGAAGACUCAUUUGGAUGAGCAUGUUUGCCAUCCUUGUAAGUAGAGCGGUUUUGGGAUAUGCCAUCUGAGCACGAAUUUAAACUUCACAACAGUGCUCUAGAUUAAAUCUAAGUUAAGAUGGUGAAAAAAUAUGUUUUAAAUAUCGUUUUGUUUAAUCACUUCAGUUCGAUUUAAUCCAAAUAGGGCUAAUGUGUCCAGCGUGCAAACCUGUAACCUGAUCUUAACGAAACAAUAGAACGCAAUCCUGAAAGGACAAAUCUACAUGAACAAACCCUAUCAAAUCCCUCUAAAUAGAUCGUCAAAUGAAGCCUGACCAAACAAACUCAUUUCCCCCUUGUACAAUCUUCUGCAAGUAAAAACAUGGACAAACAAUCAACAAUUCUUUUUGUUAAACAAACCAUCCACUUGCAUUCAUUUAGUUGACACUUGAUAUCUUCUAUAGUUAAUUAGAUGGUUGAAUCAUAAUAGAUCAACAUAGUUUCUAUCACUUUUUUUUACCUCGAGGUAGAUGUCCAGCACCCGGUACACGCUGUCGUAGCAGUCCCUGGCCGAGUCCGGCAGGCUCUCGGCGACGGCGAGGAACUUGGACACCUUCAGCCCCUGGUCCUGCGAGAUUUCAUCGAGGUACUUGUCGACCAGGCGCCCCACCUUCCACAUCCUCUCUGACGGCGCAUCUGUGUCCUCUUCGGAGGCCACGAACACCCUAACCAGCCUCAUGACUAGGUUGACAUCGUACACGCCGCCCGCCAUCGUCGCUGGAGAUAAGGAGGUCGUCGAGCGUGGCCUAGUCCAGCAUCAGCCCCAUGUGCCGCUCUAGCUUGUGGCGGCACUCCCUGCUCAGCCCCACCGCGGACACGAUUCGGAGCACCCAGAAGAGGCCCCGGCAAGAGAACGUCGUGCCCUCGACGAGCGCCACGCCGUGGACGGCCAUGUCCGUGAGGCCAGCGAGCGCGGCGCCCUCCCGCUCAAGUGCCGGCGGCCUGCUGUAACACCCUGAAUUUGGGGGUAUAAAAUUUCUUUGCUCAUAUUCACAAAUUCAGGUGUUACUUCUCUUUUCACACCCUUCCCAAUCCCAUCUUUCUUUUUUUAUAGAAGAAAAGUGGCUAUUUACUUUGUGUAAUUAUAGUCUAUUAGACUAAAACUCCAAGGAGUAUGAAUUGUGUCAUCAUGUCAAACCCUAAAUUCUACUUUUGUUUGGUGCAUAAUGCUUGGAAAUGCUAAUUUGAAUUUGUGGCCUAUUUGGAUUUGAAUCAAAUAGAGUAAAUAAAAAGAAAAGGGAAAACAAAUGCCAGAAUAAAAGAAAAAAGGAAAGAAGCCCACACCCCCCGCCCCCUCGGCCUUUCGGCCCAUCUGGCCCAUCCCGCGCGCGCGCGCCUUCCUCCCCCCUCUUCUCUCUCUGCCCUGGCGGGCCCGCCCGUCAGCGCGACCGCCUUCCCCGCGUCCGCGCCCGCUUCCCCCGCUCUCUCUGCUCGCGGGCCCGGGCUGUCAGCUCCUCUGUCUCCGCGUAACCGCCGCCCCGAGCUGCGCGUGCUGCGGACUCCGCGCCCACGUCGCGCGUGGAGCUCGCAACCGCCUCGCCCUCGGCCACUUGAGCCCAGAACCUCGCUCGCCCUCUCUCCCUCCCUCAUUUGCGCACCUGCAGACCUCUCUUCCACCUCUCCCACGCCGCUCACACGCCAAAGCGCCGCCGCCAUUAAUCGCCGCCGUCCCAAGCCCAUUUCUCCGCCGACGUUGGAGCCCCGCCGUGCCCUCUGCCACGGUGAGCUUCGCCUCGACGUCCACAACCCGGGACACGCCCCAAUUUCCCCUCCCCUCCCCGAAUUCCUCUGCCCACGCUCACCCGCCGUUCUCUGCGCAGUCGCCGAGGUCCGCCACCGUCGACCCGGGCCAUCGCCGCGCCUUCGCCGCCACCGAGGAGUCCCCGGGGUUCGCCUUGAGGUAAGGAACCUCCUCUGCCCUCUCCCUUCCCCUCUAUUGCACUCUGCCGCGCUUAAUUCCUCGCCGGAGUCCUUUAGCGCCGCCGCCGAGCCACUUCGCCGUGGACCGCCCCCCUCCGGUGCCCCUGUCCCGGCCUAGUCCCCACCAGAGGGUUCCCCACGCUCUCCCUGACCUCCUCGGCCACCCAGGUCGCCCCAAGGACCCGCAGAGCCCCCGCGCCCCUCGUCUCUGGCGAGUCCUCCGCCGCGGGAACGGGCACCGCUGCCUCUGCUAGCCGGAGGGGAAGACAGAAGCCGGCCACCCAAUCCCCGCCGUCCAUCCCAGAUCGAACGACUCUAUUUUAAAUAGCCCGAGCCCAGCCCUUGCCGUCCGCCUGAGAUCCAACGGUCCAGGGCCGUUUCUCCCCCCCGCACUCCGCCUUCCUGCCAAUCGGGCCCCGCCUGUCAGUCGUCCGCCCGCUCUGCCCGCCCGGCCCCGCCUGUCAGUCAUCCGCCCGCUCUGCCCGCCCGGCCCCGCCUGCUAGUCGUCCGCCCGCUCUGCCCACCCGGCCACGCAUGUCAGCCGCUCCUGCCGCCGCGCGCUCGCGCGCCCGCCCGCGGAUCUAAUCUCGGGCGUUGAUCCGAGAUCCAACGGCUAUAAGAGCCCGAUACCCCUUCGCCCGCGCAUUUUCUUAAAGAGACCCCCGGCUUUCUGCAAAUUAACCCGCCGUCCCUGGAUCUUUGCAGUUAGGUCCUCGAACCUUUUAUUUAAUCCAAAAUAAGUAUUUAAGGCAUAUUUUUAAUCCCUAAUCUUGUAAAAUUCAUAACUUUGUCAUAUGAACUCCAAAUUAGGUGCUUCAAAUUGCAAAAUGCUCACAAUAUUUUUAUCUAUCUAUUUAAACAAUGUUUCCCUGCUGUUUUUAUGUCCCAAUUAAUAGUUGAUCAUUAGGGUAAAACUAAUGUUAUUGGAACCCCUAUUUGAGAUAAAUAAAAGAUAGAAGACUUUAAUAAAAGUUGGAGCACCUAAGUUUAUGGACUUAACACCAUGUAAUGAUUUAACCCCACCACUGACUUAGAUCUGAUUAGUGGAUAAUGAAUCACUUUGUAUAGUCAUCUACCCUAGACCUAGGGAACACCAAAUUGCCAAUCCUUUUCUAUUAUGAACUUGUGAUCUCUCUGCUGCAUAUGUUUGGUACAUUGCUUUUGUUUGUUAUUUCCCAAGUGCAUAGAAUGAAUGAUUACUUUACGUAGACAACGGGCAGUCUGUGUUUCCCGAGGAAGUUGCAGAAGAAGUUCCUGAUCAGCAGUUUGGUGAAGGCAAGUGUCCUCUGACCCAUUAUGUCCUAUUCACUUAUAAUUCACUUUCCCGCAUUACUUAAUUGAAACCUAAGGAUUGACUAGCUUUAUACUUUACCUUAUCCUUGAUGACCUUUUGGGUUAUUAUGGUUAGCAUUUUGCUAUUGCCUUAACCUAAUCAAUGAACAUGAUGUGACUAUUUAUGAUACGAUACUGUGAUCCUGAUUAUAUUGAUGAUCUUGUGAUACUCUAGGGGGCUCAGGCUGUUUCCUGAGUACCUCUCCGUAAGGACCUGUUCGUUGAGAGACCACCCGGGAUAACAGUGCAACCAUGAGGGUGAAAUGGGAUGCCCUUAGCUAAUUAAUUAGAGGAACUAGAGGUGUAGUUGCUUCGCCGUCGUGCCGUCAAUGGGGUCCAGGCAUAGUGCUUGCUCUGCCGAGGCUGAGUGCCGAGGUUCUUUCGUUUUGCUUUUUGUUAGUCACUCUCCUGCGGGGAGGGGUACUGUGUUUAUCAAACUGGAGAAACCUAACGGGCAGCUAUGAUCUCUAGGGAAUCUUUGUAAAAGCUACGUAGUGAUACCCUGCCGGACCACCUAGGUAGUGGUCAAUGGGGAUUAGCUCUCCCCGGGUAGAAAGGGAAUCAUGACUCAUGGGUAAAGUGUGCGACCUCUGCAGAGGAUAGUGAAACUGAUAUAUCAGCCGUGCUCACGGUUAAGAGCAGCCUUGGGAUCCUCUUUGAUUAGAGAUACUCCGGAUGCACCUCAGAUGAGGACUUUAACGAUGAUGGUUAAUGAUGGUGACUUUAAUUAUGCAUUCUAGUAUUUCCUCUCUGAGGAGGUACUUUUUGGGACUAUAACUUGGGUUUCAUGAUAAAAUCUGGCUUCUACUAACAAUAAAUACUUGACCAACUAAAAGCAACUGCUUGAGCCUAACCCCACAUAAAGCUAGUCCACUACAGCCAAACGGGGCAUUUGCUGAGUACGUUGAUGUGUACUCAUCCUUGCUUUACCACAAAAUACCAGGUUGUCCACAUUGUAACCACUGCUCAGGGGAAGACGAAGUCGUGGAAGGAGACUUCCAGGAGUUCCAAGACUAUGACGAGUUCUAGGUGUGGGUUGGCGGCAAACCCCAGUCAGCUGCCUGUGAAGGCCUUAUCUUUACUGCGUUUCGCUAGCACUUUGAUUUAUCAGUUAAGUUGAUGACUAUGUGGAUGUCUAUGACUCUGUGAUGUAAUAAGUUAAUACCCUUUUAUGUUAUUAUUCGAGCACUGUGCGAUGAUGUUCAUUUAUGUAAUCGCUGUGUACGUGAGUUCUGAUCCUGGCACGUACAUAGUUCGCAUUCGGUUUACCUUCCAAAACCAGGUGUGACAUAAGUGGUAUCAAAGCCGUGCUGACUGUAGGACCGCUAACCUAGAGUAGCACUGGUCGAACUAAGGACUAUUGACCUUCUCUCUCACCUUGACCUCUGAUGUUACUUCAAAAGUCGGUCACCUCGACCAACCCUAUGUUUUACUACAUAUAUAUAUAUAUAUACUAUAUUAUACCUUGUUAAAAUUUUAUUUUGUUGUGUCUAUGGUUUAUGCACAUGUCAUAUUAGUUCUGUUCUUACUCUUGUGCUUACGGUGUCUUUUGUAGAUGGCUCGUCUUAGACACAUUGCACGUAAGUCGGUGAUUCCUUUCCUGCCGUCUCGACUUGCGGAGCGUCCUCUGCGUCGCUCCGUGUCCGGUCAGUCGAGUCACCUGGAGAGACUGCACCAUCGCCUGCGUGAGGAGCAGGAACGCCGGUGUCAGCAUAGAGAGCAGCAGGGCUCUUCCUCCCCACCCCAGCAGGAGGUGGAGUCCGUGAGGCGCCGCUCCUCUGCUCCCCAGCUGGAGGCGCCCCCUGCACCACCGCGGGAUGCCCCGGCUGUUGGAGGAGGUCCUGGAGGAGACCCCGACGACGACGACUCAGACCACAACACGAAGUCCUCUGAGCCGCAGGAGGCGGAAGGAUGGGUCGCCCGACCCAUCACCCGUGACACCGCUCGCGGUUGUCACUUCCACGACGCACUCGACACCUUGCUGCGCCAGGCUUUCGACCGGCACACCUGGUCGAUCGAGUAUCGUUGUGUAGUCUACCAGCACAGUCGCGGGAGGUACCCGGACCGCUGGGAGGCUACCUGCCUAGUUCGCCGUCCGGAGGAUGACCUCCGGGGUGCAGAGGCCAUUUCGAAGCAUUACUCCAUCUCCGAGAGGGACACUGCAGAGGCAGCUAUGCAGGAUGCAGCACGGCGUGCACUCUCCUAGUACUGUUCUUUGUUCGGUGGGGUGGCCGACGGUCUUAACCUUAGGUACUACCCCCGCCGUCCGACUGGUAACACAGAGAGUGUGGUUGUCUCACCUAUUGGUGAGGAUAACCCUAGGUUGAGCAGCACAGUCAACCUAGUCGCAGUGCUUAACACCGAGCUGGAUCACUCUCUGGACGAGCUAAGCAGGGCUCGAACGGAGAUUGCUGAGUUGCGUGCCGAGCUAGCAGAGCGCCGCCACCAGGAGGGUGGUUCCCCCGCUCCUGUUGGGACUCAGCACCCAUACCGCUCGCCGCCACGUGGUCACCACACUUAUGGUUCCCCUGCCUGUAAGACCAGGAUAGAUCUGGAUCCUUAGAUCGUUAGCGUCAGAGUUUGUAAUAAUUCUUAAGUCAGAUGUCUCAGUCUUAGAUAGUCAGUUUAGUUUGCUUAUCAGAUGCUUCCAUUUAGUUUAGUUUGCUUAUUAGUUGCUUACAUGCUUGUUAUGGUGAACUUGUGCUGGAUUUGAAUCUUUGUAAUGACUGUUGCCAAUCUGUGGGUUUCCCCUACAGUUUGGCCUAGCUAGUGAUGUUAAUGAAGUCAGUUAUUUAGUUGGGAAACCAUUUACUUCUACUUUCCUUUUUAUCUGAGAAGCUGUAUUGCAUCAUAAUGAGGAUCAGUGAAGCUCUUUGUUUACUCAGUGUCAUGAAGAAUUCUGUAUUCCCUUUUCUUAUGCUGAAGGAUUGUAAGAUCAAUGCUGAUGUAUGAAUGUCUUCCACAGAUGUCUGACAAUAGGCGCCGAUGCAACAGGCGUGCUCAGCAAGAGCAGCGUGCCCAGCAGGAGGAACAUUAGAGGCAACCUCCCCCACCACCCCCGAUGACCGUGGAGCAGAUGUUCUUGAUGCAGACUCAGGCAGUGCAGGCUAUUGGGCAGACUCUGGCAGCCAUGCAGCAGGCUCAACAGCAACCUCAACCCCAGAUGCAGGUGCAGAUGCCCCAGAUGCCACGAGAUAAGCAUGGCGAGUUCAUGAGAGGGCACCCUCCUACCUUCGCCCAUUCUGCUGACCCCAUGGAUGCAGAAGACUGGCUGCGCGCAGUGGAAAGGGAACUGCGCACCGCCCAAUGUGACGACAGGGAGAAGGUUCUGUAUGGUCCCCGCCAGCUAAGGGGAGCAGCACAGUCCUGGUGGGAGUCCUACCUCGCCACACAUGCUGACCCCGAAGCCAUCACCUGGGAAGAGUUCAGCGAGAGUUUCCGUAGGUACCAUGUGCCAGAGGGACUGAUGAUCGUGAAGAAGGAGGAGUUUCUGGCUCUGAAGCAGGGACCCCUGUCUGUUAGUGAAUACAGAGACAAGUUUCUGCAGUUGUCUCGUUAUGCACCUGAAGAUGUCAACACUGAUGCUAAAAGGUAGUACAGGUUCAUGAGGGGUUUGGUGGAUCCCCUGCAUUACCAGCUGAUGAAUCACACCUUCCCCACCUUCCAGCACCUGAUCGAUAGGGCAGUUAUGACUGAGAAGAAGCGUAAGGAUAUGGAAGAUCGGAAGCGCAAGAUGAGUGGACCCCAGUCCGGAAGCAUCAGCCGUCCCCGCUUCUCAGGCAGUUCAUCUCAGCAAGGCAGGCCUGGUCACCCACAGGGAUAUCAGCAUCAGAUUCAGCGUCCGCAUCAGCAGCAGUUUCAGAGGCAGUACCCACAACAGCAGCAGUAUCGUCAGAACAGCCAGCAGGGAGGUAAUCAGUAUCAGAAGCAGAACAACCAGGCACCUUGCCUUCCUGCCCCCGCAGCAAAUCAGAACAACCAAGCAGCCCCAGCACAAGGAGGAGGCAGGGGAUGUUUCCACUGUGGAGAACAAGGCCACUGGGCGAUGCAGUGCCCAAAGAAGAUGACGCAGCAACAGACCAACCCCAAUGCUCCAACAAGGCAAGGUGUACUGCAGCAGGCAGCAGGCAAUCGUGGCCAAGCGUACAACCGUGGAAAGGUGAACCACUUGGAGGCCGAAGCAAUCCAGGAUGCACCAGAUGUGGCAGUAGGUAUGUUCUCAGUCGAAUCUCAUUCCGCAAAAGUGCUAUUUGAUACUGGUGCAACCCAUUCAUUUGUCACUGCAACAUGGGUAGAAAUGCAUAACAUCUCAGUAGAGGCAAUGAUGCCGCCCAUGAGGAUUAAUUCGGUUGGUGGCAAGGUGCAAACAGAUAAAAUAUGCUCAAAUAUAAGGGUGGAAAUAAGGGGGAUAGGGUUCCCCAGUGACCUAAUAGUAAUAGACACCCCUGGGAUAGAUGUCAUCCUAGGGAUGAAUUGGUUAAUGAAAUAUGAAGCGAAUGUUAGCUGUGACAAGAGGACCGUAACAUUGAAGUCCCCGUCCGGAGAGGAGGUAGUGGCUGAGCUAAAGAUGCCUAAAUCAGCGGAGGGAGUUUGUCACCAGAUUUCAGUUGAUAGUAAGGAGACCAACCCGCUCGAGGCUAUCAAGGUUGUGUCGGACUUUCCGGAUGUGUUUCCCGAGGAGCUAACGGGCAUGCCACCCGAGAGAAAAGUCGAAUUUGCCAUAGAGCUUAUCCCUGGUACCGCCCCCAUUUCCAAAAGAGCCUAUCGGGUGUCUGGACCAGAAUUGGUGGAACUCAAGAAGCAGAUAUAUGAGAUGUUAGAGAAGGGUUACAUCAGACCAAGCACCUCGCCUUGGGCCGCUCCAGUAUUGUUUGUAGAGAAGAAAGAUGGUACCAAAAGGAUGUGCAUAGAUUACAGAGCCCUGAACGAAGUCACUGUUAAGAACAAGUACCCCCUGCCAAGAAUAGAAGAUCUGUUUGACCAGCUCAGAGGUGCCAGCGUAUUCUCGAAGAUAGAUCUGAGAUCAGGUUACCAUCAACUCAGAAUCCGACCCUCGGACAUACCGAAGACAACAUUCAUCACCAAGUAUGUGUUAUAUGAGUUCACAGUUAUGUCCUUUGGUUUGACAAAUGCGCCAGCCUUCUUUAUGUAUCUGAUGAACAGCGUGUUCAUGGACUAUCUAGACAAGUUUGUGGUAGUGUUCAUCGAUGAUAUUCUCAUAUACUCUCAAAGUGAGGAAGAUCAUGUGGAGCAUUUGAAGAUGGUAUUGCAAAGGCUUCGAGAGCAUCUGUUGUAUGCCAAGCUGAGCAAAUGCGAGUUCUGGAUUCAUGAAGUCUUGUUUCUGGGUCACAUCAUAAACCAAGAUGGGUUAGCAGUGGAUCCAAAGAAGGUAGCAGAUAUCCUGAACUGGAAAGCACCGAAGGAUGUUCGUGGGAUCAAGAGCUUCAUUGGAAUGGCCGGAUACUAUAGGCGCUUCAUUGAAGGCUUUUCAAAGAUUGCUAGACCAAUGACAGCGUUACUAGCGAAGAAAGUUGAGUUUAAGUGGACCCAAAAGUGUCAAGAAGCAUUUGAAGAACUGAAAAAUAGAUUGACUACAUCACCUGUGUUAGUUCUGCCUGAUGUUCACAAGCCAUUCUCGGUGUACUGCGAUGCUUCUUACACCGGAUUGGGAUGUGUGCUAAUGCAAGAAGGAAGAGUUGUAGCAUACUCAUCUCGACAGCUAAAGAUCCAUGAGAAAAAUUACCCCACACACGACCUGGAGUUGGCAGCAGUGGUUCAUGCGUUAAAGACAUGGAGACAUUACCUGUAUGGGCAGAAGUGCGACAUCUACACAGAUCAUAAAAGUCUGAAGUACAUAUUCACCCAGUCAGAGUUAAACAUGAGGCAGCGAAGAUGGUUGGAAUUUAUCAAAGACUAUGAGUUGGAAAUACAUUACCAUCCAGGCAAAGCCAAUGUGGUUGCAGAUGCUCUAAGCAGGAAGAGUCAAGUUAAUAUGAUGGCCACACACCCAAUGUCAUAUGAGUUAGCCAAGGAGUUCGACAGACUGAGCCUCGGUUUUCUGAAUAGUACGCAAGGAGUAACAGUGGAAUUAGAGCCCACCCUAGAGCGGGAGAUCAAAGAAGGGCAGAAGGAUGAUGAAAACAUCAACAAGAUCCGGCAGCUGAUCUUAGAAGGAAGAGGCAAAGACUUUCGAGAGGAUGAAGAGGGAGUGAUAUGGUUCAAGGACCGAUUGUGUGUUCCCGACCUCAAACCUAUUCGGGAGCUGAUCCUCAAGGAAGCUCAUGAGAUAGCCUAUUCCAUACACCCUGGAAGUGAGAAGAUGUAUCAGGAUUUAAAAAGGAGGUUUUGGUGGUAUGGCAUGAAAAGAGAGAUCGCAGAAUAUGUCGCCAUCUGUGAUAGCUGUCAAAGAACCAAAGCAGAGCAUCAGAGGCCCGCCGGAUUGUUGCAGCCAUUGCGGAUUCCUCAGUGGAAGUGGGAUGAGAUCAGGAUGGAUUUUAUAGUUGGCCUACCUCGUACCCGGGCCGGCUAUGAUUCCAUCUGGGUGGUCGUGGACCGCUUAACAAAGGUGGCCCAUUUCAUACCCGUGAAGACAACAUACACCGGAGCAACGUUAGCUGAGUUAUACAUGUCUCGGAUAGUCUGCCUUCAUGGUGUGCCGAAGAAGAUAGUGUCAGAUCGAGGAACACAGUUCACCUCUCAUUUUUGGCAGCAGCUACAAGAAGCUUUGGGCACACAUUUGAACUUCAGCUCGGCUUAUCACCCACAGACGGACGGUCAGACUGAGAGAACCAAUCAGAUCCUAGAAGAUAUGCUGAGAGCCUGUGCGUUGCAAGACAAGUCAGGAUGGGACAAAAGGUUACCUUAUGCAGAAUUCUCCUACAAUAAUAGUUACCAGACCAGCUUGAAGAUGUCGCCGUUUCAGGCACUCUACGGACGGAGUUGUAGGACUCCGCUGCAUUGGGACUAGCCUGGAGAGAGACAGGUGUUUGGCCCCGACAUCUUGCUUGAAGCCGAAGAGAAUAUCAAAAUGGUUCGGGAGAAUCUGAAGAUAGCAUAAUCAAGACAGCGAAGCUAUGCUGACCGAAGGAGAAGAGAACUGAGUUUUGAAGUGGGAGAUUACGUCUAUCUGAAGGUGUCACCUAUCAGGGGAGUCAGAAGGUUCGGAGUUAAAGGCAAGUUAGCACCCCGGUACGUUGGACCAUAUCAGAUUCAAGCAAAGCGUGGAGAAGUGGCCUAUCAACUCAACCUACCAGAAAGUUUGUCAGCAGUGCACAAUGUGUUCCACGUGUCGCAAUUGAAGAAGUGUCUGCGAGUACCAGAAGAACAGUUGCCCGUGGAGGACUUGGAAGUCCAAGAGGAUCUGACCUACGUAGAGAAGCCAACGCAGAUUUUGGAGUUUGCAGACAGAGUCACCCGAAGAAACACCAUCAGAAUGUGCAAAGUCAGAUGGGGCCACCACUCUGAGGAAGAAGCAACCUGGGAACGAGAAGAUGAUCUGAAGGCCAAAUACCCUGAACUCUUUGCUGACCAACCUUGAAUCUCGGGGCGAGAUUCUUUUAAGGGGGAUAGGUUUGUAACACCCUAAAUUUGGGGGUAUAAAAUUUCUUUGCUCAUAUUCACAAAUUCAGGUGUUACUUCUCUUUUCACACCCUUCCCAAUCCCCUCUUUCUUUUUUUUAUAGAAGAAAAGUGGCUAUUUACUUUGUGUAAUUAUAGUCUAUUAGACUAAAACUCCAAGGAGUAUGAAUUGUGUCAUCAUGUCAAACCCUAAAUUCUACUUUUGUUUGGUGCAUAAUGCUUGGAAAUGCUAAUUUGAAUUUGUGGCCUAUUUGGAUUUGAAUCAAAUAGAGUAAAUAAAAAGAAAAGGGAAAACAAAUGCCAGAAUAAAAGAAAAAAGGAAAGAAGCCCACACCCCCCCGCCCCCUCGGCCUUUCGGCCCAUCUGGCCCAUCCCGCGCGCGCGCGCCUUCCUCCCCCCUCUUCUCUCUCUGCCCUGGCGGGCCCGCCCGUCAGCGCGACCGCCUUCCCCGCGUCCGCGCCCGCUUCCCCCGCUCUCUCUGCUCGCGGGCCCGGGCUGUCAGCUCCUCCGUCUCCGCGUAACCGCCGCCCCGAGCUGCGCAUGCCGCGGACUCCGCGCCCACGUCGCGCGUGGAGCUCGCAACCGCCUCGCCCUCAGCCACUUGAGCCUAGAACCUCGCUCGCCCUCUCUCCCUCCCUCAUUUGCGCACCUGCAGACCUCUCUUCCACCUCUCCCACGCCGCUCACACGCCAAAGCGCCGCCGCCAUUAAUCGCCGCCGUCCCGAGCCCGUUUCUCCGCCGACGUUGGAGCCCCGCCGUGCCCUCUGCCACGAUGAGCUUCGCCUCGACGUCCACAACCCGGGACACGCCCCAAUUUCCCCUCCCCCUCCCCGAAUUCCUCUGCCCGCGCUCACCCGCCGUUCUCUGCGCAGUCGCCGAGGUCCGCCACCGUCGACCCGGGCCAUCGCCGCGCCUUCGCCGCCACCGAGGAGUCCCCGGGGUUCGCCUUGAGGUAAGGAACCUCCUCUGCCCUCUCCCUUCCCCUCUAUUGCACUCUGCCACGCUUAAUUCCUCACCGGAGUCCUUUAGCACCGCCGCCGAGCCACUUCGCCGUGGACCGCCCCCCUCCGGUGCUCCUGUCCCGGCCUAGUCCCCACCAGAGGGUUCCCCACGCUCUCCCCGACCUCCCCGGCCACCCAGGUCGCCCCAAGGACCUGCAGAGCCCUCGCGCCCCUCGUCUCUGGCGAGUCCUCCGCCGCGAGAACGGGCGCCGCCGCCUCUGCUAGCCGGAGGGGAAGGCAGAAGCCGGCCACCCAAUCCCCGCCGUCCAUCCCAGAUUGAACGGCUCUAUUUUAAAUAGCCCGAGCCCAGCCCUAGCCGUCCGCCUGAGAUCCAACGGUCCAGGGCCGUUUCUCCCCCCCGCACUCCGCCUUCCUGCCAAUCGGGCCCCGCCUGUCAGUCGUCCGCCCGCUCUGCCCGCCCGGCCCCGCCUAUCAGUCGUCCGCCCGCUCUGCCCGCCCGGCCCCGCCUGUUAGUCGUCCGCCCGCUCUGCCCGCCCGGCCCCGCAUGUCAGCCGCUCCUGCCGCCGCGCGCCCGCCCGCGGAUCUAAUCUCGGGCGUUGAUCCGAGAUCCAACGGCUAUAAGAGCCCGAUACCCCUUCGCCCGCGCAUUUUCUUAAAGAGACCCCCGGCUUUCUGCAAAUUAACCCGCCGUCCCAGGAUCUUUGUAGUUAGGUCCUCAGACCUUUUAUUUAAUCCAAAAUAAGUAUUUAAGGCAUAUUUUUAAUCCCUAAUCUUGUAAAAUUCAUAACUUUGUCACAUGAACUCCAAAUUAGGUGCUUCAAAUUGCAAAAUGCUCACAAUAUUUUUAUCUAUCUAUUUAAACAAUGUUUCCCUGCUGUUUUUAUGUCCCAAUUAAUAGUUGAUCAUUAGGGUAAAACUAAUGUUAUUGGAACCCCUAUUUGAGAUAAAUAAAAGAUAGAAGACUUUAAUAAAAGUUGGAGCACCUAAGUUUAUGGACUUAACACCAUGUAAUGAUUUAACCCCACCACUGACUUAGAUCUGAUUAGUGGAUAAUGAAGCACUUUGUAUAGUCAUCUACCCUAGACCUAGGGAACACCAAAUUGCCAAUCCUUUUCUAUUAUGAACUUGUGAUCUCUCUGCUGCAUAUGUUUGGUACAUUGCUUUUGUUUGUUAUUUCCCAAGUGCAUAGAAUGAAUGAUUACUUUACGUAGACAACGGGCAGUCUGUGUUUCCCGAGGAAGUUGCAGAAGAAGUUCCUGAUCAGCAGUUUGGUGAAGGCAAGUGUCCUCUGACCCAUUAUGUCCUAUUCACUUAUAAUUCACUUUCCCGCAUUACUUAAUUGAAACCUAAGGAUUGACUAGCUUUAUACUUUACCUUAUCCUUGAUGACCUUUUGGGUUAUUAUGGUUAGCAUUUUGCUAUUGCCUUAACCUAAUCAAUGAACAUGAUGUGACUAUUUAUGAUACGAUACUGUGAUCCUGAUUAUAUUGAUGAUCUUGUGAUACUCUAGGGGGCUCAGGCUGUUUCCUGAGUACCUCUCCGUAAGGACCUGUUCGUUGAGAGACCACCCGGGAUAACAGUGCAACCAUGAGGGUGAAAUGGGAUGCCCAUAGCUAAUUAAUUAGAGGAACUAGAGGUGUAGUUGCUUCGCCGUCGUGCCGUCAAUGGGGUCCAGGCACAGUGCUUGCUCUGCCGAGGCUGAGUGCCGAGGUUCUUCCGUUUUGCUUUUUGUUAGUCACUCUCCUGCGGGGAGGGGUACUGUGUUUAUCAAACUGGAGAAACCUAACGGGCAGCUAUGAUCUCUAGGGAAUCUUUGUAAAAGCUACGUAGUGAUACCCUGCCGGACCACCUAGGUAGUGGUCAAUGGGGAUUAGCUCUCCCCGGGUAGAAAGGGAAUCAUGACUCAUGGGUAAAGUGUGCGACCUCUGCAGAGGAUAGUGAAACUGAUAUAUCAGCCGUGCUCACGGUUAAGAGCAGCCUUGGGAUCCUCUUUGAUUAGAGAUACUCCGGAUGCACCUCAGAUGAGGACUUUAACGAUGAUGGUUAAUGAUGGUGACUUUAAUUAUGCAUUCUAGUAUUUCCUCUCUGAGGAGGUACUUUUUGGGACUAUAACUUGGGUUUCAUGAUAAAAUCUGGCUUCUACUAACAAUAAAUACUUGACCAACUAAAAGCAACUGCUUGAGCCUAACCCCACAUAAAGCUAGUCCACUACAGCUAAACGGGGCAUUUGCUGAGUACGUUGAUGUGUACUCAUCCUUGCUUUACCACAAAAUACCAGGUUGUCCACAUUGUAACCACUGCUCAGGGGAAGACGAAGCCGUGGAAGGAGACUUCCAGGAGUUCCAAGACUAUGACGAGUUCUAGGUGUGGGUUGGCGGCAACCCCCAGUCAGCUGCCUGUGAAGGCCUUAUCUUUACUGCGUUUCGCUAGCACUUUGAUUUAUCAGUUAAGUUGAUGACUAUGUGGAUGUCUAUGACUCUGUGAUGUAAUAAGUUAAUACCCUUUUAUGUUAUUAUUCGAGCAUUGUGCGAUGAUGUUCAUUUAUGUAAUUGCUGUGUACGUGAGUUCUGAUCCUGGCACGUACAUAGUUCGCAUUCGGUUUACCUUCCAAAACCGGGUGUGACACCUGCACGUGGCGGCACGGAGGUAGUGCAGCAGGAACCACGUGAGGAUCCGUGACCCCCUUCCAACGGGCACGGGGGAAUCGCGAGCGGAGGAUGGAGCCAUGGAGGUGGGGGCGAGCUCACAGUAUCCACUAUGGACGCGGGGAGGAGUACGGACGAGGAAGGAAGGGAUGCGGGGAGGAGUAUGGAAGGGGCGGGCUAGGAUGGAAGGGAGGCGGGGGAGGAGGAUGGCGGUCGGGUUUGCCGGCGGGGAUCACGGUCGGGGGGCGAGGGAAUGGGUCACGGAGGUAGGGGCGAGCGUGGAGGGGCAGAACCGUGCGCCGUGUGGACGCCUACACUAAUGUCUUAAAAAGUAGUAUAGAUAUGAAACAAAACACGCCAGCCACAAAACACAAUGUAAUUAGGAUGACAAUGGGUACCCGAAACCCAAUACUCAAUGGGUAAAAACUUUAUUAGGGCAUGUAUAGAAAAUUUUGAUACUCAUGGGUAUUUUAUUAGGUCAUUUGUUAUACCCGUUGGCCCAUUUGGUAUGGUGGGCAUGGACACGUUCUCUCUUGCCAUGCACCCGCUACAUGACAGUAAACCCGCUAACAUAUGACAUGUGUGUUUGGAUUAAGGAACUUAUUCUCUCUCAUGCAUGGGCUUGUAUGGUGUUUCCAUUUAAUGCUAAAUGUUGUUGACCUUGUAAUAAAAUAAUGUUGGGUUCGAUGAAUUUAUAAUGUUAGCACAAAGAUAAUAUGUUAUUUUAGCAUCUUUCACUAUUGAUGAGGUAUGAGGUUUCAACAUUUUGUUUUCAGUACUUACUUUUGUAAUUCAAAAUGAUCAUGUUCACUGUAAUGUUAGUGUGUAUAAAUACUCGAUGGGUACUCACUACCCGUGGUGGGUAUGCGUAAUUUUAUACCCAUGAUGAGUAGUGGGUAUAAGUAUGGAAUAUCUUUUUAUUUAGUGGGUAUAGGUAAAUUUGUGUGCCCAUUGGGUACCUUACCCACUGCCAUCCCGAAGCAUAAUCACUGUUUUAGACUUCGUGAAGUAUUGAGAGCACCUAGAGGGGGGGGUGAAUAGGUGAUCCUGUAAAAUCAAACAUUAAUAGCCACAAAAACUUAAUUUAAAGUGUUAGUACGGCUAAGUAGUUGAGAGACGGGUUCUUGUGGACAAAACAAUCACAGAGAAAGCAAUCACAAGAGAUACGUGAUUUUUAUCCCGUGGUUCGGCCAAGUAACACUUGCCUACUUCCACGUUGUGGCGUCCCAAUGGAUGAGGGUUGCACUCAACCCCUUUCAAGUGAUCCAAUGAUCAACUUCAAUACCACGACUUUCUUCCUUAUAAUCUUCUUCCCGUUUGCGAGGAAUCUCCACAAGUUGGAGCUUCUCGCCCUUACAAUAUUGAUCACAAAGAAUGCACAAAAGUAAGGUUGGGAAGAGCAACACACACAAGACUCAAAUACGAAGCACAACCACGCACACAAGUCACGAUUUGAGCUCGAAACACAACACAUGGAGUUCACAACUCAAAUGGAGAUCAAAUCACUAACACAAAGAAUCAAUAGCAUGGAGUUGGAGUCUUGGAGUCUUAGGAUGCUUAAUGAAUGCUUAGGUGUCUCCUCCAUGCGCCUAGGGGUCCCUUUUAUAGCCCCAAGGCAGCUGAGAGCUGUUGGAGAUCAACAUGGAAGGCUAUCCUUGCCUUUUGUCGAGUGGCGCACCGGACAGUCCGGUGCGCCACCGGACAGGUCCUGUAGACGGUCCGAUGCGCGAUCUCCUUCCAAAUUUGGCAUAUCCGACCGUUGCUCCUCUGGGCUGACUGGCGCACCGGACACAGUCCGGAGCACACCGGACAGUCCGGUGCACCAGCUGACCGUUGGAGCAGUCCAUGUGUCGCGCGAAGAUUGUGCGGCCGACCGUUGGCGUAGGUGACCGUUGGCUAACCGGACAGUCUGGUGCACCACCGGACAGUCCGGUGAAUUAUAGCCACGUCGCCCCUUUGCUUUUCCUGAGGGCGACGAGUUCGCCGCGGAUGACUCAGCGGACAGUCCGGUGCACCACCGGACGGUCCGGUGAAUUAUAGUCGUACGGCGUCGUCGAAUCCCGAGAACGGCGAGUCCACUGCGGACCAGCCUGGCGCACCGGACACUGUCCGAUGCACCACCGGACAGUCCGGUGUGCCAAGCCGAGCUGGAGUUUGUUGUACAUAGCCAACUCUUUUUCCAAUUCUUUUCUCACUAUUUCUAGCACUUAGACAAAACACAUUAGUACUCAAAACAAUGUACUAAGUCUAGAACAUACAUUUUUCUUUGAUUUGCACUUCUCACUUUACUUGGCACAUAAGAACUUAGUUAACCGUGUUGGGCACUUAAUCACCAAAACAUUAUUGAAAUUGCUGAAGGGCACAUUUCCCAAUAAAUCUCCCCCUUUUUGGUGAUUUAUGCCAACACAACCAAAAGCAACCAAGGAAGUGCGACAUCAAUGCAAUUGAAGACCAAAUUGUUUUUUACUAUAAUUUGGCAUAUUUGGAUCACUCUUUGCCACCACUUGGUUUGUUUUUGCAAAUCAAAUUCAUUUUCCUAUCUCUAAGUCAAACACACUUGUUUGGGCACAUAAAGAGUUAUUCCAAGAGUAAAAUUGAUCAAGUGCCAAAAACUCCCCCUUUUCCCAUAAUCAAAAUUCUCCCCCACAAGAGACCAAAUUUUGCAAUAAGAGUAUUUUGGAUAAAUAAAAAAUUCUAACUCUAUUAUUUUUGAAUUUCAUAAGUGGUAGCUGAUCCAUUUGCUUUGGCCUUAAUUUCUCCCCCUUUGGCAUUAAGCACCAAAACGGGAUCAUUAUUGGCCCUUUAACCCCAUUGCCUCACCAACAAUGUCAAUUAAGAGCAUAAAAGGCAAAUAGAGCAUAAGAAUGAACUUGGAAUUGAGUAUACUAAUACCGGAGUGCAGUGGAAGUCUUUUCAUUGUCCAAGUUCACCUUUCCCUUUCAAUGCACCUUUGAGACUACAUCAAGUAUACUCAAACAAACAGAUUAGUCUCAAAGGGUCAAGUUGUAGCACAUCUCCCCCUAAAUAUGUGCAUCAUUCACACAUGGACUUGUGAGGUCCGGGGAUCUCUUGCACAACUUGAGCACCAUAAGUAAGCAACAAAUCAUACAAAUGUAUGAAGUAACAUGAUCAAAGGCAUAGAACACAUGUAUGCUAUAGAUCAAUCCAAGUUACAUGAAUCUAAGACAUUUAGCUCACUACGCAAUCUGCAAAAGGUUUUCUCAUCCAACGGCUUGGUGAAGAUAUCGGCUAGCUGGUUCUCGGUGCUAAUAUGGUUCACCUCGAUAUCUCCUUUUUGCUGGUGGUCUCUCAGAAAGUGAUGCCGGAUGUCUAUGUGCUUGGUGCGGCUGUGUUCAACAGGAUUAUCCGCCAUGCGGAUUGCACUCUCAUUGUCACAUAGGAGUGGGACUUUGUUCAGAUUGUAGCCAAAGUCCCGGAGGGUUUGCCUCAUCCAAAGUAGUUGCGCGCAACACUGUCCUGCGGCAACAUACUCGGCCUCAGCGGUGGAUAGGGCAAAGGAUGUUUGUUUCUUAGAACUCCAGGACACCAGGGACCUUCCUAGAAAUUGGCACGUCCCCGAUGUGCUCUUCCUAUCAACCUUGCACCCGGCAUAAUCAAAGUCUGAGUAUCCAAUCAAGUCAAAGGUAGACCCCUUUGGAUACCAGAUCCCGAAGCAAGGCGUAGAAACUAAAUAUCUAAGAAUUCGCUUAACGGCCACAAGGUGACAUUCAUUGGGGUCGGAUUGAUAUCUAGCACACAUGCAUACACUAAGCAUAAUGUCCGGUCUACUAGCACAUAAAUAAAGCAAUGACCCUAUCAUAGACCGGUAUGCCUUUUGAUCAACGGACUUACCUCCUUUGUUGAGGUCGACAUGUCCGUCGGUUCCCAUCGGUGUCUUCGCGGGCUUGGCGUCCUUCAUUCCAAACCUCUUUAGAAGGUCUUGAAGGUACUUCGUUUGGGAGAUGAAGGUACCGUCCUUGAGUUGCUUCACUUGGAACCCAAGUGUCACACCCGGUUUUAGAAGGUAAAUCGAAUGCGAACCAUGUACGUGCCAGGAUCAGUAAUUCACGUACACAACGAUUACAUAAAUGACUCAUCAAAGCACAAUGCUUCGAAUUACAAUAAAGAGUAAGUAAUAAUAUUACAGACUAGAGCCAUUUACAUAAUAUAAAUCAAAGUACACAGAAUCGAAACAUAGCCAACGUAAACAACCCACCACAUGCAGCUGACUGGGGGAGGUCGCUAGCCUAAUCCUCGAACUCGUCGACGUCCUGGAACUCCUGGAGAUCCGCCUCGACGCCUUCUUUACCUGAGCAUAGAUUGCACCAAAGGCAACCUGGUGUUUUGUGAAAGCAAGGGUGAGUACACAUCAACGUACUCAGCAAAUGUCCCGUUUGGCUGUAGUGGACUAGCUUUAUGUGGGGUUAAGUCAAGCAGUUGCUUUUAGUUGGUCAGGUUAUUAUUACUAGUAGAAAGCCAGGUUUUAGCAUUAACCCAAGUUCUUAACCCAAAGUACCCUUUCCAAAUGGAAAGAAUACCACUUACCAUUACCAUAAGCAUGAUCAUAACCAUCCUCCUCAUCACCACCUGUAAACCAUACAUCUCUGAUCAAGUAUCUCUAAUCAAUGGAGCUCCCUUGGCUGCUCAUAACCGCGAGCACGGCUGAUAUAUCAGUUUCAUAACACUCUACAGAGGUUGUGCACUUUACCCACAAGCCGUGAUUCCCUUUCUGCCCAGAGAUCAUGACUCUCCAUUGAUCACUACCAAGGUGACCCAGCAGGGCAUCACUACGUAGCCUUUACAAAGAUUCUCCGGGGCUAUAGCCACCCGUUAGGUUUCCUAAAUGCACCGCACUCCUCCCCAAGGGGCGAACCCAAGCUUGGCAGAGCGAGCCGCAUACACCGAGCCCAAUUGACGGCACGACGGCUAAGUGAACUACACCCCGGAUCCUCUAAUUAUUCAGCUAAGGGCACCCCAUUCCACCCUCAUGGUUGCACUGUUUUCCUAGGCGGUCAUCCAAAGAACAGGUCCUUACGGAGAGGCACUCGAGAAACCGCUCGAGCCCCCUUAAAGGCCACAAGUAUAACAUCAUAAUAAGAGAAGGGAAAACAGCGUAUCAUAGAUAAUCUCAUCAUGUUCAUUGAUUAGAGUUGAGCAAUAGCAUAAGGCUAAGCAAUAAUAAUCCAACCCAAAUAGGUAAACAAGGACAUGGAUAAUAAAGCUAGUAAAUCCUUAGGCAUAAAUGUGUAAUGCGGGAGAUGAAUUAAAGAAUGAAUAGGACAGAGAUAGGUCAAGGGACACUUGCCUUCAUCAAACAGAUGCUCAGGAUCUUCAGCCUCGUAAAACUCGAAGAGUUUGAUCUCUUGGUCGCCGAAGCUUGACCGUUGAUUCCUCGAAGCUCGAAAGAGAACCACGAUCUAAUCGCAACACGGAGCGAAGACGAACAGACACAAGCAAACAAACAUAUGUGCAUAAGAACAUUACACCAUACAAGGUAAAACGUAAUAAAAUACGCAAAAUAGAAUAGAGUGUGUUACUGUGGUCACACGAGGACAAAGAAACGCGAUAGUAGGAGCUAUGGUCGAGAAGUUAACGGGUUUACGCUAAGCUAACAUCAAAUUGAAUAUUUAAUCCGAUAUUUCUAGAUUAAUUGAUAUUAAUUAAAUGUAAAUUAACACUACUACUUAGUUCUUGUCUAACUUACCAUUUUAAUAGUUGAUGACCAAAUAAGUAACUAAUUUAUUCACAUGGGUAAUUAUAAACAAAUGAUUUAAUCUUGCGAGCGGCAAGGCGCGUGACACACGCGAACGGCGUGCGACAAUGCGCGCGACAACACGUGAAACACACGCGGCAACACGCGGAAACAAUGCGACGAUAAGCUAGAAUCGCUAACCGAUCCCGCAUCUCUAUUGAGAAAGUAUUAAUUACAACAUUUGCAUCAACAUAAUCACAUUAACGGGUAUUUAUACGUGAAUAGGUUAGAGCUAUACCUAAAUUAGAAUGUUAUUUUAUUAAUCAUUGGACAAACAAAUAAUCAAGUAAAUAGCUAAAUCCUAUGAUGCGACAAAAUAAUAUUACUAACGUGUAAUUGACGUGAUUACAAGGUUACCACAGUCAGAAACAUGAUCAGAUGUAUUUGCGAUGCACAUAUGUUGAAUACGUAGUAGUUCACAGUUCAAAAUGACGAGAUCUCAUGCGGACACAAUCGUCUCCAUUUUUCCCAACUGCACGACACCGAAGCCUCAGCUGGCCAAGCCUGGUGGCUGCUCCCACCGGCGGUCGAACUCGCGCUGGGGCACCGGGGCUGCACUAGCCGCCAUGGCCGAGCCGUGCUGGGCUGCGUGUGCCACACUAGACAGCUGCGAGACCGCGCAGGGCUCAGACAGCCACGCCGCGGGCCGAGCCGACCGUUCCCUGGCCACUGUGCCGAGGAUCGUGCCAUGUCGGGGCCACGCUCCGCACCAGCUCAGCCGCUCCAGUCGGCCGGGGAGGGCUGGCCGCGCGCCGCUGCGCUGGAAGGCCGGCGAGCUGCCGCGUCGGGCAGGCUGGCCACGCCUGGCCGCUAGGGGGGGCCACCACGCCGCGUGCUAGGGCCGUGCCCGCACCGGCUGGCCACGGGCUACCGCGCGCUGGCAGGCCACGCCGAGGCCACGCGCUCGCGCCGCCGAGCCGGGACCGCGCCGGGCCGCCGAGGCCACGCGCCCACGCCCGCACCGGGGUCGUGCGCCGGCUGCCGCGACGCUGCUGGCCACGCCUGGCCGCUGCGCGCUGGCGAGCCGCGCCGGGCCGCAGCGACGCCGCUGCAGGGGGGGCCGGGGAGAGGGAGGGGCGGGGGAAGGGGAGGAGGGAGGGGCUUACCGCGCGGGGCGAGGGCGAGCGGCAUCGAGGGAGAGAGAGGGACGUGCACGGGAUCGGGGAGAGAGAAGGAGGUAGGGGGAAGGGGGUGGGGCUGACGAGCGGGCCCCACCAGGGGGUGGCGGCGGCAGCUGGGGGAGGGCACUGCCUAGGGUUUUGGGGGUGGGGCUGCUACGCGCGGGGUGGGCCAGGUGGGCCGCGUGGGGUGGGGGAGCUGGGCCACCGAGCUGGGCCACGCUGCGCGCCAGCUGGGCCGCGGGGAGGGAGCCGACCGGCUGGCUGGCUGGGCCGCGCCAGAAAGCCAGCCCAGGGGAGAGAGAGAGGGUUUUCUAUUUUCUAUUUGAAUAUAGCUCUCGCUUUUUUUAAUUCAAAGUCACACAUGCUUCAUGAGUUUAAAUGGAGGCACGACAACACCAUACAAAAUUAGAUGCUCCAGCAUGUGAUGCAACAACAAUAACUCCAUAGGGUUUUAACUUACUACGAUUAAUGUUUAUAUAAUACAAAAUAACUCCUCAAUAUUUAUGAAAAAGUGAAGUAAAGCAAAUAAAAGAGAGGGUAACACCUGAAUUUAGUGGAUAUUAGAAAAGAAAUUUUAUACCCCCAAAUUCAGGGUGUUACAAAUCUAACCCCCUUAACAGAAUCUCGCCCUCGAGAUUCAAGAAGAGGCUAGCAAGAAAUUGAGAUUGGUUCAUCGGUCUUUCAUAGCUUCUUAUGACUCAAAUUUGACUCUAGCAACUUUAACUUGUGGACUGGUUGCUUUGACCUUUAGAUGCUUGAGACCGAUUCAUGCAAUUCUUGAGGAACGCUUAGACCUGUGGGUUAGGACCCACACAUGCUUCCGCUGCUUCACUUUGAUCAUGUUUGUUGAUGUUGAUCACAUUGUCUUCAUUGGGGUUAGCGGCUAACCCCCUUAACAAGAGCAUUGAUACACACUUGAUGAAGAUUUUGCCGACUCUGAUCUUGACUGAUUUGGAGGAGUUGGAGGUUGCCAAAUGGACAGGUGCAAGAGGAAAGAAUAGCGAGAAAAGGUAAGUAUAGACGGAUUAAAGAGAGGAGGGGGAGAACCCAACUACUUAACUCUAUGGCACUCACCUAGUAAACUGAUGUCAUUGCGGACCAGGGGCCACAACACAUCAACACUCAUCACGAAAAAGCAAAUCAGUCAUAACACCAAGACACACAGCACAAGCAUACAACAACAAACAUCUCGUUGCUAUACGUUUCUUUUAAUUAAAUGGUGGUCUUUCUUGAAAAGGGAAUAACUACUCUCUAAGGUUGUCGAAGGACAAGGAGAAGAACAAGAUGUGCAAGAUAGGGGCAUGAGCACAAUAAAGGAUGGAGUUAAAGCAAGCAUUGUAAGCAACCAACAAAGGGAUACGACCAAGGGCAUAAUGGGUAAAACAACACUCUCGAGUUGAGAUCGAAAUGGAGAGAUUUCCAAAAGCAGACCUAAGAUAAGUAUCAAGUCAAGAUCUAGUGAUUACAAGGGUAAGGGGGAUAUCAAACAAAAGUUAAGACUCACAACACGACAGAGGAAAAGGGAACGACCAAGAGCGGGAUGAAUAAGACAACAUUAUUCAAUUGAGACGGGAGAGAAGGCUUUCAAAUGCAAGUGCAGGAUAAGCAUUAAGGUAAAUAUCGAGUUAUGACAAGGGUUAAGGUUAUAACAGACAAACACACAACAAAGGAGGUAUAUUUUUUUAGAUGAAACUUGCAAUCGAAGAAGGGGGAGCAGUUAAUGAUGAAGUAGGUGAGGCAUUAUCCUUGAACAGGGAUGGAAAAGAGGAGGCUAUAAAGGGUAGGUUCAAAGUAAGCUUGAAGGUCAAGGUAUAGAUAUUGCAAGGGUCAAAGGUGAUAACGGACAAGAACAUAAGAGAGGAGGUAAAUGGGCAGAAGAACAAAUGAUACAAGUACCAUAAAGGAUGGAGUUAAGACAGGACAUGCAAAUGGAAAAGGAGAGGGUACGUCCAAGGGCCAGAUAGGUGAGCAGUCACUUCCCAAUUGAGGUGGAAGAGAGGAGAUUUUAAAGAGCUAGAAUAAAGAUGAGUAUCAAGGCAAGAUCGAUGGAUGACAAGGAGGUGGUGAUAGCAAAUAAAACACAUAACAAAGGAUGGAAUUGAAACAAAACUUGUAAGGCGACAAGAAGUGAAAAGAAAUCAAGGGAGAGGUAGGUAACUCGCAACUCUCAAACUUUCUCAAAAUAAAGGAGAGGCUUUUAAAGGAUAAGUUCAAGGUAAGCAUUUAGGUAGAAGACAUAAAUAUCACAAGGGUCAAAGGCAAUAACAGAUAAGAGUAUAGGAGAAAAGAUGAAAGCAUAGAAGAGCCAAUGGUAUAAGUACAACAAAGAAUGGUGUUGCACCCAAGCUUACAUGCGGUAAAGAAGAGGAUAUAGCCAAGGGUGAGGUAAGUAAAACACCACUCUCAAAUUGAGAUAGGAGACCAGAGAUUUUAGAUAACAGACAUAAUGUAAUCACAAGGUAGGAUAGAAGGGUAAAGAAAAUAACAAACAAAACACAACAAAGGAUAGAGUUAAAAACUCGAAUGUGGCAGAGAAGAGGAUACGACAAAAAAGGUAAAAACCUACAACUCUCAGAUCAAGAUGGAAGAGAGGAGAUUUUGAAGGGCAGGUAUAAGAUAAAUAUCAAUGUAAGAUAUGAUGAUGUCGAAGGUAAAGAUGAUAAUAAUGAAAAGCAUAACAAAGGAUAGCGUUAAGAUAAGACUCGCGAAGUGGCAAAGUGGAGAAAACAAUAAAGGGUAAGAUAGAUAAAGUCCCAACAGAAAGGUUGAGGUAAAAACUCAUUACCGAAGGAUGUUAUGAGGGAACAAUGAGAUCAUCAAGGAUGUGCCAAAUAGAAUGAUCAUUCAUGGAUCGUCAAGAAAUCAGGGUGGUCAAGGGCAUGUGAACUGAAAUGUCUUAAACAGACACUAGGGUAUGAAUAUAAGCAUACAUAAAAAUAUAAUAGUAUGCAAGAUUCCAAGGACACAGGCAUGCCAAGAAAAGGGAACUGAAAAUGCCAAAGGAUAAUGACUUAAUGACGGAGUAGGAAGGGGUCUUAGAAGACAAGAAGUUCAUGGACAUAUAAACUUGAGUGUUUAAGUAGGCAUGAGAAAUUCAGAUGUGGGUAUUUAAAACAAGAGUAUUGAAGAAUCUAGGGGUACGAGCAUGCCAAUACCAAGAGACAAGAAAUUGUCGAAAGAUAACGACUUAACAACAGAAUAAGAAAUGAUCUCAGAAGACAAGAAGGUCAUAGACACAUAAACUGAACUGUUUAAAUAGGCAAUAGAGGUACAAGGGUAAGUACUUUAGAUUAAGGGAUAAGGGUAUUAAAAAUGCAAGGAUACGAGUAUGUCAAUAACAAAAUGAAUAGAGAUGGUCAAAUGGUAGCAAUUUAAUAAUGGACGAGGAAAGAGUCCCAAAAGACUAAAGGCUAUGGUCAGGGGGCAUCUACAAAGAUGUCGCAAGCACAAGAGUGAGGUCAGAUCUAAUAGAUUGAGAGAAGUAUAGACCAUACUAAAAUAAAAUACUUUUUGGCAAGGGGGCAUAUAGGAGCACAACAUAGAAUUAGUCGAGGUGACUAAUAUUUUGAAGCAGAAUCAAGGAUGAGAUGAAGUAAUAAUCAAUAAGACCUUAAAACGGCCAAUGCUACUCUAGGUCAGCGAUCCUACAGUCAGCACAACUUUGAUACCACUUAUGUCACACCCGGUUUUAGAAGGUAAACCGAAUGCGAACCAUGUACGUGCCAGGAUCAGUAAUUCACGUACACAACGAUUACAUAAAUGACUCAUCAAAGCACAAUGCUUCGAAUUACAAUAAAGAGUAAGUAAUAAUAUUACAGACUAGAGCCAUUUACAUAAUAUAAAUCAAAGUACACAGAAUCGAAACGUAGCCAACGUAAACAACCCACCACAGGCAGCUGACUGGGGAGGUCGCUAGCCUAAUCCUUGAACUCGUCGACGUCCUGGAACUCCUGGAGAUCCGCCUCGACGCCUUCUUUACCUGAGCAUAGAUUGCACCAAAGGCAACCUGGUGUUUUGUGAAAGCAAGGGUGAGUACACAUUGUCACACCCGGGUUUCAGGGGCACCAAGACCCGGGCGCGAACAUAAUCACCAGGUGUGCUGGGACCAAGUCACACACAUAUGAUGAAUCAUGGCACAGGAUCGAAUGUCACAUCUUUACUACAUAAUAGGAGUUCUAUUCAAAAUAAAUAAAUAAUUACAUUAUAAGGAGACAACGGUCCAGCAACCCAAAGUUGACUAGGAGACGACGACCUAGAUCUCUCUCACGAACUCAUCGCAGCAUCCUCCAUGCGCCUCAUCCUGUGGUACCUGUUCUUGACCUGUGGGGGGUGUGAGACAGCAAGAGUGAGCUCACAUACGUUCAUCGCUCAACAAGUUGUGGGGAAUAAUGUGCAUGAACUCGCCAAAGGUGGGAGCUCACGUGAAGUGUAAGGCUUACCAAAGAGGAUGGUUAGAGCUGAGCAUUGCUUUUAAAGUUGGUCAAAAUUAGCAAUUACUAAGUAUAAGUAGAUACCAACCCAAUUAAGUAGUAGAACAAAAGUAACAACAUCACCUGUGAUGCAAUGCAUAUGACAAAUUGAAUUUAGUUUCAUAAGUUAAUCAUCAGAGAGUCCUGAGCUGCUCAUGAUCGUGAGCUCGGCUAGUAUACCAGUUUUACACUCUGCAGAGGUUGUACCCUUUACCCACAAGUCAUCUUACCCAUCUGCCAAGGGAUCGCGACUUCCCAUACACCUCUACCGAGGAGGCGAGGCAGGGUAACACUACGAGGCCUUUACAAAGUUCCACUAGCUUCAGAAAACCCGCUACAGUUUAUAGGAAGCUCCAAUGCAGGGUUCUUGCCUGACCACCAUCGCAGCAAAAUCAACCAAGGACCUCCCUACACUGACCACUCCCCUACUGCCCUUGCCCCUUUCGGGUAAGGUAGUCCUCCACUAGCUUUCCUAAUUAAUCAGCCAAGGGCGUCCAUAAACCCUUGUGGUGGCACGUGUUUCUCAAGUUAAGCUCUAUGUUCCAAUUAACAUUAAUGAUCUUGACAUGAACAGUAAAUAACAACAGAUAACAAAAGUAUAAUCAUGAAUAAUGUGUAUCUCAAUGCCCAAAACCACAUAUAGCACUAGCAAGUACUACCCAAAAAGUUCAGUGGUAAACAAGGCAUAAAGAUAGACAAACUAGGGUAACCUAUUAGGUCCCAUCAAAAUUAACCUAUGCAGAUCAUUAUGAUUAAUUAGAACAUGAGUGGGUAAAAGAAGUGAUCAAGGGCACAACUUGUCUGGGACUUGAGAUUCCAGGUACCAGGAUGAUCUUCAGGUGACUCGUGACCUCACGCUAGUCGUAGCAAUACAAACAAGCAGUGUAUAGGCAAAAUUAACAUCACAUCAAACAUGUAAACAAAAUAUAUAAUAAUAAUCUACACAUUAAAAUAAGAUUCUAGGAACGAGAAUCAUUAAUUUUUGGAGUUACGGAUUUUAAGUUAUGACUUUCUUAAGAUUUUAUGUGCUUUGUACAAGAUUACUUAAGAUAAUAAUUUUAAUGCGGCUUUUAUGUCAAAACAGUGACACUAAAUGAUAAACAAUAAUAUUAUAAAAUUAUAGAAACUAGAAUGGGUUAAUUCGGUGGUUAGAAUGAAUUAAAUAUGAAUUAAACAAGUUUAUGAAUUUAUUUUUGUACUAAAAAUCAAUUUCCCUAAUUAUUUCUCUAUUUUUAUCACCCCGGAACUGGGCGCAUUAAUAACUAAAAGACCAGGGGCUCCCCCACAAAAGUUCCUAAGACUCAUAAUCACCCCGCGCAAGAUGGCGGGUUAAUUACGAAAAAGUGCAGGGGCUCUUUAGAAAAACGACCAGGGCCGAAGGGGUACGAGCGCAGCACAGCCAAUCGAUCAAGAUCUAACGACUCAAAUUAAAUCGUGUCUUAUAUGAACCGGUACGCAUUAUGCGCCGCACGAUCAGUGACCAACGCCCAGGAUUUAAAACGCUCGGGUUGAUUUCAGCGCGCUCGAUCCAGAUCGAACGGCGCAAAUCCACCCCACUGAACCAGUGUCGCCCAUUUAAUCCUAGCCGCAAGAUCACCGAUCCGCGGUCGAAAACCCCCUACCCAUCCUUCUAAUUUUUACCCGUACAUGGCCCGAUCAACGGCCCACACAUCGUCGUUCCCCCGCGGCCAAAUAGAGGCGCCGGCGCGAUGAGCACGGCGGAGCUCCACCGGAGUACAGGCGAUCUAAGGCCUCGGCGCCCCAAAUCAGGCCUGGGUAAAUGCUAAGCGAUGCGGACGUCCUGGUGAACAGCACCAGCACAAAUCCAACGGUGACGGGGUUUCUUCCCUUCCCCCAGGCCGCACGCGGCAGCAGAGUGAGCCCGCACGGCGGAGGCCACAACGACGACCGGCGUUCCCAACCUUCCUGGCCCUAAACCUUGCUUCUAUUGGUGCUAAACGAUGCGCAAAUGAGGGUAAAUGGUAUGGCGAGGGUCUUACUCAUAGCAACAUCAGCGACAUCGCCGACCACGAAGCGUGGUGGGCUCACGGCAACAGUGGACUUCGGCGAGAAAUUAACCAUUCACUGGUUAAUCGCGCACCCGUAAUCACACGCCCGCGCCAUCGUUGGGUAAUGGCGGAGCAUCCUGGGCAACCAUCACGACUGGGGCACAAGCAGGGACGAUGUUCCACGGCGGCGGUGGUAGGUCUCCCCGCACACCCGCUGCUAUGGUGAAUCCUGUACUCUCGAUGUCGAACGCGAGGACUGGUCUAGGAUUGUGGGAGAGGCGAGCACAACGCGGAUAUAUAUGCGCAGCAGGGGGAUCUGGAUAGAGAUGGUGAGCAGCCAAUCCGGAUUCCACGCGCGCGUGAUUUCUGCGGAGUCCGUUGAGCCGACCGCGCGAAUCGCGGAUCGCGCAAGCCUGUUGCAAGGCGCAGGGAGGAUAGACACCAGCGCGCAGGGGCGGCAGACGCAGCCCGGGAUCUCGGCGUGGUUUUCGGAUCGAGUGGAACCUCUAGGGAGCUCCGGCGGCGCGAUCCCAUUUCCUGGACGCAGGCGAGACGCGAUGGCAGCGGAGAAAGAAGAAGCUCCCGACGCCCCGGGCCGCAUGCAAGUGAGAAGCGUACGCGCCAGAGGGACUGGGCCGCGCGAAGUGGGAGUUGGGCCGAGGGAGUAGAGAGCUGGGCCAAGGGCGCCAGAAUCGGCCCAGGUGGUCUUUUCUCUUUUUCUUUUCUUCUGAUUUCAUCAUUUUUUUAUUCCAAUUUCAAAUCAUACCCAAGUUUGAAUUUCAAUCCCUCUUCUUCACAAAUCAAAAUACAAUAUGCACUGGUUAUAUUAAUCUAUUUAUUUAAUUACUUUAUUUAUUAUUAUCAUUUUAUUUAGGUAAUGAAAUACUCCCACCACAUUCAUUACAUAAAAUAUGAUCUCGAGUGUGUAAUCAAUUUAAAAGGUGUAACCCAAAAGUCAUUUUCCUUUGGUUUGAUAGUAAACAUUUUUCAAGUGUCUAAUUUUAUUAGGAUUUAACUCAACUAUCAUUAUUGUAUUCACCUUAAAAGGGUGGAUUCUAAGGUUUAAUAAUUUAUCAAGGGUAUUUUGUUCUGAUUCCUUCUACUAAUCCCAAAUCUAGAAUUUGGGUGUUACAAAUCCUACCCCCCUUAACAGAAAUCUCGUCCUCGAGAUUUGUAAGGAAAGGAAUACAAAACGAUUGGCUUGUAAUUCAACUUUUAGUCUAUAAUUAUUUCAAAUAUCCAGAGUAUUUUAUAGUCAAAAGUGGGUGAUUAGGAGAGCAUGGGUAUAUAUAUGUAUGUCCACUUUAUUAUGUAGGAUAGAAGAUGUCCUUAGAGCAUAGAUAGGUUUAGUUAUGAAAGGGUAGGGCUAGGAAAGACUCUAUCCAAGAUUGUGGAUCUUGAUUACUUUUGAAGAUCUAGCUUGAAUCUUAUCCUUCCUUGAUUUGAUGAGCUCGAUCAUCUUCGAUCUUUGUUCUUGAAGUUUUUUUUAUCCGAAUUAGGGACAUGUAGUUAGGAUAACUUGUAAGUAAGGACAGAUGGUUAACAGGCUGGUGGCAUAAGAUAAGUGUAUUAUGGCAACAUCUAGGAUGGGAGGGAUGGUCACCAUAAAUAUGCUGGUAAGUUAUUUGUUCAUGGGUGGUUUGGUAUGAUGUACUAAUUUAAGUUAAAACAUGGCCAGCAGGGUCUAAUCUAUUUCACUAGUAUCAACUAGUCCGUUAAGUAACUCACUUUAGAUUAGAUCAUAUUAGGUUAGAUGAGAUCUAGAUUAGAUUGGUAUGACUAGUUUGACUAGAUAUGAUCUAAUUAAUUUGCAUUAGAUCAUGGUUGUUAAACUAGGGUGGAUAAGUAUGCUUAUUAGGAUAAGACAUAUCCAUAAAGAUAAGAUAGAAUCUUUUGAGGCCAGUUAGAUCUAUUAGGAUAAGGAUAAAAUCUUUUCUAGAUAAGAUGUAUCUAUUAAGGUAAUAGAGUAUCUUUUAAGAUAAGAUGGAUCUAUUAAGAUGAGAUAUAUUUUAAUUAGGAUAAGUUGGGAUCUUUUGAGAUGAGAUAGAUAUUGUUAGGUUAGAUAUUUUAAUGGGGAAUAAUCUAGUUUGUCUAGUUAUUUUUUAUAAGCAUUUUCUUAUAUGUAUAUACAGAUGUAAUUGUGGGCAUUACUCCACAACCCAUCACACUCAAUCAAAGAUCCAAAUCAGACAAGUAUCAUAAGAACAAACACUCAAGCGUAUAGAUACCUAAAAAUAGUUUUGCUUUUGUUCCUAUGAGUAGGUCUUCUAUUCCUAAAGGUCACUUAAUGUACAAGAUUUCAAUGUGUGAAAUCCACCUUUGUAUUUUAGAAGUUAAAAGGUAAGAGUAAUCAGAGUAAAGCAGCAUUAGAUGAGAAAAGAUUAAGGUAAGUUUAGAAAGAAUCAGAGUGGCAAAGGUAAGUAGAUAAUGGUUGUCCAGUUCUAUCUAGGUUUCGUCCUACAGUCAACAUUUCCUCUGAUACCACUUCUGUCACACUCGGGUUUCAGGGGCACUAAGACCCGGGCGCGAACAUAAUCACCAGGUGUGCUGGGACCAAGUCACACACAUAUGAUGAAUCAUGGCACAUGAUCGAAUGUCACAUCUUUACUACAUAAUAGGAGUUCUAUUCAAAAUAAAUAAAUAAUUACAUUAUAAGGAGACAACGGUCCAGCAACCCAAAGUUGACUGGGAGACAACGACCUAGAUCUCUCUCACGAACUCAUCGCAGCAUCCUCCAUGCGCCUCAUCCUGUGGUACCUGUUCUUGACCUGUGGGGGGGUGUGAGACAGCAAGAGUGAGCUCACAUACGUUCAUCGCUCAACAAGUUGUGGGGAAUAAUGUGCAUGAACUCGCCAAAGGUGGGAGCUCACGUGAAGUGUAAGGCUUACCAAAGAGGAUGGUUAGAGCUGAGCAUUGCUUUUAAAGUUGGUCAAAAUUAGCAAUUACUAAGUAUAAGUAGAUACCAACCCAAUUAAGUAGUAGAACAAAAGUAACAACAUCACCUGUGAUGCAAUGCAUAUGACAAAUUGAAUUUAGUUUCAUAAGUUAAUCAUCAAAGAGUCCUGAGCUGCUCAUGACCGUGAGCUCGGCUAGUAUACCAGUUUUACACUCUGCAGAGGUUGUACCCUUUACCCACAAGUCAUGUUACCCAUCUGCCAAGGGAUCGCGACUUCCCAUACACCUCUACCGAGGAGGCGAGGCAGGGUAACACUACGAGGCCUUUACGAAGUUCCACUAGCUUCAGAAAACCCGCUACAGUUUAUAGGAAGCUCCAAUGCAGGGUUCUUGCCUGACCGCCAUCGCAGCAAAAUCAACCAAGGACCUCCCUACACUAACCACUCCCCUACUGCCCUUGCCCCUUUCGGGUAAGGUAGUCCUCCACUAGCUUUCCUAAUUAAUCAGCCAAGGGCGUCCAUAAACCCUUGUGGUGGCACGUGUUUCUCAAGUUAAGCUCUAUGUUCCAAUUAACAUUAAUGAUCUUGACAUGAACAGUAAAUAACAACGGAUAACAAAAGUAUAAUCAUGAAUAAUGUGUAUCUCAAUGCCCAAAACCACAUAUAGCACUAGCAAGUACUACCCAAAAAGUUCAGUGGUAAACAAGGCAUAAAGAUAGACAAACUAGGGUAACCUAUUAGGUCCCAUCAAAAUUAACCUACGCAGAUCAUUAUGAUUAAUUAGAACAUGAGUGGGUAAAAGAAGUGAUCAAGGGCACAACUUGUCUGGGACUUGAGAUUCCAGGUACCAGGAUGAUCUUCAGGUGACUCGUGACCUCACGCUAGUCGUAGCAAUACAAACAAGCAGUGUAUAGGCAAAAUUAACAUCACAUCAAACAUGUAAACAAAAUAUAUAAUAAUAAUCUACACAUUAAAAUAAGAUUCUAGGAACGAGAAUCAUUAAUUUUGGAGUUACGGAUUUUAAGUUAUGACUUUCUUAAGAUUUUAUGUGCUUUGUACAAGAUUACUUAAGAUAAUAAUUUUAAUGCGGCUUUUAUGUCAAAACAGUGACACUAAAUGAUAAACAAUAAUAUUAUAAAAUUAUAGAAACUAGAAUGGGUUAAUUUGGAGUUAGAAUGAAUUAAAUAUGAAUUAAACAAGUUUAUGAAUUUAUUUUUGUACUAAAAAUCAAUUUCCCUAAUUAUUUCUCUAUUUUUAUCACCCCGGAACUGGGCGCAUUAAUAACUAAAAGACCAGGGGCUCCCCCACAAAAGUUCCUAAGACUCAUAAUCACCCCACGCAAGAUGGCGGGUUAAUUACGAAAAAGUGCAGGGGCUCUUUAGAAAAACGACCAGGGCUGAAGGGGUACGAGCACAGCACAGCCAAUCGAUCAAGAUCUAACGGCUCAAAUUAAAUCGUGUCUUAUAUGAACCGGUACGCAUUAUGCGCCGCACGAUCAGUGACCAACGCCCAGGAUUUAAAACGCUCGGGUUGAUUUCAGCGCGCUCGAUCCAGAUCGAACGACGCAAAUCCACCCCACCGAACCAGUGUCGCCCAUUUAAUCCUAGCCACAAGAUCACCGAUCCGCGGUCGAAAACCCCCUACCCAUCCUUCUAAUUUUCACCCGUACAUGGCCCGAUCAACGGCCCACACAUCGUCGUUCCCCCGCGGCCAAAUAGAGGCGCCGGCGCGAUGAGCACGGCUGAGCUCCACCGGAGCACAGGCGAUAUAAGGCCUCGGCGCCCCAAAUCAGGCCUGGGUAAAUGCUACGAGAUGCGGACGUCCUGGUGAACAGCACCAGCACAAAUCCAACGGUGACGGGGUUUCUUCCCUUCCCCCAGGCCGCACGCGGCAGCAGAGUGAGCCCGCACGGCGGAGGCCACAACGACGACCGACGUUCCCAACCUUCCCGGCCCUAAACCUUGCUUCUAUUGGUGCUAAACGAUGCGCAAAUGAGGGUAAAUGGUAUGGCGAGGGUCUUACUCAUAGCAACAUCAGCGACAUCGCCGACCACGGAGCGUGGUGGGCUGACGGCAACAGUGGACUUCGGCGAGAAAUUAACCAUUCACUGGUUAAUCGCGCACCCGUAAUCACACACCCGCGCCAUCGUUGGGUAAUGGCGGAGCAUCCUGGGCAACCAUCACGACUGGGGCACAAGCAGGGACGAUGUUCCACGGCGGCGGUGGUAGGUCUCCCCGCACACCCGCUGCUAUGGUGAAUCCUGUACUCUCGAUGUCGAACACGAGGACUGGGCUAGGAUUGUGGGAGAGGCGAGCACAGCGCGGAUAUAUAUGCGCAACAGGGGGAUCUGGAUAGAGGUGGUGAGCAGCCAAUCCGGAUUCCACGCGCGCGCGAUUUCUGCGGAGUCCGUUGAGCCGACCGCGUGAAUCGCGGAUCGCGCAAGCCUGUUGCAAGGCGCAGGGAGGAUAGACACCAGCGCACAGGGGCGGCGGACGCAGCCCGGGAUCUCGGUGUGGUUUUCGGAUCGAGUGGAACCUCCAGGGAGCUCCGGCGGCGCGAUCCCAUUUCCUGGACGCAGGCGUGACGCGAUGGCAGCGGAGAAAGAAGAAGCUCCCGACGCCCCGGGCCCGCAUGCAAGUGAGAAGCGUACGCGCCAGAGGGACAGGGCCGCGCGGAGUGGGAGUUGGGCCGAGGGAGUAGAGAGCUGGGCCAAGGGCGCCAGAAUCGGCCCAGGUGGUCUUUUCUCUUUUUCUUUUCUUCUGAUUUCAUCAUUUUUUAUUCCAAUUUCAAAUCAUACCCAAGUUUGAAUUUCAAUCCCUCUUCUUCACAAAUCAAAAUACAAUAUGCAUUGGUUAUAUUAAUCUAUUUAUUUAAUUACUUUAUUUAUUAUUAUCAUUUUAUUUAGGUAAUGAAAUACUCCCACCACAUUCAUUACAUAAAAUAUGAUCUCGAGUGUGUAAUCAAUUUAAAAGGUGUAACCCAAAAGUCAUUUUCCUUUGGUUUGAUAGUAAACAUUUUUCAAGUGUCUAAUUUUAUUAGGAUUUAACUCAACUAUCAUUAUUGUAUUCACCUUAAAAGGGUGGAUUCUAAGGUUUAAUAAUUUAUCAAGGGUAUUUUGUUCUGAUUCCUUCUACUAAUCCCAAAUCUAGAAUUUGGGUGUUACACACAUCAACGUACUCAGCAAAUGCCCCGUUUGGUUGUAGUGGACUAGCUUUAUGUGGGGUUAAGUCAAGCAGUUGCUUUUAGUUGGUCAGGUUAUUAUUACUAGUAGAAAGCCAGGUUUUAGCAUUAACCCAAGGUACCGUUUGGUUCAAAUAUUUGUAACGUAAUGGGUAAGUGAUUACGUUAAAUCAUGUUUGUUUUAGUCCAACCGUAAUCAGAUACCGUACUAAAAUUUGAUACCGGACUAUUCAAACUUGUUACCGCCCGUAAUCAAGUGUAAACCAUUACCAUUACCCUUUACGUUACAUUUCGUGAACCAAACAGCACCCAAGUUCUUAACCCAAAGUACCCUUUCCAAAUGGAAAGAAUGCCACUUACCAUUACCAUAAGCAUGAUCAUAACCAUCCUCCUCAUCACCACCUGUAAACCAUACAUCUCUGAUCAAGUAUCUCUAAUCAAUGGAGCUCCCUUGGCUGCUCAUAACCGCGAGCACGACUGAUAUAUCAGUUUCAUAACACUCUACAGAGGUUGUGCACUUUAUCCACAAGCCGUGAUUCCCUUUCUGCCCGGAGAUCAUGACUCUCUAUUGAUCACUACCAAGGUGACCCAGCAGGGCAUCACUACAUAGCCUUUACAAAGAUUCCCUGGGGCUAUAGCCACCCGUUAGGUUUCCUAAAUGCACCGCACUCCUCCCCAAGGGGCGAACCCAAGCUUGGCAGAGCGAGCCGCAUACACCGAGCCCCAUUGACGGCACGACGGCUAAGUGAACUACACCCCGGAUCCUCUAAUUAUUCAGCUAAGGGCACCCCGUUCCACCCUCAUGGUUGCACUGUUUUUCCGGGCGGUCAUCCAAAGAAUAGGUUCUUACGGAGAGGCACUCGAGAAACUGCUCGAGCCCCCUUAAAGGCCACAAGUAUAACAUCAUAAUAAGAGAAGGGAAAACAACGUAUCAUAGAUAAUCUCAUCAUGUUCAUUGAUUAGAGUUGAGCAAUAGCAUAAGGCUAAGCAAUAAUAAUCCAGCCCAAAUAGAUAAACAAGGAUAUGGAUAACAAAGCUAGUAAAUCCUUAGGCAUAAAUGUGUAAUGCGGGAGAUGAAUUAAAGAAUGAAUAGGACAGAGAUAGGUCAAGGGACACUUGCCUUCAUCAAACAGAUGCUCAGGAUCUUCAGCCUCGUAGAACUCGAAGAGUUUGAUCUCUUGGUCGCCGAAGCUUGACCGUUGAUUCCUCGAAGCUCGAAAGAGAACCACGAUCUAAUCGCAACACGGAGCGAAGACGAACAGACACAAGCAAACAAACAUAUGUGCACAAGAACAUUACACCAUACAAGGUAAAACGUAAUAAAAUACGCAAAAUAGAAUAGAGUGUGUUACUGUGGUCACACGAGGACAAAGAAACGCGAUAGUAGGAGCUAUGGUCGAGAAGUUAACGGGUUUACGCUAAGCUAACAUCAAAUUGAAUAUUUAAUCUGAUAUCUCUAGAUUAAUUAAUAUUAAUUAAAUGUAAAUUAACACUACUACUUAGUUCUUGUCUAACUUACCAGUUUAAUAGUUGAUGACCAAAUAAGUAACUAAUUUAUUCACAUGGGUAAUUAUAAACGAAUGAUUUAAUCUUGCGAGCGGCAAGGCGCGUGACACACGCGAACGGCGUGCGACAACGCACGCGACAACACGUGAAACACACGCGGCAACACGCGAAAACAAUGCGACGAUAAGCUAGAAUCGCUAACCGAUCCCGCAUCUCUAUUGAGAAAGUGUUAAUUACAACAUUUGCAUCAACAUAAUCACAUUAACGGGUAUUUAUGCGUGAACGGGUUAGAGCUAUACCUAAAUUAGAAUGUUAUUUUGUUAAUCAUUGGACAAACAAAUAAUCAAGUAAAUAGCUAAAUCCUAUGAUGCGACAAAAUAAUAUUACUAACGUGUACUUGACGUGAUUACAAGGUUACCACAGUCAGAACAUGAUCAGAUGUAUUUGCGAUGCACAUAUGUUGAAUACGUACUAGUUCACAGUUCAAAACGACGAGAUCUCAUGCGGACACAAUCGUCUCCAUUUUUCCCAACUGCACGGCACCGAAGCCUCAGCUGGCCAAGCCUGGUGGCUGCUCCCACCAGCGGUCGGACUUGCGCUGGGGCACCGGGGCCACCAUGGCCGAGCCGUGCUGGGCUGCGCGUGCCACACUGGCCAGCUGCGAGACCGCGCAGGGCUCAGACAGCCACGCCGCGGGCCGAGCCGACCGUUCCCUGGCCACUGUGCCGAGGAUCGUGCCAUGUCGGGGCCACGCUCCGCACCAGCUCAGCCGCGCUAGUCGGCCGGGGAGGGCUGGCCGCGCGCCGCUGCGCUGGCAGGCCGGCGAGCUGCCGCGCCGGGCAGGCUGGCCACGCAUGGCCGCUAGGGGGGCCACCGCGCCGCGUGCCUGGGGCCGUGCCCGCACCGGCUGGCCACGGGCCACCGCGCGCUGGCAGGCCACGCCGAGGCCACGCGCUCGCGCCGCCGAGCCGGGACCACGCCGGGCCGCCGAGGGCGUGCGCCCACGCCCGCACUGGGGUCGCGCGCCGGCCGCCGCGACGCUGCUGGCCACGCCUGGCCGCUACGCGCUGGCGAGCCGCGUUGGGCCGCAGCGACGCCGCUGCAGGGGGGCCGAGGAGAGGGAGGGCGGGGGAAGGGGAGGAGGGAGGGGCUUACCGCGCGGGGCGAGGGCGAGCGGCGUCGAGGGAGAGAGAGGGACGUGCGUGAGAUCGGGGAGAGAGAAGGAGGUAGGGGGAAGGGGGGUGGGGCUGACGAGCGGGCCCCACCAGGGGGUGGCGGCGGCGGCAGCUGGGGGAGGGCGUGGCCUAGGGUUUUGGAGGUGGGGCUGCUGCGCCCGGGGUGGGCCAGGUGGGCCGCGCGGGGUGGGGGAGCUGGGCCGCCGAGCUGGGCCACGCUGCGCGCCAGCUGGGCCGCGGGGAGGGAGCCGACCGGCUGGCUGGCUGGGCCGCGCCAGAAAGCCAGCCCAGGGGAGAGAGAGAGAGGGUUUUCUAUUUUCUAUUUGAAUAUAGCUCUAGCUUUUUUUAAUUCAAAGUCACACAUGCUUCAUGAGUUUAAAUGGAGGCACGACAACACCGUACAAAAUUAGAUGCUCCAGCAUGUGAUGCAACAACAAUAACUCCCUAGGGUUUUAACUUACUACGAUUAAUGUUUAUAUAAUACAAAAUAACUCCUCAAUAUUUAUGAAAAAGAGAAGUAAAGCAAAGAAAAGAGAGGGUAACACCUGAAUUUAGUGGAUAUUUGAAAAGAAAUUUUAUACCCCCAAAUUUAGGGUGUUACACCAAGGAAGUAGUUCAACUCACCCAUCAUUGACAUCUCAAACUUUUGAGUUAUCACCCUGCUAAACUUCUCACAAGACUUUUGGUGAGUAGAACCAAAUAUUAUGUCAUCGACAUAAAUUUGGCACACAAAAAGAUGACCAUCACAAGUCUUGGUAAAAAUAGUGGGAUCGACUUUCCCAACCUUAAAAGUGUUAGCAAUUAAUAAAUCUCUAAGGCAUUCAUACCAUGCUCUUGGGGCUUGCUUAAGUCCAUAGAGCGCCUUAGAGAGCUUGAACACAUGGUCGGGGUACCUGUCAUCCUCAAAGCUAGGGGGUUGUUCCACAUACACCUCCUCCUUGAUUGGCCCGUUGAGGAAAGCGCUCUUCACAUCCAUUUGAAACAACCUGAAAGAGUGGUGAGCGGCAUAGGCUAAUAAUAUUCGAAUAGACUCUAGCCUAGCCACAGGAGCAAAAGUCUCCUCGAAAUCCAAACCUGCGACUUGGGCAUAACCUUUUUCCACAAGUCGAGCAUUGUUUCUUGUCACCACCCCGUGCUCGUCUUGCUUGUUGCGGAACACCCACUUGGUUCCCACAACAUUUUGCUUGGGACGUGGCACCAGGCUCCAAACUUCAUUUCUCUUGAAGUUGUUGAGCUCUUCCUGCAUGGCCAACACCCAAUCCGGAUCCUGCAAGGCCUCUUCUACCCUGAAAGGCUCAAUAGAAGAGACAAACGAGUAAUGCUCACAAAAAUUAGCUAAACGUGAGCGAGUUGUUACUCACUUUCUUAUGUCACCCAGAAUCUGAUCGACAGGGUGAUUUCUUUGGAUCGUCGCUCGGACUUGAGUUGGAGGGACCCAUGGUGCUUCUUCUUCCAUCACUUGUUCCUCCUGUGCUCCCCCUUGAUCCUGUCCCUCUUCUUGAGGUACCUGUUCACCGUCUUCAGUUGGAGGAUGCACCAUUGUGGAGGAAGAUGGUUGAUCUUGCUCUUGUUGUUCCUGUGGUCGCACAUCACCUAUCGCCAUCGUGCGCAUUGUGGCCGUCGGAACAUCAUCUUCAUCUAUGUCAUCAAGAUCAACUUGCUCUCUUGGAGAGACAUUAGUCUCAUCAAAUACAACGUCGCUAGAGACUUCAACCAAACCCGAUGAUUUUGUUGAAGACUAUAUACGCCUUUGUAUUUGAGUCAUACCCUAGUAAAAACCCUUCUACUGCCUUGGGAGCAAAUUUAGAAUGUCUACCUUUCUUCACUAGAAUGUAACAUUUGCUCCCAAAAACACGAAAGUAAGAGACGUUGGGUUUGUUACCGGUAAGAAGUUCAUACGAGGUCUUCUUGAGAAGGUGAUGUAGGUAGAGCUGGUUUAUGGCGUGGCAAGCUGUGUUCACAGCUUCCGACCAAAACCGCUCGGGCGUCUUGAAUUCUCCAAGCAUCGUUCUCGCCAUGUCGAUAAGCGUCAUGUUCUUCCUCUCUACCACACCGUUUUGCUGUGGUGUGUAGGGAGCGGAGAACUCGUGUUUGAUGCCUUCCUCCUCAAGAAACUCCUCCACUUGCAGAUUCUUGAACUCGGACCCAUUGUCGUUUCUUAUCUUUCCACCUUGAGCUCAAAUUUGUUUUGAGCCCUCCUUAGGAAGAGCUUUAGGGUCCCUUGGGUUUCUAAUUUAUCCUGCAAAAAGAACACCCAAGUGAAGCGGGAAAAAUCAUCAACAAUUACAAGACCAUACUUACUUCCCCUGAUGCUUAGGUAGGCAACAGGUCCGAAGAGGUCCAUGUGAAGAAGCUCUAGUGGUCUUGAUGUUGUCAUCACAUUCUUGCUAUGAUGAGUGUUUCCCACAUGUUUCCCUGCUUGACAUGCUGCACAAGGCCUAUCUUUCUCGAAACAAACAUUGGUUAGUCCUAACAUAUGUUCUCCCUUUAGAAGUUUAUGAAGGUUCUUCAUCCCAACAUGUGCUAGACAGCGAUGCCACAACCAGCCCAUACUAGUCUUAGCUAUUAAGCAUGCAUCUAGAUUGGCCUCCUCUUUCGAAAAAUCAACUAAGUAGAGUUUGCCGUCUAGUACACCCUUAAAAGCUAGUGAACCAUCACUCCUUCUAAAGACAGAUACAUCAACGUUUUUAAAAAGACAAUUGUAACCCAUGUGACACAAUUGACUUACAGACAGAAGGUUGUAACCAAGCGACUCUACUAGAAAUACAUUCGAUAUGAAGUGCUCGUUGGUGAUGCUAUCUUGCCCAAGCCCUUGACCUUGCCUUGGUUCCCAUCUCCAAAGAUAAUCGUAUCCUGGGAAUCCUUGUUCUUGACGUAGGAGGUGAACAUCUUCUUCUCCCCCGUCAUGUGGUUUGUGCAUCCGCUGUCGAUAAUCCAGCUUGAGCCCCCGGAUGCAUAAACCUGCAAGGAAUUUAAGCUUGGGUUUUAGGUACCCAACUCUUGUUGGUCCUACAAGGUUAGUCACAAUAACAUUUGGAACCCAAAUACAAGUCUUGUCUCCCUUGUAUUUGGAUCCCACUUUCCUAGCCACUACUUUUGCAAUCUUACAUGAAAGAACAAAAGAAGUGUUGUACGCAUGGAUAACAGUAGUAGAUUCAUUGCACAUUUUACUAGGCACAUGAUGCACAACAUGAUUUCUACUAGGCCUACUUCUACCAUGAACAAAAGUAGAACUAGAGGCAAACAUAGCAUGUGAAUUAUAAGUGAAAGGGAAAUGUGCCCUUGGGCCAUUUCUAAGUAUUUUGGUGAUUAAGUGUCCAACACAAGUGCCUAAGUGUUAAAGUGUGCCAAGGACUCAAGAAGUGCAAAUCAAGAUUAAAGGUAUGUUUCUAGACUUAGUACAUUGCUUUGAAGAAUAAUGUAUUGUGUCUAAGUGCUAGAAACAGGAGAAACAAUUUUGGAGAAGUUGGCUGUGUACAGCAAAAGGCUGCUCGGUCUGGGUGCACCGGACUGUCCCGUGCGCCAGGCUGGCUCUGGUGAAAAGGCCGCUCUCGGGACUUCGUCGGCGGCGUACGGCUAAAAUUCGCCGGACUGUCCGGUGAGCCAACAGUCAGCCCCGCCAACGGUCGGCCGCGUAAUCCGUGCGCGACGCGUGGCAAAGCCAACGGUCAGAAGGGGCCCCUGGACUGUCCGGUGUGCACCGGACAGUGUCCGGUGCGCCAACGGCUCUAAAUCUCCAACGGUCGGCUUCGCCAAAGAAGGAAAGAAAUCCGCACCGAACUGUCCGGUGCGCCAGGCGACAGAAGGCAAGAAUUGCCUUCCUGGAAUGCUCUCAACGGCUCCUAGCUGCCUUGGGGCUAUAAAAGGGACCCCUAGGCGCAUGGAGGAGGACACCAAGCAUUCUCUAAGCAUUCCUAAGCACCAAGACUUCAAUUCCGCGCAUUCGAUUCUUUGUGAUAGCAACUAGAGCUCCAUUUGAGUAGAGAACUCUUUGAGUUGUGUUGAGAGCUCAUGUUGUGACUUGUGUGCGUAUUGUCGCUCUGAUUUUGUGUCUUGUGUGUGUUGCUCAUCCCUCCCUUACUCCGUGCUUCUUUGUGAACAUCUUUGUAAGGGCGAGAGGCUCCAAGUUGUGGAGAUUCCUCGCAAGCGGGAUAUAGUAUAGUGAAAGCAAAACACCAUGGUAUUCAAGUGGGUCUUUGGACCGCUUGAAAGGGGUUGAGUGCAACCCUCGUCCGUUGGGACGCCACAACGUGGAGUAGGCAAGUGUUGGACUUGGCCGAACCACGAGAUAAACCAUUGUGUUUGUCUAUGAUUGAUCUUCUUGUGGUUAUCGUAUCUUGCAAGAACUCUUCUCUAGCCACUUGGCUUUAUUGUGCUAACUCCUAACCAAGUUUUGUGGCAUUAAAGUUUAAGUUUUACAGGAUCACCUAUUCACCCCCCUCUAGGUGCUCUCAAUUGGUAUCAAAGCCGUUCUCUUCAAGAAAGGGACUAAUCGCCCGAAGAGAUGGAUCCUAAGGGCAAGGGGAUGGUGGUCAAUGAUAAGGAGAAGGAGUCCUUCGUCAAUGAUCCAAAGGAUGACAAGCCUACUGACUCAGGCUCGGGCCACAAAAGAAAAAACGGGAGGAAGAAGAAAACAAGGCGCAUCAAGGAGAUAGUCUACUACGACAGCGACAAAUCUUCCUCUUCCCAAAAGGACAAUGACAACGACUACGAGAAAAAGAAGACGGUUAACUCAAACUUUUCCUUUGAUUAUUCUCGUAUUCCGCAAAGUUCCAAUGCUCAUUUGCUUUCUAUUCCCCUCGGUAAACCCCCCACUUUGAUGGAGAGGACUAUGGAUUUUGGAGUCACAAAAUGCGUAGCCACUUGUUCUUUCUCCAUCCAAGUAUAUGGGAGAUAGUAGAAAAUGGAAUGCACUUUGAUAGUACUGAUAGUCCCAUGUUCAUUAAUGAGCAAAUUCACAAAAAUGCACAAGCUACUACUGUUCUUCUAGCUUCAUUGUGCAGGGAUGAAUACCAUUAGGUGAGCGGCUUGGAUAACGCCAAGCAGAUUUGGGACACCCUCAAAAUCUCACAUGAGGGGAACGACGUCACCAUGCUCACCAAGAUGGAGUUGGUGGAGGGCGAGCUUGGGAGAUUCGCAAUGAUCAGGGGCGAGGAGCCAACCCAAACAUACAACCGACUCAAGACCCUCGUCAACAAAAUAAGGAGCUAUGGAAGCACGCGAUGGACGGACCAUGACGUCGUCCGCCUAAUGCUAAGGUCUUUUACUGUCCUUGAUCCACAUCUUGUGAACAAUAUUCAUGAGAAUCCUAGGUACACCAAGAUGACGUCCGAGGAGAUACUUGGAAAGUUUGUAAGCGGGCGGAUGAUUAUCAAGAAGGCAAGAUACGUUGACGAUGCCUUGAAUGGCCCAAUCCACGAGCCUCAAACCGUCGCUCUCAAAGCAACGAGGAGCAAGGAAGUGCUACCUAGCAAAGUGGCACAAGUUGAGGCGGCGGGACUCAAUGAGGAAGAGAUGGCCCUCAUCAUUAAGCAUUUCAAGACGGCGCUAAGGGGUCGCAAGGAGCAUCCCAACAAGACCAAGACGAAGGGGAAGCACUCAUGCUUCAAAUGUGGUAAGAUUGGUCAUUUUAUAGCUAAUUGUCCCGAUAAUGAUAGUGACCAGGAACAAGGGAACAAGAGGGAAAAGAAGAAGGCUUACAAAAAGGCUAAGGGCGAGGCACACCUUGGAAAGGAGUGGGACUCGGAUUGUUCUUCGUCCGACUCCGACAACGAAGGACUCGCCGCCACCGCCUUCAACAAGUCGGCCCUCUUCCCCAACGAGCAUCACACCUGCCUCAUGGCAAGGGAAAAGAAGGUAAGCACUCGUGAUACUAGUACUUACGCGUCCUCAAGUGAUGAAGAAUCUAGCGAUGAUGAAAUAGACUAUUCAUGUUUAUUCAGGGGCCUAAAUAGAACUAAGGUUGAUAAGAUUAAUGAAUUAAUUGAUGCCUUGAAUGAUAAAAAUAGGUUAUUAAAAAAGCAAGAGGAUCUUUUGUAUGAAGAACAUGAUAAGUUUGUAGAGGCACAAAAAUCCCUUGCUUUAGAAAUUAAAAGGAAUGAAAUGCUUUCUGAUGAAUUGUCUACAUGCCAUGACUCUAUUUCUAGCUUAAAGAGCAUAAAUGAUGAUUUGAAUGCUAAGUUAGAAAUAGCUAAUAGAUCAACAUCUUGUGUAGAACAUGUUGCAAUUUGCAAUAGGUGUAAAGAUUUUAAUGUUGAUGCUUGUAGUGAACACCUAGUUUCAAUUUCUAAUUUGAAUGAUGAAGUGGCUAGUCUUAAUGCCCAACUUAAGACUAGCAAGAGUGAAUUUGACAAACUAAAAUUUGCAAGGGAUGCCUACACAAUUGGUAGACACCCCUCAAUCAAGGAUGGUCUUGGCUUCAAGAGGGAAGUCAAGAACUUAACAAGCCAUAUGGCUUCCAUCUCCGCCAAGGAGAAAGGGAAGGCCCCUAUGGCUAGUAGUGCUCAAAAGAACCAUGCUUUCAUGUAUCAUGAUAGGAGACAUUCUAGGAAUGUUUAUAGAAGUUAUGAUGCUCAUGCCAUGAUUGCUUCUAGUUCUUCUAUUAUGCAUGAUAGAAAUUUGGCUAAGAAAAAUGUUGUUCAUCAUACGCCUAGAAGAAAUAUUGUUCAUGUUCCUAGGAAAAUAAUGAAUGAACCUUCUACAAUUUAUUAUGCUUGCAAUGCUUCCUUUGCUAUUUGUAGAAAGGAUAAGAAGGUAAUUGCUAGGAAAUUAGGGGCCAAAUGUAAGGGAGACAAGACUUGCAUUUGGGUCCCUAAGACUAUUGUAACUAACCUUGUAGGACCCAACAUGAGUUGGGUACCUAAGACUCAAGCCUAAAUUUGCCUUGCAGGUUUAUGCAUCCGGGGGAUCAAGCUGGAUUAUCGACAGCGGAUGCACAAACCACAUGACGGAGGAGAAGAGGAUGUUCUCUUCCUACGUCAAGAACAAGGAUCCCCAAGAUUCAAUCAUAUUCGGUGAUGGGAACCAAGGCAAGGUGAAAGGGUUAGGAAAAAUUGCUAUUUCAUCCGAGCACUUUAUUUCUAAUGUGUUCUUAGUUGAAUCGCUUGGAUAUAACUUGUUGUCUGUGAGUCAACUUUGUAAUAUGGGAUAUAACUGUUUAUUCACAAAUGUAGAUGUAUCUGUCUUUAGAAGAAGUGAUGGUUCAUUAGCUUUUAAGGGUGUACUAGACGGCAAACUUUAUUUAGUUGAUUUUGCAAAAGAGGAGGUCGGUCUAGAUGCUUGCUUAAUUGCUAAGACUAGCAUGGGCUGGCUGUGGCAUCGCCGUUUAGCACAUGUGGGGAUGAAGAACCUUCACAAGCUUCUAAAGGGAGAACACGUGAUAGGUCUAACUAAUGUAACUUUCGAAAAAGAUAGACCUUGUGCAGCUUGUCAAGCAGGUAAACAGGUGGGAAGCUCUCAUCAUGCCAAAAAUGUGAUGACAACAUCAAGACCCCUGGAGUUACUUCAUAUGGACCUCUUCGGACCCGUCGCCUAUCUAAGCAUAGGAUGAAGUAAGUAUGGUCUUGUUAUAGUUGAUGAUUUUUCCCGCUUCACUUGGGUAUUCUUUUUGCAAGAUAAAUCUGAAACCCAAGGAACCCUCAAGCGCUUCCUAAGGAGAGCCCAAAACGAGUUUGAGCUCAAAGUGAAGAAGAUAAGGAGCGACAAUGGGUCCGAGUUCAAGAACCUUCAAGUGGAGGAGUAUCUUGAGGAGGAAGGAAUCAAGCAUGAGUUCUCUGCUCCCUACACACCACAGCAAAAUGGUGUGGUAGAGAGGAAGAACAAGACGCUACUAGACAUGGCGAGGACGAUGCUUGGUGAAUUCAAGACGCCCGAACGGUUUUGGACGGAAGCCGUAAGCACGGCUUGCCAUGCCAUAAACCGGGUCUACCUUCAUCGCCUCCUCAAGAAGACUUCAUAUGAGCUUCUAACUGGUAACAAACCCAAUGUGUCUUACUUUCGUGUAUUUGGGAGCAAAUGUUACAUUCUAGUGAAGAAAGGUAGGAAUUCUAAGUUUGCUCCCAAAGCUGUAGAAGGGUUUUUGUUAGGUUAUGACUCAAAUACAAAGGCAUAUAGGGUCUUCAACAAAUCAUCGGGUUUGGUUGAAGUCUCUAGCGAUGUUGUAUUUGAUGAGACUAAUGGCUCUCCAAGAGAGCAAGUUGUUGAUCUUGAUGAUGUAAAUGAAGAAGACGUUCCAACGGCCGCAAUGCGCACCAUGGCGAUUGGAGAUGUGAGGCCACUGGAACAAAAGGAGCAAGAUCAACCUUCUUCCUCAACAACCGUGCAUCCCCCAACUCAAGAAGAUGAAUAGGUUCAUCAAGAGGAGGCAUGUGAUCAAGGGGGAGCACAAGAUGAUCAUUUAAUGGAGGAAGAAGCACAACCGGCACCUCCAACUCAAGUUCGAGCGACGAUUCAAAGGAAUCAUCCCGUCGACCAAAUUUUGGGUGAUAUUAGCAAGGGGGUAACUACUCGCUCUAGAUUGGUUAAUUUUUGUGAGCAUUACUCUUUUGUCUCUUCUAUUGAGCCUUUCAGGGUAGAAGAAGCCUUGCUAGAUCCGGACUGGGUGUUGGCCAUGCAGGAAGAGCUCAACAACUUCAAGAGAAAUGAAGUUUGGACAUUGGUGCCUUGUCCCAAGCAAAAUGUUGUGGGAACCAAGUGGGUGUUCCGCAACAAACAAGACGAGCACGGGGUGGUGACAAGGAACAAGGCACGACUUGUGGCAAAAGGUUAUGCCCAAGUCGCAGGUUUGGACUUUGAGGAGACCUUUGCUCCUGUGGCUAGGCUAGAGUCAAUUCGCAUAUUGUUAGCCUAUGCUACUCACCAUUCUUUCAAGUUGUUCCAAAUGGAUGUGAAGAGCGCUUUCCUCAACGGGCCAAUCAAGGAGGAGGUGUACAUGGAGCAACCCCCUGGCUUCGAGGAUGAACGGUACCCCAACCACGUGUGUAAGCUCUCUAAGGCGCUCUAUGGACUUAAACAAGCCCCAAGAGCAUGGUAUGAAUGCCUUAGAGACUUUUUAAUUGCUAAUGCUUUCAAGGUUGGGAAAGCCGAUCCAACUCUUUUUACUAAGACUUGUGAUGGUGACUUAUUUGUGUGCCAAAUUUAUGUCGAUGACAUAAUAUUUGGUUCUACUAACCAAAAGUCUUGUGAAGAGUUUAGCAGGGUGAUGACUCAAAAGUUUGAGAUGUCAAUGAUGGGCGAGUUAAGCUAUUUCCUUGGGUUCCAAGUGAAGCAACUCAAGGAUGGGACCUUCAUCUCCCAAACGAAGUACACGCAAGACUUGAUCAAGCGAUUUGGGAUGAAGGACGCCAAGCCCGCAAAGACUGCAAUGGGAACCGACGGACACACCGACCUCAACAAAGGAGGUAAGUCCGUUGAUCAAAAGGCAUACCGGUCUAUGAUAGGGUCCUUACUUUAUUUAUGUGCUAGUAGACCGGAUAUUAUGCUUAGCGUAUGCAUGUGUGCUAGAUUUCAAUCCGAUCCAAGGGAGUGUCACUUAGUGGUCGUGAAGCGAAUUCUUUGAUAUUUAGUCGCUACGCCUUGCUUCGGGAUCUGGUAUCCAAAGGGGUCUACCUUUGACUUAAUUGGAUAUUCAGACUCCGAAUAUGCUGGAUGUAAGGUCGAUAGGAAGAGUACAUCGGGGACGUGCCAAUUCUUAGGAAGGUCCCUGGUGUCGUGGAGUUCUAAGAAACAAACUUCAGUUGCCCUAUCCACCGCUGAGGCCAAGUAUGUUGCCGCAGGACAGUGUUGCGCGCAACUACUUUGGAUGAGGCAAACCCUCAGGGACUUUGGCUACAAUCUGAGCAAAGUCCCACUCCUAUGUGAUAAUGAGAGUGCUAUCCGCAUGGCGGAUAAUCCUGUUGAACACAGCCGCACCAAGCACAUAGACAUCCGGCAUCACUUUUUGAGAGACCACCAGCAAAAGGGAAAUAUCGAAGUGUUUUAUGUUAGCACCGAGAACCAACUAGCCGAUAUCUUUACCAAGCCUCUAGAUGAGUCGACCUUUUGCAGGCUGCGUAGUGAGCUAAAUGUCUUAGAUUCGCGGAACUUGGAUUGAUUUAUAGCAUACAUGUGUUUUAUGCCUUGAUCAUGUUCCUUAAUACAUUUUGUUGUUUAUUUAUGGUGCUCAAGUUGUACAAGCACUCCCCGGACCUCACAAGUCCAUUUGCAAGUGAUGCACAUAUUCAGGGGGAGGUGUGCUACAACUUAACCCUUUGAGGCUAACUGUGUGCUUGAGUUUGCUUAAUUUAGUCUCAAAGGAGGUUCAAAAGGGAAAAGGUGGACUUGGACCAUACAAGACUUCCACUGCACUCCGAUGAAAGAGUAACUGUUUCCAAGUUCAUGUUUGUACUCUUAUUGCCUUUUUACUCUUAGUUGAAGAUUUUGGUGAGGCAAUGGGGUUAAAGGGCCAAAAUUGAUCCCGUUUUGGUGCUUGAUGCCAAAGGGGGAGAAAAUAAGGCAAAAGCAAGAAAUGGAUCAACUACCACUUGAGAAUUUUGAAAAAGUAGAGUUAGAGUUUUUGUUUGUCAAAAUACUCUUGUUUGUCUCUUAUUGUCAAAGUUUGGUCUCUUGUGGGGAGAAUGGUUGAUUUUGGGAAAAGGGGGAGCUUUUGAAAUGUUUUUGAAAUCGUUGAUCAAUUUCUCUUGGAACAACUCUCUUUAUGUCUCAACAAGUGUGUUUGACUUAGAGAUAGGAAAUUGAGGUUGAUUUGCAAAAACAAACCAAGUGGUGGCAAAGAAUGAUCCAAAUAUGCCAAAUUUGAAUAAAAACAAAUUUGAGUUUUCAUUAGCAUUGAUGUUGCACUUCUUUUAGUUGCUUUUUAUUGUGUUGGCAUAAAUCACCAAAAAGGGGGAGAUUGAAAGGGAAAUGUGCCCUUGGGCCAUUUCUAAGUAUUUUGGUGAUUAAGUGUCCAACACAAGUGCCUAAGUGUUAAAGUGUGCCAAGGACUCAAGAAGUGCAAAUCAAGAUUAAAGGUAUGUUUCUAGACUUAGUACAUUGCUUUGAAGACUAAUGUAUUGUGUCUAAGUGCUAGAAACAAGAGAAACAAUUUUGGAGAAGUUGGCUGUGUACAGCCAAAAGGCUGCUCGGUCUGGGUGCACCGGACAGUGUCCGGUGCGCCAGGCUGGCUCUGGUGAAAAGGCCGCUCUCGGGACUUCGUCGGCGGCGUACGGCUAAAAUUCACCGGACUGUCUGGUGUGCACCGGACUGUCCGGUGAGCCAACAGUCAGCCCGGCCAACGGUUGGCCGCGUAAUCCGCGCGCGACGCGUGGCAAAGCCAACGGUCAGAAGGGGGCACCGGACUGUCCGGUGCGCCAACGGCUCUGAAUCUCCAACGGUCGGCUUCACCAAAGAAGGAAAGAAAUCCGCAUCGGACAGUGUCCGGUGGUGCACCGGACAGUGUCCGGUGGUGCCCCGGACUGUCCGGUGCGCCAGGCGACAGAAGGCAAGAAUUGCCUUCCUGGAAUGCUCUCAACGGCUCCUAGCUGCCUUGGGGCUAUAAAAGGGACCCCUAGGCGCAUGGAGGAGGACACCAAGCAUUCUCUAAGCAUUCCUAAGCACCAAGACUUCAAUUCCGCGCAUUCGAUUCUUUGUGAUAGCAACUAGAGCUCCAUUUGAGUAGAGAACUCUUUGAGUUGUGUUGAGAGCUCAUGUUGUGACUUGUGUGCGUAUUGUCGCUCUGAUUUUGUGUCUUGUGUGUGUUGCUCAUCCCUCCCUUACUCUGUGCUUCUUUGUGAACAUCUUUGUAAGGGCGAGAGGCUCCAAGUUGUGGAGAUUCCUCGCAAGCGGGAUAUAGUAUAGUGAAAUCAAAACACCAUGGUAUUCAAGUGGGUCUUUGGACCGCUUGAAAGGGGUUGAGUGCAACCUUUGUCCGUUGGGACGCCACAACGUGGAGUAGGCAAGUGUUGGACUUGGCCGAACCACGGGAUAAACCACUAUGUCUGUCUGUGAUUGAUCUUCUUGUGGUUAUCGUAUCUUGCAAGAACUCUUCUCUAGCCACUUGGCUUUAUUGUGCUAACUCCUAACCAAGUUUUGUGGCAUUAAAGUUUAAGUUUUACAGGAUCACCUAUUCACCCCCCCUCUAGGUGCUCUCAAUAAGCAUCAUGAUCAUAACUUCUACUAUAAUGAGCAUUCCUAGAAAUUUGAGAUCGCCUAGAAAAUUUUCUAUCAUAAAUGUAGGCAUGACACUUUUGAGAAUUACUAGCCAUAGGGGCCUUCCCUUUCUCCUUGUUGAGAGCAGGAGCCUUUUGGAUUGUUAAGUUCUUGGUUUCCUUUCGAAAACCAAGUCCAUCCUUAAUGGAGGGGUGUCUACCAACAGUGUAGGCAUCCCUUGCAAAUUUUAAUUUAUCAAAAUCUCUUUUGCAAGUCUUAAGUUGAUCAUUAAGACUUGCCACCUCAUCAUUCAAUCUAGUAAUAGCAGUAAGAUGUUCAUCACAAGCAUCAACAUCAAAGUCCUUACAUCUAUUACAAAUAAUGACAUGCUCAACACAUGAACUAGUUUUGACUUCCUCUAGCUUAGCAUUUAAUUCAUCAUUUAAACUCUUUAAACUAGAGACCGGUUCAUGGAAAAUAGACAAUUCAGAGGAUAACAUUUCAUUUCUCUUAAUUUCUAAGGCAAGGGAUUUUUGCACACUAAUAAAUUUGUCAUGUUCCUCAUAUAAAAUGUCCUCUUGUUUUUCUAACAAUCUUUCCUUUUCGUUUAGAGCAUCAAUUAAUUCAUUAAUUUUUUCUACCUUAGCUCUAUCUAAACCUUUAAAUAAACUAGAGUCACGAUUUGAGCUCAAAACACCGGACAGUCCAGUGAAUGCUUAAAUACGAAGCACAACCACACACACAAGUCACAAUUUGAGCUCAAAACACAACACACGGAGUUCACAACUCAAAUGGAGCUCAAAUCACUAACACAAAGAAUCAAAUGCGUGGAGUUGGAGUCUUGGAGUCUUAGGAUGCUUAGUGAAUGCUUAGGUGUCUCCUCCAUGCGCCUAGGGGUCCCUUUUAUAGCCCCAAGGCAGCUGAGAGCCGUUGGAGAUCAACAUGGAUGGCUAUCCUUGCCUUCUGUCGAGUGGCGCACCGGACAGUCCGGUGCGCCACCGGACAGUCCGGUGCGCCACCGGACAGGUCCUGUAGACGGUCCGGUGCGUGAUCUCCUUCCAAAUUUGGCAUAUCCGACCGUUGCUCCUCUGGGCUAACUGGCGCACCGAACACUGUCCGGUGCACACCGGACAGUCCGGUGCACACCGGACAGUCCGGUGCACCAGCUGACCGUUGGAGCAGUCCACGUGUCGCGCGAAGAUUGCGCGGCCGACCGUUGGUGCAGGCGACCGUUGGCUCACCGGACAGUCCGGUGCACCACCGGACAGUCCAGUGAAUUAUAGCCACAUCGCCCCUUUGCUUUUCUCGAGGGCGACGAGUUCGCCGCGGAUGACUCACCGGACAGUCCGGUGCACCACCGGACGGUCCGGUGCACCACCGGACGGUCUGGUGAAUUAUAGUCGUACGCCGCCCUCGAAUCCCGAGAGCGGCGAGUUCACCGCGGACCAGCCUGGCGCACCGGACACUGUCCGGUGCACCACCGGACAGUCCGGUGUGCCAAGCCGAGCUAGAGUUUGUUGUACAUUGCCAACUCUUUUUCCAAUUCUUUUCUCACUGUUUCUAGCACUUAGACAAAACACAUUAAUACUCAAAAUAAUGUAUUAAGUCUAGAAACGUACCUUUUUCUUUGAUUUGCACUUCUCACUUUACUUGGCACAUAAGAACUUAGUUAACCGUGUUGGGCACUUAAUCACCAAAACAUUAUUGAAAUUGCUCAAGGGCACAUUUCCCUUUCAAGUAUCUCCCAUCACAUCCUACUUUAGGCUAUUCUUGGUCCAAAGUGUUAUAGUUCAAUAUUCAAAGAUGCCAUAUAUGAUGAAAAAUAUAAUACUACUACAUGAUAUACCCUUCACAAUGUAUAGUAUCAUACUUAUAUAUUUUAACUAUUUAAUUGUGUGGUGUGGUGUCUAUGAGAAUGGAACUAAACAUUAUUUUUAUGCCAUAACCUAAGAUAUUGUGCCAAAGCCAUAUUUUACUUAAGAUACAAGUCUUUUACAUAAAUAUCUUGCCACAUCAGCAACAAAUCAUGUGUGGUAUCUUAUUAAUGAGUAUGAUACCACCCAAUGGGAAUAGCCUUACAAGCGAAAACAUUAAAUAAGACACGGUUCACAACACAAACACACACCCUCCUAGUAGAAGAGAGCAAUUGGACCAACUUUUGUUGUAUUGCAUCCUAAGUGGCAUAAGACGGACUCCAACGAUGCACUCUAGAGCACCCUCACCUCACCGAGCGUGUACGGGUGAGGAGGAGCAGGCUCUGACAAUUCUCAGAGCUGGUUCCUACAUGUAGGAGAGAGGGCUCCAUGGAUGGGAGAGUUCUAAUUUUCCCAAUUCGUUAAUCACUACGUUUAUUUGUAAAAUUAAUCAUUUUUAAGUUGUAUAACCUUAUUACAAUGUGUAUUACGAUAGUACAAAUAUAGUAUAUUUUUUAAAAACUUUAAAAACUGAUAUAAAAAUGUCAAAUAGCUAAGUUAUUGUGUAUGCGAGAGCUAGAUAGGAGAAUGGAUGGAGAGAAAGAGAAACAUGGCCACCGCAGCGCACGAAUAUGGAUAGAAAGUACGAAUAGGUGGGUUUGGGAGGAAGAAUCAAUAAAACUAGUCUAAGUACGUGAUUGCACUCGCAGCGCACGACGUAGGCCAUGCGCAACGACAUGGCCACCGCGCCUAACAGCUAACUUACACAGUCAAACCGUUGUCUCAAGAACCUCUCCCGCACGUUAGGGCACGGUCGUCAUGACAUUGUUAGUACAACACAAAAACUAGAUUAAAAGGUCUUGAAGAUUGAAGUCACCAGUCCCUUUGUCAGCACAUUUGCAUAUUGCUCACCGCCGGCACAUGUAGAACGCAGAGAUCACCUAACUUGACACAUUCUUGGAUGGAGUGGAUGCCCAGUUCAAUGUGUUUUAUCUAUUUUGGUGCAUCAAGUUCGUUGGCAUGUAUACAACGGAGAUAUUGUCUAUGUAGGUGAUUGUAGCCUCGGUGACGUCGUCAUAAGUUUAGUAAGACGUUAACGAGGCCAAAUACACUUGGUGAUAGUGUUGACAAUGAGGUGAUAUACGACCUCCACGCUAGAAGGGUAGACCAUUGGUUUCUCUUACUCUUAGAGGACCAUGAGAGCAAAGCAUAAACCAAGAAUGUGCCCAAGCUCGAUGUCGAUUGUUGGUGUCUACGCACCUUGUCUAACCGGUAUCAAAGUAUGCCAUGAUGAAGAGCUAUUUUGAGGCAUGUAGGAAAAGUCUCAACUGGCUUGUGCCGUGAAUGUACCAAAUAAUUCAUAAUGCUAUUGAGAAGCGCCUGAUGAGGACCCCACAAAUCGUGCAUAUGGAGGCUUGUCUAUCGUGCCUCAAGAAGAGGUUUGGGAAUGUAAUACUGAGGUGUUGUUGUUCCCUAGACAUAUUUCGAUAGGCCUCACACUCACAUGCUUUUGUGUAAAACUUGUGAUCUGUUGCAAACCCCGAAAUCUUACUCAAUUUCAAACUAAAAAUCUGUUAUGGCAUGAUGGGUGACCGCUCUUUGGGGUAGUUCACAUUGUAUACCUUUGACUAACACAUGGUUGGUUUUGUGCUAACAUAUGUCCAUUGCUAUUUUAAUGGUGAACUUCUCUUUUGACAUGCUUAAAAUUAAAUCAAAUGCUUAUUCUUCACAUAUUUUGUGCAUAUGAUCAGUUUGAGCAUCUUUUAGCACGUGCAUUUAUUGUUGCACACAUGGCACAACACGACUUAGAGCAUUUUUACAUUUUGAUUGCUAUACUCCUAAAGCUUCUAUACUUUCGGCAUUUUUUGCAUUCCACCUUCGAUCCUUGCAUUCUCUAAGGGGUGUUGUAACACCCCGUCCAAUCCCUGGACCGGCGGUACUUACUCCUGGCAGCUCUCUAGGAUCAUAUAUUGUCCCCACAGACCAACACGAGUCUUUUGUGCGCACUUUGUCCUCACUCAUGCGCACCCGAGAAAACUUCCCGGUCGGUCACCCAUCCCAAAUUGCUCCAAGCCAAGCACGCUUAACUUGGAGGUUCUUUCGAGAUAGGCUUCCAAAAAAGAAGAUGCACCUUGUUGGUAUGAUUACACUAUUAAUUCUAUUAAGCCUUGGGCCAGGACAUCCCAUCCCAGGGGCCAGGAUAUCACAGGUGUUGUUUUAUUUCUCUUUUUACCUUGUUUGAAGCUUGUUGAGUGCACUUGUCAACAGGGGGACAAGUUUUGGGAGAAUUUGGCUUUUGGGUCUUUUGGGGAGAAUUCUUCAAGGGGGAGCAAUUCACAGAUUUUGGGGAAUUUCUCUCAUAUACACCUUUUUGUUGAGGAUGUCUAUCUUUCUAUGAGGAUUUGAGUUAUGCUUCAAAAGGAGAUGUUUUUUUGUCAGGGGGAGAUUUUGAGCCCUUGGGAGCUUCUACUAGUUAUGUUGAGCCUUUGCCUAUUUCUGGAGGAACUAAAAGAGAAAUGGGCUAGAUAGCCAUUUCUACCUGUUUUGGUGAUUAAGUGUCCAACACACCAACAUGGACUAACUACUUAACUAGUUUGAUAUGAGUAUGAGCACAGGUUCACUUGAAGGCAAUUUAAAGGCACUAAGUCCAAAAGAGCUAAGAUGGAGGCUACAAAGUGCAACUUUGGGUAAAAGGGUAAAACCAUGAGGUUUGAAUACUUAAAUAAGUUGCAUAUGUCUAAUAUUAUGUGUUUAGCACUUUUGUUUGAGCUCUAACUCUAUUUUGUAAGAAAUUUGAUUUCAGGACUUAGUUUGAGCCAAAAUGCAAAAUCUGGUGAAAGACCAAGUAAAAGUGAGUUCUCUACACUUAGUCAAUUGGAUUAUGUGCUAAUUAUGUUUGUCUACGUCGUAGGGAAGCUUCCAAGGACACCCAAAAGGAAUUGAAGAAGAUAGGCUCAAAAGAGUCUAAGUUGGACUAUUCUGGGCCUCAUCAGACCGGUCCGGUGGCACACCGGGCCAUGUCUUCAGGGGCCAGGACUUGGAGUUUUGGCGGCCUGGUGCACCAGGCUGAGUCUGUAGUGCACUGAACCACUCGUACGGCUGAACAUGCAACUCUCAUGAAUUUUAUUAUAAAAUUCACCGGGCCGUCUAAAGAAGCUGGUCAUGUGGCACACCGGACUGUCUUCAAUGGCUACUUCGGCGCCCAACAACUACUUCAACGGGAGGAGGACACGUGGCAGUCCGGUGGGUGAUCGGACUGCUCCAGUGCCUGUCCGUUUUGGAAGUGGCCAGUCAGGAUCCCAGAGGACCCGUCCCUGUUCCCGAUCUGGUGGUGCACCGAACCGGUCCAGUGCCCCCGCACACAACCAGAUUUCAACAAUUUUUAGAAGGAAGGUUCAACUGCUAUGGGGCCUUUUGGGGCUAUAAAAGGACCCCCAUUCCACACCUCUUCAACACACAAGCAUAUUAAGAGCUCUCAUUCACUCUGAAGCUUUGUCAUAACACGUUCGUGUGAUUCUAGUGAGAUUUGAGUGCAAGUUUCAGUUGUUCUUGUAACACUUUGUGUGUUGCGCUCUUGUGAUCUUGUUCUUGUGUUGUGUUGCUAGUUUUGGCUCUUGUGUGUGUACUCUCUCCCUCUCUUGUGCUAAGUUGCAAUUUUGAUCUUGGGUAGAGCUGCAGAGACUCCAAUUUGUGGAGAUUUCUUGGGAGAGGGAUACUAUUGAUAUAAGGAAGACCGUGGCACUCAAGUUUGACCUAUGGAUCACUUGAGAGUAGAGAUGGCACCUAUUACCCGAAACCCAAUAGGUUUUACCCUAUUAGGGUAUGGGUAUGGGACAAUUUUCUUACCCAUGGGUUUUUCAUGGGAACAAGGUUGUACCCGCCAGGUUUGCAUGUACAAGUACGUUCUUAUUAUACCCCAACCCGCAAACCCAUGGGUAAAAUAUACUCGGCUUAGUUAUAUUGUGUGCCUCUUAAAUCCUUAUCUGAUAGUAUAUGAUUAGGCAAUAAACUUUUGAUUGUGAUAUUCUAGUGAACUAUGGAGAUUGAAAUUUGUUAGGGACCAUAAUUAGGGGUACCCCCAAGACUCCUAAUCUCAGCUGGUAACCCCCAUCAGCACAAAGCUGCAAAGGCCUGAUGGGCGCGAUUAAGGUCAAGGCUCAGUCCACUCAAGGGACACGAUCUCGCCUCGCCCGAGCCCAGCCUCGGGCAAAGGCAGCUGACCCCGGAGAAUUCACGUCUUGCCCGAGGGCCCCCUCAAGCAACAGACACACCUUCGGCUCACCCGAGGCCCAGUCUUCGCAGAGAAGCAACCUUGGCCAGAUCGCCACGCCAACCGACCGUAUCGUAGGAGCAUUUAAUGCAAGGAUCGCCUGACACCUUAUCCUGACGCGCGCUCUUCAGUCGACAGAGCCGAAGUGACCGCAGUCACUUCGCCGCUCCACUGACCGACCUGACAAGAAAACAGCGCCGCCUGCGUUGCUCCGACUCCUGUGCCACUCGACAGAGUGAGGCUGACAGCAGCUAAGUCCAGCCUCGGGCGCCAUAGGAAGCUCCGCCUCGCCCGACCCCAGGGCUCAGACCGGCCUCGGAAGACGGUCUCCGCCUCGCCCGACCCUAGGGCUCGGGCUCAACCUCGACGCUGGACGACGGACUCCGCCUCGCCUGACCCCAGGGCUCGGACACGGCCUCGGCCUCGGAAGACGGUCUCCGCCUCGCCCGACCUCAGGGCUCGGGCUCAACCUCGACGUUGGACGACGGACUCCGCCUCACCCGACCCUAGGGCUCGGACACAGCCUCGGCCUCGGAAGACGGUCUCCGCCUCGCCCGACCCAGGGUUCGGACUCAAUCUCGACCUCGAAAGACGGACUCCGCCUCGCCCGACCCCAGGGCUCGGACUCAGCCUCAACCUCGGAAGACGGACUCGACCUCGACCUCAGAGGAGCCUCCGCCUCGCCCGACCUAGGGCUCAGACCGACCACGUCACAGGGGGGCCAUCAUUACCCUACCCCUAGCUAGCUCAGGCUACGGGGAACAAGACCGGCGUCCCAUCUGGCUCGCCCCGGCGAACGAAUAAUGAUGGCGCCCCGCGUGCUCCAUGAUGACGGCGGCUCUCAGCCCCUUACGGAAGCAAGGAGACGUCAGCAAGGAUUCGACAGCCCUGACAGCUGUCCUUCCGCAGGGCUCUAGCUCUCCUCCGACGGCCACGACAUCACAUGAACAGGGUGCCAAAACCUCUCUGACUGCCACGACGGCAUGUACUUAGGGCUCUAGCUCCUCUCUGCUAGACACGUUAGCACACUGCUACACCCCCCAUUGUACACCUAGACCCUCUCCUUACGCCUAUAAAAGGAAGGUCCAGGGCUCUCGUACGAGAAGGUUGGCCGCGCGGGAGAACGGGCUGACGCAUAAGGCUCUCUCUCUCUACCACGCGAACGCUUGUAACCCCAUACUGCAAGCGCAUCCAUCCACCCUGGGCGCAGGACAACACGAAGGCCGCGGUUUUCCCCUUACUGUUCUCCCCCCUUUGUGUCCCGUCUCGCGCUGACCCAUCUAAGCUGGGACACGCAGCGAUAAUUUACUCGUCGGUCCAGGGACCCCCUGGGGUCGAAACGCCGACAGUUGGCGCGCCAGGUAGGGGCCUGCUGCGUGUUGACGAACAGCUUCCCGUCAAGCUUCAAAUGGGUAGUCUCUAGCAACCUUUCCUACCCGGGAAGAUGCUCCGUUUCGGGAGUCUUGAGUUCAUGUCCCUCGAUGACAGCUACGACAUGAUACUCCUCCUCCGCCACGCGACAGCGACAAUGGCGACCGUCAGCCCGCCCGCCGGUGGCGGAAUCGACGACGUCUUCCCCACAUGGCGGAAGAACAACAUCCGAGUUUGUCCCACCACCUCCCCCGCUGACGGAGGAGGAGGCGGGGCAACCAUGGCCAAACAGGAGGCGGCACCUCGUCGGCUGUCGAGCAAGUCGACGACGCCGGCGCCCCAGCGGGGGACACGUCGGGCUUCGACCUUGCGUCUGAGACGAAGACGAGCGCCGUUUCCCCGCAACACGCCAACACCAAGUAGACGAACGAUGCCAGCAUGCUCGCGAAGGACUUGCUGGGCGUCGCCCUCGUACCUGAGACAACGGUGCGUCCACCCCUGACGCGACUUCAUCACCGCUCGUCAACCAAGAGGUACCGACCGAUUCCCAUCUCGUGCCUUUUGGAUUCAGCUUCGACCCACCAAGCGACCUCGCUUCGGUGGAAGCCUUCAUAAAGGCAUGUACCAACCUUCCCGGGUACCAUAUGCGGUCGCCGUGGGACAGACUAACGGCCGUCUCAAUCUACGGACCCUCGGGUUCCGAGGAAGAUGACGAGCCCGACUUUUGUUGGGAUUUCUACGGGCUCGGUAACCCCAGUGCCAUGCGGGACUUCAUGACCGCAUGCGACUACUACCUCUCUGAUUGUUCCGAUGGUAGCCGCAGCUUCGGCGACGAGGACUGCGACCCAAGUCGUGAAUGUUUCCACGUCGAUCUAGGGGGUCCCGGCGAAGGCAACCAUCUUGGUAUGCCGGAAAAAGGCGAUCCCCCUAGGCCUGUGCCUCGCGUUGACAUCCUUCGGGAGCUAGCUGUGGUCCCAGUCCCUGCGGGGGGUCAGGAUGCACAGCUCGAGCAAAUCCGCGAGAUGCAGGCUAGGCUCGACGAGGGAGCAGGAACACUUGAGCAGUUCCGCCGGAACAUCGGGCAGGAAUGGGCAGACCAAGCUCCGGCCGGAGAAGCGCGUCAUCUACCCCAGGGCAUCCAGCACCGCAUUGCCGACGAUGUCAGGGCAAGGCCGCCACCGGCUUCCAGUGGGGUCGACCAGAACCUGGCUGCAGCAGCAAUACUACUCCGCGCGAUGCCGGAACCAUCGACCACCGAAGGGCGGCGUAUCUAGGGAGAGCUCAAGAAUCUCCUGGAGGAUGUCGCGGUCCGACGGGCCGAAAGCUCUGCCUCCCGAAGGCAGGGGUACCCCUCAGAGCAUCACGUCGUGACUUCCCGAUUCAUGUGUGAAGCCUCGGUCCACACCGGGCACACGCGGAACACCGCGCCUGCGGCCCCGGGUCGCCUCGGCAACGAGCACCACCACCGCAACCGUCGAGCCCACCUUGACGAGAGCGUGCGCCGAGGCUACCACCCCAGGCGUGGGGGACGCUACGACAACGGGGAGGAUCGGAGUCCCUCGCCCGAACCACCCGGUCCGCAGGCUUUCAGCCGGGCCAUACGACGGGCGCCGUUCCUGACCCGGUUCCGAACCUCGACUACCAUCACAAAGUACUCGGGGGAGACGAGGCCGAAACUGUGGCUCACGGACUACCGACUGGCUUGCCAACUGGGUGGGACGGAUGAUGACAACCUCAUCAUCCGCAACCUCCCCCUGUUCCUCUCCGACACCGCUCGAGCCUGGCUGGAGCAUCUGCCUCCAGGGCAGAUCUCCAACUGGGACGACCUGGUCCAAGCCUUCGCCGGCAACUUCCAGGGCACGUACGUGCGCCCUGGGAACUCCUGGGAUCUCCGAAGCUGCCGCCAGCAGCCGGGAGAGUCUCUCCGGGACUACAUCCGGCGAUUCUCGAAGCAGCGCACCGAGCUGCCCAACAUCACCGACUCGGACGUCAUCGGCGCGUUCCUCGCCGGCACCACCUGCCGCGACCUGGUGAGCAAGCUGGGUCACAAGACCCCCACCAGGGCGAGCGAGCUGAUGGACAUCGCCACCAAGUUCGCCUCUGGCCAGAAGGUGGUCGAGGCCAUCUUCCGGAAGGACAAGCAGCCCCAGGGCCGCCAGCCGGAAGACGUCCCCGAGGCGUCCACUCAGCGCGGCACCAGGAAGAAGGGCAAGAAGAAGUCGCAAGCGAAACGUGACGCGGCCGACGCGGACCUUGUCGCCGCCGCUGAGUACAAGAACCCUCGGAAGCCUCCCGGAGGCGCCAACCUGUUCGACAAGAUGCUCAAGGAGUCGUGCCCCUAUCAUCAGGGACCCAUCAAGCACACCCUUGAGGAGUGCGUCAUGCUUCGGCACCACUUUCACAAGGCCGGGCCACCGGCGGAAGGUGGCAGGGCCCACAACAAUGACAAGAAGGAGGAUCAUAAGGUAGAGGAGUUCCCCGAGGUCCACGACUUCUUCAUGAUAUACGGUGGGCAAGUGGCGAACGCCUCGGCUCGGCACCGCAAGCAAUAGCGUCGGGAGGUCUGCUCGAUAAAGGUGGCGGCGCCAGUCUACCUAGACUGGUCCGACAAGCCCAUCACCUUCGACCAGGGCGACCACCCCGACCGCAUGCCGAGCCCGGGGAAAUAUCCGCUCGUUGUCGAACCCGUCAUCGGCAACGUCAGGCUCACCAAGGUCCUCAUGGACGGAGGCAGCAGCCUCAACAUCAUCUACGCCGAGACCCUCGAGCUCCUGCAGAUCGAUCUGUCCUUGAUCCGGACAGGUGCGACGCCUUUUCAUGGGAUCAUCCCCGGGAAACGCGUCCAACCCCUCGGACAACUCGAUCUGCCCGUCUGCUUCGGGACUCCCUCCAACUUCCGAAGGGAAACCCUCACGUUCGAGGUGGUUGGGUUCCGAGGAACCUACCACGCAGUACUGGGGAGGCCAUGCUACGUCAAGUUCAUGGUUGUCCCCAACUACACCUACCUCAAGCUCAAGAUGUCGGGCCCCAACAGGGUCAUCACCGUCGGCCCCACGUACCGACACGCGUACGAAUGCGACGUGGAGUGCGUGGAGUACGCCGAGGCCCUCGCCGAAUCCGAGGCCCUCAUCACCGACCUGGAGAGCCUCUCCAAGGAGGCGCCAGACGUGAAGCACCACGCCGACAAUUUCGAGCAAGCUGAGACGGUCAAAUCCGUCCCUCUCGACCCCAGCAACGACGCCUCCAAGCAGAUACGGAUCGGCUCCGAGCUCGACCCCAAAUAGGAAGCAGUGCUCGUCGACUUUCUCCGCGUGAACGCCGAAGUCUUUGCGUGGAGUCCCUCAGACAUGCCUGGCAUACCGAGGGAUGUCGCCGAGCACUCGCUGGAUAUCCGAGCUGGAGCCCAACCCGUGAAGCAGCCUCUGCGCCGAUUCGACGAAGAAAAGCGCAGAGCCAUAGGCGAGGAGAUCCACAAGCUGAUGGCCGCAGGGUUCAUCAAAGAGGUAUUCCAUCCCGAAUGGCUUGCCAACCCUAUGCUUGUGAGAAAGAAAGGAGGGAAAUGGCGGAUGUGUGUAGACUACACUGGUCUAAACAAAGCAUGUCCGAAGGUUCCCUACCCUCUGCCUCGCAUCGAUCAAAUCAUGGAUUCCACUGCUGGGUGCGAAACCCUGUCAUUCCUCGACGCCUACUCAGGGUAUCACCAAAUCAAGAUGAAAGAGUCCGACCAGCUCGCGACUUCUUUCAUCACGCCCUUUGGCAUGUACUGCUACGUUACCAUGCCAUUUGGUUUGAGGAACGCGGGUGCGACGUACCAAAGGUGCAUGAACCACGUGUUCGGAGAGCACAUUGGUCGAACGGUCGAGGCUUACGUCGAUGACAUCGUAGUCAAGACGAGGAAAGCCUCAGACCUCCUCUCUGACCUUGAAACGACAUUCCAGUGUCUCAAGGCGAAAGGCGUAGAACUAAAUCCCGAGAAGUGCGUCUUCGGAGUCCCCUGAGGCAUGCUCUUGGGGUUCAUCGUCUCCGAGCGGGGCAUCGAGGCCAACCCGGAGAAAAUCGCGGCCAUCACCAACAUGGGGCCCAUCAAGGACUUGAAAGGCGUACAGAGGGUCAUGGGAUGCCUUGCGGCUCUGAGCCGCUUCAUCUCGCGCCUCGAUGAAAGAGGCCUACCUCUGUACCGCCUCUUAAGAAAGACCGAGCGCUUCACUUGGACCCCCGAGGCCGAGGAAGCCCUCGGGAACCUGAAAGCGCUCCUUACCAGCGUGCCCAUCUUGGUGCCUCCCGCUGCCGGAGAAGCCCUCUUGAUCUACGUCGCCGCUACCACUCAGGUGGUCAGCGCCGUGAUCGUGGUUGAGAGACGAGAAGAAGGGCAUGCAUUGCCCGUCCAGAGGCCGGUCUACUUCAUCAGUGAGGUACUGUCCGAGACCAAGACCCGCUACCCACAAAUUCAGAAGCUGCUGUACGCGGUGAUUCUGAUGCGGCAGAAGUUGCGACACUACUUCGAGUCUCAUCCGGUGACUGUGGUGUCAUCCUUCCCCCUGGGGGAGAUCAUCCAGUGCCGAGAGCCUCGGGUAGGAUUGCAAAGUGGGCGGUGGAAAUCAUGGGCGAGACAAUCUCGUUCGCCCCUCGGAAGGCCAUUAAGUCCCAAGUCUUGGCGGACUUUGUGGCUGAAUGGGUCGACACCCAGCUCCCGGCAGCUCCGAUCCAACCGGAACUUUGGACCAUGUUUUUCAACGGGUCGCUGAUGAAAACAGGGGCAGGCGUGGGCCUGCUCUUCAUCUCGCCCCUCGGGAAGCACCUCCGCUACGUGCUGUGCCUCCAUUUCCCGGCGUCCAACAACGUGGCUGAGUACAAGGCUCUGGUCAACGGGUUGUGCAUCGCCAUCGAGCUAGGGGUCCGACGCCUCGACGCUCGCGGUGACUCGCAGCUUGUCAUCGACCAAGUCAUGAAGAACUCCCACUGCCGCAACCCGAAGAUGGAAGCCUACUACGACGAGGUUCGGCGCCUGGAGGACAAGUUCUACGGGCUCGAGGUCAACCACGUCGCCCGGCGGUACAACGAGACUGCGGACGAGCUGGCGAAGAUAGCUUCGGCGCGAACAACGGUUCCCCCGAACGUCUUCUCCCAGGACUUACAUCAACCCUCAGUCAAGACAAACGACACGCCCGAGCCCGAGCCCGAGAAGGCCUCGGCCCGGCCCGAGGCACCCUCGGCUACCGAGGGUGAGGCUCUGCGCAUCGAGGAAGAGCGGAAUGGGGUCACGCCUAAUCGAAACUGGCAGACCCCGUACCUGCAAUAUCUCCACCGAGGAGAGCUACCCCUCGACAGAGCCGAAGCUCGGCGACUGGCGCGGCGCGCCAAGUCAUUCGUCUUGCUGGGUGACGGGAAGGAGCUCUACCACCGCAGCCCCUCCAGCAUCCUCCAGCGAUGCAUAUCCAUCGCCAAAGGCCAGGAGCUCUUACAAGAAAUACAUUCGGGGGCUUGCGGUCAUCACGCAGCGCCUCAGGCACUUGUUGGAAACGCUUUCCGACAAGGUUUCUACUGGCCGAUCGCGGUGGCCGACGCCACUAGAAUUGUCCGCACCUGCCAAGGGUGUCAAUUCUACGCAAGGCAGACGCACCUACCCACUCCGGCUCUGCAAAUAAUACCCAUCACCUGGUUGUUUGUUGUGUGGGGUCUGGACCUCGUCGGUCCCUUGCAGAAGGCACCCAGGGGCUACACGCACCUACUGGUCACCGUCGACAAAUUCUCCAAGUGGAUCGAGGUCCGACCCCUAAACAGCAUCAGGUCCGAACAGGCGGUGGCGUUCUUCACCAACAUCAUCCAUCGCUUUGGGGUCCUGAACUCCAUCAUCACCGACAACGGCACCCAGUUCACCGGCAGAAAGUUCCUGGACUUCUGCGAGGAUCACCACAUCCGGGUGGACUGGGCCGCCGUGGCUCACCCCAUGACGAAUGGGUAGGUAGAACGUGCCAACGGCAUGAUUCUGCAAGGACUCAAGCCACGGAUCUACAACGACCUCAACAAGUUCGGCAAGCGAUGGAUGAAGGAACUCCCCUCGGUGGUCUGGAGCCUGAGGACAACGCCGAGCCGAGCCACGGGCUUCACGCCGUUCUUUCUAGUCUAUGGGGCCGAGGCCAUCUUGCCCACAGACUUAGAAUACGGUUCUCGAAGGACGAGGGCCUACGACGACCGACGCAACCAGACCAACCGAGAAGACUCACUGGACCAGCUGGAAGAGGCUCGGGACAUGGCCUUACUACACUCGGUGCGGUAUCAACAGUUCCUGCGACACUACCACGCCCGAGGGGUUCGGUCCCGAGACCUCCAGGUGGGCGACUUGGUGCUUCGACUACGACAAGACGCCCGAGGGCGCCACAAGCUCACGCCUCCCUGGGAAGGGCCAUUCAUCAUCGCCAAGAUUUUGAAGCCCGGAACAUACAAGCUGGCCAACAGUCAAGGCGAGGUCUACAGCAACGCUUGGAACAUACGACAGCUACGUCGCUUCUACCCUUAAGAUGUUUUCAAGUCGUUCGUGCACCUCGUUUACAUACGCCAAUAAAGUCUAACCAUCAAGGAAGAGUCAGCCUUGCCUCGGCAAAGCCCGACCCUCCCUCGGGGGCUAGAAGGGGCGAACCCCCUCUACGUCAAAAUUUUCCUCGAAAAAAGUAUUCCAUCAAAACGACUUUCGCGCCUCCCGGCUAUAUCAGUAACAGGACCCCAAGAAACGAAUAAGAGUGCAUGUAAGUGGCAAGGCCGACCGAGCCGAGGGACUCCUACGCCUCUGGGAUACGGAUACCUCACUCGUCACCUACCGCGAAAAAUAACUCUUACUUGGGUAAGCAAUCCUGCUACUGACGAACGAGUCCGGAUACGCAAAACAGGAGGAAAAGAGACACAACCUUAUAUUACGAUGAUAAAGUGUUCGGGCCUCGGCGGCCGCAAAAGACACAUAUGCAUUCAGAAUAAACUGCUUCGGCAGAAUCAGGCGUCGCCCGGAGAAGGAGCCGCGCCCUCGGCUUCGUCUCCACCCUCGGCGAGAUCCGCCCCGACCUCGGACGACGGCACAAGCGGGAGGAUCUCUCCUUUGAAGGUGGUCACCAGCACCGCGCUUGGGCAAUACCCCUCGCUGACCCGCUGCGCCUCUGCGCGUGCCGCCGCUGCCUCUGCUCCCAGAUCGACACAGAGCAACCGAAGGUCCGCCACCUCAGCGCUCCGUUGGGAGAGGCGCUCGGUAGCCCCAGUAAGCGUGGUCCUCAGGGACCGCAGCGAACCCCAGACAUCGGCCUCGCGGCGGAUGAACGACGACUUGGCGGCGCUCAGAUCCGUCAGGUCCUGAGGAAAGGAAGCGGGGCGUCACAAAGAAUGCCCUGAUCACGUGAAAGGUAUGCUUGAAAUCAUUACCUGGAGGAUCUUGGGAACGUCCCUGCAAAGGACCUCCAAGGUCGACCGAAGCUACCCCACCGUUGCCUCGGCACACUCACAAAGCUCGUCCCAAGACUGCUCCUCUCGCUCAUCGUCAAGAACGAAGAGGGGAUCCGAAGCCCCACUGGUCCAGAACCGGAGCGACUGACGCCGCCCGUCGGGACUACGCCGCGCGGGGACGAGGUUGCCGCUCCCCAGGACGGGUCGCGGUUCUGCGCCCCCUCCUCUGAGGCAUCAAGUAGCGAUGCCUCGGCCAUCUCCGCGUCGGCGGCGACGGGUGGCUCCACGGCCAGAACGGCAACCGCCUCGGCAGAAGCCGGUGCCAGCGCCGGCAACGCGUCUGGUGGGCUCGAGGCUGCAGCCGCGCCAGCAGUCUCCCUCGGCACGACGGCCGCCCCGACGGAGGAGUCAGCCUCGGGAGCUCGCCCCACGACAACUUGUGCCGCCUGGGCCCCCCGCUUUGGGGCAUCUUGUAAGAAGGCCGGCUAGCCGGCGAGGCCCGGUGCGGCACUGGCUGCAGAAGCCGGUGCCGUUUUGAGGGCCUUCCGGGGAGCUAGACCGGUCGAACCAUGCCUCCGUUUGCUGGGAAGAAAAGGAAGAGCAGGAUCAGGACACACGAAGGAGGAGCCAGGGCGAAGAUAUCCUAAGAUACUUACCCACUCCGGGCCAUGAUCAAUCGUGCCUGUGGGGAGGUCUCUCGAGCCUCGAUCCCCGAAGGUACCACCGAGGUCAGCCCCGCUGCCGGCUUCGGCACCAUCCUUGCCUUGGGCGCCCGAGGCACCAGAGGGACGGACUGCCCAGGCGCAGCCACGACGACCCGAGGACCACCCUCCUGCGCAGUCGGCACGGGCAACGAUUCUUGGGGAACAGGCGACUCGGCCUGACUCCCCGGGGUCACCUCAACUACCUCAGCCAAGGGGUCAAGUACCCCCUUGGCCUGCCCCCGUUCUUCGGACCGGGACCCCGACGUCCCGGCCCCGGAUACCGACGGCGCCAGCCCGCUCGGGGGCUGGCUCGACGACCCCUGGCCCAACCUCAGAUCCGGGCUGGGGCCGAGGCGGGCAGCCAUGUUGUCGUCUUCAUCAUCGUCUUCAUCGUCGUCGUCGUCAUCAGGCGUCUCCGGUGACAGCUCCCUCGGGAGCCCAUCCCUCUCCUGCCGACGAUGAAGCCUUUCCAAGGCGUCCCGAGCCCGCAUCCGCUCGCGGGCCCGAGCCUUCUUCGUGUCCUUCUUCUCCUUCCUCUUCUCUGUGGCGACCCUCCGCGCAGCUCGAUCCACCGCAUCCUCUAGGACCGGUGGCAGGGAAGGCUUGUGAAACCCCACCUACUGGAGACGGACGAAAAGUCUCGGCUGUGAGAACCAAGGGCAAUCCGACACAAGAAGGAAGAAGGAGCGGACACUCACCAGGGACACACACCCGCGAUCGGGACGCAUCGAGAGCUGGGAAAAGGCGCCGGCGUCUAACUUCCCUACCGUGUCGGCUACCCGCCUGUGGAGGUCGUCGGCGGGAAGGGGGUCCGAGGACAUCUGCAAACCCUCCAAGUCGACCCCCGGCGUCAUCUCCCAAAGCGGCAGUCGCCGCUCCGUCAAGGGGAGCACCCUCCGGCGAUGAAUGGAGGCAACCACCCCCGCGGUGGUGAGCCCUCCUUCUCACAGCUCCUCCAAGGCCUUCAAAAGGGGCUGGAGAUUCUUCUGUCUUUCGCGCAGGGCCCCGUAGCGCCAGUUAUCGGUGGCGGCGGUCACCACUCGUUGAGAAAACGAUGGGAGCCUCCCGUCGUCAUUUCGGAGAUAAAACCACCGGCGCUGCCACCCUUUGUAACACCUCAGGUGUUACUUAGGGUGUCCACCCAGGGCUACACCUGUUAAGCCUACUAUCACAUGUGGGAUAGUUUGAGCAAAGUAUCUCAAACUUGGAAUUCAAGGUCCUAAGCAAGUGCCACCCAUCUUGGAUAUCAUGCCCUAGCUUGUCAUGCACAUCUAAGGGGAGAAUUUCCCAAAACCCUAAAGCAAACCCUUUUUGGACAAUAGGAACCCUAGAUGUAAGUGGGAUCAAAAGGUCAUGAAACCUUAUGAUCAUGGCUUGGGCCAAAUAUAAAAGUUGUUGUACACUUGAUAACCUACAAAUAAUAGUAAGAAAGUAACCCCAAAAAGAUUUCAGAAAAGCCCCAAAAAGUUCACCCAAGGGUUGAACACAAAAGAAAAAUCAGAAAAUGCCUAAGUCCAAAACUAACCCUUGGACAAAGAUCACACAUGUUCACCUUCAUCCAAAAUUCAAAACACUUCGACCCAAUUGACAAAGUGGCACCAAAUUAACCCUAGAAUGCCCUGGAAAGAGUUGACACCUACCCUUAGACGUUUGACACGACUUGGCACCAUUUUUGUCUCGGUUUGGACAUGUCUGACACAACCGACUUCCCACCCCCAUAUCUCUCUAACCCGACCACAUCUACUCUUGGAACUGACAUGAACUAGGUAGCUCUAGGUGUAGGGAAGAGAUCUCCCACAGGCUCUAGGGCAAGAUUCGUACGUUUUGGCCGCUCAGCAGAGGGAAGAACACGGGCAGAAGCAAAGAGCCACGUGUUCGACGCGCUCUGAGCUCGCCAGAGCACGCCCGCGCGCGCCCCCGCGUGCCUCGCGUCGCGCCAAAGGCUAGCCAAUGCCAUGGCCCGCGCCCGCGCCUAUAUAACGCCCAAUGACCUUAACCGUACCCUUCCACGCACGCUCAACCUCACCGGAGCUCAAACUCACCGGCGUUUGCCCGUGCACGGCGUGUCCGCGGCCACCCGAGCCCCUGCCACCGUAGACCGGCCAACCAAGCCUUUCCCAACCCCGUCCGACCCUCGGAGAGGACUGAGCACACCUCGUUGAAGCUCCCCGAGCGAGGAAUCGAAGUCUGCUUCGCCGGAGAGGCCAGUCCACGAUCGCCGGACUCCCUCCGACCGCCGGCGAGCGUAGACCCGGUAAGCCACUGCGCCAUUUUUCGAUUCAAUGCACAGAUAGCCUCUACAUCACCCCGUGAAGCUCACCGGGCCAUUGGAUUGGACUAGAUCGCCGUGAUUUGGCCGGCACUCCCGCCGCCGACGAGGACACCCGCCUGCGCACGUGGACCGAGCGAUUCCGGCCAUCCCCGCCGUCGAGUCGUACAUCGUUGUGACCGCCAGAGCCUCCCCGAGCCAACCCCGCCCCUCGCCGGACCUCUCCCGCUGCCGGUAAGUCGCGUCGCACUUUUCUUUCCCGCGGGUACUGUUUACAUUAGGGGAAGGACCUCAGGGAAGAAGAAGGAAAGGUCAGGGGGAUUUUUGAACUGUCAGUGACUCAGGGGAAUAGUGGCGCAGGGGUAGAUUUGAGUGGGUUGAUUUGGAUUAAACCCAGGGUCCUCGGUGUAAACUGUUUUUCCAGGAAACCUUUAUUAAAUCUGAUUUAAAAUUUGAACAGAACUUGAAUAAUUCAUAACUUCUGUUGUAUUCAUCCAAAUUUAGUCAAACCAAUUUUGUCAGAUCUUAAAUAAUAUAAACUACUUAGGAAAAAUAUAAAACCCCUAUGUACUACGGAAAACUUUAGGGUUCUGAUUUAAUUGUUGUUUUGGCCAAAAGCUAAAUAAUAGGAAGAAAAAUAGUUGCACUAUUUGACUAGGGUUAGAAAAAUUUGGAGAAGUUUAUGUCCAUCUACUGACCUAUUUAAAAAUGCUAAACCUUUCUGUCCACCCUAUUAAGGGAGCUUUUGCCACUUAUUUUACAAUAUGCUUAAGGUUAAGAAAAAUAGAAAAGGUGAUUUAAAUGAUGAACCAGAGGGCACUCCUAUUUUUGUUAGAGUACUUAUUCAGUGUAGUUUACUAGAAAAAUCUAUUAUACUCUGGUUUAGUAUAAAAUAAAUAGGAUACCUUUUAUUUUAAGAAAACAAGGAAAACUUAGAAAAACCCCACAAGAAUAACCCCAAGGUGAAAACACCCCAACCCUUGGGAUAGUUAAUAUUUUGUUAAUAAGAACUUAGGAAAAAUAUGAAAUCUGCUGUUUGACAUUUUUCAAAUAACAAUGUAGUAGAAAGUGCCUUUUUGACAUUAAACUUUGGAAAAUCACAACUAAAUAACCAUCCCUUAGCUUUCUGUGGUUUUUGGCACAGAAGCCUAUAAUUACUGUUAGAUGCCAACAAAAAUAACCUUUAGGACAGAACCCACCCCUAAUUAAGAGUUGUAGUGCAAAGUGGCCCAUUUACACAACUCUUGUUGUUUUUGUCUAGAGCAUAGCCUUUUUCAAUUGAACCUCAAAGUCUUAGAACAUGCUAUAUUGAUCAUAGGCAAGCCACUGUAAUUUUUACAAAAUGUUUGGAAAAAGUUAAACCAAUGUUGUAGUUCAAACCUACACUAGAAUUCAUAAAUAGAAAAUAAAGAAAGGAAAAUGAAUAAUGGAAAAGGGUGUCAUCCUAAAACCCCUUGUAAAUUGUCCACUAAAUUAUAAUAAGGAGAUACCAGUCCUAUAUGCUUAUCCUUAGCAAAAACCUAAAACCAAGGGUGAUAAGCAUAAACCACUAAAAGCCCCGCAUGACCAAGAAACCCUAAGUUACUCAUUAACUUAGUUUUUCUUCUCUUAGCAUAAUGUUAUUAAAUCCUGCAUAAUCAUGACAUCCAUGUUCAUUGCAUUUCAAUAGACUGUAACCUUGCUAACGGAGAGUACGUCCUCGUGCCGGAGCAAGGAGCUGCUCAGGAGGUAGCCCCGGAUUCAGCACCCGAACCUGCACCAGAGGAUCUGCCUGCCACAACGUUAGAAGGCAAGCCCCGGUUUAUGCAUAACCUGUUAUUUAUGCUAUUUUACUACACUUAUUGAUUGUAGGAUUGAAUGUGCACUUAAGUGUAGGAGUUGUGUGAAACCCUAGUUGCAUGAUCUCAGGAAUCCUGUUGUGAUGAAUACUAGUAUGCUAGGUCGAGUAGCUGCUUAUUUAAUUAGGAUCUCGGUAGAAGUCGAGUGAUUUUUCUAGCACUCGCGCGAGAUCAGGAAAUUGGUUGUAUCCACUUUCUUAUCAUAAUGAUGCUGGUGUGUGGGCAGGGCCGUCCCUGUGAGGGUGCCAAGGGUGCGGCCGCACCGGGCCCCCAAAAAUAGAGGUCCCAUAGCCACUGUACGGUAGUAUUUUUUCCUAUUAAACUUAUCUAUUAUAGACACAAAUACGUAAAGAGCGAUGCGUUAUCGAGUUAUCGACUAGUCUCGUUUAUAUUCUUAAAUUGUCUCAAUUUUUUAUCCAAUACUCUAUCCGUUUCAAAAUAGUAUUUGUUUUAGUUCUUGAUUUUUAUGUUUAUAUUGAUGAUGAUAAAUCCACUAAAGAAGCAAAACAAAUUCUAUUUUGAUAUAGGGAGAGUAUUAUAAACUAUACAUACGAUGGUUGUUUUGGUAGAGAGAAGCUUUUUUAAAAUUGAAAUAUUUUUGUGCACUAUUUUUUAUCAACAAUAACUCAAGAGAUGUUAACUGGCUUGGUGAUUCUAUAUAUCGAAAAAAGUUGUUGGAUGAGAUUGAUCUCAAUGAUAUAAGAGAUGACUUUGUAUCACAAAAUGUUAAAAGAUAUGAGAUAACAAGUGUUUUUUGCUAUAUUUUACAUUUGUUAUCUUGUAAACUUCAAAAUAAUGCAUAAUAAUUUUUAUAUGUCAAAUAUUUGAUAAUAUAUAUAUAAUUAUAUAUAUGUGUGGAUGGGCCUCGAUAUCGGAUUUCGCACUGGGCCCCUGAAAAGUCAGGAACGGCCCUGUGUGUGGGCAACAAUCCAUGGGGAUUGGUUGUCUACGGGAUAAAAAUUUGAAUAAGGAUUAUGGUGUGGUACAGUGAGUCAAGCGUUUGAACGUACUAAACAUAUACCGAGAAUUAUGGUAAAUCGGUAAGCCUAGUACCUGAUUGAACCUGGCAGCAGAUUGCCCUCCUCACGCGACCUGAGACGAGGUCUCCCAUUCCGGUUAUGGUGGGUACAAGUGCGGUCACUGCACGACGGCAGUCGGGGUCAGUGAGGCAUUGUACGCCAAGGCGGUGAGCCCCUCUAUGCUGACGGGGAAUCGAUGGGGACGGUUGAUGUGUGUGGGGACGGAGUGCCCCUGCAUGUCGUGUGUUUAGGUUUACCUUGCAAGGAUGAAAACUCGAUUCGAAUCGUCUGCUUCUCGCAGCUAAUGAGACUGCUUGAUCCAUGCUGCUACAUUGAGUAACAAGUGGAAUUAUGAUGAGAUGAUACAAGAUGUUGAUUGCUAAAAAUGUUUGCUACUAUGUAUGAGUAGAUAGUACAUCUUUAGCCUUAAGAGAGUCACACUUAGUUUGACAAAGUAAAAAAAAACUUGAUUUAGAAACUCAGCUAGUGCUUUUGGCAACCAAACCCCACAGCCAAACAGCUGCAUGUCUAGAGGUAGAGGAGUAGACUCCUCACACCGGGUAAGUCUAGCUGAGUAUUAGUAUACUCAGCCUUGCUUGCGGCACAAUUUUACAGGUUCUCUGGAGGACAUGGUUGCUGGAGUGACUUGGUCGUCCAUCUUGCCACCGGGUUGGACUGUCGAGUGGGACCCUACCUCGGCUGAGGAGGAGCAUGAGGAGUGAUGGGACAGGCUUCCCCAUCUCUCUGUUUAUUUACCGUUAGUUUUAUUCUGCUGCAUUUCGAACAAUGAUGACUACUUUUGCAAAAACUCCGAUGAUGAUGUAUUAAUUUAAUACUCCCCUAUGCAUGGUUUUAUGCUUUAUUGUAUUUGCUCUGUGACUCACCAUCGAGUGAGAUUGUGGUACUUGAUCCUGUUAGUGGCCUUUUCGGACUAGAUCCGAGGGAUUGACGGGUUAUUCUCAUUUAAGUGUGGUCUAGCCUCUAAGGCGGGACCUCGGCACUUAAGUUGGAAUAAUUCGGGCAGUUCCGCCACAGCUGGUAUCGGAGCUUGUACCACCACAGAGGAAUCAAUAAAAUAUAAAUAUCAUCCUUUUCCGAAAUAAAACUUGAUAGAAACAAUGUUGGAUAGAUCGUAGGACGAUCAGGAUAGACCUAGGACGUGAAGCCUUAGGAUGAUACAAGGGUAGCUAGGUGGCUAAGUGUUUAAGCCCUACGGGCUACUAUACGGGAUGGGAGUUCUUCCCUAUUCCCUUUACAUUACUGUGAGGUUGUUCAGGACGAGCAUGCAUGCAUUCUUAAAUUAAACAAAUGGAAAAUUUAGUAAGGACUUAAAUUCCAAAUGAUGACCAACUAAGUUCCCCAGUACCAUUUUUUAGAGAGAAGCUGAGUCUUAUUUUCUUGUUCUUUUUAUAAUUCUUUUUCUUUUACUUACGCUUAACCGUACACAGAUGACUUCCCACGGAUCCUCAGACGACGGAAAUGCACUGUCCCACACUGACAGGCUUGCACGAGAGGGCUUUCCCCGCAUUUUGUGGGAGGUACUUCAGGGGGCCGGAUACACGACACCUCCUCAGUACGCGGUGCAGCAGUUCGAGAAGCACCGAGUGCCCCGCUGUAGAGUGAGGAUGACCCUGGAGCCUCAUCCCCUACAGCCAGGCUGGCGUUCACUGGACUCUGAGUCCUUUGGAUACCGGGCUGAGGACACGAUCGAGGCAAUUGCUCUGCAUGGGUUGACCACUUUCUGCGGAUUCCAUCCCUUGGAGCUGUCUACCCACCCCAUUGGCUUGUUCCCCGUAGAAAGGGAGGACGACCCGAUGUGGAAGGAUCGGGUGGAGCACGCCAAGGACAUCUGGGCUAUCUACCCAGGUCAGACUGCUCACUUGACAGUACGGUGCAUGAAUGCCCUGUACCGUUUGCAAGUGAUGCGUGGUGAGGCAAUGUCUCAUCUGAUGGCAUUAUUGGAGGCAACAAAGAUCACCUUGGACAACAGAAAAGAGCUUGUGGUUGAUUUGUCCACUGAGAUGGUGGAAAAGGACUUACAGGUGGAGCAGCUAUCCAAUGAGAUCCAAGAGCUGGAGGAAUUAGUGGGUACCAGGGAGAACACCAUCGAGGUUCUCGAGGAUCAGCUCAUUAACACCCAGCAGCAGCUUGCCGAGGCUAAUGAGCACCUGGAUAUGCAUCGCCAGGAGAUCCAAGACAUGGAGGCCAACGAGGACGUCGACAUUGAGGGAGGAGAGGAGCCUGCCUCCAGCUUGGACACUGCGGGCUCAGGGAGACCACCUUCCCCCGAGUCGAGUGUUGCCUCGUUCGCUCACUAGGUAUCAGGAGUAGGGUUAGAAGUCAGUGAUGGUAGGACUCCUCGCAGCUAGCUUAGCUUUUGCACCCUUGGGGUACUAGGCUAGGUAGAGUUGAGUCUUUUUGGGACCAUUGAUGUAAUCGUGAUAAACUCUUUUGGAAGCAUGGUUGAUGGAUGCUGUUAGUUUUUAAAUUGGGAAGGAAAGUUUAUGCCUUUUGAAAUCCUUUUUGUUUAUGUCAGAAUCUAUCAAUUCGCCUUUGACUCUUUCACCGCGAUUAAACCUUAAACUUGAAGAUGUGUUAUUGAUGAUAUAUGUGAUUUUUCAGAUGGCCGGGAGAGCGCGUCGUGGCCAGAAUGAGCGCGUUCCUCCACCUCCGCCACCGCCUCCCACUCUGCAGGAGCUAAUGGCUCAGCAGAAUGAGAUCUUGAGGCAGCUAGCUCAGCGUCAGCCACCACCUCAGCACUAUGGUGGUGGAGACCAUCAGCGUCACCCCGCGGCAGCUACCUACUAGGAGUUCCUCAGUACCCAACCUCCUUUGUUCACUAGGGCAGAGGACCCACUUGAUGCAGAUGUGUGGUUGAGAGUAGUGGAAUCCAAAUUCCCGCUACUCCAUGGAGUUUGCUCAGAGGUCACAAAAGUCAGGUUCGCUACCCAGCAGCUUCACGGACCCGCAAGGACUUGGUGGGAUCAUUUUCUUGCUAUGCAGCCAGAUGACCGAGAGGUGGAAUGGAGAGAGUUCAAGGCAGCUUUUAGGGGGACACCAUAUACCAGCCGGGAUUAUGGACCGAAAGCUCAAUGAAUUUCUGGCACUCACUUAGGGCAACAGGACAGUGUUGCAGUAUGCUCAGGCUUUUAAUGACCUGUGCCAGUAUGCUGGGUAUCAUGCAGAUACGGACGAGAAGAAGAGAGACAGGUUCAGGAGGGGGCUCAGCACUAAGCUCUGUGACCGUCUCAACACCGUCAGGGCCAACAGCUACAAUGAGUUGGUCAACAUGGCCAUCUCCCAGGAGGACUGUAUCACAGCUCGUCAGGCAGAAAAGAAGAGGAAGACCCCUGUGGCAGGACCCUCAGCUCAGCCACAGCGCUUCAGGAUUGUGUCUGACACUCAGAGCAGGGGACCUCAGCAGCAGCAAGGGCGAUGGGUGAUCCGACCAGAGCAGCAGCAACAACAGGCACCCAACCGCACCCAGUUUCCAGCUCAAGGGAACAAUCAGCAGCAGCAGUAUCGCCAGGCAAAUGACAACAGGUGUUUCACAUGCGGCAACACCGGACAUUAUGCCAAGAAUUGCCCCAGGAACCAACAGAGGCAGGGGCAGAAUGUGAAUCAGAAUCAAGGCAAGAUACAGAAGGUGCAAGUGAGGCAGGGCAGGCUGAACUUCACCACCAUGGCUGAUAUUCCAGAGGGGGCACCCGUCAUGACUGGUAUCUUUACAGUUUUGAAUUAUCCUGCUAUUAUUCUUUUUGAUUCUGGUGCCUCGCAUAGUUUUAUCAGUGCCAAAUUUAGUGCCAAGUGCCAGUUGCCCUUUCACCACACCGAUGGGGCAUUACAAUUUCAACGCCAGGAGGCAGGGUUGCCACCUACCAAAUCAACAGGCAAGUGCCUAUAAAAUUUGGUAGUCUUGUGAUUAGAACCACCCUUCUCAUCUUAGGAUUGGAUAGCGUGGAUAUUAUAUUGGGAGCUGACUGGUUGACCAGGCAUCAGGCAGUAUUGGAUAUUGCAGCCAGGGCCAUUGAAAUUCAUUCCCCUGCUUAUGGCGAGACUGUUUUAUAUUUGCCCGACCAGGGAUGCACCCGUUCUUGUGCCUUCGUUAUGAUAGAAUCCCCAGUGGAAAAGAUCCCAGUGGUCUGUGACUACCCGGAUGUUUUUCCGGAUGAAUUGCCAGGGAUGCCACCUGACCGAGACAUUGAGUUUGCCAUCUAAUUGCAACCCGGGACUGCUCCUAUCUCCAAGAGACCUUAUAGGAUGCCUCCCGCAGAAUUGGCAGAACUGAAAAAGCAAUUGCAAGAGUUGUUGGACAAGGGGUUUAUUCGCCCAAGUACUUCGCCUUGGGGAUGUCCUGCUUUAUUCGUAAAGAAAAAGGAUGAAAGUUUGAGAAUGUGUGUUGAUUACCGCCCUCUCAAUGCGGUGACUAUCAAGAACAAAUACCCACUGCCCCGCAUUGAUGUAUUGUUCGAUCAGUUGGUGGGAGCCAAGGUCUUCUCCAAAAUAGACCUUCGCUCGGGUUACCAUCAGAUCAAGAUCCGUGCCAGUGAUAUUCCCAAGACGGCUUUCUCUACCAGAUAUGGGCUCUAUGAAUUUUUGGUGAUGUCUUUUGGGCUGACCAAUGCCCCGGCUUAUUUUAUGUACUUGAUGAACUCAGUAUUCAUGCCAGAGUUGGACAAGUUCGUGGUCGUUUUCAUUGAUGAUAUUCUGGUCUAUUCCAAGAAUGGAGACGAACAUACUGAGCAUCUGCACAUCGUGCUUCAGCGACUGCGCGAUCAUCGUCUUUAUACUAAAUUGUCUAAAUGUGAAUUCUGGCUGAAGGAAAUUAAAUUCUUGGGUCACACAAUUUCUCAGGAUGGGAUAUCAGUUGAUCCUGAGAAGGUACAAGAGGUAAUGGAUUGGAAACCCCCGACUACAGUGAGGUAGAUUCGGAGUUUUCUAGGAUUGGCAGGGUAUUAUCGACGAUUUAUUCCGGAUUUCUCCAGAAUUGCCAAACCAAUGACUGAACUGUUAAAGAAGGGAGUCAAGUAUGAUUGGAGCCAAAAGUGCGAAGAUGCCUUUCAUACUUUGAGGCAGCAUUUGACCACAGCCCCAGUGCUGGCUCAACCUGACAACACCAAGCCCUUUGAAGUUUAUUGUGAUGCUUCUGGCACUGGUUUGGGAUGUGUCUUAAUGCAAGAUGACAAGGUAAUUGCUUAUGCCUCCCGAGCACUCAGACCCCAUGAGCAGAACUACCCUACACAUGAUCUGGAGUUAGCAGCUGUGGUUCAUGCUCUCAAAAUAUGGAGACACUACUUGAUGGGAGCUCACUGUAACAUUUACACGGAUCACAAGAGCCUCAAAUACAUUUUCACUCAGGCAGAUUUAAACAUGAGGCAGAGGAUAUGGUUGGAAUUAAUCAAGGACUAUGAUUUGGAAGUACAUUACCACCCGGGCAAAGCCAAUGUUGUGGCAGAUGCCUUGAGCAGAAAAGCCCAGUGCAAUUGUAUGAGCAUAGAUGCAAGAGUUACCACCCUGUGUGAUGAGUUGUGCAAGCUGAACCUGGAAGUUGUUUCUUCAGGUGCCUUAAGUUAUAUCUCGGUAGAGCCCACAUUGCAAGAGCAAAUAGUCAGGGCACAGAUUAAGGAUAAGGGUGUUCAGGUUAUCAAAGACAUGAUCAAGCAGAAGGCAGAAAAAUACAAGUGCUUCCGUCAGGACAACAAGGGAAUUUUAUGGUUUGGAGAUAGAUUGGUUGUUCCCAAGGACCCUGAGCUCAGAAAGAAGAUACUAGAUGAAGCUCACCUUUCAAAAUUCUACAUGCACCCGGGCAGCAACAAGAUGUACCAUGAUCUCAGAUCCUUAUACUGGUGGACCAGGAUGAAGAGGGAAAUUGCCAAGUACAUAUCCGAGUGUGACACCUGCCAAAGGAUUAAAGCCAGUCAUUUGAAGGCAGCAGGCCCUUUACAACCCCUUCCCAUACCAUCUUGGAAAUGGGAGGACAUUUGCAUGGACUUUAUCGUGGGAUUGCCCAAUACCUCCAGGCACCAUGAUUCCAUUUGGGUUAUUGUGGACAACUUGACCAAGACCACUCAUUUCUUGCCAGUACACACCACCCACAGGACAGAGAAGUAUGCAGAAAUCUACAUUGACCAGAUAGUUCGUCUGCAUGGAAUACCAAGGACUAUAGUCUCAGACAGAGGAGCACCAUUUGUGGCACGAUUUUGGGAACAAUUGCAGGAAUCACUUAGGACCUAUGUCAUACGAAGCUCAGCAUACCAUCCCCAAACAGAUGGCCAGACAGAAAGGGUAAACCAGAUUUUGGAAGACAUGUUGAGGGCAUGUGUACUGCACUACGGAAAAGAUUGGGACAAGUGUCUUUCUUUAGCAGAGUUUUCUUAUAAUAACAGCUACCAGUCCAGUCUAAAGAUGGCACUUUUUGAAGCUUUAUAUGGGAGAAGAUGUAGAACCCCGCUGAAUUGGUCUCAAGCAGGAGAGAGGGAAAUAUUUGGGCCAGAUUUGGUACUUGAAGCAGAGGCAAAGGUCAGAGUCAUCAAGAAGAACUUAGAAGCUGCUCAGGCCAGGCAAAAGAGCUAUCAUGACAAGAGGCGGAAGCCUCUGCAGUUUGAAGUGGGAGACCAUGUUUAUCUUAAGGUGUCACCCACCAAGGGUGUCCAGAGAUUCGGAUCAAGGGCAAGUUAGCUCCUCGUUACAUUGGACCCUACGAGAUCAAGGAAGCUUGUGGACCCGUAGCCUAUCAAUUGAAGUUGCCACCCAGCAUGUCAGCUGUUCAGGAUGUAUUCCAUGUAUCUCAGCUGCGGAAAUGUGUUCGCCUAUCCACUAAAGUGCUACCUGAACCGGACAUUGAGAUAGAACCAGACUUGUCCUAUCAAGAGUACCCCCUCAAGGUAUUGGAUCAGAAGGAGAGAUCAACACGGGCAAGGUCAAUCUGAAUGUAUAAGGUUCAGUGGAGUCACCAUUCAGCAGAAGAAGCUACAUGGGAGACUGAGGAUUUUCUACGCUCUUGCUUCCCCGACUUUUUGCCCAAAGGAGUCGAUAUGUAACCCAAAACCCCACCCCCACCUGCCCUUUGAAUACAAUUACAAGAAAAACUUAGAUAGCAAGGGUAGUCUAAGUUGUGGAAUUAACUUAAGAAGGACUUCCUUCUGAAGUUGCAAAGAGAAUGACAUUCGAAGAGCAGUUAACAAGAGAAACCUGGGUAAAAGAAAGAGUAGCCCACCAACACACCUUCAUGUACCCCCCCUCCAAGAGACUCUACCUGAAAUCUCGGAACGAGAUUCCUUUAAGGGGGGAGGGCUGUAACACCUCAGGCGUUACUCAGGGUGUCCUCCCAGGGCUACACCUGUUAAGCCUACUAUCACAUCUGGGAUAGUUUGAGCAAAGUAUCUCAAAUUUGGAAUUCAAGGUCCUAAGCAAGUGCCACCCAUCUUGGAUAUCAUGCCCUAGCUUGUCAUGCACAUCUAAGGGGAGAAUUUCCCAAAACCCUAAAGCAAACCCCUUUUGGACAAUAGGAACCCUAGAUGUAAGUGGGAUCAAAAGGUCAUGAAAACCUUAUGAUCAUGGCUUGGGCCAAAUAUAAAAGUUGUUGUACACUUGAUAACCUACAAAUAAUAGUAAGAAAGUAACCCCAAAAAGAUUUCAGAAAAGCCCCAAAAAGUUCACCCAAGGGUUGAACACAAAAAAAAAUCAGAAAAUGCCUAAGUCCAAAACUAACCCUUGGACAAAGAUCACACAUGUUCACCUUCAUCCAAAAUUCAAAACACUUCGACCCAAUUGACAAAGUGGUGCCAAAUUAACCCUAGAAUGCCCUGGAAAGAGUUGACACCUACCCUUAGACGUUUGACACGACUUGGCACCAUUUUUGUCUCGGUUUGGACAUGUCUGACACAGCCGACUUCCCACCCCCAUAUCUCUCUAACCCGACCACAUCUACUCUUGGAACUCACAUGAACUAGGUAGCUCUAGGUGCAGGGAAGAGAUCUCCCACAGGCUCUAGGGUAAGAUUCAUACGUUUUGGCCGCUCAGCAGAGGGAAGAACAUGGGCAGAAGCAAAGAGCCACGUGUUCGACGCGCUCUGAGCUCGCCAGAGCACGCCCGCGCGCGCCCCUGCGUGCCUCGCGUCGCGCCAAAGGCCAGCCGACGCCAUGGCCCACGCCCGCGCCUAUAUAACGCCCAGUGACCUUAACCGUACCCUUCCGCGCACGCUCAACCUCACCGGAGCUCAAACUCACCGGCGUUUGCCCGUGCACGGUGUGUCCGCGGCCACCCGAGCCCCUGCCACCGUAGACCGGCCAACCAAGCCUUUCUCAACCCCGUCCGACCCUCGGAGAGGACUGAGCACACCUCGGUGAAGCUCCCCGAGCGAGGAAUCGAAGUCUGCUUCGCCGGAGAGGCCAGUCCACGAUCGCCGGACUCCCUCCGACCGCCGGCGAGCGUAGACCUGGUAAGCCACUGCGCCAUUUUUUGAUUCAAUGCACAGAUAGCCUCUACAUCACCCCGUGAAGCUCACCGGGCCAUUGGAUUGGACUAGAUCGCCGUGAUUUGGCCGGCACUCCCGCCGCCGACGAGGACACCCGCCUGCGCACGUGGACCGAGCCGUACAUCGUUGUGACCGCCAGAGCCUCCCCGAGCCAACCCCGCCCCUCGCCGGACCUCUCCCGUCGCCGGUAAGCCGCGCCGCCCUUUUCUUUCCCGCGGGUACUGUUUACAUUAGGGGAAGGACCUCGGGGAAGAAGAAGGAAAGGUCAGGGGGAUUUUUGAACUGUCAGUGACUCAGGGGAAUAGUGGCGCAGGGGUAGAUUUGAGUGGGUUGAUUUGGAUUAAACCCAGGGUCCUCGGUGUAAACUGUUUUUCCAGGAAACCUUUAUUAAAUCUGAUUUAAAAUUUGAACAGAACUUGAAUAAUUCAUAACUUCUGUUUUAUUCAUCCAAAUUUAGUCAAACCAAUUUUGUCAGAUCUUAAAUAAUAUAAACUACUUAGGAAAAAUAUAAAACCCCUAUGUACUACAGAAAACUUUAGGGUUCUGAUUUAAUUAUUGUUUUGGCCAAAAGCUAAAUAAUAGGAAGAAAAAUAGUUGCACUAUUUGACUAGGGUUAGAAAAAUUUGGAGAAGUUUAUGUCUACCUACUGACGUGUUUAAAAAUGCUAAACCUCUCUGUCCACCCCAUUAAGGUAGCUUUUGCCACUUAUUUUACAAUAUGCUUAAGGUUAAGAAAAAUAGAAAAGGUGAUUUAAAUGAUGAACCAGGAGGCACUCCUAUUUUUGUUAGAGUACUUAUUCAGUGUAGUUUACUAGAAAAAUCUAUUAUACUCUGGUUUAGCAUAAAAUAAAUAGAAUACCUUUUAUUUUAAGAAAACAAGGAGAACUUAGAAAAACCCCACAAGAAUAACCCCAAGGUGAAAACACCCCAACCCUUGGGAUAGUUAAUGUUUUGUUAAUAAGAAUUCAGGAAAAAUAUGAAAUCUGCUGUUUGACAUUUUUCAAAUAACAAUGUAGUAGAAAGUGCCUUUUUGACAUUAAACUUUGGAAAAUCACAACUAAAUAACCAUCCCUUAGCUUUCUGUGGUUUUUGGCACAGAAGCCUAUUAUUACUGUUAGAUGUCAACAAAAAUAACCUUUAGGACAGAACCCACCCCUAAUUAAGAGUUGUAGUGCAAAGUGGCCCAUUUACACAACUCUUGUUGUUUUUGUCUAGAGCAUAGCCUUUUUCAAUUGAACCUCAAAGUCUUAGAACAGGCUAUAUUGACCAUAGGCAAGCCACUGUAAUUUUUACAAAAUUUUUUGGAAAAAGUUAAACCAAUGUUGUAGUUCAAACCUACACUAGAAUUCAUAAAUAGAAAAUAAAGAAAGGAAAAUGAAUAAUGGAAAAGGGUGUCAUCCUAAAACCCCUUGUAAAUUGUCCACUAAAUUAUAAUAAGGAGAUACCAAUCCUAUAUGCUUAUCCUUAGCAAAAACCUAAAACCAAGGGUGAUAAGCAUAAACCACUAAAAGCCCCGCAUGACCAAGAAACCCUAAGUUACUCAUUAACUUAGUUUUUCUUCUCUUAGCAUAAUGUUAUUAAAUCCUGCAUAAUCAUGACAUCCAUGUUCAUUGCAUUUCAAUAGACUAUAACCUUGCUAACGGAGAGUACGUCCUCGUGCCGGAGCAAGGAGCUGCUCAGGAGGUAGCCCCGGAUCCAGCACCCGAGCCUGCACCAGAGGAUCUGCCUGCCACAGCCUUGGAAGGCAAGCCCCGGUUUAUGCAUAACCUGUUAUUUAUGCUAUUUUACUACACUUAUUGAUUGUAGGAUUGAAUGUGCACUUAAGUGUAGGACUUGUGUGAAACCCUAGUUGCAUGAUCUCAGGAAUCUUGUUGCGAUGAAUACUAGUAUGCUAGGUUGAGUAGCUGCUUAUUUAAUUAGGAUCUCGGUAGAAGUCGAGUGAUUUUUCUAGCACUCGCGCGAGAUCAGGAAAUUGGUUGUAUCCACUUUCUUAUCAUAAUGAUGCUGGUGUGUGGGCAACAAUCCAUGGGGAUUGGUUGUCUACGGGAUAAAAAUUUGAAUAAGGAUUAUGGUGUGGUACCGUGAGUCAAGCGUUUGAACGUACUAAACAUAUACCGAGAAAUGUGGUAAAUCGGUAAGCCUAGUACCUAAUUGAACCUGGCAGCAGAUUGCCCUCCUCACGCGACCUGAGACGAGGUCUCCCAUUCCAGUUAUGGUGGGUACAAGUGCGGUCACUGCACGACGACAGUCGGGGUCAGUGAGGCAUUGUACGCCAAGGCGGUGAGCCCCUCUCUGCUGACGGGGAAUCGAUGGGGAUGGUUGAUGUGUGUGGGGACGGAGUGCCCCUGCAUGUCUUGUGUUUAGGUUUACCUUGCAAGGAUGAAAACUCGAUUCGAAUCGUCUGCUUCUCGCAGCUAAUGAGACUGCUUGAUCCAUGCUGCUACAUUGAGUAACAAGUGGAAUUAUGAUGAGAUGAUACAAGAUGUUGAUUGCUAAAAAUGUUUGCUACUAUGUAUGAGUAGAUGGUACAUCUUUAGCCUUAAGAGAGUCACACUUAAUUUGACAAAGUAAAAAAAACUUGAUUUAGAAACUCAGCUAGUGCUUUUGGCAACCAAACCCCACAGCCAAACAGCUGCAUAUCUAGAGGUAGAGGAGUAGACUCCUCACACCGGGUAAGUCUAGCUGAGUAUUAGUAUACUCAGCCUUUCUUGUGGCACAAUUUUACAGGUUCUCUGGAGGACAUGGUUGCUGGAGUGACUUGGCCGUCCAUCUUGCCACCGGGUUGGACUGUCGAGUGGGACCCUACCUCGGCUGAGGAGGAGCAUGAGGAGUGAUGGGACAGGCUUCCCCAUCUCUCUGUUUAUUUACUGUUAGUUUUAUUCCGCUGCAUUUCGAACAAUGAUGACUACUUUUGCAAAAACUCCGAUGAUGAUGUAAUAAUUUAAUACUCCCCUAUGCAUGGUUUUAUGCUUUAUUGUAUUUGCUCUAUGACUCACCAUCGAGUGAGAUUGUGGUACUUGAUCCUGUCAGUGGCCUUGUCGGACUAGAUCUGAGGGAUUGACGGGUUAUUCCCAUUUAAGUGUGGUCUAGCCUCUAAGGCGGGACCUCGGCACUUAAGUUGGAAUAAUUCGGGCAGUUCCGCCACACCCUUUGUUCGAAGACGCGAGGACGGCAGGGAUGUACUGCAGCGCCCGCGCCUGCCUCAACUGGAAUAUGCGGCCACCGGCCCGCACCGCCAUGCGAACUCUUCUUUCCCCCGUCGACGAGGCAAAAAGCUCCGCGGAGAAGAGAUGGGUCCACAGGUCCCAGUGGGGGGCAAUCCCCAAAUAUCCUUCGCAAACCGCCGUGAAGAUGGCUGCUUGCGAGAUGGAGUUGGGACUGAGAUUGUGCAGCUCCACCCCGUAGACGUGCAGAAUCGCCCGCAUAAAACGACUUGCCGGCACUCCGAACCCCCGCUCGUGAAAGGAAACGAAGCUCAGCACAUACCCCGACGGCGGGGACGGGGCGGCUCCGCUCGGAGGGGCCAUCCACUCCGGCUGCGAGUCACCGGAGAGAGGGCGAAGCAAACCAUCAGCAACGAGGGCCUCCAGAUCAUCCACCGUGACGGUGGAGAAAGGCCACGGGUCGCGCGGCGAAACAACCGUCACCCGGUCGGCCAUCACCGAGCAGAAGAGGUGGCGGCGGAGAGGACGAGGUGUGUGGUUUCCUUUCUCUGGCUAUUCCCUCGGGUUGCGAAAACCUAAGUAGGAGGCGAGCAGCAGAGUAAAGAACCGUCACCGGUCCCUCUCCCGAAUAUAUAAAGGCCCAGGCGAGACCUGUUCAACACUUCGCCCGAACCCGUCGCGAGAUUCAAAACUCAAAGCGAGACGCCUGUUCCUCGAACGGCUCGCGCACGCACAACGGCUGCCCCGCGAACCACUCGUCCCGUCGCAUUAACUCUGCGACAGGACAGGCGACACCUUUGGCAGGCGAAGCAGGCGACGCUUCACCUCUGCCAUAAUGACCGCGUCAAAAAAGGUGUGCCACGUCGUUCGAUUUCAUAUCCUUUUCCACUUCCUCUUUCUCUCUCUUGCUACAGGGACCGGGAAAGGGGAUACUCCGAAAGGGAUCCUUCUCCGCGAAGGAAGCGGGCCCCGAGCCCCCCUACUGAUCAGAGGUUCGAAGGCUGGCCCCUUGGAAGGGUUCAACAGCCGCCUCAGAGCACUCGGGCUCCGCGCCCACUACUGGUCAGAGGUUCGAAGGCUGGCCCCUCGGAAGGGUUCAAUGACCGCCUCAGGCCACUCGAGCUCCGCACCCACUACUGAUCAGGGGUUCGUAGGCUGGCCCCCGAAGGGUUUGACAGCCGCCUCAGAGCACGUAGAGCGAGGGAUGACCCUAGGUACGUUCGAUACAGAACCGAGGCUCGGGCUAUGCUCCCGAGGUACCCUAGAACAUUUCCGAGACCGACGGGAACGAUUUCGUAACGGAAUCCCACCAGAGGGAGGCAUCGAGCCCUCGGACCCCGUCAAAAGGGGACCGGGUCCGGCGAAUCACCCGCAGGUACUUUUGGAGCGCGCCUCCGGGCCACUAGCCGACCCCUAAUGAAUGGGGCACGGGCGUCCACUCGGAUUACCCGUUAGCAACUCACUGGAGACACCAUGUUCGGCGCCCUCCGAGGGAAACAUGGCGCUUUCCCCCCUCCUCCUUGCGGAAAGGCGAUGCAUGGGCGUAUGAAAAAAGCUGAGUCUGUCCUUGACCGUCCUCUCGCUCUGUGCGGAGGCUCGGGGGUUGCUCUCGCAAACCCGGCUCCGGCCAAACCGUUGACAGCGUCAACAUACCAGCCCGAGAACUUGGGACUCGACUAUGCACCCGAGCUACGACCAGUUCACAUGAAGGAACAACCAGACCAGCCGAAGCAUCACGAAACGCGCUAAGACUUCGAAGGAGUCAAACCACUCCUCCGAGGCCUUGGGGGCUACACCCGGCGAGUGCGCUCGCGCGCACCCACCGGAACAAAACGCAACCGAGAAAGGCCGGUCCCCUUGCAAAAAAGUGCGACAAAAGCCUCCAAGCGAGUAUCAACACUCCCUUCGAGGCUCGGGGGCUACUGUUGGGGAGCAUAAUUAGGGGUACCCCCAAGACUCCUAAUCUCAGCUGGUAACCCCCAUCAGCACAAAGCUGCAAAGGCCUGAUGGGCGCGAUUAAGGUCAAGGCUCAGUCCACUCAAGGGACACGAUCUCGCCUUGCCCGAGCCCAGCCUCGGGCAAAGGCAGCCGACCCCGAAGGAUUCACGUCUCGCCCGAGGGCCCCCUCAAGCAACGGACACACCUUCGGCUCGCCCGAGGCCCAGUCUUCGCAGAGAAGCAACCUUGGCCAGAUCGCCACGCCAACCGACCGUAUCGCAGGAGCAUUUAAUGCAAGGAUCGCCUGACACCUUAUCCUGACGUGCGCUCUUCAUUCGAUAGAGCCGAAGUGACCGCAGUCACUUCGCCGCUCCACUGACCGAUCUGACAAGAAAACAGUGUCGUCUGCGUCGCUCCGACUGCUGUGCCACUCGACAGAGUGAGGCUGACAGCAGCUAAGUCCAGCCUUGGGCGCCAUAGGAAGCUCCACCUCACGCGACCCCAGGGCUCGGACAUAGCCUCGGCCUCGGAAGACGGUCUCCGCCUCGCCCGACCCUAGGGCUCGGGCUCAACCUCGACGUUGGACGACGGACUCCGCCUCACCCGACCCCAGGGCUCGGACACGGCCUCGGCCUCGGAAGACGGUCUCCGCCUCGCCCGACCCCAGAGCUCGGGCUCAACCUCGACGUUGGACGACGAACUCUGCCUCGCCCGACCCUAGGGCUCAGACACAGCCUUGGCCUCGAAAGAUGGUCUCUGCCUCGCCCGACCCAGGGUUCGGACUCGAACUCGACCUCGGAAGAUGGACUCCGCCUUGCCCGACCCUAGGGCUCAGACUCAGCCUCGACCUCGGAAGACGGACUCGACCUCGACCUCGGAGGAGCCUCCGCCUCGCCCGACCUAGGGCUCGGACCAACCACGUCACUGGGGGCCAUCAUUACCCUACCCUUAGCUAGCUCAGGCUACGGGGAACAAGACCGGCGUCCCAUCUGGCUCGCCCCGGCGAACAAAUAAUGAUGGCGUUCCGCGUGCUCCAUGACGACGGCGGCUCUCAGCCCCUUACGGAAGCAAGGAGACGUCAGCAAGGAUUCGACAGCCCCGACAGCUGUCCUUUCGCAGGGCUCCAUCUCUCCUCCGACGGCCACGACAUCACAUGAGCAGGGUGCCAAAACCUCUCCGACUGCCACGACGACAUGUACUUAGGGCUCUAGCUCCUCUCUGCUAGACACGUUAGCACACUGCUACACCCCCCAUUGUACACCUGGACCCUCUCCUUACGCCUAUAAAAGGAAGGUCCAGGGCUCUCGUACGAGAAGGUUGGCUGCGCGGGAGAACGGGCCGACGCAUAAGGCUCUCGCUCUCUCCCACGCGAACGCUUGUAACCCCCUACUGCAAGCGCAUCCAUCCUCCCUGGGCGCAGGACAACACGAAGGCCACGGUUUUCCCCUUACUGUUCUCCCCCCUUUGUGUCCCGUCUCGUGCCGACCCAUCUGGGCUGGGACACGCAGCGACAAUUUACUCGUCGGUCCAGGGACCCCCCCCCCCCCCCCCCGGGGUCGAAACGCCGACAAAAUUCAAGAUACUUGCAUUGUGGUCAUACAUAUAUUUUUAUCUAUUGUCUUAUUUCAAGUUUAAUCUAUUAAAUAAUUAGAAUUCUAUGUGUCUAGUCAUAAAAAUGUCGGGCGCGGGCAACCCGCGGGUACCCGUUACCCGCACAGGCAUGGGUACAUGCAUAAUUUUGUACCCUACUGCAGGUAUGGGUUUUUAGUGAGCAUGCAUUUUAUUCGCAGGUACAGGUAUGGGUAGACAUUACCCAUCGAAUAUGUGCCCAUUGCCAUCUCUACUUGACAGGGGAUGAAAGCAACCCUAAGAGGACACCACAACGUGGAUGUAGGCAACCAUUUCAGGCUUGGCCGAACUACGGGAAAAUCACAGUGUCUUGCGUGCUUAUCUCUUUAUGAUUUUCUCCUCUUCCUAAGUUCUCCAUAUUGACUUGUAAUAUUGCUCUUAGUUUAAUUUACAUCUUGAAAGAUCAAUCAAGUGAAGAGAACUUUCUUUCUUCUUCUCACCUGUUCUUGAUCUAGUUUUGCGUUAACUCCUAAUUUUAGAUCAAGAAUGUGUUUGGAGUUGUAAUUUUUGCAGGAUCACCUAUUUACCCCCCCCCUCUAGGUGCUCUCAGGAACUAGCUUUGAUUUUAGCACUUUUGCUGCUUUUAUGCUCUGAUUAGUUUUUGACAUUUGGCUAGAGGUGUUGAGCCUCUUUCUGCCUCUUCUUGAGGACUAGUCAUUUUCUCUCUUGGUUGUGUUGAGUCGUUGUCCAUUUCUUUGGGGACCAAGCUUUGCUCACUCUGGUUGACCUUUUUGGUUUUUGCUUGUUUUGGUCAUUUGAGUGAGUCUCCCUUCUUCCUCUUCCUCUUCCUCUUUUCUGUUGAUCUUUGUGUUCGAAUAGUGGUGUUGACAAUGCACACAUUAAGAGGGAGAUUGUGAACACAAGGUUGAUUUGUCCCUUGUGGUUUGGGUUGUGAUGAGUGGUUGUCAAUGAGUAGUGUAUUGGGUUGAGUCGCGUGGACUAACUAGGGCAUGCGUAUGUGUUGUGUAACCAUGUCUCUCGGCUUGUGGUGUGUAGGUGUGUAGCACAUGGACGAUGGUCGACGAUGAAGGUGAAGAUCAUAUGAGUUUGUGCUGAUGAGUCGAGAGUGGUGAAGGAUGAGCGCUAAGUCUUGAUCGAGGGACUGGAGAAGUCGGGUGACUAGCCGUCGUUGCUGACACUUAGGAAACGCACUAGUGCGAGGGUGUGGAGAAGCGGAUCGUGUGGUCGGCAUGAUCAAGGAUUGGUGGGACAUGUGUCCAUGACAUGUGAGACACACAUGCGGUGCGCGGUUGAGCCUCAACCACCUAGUGCUUCAAUUCACCGGUUUUGGCUGGGUUUGGGCCUCAAAACACGGUGGUGCAGUUUCGGUGGGAAUCAGAGGCAGUAAUUUGGUAUAUGGAUUAUUUUUUCAAUUCUUCAAUGUUACAAAGAUUAGUUAUAUAAGCAUAUUGAGGUCCGAAAUUGUUUGCACUAACUAAAGAUUUGUUUGUUGUUCAUUAUUGUACAAGUUUUUUUUACAUGUUUAUCUCCAUAAAAUGUUCUCCUCAUACUAUUUAUUGCUAAAUGCGUGUACAAACUAUAGACCUCAGCCAUGCACGUUACCCCAUAUUCGUUCCUAGUAGGACAAUAGGUCCUUAUUUUGUCAUUCCAGUAAACAGUCACUUAAAAUCAGGGACAAAAAACACUUUAAUAUAGGGGAAGUUUUUAAAAAAUUAGGAUAAAUCUUUUAUAUCAAACAAUUUUACGAAAUGUCUUUAGCUCUACAAAAACUGCUUUUUAGGGGAAAAAACCAGAGCCAGAACUAUUUUUAGACAAACCAGAGCCCUCCUAAAAGACUCUUAAAUUAUACUAUCUCCGAUCUCGAGUAUUUGUCACCCCUAGCUUAUUUUUUAAUGAAAAUGUGACAAAUAAAAAAGAAACAGUGAGAGUACUACCUCCGUUCACAAAUAUAUGACAUCGUUGACUUUUUCGAAAACUUUGACCACUUAUCUUAUUCAAAAUAUUUAUUCAAAAAUGUAAAAUUUUAAGUCAAACACAAACUACCUUAAGUGAUAAAAUAAAUCACAAAUAAAUAAAUAAUAACUUAUUAUUUUUUUGAAUAAGAUAAGUGGUCAAAGUUUUUAAAAAAAGUUAAAGGUGACAUAUAUUUAUGAACGGAUAGAGUACUACAUAAGAUUUAGUGCAAGUUAAUGCUAAUAUAAACAAUGAAGUGUAUCCAUAACAGUGACCAACUCCAAAAUGAAGCAAGAUAAGCUCCAGUAUCCACAAGAUUGUAAGUACUCCCACCGUUUGUAUUUAUUUAUCUUAUUUUAGUUUAAAAAUAAACUAGCAGAUAAUAAAUAUUCAAGAAUAGAAGGAGUAUUGUAUAAAUAGCACGGUCAUCACUCAACGACUUCUCUUUGGUGUUCUUCUGCCUUGGUUUCUAAAUGGCAAUUCGGUUUGCAUAGUUUGGCACUAGUAUAUGGCACCCCACUUAAGGCGGGGCGGGGCCGGGGGAGUGCUCCUUGUCGCUGUAUCAAUCCCCGAAAUCUAAUCCUCGUCUUAGCCUUAAAACGCUUAACGAGGAGGAUUUCAUCCUCAUCCUCGUCCCUGUCGGGGAUCCGAUACCCGCGGGGAACCUAGGGGAUUGAUUGUUUAUUGUAAAUAUUAUGAAUACACACAAAAAUAAGGAUUGUCACGUAGAUAAGUGGUAAUUAAAUAAAAAAAGAUGGUUAAGGGUAGCGAGUGAUGAUUUUGUAUCUUUAUAUGAGGUUAUAACAAGACAAUUUAUUGGAUUCAGCAUUUAUAGACUAUAUAAGGAGAGGGUCUAACUCCUAAUUCGGUCCCCAUCAGGUCCCCGUGGGGGAUUUUUAUCUCUAGCCCCGCUCCGCUCAAUUUCGGGUCCCCGCCCCGCUAUCUCCGUGGGGGAAUUUUCAUCCCCAUCCUCGUCCCGUUCAGGUCGAGUCUCGUGGGUACCCGCCCCACGGUGGAAAUUGCUAUCCUUAGCCCCAGUUCACAUCAACAUGGGUAAAUGAUUAUCCGACGUUGGCUUCUGGAAUUAUUUAGGUCUUGCUCGUUUACACCAAUCCAACUCUAUAUUAGCACGGAUUGGAAUUAAAUCCAUGUCAUAAUCCAUGCCCCAAAAUAAUCUAAGCUCACUCAAAAAAAGUUAUUCGGUUAAACCCAUCAUAACCCAAGGAUUUGAGAUUUUUAUUAACUAUGAAAGGCAUGUAUUCUAUCUAUAACUUAUUAGGUAUGAAACAAAUUCAUGAAGAUAUUGCACAAGUUUAUAUUAGUGUCGGCGUUUCGGACCCGCGAGGACCGUCAACCGACCAGUGAAUUUGUCGCUACGUGUCCCUGCCCAGAUGGGUUGAUGCAAGAUGGAACACAAGCGGGAGGGAUGAGGCUUAUAUUAUUUUGCACCGGGGUGCUCGUAGUAGGGGUUACAAGCGUUGCGAGAGAGCGAGAGCGAGAGAGAGAGGGGGGGUUUGGCCUUGAGGUGAGCUGUCCGAGUUUGCCUCCACCGCGUCUCUCCUACUCUGCCUACCUCUGCUCGCCUGCCUUCGCCCUCCGCCUCCCUUAGGAAGGCCCUGGAUAUCCCCUUUUAUAGAUACAAGGAGAUGCCCAGCUGUACAAUGGGGGUGUAGCUAUGUGCUAUCGUGGCUGGCGGAGAAGUGCCUUGAGCCCUGUACACGUGCUAAUGUGGCCGUCGGUGAAGUGCUUGAGCCUCGUAGAAGCGUAGCUGACGGUGCGGCCCAGGGUCCUGCUAACGUUUCCUUGCUUCUGUAAGGAGCUGAGAGCCAUCGACGUCAUGGCCGCACGCGGGAACCAUCAUUACCUGCUAUCGGAGUACUUUGAUGUGACUCCGGUCUUGUUCCUUCGUAGCAAGGGGUGGCUAGCUAGCGGUAGGGUAAUGAUGUAUCCCCUAAAGCGUAGUCGGUCCAAGGCCGAGGUCGGGCGAGGCGGAGACUUCUCCUGAGGCUGAGGCCGAGAUCGGGCGAGGAUGUGACUCCUCCCGAGGCCGAGGCUGAGGCCGAGGCCUGGGGUCGGGCGAGGCGGAGACCUUCUCCUAAGGCCGAGGCUGAGGACGAGGCCUGAGGUCGAGCGAAGCGGAGCUCCUUGUUGUGCCCGAGGCUGAACUCGGGGGAGGUCGUGACUCAGCUCUACCCUGGUGGUUGGCACAGUAGUCGGAACGGGGUGAAUAGUGUUGUUUUCCUGUCAGAACGGUCAGUAAAGGGGCAAAGUGACUGCAGUCACUUCGACCUUGUCGACUGAGGCGCGUGUGUCAGGGUAAGGUGUCAGGCGAUCUCCGCAUUAAAUGUGCAUGCGAUACGGUCGGUUGGUAAGGCGAUUUGGCCGAGGUCGCCGCACGACAAAGUUUGCCCAAGCUAGGCUUCGGGCGAGCCGAGGGUGCGCCCACUGCCUGAGGGGACCCUCGGGUGAGGCGUGAAUUCGUCCGGGACUACUGUUCUCGCCCGAGGCCGGGCUCGGGCGAGGCGAGGUCGUGUCCCUUGGUAGACGAGGCCCUAACUUGAACCGUGCUUAUCAGUCGUUUAUGGUUUGUUCUGAAGAUGUUUUUCAGUCGUGUUUAGGAGCAUUGGGGGUACCCCUAAUUACGGUCCCCGACAGUAGCCCUCGAGCCUCGAAGGGAGUGUAGGUACUCGCUUGGAGGUUCUGCCGGAGUUUUGCAAGGGGACCAGCCCUUCUCGGUUAUAUUUUGUUCCGAUGGGUGCGCGCGAGCGCACCCAUCGGGUGUUGCCCCCGAGGCCUCGGAGGAGUGGUUUGACUCCUCUAAGGUCUUAAUUCUUUUUGUGAUGCCUCGGUCAGCCUUGUUGUUCCCUCAUGCGGCCUGGCCGUAGCCCGGGUGCACGGCCAGGCUCCGAGUUUUUAAGCUGGUUUGUUGACGUGGUCAACAGUUUGGCCGUAGCCUGGUGCGAGAGCAGCCCCUGAGCCUCUGCACGGAGCGAGAGGACGAUCAAGGACCAUCUCGACUUUUAUUGUACGCCCCUUCGUCGCCUCUCCGCAAGGAGGAAGGGGGGAAAGCGCCAUGUUACCCUCGGAGGGCACCGAACAUGGUGCUUCCAGUGAGUUGCUAACGGAUGAUCCGAGUGGACGCCCGAGCCCCGUUCGAUAAGGGUCGGCUAGUGGCCCAGAGGCGCGCUCCAAAAGUACCUGCAGGUGAUUUGCUGGACCCGGACCCAUUCGAUAGGGUUCAAGAGCUCGGUGCCUCCCUCCGGUGGGAUUCCAUUGCAAAUCGUUCCCGCUGGUCUCGGAAAUGUCCUAGGUUACCUCGGGAGCAUAGCCCGAGCCUCGGCCAUGUAACGGACGUACCCAGGGUCAUCCCUGACUCUACGUGCUCUGGGGCGGCUGUCGAACCCUUCCGAGGGGCCAGCCUUCGAGCCCCUGAUCAGUAAAGGGCUCGGAGCCCGAGUGCUCUGGGGCGGUUGCCGAACCUCGCAGGGCGCAACCUUCGAACCCCUGAUUAGUAGGAGGGCUCGGGCCCCGUUUCCUUCGCUGAGAAGGAUCCUUUUCGAAAUAUCCCCUUUCACGGUCCCUGUGGCAAGAGAGAGAGGAAAAGGAAAAGGAUAUAAAUUUAAAUAAUGUGGCACACCUUUUUUGACGCGGUCAUCAUGACGGAGGUGAAACGUCGCCCGCUUCGCCUGCCAGAGGUGUCGUUUGCCCUGCCAAGGAGUUAAUGCGACGGAACGGGCGAUUCGUGGGGCGUCUGUUGCGCGUGCGCGAGUUGUUCGAAGAACAAAAAAACCGUUUCACCUUCGAGUUUGAAUUUCGCGACGGGUUUGGGCGAAGUUUUGGGUGGAUCUCGCCCGGGCCUUUAUAUACCCGGAAGAGGGGUCGGUGGUGGUUCUUUACCCUGCCAUUUGCGCUUGCCUUCUGCUUUGGUUUCCGCAACCUAAGAGAAUAGCCAGAGAAGAGAAAACCACGCACCUCAUCCCCUCCGCCUCCACCACCUCCGUUCGGCGAUGGCUAACAAGGUGACCGUCGUUCCGCUGUGCGACCCGUGGCCUUUCUCCACCGUUGCUGUGGAGGAUCUGGAGGCCCUUGUUACCGAUGGUUUGCUCCGUCCUCUCUCCGGCGGGCCACAGCCGGAGUGGAUGGCCCCCGGGAGCGAGGCCGACCCGACUCCGCCGCCGGGGUACGUGGUCAGUUUCAUCCCUUUCCAUGAGCGGGGGUUUGGAGUGCCAGCGAGCCGCUUCAUGCGGGCGCUCCUGCACUACUACGGGGUGGAGCUGCAUAACUUCAACCCCAACUCCAUUGUGCAAGCGGCCAUCUCCGCGGCGGUUUGCGAGGGUUUUUUGGGGAUUGACCCUCACUGGGACCUGUGGACCCAUCUCUUCUCCGCGGAGUUCUUUGUCGCGUCGACGGACGCGAAGAAGGUCCGUAUGGCAGCGUGGGCCGGUGGCUGCACCCUCCAGCUGAUGCCGGGGCGCGCAUAGCAGUAAAUCCCUGCCUCCCUUGUGUCUUCGAACAAGGGGUGGCAGAACCGGUGGUUUUAUCUCCGGAACGAUGUGUAACGCCCUGAAUUUGGGGUAGAAUUUUUUCUUCUUUUCCCUCACCAAAUUCGGGCGUUACCCUUUCCUUUUCCCUUUUCUCCUCGCUAAACCUUGAUCUUUUCCAAAGUUAUAGCGGGAUUCGGCCUGAGAUCCCAUGUAAAGCAAAACCCUAAAAUAUUUUAUUUUGCUUGAUGCACCAUGCCGAACCAUGCAUUCUUUUAGAUUGUUUGAAAACGUAAAUGCAUUCAUCUAGGAAAUAGAUAUUAAAAAAAAGGGAAAAAUCCUUUCCUCUCUCCCCUCCCCCCUCCUUCCCCAUUUUUUGACCCAGCCCCCCCCCCCCCGCGCGGCCCAGCCGCGCCCCCUCCCCUGCGGGCCCCGCCCGUCAUUCUCUCCCCUGCCCUAACCGUGCCUCCCCUCCCCCUGCGCGCCGCCGCUGCCCUGCCCUACGCGGUAAGCCCCCCUCCUCCCUCCCUCUCCCCGGCCAUGGCGCCCCCGUCCCUGCCCCGCCUCGGCCCCGCCGCCGCGCCCGGCCCCGGCCAUGGCGCCCGCCCCGGUCGCCCCGACCCCGGCUGCGCCGCCCCGACCCCGCCCGUGCCUCGCCUCGCCCGUGCUCCGUGCUCGCCCACCUGCCCCGGCGUGCCCUGCUCACGUCGUGACGGCCCCGGCGCGGACUUGAGCUCGGCCAGCGCGCGGCCCCGAUGUGCGCACAGCUAGUUCGCGGUGCAUGCGUGCGGCCUUGCGCGCGUGCUCGCGUAAUGCGCAGUGCCUUGGCACGACUCGUCGUGCCCUCGUCUACCCAUGGACGUGCCCGUCUACCCCCCUAUAUUUUAUGCGUUAGAAAUUGGUUACGUUAGUUAAUUUAUAUAGCUAAUCGUCUAUCUCAUUUAAUGUUAAUCUACUAAAAGUGGUCACGUUUCUAUUAGUGCAUGUAGCUAAUCCUUAUUAUUGGAGCUAAGUAGAACUAGAGCACGUAACGUUUAGUUAUUCGUCUACCCGUAGUGCGCCUCGAGCAUUAGCUUUAACCCCUGCGAGACCUUUCCCCGUUUCUUUCUAACCACGGUAAAUGCAAUAUCGCAUGUCAUAUGCUAUGCAUGUUUAAUCUACUUGUUCUCUUGUAUGGUGUACUGUUGGUUUCCUAAUUUCAAUGGAUGGAUGUAUGUAUGUUUGCAAUCGCAUAGAGAACGAUCUGGUUGAAGAGCCCGAAGAACUCGCAGGAGAAGCCCCUGAGCAGCAGUCGGUUGGUGGAGGCAAGUGUCCCUUGACCUAUCUCUGUCCUAUACAUUCUUUAAUUCACCUCCCGCAUUACACAUUUAUACCUAAGGAUUGACUAGCUUUUUGUUAUCCAUGUCCUUGUUUACCUAUUUGGGUUGGAUUAUUAUUGUUUAGCUUUAUGCUAUUGCUCAACUAUAAUCAAUGAACAUGAUGAGAUUAUCUAUGAUACGUUGUUUUCCCUCUUCUUAUUAUGAUGUUCUACUUGUGGCCUUUAAGGGGGCUCGAGCGGUUUCUCGAGUGCCUCUCCGUAAGGACCUGUUCUUUGGAUGACCGCCCAGGAAAACAGUGCAACCAUGAGGGUGGAAUGGGAUGCCCUUAGCUGAAUAAUUAGAGGAUCUGGGGUGUAGUUCGCUUAGCCGUCGUGUCGUCAAUGGGGCUCGGUGUAUGCGGCUCGCUCUGCCAAGCUCGGGUUCGCCCCUUGGGGAGGAGUGCGGUGCAUUUAGGAAACCUAACGGGCGGCUACAGCCCCGGGGAAUCUUUGUAAAGGCUACGUAGUGAUGCCCCGCUGGGUCACCUUGGUAGUGAUCAAUGGAGAGUUAUGAUCUCCGGGCAGAAAGGGAAUCAUGGCUUGUGGGUAAAGUGCACAACCUCUGCAGAGUGUUUGAAAAACUGAUAUAGCAGCCGUGCUCGCGGUUAUGAGCGGCCAAGGGAGCUCCAGUGAUUAGUGGUACUUGAUCAGAGACAUCUUGGUUUACAGGUGGCAAUGAGAUUGAUGGUUCUGGUUAUGACUAUAGUGCUGGUAAGUGGUAUUCUUUCCGUUUGGAAAGGGUACAUCGGGCUAAUAACUUGGUUUAAUACUAAAACCUGGCUUUCUACUAGAAAAUAAUAAUCUGACCAACUAAAAGCAACUGCCUGACUUAUCCCCACAUAAAGCUAGUCCACUACAGCCAAACAGGAUACUUGCUGAGUAUGUUGAUGUGUACUCACCCUUGCUCUACACACCAAACCCCCCCAUCCCCAGGUUGUCAGCAUUGCAACCACUGCUCAGGAGAAGAUGAAGCCGUGGAAGGAGACUUCCAGGAGUUCCAAGAUUACGAUGAGUUCUAGGCAUGGGUUAGCGGCAACCCCCAGUCGGCUGCCAGUGAAGGCCGCGUUUAUCUAUGUUUCGUUUUCGCACUUUGAUUUACUGUAAAGACUAUGUGGAUGUCUUGGACAUCAUGAUGUAAUCGACUAUUUCCCUUUUUAAUACUAUUUGAGCACUGUGUGAUGAUGUCCAUGUUAUGUAACUGCUGUGUACGUGAAUUGCUGAUCCUGGCACGUACAUGGUUCGCAUUCGGUUUGCCUUCUAAAACCGGGUGUGACAUAGGUGGUAUCAAAGCCGUGCUGACUGUAGGACUGCUAACCUAGAGUAGAUUGGUCGUUCUAAGGAUUAUAGACCUCUGUCCCUGCCUUGACUUUGAUAUCCCUUCAAAAGUUGGUCAUAUUGACCAAACCUAUGUUCUACUAUAUAUUAUACCUUGCUGAAAAUUAUGUUUUUAUUUUAAUCCUUCAUUUAUUUAAGAUUCAUUACUUGCUGGUCAUAUUAAUUCUGUUCUCACUCUUUUGCUUGCGGUGUCUUUUGUAGAUGGCUCGUCUUAGACACACUGCACGAAAGUCCAUCAUCCCCUUCUUACCCUUCCGCCUUGCUGAGCGUCCGCUUCGCCGUCCCGUGGCCGGUCAGUCCAGUCACUUGGAGAGGCUGCACCACCACCUGCAUGAGGAGUAGGAACGUCGACGACAGGAGCAGCAGGGCUCUUCUUUCUCGCUCCAACAGGAGAUAGAGUCCGUGAGGAGCUGCUCCCCUGUGCUUCCCCUGGAGGCGCCCCCUGCACCACCACUGGGCGCCCCAGCCUAUGGAGUAGCUGAUGGAGGAGACCCAGACGACGGAGGUGGCGACGACAGCUCGAGCCACGACACCGACUUCUCUGCUGACCAAGAGCCGGAAGGAUGGGUUGCUCGACCCAUCACUCGCGACGCUGCUCGCGGGUGUCACUUCCAUGAUGCGCUCGACACCCUGCUACGUCGGGCACUUAACCAGCGUACUUGGUCCAUCGAGUAUUGCUGUGUGGUCUACCAGCAUAGUCGCGGAGUUUACCCGGACCGCUGGGAGGCGACCUGCUUGGUGCGCCGUCCGGAGAACAGUCUCCAGGGUGCUGAGGUCUGCUCAGAGCACUAUUCCAUCUCUGAGCGGGACUCAGCCGAGGCGGCCAUGCAAGAUGCUGCACAGCGUGCGCUUUCGCACUACUGCUCGGUUCUCGGUGGGGUAGCUGACGGUCUCAACCUGAAGUAUUACCCCCACCGUCCAUCUGGCAGCACAGGAGGCGUGAUUGUCUCACCUGUUGGUGAGGACAAUCCUAGGUUGAGCAGCACAGUCAACCUAGCCGUCGUGCUAAACACGGAGCUAGACCAUACACUGAACGAGCUGAGUAGGGCUCGUGCUGAGAUUGCCCUGCUGCGGGCUGAGCGCGCGGAACGUCGUCACCUAGAUGAUGGUUCCCCCGCUCCCGUUGGGACUCAGCACCUGUACCGCUCACCUCGGCGUGGACGCCAGUCUUAUGGCAAUCCCGACUGCAAGACCAAGAUAAAUCUAGAACCAUAGAUCGCUAGAGUCGGAUCUUGUAAUUAAUACAAAAUAUAUACGUAGAAGCUACAGUCUUAGCGUUAGUCUCGCUCUUAGUUAGUCUUAGUUAGACAGGGUAGUUUGCUAUAUCCUAUGCAUUUAUGUUUGUCAUGAUGAACUAUGUUUGGUUUGGAUCUUUGUAAUGACUGUCACCAGAGUGUGGAUAUCCCCUGCAUUUUGGUUUACCUAUUAUAUUAAUGGAGUUAGUUAUCUAGUUGGGAAACCUUUUAUUCCACUUUCCUCUAUAUCUGAGAAGCUGUGUUGGUCUGUGUUGGAGAUCAGUGAAGAUGCUCAUCUGUUGAGGGUUGUGGAGAAUUCUAUACUCUUUUCUUAUGCUGCAAGAUUUGCAAGAUCAGUUAUGAUGUGUGAUUACAUUCUGCAGAUGUCAGAGAACAGGCGCAGAGGAGGAAGGCGUGCUCAGCAGGAGCAAGCCGCUCAACAGGAAGAGGUGCCUCAGCAACAACAACUGCCGCCCCUGCCCCCGAUGUCCAUCGAGCAGAUGUUUCUGAUGCAGACUCAGGCAGUCCAAGCCAUCGGUCAGACUCUGGCCACCAUUCAGCAGCAGCAGCAGCAGGCACCACCUCAGCCUCAGAUGCCCAGGGAUAAGCGUGCUGAAUUCAUGAGAGGUCAUCCCCCAACGUUUGCUCAUUCUUCUGACCCCAUGGAUGCUGAAGACUGACUGCGCACUAUGGAGCGGGAGUUGCAUACCGCUCAGUGUGACGACAGAGAAAAAGUCCUGUAUGGUCCCCGUCUGUUGAGAGGAGUAGCUCAGUCAUGGUGGGAGUCUUAUCUCGCCACCCAUGCCAACCCCGACACCAUCACCUGGGAAGAGUUCAGAGGUAGCUUUCGUCAGUACCAUGUUUCUGCAGGUCUGAUGACAGUGAAGAAGGAGGAGUUCUUGGCCCUCAAGCAAGGGUCAUCGUCUGUCAGUGAGUACCGAGACAGGUUUCUGCAGUUGUCUCGCUAUGCUCUUGAAGAUGUCAACACCGACGCCAAGCGACAGUACCGUUUCCUGAGAGGCUUGGUUGAUCCUCUGCAGUAUCAACUGAUGAAUCAUACCUUCUCGACAUUCCAGCACUUGAUUGACAGGGCAAUCAUGACAGAGAGGAAGCGUAAGGAGAUGGAGGAUCGCAAGCGCAAGAUCAGUGGACCCCAGCCUGGAAGCAGCAUUCGUCCUCGUUUCUCAGGCAAUCAAUCUCAGCAGUUCAGGCAGAACCAGCGUCCACCUCAGCAGCAUCAGCAGUUCCAAAGGCAGUAUCCUCAGCACCAGUAUCAGAAUCGUCAGAACAACCAGUCAAGAGGAGGCCAGUUUCAGAGGCAGAAUCAGCAGACACUUCGUCUUCCUGCCCUAGCAGCCCAGCAGAACAGUCAGGCAGCACCAGCUCAGGUUGGAAAUAGAGCAUGUUUCCACUGUGGAGAGCAAGGCCACUGGGUGAUGCAAUGUCCGAAGAAGACGGCCCAGCAGUAGUCAGGCCCCAAUGCCCCAGCAAAGCAGAAUGUGUCUCAGCCAGGAGCAGGCAACCGCUCUCAGCCACGCUAUAAUCAUGGAAGACUGAAUCACUUGGAGGCUGAAGCAAUUCAGGAGACCCCCGACAUGAUAGUAGGUAUGUUCCCAGUCGACUCCCAUAUUGCAGAAGUGUUAUUUGAUGCUGGAGCAACACAUUCUUUCAUUACUGCAUCAUGGGUAGAAGCACAUAAUCUUCCAAUUACUACCAUGUCAACCCCCAUUCAAAUUGACUCAGCCGGUGGUAGAAUUCGAGCCAAUAGCAUUUGUUUGAAUGUAUGUGUGGAAAUAAGGGGGAUAGCGUUUCCCGCCAACCUCAUAGUAAUGGGUACUCAGGGAAUAGAUGUCAUCCUAGGGAUGAAUUGGCUAGAUAAGUAUCAGGCAGUUAUCAGUUGUGAUAAGAGGACAAUCAAGUUGGUGUCCCCACUAGGAGACGAAGUGGUGACCGAGUUAGUCCCGCCUGAGCCAAAGAAAGGAAGUUGUUAUCAGAUGGUUGUCGAUAGCAGUGAAGCAGACCCAAUUGAGAGCAUCAAGAUUGUGUCUGAGUUUCCAGAUGUGUUUCCAAAGGACUUACCAGGUAUGCCACCAGAGCGGAAAGUUGAAUUUGCUAUAGAGCUUCUUCCUGGAACCGCCCCCAUCUUUAAGAGAGCUUUCAGAAUAUCCGUACCAGAGUUGGUUGAACUUAAGAAGCCGAUUGAUGAGCUAUCAGAGAAAGGUUACAUUCGGCCAAGCACCUCGCCUUGGGCCGCCCCUGUCCUAUUUGUGGAAAAGAAAGAUGGCACCAAAAGGAUGUGUAUCGAUUAUCGAGCUCUGAAUGAAGUCACGAUCAAGAACAAGUACCCUUUGCCCAGAAUAGAAGAUCUGUUCGACCAGUUGAGAGGAGCCAGUGUGUUCUCCAAGAUUGAUCUGAGGUCAGGUUAUCAUCAGCUCAGGAUCCGACCUUCGGACAUUCCGAAGACGGCAUUCAUUACCAAGUAUGGUUUGUAUGAGUUCACUGUGAUGUCUUUUGGUUUAACCAAUGCACCAGCCUUCUUCAUGAAUCUGAUGAACAGCGUAUUCAUGGAUUAUCUUGACAAGUUUGUGGUGGUAUUCAUUGAUGACAUCCUGAUAUACUCUCAAAGCGAAGAAGAGCAUGCAAGUCAUUUGAGGAUGGUAUUGCAGAGAUUGCGAGAGCACUAGUUGUAUGCAAAAUUGAGCAAGUGUGAGUUCUGGAUCAGUGAAGUCCUGUUCUUGGGUCACAUAAUCAACAAAGAAGGAUUGGCUGUGGAUCCGAAGAAAGUGGCAGACAUUCUAAACUGGAAAGCGCCAACAGAUGCUCAAGGAAUCAAGAGUUUCAUUGGAAUGGCCGGAUAUUAUCGGUGAUUCAUUGAAGGGUUUUCGAAGAUUGCAAAACCAAUGACAGCGUUGCUAGGCAACAAAGUUGAGUUUAAGUGGACCCGGAAAUGUCAAGAGGCCUUUGAAGCGCUGAAAGAAAAGUUGACUACAACGCCCAUCUUAGUCUUGCCUGAUGUGCACAAGCCCUUCUCGGUGUAUUGCGAUGCUUGUUACACUGGUUUGGGAUGCGUGUUGAUGCAAGAGGGAAGAGUUGUGGCUUACUCGUCCCGACAGCUGAAAGUUCAUGAGAAGAAUUACCCAAUCCAUGACCUAGAGUUGGCAGCAGUGGUUCACGCACUGAAGACAUGGAGGCACUACCUGUAUGGACAGAAAUGUGAUGUUUACAUAGACCACAAGAGUCUGAAGUACAUAUUCACUUAGUCAGAGUUGAAUAUGAGGCAACGAAGAUGGUUAGAGUUAAUCAAAGACUAUGAGUUGGAGAUUCACUACCAUCCAGGUAAAGCGAACGUAGUGGCAGAUGCGUUGAGCAGGAAGAGUCAGAUCAAUCUGAUGGUCGCUCGUCCGAUGCCUUAUGAGUUGGCCAAGGAGUUCGACAGGUUGAGUCUCGGAUUUCUUAACAACACGCGUGGAGUCACAGUUGAGUUGGAACCUACCCUAGAGUGGGAAAUCAAAGAAGCGCAGAAGAACGAUGAGAAGAUCAGUGAGAUCCGGCGACUGAUUCUAGACGGCAGAGGCAAAGACUUUCGAGAAGAUGCAGAAGGUGUGAUAUGGUUCAAAGACCGCCUAUGUGUUCCCAAUGUCCAGUCUAUUCGGGAGUUGAUCCUCAAGGAAGCUCAUGAGACAGCUUAUUCGAUUCACCCCGGAAGUGAGAAGAUGUAUCAGGAUCUGAAGAAGAAAUUCUGGUGGUACGGAAUGAAGAGGGAAAUCGCAGAGCAUGUGGCUAUGUGCGAUAGUUGUCGAAGGAUCAAGGCAGAGCACCAGAGACCAGCUGGAUUGUUGCAGCCGUUGCAAAUCCCUCAGUGGAAAUGGGAUGAAAUCGGUAUGGAUUUCAUAGUCGGAUUGCCUCGCAUUCGAGCCGGCUACGAUUCUAUUUGGGUAGUGGUGGACCGCUUGACCAAGUCAGCCCACUUCAUACCUGUCAAGACCAAUUACAGCAGUGCAGUAUUGGCAGAGCUGUAUAUGUCUCGGAUCGUCUGUCUUCACGGUGUGCCAAAGAAGAUAGUGUCAGACCGAGGAACGCAGUUCACCUCUCAUUUCUGGCAGCAAUUGCAUGAAGCCUUGGGCACACAUCUGAAUUUCAGUUCAGCGUAUCAUCCGCAGACAGAUGGUCAGACUGAAAGGACCAAUCAAAUUCUUGAAGACAUGUUGAGAGCCUGUGCGUUGCCAGAUCAGUCCGGAUGGGACAAGAGAUUGCCUUAUGCAGAGUUUUCCUAUAACAACAGUUACCAGGCCAGUUUGAAGAUGUCACCAUUUCAGGCGCUUUAUGGAAGGAGUUGUAGAACUCCGUUGCAAUGGGAUCAGCCUGGAGAAAAGCAAGUGUUCGGGCCAGACAUUCUGCUUGAAGCCGAAGAGAACAUCAAGAUGGUCCGAGAGAAUCUGAAGAUAGCGCAAUCAAGGCAGCGAAGUUAUGCAGACACAAGGAGAAGAGAGCUGAGUUUCGAAGUCGGAGACUUUGUCUAUCUGAAAGUGUCACCGAUCAGUGGAGUCAGAAGGUUCGGAGUCAAAGGCAAGCUAGCACCCCGCUACAUCGGUCCGUAUCAGAUUCUCGCAAGGCGUGGAGAAGUGGCCUACCAGCUCAGUCUGCCAGAGAAUUUGUCUGCUGUGAUGAUGUCUUUCAUGUGUCUCAGUUGAAGAAGUGCUUGCGUGUGCCGGAAGAGCAGUUGCCAGUGGAAGGUCUUGAAGUCCAGGAGGACUUGACCUACACAGAGAAACCAGCGCAAAUCCUUGAGAUUGCAGACAUAGUCACCCGAAGGAAGACCAUCAGAAUGUGCAAAGUCAAAUGGGAUCACCACUCUGAGGAAGAAGCAACCUGGGAGUGUGAAGAUGAUCUGAUGGCUAAAUACCCAGAGCUCUUUGCUAGCCAACCCUGAAUCUCGAGGGCGAGAUUCUUCUAAGAGGGAUAGGUUUUGUAACGCCCUGAAUUUGGGGGUAGAAUUUUUUCUUCUUUUCCCUCACCAAAUUCGGGCGUUACCCUUUCAUUUUCCCUUUUCUCCUCGCUAAACCUUGAUCUUUUCCAAAGUUAUAGCGAGAUUCGGCCUGAGAUCCCAUGUAAAGCAAAACCCUAAAAUAUUUUAUUUUGCUUGAUGCACCAUGCCGAACCAUGCAUUCUUUUUGAUUGUUUGAAAACGUAAAUGCAUUCAUCUAGAAAAUAGAUAUAAAAAAAGGGAAAAUCCUUUCCUCUCUCCCCUCCCCCCUCCUUCCCCAUUUUUUGGCCCAGCCCCCCCCCCGGCGCCCCCACUUUGGGCCCAAAGCAGCCCAGCCGCGCCCCCCUCCCCCCCAAAAUUUCUCUCCCCUCCCCUGCGGGCCCCGCCCGUCAUUCUCUCCCUGCCCUAACCGCGCCUCCCCUCCCCCUGCGCGCCGCCGCCGCCCUCCCCUGCGCGGUAAGCCCCCCUCCCUCUCCUCUCCCCCUCCCUCCCUCUCCCCGGCCAUGGCGCCCUUGUCCCGGCCCCGUCCAUGGCGCCCGCCCCGGUCGCCCCGGCCCCGGCUGCGCCGCCCCGACCCCGCCCGUGCUCCGUGCUCGCCGGCCCGCCCCGGCCCGCUCGAGCAUAAGCUUUAACCCCUGCGAGACCUUUCCCCGUUUCUUUCUAACCAUGGUAAAUGCAAUAUCGCAUGUCAUAUGCUAUGCAUGUUUAAUCUACUUGUUCUCUUGUAUGGUGUACUGUUGGUUUCCUAAUUUCAAUGGAUGGAUGUAUGUAUGUUUGCAAUCGCAUAGAGAACGAUCUGGUUGAAGAGCCCAAAGAACUCGCAGGAGAAGCCCCUGAGCAGCAGUCGGUUGGUGGAGGCAAGUGUCCCUUGACCUAUCUCUGUCCUAUACAUUCUUUAAUUCACCUCCCGCAUUACACAUUUAUUGUGGCGGAACCGCCCGAAUUAUUCCAGCUUAAGUGCCCAAGUCGCACCCUUAAGGGCAGCAACACACUUAAACAGGAAUAACCCGUCAGUCCCUCGGAUCUAGUCCGAUAAAGCCACUUACCAGGAUCGAAUACCACUAGCUCACACGAAGGUGAGGCACAGAGAAAUACAAUAAAGCAUAAUACCACAAAUUUAAUAAGUAUCCAUAGUGAUUACAUUAUCGGAGUUUCAGAAAUAAUAACCAUAAAUUUUAUUGCAGCGGAAUAACUAAAAGAGAAGAACCGAGUGACAUGGCGAAGCCUGGCCACGCUACUCCUCCUGGUCCCCUCCUGCGGAAGCAAUAACCCUCUCAACCAUCUAUCCCGGUGGCAGGGAUGAAGGCCAAGUCACACCAGCCACAAAUCAUCCUAAGGAGUACCUGCAAAAAUUGUGCCACAAGCAAGGCUGAGUAUACUAAUACUCAGCUAGACUUACCCGGUGUGAGGAGUCUACUCCUCUACCUCUAGACAUGCAGCUAUUUGGCUGUGGGGUUUGGUUGCCAAAAGCACUAGCUGAGUUUCUAAAUCAAGAUUUUAACUUAAUCAAAGUUAAGUGUGACUCUCUUAAGGCUAAAAGUGGACUAUCUACUCAUACAUGGUAGCAAGCAUCAUUAACAGUCAACAUCUUAUCUCAACUCAUCAUACUUCCACUUAUUACUCAAUGCAGUACAAUGGAUCAAGCAGUCUCAUUAGCUGCGAGAAGCAGACGAUUCGAAUCGAGUUUUAUCCUUGCAAGGUAAACCUAAACACACGACAUGCAGGGGCACUCCGUCCCCACACACAUCAACCGUCCCCAUCGAUUCCCUGGCAACAGAUCAGGGCUCACCGCCUUGGCGUACAAUGCCCCACUGACCCCGACUGGCCGUCGUGCAGUGACCGCACUUGUACCCACCAUAACCGGAAUGGGAGACCUCGUCUCAGGUCGCGUGAGGGGAUAUGUCUGCGGGCAGGUUCACUCAGGUACUAGGCUUACCGAUUUACCAUAUUUCUCGGUAUGUGUUUAGUAUGUUCAAACGCUUGACACAGGUAUCCGCACGUUAAUCCUUAUUCCAUUUUCCAUCUCGGGAACAACCAAUCCCCAUGGAUUGUUGUCCACCAACUAGUAUCAUGACAGUGUGAAAGUGGGUACAAUCAAUUUCCUGACCUCGCGCGAGUGCUAGAAAAAUCACUCGACUUCUACCGAGAUCCCUAAUUAGCAAAGCAACUACUCGACCUAGCAUACUAGUAUCCAUCUCAAAAGGAAUCCUGAGUUCAUGCAACUAGGGUUUCAGUCAACUCCUACACUUAAGUGCACAGUACAAGCCUACAAACAUUAAGUGUAGUAAAAUAGCAUAUAAUAACGGUUAUGCAUAAACCGGGGCUUGCCUUUAAUUUUUAACACUUAGAUAGUGUUUGCUGGGGGAGGUACUCGCUUGGCGAGCAUCCACUGGGUAAGUCCACCAUUCUUUAGGUCGUCCACCAACUGCAUCUUUUGGUUGGCACCACAUCACUUGCACGAUCGUCAUCUCUCGGUCCUAAAUGAGAUGCAGGAUGCAUAUGUAUGAAUAUGAUGAAAUAUGUCACAAGAUAAUCCCAACAUGGAUGGUAGCGAACUAAACAUUAAAUUGUAAGACACCACGACAACCGUACGCAAGCGCUAGUUAUCUAUACGUCAUCGGGCAUACGUAGUCAAUCAUCACUGAAAAACAACAAACACUUCCUAUAAUUAUCUAUUGCAAACAUGACAUCAUAAGUACAAGCAUUCGCCACGUUCACUUUUAUCAUUCAUUAGUUACUUAUUAUUAAACUAGUUAAGUACGCAUAAAUUUACGAUGACUUACACAUAGACAGACUUAGUUAAAAAAAAGGAAUAGUUGCUUAAUCGGGUUUUACAAUCAUUCACAACCUUCUACUGCAAGCAUACACCCCAGAGAACACACAUGAGGAGAUAGUUUAUUCACAAUUACAAAUUGUACUACUUUAAUGAUGUUGGUUAUUUAGUAGUAUUAGCAGAAAGUCAAAGACAUGACAUUAUUCAUUUUGUUUCCCUAAUAUAUAACUGCACUUGCUAACUGUUGAUUAAGCUAAGCUACUUAUUAGACCUUAACCAAUUUGGUUCGCUAACUUAGUGAGAUGUGUACUACUUACUUAUAUAUAACCUCAAUUAUAUUAGUCACUAUCAUUAUUACUCAUGUUCAAUUAAAACCCAAAACAAGCAAGCAGUCAACUCAAGACAGCUACAACAGAGUAGAGCAAUCAAUCACAUUCAAUAUGUUUGUGACAGCAGCACACCAGCUGAUUGUUUCAGUUAUAACAUACAAGACAUUCAUCCAAAAAUAGUGAUCAAAUACUUUUUGGAAGGUUUAAGGAAUUCUCUACAACUUUGGUACUGUUAUAUCUAUUUGAUUAGAAACUUAACAACGUUAAAUCGUGACAAACGAUAGCUCUGUUCAGCUUUAGACAGAUUCAGACUUGCGACUUCAAAAAUUUAUAACUAGAGACUCAGGCACUCAAAUCAAUUGAUCCUAGAUUUUCUGGAAAGAUAAUUAAACAUUCUACAAAUUAUUUAUAAACAUCUUAGGUUGAUUUAAAGUGUAUCAAGAGUAAAAGACACUAGAAGGCUUUGCUGUCCAGAUUUGGAAAGAUUCAGACUUCACACUUCAAACAUCUACAACUUAAUCUUUAGAUCAUCAAAAAGAGUGAUUCAAGACUUUUUGAAAAGCUCAUCAAAAGCACUACACAACUUUUAUAAUUACCAAGAAGCGAUUCUAUCGUUAACCAAGUCAAACAAUUCAGUUUUCGAAAUAUGUUCUGACAGUGGACAGAACACAACAACCAUUUUGUAAAAUUCAUAACUUCUAAACUAUCAGGCCUAUGGUUAUGAAAUUUUAACACAAGCAAGAUAAGAAAAGCAUAUACAACUUUCUUAUAACGACCAUGAAUAGAUUGUAACACUAAGUUAGGAAAACAAUGCAGUUUCUGAAAUCUGUACAGAAUUUGGACAGAUUCAGUUACUGAAUUUGUAAAAGGCAUAACUUCUAAACGAUUAGACUUAUGGCUGUCAAAUUUUAACACCAGCAAGGUAAGAAGGUUAUCUCCAACUCUUCUAUAUGACUUUUCUACAGAAAACAUAAUUUAGUUUAUUAAACAAACAUCACAACGAAAACAGUGUGUGCAGUACAACACAGCAACUAGUAAAAUUCAGCUUCUAUACCAUUCAAGAAUUGUCGCGUUCUAGAGACUUGAAUUAUUUUAACACUUUGCUAUUUGUUGGAGUUGAAACAAUCAAAUUAGGACCAACAGUAAACUUACUAACUUUUUAUCCAAGUUAUUUCGUGCGCUAGGAUUACCACAUAAUUAACAAACACGUUCACCAAAUAAAGCAUUUCGGCACACAUGUCCGACAUCACACAAAACCACGAUGAAGCACUACUAAUAUUUAGCUUUAGACCAUCAUGACACAACCACUUAACCUCUAAUUGGUUUUAAGGUAUAACUCAAGCCUUUCAUGAAUAUGCAUGAUUUUGUUUACUCCAAAUUUUCACUAAGUCUUUUAAUUAUAAAAUGGAUGUUAUUUUAGCACCAUAUGAAACUAUCUAAUUUGGGACUGGAAUUUUUAUGAGGCAUAGUUAAUAACAAAUUAUGACUAAUGUAUAAAUUUCACAUGCCCAGGUUUUAUAUUUUAUUUACUACAAAAAUAACAAAUUGUUGAUGCAAUAAGGCAUGUGAGACAAGGUUAAAUCUAAAACUAAUUAUUUUAUGUGGAUGCAUGACCAUAUCAAGUUUUCUUAGGCUACUAUAAUAUCAUACAAGGACAGUGGAACAUCAUUUUCCAUUUUUACAUCCAUAUAUUUUUUAUAAAUCAUUUAAAACUACUUAAGGUGCAUUAAACAAGUUAAAUCACUAACUUAAUCAUACAUGCACAACAAUUCAUGAAAUUUUUACCAGUCACCAAGCAUCACAACGAGAGUCUACUGUAAAAAUUUGAAUCCAUUUGGAGCACUAGAGCUACAGAUCUAAAAAUAACAAGCAAAACAAUCAUCUUUUUCCUAUUUAACAUGUUUUAAUUAACACACCAAGAAAACAGUAAACAACAUAUAAGUUUUAUAUUUUUCCUUGAUGGGGUAUGACAACAUCUAACUAACAAAACAAGUUUCAUCAUUUUUGGAUUUUUGUAAUUAAAACUAUGGAGAGAUGCAAGUUCGUUUAUUCUCUAAAUCAGUUUUUAAAUACGAAUUUCUACAGAAAAACUUUUCCACUAAAACAUACCAACAUAUAGAUCCAAUAGUUAGAGCAUUUCAUAAGGAAGAUAACAAAACAAGUUUCACGAUUUUAGGGUUACCAAACUCAAGAUAUGAAUUUUUGAAGAAAGAGCAAAAAUCUGUAACAUUGGUCACUUGAGAACUCGAUUUGGGCCCACAUGUCAUAGGCAAGGGGAGCUUCUUCUACCUCACGAACAGCAACAGCAGGGAGGCUGCCGGCUGCACUUGGGGAAGUAAGGCUCGGCUCCCUGCUGCAUGGGUGUCGAGUUGAGAGAGGAGGGGCGCUUGGCCUAGAGCUGCUACUAGGGGAGGGCGCCGGGGUACUCACCAAGGUGCCAUGGGGGAGUAGACGUCCAUGGAUGGCGAGCAGCAAAGAGACGGGGCGCGGCAUGGAGCAAGGGCGCCAUGGGAGGCUGCUGCUCCGAGCAGGGAGCAAGCAGGAGGCGAGGUGGUAGAGGGCAGGGGCUGCUGCGCGGCUUGCCUUUAAAGCCAGGGGCGCCAUUGCCAUUGGAGAAUAAGGGUGGCUGCUGCAGAGCUCUGCACAUGACAGUCUGCUGCAGCAGGUGGCAGAGCGACUUUGGCUGCCCGUUUUUGGCAUCUUCUGCUUGGAUUUGGAUCUCGGUUGCUGCACAAAAUAUCUUCCUUGAUGUAUAAUCUACAAAUCGUGUAAAGGGCUUGAGGUAAUUCGGGCACUGGUUAGAGAGUCAUAGACCCACGAAAACUGGUUUGUCAGUGGGUUAGAAAACAGUGGAAACUCGCGAAAACUGAAUGUCAAAGCAUGUCAAACGGAAUCGGAUUAAUGCCAUCUUUUAAUAUGUUGUGCCCCUAUUAGUAAUUAACAACUUUUAUAUUUGGGGAAACUUGAGUUGUUCAACAAAAAAUUGGGAACGCGAGACGUCGACCCGAACGAUGCUGAUUUCAGACUUAGAAGAAUUCGAAUUCAGAAAGCAGAUUUUUAUUCUGUCUUGAUGGCACUGUUUGAGAUACUUAGAGAUCGAAUCAAGACUUAGUUUAAAUAUACUAUUUGUUGUAUAACACCUGUUCUCCAAUAUUUAUUAAAGGUCAAACCCUAUAUCUUGGCUGGAAAUUGAAAUUCCACUUUGGUCAAUGUAGUAUCAUUAUAAAGCUCUCAAUUAUAUUUUUAAGGCAAUCGGACUAUUUUCUUGACAUUUUCUUGGCAUUUUCUCUACAUGAACCCUUAAUAACUUUUGUUGUUGAGUUCAUAUAGAGUGUUUUGAAAAGGUUUGCAUAACUUGGUUGAAUGUCUAAAUUUGCUUUUACUUAAUCGAGCUGUUUCAAGCAAGAGUAUGAUUUAUAAUUUCAUACAAAUAUUUGGUUCAAACUUUGAGAAAUCUUUAGAAUACACUUGAUAGAUAGAUAUGAAUGAUGACAUAAAGAUAACAAGCUGAUUUGCAUAAAAAUUAAUUAGAGGUUGAGACUACAGAGAUUCGCUGGAGAAUGCGGAUUCGGACUACAUAUUUGGACAUAGACCGACUGUCGAGAAGGCGGAUUCGGACAUAGAUUGGAUAACAUCACAACUGUCAAGAAUCCGAAUAAAUAAGUCUAGACAGGAGUUACGAGAUGAUAUUGACUUUCGAAUUUGCAUUUGCUCCGAGAAAUAAAAGUUUUAACAGACCCCAAAUUUGGUUGUUCUUGAGAUCGAAUAAUUCCAAAUGUAGUGAAACAUUCACGAGUAACUUGAUGAAUGGAGAUAGAUGUGAUCGAGAAAUAGAAAUUUUCACUGAGCAUCCGAGAUUAGGAUAAAUCUCCCGACAUAACACGAAAUAGACACCUGGGGUGUCACAGCCUUCCCCCCUUAAAAGAAUCUCGUCCCGAGAUUCGAAUGGGGAUCUUCAAGGGUAGAGAAGCAUGUAACUCCCAGACUAAAGAUAGAUGCAAAUUCAUGAGAUGUCAUGUGACAGAUACGGAAGAUAGAUUUGGAUAGAAUAUCGCGACAUGUUGAGACAAAAUGCAGCGAUCACUCUGGGAGAAUGUUCACAAAAGAUAGCACAUCAGUAUAGUCUCGUAAUGGAUCACAACUGUUAACCGCGAUACCCGCGCGUGCCGAGCAGCUCAACCAUGUGUGCACCAUAGUAGGCUCUCGGUUUCGUCGCGGCACCAUCAAUCGUUAGUCAUGACACCAUUACCAAAUGCAACCAAUGAGAAAUCCACAUAGCACAGAUAGAUGGAGUCCAUGAGAGUAUGGCUCAGAAAAUAAGAAUGUGACCGGAGUUGAAGCAAAGAUUGUUGGCAAAAGAGCAUCACAUGAGAGUUUUCCUCAACUCAUAGAACUAUUUUUUAUCAUCACGGGGAUUAUCAGCCAAAGAUUGAUACGAUAUUCGAUAGGAGGAGGAACCAACCAUGAGAUCGAGAUUGAUAAGCUUUUAGAGACAUGAGAGAUCCAAAGAUAACAGCAACAUCCAUCAAUCCACAUGGAUACACUGCUUAGAUAUAGAAUCGAUAAAACAACGUCAUGAUCCUCCGAGAAGAGUAUGAGAACGAUCAUAAUGAGAUAUUAGACUGAUCCACAUUUGAUACAUGAGAAUAGGUUAUAGCAGAUAACUAGAUAAUAGGGCAGAAUUAUUAAGGGAUCCAGAGAUUCGGAUGAUAAAGUCGCACAUGAUUCGCUAGGAAAAGAUUACCAGAUCCAGGUGAAAGGAGAGGUCAUCAACCCAGAUGGCUUCUAUGCUGAGCAGAGGAGAAUUUAAAGAGGAUUUUGGACAAGGUUUCCAAAAAGAAUCUGAGGCUAGACAUGGUUUGUGUGAACAGACAAUAAACCAUUUUUUGACAUAAACAAGUGCACAAGGAAGCUUUGGUCGAUUUAGGGGUCAAGCUAUGGGUGUCUAUAAGUUGUGCAGGUGUAAUUUCAAAGAUAAACACACAAGGGUCAGAAAACACCAACACAAGCAUGUGAUUUGAUUUUUUUAAAGGGUUUCACUUGCUAACCACUAGGGUGUUUAAAGUGGGGGUGUCCUUUUAGGAGCAGAACAGACAACUUUUUUUUUGUAAAAAGGGUUGAACAAUUACAAUACCACCUAGAUAGCAAGACAAGAGAAACACAUAACAUGACCUAACCAGACUCACCAAUCUAACACGAGGUAAGACAUUUCUAACAUAGCAGUACAUCACAUUAUUCACAUGUUCUUAUUAUUGGAAUAAAGGUGAGAGAAGCAUGUUGGUGCACAAGAGACAAUGAAAAUCCGACAAUCAUGAUGCAUGCUCAUUCUAGUCGUCUUCUCAGACCUAACUAAUUUUUCGGGUGCUUCUACAGCAUCCUAAUAGUAGUAGUAGUAGCCUUUAUGGCUUAUAUAAACAGCCACCUAGCUACCCAUCUAUUCCUAGGGCUUCACGUCCUAGGUCUAUCCUUAUCGUCCUGAUAUCUAUCCAACUUUGGUUUCUAAGCAAGUUUUACUUUAGAAAAGGUUGGAAAUCAUGACUUAUUGACUCCUCUGUACUGGUAUUCGCUCCGAUACCAGCUGUGGCGGAACCGCCCGAAUUAUUCCAGCUUAAGUGCCCAAGUCGCACCCUUAAGGGCAGCAACACACUUAAACAGGAAUAACCUGUCAGUCCCUCGGAUCUAGUCUGAUAAAGCCACUUACCAGGAUCGAAUACCACUAGCUCACACGAAGGUGAGGCACAGAGAAAUACAAUAAAGCAUAAUACCACAAAUUUAAUAAGUAUCCAUAGUGAUUACAUUAUCGGAGUUUCAGAAAUAAUAACCAUAAAUUUUAUUGCAGCGGAAUAACUAAAAGAGAAGAACCGAGUGACAUGGCGAAGCCUGGCCACGCUACUCCUCCUGGUCCCCUCCUGCGGAAGCAAUAACCCUCUCAACCAUCUAUCCCGGUGGCAGGGAUGAAGGCCAAGUCACACCAGCCACAAAUCAUCCUAAGGAGUACCUGCAAAAAUUGUGCCACAAGCAAGGCUGAGUAUACUAAUACUCAGCUAGACUUACCCGGUGUGAGGAGUCUACUCUACCUCUAGACAUGCAGCUGUUUGGCUGUGGGGUUUGGUUGCCAAAAGCACUAGCUGAGUUUCUAAAUCAAGAUUUUAACUUAAUCAAAGUUAAGUGUGACUCUCUUAAGGCUAAAAGUGGACUAUCUACUCAUACAUGGUAGCAAGCAUCAUUAACAGUCAACAUCUUAUCUCAACUCAUCAUACUUCCACUUAUUACUCAAUGCAGUACAAUGGAUCAAGCAGUCUCAUUAGCUGCGAGAAGCAGACGAUUCGAAUCGAGUUUUAUCCUUGCAAGGUAAACCUAAACACACGACAUGCAGGGGCACUCCGUCCCCACACACAUCAACCGUCCCCAUCGAUUCCCUGGCAACAGAUCAGGGCUCACCGCCUUGGCGUACAAUGCCCCACUGACCCCGACUGGCCGUCGUGCAGUGACCGCACUUGUACCCACCAUAACCGGAAUGGGAGACCUCGUCUCAGGUCGCGUGAGGGGAUAUGUCUGCGGGCAGGUUCACUCAGGUACUAGGCUUACCGAUUUACCAUAUUUCUCGGUAUGUGUUUAGUACGUUCAAACGCUUGACACAGGUAUCCGCACGUUAAUCCUUAUUCCAUUUUCCAUCUCGGGAACAACCAAUCCCCAUGGAUUGUUGUCCACCAACUAGUAUCAUGACAGUGUGAAAGUGGGUACAAUCAAUUUCCUGACCUCGCGCGAGUGCUAGAAAAAUCACUCGACUUCUACCGAGAUCCCUAAUUAGCAAAGCAGCUACUCGACCUAGCAUACUAGUAUCCAUCUCAAAAGGAAUCCUGAGUUCAUGCAACUAGGGUUUCAGUCAACUCCUACACUUAAGUGCACAGUACAAGCCUACAAACAUUAAGUGUAGUAAAAUAGCAUAUAAUAACGGUUAUGCAUAAACCGGGGCUUGCCUUUAAUUUUUAACACUUAGAUAAUGUUUGCUGGGGGAGGUACUCGCUUGGCGAGCAUCCACUGGGUAAGUCCACCAUUCUUCAGGUCGUCCACCAACUGCAUCUUUUGGUUGGCACCACAUCACUUGCACGAUCGUCAUCUCUCGGUCCUAAAUGAGAUGCAGGAUGCAUAUGUAUGAAUAUGAUGAAAUAUGUCACAAGAUAAUCCUAACAUGGAUGGUAGCGAACUAAACAUUAAAUUGUAAGACACCACGACAACCGUACGCAAGCGCUAGUUAUCUAUACGUCAUCGGGCAUACGUAGUCAAUCAUCACUGAAAAACAACAAACACUUCCUAUAAUUAUCUAUUGCAAACAUGACAUCAUAAGUACAAGCAUUCGCCACGUUCACUUUUAUCAUUCAUUAGUUACUUAUUAUUAAACUAGUUAAGUACGCAUAAAUUUACGAUGACUUACACAUAGACAGACUUAGUUAAAAAAAAGGAAUAGUUGCUUAAUCGGGUUUUACAAUCAUUCACAACCUUCUACUGCAAGCAUACACCCCAGAGAACACACAUGAGGAGAUAGUUUAUUCACAAUUACAAAUUGUACUACUUUAAUUAUGUUGGUUAUUUAGUAGUAUUAGCAGAAAGUCAAAGACAUGACAUUAUUCAUUUUGUUUCCCUAAUAUAUAACUGCACUUGCUAACUGUUGAUUAAGCUAAGCUACUUAUUAGACCUUAACCAAUUUGGUUCGCUAACUUAGUGAGAUGUGUACUACUUACUUAUAUAUAACCUCAAUUAUAUUAGUCACUAUCAUUAUUACUCAUGUUCAAUUAAAACCCAAAACAAGCAAGCAGUCAACUCAAGACAGCUACAACAGAGUAGAGCAAUCAAUCACAUUCAAUAUGUUUGUGACAGCAGCACACCAGCUGAUUGUUUCAGUUAUAACAUACAAGACAUUCAUCCAAAAAUAGUGAUCAAAUACUUUUUGGAAGGUUUAAGGAAUUCUCUACAACUUUGGUACUGUUAUCUCUAUUUGAUUAGAAACUUAACAAGGUUAAAUCGUGACAAACGAUAGCUCUGUUCAGCUUUAGACAGAUUCAGACUUGCGACUUCAAAAAUUUAUAACUAGAGACUCAGGCAUUCAAAUCAAUUGAUCCUAGAUUUUCUGGAAAGAUAAUUAAACAUUCUACAAAUUAUUUAUAAACAUCUUAGGUUGAUUUAAAGUGUAUCAAGAGUAAAAGACACUAGAAGGCUUUGCUGUCCAGAUUUGGAAAGAUUCAGACUUCACACUUCAAACAUCUACAACUUAAUCUUCAGAUCAUCAAAAAGAGUGAUUCAAGACUUUUUGAAAAGCUCAUCAAAAGCACUACACAACUUUUAUAAUUACCAAGAAGCGAUUCUAUCGUUAACCAAGUCAAACAAUUCAGUUUUUGAAAUAUGUUCUGACAGUGGACAGAACACAACAACCAUUUUGUAAAAUUCAUAACUUCUAAACUAUCAGGCCUAUGGUUAUGAAAUUUUAACACAAGCAAGAUAAGAAAAGCAUAUACAACUUUCUUAUAACGACCAUGAAUAGAUUGUAACACUAAGUUAGGAAAACAAUGCAGUUUCUGAAAUCUGUACAGAAUUUGGACAGAUUCAGUUACUGAAUUUGUAAAAGGCAUAACUUCUAAACGAUUAGACUUAUGGCUGUCAAAUUUUAACACCAGCAAGGUAAGAAGGUUAUCUCCAACUCUUCUAUAUGACUUUUCUACAGAAAACAUAAUUUAGUUCAUUAAACAAACAUCACAACGAAAACAGUGUGUGCAGUCCAACACAGCAACUAGUAAAAUUCAGCUUCUAUACCAUUCAAGAAUUGUCGCGUUCUAGAGACUUAAAUUAUUUUAACACUUUGCUAUUUGUUGGAGUUGAAACAAUCAAAUUAGGACCAACAGUAAACUUACUAACUUUUUAUCCAAGUUAUUUCGUGCGCUAGGAUUACCACAUAAUUAACAAACACGUUCACCAAAUAAAGCAUUUCGGCACACAUGUCCGACAUCACACAAAACCACGAUGAAGCACUACUAAUAUUUAGCUUUAGACCAUCAUGACACAACCACUUAACCUCUAAUUGGUUUUAAGGUAUAACUCAAGCCUUUCAUGAAUAUGCAUGAUUUUGUUUACUCCAAAUUUUCACUAAGUCUUUUAAUUAUAAAAUGGAUGUUAUUUUAGCACCAUAUGAAACUAUCUAAUUUGGGACUGGAAUUUUUAUGAGGCAUAGUUAAUAACAAAUUAUGACUAAUGUAUAAAUUUCACAUGCCCAGGUUUUAUAUUUUAUUUACUACAAAAAUAACAAAUUGUUGAUGCAAUAAGGCAUGUGAGACAAGGUUAAAUCUAAAACUAAUUAUUUUAUGUGGAUGCAUGACCAUAUCAAGUUUUCUUAGGCUACUAUAAUAUCAUACAAGGACAGUGGAACAUCAUUUUCCAUUUUUACAUCCAUAUAUUUGUUAUAAAUCAUUUAAAACUACUUAAGGUGCAUUAAACAAGUUAAAUCACUAACUUAAUCAUACAUGCACAACAAUUCAUGAAAUUUUUACCAGUCACCAAGCAUCACAACGAGAGUCUACUGUAAAAAUUUGAAUCCAUUUGGAGCACUAGAGCUACAGAUCUAAAAAUAACAAGCAAAACAAUCAUCUUUUUCCUAUUUAACAUGUUUUAAUUAACACACCAAGAAAACAGUGAACAACAUAUAAGUUUUAUAUUUUUCCUUGAUGGGGUAUGACAACAUCUAACUAACAAAACAAGUUUCAUCAUUUUUGGAUUUUUGUAAUUAAAACUAUGGAGAGAUGCAAGUUCGUUUAUUCUCUAAAUCAGUUUUUAAAUACGAAUUUCUACAGAAAAACUUUUCCACUAAAACAUACCAACAUAUAGAUCCAAUAGUUAGAGCAUUUCAUAAGGAAGAUAAUAAAACAAGUUUCACGAUUUUAGGGUUACCAAACUCAAGAUAUGAAUUUUUGAAGAAAGAGCAAAAAUCUGUAACAUUGGUCACUUGAGAACUCGAUUUGGGCCCACAUGUCAUAGGCAAGGGGAGCUUCUUCUACCUCACGAACAGCAACAGCAGGGAGGCUGCCGGCUGCACUUGGGGAAGUAAGGCUCGGCUCCCUGCUGCAUGGGUGUCGAGUUGAGAGAGGAGGGGCGCUUGGCCUAGAGCUGCUACUAGGGGAGGGCGCCGGGGUACUCACCAAGGUGCCAUGGGGGAGUAGACGUCCAUGGAUGGCGAGCAGCAAAGAGACGGGGCGCGGCAAUGGAGCAAGGGCGCCAUGGGAGGCUGCUGCUCCGAGCAGGGAGCAAGCAGGAGGCGAGGUGGUAGAGGGCAGGGGCUGCUGCGCGGCUUGCCUUUAAAGCCAGGGGCGCCAUUGCCAUUGGAGAAUAGGGGUGGCUGCUGCAGAGCUCUGCACAUGACAGUCUGCUGCAGCAGGUGGCAGAGCGACUUUGGCUGCCCGUUUUUGGCAUCUUCUGCUUGGAUUUGGAUCUCGGUUGCUGCACAAAAUAUCUUCCUUGAUGUAUAAUCUACAAAUCGUGUAAAGGGCUUGAGGUAAUUCGGGCACUGGUCAGAGAGUCAUAGACCCACGAAAACUGGUUUGUCAGUGGGUUAGAAAACAGUGGAAACUCGCGAAAACUGAAUGUCAAAGCAUGUCAAACGGAAUCGGAUUAAUGCCAUCUUUUAAUAUGUUGUGCCCCUAUUAGUAAUUAACAACUUUUAUAUUUGGGGAAACUUGAGUUGUUCAACAAAAAUUUGGGAACGCGAGACGUCGACCCGAACGAUGCUGAUUUCAGACUUAGAAGAAUUCGAAUUCAGAAAUCAGAUUUUUAUUCUGUCUUGAUGGCACUGUUUGAGAUACUAAGAGAUCGAAUCAAGACUUAGUUUAAAUAUACUAUUUGUUGUAUAACACCUGUUCUCCAAUAUUUAUUAAAGGUCAAACCCUAUAUCUUGGCUGGAAAUUGAAAUUCCACUUUGGUCAAUGUAGUAUCAUUAUAAAGCUCUCAAUUAUAUUUUUAAGGCAAUCAGACUAUUUUCUUGACAUUUUCUUGGCAUUUUCUCUACAUGAACCCUUAAUAACUUUUGUUGUUGAGUUCAUAUAGAGUGUUUUGAAAAGGUUUGCAUAACUUGGUUGAAUGUCUAAAUUUGCUUUUACUUAAUCGAGCUGUUUCAAGCAAGAGUAUGAUUUAUAAUUUCAUACAAAUAUUUGGUUCAAACUUUGAGAAAUCUUUAGAAUACACUUGAUAGAUAGAUAUGAAUGAUGACAUAAAGAUAACAAGCUGAUUUACAUAAAAAUUAAUUAGAGGUUGAGACUACAUAGAUUCGCUGGAGAAUGCGGAUUCGGACUACAUAUUUGGACAUAGACCGACUGUCGAGAAGGCGGAUUCGGACAUAGAUUGGAUAACAUCACAACUGUCAAGAAUCCGAAUAAAUAAGUCUAGACAGGAGUUACGAGAUGAUAUUGACUUUCGAAUUUGCAUUUGCUCCGAGAAAUAAAAGUUUUAACAGACCCCAAAUUUGGUUGUUCUUGAGAUCGAAUAAUUCCAAAUGUAGUGAAACAUUCACGAGUAACUUGAUGAAUGGAGAUAGAUGUGAUCGAGAAAUAGAAAUUUUCACUGAGCAUCCGAGAUUAGGAUAAAUCUCCCGACAUAACACGAAAUAGACACCUGGGGUGUCACAUUUAUACCUAAGGAUUGACUAGCUUUUUGUUAUCCAUGUCCUUGUUUACCUAUUUGGGUUGGAUUAUUAUUGUUUAGCUUUAUGCUAUUGCUCAACUAUAAUCAAUGAACAUGAUGAGAUUAUCUAUGAUACGCUGUUUUCCCUCUUCUUAUUAUGAUGUUCUACUUGUGGCCUUUAAGGGGGCUCGAGCGGUUUCUCGAGUGCCUCUCUGUAAGGACCUGUUCUUUGGAUGACCGCCCGGGAAAACAGUGCAACCAUGAGGGUGGAAUGGGAUGCCCUUAGCUGAAUAAUUAGAGGAUCUGGGGUGUAGUUCGCUUAGCCGUCGUGUCGUCAAUGGGGCUCGGUGUAUGCGGCUCGCUCUGCCAAGCUCGGGUUCGCCCCUUGGGGAGGAGUGCGGUGCAUUUAGGAAACCUAACGGGCGGCUACAGCCCCGGGGAAUCUUUGUAAAGGCUACGUAGUGAUGCCCCGCUGGGUCACCUUGGUAGUGAUCAAUGGAGAGUCAUGAUCUCCGGGCAGAAAGGGAAUCACGGCUUGUGGGUAAAGUGCACAACCUCUGCAGAGUGAUUGAAAAACUGAUAUAGCAGCCGUGCUCGCGGUUAUGAGCGGCCAAGGGAGCUCCAGUGAUUAGUGGUACUUGAUCAGAGACAUCUUGGUUUACAGGUGGCAAUGAGAUUGAUGGUUCUGGUUAUGAAUAUAGUGCUGGUAAGUGGUAUUCUUUCCGUUUGGAAAGGGUACAUCGGGCUAAUAACUUGGUUUAAUACUAAAACCUGGCUUUCUACUAGAAAAUAAUAAUCUGACCAACUAAAAGCAACUGCCUGACUUAUCCCCACAUAAAGCUAGUCCACUACAGCCAAACAGGAUACUUGCUGAGUAUGUUGAUGUGUACUCACCCUUGCUCUACACACCAAACCCCCCCAUCCCCAGGUUGUCAGCAUUGCAACCACUGCUUAGGAGAAGAUGAAGCCAUGGAAGGAGACUUCCAGGAGUUCCAAGAUUACGACGAGUUCUAGGCGUGGGUUAGCAGCAACCCCCAGUCAGCUGCCUGUGAAGGCCGCGUUUAUCUAUGUUUCGUUUUUGCACUUUGAUUUACUGUAAAGACUAUGUGGAUGUCUUGGACAUCAUGAUGUAAUCGACUAUUUCCAUUUUUAAUACUAUUUGAGCACUGUGUGAUGACGUCCAUGUUAUGUAACUGCUGUGUACGUGAAUUGCUGAUCCUGGCACGUACAUGGUUCGCAUUCGGUUUGCCUUCUAAAACUGGGUGUGACACGAUGAUGGGAUGCUUCCACCGUUUUCUCAACGAGUCGUGACCGCCGCCGGCAAUAACUGGCGCUAGGGGGCCACGCACGAGAACCAGGAGAAGCUCCAGCCUAUUCUGCACGCCUUGCAGAAGUUACGAGAUGAGGGCCUUACCGCUACGGGGGUCGUUGCCGCUAUCCAUCGCCGGAGGGUGCUCCCUCUGGCAGAGCGGCGGUUGCGGCUCUCGGAGAUGAAGCCGGGGGUCGAUUUGGAGGGCUCGUGGAUGUCCUCGACCCCCCUCUCUGCCGACGACCUCCUCAAGCGGGUAGCGGGUACGGUAGGGAGGCUGGAUGCUGGCGCCCUUAGCCAGCCCGUGAUGCGUCCCGACCGUGGGUACGUGUCCCUGGUAAGUGUCUGAUCCUGCUUCUGUUUUGCGUUGAGUUUUCUACGCCUUUGACUCUUACUGUUGGGAUUUUUAUUCGUCCUCAGGGGUUGAGGAGUUUUAAAGUCACCCGGCCACCGGUCCCGGAGGACGCGGCGGACCGAGCCAUGCGUAGGCUCGCCGCAGAGAAGGAAAAGGAGAAGAAGGACACGGAAAAGGCCCGAGCUCGCGAGAGGAUGCGAGCUCGGGAAGCCUUGGAGAAGCGUCGUCGGAGGCAGGCGAGGGAUGGGCUCCCGUUGGAGUCGUCGCCGGAGACGCCUGACGACUACGAUGAUGAUGAUGAUGACGACGACGAAGACGACGACAUGGCGGCCCGACUUGGCCUCAGUCCGGACCUGAGGCUGGGCCAGGGGUCGCCGAGCCAGCCUCCAGGUGGCUUGGCACCAUCAGUGCCUGGGGCCGGGACACCAAGGUUCCGGUCCGAGGAGCGGAGGCAGGCCGAGGGGGUACUUGACCCCUUGGCCGAGAUGAUUGGGGUGACUCCGGGGGGUCAAGCCGAACCGCAUGCCCCCAAGAGCAGGGGCCAACUGAUAGUCGCCUAGAGGGGGGUGAAUAGGGCAAAACUGAAAUUCUCAAAAAUAAUCACAACUAUAAGCCGGGUUAGCGUUAGAAAUAUAAUCGAGUCCGCGAGAGAGGGUGCAAAACAAAUCGCAAGCAAAUAAAGAGUGUGACACACGGAUUUGUUUUACCGAGGUUCGGUUCUCGCAAACCUACUCCCCAUUGAGGUGGUCACAAAGACCGGGUCUCUUUCAACCCUUUCCCUCUCUCAAACGGUCCCUCGGACCGAGUGAGCUUUCUCUUCUCAAUCACUUGGAACACAAAGUUCCCACAAGGACCACCACAAGAUUGGUGUCUCUUGCCUCAAUUACAAGUGAGUUUGAUCGCAAUGAAGAAUCAAAGAAAGAAGAAAGCAAUCCAAGCGCAAGAGCUCGAAAGAACACAAGCAAAUCUCUCUCUCUAAUCACUAAGGCGUUGUGUGGAGUUUGGAGAGGAUUUGAUCACUUGGGUGUGUCUAGAAUUGAAUGCUAGAGCUCUUGUAAGUAGUUGAAGUGGGAAAACUUGGAUGUAAUGAAUGGUGGGUGGUUGGUGGUAUUUAUAGCCCCAACCACCAAACUAGCCGUUUGGUGGGGCUGUCUGUCGUAUGGUGCACCGGACAUGUCCGGUGCGCCAGCCACGUCACCAAAGCCGUUGGGUUCCGACUGUUGGAGCUCUGUUUUCUGGGCCCGCCUGGAUGUCCGGUGGCGCACCGAACAUGCACUGUAGAGUGUCCGAUGCGCCAGCAUGGGCGUGCCUGACUUCUGCGCGCGCUGGCGCGCAUUCAAUGCGCUGCAGGUAGCCGUUGGCGCCGAAGUAUCCGUUGCUUCGAUGUCACACCGGACAUGUUCGGUGAAUUAUAGCGGACUAGCCGUUGCGAAUUCCCGAAGCUGGCGAGUUCCAGAGCCGCUCUUCCUUGGAGCAUCGGACACUGUCCGGUGUACACCGGACAGUCCGGUGAAUUAUAGCGGAGCGCCUCUGGAUUUUCCCGAAGGUGACGAGUUUGACUUGGAGUCCUCUGGUGCACCGGACACUGUCCGGUGGCACACCGGACAGUCCGGUGCGCCAGACCAGAGGUGCCUUCGGUUAUCCCUUGCUCUCUUUGUUGAACCCAAAUCUUGGUCUUUUUAUUGGCUAAGUGUGAACCUUUGACACCUGUAUAACUUAUACACUAGAGCAAACUAGUUAGUCCAAUUAUUUGUGUUGGGCAAUUCAACCACCAAAAUCAUUUAGGAAAUAGGUGUAACCCUAAUUCCCUUUCAAUCUCCCCCUUUUUGUUGAUUGAUGCCAACACAAACCAAAGCAAAUAUAGAAGUGCGUAAUUGAACUAGUUUGCAUAAUGUAAGUGCAAAAGUUGCUUGGAAUUGAGCCAAUAUAAAUACUUAUAAGAUAUGCAUGGAUUGUUUCUUUAUUUUUAACAUUUUGGACCACGCUUGCACCACAUGUUUUGUUUUUGCGAAUUCUUUUGUAAAUCCUUUUCAAAGUUCUUUUGCAAAUAGUCAAAGGUAAAUGAAUAAGAUUUUGCAAAGCAUCUUCAAGAUUUGAAAUUUUCUCCCCUUGUUUCAAAUGCUUUUCCUUUGACUAAACAAAACUCCCCCUUAAUGAAAUCCUCCUCUUAGUGUUCAAGAGGGUUUUGAUAUUAAUUUUGAAGAGGUUAUACCAAUUUGAAAUUAUAUCACAAGUAAGAUACCAAUUUGAAAAUACUCUUUGAAAAACUAAAAUUUUAGAAUUUGGUGGUGGUGCGGUCCUUUUGCUUUGGGCUCAUACUCUCUCCCCCUUUGGCAUGAAUCACCAAAAACGGAAUCAUUAGAGCCCUUGAAUUACUUUCUUCCCCUUUGGUCAUAAAUAAAUGAGUGAGGAUUGUACCAAAGACGAAGUCCUUUUGCUUUGAACUCUCCCCCAAAAGAUGGAGAGAUGCGCGGAGCGACGGCGAGGGAUGAGUUACGGAGUGGAAGCCUUUUGUCUUCGCCGAAGACUCCAAUUCCCUUUCAAUAUACCUAUGACUUGGUUUGAAAUAGACUUAAAAACACAUUAGUCAUAGUAUAUGAAAAAGACAUGAUCAAGGGUAUAUAGAAGAGCUAUGUGUGUAAAUCAACAAAAGAAGUUCCUAGAAUCAAGAAUAUUUAGCUCAUGCCUAAGUUUGUUAAAAGUUUGUUCAUCAAGAGGCUUGGUAAAGAUAUCGACUAAUUGAUCUUUAGUAUUAAUGUAAGAAAUCUCGAUAUCUCCCUUUUGUUGGUGAUCCCUUAAAAAGUGAUACCGAAUGGCUAUGUGCUUAGUGCGGCUAUGCUCAACGGGAUUAUCCGCCAUGCGGAUUGCACUCUCAUUAUCACAUAGAAGAGGAACUUUGGUUAAUUUGUAACCGUAGUCCCUAAGGGUUUGCCUCAUCCAAAGUAGUUGCGCGCAACAAUGUCCUACGGCAAUGUACUCGGCCUCGGCGGUAGAAAGAGCUACGGAAUUUUGCUUCUUUGAAGCCCAAGACACCAAGGAUCUUCCCAAGAACUGGCAAGUCCCCGAUGUGCUCUUUCUAUUGAUUUUACACCCCGCCCAAUCGGCAUCCGAAUAACCAAUAAAAUCAAAUGUGGAUCCCCUAGGAUACCAAAGCCCAAACUUAGGAGUAUAAACCAAAUAUCUCAAGAUUCGUUUUACGGUCGUAAGGUGAGCGUCCUUAGGGUCGGCUUGGAAUCUUGCACACAUGCAUACGGAAAGCAUAAUAUCCGGUUGAGAUGCACAUAAAUAUAGUAAAGAACCUAUCAUCGACCGGUAUACCUUUUGAUCGACGGAUUUACCUCCCUCGUCGAGGUCGAGAUGCCCAUUGGUUCCCAUGGGAGUCUUGAUGGGUUUGGCAUCCUUCAUUCCAAACUUGGUUAGAAUAUUUUGAGUAUACUUCGUUUGGCUUAGGAAGGUGCCCUCUUGGAGUUGUUUUACUUGAAAUCCUAAGAAAUAUUUUAACUCCCCCAUCAUAGACAUCUCGAACUUUUGUGUCAUGAUCCUACUAAAUUCUUCACAAGUAGACUCGUUAGUAGACCCAAAUAUAAUAUCAUCAACAUAGAUUUGGCAUACAAACAAGUCAUUUACAAGAGUUUUAGUAAAUAGAGUAGGAUCGGCCUUUCCGACUUUGAAGCCAUUAGUGAUGAGGAAAUCUCUAAGGCAUUCAUACCAUGCUCUUGGGGCUUGCUUGAGCCCAUAAAGCGCCUUAGAGAGUUUAUACACAUGGUUAGGGUACUCACUAUCUUCAAAGCCAGGAGGUUGCUCAACAUAGACCUCUUCCUUGAUUGGUCCAUUGAGGAAGGCACUUUUCACGUCCAUUUGAUAAAGCUUAAAGCCAUGGUAAGUAGCAUAGGCCAAUAAUAUGCGAAUUGACUCAAGCCUAGCUACGGGUGCAUAGGUUUCACCGAAAUCCAAACCUUCGACUUGGGAGUAUCCCUUGGCCACAAGUCGAGCUUUGUUCCUUGUCACCACACCAUGCUCAUCUUGCUUGUUGCGGAAGACCCAUUUGGUUCCUACAACAUUUUGAUUAGGACGUGGAACCAAAUGCCAUACCUCAUUCCUAGUGAAGUUGUUGAGCUCCUCUUGCAUCGCCACCACCCAAUCCGAAUCUUGAAGUGCUUCCUCUACCCUAUGUGGCUCAAUAGAGGAAACAAACGAGUAAUGUUCACAAAAAUGUGCAACACAAGAUCUAGUGGUUACCCCCUUAUGAAUGUCGCCGAGGAUGGUGUCGACGGGGUGAUCUCGUUGGAUUGCUUGGUGGACUCUUGGGUGUGGCGGCCUUUGUUCUUCAUCCUCCUUGUCUUGAUCAUUCGCAUCUCCCCCUUGAUCAUUGCCGUCAUCUUGAGGUGGCUCAUUUGCUUGAUCUUCUCCUUCAUCAACUUGAGCUUGUUCCUCAUUUUGAGUUGGUGGAGAUGCUUGCGUGGAGGAGGAUGGUUGAUCUUGUGCAUUUGGAGGCUCUUCGGAUUCCUUAGGACACACAUCCCCAAUGGACAUGUUCCUUAGCGCGAUGCACGGAGCCUCUUCAAUACCUAUCUCAUCAAGAUCAACUUGCUCUACUUGAGAGCCGUUAGUCUCAUUAAACACAACAUCACAAGAAACUUCAACUUGUCCGGAGGACUUGUUAAAGACUCUAUAUGCCCUUGUGUUUGAAUCAUAUCCUAGUAAAAAGCCUUCUACAAUCUUAGGAGCAAAUUUAGAUUUUCUACCUCUUUUAAUAAGUAUAAAGCAUUUGCUACCAAAAACUCUAAAAUAUGAAAUGUUGGGCUUUUUACCGGUUAGGAGUUCAUAAGAUGUCUUCUUGAGGAUUCGGUGUAGAUACAACCGGUUGAUGGCGUAGCAGGCGGUGUUGACUGCCUCGGCCCAAAACCGAUCCGAUGUCUUGUACUCAUCAAGCAUGGUUCUUGCCAUGUCCAAUAGAGUUCGAUUCUUCCUCUCCACUACACCAUUUUGUUGAGGGGUGUAGGGAGAAGAGAACUCAUGCUUGAUUCCCUCCUCCUCAAGGAAGCCUUCGAUUUAUGAGUUCUUGAACUCCGUCCCGUUGUCGCUUCUAAUUUUCUUGAUCCUUAAGCCGAACUCGUUUUGAGCCCGUCUCAAGAAUCCCUUUAAGGUUUCUUGGGUAUGAGAUUUUUCCUGCAAAAAGAACACCCAAGUGAAGCGAGAAUAAUCAUCCAUAAUUACUAGACAGUACUUACUCCCGCCGAUGCUUAUGUAAGCAAUCGGGCCGAAUAGAUCCAUGUGUAGGAGCUCCAGUGGCCUGUCGGUCGUCAUGAUGUUCUUGUGUGGAUGAUGGGUACCAACUUGCUUUCCUGCUUGGCAUGCGCUACAAAUCCUAUCUUUCUCAAAAUGAAUAUUUGUUAGUCCUAAAAUGUGUUCUCCCUUUAGAAGCUUGUGAAGAUUCUUCAUCCCAACAUGGGCUAGUCGGCGGUGCCAGAGCCAACCCAUGUUAGUCUUAGCAAUUAAGCAUGUGUCGAGUUCAGCUCUAUCAAAGUCUACUAAGUAUAGCUGACCCUCUAAUACACCCUUAAAUGGUAUUGAAUCAUCACUUCUUCUAAAGACAGUGACACCUACAUCAGUAAAGAGACAGUUGUAACCCAUUUUGCAUAGUUGAGAAACAGAAAGCAAAUUGUAAUCUAAAGAAUCUACAAGAAAAACAUUGGAAAUAGAAUGGUCAGGAGAUAUAGCAAUUUUACCCAAACCCUUGACCAAACAUUGGUUUCCAUCCCCGAAUGUGAUAGCUCGUUGGGGAUCAUGGUUUUUCUCAUAGGAGGAGAACAUUUUCUUCUCCCCCGUCAUGUGGUUUGUGCACCCGCUGUCGAUGAUCCAACUUGAGCCCCCGAGUGCAUAAACCUACAAAACAAGUUUAGUUCUUCACUUUAGGUACCCAAAUGGUUUUGGGUCCUUUGGCAUUAGACACAAGAACUUUGGGUACCUAAACACAAGUCUUUGACCCCUUGUGCUUGCCCCCAACAUAUUUGGCAACUACUUGCCGGAUUUGUUAGUCAAUACAUAUGAUGCAUCAAAGGUUUUAAAUGAAAAGCUAUGUUCAUUUGAUGCACUAGGAGUUUUCUUCUUAGGCAGCUUAGCACGGGUUGGUUGCCUAGAGCUAGAUGUCUCACCCUUAUACAUAAAAGCAUGGUUAGAGCCAGAGUGAGACUUCCUAGAAUGAAUUCUCCUAAUUUUGUCCUCGGGAUAACCGGCAGGGUAUAAAAUGUAACCCUCGUUAUCCUGAGGCAUGGGAGCCUUGCCCUUAACAAAGUUGGACAAUUUCUUAGGUGGGGCACUAAGUUUGACAUUGCCUCCCUGUUGGAAGCCAAUGCCAUCCUUGAUGCCAGGGCGUCUCCCACUAUAGAGCAUACUUCUAGCAAAUUUAAAUUUUUCAUUUUAUAAGUUAUGCUCGGCAAUUUUAGCAUCUAAUUUUGCUAUAUGAUCAUUUUGUUGUUUAAUUAAAGCCAUGUGAUCAUGUAUAGCAUCAAUGUUAACAUCUCUACAUCUAGUACAAAUGGUAGUAUGCUCAACGGUAGAUGUAGAGGGUUUGCAAGAUUUUAAUUCUACAACCUUAGCAUGCAAUAUAUCAUUCUUAGUUCUAAGGUUGGAAAUAGUAGCAUUGCAAACGUCAAAAUCUUUAACCUUAGCAAUUAAUUUUUCAUUUUCAUUCCUAAGGCUAACAAGAGAUAAGUUCAAUUCUUUAAUCUUAGCAAGCAAAUCAUCAUUAUCAUUUCUAAGAUUGGGAAUUGAAACAUUACAAGCAAUAGAAUCAACCUUAGCUACUAAAUUAGAAUUCUCAUUUCUAAGGUUGUCUAUAGUCUCAUGGCAAGUGCUUAGCUCACUAGAUAAUUUUUCACAUUUUUCUACUUCUAGAGCAUAAGCAUUUUUAACCUUAACAUGCUUCUUAUUUUCUUUAAUAAGGAAGUCCUCUUGGGUGUCCAAGAGAUCAUCCUUUUCAUGAAUGGCACUAAUCAAUUCAUUAAGUUUCUCUUUUUGUUGCAUGUUGAGGUUGGCAAAAAGAGUGCGCAAGUUAUCUUCCUCAUCACUAGCAUUUUCAUCACUAGAGGAUUCAUAUCUAGUGGAGGAUUUAGAUUUAACCUUCUUCUUUUUGUCGUCCUUUGCCAUGAGACACUUGUGGCCGACGUUGGGGAAGAGAAGGCCCUUGGUGACGGCGAUGUUGGCGGCGUCCUCGUCGUCGUAGGAGUCGCUAGAGCUUUCGUCGGAGUCCCACUCCCGACAAACAUGGGCAUCGCCGCCCUUCUUCUUGUAGUACCUUUUCUUCUCCUUUCUUCUCCCCUUCUUGUCGUCACCCCUGUCACUGUCACUAGAAAUAGGACAUUUAGCUAUAAAGUGACCGGGCUUACCACACUUGUAGCAAACCUUCUUGGAGCGGGGCUUGUAAUCUUUCCCCCUCCUUUGCUUGAGGAUUUGGCGAAAGCUUUUGAUGACGAGCGCCAUUUCCUCGUUGUCGAGCUUGGAGGCAUCGAUGGGUGUUCUACUCGGUGUAGACUCCUCCUUCUUGUCUUCCGUCGCUUUGAAUGUGACCGGUUGAGCCUCGGACGGAGAAGGACCGUCAAGCUCGUUGAUCUUCCAUGAGCCCUUGAUCAUAAAUUCAAAGCUCACAAAAUUCCCGAUUACUUCCUCGGGGGUCAUUAGUGUAUAUCUUGGGUUGCCACGAAUUAAUUGAACUUGAGUAGGGUUAAGGAAAAUAAGAGAUCUUAGAAUAACCUUAACCACCUCGUGGUCAUCCCAUUUUUUGCUCCUGAGGUUGCGCACUUGGUUCACCAAGGUUUUGAGCCGGUUGUACAUGUCUUGUGGCUCCUCCCCUUGGCGAAGACGGAAGCGACGGAGCUCCCCCUCGAUCGUUUCCCGCUUGGUGAUCUUGGUGAGUUCAUCACCCUCGUGCGCCGUCUUGAGCACGUCCCAAACUUCCUUGGCGCUUUUUAGUCCUUGCACCUUGUUGUACUCCUCCCUACUAAGAGAGGCGAGGAGUAUUGUUGUGGCUUGGGAGUUGAAGUGCUCGAUUUGGGCCACCUCGUCCUCAUCAUAAUCCUCAUCCCCUACGGAUGGUACCUGUGCUCCAAACUCAACAACAUUCCAUAUACUUUUGUGGAGUGAGGUUAGAUGAAAUUUCAUUAAAUCACUCCACCUAGCAUAAUCUUCACCGUCAAAGGUUGGCGGUUUGCCUAAUGGAACGGAAAGUAAUGGAGUAUGUCUAGAGGUAUGAGGGUAAUGUAAGGGGAUCUUACUAAACUUCUUGCGCUCAUGGCGCUUAGAAGUUAUGGAGGGCGCGUCGGAGCCGGAGGUAGAAGGUGAUGAGGUGUCGGUCUCGUAGUAGACCACCUUCCUCAUCUUCUUUAUUUUGUCGCCACUCCGAUUCGACUUGUGAGAAGAAGUCUUCUUUUCCUUCUUCUUAUCCUUCCUCUUCUCCUUGUUGCGGGACUCUUCCGAUGAAGCCUUCCCGUGGCUUGUAGUGGGCUUGUCGCCGGUCUCCAUCUCCUUCUUGGCGAGUUCUCCCGACAUCACUUCGAGCUGUUAGGCUCUAAUGAAGCACCGGGCUUUGAUACCAAUUGAUAGUCGCCUAGAGGGGGGUGAAUAGGGCGAAACUGAAAUUCUCAAAAAUAAUCACAACUAUAAGCCGGGUUAGCGUUAGAAAUAUAAUCGAGUCCGCGAGAGAGGGUGCAAAACAAAUCGCAAGCAAAUAAAGAGUGUGACACGCGGAUUUGUUUUACCGAGGUUCGGUUCUCGCAAACCUACUCCCCGUUGAGGUGGUCACAAAGACCGGGUCUCUUUCAACCCUUUCCCUCUCUCAAACGGUCCCUCGGACCGAGUGAGCUUUCUCUUCUCAAUCACUUGGAACACAAAGUUCCCACAAGGACCACCACAAGAUUGGUGUCUCUUGCCUCAAUUACAAGUGAGUUUGAUCGCAAUGAAGAAUCAAAGAAAGAAGAAAGCAAUCCAAGCGCAAGAGCUCGAAAGAACACAAGCAAAUCUCUCUCUCUAAUCACUAAGGCGUUGUGUGGAGUUUGGAGAGGAUUUGAUCACUUGGGUGUGUCUAGAAUUGAAUGCUAGAGCUCUUGUAAGUAGUUGAAGUGGGAAAACUUGGAUGUAAUGAAUGGUGGGUGGUUGGGGUAUUUAUAGCCCCAACCACCAAACUAGCCGUUUGGUGGGGCUGUCUGUCGUAUGGUGCACCGGACAGUCCGGUGCACACCGGACAUGUCCGGUGCGCCAGCCACGUCACCAAAGCCGUUGGGUUCCGACCGUUGGAGCUCUGUCUUCUAGGCCCGCCUAGAUGUCCGGUGGCGCACCGGACAUGCACUGUAGAGUGUCCGGUGCGCCAGCAUGGGCGUGCCUGACUUCUGCGCGCGCUGGCGCGCAUUCAAUGCGCUGCAGGUAGCCGUUGGCGCCGAAGUAUCCAUUGCUUCGAUGUCACACCGGACAGUCCGGUGUACACCGGACAUGUCCGGUGAAUUAUAGCGGACUAGCCGUUGCGAAUUCCUGAAGCUGGCGAGUUCCAGAGCCGCUCUUCCUUGGAGCACCGGACACUGUCCGGUGAAUUAUAGCGGAGCGCCUCUGGAUUUUCCCGAAGGUGACGAGUUUGACUUGGAGUCCUCUGGUGCACCGGACACUGUCCGGUGCGCCAGACCAGAGGUGCCUUCGGUUAUCCCUUGCUCUCUUUGUUGAACCCAAUGGUCUUUUUAUUGGCUAAGUGUGAACCUUUGACACCUGUAUAACUUAUACACUAGAGCAAACUAGUUAGUCCAAUUAUUUGUGUUGGGCAAUUCAACCACCAAAAUCAUUUAGGAAAUAGGUGUAACCCUAAUUCCCUUUCACCAACGCCGGCCGUACAGGAGGCCGGUUCCUCGGCCGUCGUGACGACGCCUAGGCGGGCCGCCCCUCGGUGCCUCGGGCGCCCGAGGCGAAAGCGGCACGAAAGCCGACAGCGGGGCAACCCUCGGCAGCGCCUGCGGAGACCGGGGCCUGAGGGGCCUCCCCGCGGGCACGAUUGGCCUUGCCCCGGAGCGGGUAAGUAUCUGAGGAUACCUUUGUUUUGGUUUCUUCUCUGUGUGUCUUGAACUUGCUCUCUCUCUCUCUCUCUUUCUUUCAGCAAGCGGAGGCAGGGCCCGGCCGGUCUGGCCCCCACGAAGGCCCUUAAGACGGGGCCGACCUCUGCAGCCGGUGCUACGACGCGCCAUGCCGGUUGGUUGGCCUCCGCACAAGGCGCUCUCCGGCGGGGGCCCAGGCGGCACGAGCUGCCAUGGGGCAAACCUCCCAGGCUGACCCCCUGUUGGAGCGGCCAUCACGCUGGGGGAGGCCGCUGACGUGGCCGCGGCCUCGAGCCCAGCUGACUCGUUGCCGGCGCCGGCAUCGACACCUACCGGGGCCGUCGCUGAUUCGCCCGCGGAGCCGCCCGUCGCCACCGAUGUCGGGAUGGUUGAGGCGCCGCCGCCCGCGGUUAUCCCCGACCUCCCCGUUCUCGGCCAAGAGGAGAGGGCGGUCAUCGUUGCCGAGGUCGGUAAUCAGAGGCCUGCCGCCUUAGCCGAGGAGAGGCCCAGUAUGUCGACGGCGGCGGUGCCCGAUGCAUCGACUGCAGGGGGACCCGAUGCCUUGGUGGAGGGGCGUGCAGAACCGUGGCAUGUUCUGGGGAGCAGCGGCCUUACCCCUACGCAGCUCAAUCCCAAUGAGUGGUGUGGGCAGCCGCUCCGGUUCUGGAGCCGCGACACCUUGGAGCCCCUCCUCUCCCUCAACGAUGAGUUGGAGGAGAAGUCUCGGGAUAGUUUCCAUGAGUAUACCGAGGCAGCGAUGAGGUCGCUUCGGUCAACCAUGGAAAUCCUUUCCAGGGACGUUCCCAAGGUUUUCUAGGUAAGGAUUUAGACAUACACCUUGCGUGACCAGAGCAUUCUUUGUGACAUCUUGUUUUCCUUCCUCAGGAGCUUGCGGACGUGAGCACCACCAAGUCACUGUUCAUCCACCGCGAAAGCGACGUUUGGGAGUCGUUGCGAUCCCAGCGGGCCACGCUUAAUGAGGCCAACGAGCGCCUCGCCCAACGGAGCGCCGAGGUGGUGGACCUUCGGUCGCUCUGUGAUGAGCUGAAGUCGGAGGCAGUGGCAGCACGGACAGAGGCAGUGUCGGCAUGAGCGGAGGCUUCAUCGGCCCGGGAGCAGGUGGCUUCCCAGGCCGAGGAGAUGCAGCAACGGCAGCUGGAGCUUGGCCAGGUCAUCGACGAGCGGGUCCGAUCUCGGAGCCAAGCUGCCGAGGCCUUGAGCCGGGCUGAGGCCCUUAGGGUUCAACUGGCUGAGGCUACGGAGCGGCUAGCCGAGGCAUCCACUCGGGUCAGGACCCUUGCAGAGAGCCUGGUCGUGGCCGUCAGGUCUGCCCAGUCCGCCCAAGCCGUGGCCUCGUAGCAGCGUGCCCGGGCCGAAGGUAUGUUUUGCCUGCUUUAUGACUUUGUUUUUUGUCUUCAUUCUUCUCUUUGUGUCUGAAGAAAACAUUGUCCGGCUGUCUGCAGGGUUCGAGACGGCUCUUGACGAGUCCGUCAAGAACUGCAAGGCGCUUGCUCAAGCGGCUGAGCAGAAGGAGGCCGACCGCAUGGCCAUGUCCGAGGCUAUCUCGGUCUUUUGCCGGGCCUUUGGCCUUGAUGACGUCCCCUCGGGUAGCUCCCCCUAGAGUCACCUGCGGGCCUUGGGCGGUCAUGUGCGCAGCAGACUCCGCGGGGCGUUGCACCACGGCGUUAGGCGGGCCUUCACAGUGCUCGCUUCCCACUAUGAGGUGGAUCUGGAGCGGAUCAGCGAGGGGUACUGCUUACCCGACGAAGAGGACGCCGCCUUAGCCAAGGUCCAGAGGCUUGACGCGGCCGUCGAGGGCCCAAGCACGACGCUGGCUUCCUCCUUUGAGGUGGAGAUCCUUCCGUCCGUGUCACCGUCUUAGGCCGGGCCAAAUCCUGCCGAGGGUGGAAACGACGCCGAGGGUGCUGCUCCUCCCCCUGCCGAUGUUUGAGCCUGUAGGAGCAGUUUGUUUUAAGUAUGCGUAUGUUUUUGCGGUAGUUGAGGCCUAAACAUUUUUAUUGUCGAAUUAUAAAGCUGCAUUUCCUUUCCUCUUGUUUCGUGCGUUAGGACUUGUUCGAUAGCAGAAUCGCUUAUCCGAGCGCGAGUUACUUUUCGCGGAAGGUGAUGAGUGAGGUAUCCGUAUCCCGGAGGCGUAGGAGUCCCUCGGCUCGGUCGGCCUUGCCGUUCAAGGUUCCUCUCGUCGUUUUUAGGAUUCUGUUAUCGAUAUAGUCGAAAAGCACGAAAGUCGUUUUUCUUUCCUCUUGUUUCGUGCGUUAGGACUUGUUCGGUAGCGGAAUCGCUUAUCCGAGCGCGAGUUACUUUUCGCGGAAGGUGAUGAGUGAGGUAUCCGUAUCCCGAAGGCGUAGGAGUCCCUCGGCUCGGUCGGCCUUGCCGUUCAAGGUCUCUCUCGCUCGUUAUUAGGAUUCCGUUAUCGACGCAGUCGAAAGGCACGAAAGUCAUUUUGGUAGAAAACUUUUCCAAGGAAAAUUUUGACACAGAGGGGGGUUCCCCCCUUCUAGCCCCCGAGGGAGGGUCGGGCUUUGCCUUGGCAAGGCUGAUCCUUCCUUGAUGGUUAGACAUUAUUUAUGCAUGUAAAGAAAACGAGAUACAUGAACGACUUGAAACGUUUUAAGGAUAAAAGCGACGUAGUUGUUCGAUGUUCGAAGCGUUGCUGUAGACCUCGCCUUGAUCGUUGGCUAGCUUGUAUGUCCCGGGCUUCAAAAUCUUGGCGAUGAUGAACGGUCCUUCCCAGGGAGGAGUUAGCUUGUGGCGCCCUCGGGCGUCUUGUCGCAGCCCAAGUACCAAGUCUCCCACUUGGAAGCCUAGGGGUCGAACCCUUCGGGCGUGGUAGCGUUGCAGAGACUGCUGAUACCGCGCCGAGUGUAGUAAGGCCACGUCCCGAGCCUCUUCCAGUUGGUCCAACGAAUCCUCUCGGCUGGUCCGGUUGCUUUGCUCGUCGUAAGCCUUUGUCCUCGAGGAACCGUAUUCUAAGUCCGUGGGUAAGAUGGCCUCGACCCCAUAGACUAGAAAGAACAGCGAGAAACCAGUGGCCUGGCUCCGCGUCGUCCUCAGACUCCAAACCACCGAGGGUAGUUCUUUUAUCCACCGCUUGCCAAACUUGUUGAGGUCGUUGUAGAUCCUCGGUUUUAGUCCCUGCAAAAUCAUACCGUUGGCGCGCUCCACCUGCCCAUUUGUCAUUGGGUGAGCUACAACGGCCCAGUCCACACGGAUGUGGUGGUCCUCGCAGAAGUCUAGGAACUUUUUCCCAAUGAACUGCGUGCCACUAUCGGUGAUGAUGGAGUUUGGGACCCCAAAGCGAUGGAUGAUAUUUGUGAAGAACGCCACUGCAUGCUCAGACCCGAUGCUGGUUAAGGGUCGGACCUCGAUCCACUUGGAGAAUUUGUCGAUGGCGACCAGCAGGUGCGUGAAGCCCCCGGGUGCCUUCUGCAAGGGACCGACGAGGUCCAGACCCCAUACGACAAACGACCAAGUGAUAUGUAUUGUCUAUAGGGCUUGAGCGGGUAGGUGCGUCUGUCUCGCGUAGAAUUGACACCCUCGGCAGGAGCGUACAAUCCUAGUGGCGUCGACCACCGUGGUCGGCCAAUAGAAACCUUGUCGGAAAGUGUUUCCCACGAGGGUCCGAGGUGUUGCAUGGUGACCGCAAGCCCCCGAGUGUAUUUCUUGUAACAGCUCUUGUCCUUGGGCGACAGAUAUGCAUCGUUGGAGAAUGCCCGAGGGGCUGCGGUGGUAUAACUCUUUUUCAUCACCCAAAAAAAUGAAUGACUUGGCACGCCGAGCCAGUCGCCGAGCUUCGGCCUUGUCGAGGGGCAGCUCUCCUCGGAGGAGAUAUUCUAGGUACGGGGUCUACCAAUUCAGGUUUGGCGCAACCCCAUUCUGCUCUCCCUCGACGCGCAGGGCCUCACCCUCGGCGGCCGAGGGUACCUCGGGCUGGGCCGAGGUCUCCUCGGGUUUGGGUAUGUCGUCGAUUUUGACGGAUGGUUGAUAUAUGUCCCUGGAAAAGACGUUCAGGGGAACCGUCGUCCGCCCCGAGGCUAUUUUCGCUAGCUCAUCCGCGGUCUCGUUGUACCGUCGAGCAACAUGGUUGAGUUCCAGCCCGUGGAACUUAUCUUCCAAGCGCCGAACUUCGUCGCAAUAGGCCUCCAUUUUUCGAUCACGGCAGUGGGAGUUCUUCAUGACCUGGUCAAUGACGAGCUAUGAGUCGCCACGAGCAUCGAGGCGCCGAACCCCUAGCUCGACGACGAUGCGCAGUCCAUUAACCAAGGCCUCGUACUCAGCCACGUUGUUUGACACCGGAAAAUGGAGGCGCAGUACGUAGCGCACAUGUUUCCCGAGGGGUGAAAUGAAGAGCAAGCCAGCACCCGCUCCGGAUUUCAUAAGCGACCCAUCAAAGUACAUGGUCCAAAGUUCGGCCUGGAUUGGAGCUGUCGACAAUUGGGUGUCGACCCAUUCAGCCAGGAAGUCUGCCAAGACUUGAGAUUUUAUGGCCUUCCGAGGAGCGAAUGAAAGUGUUUCGCCCAUGAGUUCCACUGCCCAUUUUGCUAUCCUACCCGAGGCCUCUCGGCACUGGAUGAUCUCUCACCGGGGAAAGGAUGACACCACAGUCACCGGAUGAGACUCGAAGUAGUGUCGCAACUUUCGCCGUGUUAGAAUUACUGCGUACAUUAGCUUCUAGAAUUGUGGGUAGCGGAUCUUGGUCUCGGAUAGCACCUCGCUAAUGAAGUAGACCGGCCUCUGGAUGAGCAGUGCAUGCCCUUCUUCUCGUCUCUCGACUAUGAUCACGGCGCUGACCACCUGAGUGGUUGCGGCUACGUAAAUCAAGAGGGCUUCUCCCGCAGCGGGGGGCACCAAGAUGGGCGCAUUAGUAAGGAGUGCUUUAAGGUUUCCGAGGGCUUCUUCAGCCUCGGGAGUCCAAGUGAAGCGCUCGGCCUUCCUUAAGAGGCGGUACAAGGGCAAUCCUUUCUCGCCAAGGCACGAGAUGAAGCAGCUCAGAGCCGCAAGGCAUCCCAUGACCCUUUGUACUCCUUUUAAAUCUUUGAUUGGUCCCAUGUUGGUGAUAGCCGCGAUUUUCUCCGGGUUGGCCUCGAUGCCUCGUUCGGAGACGAUGAACCCUAGGAGCAUGCCUCGAGGGACUCCGAAGACACUUCUCGGGAUUGAGUUUUAUGCCCUUCGCUCUUAGACACCUGAAUGUUAUCUCAAGGUCAAAGAGGAGGUCGGAGGCUUUUCUUGUCUUGACAACGAUGUCAUCGACGUAAGCCUCGACCGUUUUGCCGAUGUGCUCUCCGAACACGUGGUUCAUGCACCUUUGGUAGGUUGCACUCGCAUUCCUCAAGCCAAAUGGCAUAGUAGUGUAACAAUACAUGCCAAAGGGUGUGAUGAAUGAAGUCGCGAGCUGGUCGGAUUCUUUCAUCUUGAUUUGGUGAUAACCUGAAUAGGCAUUGAGGAAAGACAGGGUUUCGCACCCAACAGUGGAGUCCACAAUUUGAUCGAUGCGAGGCAGAGGGUAGGGAACCUUUGGACAUGCUUUGUUUAAACCAGUGUAGUCUACGCACAUCCUCCAUUUCCCACCUUUUUUCUUUACAAGCACAGGGUUAGUUAACCAUUUUGGAUGGAAUACCUCUUUGAUGAACCCUGCAGCCAUUAGCUUGUGGACCUCCUCGCCUAUGGCCCUGCACUUUUCUUCAUCAAAGCGACGCAGGGGCUGCUUCAUGGGUCGGGCAUCGGCUCAGAUGUCUAGCGAGUGCUCGGCGACAUCCCUCGGUAUGUUGGGCAUGUCCGAGGGACUCCACGCAAAAAAUUCAGCGUUUGCGCGGAGAAAGUCGACAAGCACUGCUUCCUAUUUGGGGUCGAGCUCAGAGCCGAUCCUGACUUUCUUGUCGGCGUCGUUGCUGGGGUCGAGAGGGACGGACUUAACCGCCUCAGCUGGUUCGAAGUUGCCGGCGUGGCGCUUUGCAUUAGGCGCCUCCUUGGAGAGGCAAUCCAGGUCGGCGAUGAGGGCCUCAGACUCGACGAUGGCCUCAGCGUACUCCACGCAUUCCAUGUCGCACUCGUAAGCGUGGUGGUACGUGGAUCCGACGGUGAUGGUUCCGUUAGGGCCUGUCAUCUUGAGCUUGAGGUACGUGUAGUUGGGGACGACCAUGAACUUGGCGUAGCACGGUCUUCCCAGCACCGCGUGAUAGGUCCCUCGGAACCCAACCACCUCGAACGUGAGGGUUUCCUUUCGGAAGUUGGAGAGAGUUCUGAAGCAGACGGGCAAAUCAAGUUGCCAAAGGGGCAGGACGCGCUUAUCGGGGACGAUCCCGUGAAAAGGUGCUGCACCGGCCCGUAUCAUGGACAGAUCUAUCCCCAAGAGCCCUAGGGUCUCGGCGUAGAUGAUGUUGAGACUGCUGCCUCCGUCCAUGAGGACCUUGGUGAGCCUGGCGUUGCCGAUGACAGGGUCGAAGAUGAGCGGGUACCUUCCUGGGCUCGAUACGCAGUCGGGGUGGUCGCCUUGGUCGAAGGUGAUGGGCUUGUCGGACCAGUCUAGGUAGACCGGCGCCGCUACCUUCAUCGAGCAGCCUCCUGGCGCUCCUGCUUGCGGUGCCGAGCUGAGGCGUUCGCCACUUGCCCACCGUAGAUCAUGAAGCAGUUGUGGACCUCUGGGAACUCUUCUUCCUUGUCGCCCCCCUUCUUGUUGUUGCCUUGGUCUUUGCCACCUUCUGCCCUGGGGUGGUAGCCUCGGAGCACCCUUUCCUCGAGGCGAGCUCGACGGUCGCGGCGUUGUUGCUCGUCGCCGAGGCGACCCGGGGCUGCAGGCGUCCCGUCCCGUGUGCGCUCGGUGCAGACCGAGGCCUCCCGCAUGUGUCGGGAGGAUGUUGCGCGAUGCUCCGAGGGGCACCCUCGCCUUCGGGAUGUUGAGCUCUCGGCUCGUCGGACUGCAGCAUCUUCUAGGAGAUCCUUGAGUUCACCCUAGAUACGUCGCCCUCGGUGGUGGAUGGCUUCGGCAUUGUUUGAAGUAGCAUUGCCGCUGUAGCCAGGUUCUGGUCGGCCCCGCUGAAGGCCGGGGGCAGCCCUGCCCUGGCAUCGUCAACGAUACGGCGCUGGACGUCCCGGGCCCGAUGACGCGCUCCUCCGGCGAGUGCCCGGCCUACCCAUUCCUGCUCGAUGUUUUGUCGGAGCUGCACAAGCCGCCCCGCUUCUUCGUCGAGCUUGGCCUGCAUCUCGUGGAGUUGCUCAAGCUGUGUGUCCUAACCCCCCGCAGGGACUGGGACCACAGCUAGCUCCCGCGGGAUCUCAACGCGAGACGCAGGCACAGGGGCGUUGUCAUCUUCCGGCAUGCCGAGGUGGUUGUCUUCGUCGUGAUCCCCCUGAUCGAUGUGGAAACACUCGCGACUUGGGUGAUAACCCUCGUCGCCGAGGCUGUGGCCAUCGUCAGAGCAGCCGGAGAGGCAGUAGUCACAUGCGGACAUGAAGUCCCGCAUGGCACUGGGAUCACGGAGUCCGGAGAAAUCCCAACCGAAGUCAGGGUCGUUUGCUUCCUCGGAACCCGCGGGUCCGGAGGUUGAGACGGCCGUCAGUCGGUCCCAAGUUGACCACAUAUGGUACCCUGGAAGGUCAGGAUAUGCCCUCGCGAAAGCGCUCACCGAAGCGGGGUCGAUUGGUGGAUCGGAGCUAAAUCUAAAGGGAACAGGGUGGAAAACGGAUGGUACCUCUUGGUUGAUGGACGGUGGUGAAGUCGCAUCGGGGACGGAAUGCACUGUUAUCUUAGGUACGAGGCUGACGCCCAACAAGUCCUUCGUGAGGGUGCUGGCGUCAUCAGUCCGCUUGGGGUUGGCACAUUGCUGGGAAGCGACACCCGUCGUUGUCUCAGGUGCGAGGACAACACCCGACAUGUCCCUCGCAGGGGUGCCGGCAUCGUCGACUCGCUCUGGUCCGACAGCCGACGAGGUUCCGCCUCCUGCCUGGCCACGGUUGCCCCGUCUUCCCCUCCUCCGGCGAGGAGGGUGGCGGGGCAAACCCGGGUGUUCCUCUUCCGCCACGGGGGGAAGUCGUCGUCGAGUUCGCCUCCGCCGGGCGAGCCGACGACCGUCGUUGUUGUCGUGCUGCGAGGGGAGGAGUACCAUGUCGUAGCUGCCGUCGUGGGACAUGAACUCGAGACUUCUGAAGCGGAGCACCGUCCCGGGCUGGAGAGGCUGCUGAAAGCUACCCAUCUGGAACUCAACGGGAAAGUAUUUGUUAACACGCAGCAGGCCCCUACCUGACGCGCCAACUGUCGGCGUUUCGGACCCGCGAGGACCAUCAACCGACCAGUGAAUUUGUCGCUGCGUGUCCCUGCCUAGAUGGGUUGAUGCAAGAUGGAACACAAGUGGGAGGGAUGAGGCUUAUAUUAUCUUGCACCGGGGUGCUCGUAGUAGGGGUUCCAAGCGUUGCGAGAGAGCGAGAGCAAGAGAGAGAGAGAGAGAGGGUUUGGCCUUGAGGUGAGCUGUCCGAGUUUGCCUCCACCGCGUCUCUCCUACUCUGCCUGCCUCUGCUCGCCUGCCUUCGCCCUCCGCCUCCCUUAGGAAGGCCCUGGACAUCCCCUUUUAUAGAUACAAGGAGAUGCCCAGUUGUACAAUGGGGGUGUAGCUAUGUGCUAUCGUGGUUGGCGGAGAAGUGCCUUGAGCCCUGUACACGUGCUAACGUGGCCGUCGGAGAAGUGCUUGAGCCCCGUAGAAGCGUAGCUGACGGUGCGGCCCAGGGUCCUGCUGACGUUUCCUUGCUUCCGUAAGGAGCUGAGAGCCAUCGACGUCAUGGUCGCACGCGGGGAACCAUCAUUACCUGCUAUCAGAGUAGUUUGAUGUGACUCCAGUCUUGUUCCUUCGUAGCAAGGGGUGGCUAGCUAGCGGUAGGGUAAUGAUGUAUCCCCUGUAGCGUAGUCGGUCCGGGGCCGAGGUCAGGCGAGGCGGAGACUUCUCCUGAGGCCGAGGCCGAGGUAGGGCGAGGAUGUGACUCCUCCCGAGGCCGAGGCUGAGGCCGAGUCCUGGGGUCGGGCGAGGCGGAGACCUUCUUCUGAGGCCGAGGCUGAGGCCGAGGCCUGAGGUCGGGCGAAGCGGAGCUCCUUGUUGCGCCCGAGGCUGAACUCGGGGGAGGUCGUGACUCAACUUUACCCUAGUGGUUGGCACAGUAGUCGGAACAGGGUGAAUAGUGUUGUUUUCCUGUCAGAACGGUCAGUAAUGGGGUGAAGUGACUGCGGUCACUUCGACCUUGCCGACUGAGGCGCGCGUGUCAGGAUAAGGUGUCAGGCGAUCUCCGCAUUAAAUGCACAUGCGAUACGGUCGGUUGGUAAGGCGGUUUGGCCGAGGUCGCCGCACGACAAAGUUUGCCCAGCCUGGGCUUCGGGCGAGCCGAGGGUGCGCCCACUACCUGAGGGGACCCUCGGGUGAGGCGUGAAUUCGUCCGGGACUACUGUUCCCGCCCGAGGCCGGGCUCGGGCGAGGCGAGGUCGUGUCCCUUGGUAGACGAUGCCCUGACUUGAAUCGUGCUUAUCAGUCAUUUAUAGUUUGUUCUUGUCGGGGACCAUAAUUAGGGGUACCCUCAAGGCUCCUAAUUCUCAACUGGUAACCCCCAUCAGCAUAAAGCUGCAAAGGCCUGAUGGGUGCGAUUAAGUCAGGGAUCAGUCCAUUCGAGGGACUCGAUCACGCCUCGCCCGAGCCUAGCCUCGGACAAGGGCAGCCGACCCCAGAGGAUUUCCGUCUCGCCCGAGGCCCCCCUCCAGCGGCGAACAUAUUUCCGGCUCGCCCGAGGCCCUGCCUUUGCCAAGAAGCAACCCUGACCAAAUCGCCGCACCGACCGACCAAAUCGCAGGAGCAUUUAAUGCAAAGGUGGCCUGACACCUUUAUCCUGACGUGCGCCCCCCAGCCGGCAGAGCCGAAGUGACCGCCGUCACUUCGCCGCUCCACUAACCGGCCUGACAGAAGGACAGCGCCGCCUGCGCCACUCCGACUGCGGUGCCACUUGACAGAGUGAGACUGACAGGCAGUCAGGCCCUGCCGAAGGCACCAUAGGAAGCUCCGCUUCGCCCGACCCAGGGCUCGGACUCGGGCUAAGUCCCAGAAGACGGCGAACUCCGCUCCGCCUGACCCAGGGCUCGGACUAGGGCUAAGUCCCAGAAGACGGCGAACUCCGCUCCGCCCGACCCAGGGCUCGGACACGGGCUAAGUCCCGAAAGACGGCGAACUCCGCUCCGCCUGACCCAGGGCUCGGACUCGGGCUCAGCCCCAGAAGACGGCGAACUCCGCUCCGCCCGACCCAGGGCUCGGACACGGGCAAAGUCCCGGAAGACGGCGAACUCCGCUCCGCCCGACCCAGGGCUCGGACUCCGCCCUGGCCUCAGCCGACGGCCUUCGCCUCGCCCGACCCAGGGGCUCGGACUCGACCUCGGCCACGGAAGACAAACUCGACCUCGGCUUCGGAGGAGCUUCCACAUCGCCCAACCUAGGGUGCAGACCAGCCACGUCAACAGGAGGUGCCAUCAUCACCCUACCCCGAGCUAACUCGGGUCGUAGGGAACAAGACCGGCGUCCCAUCUGGCUCGCUCCGCCAGAUAGGCAAUGAUGGCGCCCCGCAUACUCUGUGACGACGGCGACUCUCAGCCCCCUUACGGAAGCAAGAGGACGUCAGCAAGGACUCAACCGCUCCGACAGCUGUCCCUCCGCUAGGCUCCAUCGCUCCUCCGACGGCCACGACAUCACACCAGCUGGGCGCCAAAAUCUCUCCGGCUGCCACAACGACAUGUACUUAGGGCGCUAGCUCUCCUCCGCUAGACACGUAGCACUUUGCUACACCCCCCAUUGUACACCUGGAUCCUCUCCUUACGCCUAUAAAAGGAAGGACCAGGGCCCUCUUAGAGAGGGUUGGCCGCGCGGGGACGAGGACGAGACAGGCGCUCGCUUGAAGCCGCUUGCUCCCUCUCCCGCGUGGACGCUUGUAACCCCCCUACUACAAGCGCACCCGACCUGGGCGCGGUACGAACACGAAGGCCGCGGGAUUCCCACCUCUCUCACGCCGGUCUCCGGCCGCCUCGCUCUCCCCCCUUCGCGCUCGCCCUCGCGCUCGACCCAUCUAGGCUGGGGCAUGCGGCGACAUUCACUCGUCGGCUCAGGGACCCCCCGGUCUCAGAACGCCGACAGUUGGCGCGCCAGGUAGGGGCCUGCUACGUGUUGACGAACAGCUUCCCGUCAAGCUCCAGAUGGGCAGUCUCCAGCAACCUCUCCAACCCCGGACGGUGCUCCGUUUCGGGAGUCUUGAGUUCAUGUCCCUCGACGGCAGCUACGACAUGAUACUCCUUCCACCGCCGCGCGACAACGACAAUGGCGGCCGACAGCCCGCCCGCCGGUGGCGGAAUCGACGACGUCUUCCCCGCGUGGUGGAAGAACAACUUUCGAGCUCGUCCCGCCCUCUUCCCCAUCGACGGAGGGGGAGGCGGGGCAACCAAGGCCAAGCAGGAGGCAGCGCCUCGUCAGCUGUCGAGCGAGUCGACAGCACCGGCACCCCAACGGGGGGUGCACCGGGUAUCGACUUCGCGCUUGAGACGAAGACGAGCGCCGUCUUCCCGCGACACGCCAAUCCCGAGCAAGCAGACGACGCCAGCACGCUCGCGAAAAGCUUGCUGGACAUCACCCUCGUACCUGAGACGACGGUGCAGUCAGUCCCCGACGUGACUUUAUCGCCGCUCGUCGACCAAGAGGUACCGACCGAUUCCCAUCCCACGACAUUUGGAUUCAGCCUCAACCCGCCUAGCGACCCCGCUUUGGCGGGCGCUCUCGUAGAGGCGAGUCCAAACCCACUGGGGUUUCGUAUGCGGUCACUUUGGGACCGGCUGACGGACGUCUCGACCUACGGGCCCUCCGGGUCCGAGGAAGACGACGAGCCCAGCUUCUGUUGGGAUUUCUCUGGACUUGGCAACCCCAGUGCCAUGUGGGACUUCAUGACCGCAUGUGACUACUGCCUCUCCGACUGUUCCGACGGUAGCCGUAGCCUCGGCGACGAGGACUGUGGCCCAAGUCGCGAAUGCUUCCACGUCGAUCUAGGGGGUCCCUCCGAAGGCAACCAUCUCAGCAUGCCGGAGGACGGUGAUCUCCCUAGGCCGGUGCCUCGCGUUGACAUCCCACGGGAGCUAGCUGUGGUCCCCGUUCAGGCGGGGGGCCAUGACCCACAUCUCGAGCAAAUCCGCGAGGUGCAGGCCAGGCUCGACGAGGGAGCAGGAGCGCUUGAGCCGAUCCGCCGGGACGUCGGGCAGGCAUGGGCGGGCCAACCCCCGGCCGGAGAAAUACGUCAUCUACCCUAGGGCUUCCAGCACCGCGUCGCCGACGACGUCAGGGUCAGGCCACCACCCGCAUCUAGUGGGGUCGGCCAGAACCUGGCUGCAGCAGCGAUGCUUCUCCGCGCGAUGCCGAAGCCAUCAACCACCGAGGGGCGGCGGAUCCAGGGGGAGCUCAAGAAUCUCCUGGAAGGCGCCGCGGUCCGACGGGCCGAGAGCUCUGUCUCCUGAAGGCAGGGGUACCCCUCGAAACCUCAUGUCGCGACUUUCUGAUUCAUGCGGGAAGCCUCGGUCUACACCGGGCGCACGCGCAACACCGCGCCUGCGGCCCCAGGUCGCCUCGGCAACGAGCACCAUCACCGCGACCGUCGGGCCCACCUCGACGAGAGGGUGCGCCGAGGCUACCACCCCAGGCGUGGGGGACGCUACGACAGUGGGGAGGAUUGGAGUCCCUCGCCCGAACCACCCGAUCCGCAAGCCUUCAGCCGGGCCAUCCGACGGGCGCCGUUCUCGACCCGGUUCCGACCCCCGACUACUAUCACAAAGUACUCGGGGGAAACGAGACCGGAACUGUGGCUCGCGGACUACCGUCUGGUCUGCCAACUGGGUGGAACGGACGAUGACAACCUCAUCAUCCGCAACCUCCCCCUGUUCCUCUCCGACACCGCUCGCGCCUGGUUGGAGCACCUGCCUCCGCGGCAGAUCUCCAACUGGGACGACCUAGUCCAAGCUUUCGCCGUCAAUUUCCAGGGCACGUACGUGCGCCCCGGGAAUUCCUGGGACCUCCGAAGCUGCCAGCAGCAGCCGGGAGAGUCUCUCCGGGACUACAUCCGGCGAUUCUCGAAGCAUCGCACCGAGCUGCCCAACAUCACCAACUCGGAUGUCAUCGGCGCGUUCCUCGCCAGCACCACCUGCCGCGACCUGGUGAGCAAGCUGGGUCCCAAGACCCCCACCAGGGCGAGCGAGCUGAUGGACAUCGCCACCAAGUUCGCCUCCGGCCAGGAGGCAGUCGAGGCUAUCUUCCGAAAGGACAAGCAGCCCCAGGGCCGCCCAUCGGAAGAUGCUCCCGAGGCAUCAACUCAGCGCGGCGCCAAGAAGAAGGGCAAGAAGAAGUCGCAAGCGAAACACGACGCCGCCGACGCGGACCUUGUCGCCGCCGCCGAGUACAAGAACCCUCGGAAACCCCCCGGAGGUGCCAACCUCUUCGACAAGAUGCUCAAGGAGCCGUGCCCCUAUCACCAGGGGCCCGUCAAGCACACCCUUGAGGAGUGCGUCAUGCUUCGGCGCCACUUCCAAAGGGCCGGGCCACCCGCGGAGGGUGGCAGGGCCCGCGACGAUGAUAAGAAGGAAGAUCACCAAGCAGGAGAGUUCCCCGAGGUCCGCGGCUGCUUCAUGAUCUACAGUGGGCAAGCGGCGAAUGCCUCGGCUCGGCACCGCAAGCAAGAGCGCCGGGAGGUCUGCUCGGUGGGGGUGGCGGCGCCAGUCUAUCUAGACUGGUCCGACAAGCCCAUCACCUUCGACCGAGCCGAUCACCCCGACCAUGUGCCGAGCCCGGGGAAAUACACGCUCGUCGUCGACCCCGUCAUCGGCGACGUCAGGCUCACCAAGGUCCUCAUGGACAGAGGCAGCAGCCUCAACAUCAUCUACGCCGAGACCCUCGGGCUCCUGCGUGUCGAUCUGUCCUCCGUCCGAGCAGGCACUGCGCCCUUCCAUGGGAUCAUUCCCGGGAAGCGCGUCCAGCCCCUCGGACAACUCGACCUUCCCGUCUGCUUCGGAACACCCUCCAACUUCCGAAGGGAGACCCUGACGUUCGAGGUGGUCGGGUUCCGAGGAACCUACCACGCGGUACUGGGAAGACCAUGCUACGCGAAGUUCAUGGCCGUCCCCAACUACACCUACCUGAAGGUCAAGAUGCCGGUACCCAACGGGGUCAUCGCCGUCGGCCCCACGUACAAACACGCGUUCGAAUGCGACGUGGAGUGCGUGGAAUACGCCGAGGCCCUCGCCGAGUCCGAAGCCCUCAUCGCCGACCUGGAGAGCCUCUCAAAGGAGGUGCCAGACGUGAAGCGUCAUGCCGGCAACUUUGAGCCAGCGGAGACGGUUAAGUCCGUCCCCCUCGACCCCAGCGACGACGCCUCCAAGCAGAUCCGGAUCGGCUCCAGGCUCGAUCCCAAAUAGGAAGCAGUGCUCGUCGACUUUCUCCGCGCGAACGCCGAUGUCUUCGCGUGGAGUCCCUCGGACAUGCCCGGCAUACCGAGGGAUGUCGCCGAGCACUCGCUGGACAUCCGAGCCGGAGCCCGACCCGUCAAGCAGCCUCUGCGCCGAUUCGACGAGGAGAAGCGCAGAGCCAUAGGCGAGGAGAUCCACAAGCUAAUGGCGGCAGGGUUCAUCAAAGAGGUAUUCCAUCCCGAAUGGCUUGCCAACCCUGUGCUUGUGAGAAAGAAAGGGGGGAAAUGGCGGAUGUGUGUAGACUACACUGGUCUCAACAAAGCAUGUCCGAAGGUUCCCUACCCUCUGCCUCGCAUCGAUCAAAUCGUGGAUUCCACUGCUGGGUGUGAAACCCUGUCUUUCCUCGAUGCCUACUCGGGGUAUCAUCAAAUCAGGAUGAAAUAGUCCGACCAGCUCACGACUUCUUUCAUCACACCCUUCGGCAUGUACUGCUAUGUCACCAUGCCGUUCGGCUUGAGGAAUGCGGGCGCGACGUACCAGCGGUGCAUGAACCAUGUGUUCGGUGAACACAUUGGCCGCACGGUCGAGGCCUACGUCGAUGACAUCGUAGUCAAGACGAGGAAAGCUUCUGACCUCCUUUCCGACCUUGAAGUGACAUUCCGAUGUCUCAAGGCGAAAGGCGUCAAGCUCAAUCUCGAGAAGUGUGUCUUCGGGGUGCCCCAAGGCAUGCUCUUGGGGUUCAUCAUCUCCGAGCGGGGCAUCGAAGCCAACCCGGAGAAGAUCGCAGCCAUCACCAGCAUGGGGCCCAUCAAGGACUUGAAAGGCGUACAGAGGGUCAUGGGAUGUCUCGCGGCUCUGAGCCGCUUCAUCUCACGCCUCGGCGAAAGAGGUCUACCUCUGUACCGCCUCUUGAGGAAGGUCGAGUGCUUCACUUGGACCCCUGAGGCCGAGGAAGCCCUCGGGAACCUGAAGGCGCUCCUCACAAAGGCGCCUAUCUUGGUGCCUCCAGCUGCCGGAGAAGCCCUCUUGGUCUACGUCGCCGCGACCACUCAGGUGGUUAGCGUCGCGAUUGUGGUCGAGAGGCAAGAAGAGGGGCAUGCAUUGCCCGUUCAGAGGCCAGUUUACUUCGUCAGCGAGGUACUGUCCGAAACCAAGAUCCGCUACCCACAAAUUCAGAAGCUGCUGUAUGCGAUGAUCCUGACACGGCAGAAGUUGCGACACUACUUCGAGUCUCAUCCGGUAACUGUGGUGUCAUCCUUCCCCCUGGGGGAGAUCAUCUAGUGCCGAGAGGCCUCGGGUAGGAUUGCAAAGUGGGCGGUGGAAAUCAUGGGCGAGACAAUCUCGUUCGCCCCUCGGAAGGCCAUCAAGUCCCAGGUCUUGGCGGACUUCGUGGCCGAAUGGGUCAACACCCAGCUACCGACGGCUCCAAUCCAACCGGAGCUCUGGACCAUGUUUUUCGAUGGGUCAUUGAUGAAGACGGGAGCCGGCGCAGGCCUACUCUUCAUCUCGCCCCUCGGGAAGCACAUACGCUAUGUGCUACGCCUCCACUUCCCAGCGUCCAACAAUGUGGCUGAGUAUGAAGCUCUGGUCAACGGAUUGCGGAUCGCCAUCGAGCUAGGGGUCCGACGCCUCGACGCUCGCGGUGACUCGCAGCUCGUCAUCGACCAAGUCAUGAAGAACUCCCACUGCCGCGACCCGAAGAUGGAGGCCUACUGCGAUGAGGUUCGACGCUUGGAAGACAAGUUCUACGGGCUCGAGCUCAACCACAUCGCUCGGCGCUACAACGAGACUGCGGACGAGCUGGCUAAAAUAGCCUCGGGGCAAACAACGGUUCCCCCGGACGUCUUCUCCUGGGAUCUGCAUCAACCCUCCGUCAAGAUCGACGACACGGCCGAGCCUGAGACACCCUCGGCCCAGUCCGAGGUACCCUCGGCCCAGCCCGAGGUACCCUCGGCACAGCCCGAGGUGUAAUACCCAAAAAUGUAUUCAAAGUGAGUUGACUUGAUCUUCUUAAAUGUUUUACCAUCUACAACAUGGAACAUCCAAUUUGAGUGAACAAAUAACUAAUAAAAAUACUCUAUGCAUCAUGUUGGGGUUUUUUUUAUUUUGUUUGUGCAUUUCAUAAAAAUAAUAAUAAUAAUAAAGGUACAUUAAUAAUGAGAAAUAGGAUUUUAACAUGACUCAAAUUCUAGGGUUUGGAAAUAAUGUAUAAGAGAGAGCAAAAUGGAACUCUAUAAGUACCAUAAAGAGAAAUAUACAUAUAUAAAUGAUUCUUUUACUAGCAUAACUGGAUUAACUAUUUAAUUUAAAAUUACCAGUUCACAAGCCAAAAGUUUAAAUUCAGUUGAACAUUUGAAUUCAAUAGAAAUCUCUGAAAAAAAAAUGGAAAAGAAAAGAAAAUGGAGAAAGAAGCUGUGCGGGCCGGCUAACCUCAUUUCGGCCCAUUUCACCCCCUGACCUAUUCCUGCGGCCCAGCUCGUGCCGCACUCUCGUGCUGUGUAUGACAUGUGGGACCCACAUGUCGGCUACUUCCUUGACCUCUAGCUCGGUCGUGGCCGUUGCAACCGCCCGCCGCAAACCUCGCUGCUAGCUCAGGACCGCCCCAGCCGAAUCUCCGCGAACCGAUUCUGCGCUUGAAUCGCGGGAACGGAUUGACCUGGCGCAUGCGCCUCAUCUCACCACCGCGCGGAGCCCCAGAAUGAGGGACCCACGGGUCGUCUUCCACCUCCCGCGUUGGUCGGCUCUGCUCAACAGAAACCAAAAUUCACGCCGGGUCCUUGCCUGGGCGCGUGGUACGGAGCGUUGGGCUCGGUGUCUGCCUCCGUUGGGGAUAAAACCACUCCCCUGCUACCUCGCGCCAACAUAUUCCAGUCGCCAUCGUCGGUGGAGAACCUCCACCCAUUUUCCCCACCGUGUCCGGACAGUACCCCCGCCGCCAUCGAUUGUCGCCGUCGUCGCCUCCCAACCUCCGUUGUGCAGUUCCGAGCGUUCUGCAGGGUUGAUAGAUCGUGUGCACGGGCCUAAUCGAGCGCUGAGGCCGGCGGUGCGGCAAAAUUUCUCACCUUCUUCAUCCAGGCCACCUGGACGCGUGGGCAGAGUCGUCGCCGCAUCAAACCAAGGUAAAAAUCCCACCAUCGGAUUCACCUUGACCUCCUCUAUGUGUAGCGCUAGGGAAUCGAGAACUUAGCGUCUGGGCGAGUAGUUGGGGAGCUCCAGCCAUGGCACUCCGCCGCGGUGAGCAUGCAAUCGGGAUUGGGAGUAUCCGGGGAAGGAGAACGGUUCCUGGCCAUCGAUCUAUCACCGGUGUGACACCCCAGUGUCACCUAGGGUUUCUCUUAAAAAGCCAAACCAAGAACCAUUAUUUUAUGUGAACCAAAGUAAGCAUGAGCAUCAAAAUAACUUAAGUAAGAAAGAGUUCACCAAGUAUAUGCUUAAAAGUGUCAUGAUCAAAACAAUUGAGUCUCUUAAAGGAUAAGAAUGUGCAACCCUAAUUAAGAACCCUAAGUGAACCCCAUGAACAAAAUUCAAGAAAAUAAGAAAAAGGGGAUGAAAAGUUUAAAAUUUUGAGUUGAGCCAAUUAUAUAAGUUAAAGUAUAUUUGAUAAGCAACAAGAUAGAUUGAGAAAGCUUAGCCAAAAUAAUUCAAGAAAACCCCCAAAUCAAGCUUCUUUUGUUGGGACUCAUUGGGAAUUCUGAAUUUCAGAAUUCUGAAAUUCAGACCUUGAGCCAAAGAUCAGGGAUGUUCACCUUGAUCCCUAACUCGAAUCCUAAUGGCCCCAUUGACAAAAUUGUGUCUAACUAACCCCUCUGUCGUGUGCCAGAAGAUGGCAUUGGGACGCGAUCCCUAGACACGACAAAACUUGGGAUUUGCCUCGGGUUUGGGCAGGGAGACAGACCAGAUUUCCUGGCUCCAUAUCUCUGCAACCAGUAGGCAAAAUCCUAUGACCUCCACACAAGAAUGGUAGCUUGUAGGGAGGAGAAGAGGUUUCGUGCACUGGCCAAAGCAAGAGCAGGCUCGGAUGAGCGACCACACGCGCCAGAGCUUGGGCAGAACGCACGGGCACACGUGUUCGACCCUGGUCGGCACGCCAGAGCUCGCCCAACCCGCGCGCGCGCUCGCCCCGGCGUCCGGUCAAGUCCGCCGCGCGCCCACGCCCUCGGCCGUGCCCGCCCGCGCCUAUAAAGCCUCCCCGGGCGCACCUCUCUUCGCCCCGCACUCACCCUCACCGGCCAGCCACCGUUCCUUAGCUCCAGCAAGCGUAUUUCCGCCCGCCAUUGCCGCCAGAGCUACGGCCGCCGUGGCCAGCCCACUCCAACCACCCUCCAGCCCAACCAGUGCUUCGGCUAGCUCCGCCAGUGGCCCGUGAAGCUUGCCAAGCCCUCGGACCCGACCGGACUUCACCGGAGGUCCGAGAUCAACCUCACCGGACUUCGGUCUUCCUCCGCCGCGCGUGGACCGAGCUAUCCGGUGAGUCUCCGCCCAAUUCCUUUCGCUCAUGUCUUCUCUGGCAACCCAUGGACCUCCCUGACCUAUUUGAUUGAACUACCUCGCCGUGACCAGGCCGGUCUCCUCGCCGCCGACGAGCAUCCCCGCCUGCGCGCGUGGACCGACCGACUCCGGCCACCUCCGACGGCGUUCCGCACACCGUUGUGAUCCCCGCAACCUCCCCUUCGUCCUCGACCACUUCACCGGAACAGUCUCGCCGCCGGUAAGCCCCUCCGCCCUUUUCUUCGCCGCGGCUACUGUUUGAGGUAGAAGAAGGACCUCGGGUUAGGUUCUGUAGAACCCGAGGGGUUUUCUGUAAUGUCAGCGACUCAUGUGAAUAGUAACCUAAGGACUGAUUCGCGAGGAAAACCUAGAAAAACCGCCAGGGACCCCAGUGCAAAGUGGAUUUCCAUUUAAUCAAUUCUGUUAUUCUUUUAAAAUAACCAGAGAACUUAGAAAAUCCAUAACUUGAUGAAAUCUUAAUGAAAAGCUGUCAAACCAAUUUUGCUAGCUCUGGAAUAUUAUGAUCUAUUAUUUAAAAAUAGUGAACCGUAUGCUUUCUGUUCUAAAUUUUAGAGUUUAAAAUUAAAAACAGAAACCCCCUAAACCUUGUUUAAUUAAGGAAAAUUAGUUUUUCUUUUGUGUUGAGCUUAAGAAAAUUUGUAGAUGCUUAUACCUUAAUUAUACACUGUUUAAAAAUAGUAGGAGCCCCAGCAUUGGAGAUUAUGAUGUAGUUAUUUAUUUAAAGCCAUUUUGUCCAAAACUUAGAGAAAAUCAGAAAAACAUUAGAAAAUGUUGAACAGUGAUUAAUAAUAUUUUUCCUAGUUUACUUAUGCAACAGAGAACCUAGGAAAAAUGCAGAGACCAUUAAUUAGGACCAGUUUCUAAUUAAGAUGCUCUAUUUAGCCUUAUGUAGACUGAAAAUCAAUUAUUAGAAUUGCAAAACUAUAACCAAAGUGGUUAACAAAAAUCCAGUGAACUUAUAACCAUCAGAGCCCCACUACAAAAAUACAGAGCACCCCAGCCUAACUUUUUAAGUAGGGAAAAUAAAUACAGAAUGAUAAUAAGGCAUUUUCCCACUAAAUCAUGAGCAACCCCAAAUAAUAUGAUUUUGGGCAGCCAAAAUUUUGCUAAGUCCAUGAUGAGAUAAACCACCAGAGAAAAAUACAAACCCAUGAAAAAGAAGUGAACCCAUGCAUUUUGCUAAUAAUUUGUGAGAAAGGCCAUUUAGCUCAAAUAAUGCAAACCACCCCUUCCCUUAAGCAAAAGGAAGCCAAACUUCAGAAUGAUUGCUCUUGCACAAAAUACUAGCUAAGAAAAAUGAAAACUCGGUUGUUUGAUGUUUUUCAAGUAUAGUGGUAGUAGAAAACACCCCUUUGGCUAGAAACCUUAAGAAAAUCAUAGGGAAAGAAUUAAAGGGUAUUAAUGACUAGAAAGUUGUAUCAAGUCAUGUUAUAACACCUAAAAGCCAGCAAAAAUAAGCUUUUGAGAAUUACCCACUGUUAAAUAAUAGUUGUAGCUCAAAGUACCUCUUCUGCCCUAAAAUUUGGUAAUUUUGUCCAGAGAAAACCAUUCACUUUCUGAACCCCAAAUUUUGUGACAGAGAAUCAUACACCAGUAACAAGCCACUGUAAUUUUUGCAGAAUUUUUAGAAUUUUAUAAAAGCAACUUGUAGUUCAAACCUACUCCAAAACAUUAAAGAGAAUAAAAGAAAAGAGAAGAAGGAAUAAACCUCAUCCCAUUAAAACUAACCCAAUUUACCAAGUAUACCACUAAAGGGUUUUACAUAAGCAAGGUUAACUUGUUUAAAUUCAAAAAAAGACCAUACAUCUUUAAAGUUGUAAAUUCUAAAGCACAUAUCAUAUCAUGCAUGUAUCUUACGCAUUGCAUUCAUUAGAUUGUAAUCUUGCCGACGGAGAGUACGUGCUCAUCCCCGAGCAAGGACCUGUCCAAGAGGAGGACCAGGAGCAGGCUUCAGAGGCUGCUAUUGAGGAUCUCCCCGCAGCCCCAGCAAUUGAAGGCAAGCCCCGGUUUUAUGCAUAACCAUGUUAUUAUAUGCUACUUUACUACACUUAAUGCUUGUAGGAUUGUAAUGUGCACUUAAGUGUAGGAGUUGCUUGAAACUCUAGUUGCAUGAACUUAGGAUUCCUUUUUGAGAUGAAUACCAGUAUGCUAGGUCGAGUAGCUGCUUGCUAAUCAGGAUCUCGGUAGAAGUCGAGUGAUUUUUCUAGCACUCGCGCGAGGUCAGGAAUUGAUUGUAUUCAUCUUGAUAAUGGGAUAUAUGUUGGUCCGUGGACUUGGAUCCAGGGAGGAUGCCUUGUCCAUGAGACGGGAAAAAUGAAUUAAGGAUUAAUGUGUGGAUACCUGAGUCAAGCUUUUGAACGUACUAAGCACAUGCCGGGAAAAAUGGUAACCGGUAAACCUAGUACCUGAGUGAAGCCGGGCGCGGACUUUAUCCCUCAUGCGACCUGAGACUGGGUCUCCCAUGCUAGCUAUGGUGGGUACAAGUGCGGUCACUGCACGGCGGCAGCCGGGGUCAGUGGAGCAUUGUAUGCCAAGGCGGUGAGGCCUGGACGCGAACGGGGAAUCGAUGGGGACGGUUGUCAUGUGUAGGGUCGGAGUACCCUGACAUGCCGUGUGUUUAGGUUUACCUUGCAAGGUUUUAAAACUCGAUUCGAAUCGUCUGCUUCUCGCAGCUAAUGAGACUGCUUGAUUCCUUGUACUGCAUCGAGUAAGAAGUGAAAUGUGGAUUACAUGAGAUAACUUGUUGAUUGAGCUAAUUGCUUGUUACCAUGUAUGCUUAGAAGGAGCAAAUCUAGCUAAGUUAAUGAUGGUAGAACUUGAAAAGCUAAAAAUUGAUUUUAGAAACAGCUAGUGCUUUUGGCAAACCAAACCCCUCAGCCAAACAGCUGCAUAGUCUAGAGGUAGAGGAGUAGACUCCUCACACCGGUUAAGUCUAGCUGAGUAUUAGUAUACUCAGCCUUGCUUGUGGCACCAUUUUUGCAGGUACCAUGCAGGAUGUAGUUGAUGGUGUAACUUGGCCUACCACCCUGCCACCGGGUUGGACGGUCGAGUGGGAUGUUGCUCCGGCAGGAGAGGAGCAUGAGGAGUAGUGGGCUAGGCCUUGCCCAAUUCCUCAUUACCGAUGACAUCGAUUAUCCGCUGCACUUUAAUUUGUGAACUUUAGUUGCUACUCCAAAAACUCUGAUUUAUGUAAUAACUCAGCACUUAAUUUGAGGUUUCCUGUUUUAUUGUAUUUCUUCUGUGACUCGCCUUCGAGUGAGAUUGUGGAAUUUGAUCCUGGUUAAGUGGCUCUAUCAGACUAGAUCUGAGGGACCGACGGGUUAUUCCGAUUUAAGUGUGUUACGGCCCCUGAGGCGUGACUUAGGCACUUAAGCUGGAAUAAUUUGGGUGGUUCUGCCACAGCUGGUAUCGGAGCAAAUUCCACCACAGAGAAGGACAAUAAACCAUGAAUACCAAUUUUCAAAAUCUAAAAACCUGCCUAGAAGCUACUACGGAUCGUCAGGACUAGAUCGCUAGACCUAGGACGAAAGGCCUUAGGCAUAGAGGGAGAAAUAGGUGGCUAAUUUAUUAGGCCCUGUGGGCCAAUAUUUAUAUUUUUAAGGAUGCCCUAAAAAGGCACCCUAUUUUCCUUUUGAGAGGCAACGUUUCUUUCAGCAUGCAUGCAUUAUAAAACACAUAGAGGAAUUAAAAAUUUGAGCUAACCCCUUUUCCUUGAAACCAUCCGGGCUCUCUUUUUCCUUCCACCAUAAUCUUUAUCUUUGAUUCCCUUCCGCAGAUGAAUUCACCCACCCCCGCCAGUGGAGGAGACUCUCGUUUCAGUUCUGACUUCCUUUCUCGCGAUGGCUUUCCUUCCAUUUUGUGGGAAGUGCUUAACUCUGCCGGUUACCCUACGCCCCCUUCGUACACAGUGCAGUUGUAUGAGGAGCAUCGGGUACCUCGUUGUCGGGUCUGGCUAACUUUGGAGGCUCAUCCCCUUCAGCCGGGUUGGCGUUCUCUUGACUCUGAGACGAUUGGACUCAGGACGGACGACACCAUUGAGGCAGCAGCCAUGAAGACUCUGACGACUUUCUGUGGCUACCAUCCCCUGGAGAUGGUGAUGCACCCCUUGGGACUCUUCCCUGCUGAGAAGAAGGAUGAUCCCAUGUGGUGUAACCGCGUGAGCCAUGUGAAGGAUGUGUGGGCAAUGUAUCCUGACUUGGUUGGGAGGGUCACUGUUCAGUGCAUGAGUGCGCUGUACCGCCUUCAGGCCCUUCAGAGCGAUGCUAUGACACUUCUUGCUAACACCGCUCAGGCUGCCAAGCUCACUCUCGACAGUCGGGAAGAUUUUGUGGCCGACCUAUCCACAGAGUUGGUGGAGAAGGAUUUGCAGGUGGAGAGGCUGAGCCAGCGUAUCACCACCCUGGAGCAGCAAGUGGAGAUCCGAGAUAACACUAUUGAUGUCUUGGAGAACCAGCUUCACGACGUGCAGAGGGAACUUGAGGAAGCCAAUGACCACUUGGACAUGCACCACCUGGAGAUGGAGGCCAAUGAAGCAGGAAGCGAGUGAGAAGAGGCUCCCGAGGAGCUAGGACCAGCCCCUGGUGCCAAUGGGACUACCUCCGCGAUACCUCCUUCACCCGUAUCCAGUGUCGCUUCCACCGCUCAGGGUUAAGCAGUCGCUUUGACAUUUUUAGGCGGAUAGAAACCUAUGCGAGCUUAGUAGUAUCACAUUUUGGACUAGGCUUGUGGGUACCUUCCCCUGAUUAAUGUAACCCUGUAAACUUUUGAUAUCUGUGGGAUCCUUGUCACCCUGUUAUCUUCAUUUCGAACCUAAUAUUAUGAUUAUGGCAUUUUCCUUCCAUAUGAGAUGAUAUCUUGUCGUUCGGAACUGUGAAUUGGGAUAACAAUGGCGACAAUCUCUGUUUUCAGAUGGCAGCGAGGCAGCGUCGCGGGCAAAAUGAGCAAGCUCCCCCGCCACCUCCUCCAGCUCCCACAGUGCAGGAGCUGAUGGCCCAGCAGAAUGAAAUUCUGCGACAGCUCUUGCAGCGCCAGCCCCACCCUCAGCAUCAUGGUGGAGGCCAGCAUCAGCGACCUCCGGCUAUGGCAACAUACCAGGAAUUUCUGAGCACGCAGCCGCCCUUGUUCACCAAGGCAGAGGAUCCGUUGGACGCCGACGUGUGGCUUCGCGUCGUCGAGUCCAAGUUUCCCCUCCUCACGGGAGACUGCCCUGAUGAGGCCAAGGCUCGCUUCGCCGCACAGCAGCUUCGCGGCCCUGCUCGGACUUGGUGGGACCACUUCCGUGCUAUGCUCCCCGCUGAUCGUGAAGUAUCUUGGGAGGAAUUCAAGACUGCCUUCAGAGGGCACCACAUUCCAGUUGGCAUUCUUGAUCGGAAGUUGAACGAAUUCCUGGCCCUUAAUCAAGGAACCCGCACGGUACUGCAGUAUGCGCAAGCCUUCAACGACUUAUGCCAGUAUGCAGGGUAUCAUGCUGAUUCUGAUGAAAAGAAGAGGGAUCGCUUCCGCAGGGGUCUCAAUACCAAGCUGCGGGAACGACUCAAUACUGUCCGGGCCGAUAGCUUCAAUGAGUUGGUCAACAUGGCCAUCUCUCAGGAGGAUUGCAUUGUUGCUCACCGGGCAGAGAAGAAGAGGAAGGCACCAAUGGCAGCACCAUCCGCUCAGGCUCAGAGGUUCCGGAUUGUUUCUCACAAUCAGAGCAGGGGUUUUCAGCAGCAGGCAGGCAGAUGGGUGAUCAGGCCACCUCAGCAGCAGCAGCAGCCGGCACCCAACCGCUAUCCAGCUCCCGCCCCAAGAAACAAUCAGCCUCAGCAGCAGCAGCAGUUCCGCCAGGGCAAUGGGAACAAGUGUUUCACUUGUGGCAAUGUGGGCCACUAUGCCAAGAAUUGUCCCAGGAACCAGCAGAGGCAGAUGCCAGCACCAAAUCAAGACAAGGGAAGAAAGCAGAAGGUGCAAGUCAGGCAAGGGAAGCUCAACUUCACUGCUCUAGAGGAAGUGCCAGAAGGAGCUCCUAUCAUGACCGGUACCUUUUCAGUUUAUAAUCAACCUGCUUUAAUUCUGUUUGAUUCUGGUGCAUCUCAUAGUUUCAUUAGCCAAAAGUUCAGUGCUAAUUGCAAACUGCCAUUCUCUCACUCAAAAGGGUCAUUCAUGAUAGUCACACCUGGGGGUAAAAUUGCAACUAAUCAAUUAAACCAAAGUGUGCCUAUUCAACUGGGAAGCCACAUUGUCAAAACCACUCUUCUUGUGUUGGGAUUGAAAAAUGUGGACAUUAUUUUAGGAGCAAAUUGGAUGACCUUGCACCAAGUUGUGCUUGAUGUAGCCAGUCGUACCGUGGAAGUUAAUUCUCCCUUCUGCGGGAAUUUCACUUUGAUUCUGCCUAGUCAGGGUUCUUCUCAGUCAUGUGCUUUCUCUAUGACGGAGUUACCCCUGAAGAAGAUCCCAGUGGUCUGUGAGUAUGCAGAUGUCUUUCCUGAUGAAUUGCCAGGGAUGCCACCGGACCGGGAUAUUGAAUUCGCCAUCGAGUUGCAACCGGGAACGGCCCCAAUUUCCAAGAGGCCCUACCGAAUGCCACCCGCUGAGUUGGCAGAGUUGAAGAAGCAGUUGCAAGAGUUGCUGGAUAAGGGUUUCAUUCGCCCAAGCACUUCGCCUUGCGGAUGUCCAGCGCUGUUUGUGAAGAAGAAGGAUGAAAGCUUGAGGCUGUGUAUAGAUUACCGCCCUCUUAAUGCGGUAACUAUCAAGAACAAGUAUCCUUUGCCUCGUAUUGAUGUUCUCUUUGACCAGUUGGUCGGGGCCAAGGUGUUUUCCAAGAUAGACCUUCGCUCUGGCUACCACCAGAUCAAAAUACGAGCAAGUGAUAUUCCGAAGACGGCAUUCUCAACCAGAUAUGGGCUAUAUGAAUUCUUGGUAAUGUCAUUCGGGCUCACAAAUGCGCCAGCAUAUUUCAUGUAUCUGAUGAAUUCUGUUUUCAUGCCGGAAUUGGACAAGUUCGUGGUGGUUUUCAUCGAUGAUAUUCUGGUGUACUCAAGGAACGAAGAAGAACAUGUCGGGCAUUUGCAUGUAGUGCUUCAACGUCUGCGAGAGCACCACCUUUAUGCCAAGUUAUCCAAGUGUGAUUUUUGGCUAAAGGAAAUCAAAUUCUUGGGUCACACUAUCUCUCAGGCUGGAAUAGCUGUUGAUCCUGAUAAAGUGCAAGAGGUGAUGAACUGGAGGCCACCAACGACUGUUCGCCAGAUUCGGAGUUUUCUGGGAUUGGCUGGUUAUUACCGAAGAUUUAUUCCGGACUUCUCUCGAAUUGCGAAGCCUAUUACUGAGUUGCUGAAGAAAGAGGUCAAGUUUGUGUGGAGUCAGAAGUGCGAAGAUGCCUUCCAUGCAUUAAGGCAGCAUCUGACCACAGCACCAGUAUUGGCGCAACCCGACAGCAGCAAGCCUUUUGAUGUGUAUUGCGAUGCCUUUGGCACCGGGCUAGGUUGUGUCUUGAUGCAAGACAACCGAGUCAUUGCUUAUGCCUCAAGAGCACUCAGGCCUCAUGAGCAAAAUUAUCCUACUCAUGAUCUUGAGUUAGCAGCAGUGGUUCAUGCAUUGAAGAUGUGGAGGCACUAUCUAAUGGGAACCCACUGCAACAUCUUCACUGAUCAUAAGAGCCUUAAGUACAUUUUUACUCAGGCUGAUCUCAACAUGAGGCAGAGAAGAUGGCUAGAGCUGAUCAAGGAUUAUGACCUGGAGGUACAUUAUCACCCAGGGAAGGCUAAUGUGGUAGCUGAUGCCUUGAGUCGGAAGUUGCAAUGCAACUGUAUUCUGAUGGAUUCUCAUGUUAACACCUUGUGUGAUGAGUUGAGCAAGAUGCAAAUUGAAGUGAUUCCUUCUGGUUCUUUGUCUCACAUUGCUGUUGAGCCAGCUUUGCAAGACCAGAUUAUCAUGGCCCAGCUCAGUGACAAGGGAGUGCAGAUUAUCAAGAAGAAUCUCCAUCAGAAGGUUGAGAAGUAUAAUUGUUUCCGCCAGGAUGAGAAGGGUGUGUUAUGGUUCAAAAGCAGAUUGGUAAUUCCUAAGGACCAGGAUCUCAAGAAGAAAAUUUUGGAUGAGGCUCAUCUCUCCAAAUUCUCUAUGCAUCCGGGAAGCACCAAGAUGUACCAUGAUUUGAAGCUUUUGUACUGGUGGACCAGAAUGAAGAGGGAGAUAGCCCAGUAUGUAUCAGAGUGUGACACCUGUCAGAGGAUAAAGGCAAGCCACUUGAAGUCCGCUGGAGCUUUGCAACCACUGUCCGUACCUUCGUGGAAGUGGGACGACAUCAGCAUGGAUUUCAUUGUGGGUCUACCCAACACCUCUCGUCAUCAUGAUUCGAUUUGGGUUAUUGUGGACCGAUUGACGAAAGUGGCACAUUUUCUUCCUGUGCACACCACUGAUAAGGCUCAGAAGUAUGCAGAAUUGUAUAUUGACCGAAUCGUGUGUUUGCAUGGAUUACCUCGGACCAUUGUUUCUGACCGAGGAGCCCAAUUUGUUGCCAGAUUUUGGGAACAAUUGCAAGAGUCUUUGGGAACCAAGCUAAUCAGGAGUUCAGCUUACCACCCACAGACUGAUGGUCAGACGGAAAGGGUAAACCAGAUUCUGGAGGAUAUGCUGAGAGCUUGUGCGAUCGAUUGUGGCAAGAACUGGGAUAAGCACCUCUCCUUGGCAGAGUUUGCUUAUAACAAUAGUUAUCAAUCCAGCCUAAAGAUGGCACCUUUUGAAGCUCUCUAUGGAAGAAGGUGCAGGACACCACUCAAUUGGUCUCAGCCUGGUGAAAGAGAAGUUUUUGGACCUGAUUUGGUGACUGAAGCCGAAAGGAAGGUCAAGCUAAUCAGGAAGAAUCUAGAAGCUGCUCAGGCCAGGCAGAAGAGCUAUCAUGAUAGAAGAAGGAAACCUCUCCAGUUCGAGGUGGGAAGUUUUGUAUACCUCAAGGUAUCACCCACCAAGGGAGUGCAGAGGUUUGGGAUCAAAGGCAAGCUAGCCCCUCGUUACAUUGGACCUUAUGAGAUCAUAGAAGCAUGUGGACCCGUGGCAUACAAGCUGAAGUUACCUUCAAAAAUGUCUGCCAUUCACAGUGUAUUCCAUGUAUCUCAGCUGAAGAAGUGUAUUCGAUUGCCGACUGAGAUCAUAGCAGAGCCAGAAUUGGAGGUAGAGCCAGAUCUCUCGUACCAAGAGUACCCCUCCAAGAUUCUGGAUUGCAAGGAAAGAUCAACUCGGGCUAAAUCAAUCAAGAUGUUCAAGGUCCAGUGGAGUAAUCACUCAGAGGAGGAAGCUACUUGGGAAACCGAGGAAUUCCUAGGAUCCAACUUCCCCGAUUGCCUACCUAAGGAAGCUGGUAUGUAAUCACCCCCAACCCCUCCUCCUGCCUUCCGAAUCUAAUUUCCAAAAAUAUGAUCUUAAUUCAGAAUGAAGUGACUAUAAAGUAAAACUUAAAGGGACUUCCUUCUGAAGUUGCAAAGAGAAUGACAUUCAAAGAGCAGUUUUGCCCUAAUAAUAACAAUCCCCACCCUUUUCCUAUCAGUCUCACCCUUCGCUUCACCCCGGGAGGACUCUGGCCCAAAUCUCGGGACGAGAUUCCUUUAAGGGGGGAAGGCUGUGACACCCCAGUGUCACCUAGGGUUUCUCUUAAAAAGCCAAACCAAGAACCAUUAUUUUAUGUGAACCAAAGUAAGCAUGAGCAUCAAAAUAACUUAAGUAAGAAAGAGUUCACCAAGUAUAUGCUUAAAAGUGUCAUGAUCAAAACAAUUGAGUCUCUUAAAGGAUAAGAAUGUGCAACCCUAAUUAAGAACCCUAAGUGAACCCCAUGAACAAAAUUCAAGUAAAUAAGAAAAAGGGGAUGAAAAGUUUAAAAUUUUGAGUUGAGCCAAUUAUAUAAGUUAAAGUAUAUUUGAUAAGCAACAAGAUAGAUUGAGAAAGCUUAGCCAAAAUAAUUCAAGAAAACCCCCAAAUCAAGCUUCUUUUGUUGGGACUCAUUGGGAAUUCUGAAUUUCAGAAUUCUGAAAUUCAGACCUUGAGCCAAAGAUCAGGGAUGUUCACCUUGAUCCCUAACUCGAAUCCUAAUGGCCCCAUUGACAAAAUUAUGUCUAACUAACCCCUCUAUCGUGUGCCAGAAGAUGGCAUUGGGACGCGAGCCCUAGACACGACAAAACUUGGGAUUUGCCUCGGGUUUGGGCAGGGAGACAGACCAGAUUUCCUGGCUCCAUAUCUCUGCAACCAGUAGGCAAAAUCCUAUGACCUCCACACAAGAAUGGUAGCUUGUAGGGAGGAGAAGAGGUUUCGUGCACUGGCCAAGGCAAGAGCAGGCUCGGAUGAGCGACCACACGUGCCAGAGCUUGGGCAGAACGCACGGGCACACGUGUUCGACCCUGGUCGGCACGCCAGAGCUCGCCCAACCCACGCGCGCGCUCGCCCCGACGUCCGGUCAAGUCCGCCGCGCGCCCACGCCCUCGGUCGUGCCCGCCCGCGCCUAUAAAGCCUCCCCGGGCGCACCUCUCUUCGCCCUUUUCUUCGCCGCGACUACUGUUUGAGGUAGAAGAAGGACCUCGGGUUAGGUUCUGUAGAACCCGAGGGGUUUUCUGUAAUGUCAGCGACUCAUGUGAAUAGUAACCUAAGGACUGAUUCGCGAGGAAAACCUAGAAAAACCGCCAGGGACCCCAGUGCAAAGUGGAUUUCCAUUUAAUCAAUUCUGUUAUUCUUUUAAAAUAACCAGAGAACUUAGAAAAUCCAUAACUUGAUGAAAUCUUAAUGAAAAGCUGUCAAACCAAUUUUGCUAGCUCUGGAAUAUUAUGAUCUAUUAUUUAAAAAUAGUGAACCGUAUGCUUUCUGUUAUAAAUUUUAGAGUUUAAAAUUAAAAACAGAAACCCCCUAAACCUUGUUUAAUUAAGGAAAAUUAGUUUUUCUUUUGUGCUGAGCUUAAGAAAAUUUGUAGAUGCUUAUACCUUAAUUAUACACUGUUUAAAAAUAGUAGGAGCCCCAGCAUUGGAGAUUAUGAUGUAUUUAUUCAUUUAAAGCCAUUUUGUCCAAAACUUUGAGAAAAUCAGAAAAACAUUAGAAUAUGUUGAACAGUGAUUAAUAAUAUUUUUCCUAGUUUACUUAUGCAACAGAGAACCUAGGAAAAAUGCAGAGACCAUUAAUUAGGACCAGUUUCUAAUUAAGAUGCUCUAUUUAGCCUUAUGUAGACUGAAAAUCAAUUAUUAGAAUUGCAAAACUAUAACCAAAGUGGUUAACAAAAAUCCAGUGAACUUAUAACCAUCAGAGCCCCACUACAAAAAUACAGAGCACCCCAGCCUAACUUUUUAAGUAGGGAAAAUAAAUACAGAAUGAUAAUAAGGCAUUUUCCCACUAAAUCAUAAGCAACCCCAAAUAAUGUGAUUUUGGGCAGCCAAAAUUUUGCUAAGCCCAUGAUGAAAUAAACCACCAGAGAAAAAUACAAACCCAUGAAAAAAAAGUGAACCCAUGUCUUUUGCUAAUAAUUUGUGAGAAAGGCCAUUUAGCUCAAAUAAUGCAAACCACCCCUUCCCUUAAGCAAAAGGAAGCCAAACUUCAGAAUGAUUGCUCUUGCACAAAAUACUAGCUAAGAAAAAUGAAAACUCGGUUGUUUGAUGUUUUUCAUGUAUAGUGGUAGUAGAAAGCACCCCUUUGGCUAGAAACCUUAAGAAAAUCAUAGGGAAAGAAUUAAAGGGUAUUAAUGACUAGAAAGUUGUAUCAAGUCAUGUUAUAACACCUAAAAGCCAGCAAAAAUAAGCUUUUGAGAAUUACCCACUGUUAAAUAAUAGUUGUAGCUCAAAGUACCCCUUCUGCCCUAAAAUUUGGUAAUUUUGUCCAGAGAAAACCAUUCACUUUCUGAACCCCAAAUUUUGUGACAGAGAAUCAUACACCAGUAACAAGCCACUGUAAUUUUUGCAGAAUUUUUAGAAUUUUAUAAAAGCAACUUGUAGUUCAAACCUACUCCAAAACAUUAAAGAGAAUAAAAGAAAAGAGAAGAAGGAAUAAACCUCAUCCCAUUAAAACUAACCCAAUUUACCAAGUAUACCACUAAAGGGUUUUACAUAAGCAAGGUUAACUUGUUUAAAUUCAAAAAAAGACCAUACAUCUUUAAAGUUGUAAAUUCUAAAGCACAUAUCAUAUCAUGCAUGUAUCUUACGCAUUGCAUUCAUUAGAUUGUAAUCUUGCCGACGGAGAGUACGUGCUCAUCCCCGAGCAAGGACCUGUCCAAGAGGAGGACCAGGAGCAGGCUUCAGAUGCUGCUAUUGAGGAUCUCCCCGCAGCCCCAGCAAUUGAAGGCAAGCCCCGGUUUUAUGCAUAACCAUGUUAUUAUAUGCUACUUUACUACACUUAAUGCUUGUAGGAUUGUAAUGUGCACUUAAGUGUAGGAGUUGCUUGAAACUCUAGUUGCAUGAACUUAGGAUUCCUUUUUGAGAUGAAUACCAGUAUGCUAGGUCGAGUAGUUGCUUGCUAAUCAGGAUUUCGGUAGAAGUCGAGUGAUUUUUCUAGCACUCGCGCGAGGUCAGGAAUUGAUUGUAUUCAUCUUGAUAAUGGGAUAUAUGUUGGUCCGUGGACUUGGAUCCAGGGAGGAUGCCUUGUCCAUGAGACGGGAAAAAUGAAUUAAGGAUUAAUGUGUGGAUACCUGAGUCAAGCUUUUGAACGUACUAAGCACAUGCCGGGAAAAAUGGUAACCGGUAAACCUAGUACCUGAGUGAAGCCGGGCGCGGACUUUAUCCCUCAUGCGACCUGAGACUGGGUCUCCCAUGCUAGCUAUGGUGGGUACAAGUGCGGUCACUGCACGGCGGCAGCCGGGGUCAGUGGAGCAUUGUAUGCCAAGGCGGUGAGGCCUGGACGCGAACGGGGAAUCGAUGGGGACGGUUGUCAUGUGUAGGGUCGGAGUACCCUGACAUGCCGUGUGUUUAGGUUUACCUUGCAAGGUUUUAAAACUCGAUUCGAAUCGUCUGCUUCUCGCAGCUAAUGAGACUGCUUGAUUCCUUGUACUGCAUCGAGUAAGAAGUGAAAUGUGGAUUACAUGAGAUAACUUGUUGAUUGAGCUAAUUGCUUGUUACCAUGUAUGCUUAGAAGGAGCAAAUCUAGCUAAGUUAAUGAUGGUAGAACUUGAAAAGCUAAAAAUUGAUUUUAGAAACAGCUAGUGCUUUUGGCAAACCAAACCCCUCAGCCAAACAGCUGCAUAGUCUAGAGGUAGAGGAGUAGACUCCUCACACCGGUUAAGUCUAGCUGAGUAUUAGUAUACUCAGCCUUGCUUGUGGCACCAUUUUUGCAGGUACCAUGCAGGAUGUAGUUGAUGGUGUGACUUGGCCUACCACCCUGCCACCGGGUUGGACGGUCGAGUGGGAUGUUGCUCCGGCAGGAGAGGAGCAUGAGGAGUAGUGGGCUAGGCCUUGCCCAAUUCCUCAUUACCGAUGACAUCGAUUAUCCGCUGCACUUUAAUUUGUGAACUUUAGUUGCUACUCCAAAAACUCCGAUUUAUGUAAUAACUCAGCACUUAAUUUGAGGUUUCCUGUUUUAUUGUAUUUCUUCUGUGACUCACCUUCGAGUGAGAUUGUGGAAUUUGAUCCUGGUUAAGUGGCUCUAUCAGACUAGAUCUGAGGGACCGACGGGUUAUUCCGAUUUAAGUGUGUUACGGCCCCUGAGGCGUGACUUAGGCACUUAAGCUGGAAUAAUUCGGGUGGUUCUGCCACAGCCGGACGGUGGAGAUUAGAAGUGAUGUACCCUUUCGCCGCGAUUCGAUCUGGUCCGUAGGAUUGAUCGGACGGCUCGGAGUAUAGGAAUCUUUCAUUAAAUCUGCACCGUUGAUCUUUUAUCCGAUGGCGCGCGCUGCGUACCGCUUCAUGUUAACCUAGAUCUAAUCUGGGUCACCCAUUUCUGAUCGGACGACCAGGAAUCACCCGUGCCACUUCGCUUGGCCAUUUUGCUAAAGAGUCCAUGACCUUUCUGGAAUAUAACCCGCCGUCCAGGGACCCUGUUCCCUGUGUCUUAGGAAACUUGCACCGAGCCCCUGACCUAUCCAGAAAUUGAGGCCCAGUCCAGGAAUUAAAGAAAAUAGGAAAUAGAGAUUUAGAAAUUGAUUAUGAGUAUAGAAAUACUUGUAAAACUUGUAUAAUCCAUAGAAAAUUCAUGUGAAGUCCAAAUUAAUCUAUUCCAAUUCCUAUAAUUUUGUAAUAUUAUUGUCUAUCAUCUAGUACUACUGUUUUGACAUGAAAGUCACAUCAAAAUUUAUAUCCCAUUUAAUCUUGUACAAAACACAUAGAAUCUUCAUAAAAUCAUAACUCCUCCGUUUUAACUCCGAUUUGAUUCGUUCAAGUUCCGUUAGUCUCAUAGCAGCGUAGAUUAUUAUUCAGUUUGUUCUUAUGUUUGGUGUGAUGUUAAUUUUGCCUAUACCAUGUAUGUUUGUAUUACUACGACUAGCAGUGAGGUCACGAGAAUCUGAAGAUCAUCCUGGUACCUGGAAUCUCAAGUCCCAGGCAAGUUGUGCCCUUGACCACUUUUUACCCAAUAAUGUUCUUUAAUAUCAUUUAUUCACGCAUAGGUUAAUUUUGAUGGGACCCAAUAGGUUACCCUAGAUUGUUUAUCUCAUUACCUUGUUUACCCCUAAAUCACUUGGGUAGUUUGCUAUUGCUUUACAUGGUUUUGGGAUAAUUAUUUAUUACAUCUAUGUUCCAAUUCUUUUUGUUAUUCUAUUUAUGUUCAUGUUGAGAUCAUUAAUGUUAAUUGGAACAUAGAGCUUAACUUGAGUAACACGUGCCACCACAAGGGUUUAAUGGGACGCCCUUGGCUGACUAAUUAGGAAAGCUAGUGGAAGACUACCUUACCCGAAAGGGGCAAGGGCAGUAGGGGAGUGGUCAGUGUAGGGAGGUCCUUGGUUGAUUUUGCUGCGAUGGCGGUCAGGCAAGAACCCUGCAUUGGAGCUUCCUAUAAACUGUAGCGGGUUUUCGGAAGCUAGUGGAACUUUGUAAAGGCCUCGUAGUGUUGCCCUGCCGCGCUUCCUAGGUAGAGGUGUAUGGGAGUCGCGGCCCCUUGGCAGAUGGGUAACAUGACUUGUGGGUAAAGGGUACAACCUCUGCAGAGUGUAAAACUGGUAUACUAGCCGAGCUCACGGUCAUGAGCAGCUCAGGACUCUUUGAUGAUUAAUUUAUGGAACUAAAUUCAAUUUGUCAUAUGCAUUGCAUCGCAGGUGAUGUUGUUACUUUUGUUCUACUACUUAAUUGGGUUUGGUAUUUACUUAUACUUAGUAAUUGCUAAUAAAAUUUUGACCAACUUUAAAAGCAAUGCUCAGCUCUAACCAUCAUCUUUGGUAAGCCUUACACUUCACAUGAACUCCCACCUUUGGCGAGUUCAUUCACAUUAUUCCCCACAACUUGUUGAGCGAUGAACGUAUGUGAGCUCACUCUUGCUGUCUCACACCCCCCCACAGGUCAAGGACAGGUACCGCAGGAUGAGGCGCUUGGAGGAUGCUGUGACGAGUUCGUGAGAGGUCUAGGCCGUCGUCUCCCAGUCAACUUUGGGUUGCUGGACCGUUGUCUCCUUAUAAUGUAAUUAUUUAUUUUGUAUAGAACUCCUGUUAUGUAGUAAAGAUGUGACAUUCGAUCCUGUGCCAUGAAUCAUCAUAUGUGUGAGACUUGGUCCCAACACACCUGGUGAUUAUGUUCGCGCUCGGGUUUUGAUCCCUAAAAUCCGGGUGUGACACGAGGCGCCCUCGGUUCAGCCCGAGGUACCCUCGGCCCCCGAGGGCGAGACGCUGCACGUCGAGGGGGAGCAAAGCGGGGUCACGCCUGAUCAAAACUGGCAGACCCCGUACCUACAAUAUCUCCACCGAGGAGAGCUACCCCUCGACCGAGCCGAGGCUCGGCGGGUGGCGCGGCGCGCCAAGUCGUUCGUCUUGCUAGGUGAUGAGAAGGAGCUCUACCACCGCAGCCCCUCUGGCAUCCUCCAGCGAUGCAUCUCCAUCACCGAAGGUCAGGAACUCCUGCGAGAGAUACACUCGGGGGCUUGCGGCCAUCACGCAGCGCCUCGAGCCCUUGUCGGGAAUGCUUUCCGACAAGGCUUCUACUGGCCCACGGCAGUGGCCGACGCUACCAGAAUUGUCCGCACCUACGAAGGGUGUCAAUUCUACGCAAGGCAGACCCACCUGCCCGCUCAGGCUCUGCAGACGAUACCCAUCACCUGGCCUUUUGCUGUGUGGGGUCUGGAUCUCGUCGGCCCCUUGCAGAAGGCACCCGGGGGCUACACGCACCUGUUGGUCGCCAUCGACAAAUUCUCCAAGUGGAUCGAGGUCCGACCCCUAAACAGCAUCAGGUCCGAGCAGGCGGUGGCGUUCUUCACCAACAUCAUCCAUCGCUUCGGGGUCCCGAACUCCAUCAACACCGACAACGGCACCCAGUUCACCGGCAGAAAGUUCCUAGACUUCUGCGAGGAUCACCACAUCCGGGUGGACUGGGCCGCCGUGGCCCAUCCCAUGACGAAUGGGUAGGUAGAGCGAGCCAACGGCAUGAUUCUACAAGGGCUCAAGCCUCGGAUCUACAACGACCUCAACAAGUUUGGCAAGCGAUGGAUGAAGGAACUCCCCUCGGUGGUCUGGAGUCUGAGGACAACACCGAGCCGAGCCACGGGCUUCACGCCGUUCUUUCUAGUCUAUGGGGCCGAAGCCAUCUUGCCCACAGACUUAAAAUACGGUUCCCCGAGGACGAGGGCCUACAUCGACCAAAGCAACCAAGCUAGCCGAGAAGACUCGCUGGACCAGCUGGAGGAGGCUCGGGACAAGGCUUUACUACACUCGGCGCGGUACCAGCAGUCCCUGCGACGCUACCACGCCCGAGGGGUCCGGUCCCGAGACCUCCAGGUGGACGACCUGGUGCUUCGGCUGCGACAAGACGCCCGAGGGCGGCACAAGCUCACGCCCCCUUGGGAGGGGCCCUUCGUCAUCGCCAAAGUUAUGAAGCCCGGAACGUACAAGCUGGCCAACAGUCAAGACGAGGUCUACGGCAACGCUUGGAACAUCCAAUAGCUACGUCGCUUCUACCCUUAAGAUGUUUUCAAAUUGCUCAUAUACCUCGCACCCACGCAAAGUUUAGUCAUCAAGGAAGGGUCGGCCUCGCCUCGGCAAAGCCCGACCCUCCCUCGGAGGCUAAAAGGGGGGGAACCCCCUCUGCGUUGAAAUUUUCCUCGAAGAAAGAUCUUUUCUACCAGAAUGUCUUUCGUGCUUCUUGACUACUUCGAAAGUGGAUCCUGAAAACGACGGAGUACACGUAAGCAGCCAAGGCUGACCGAGCCGAGGGACUCCUACGCCCCCGGGAUACGGAUACCUCACUCAUCACCUUCUGCGAUAAGUAACUCACGUUCGGAUAAGUGAUUCCGCGGACCGAACAAGUCUUCACGUCCGGAAGCUCUUCUGCCGAAGCGAUCCUUCGAGCCUUCUCGACUGCGUCGGUGACAGAGCCCCAUGGACGGAUAAGAGUGCACGUAAGCGGCAAGGCCGACCAAGCCGAGGGACUCCUACGCCUCCGGGAUACGGAUACCUCACUCAUCACCUUCCGCGAGAAGCAACUCUCGCUCGCACAAACAUCUCUGUUACCGACAAAAAAAGUCCAGAUACUCGAAACAAGAGGAAAAGAGAUGCAGCUUUACAACACAGCGAGGGUGUGUUUUGGCCUCGACGGCCGCAGGAAACACACGCUACAAGACAAUUCGAUCCUGCAGGCUCGGGUCUUGACGCUGGAAGGGAGCAGCAGCACCCUCGGCAUCGACGACACCUUCGGUGAGGUCCGACCUAGCCUCGGACGGCGACGCGGUCCGAGGAUCUCCACUCUAAAGGAUGGCGUCAUCGCCAUGCCCGGGCAAUCGCUGCCAGGGUCUUCUUUGGGAAUCCGGCCCGAGCAGGCGGCUCGGCCGGUCACCCCGGGGCCUCGGCCCACCAUCCUCCAAGGACGUCAGCCCGACUCGAGGCCUCGGCUGGUCAACUCCGGCGUCGGCCCCGCUAACGGACGACCCGGCCAGGCUCCGGCCAACCAGGUUUUCUUUUUGAGCCAACUCUGCCUCUGUUCAUGCUGACACCGCUACCCCUGGCCUCGGCUCAUCGAAGAGCGGUCGUGGGGUUCCUUUAACUAAGCUAGAGAAGCCUCGGACGACAAGGCCGACCGAGCCGAGGGACUCCUACGCCUCCGGGAUACGGAUACCUCACUCGUCGCCUUUACACGGGGCGACUCACGCUUGGUGAAGCGGUUCAGACAACCAACAGGCGAGUCUUAGUGCUCGAAAAUGAGGAAAAAACACGGCUCCGUGCCAAAAUUACAUACAUGUUCAGGCCUCGACAGCCACAAUGAACAAAAACACUGGCAUUCAAAGUGCCAUUACAAACGGAACUCUGGUUCCGUCCCCGCGGGUAUGAACAACCUCGAGCCUGCGGGGCGACGAACACCGGGGGACCCGCCAGCGACCUCUGCAGCAGCAGCCAUGGUCCCAGGACGGACGCGACCGCCGGAGGGCUCUCGUUCGCGUUCCCGCUCAAGGGACGCGAACCAGCUAUUAAAGCCAAAGAGCGGGCCGCUCCCAAGCGCACCGGCAGGUCCUCGCUGCCGUCCUCGCCGCGAAAGCAAGGAAGAGGGCGGAAUGUUGCAUCCUAGCUGGGCAGCAACAGUUCGCCUUCCCCGGCAUGGCUGGAGGACGUCUCCUCCACAGAGCUGGAGGAUGUUUGCCACCACCAGAAGCUGGAAGAAGAGGUGGCCCGCCGGCCCACGCGGGAGGCAGAGCCCCGGCUCGCCUCGCUCCCCGCCCCAGCGAGGAUGACGAACACCCUCGAGGCUGAGGGUGGGACCAAGAUCACAGCCCGGCUUGCCUCUCCCCAUCUAGGGGCUGGAGGUCACCGUCUUGGGUGACCACCAGCGGAGGGGUGCAACUGGGCUGUGUGAUGAAAAUCCUUGAAGCCGAAUGAUGGCUGAAAGGUACCAACUCCCACGGAGUUGCGUUACUCCAACGACGAGGCGAAAAGACGGCGGGUAUCCCCCAUCCGGGGGCUUGGAAUGUGGAAAGACACGAUGCAUAAGGGAGCACGAAGACAUGGUCACCUUCUAGGGGGUCACCCUCCUUUUAAAGGUGACUCCCCUUACUUGCGUCCCCAGCCGUCGCGGGCUGAGUCUUCUCCAACACGCUCCAAGGUCCUCCUCCUACGGCGCGAGGGCUGGGUCCCACACGUUAUGCAAGCCGGCUCAGAGCAGAAGAAGCCGAACCGCCAUGCGCGGUGCGUACAACCGCCCAGCGGUUACAAGCGACCCUCCACUUUUGCCCAGACCAGUAGGCGAAAGCGCGGGCAGCCAUGCAGGCAGCAUGCAACCGCGCCAAGUGGGCGCACUUCUCCGACUCCCAACACGCCCGGCAUGGGGGCCCAGGCCCACGCGUCAUGCAACCGGCGUGCCAAAUGCCUCGUGCAUGCAACUGCACCGCCACUUGCGCCACCACUGCGCCUCCUCGACUGCGGAACCAAUGCCGCGACUCGAGGCGACCCAGCGCACGACCCAGCAGCACCAGCCUGGCGCGACGAUCAAUGCGGCCAAAAAUGGGCCGGCAGUAAUGACGGUGGCAGGCGGGCAGGAGCAGCGGUCACGUCGUCAGCCAAGCUCACGUCCCAUCCGGGGGCAGCGAGAGAACCCUCUCCCACGGUGUGAAGACAACGCGCCCGUGUUCCGUUCCUCGAACGGCUCGCGCAUGCGCAACGGCCGCCCCGCCAACCACUCGCCCCGUCGCAUUAACUCCGCAGCGGGACAGGCGGCGCCCCUGGCAGGAGAAGCGGGCGACGCUUCGCCUUCGCCAUAAUGACCGCGUCAAAAAAGGUACGCCGCGUCGUUCGAUUUCGUAUCCUUUUCCUUUUUUCCUCUUUCUCUCUCUUGCAACAGGGAUCGGGAAAGGGGAUACCCCGAAAAGGAUCCUUCCCCGUGAAGGAACCAGGCUCCGAGCCUCCCUGCUGAUCAGAGGUUCGAAGGCUGGCCCCUCGGAAGGGUUCGACAGCCGCCUCAUAUCACGUGGGCCCUACACCCACUACUGGUCAGAGGUUUAAAGGCCGGCCCCCCGAAAGGGUUCAACGACCGCCUCAGGCUACUCGGGCUCCGUGCCCACUACUGAUCAGGGGUUCGAAGGCUGGCCCCCGAAGGGUUCACAGCCGCCUCAGACAUAGAGCGAGGGAUGACCAUGGGUAUGUUCGAUACAUAACCAAGGCUCGGGCUGCGCUACCGAGGUACCCUAGGACAUUUUCGAGACCAGCGGGAACGAUCUUGUAACAGAAUCCCAUCAGAGGGAGGCAUCGAGCCCUCGGAUCCCGUCGCCAGGGGACCGGGUCCGGCAGAUCACCUGCAGGUACUUUUGGGCGUGCCUCUGGGCCCCUAGUCGACCCCUAACGAACGGGGCACGGAUGUUGUGGGGGAUAGAUAUCCCCCGGGUCCAUUAAAAGAGUAAAAGACCUCACGAAAGGCCCAAGGGCCCAAUAAAUCAUAAGGUCAUUCUUUCGUGGGCCUAGGGAGAGACAACCAGCAAAGUAGAUCGACAUGAGGCCAGAUUGGUGCAAACCCGGACGACCCACAACGUCGAGAGAGCGACCACAACAGAGAUCCGACUUUCCCGCGCUGGAGCCCCCAUGCAACGGAGCCAUGCGAGGAUAAGUCGGCAGAACUACAGGGAGAUAAACUCAAACAGUUCACUAUCUUUUAGCUACACGUUGUUAUCAUAUCCACAUGUAUUGCCCCACGGUCGAAUAUAUAAGGCCUAGGGGGCACCCCUUCAGAACGAUCAACCCUAUUACUUAGCCACCCACAUCAACUCUCUGCAUUCUCUAGUUCAGAGAGCUCUCUUGUAACCUUGUCACCAAGCAUACUCACCAGGACGUAGGGUGUUACGCAUCCCUAAGCGGCCCGAACCUAUAAAUCUUGUCCACUGUCCCUCGUGCAAUCGGCACGAACCAUUUUGCUACAGUUGUCGACACCGUCCUACUCCUAAAAACACCUUGAGGGGCAACCCCGGGUGUGCGGUCGGACCCAAAACACCGACAGCUGGCGUGCCAGGUAGGGGGUGUGUCGACGAUCCAAGCUAGCUCAAUGGCCGUCACCUUCUACAGCAAGAUCACCCUGCGUCCCGGAUCCAUAUUCUGCUUCGGAACAAUCUCAUCCGUGGCGGAUGAAGAGGGAACUCUACACCGCAUCGCGGAUCCGCCGGAAAAGAAGUCUCCUCCAACGAACUCCGAAAAUGCCGGAGAGGCGCAACCUCCAGCUCUCCGGAAAAAGAUCGUCUCCGGAAAGUCGAGGGCCGAGGGCCCACUGACCCGGAGAACUCCACUGUCUACUUCCCCGAAAAAAGAAUGGACACAGAUCGCGAGGAAGAAGGAGACCAAGGGGAAGCAAGUUGUUCUUUCCGUAUCUCUGCCCUCAAAGGAGAACGGAAAGAAGGUCGCCACGACAGCAGCACCAUUCUACCCCGACGUCCUCUUCAUCGGGAGAGUGGAGUCGCCUACCAUCUCCGACGACGAGCCGACCGCACCCGGAGAAGAACCGCCUCAACGAGAAUCCCGCCGACGGAGGAACCGGCGCAGGAACAUUCGACGACAUCACGCGGCCGGAGAACGGGAUCCGGAGCAACCCGUCUCACGAGACGAGGUCUCAGAGAUAGGAGAAACUCCGGAAGAACGCGUCUUCAGAGAACGAAGGAACUCCCGACGACGUGAUCGCCGCCGGGCUCAGGAACAAGCCGAGCAAGAUGCAAGGCAACGUCGGGAGAAUCCGUUCUUUGGGCGCAACCUGAACCCCGACUUUGCCCGAGCCAUGAACACGUCGAGCGAAGUCGGAGGAGUAUUAGCUCGGAUAGCUGAUGGACUCCCUCGGACUCCCGACGCCGAGGGCUACCGACGACUGUUCACCCAGGCAGCCAACCAUCUUCUGCCGCUCGCUCACCCGCCGAACGAUCUACGACACGCCAUCAACAGUCGCCGAGACGCGCGAAGCUCCAUCAAUGCUUCGCGUGAACGGCGGCAUGAGAACGAGAUCUGCCGCCGGGAGGAGUACGACAGGGAUCAUGGCAUCCCAGCUCGGAGCCAGGCCACCAGAACUGAGUCGGCAACGGCCUCAACUGGCGGAACUACCCGGGGACGGUCGAGGAACCACAACAACUACUCCCCUCCCCGGGACAGGCAUCAUCCCCGACGACAGGAGGACACCUGCGGAGUGUCUGCUCUUACUCCGCGCCUUAGGGCCAUCCAAUGGCCUCCCAACUUCAAGGUAUCCAAUGUCGACAAGUAUGAACCUAAGCAGGAUCCAGGGGGUUGGCUAGCCGUCUACACCACUGUUGCUCGAGCUGCCGGGGCAUCCGAAGACGUGAUGACCGCGUAUUUACCCAUUGUCCUUGGGCAAGACGCGCUGCAAUGGUUGCGACAUCUACCCCGACACUGCAUCGACGACUGGGGCGACUUCAGUCGAUGCUUCACCGCCAAUUUCCAGUCCCUCUCCGACAAACCGGCGCAACCAUGGGACCUCAAAUCCAUCAAGCGCCGGGGGGACGAAACUCUUCGGUCAUACCUCAAAAGGUUCCAGACCAUGAGAAAUCGUAUCCCCGAGGUCACGGAGGCGGCCGUAAUCGAGGACUUCUACAGAGGAUCCAAUGACUCGGCUUUCGUCCGAGCCAUACUGCAGAAGGCACCGACUACUUCCGAGGAGCUGUUCCGGGAAGCCGAUCUCUACAUCACCGCCGACGAGCGAGCUCAGGACCUCAUCAGAGGAGCAAAGCCCACACCGGCAGCACCACGACGCGACGCGAACCAGCAACCCGACAAACGCUGGGAGAAGAGGCCUCACGAAGAAGUGCACGUCGCCGGACCACCUGCCUCUCGCGCCCGAGGAGGACCUCGCGGAGGCGAACGCACGCUGGACGACAUCCUUGACGCCCAGUGCCCGUACCACAAAGACAUGCGCCACACUCUUCGAAACUGCCGGGACUUCAAGCACUCCGUCGGGCACGACCGACCCUUCCAACCUCUACCUCCUCCUCCGCCGAGGGGAGGACCAGAUGAACCACGACAACCCCACCAGCAGGAGGGGGAGGAGGAGGAGCUUUCCCGCGCGCUGACAGGGAGGUCAAUGUCAUUUUCGGUGGACACGGGUCGCAGGAGAACAAAAGACAACAAAAGCUCAACGUCCGCCAGAUACUGGUGGCGACCACCGGUCCUCCCGCCCAUACCGGUGGUCAGAGCACCCGAUCACCUUCACUCGGGAAGAUCAAUGGCUCAACUUCGACCAUCCAGGCAAAUACCCACUCCUCGUCGAUCCGGGGAUCCGAGAGAGCCGGGUGAAGAAGGUGUUAGUGGACGGGGGGAGCAGCAUCAACGUCACCUUCCCCCGGACACUCCAAGGCUUGGGAGUUCACCUCAAAGAGCUCCAUGAGUCGGACACUCCUUUCUUCGGCAUCGUGCCGAUGGAAGGAGAAUACCCGCUGGGCCAUAUCUACAUGCCUGUCACCUUCGGAACUCCGGAGAACUACAGAACCGAGUUCCUGAGGUUUGAAGUGGCGAACUUCGACUGCGGGUACAACGCCAUCAUCGGGAGGCCGGGGCUGGCCAAAUUCAUGGCCAUCCCUCAUUACACGUAUAUGAUACUGAAGAUGUCAGGACCGCAAGGAAUCAUAACCGUGCGCGCCGACUUCUAAGGCGCCGCAGAGUGCUUCCGAGUGGCCAUCCAAGCAGCCCUCACCACCAAGCCGUCGGCGGUUCCUUCUACACUGGCGAACUCUAAGCCUGAGGAGGACCUUGCAGUACCGGCAAACGAAGCUCAGGCCGCGACCUCUAUGCGGCCGACUGAAGAAACCAAGAGGAUCAACCUGGGGUUCGCUGAUGAACGCAAGACUGCCAUCAUCAGCUCCAGCUUGGACGACAAAUAGGAAAGCGCGCUCGUCCAGUUUCUGCAAGAUAACCGAGAUGUAUUCGCAUGGCAACCUGCGGAUAUGCCGGGAGUCCCAAGAGAACUGGCCGAGCACAAACUGAAGGUCUAUCCCCAGGCAAGGCCGAUUCGGCAAAAGCUACGUCGUUUCACGCCCGACAAGAGAGAGGCCAUUCGCGCCGAGUUAGCUCACUUGGUCGCGGCUGGGUUUAUUAGAGAGGUGUUACACCUCGAGUGGUUAGCCAACCCUGUUCUUGUACUCAAAAAGAAUAAAGUGGAUUGGCGCAUGUGCGUCGACUAUACUGAUCUCAACAAACACUGUCUGAAGGAUCCCUUCGGGCUCCCAAGGAUAGAUCAGGUGGUGGACUCCACCGCUGGAUGUUCUGUGCUGUCUUUCUUGGAUUGCUAUUCCGGAUAUCAUCAGAUUAGUUUGGCGAAGGAAGACGAGGAAAAAACGGCGUUCAUCACUCUGUUUGGUGCUUUCUGUUAUACCUCCAUGUCGUUCGGCCUCAAAAACGCUGGAGCGACUUAUCAGAGAGCCAUUCAAACAUGCUUAGUCGAUCACUGGGGCAAGCGUGUGGAGGCCUACGUAGAUGAUGUAGUAAUCAAAACGGAGAAUUCGGAAAACUUCAUCGAAGACUUACAGCUGGUUUUCAAUAGUCUGAGACGAUAUAGAUGGAAGCUUAAUCCCAAAAAAUGUGUUUUCGGGGUACCAGCAGGAAAGUUGCUCGGGUUUAUCGUCGGCCACCGAGGAAUUGAGGCUAAUCCGGAUAAGAUUGAAGCUAUCAUGAAGAUGGAAGCACCUCGAUCACAAAAGAAGGUUCAGCGACUUACUGGAUGUAUGGCAGCUCUGAGCAAAUUUAUAUCCAGGCUGGGGGAAAAAGGUUUGCCAUUUUACAAGCUACUCAAGAAGGUGGAUAAGUUUUAGUGGACUUCAGAAGCACAGGAAGCUCUAGAUGCACUGAAGAAAUUCUUGACAACACCACCAGUACUGAAGCCACCCCGACGAGCUACGUCAACUCAACCAGCUGAAGAUUUGCUACUGUAUAUCUCUUGCACGACUCACGUGGUAAGCACCGCGUUGGUAGUCGAGCGAGUAGAAGAAGGACAUGCCUAUCCAGUACAACAUCCUGUUUACUUCAUCAGUGAAGUUCUAGGCCCGUCAAAUAAAAAGUAUCCUCAAGUUCAGAAGCUAUUAUAUGCAGUACUUCUAACUGCCCGCAAGCUACGUCACUACUUUGAUGACCACAAAGUCAUAGUAGUCACUGGUUUUCCAAUAGGGGAUAUUCUUCACAACAAGGAAGCCAUUGGCCGAAUAGCCAAGUGGGCUUGCGAGCUGGGAUCUCAUGACAUCGAGUUCCGACCCCGCACUGCCAUCAAAACUCAAGCACUGGUCGAUUUCGUAUCAGAGUGGACUGAACAGCAAGUACCAGAUAACCCAGAGACUGCAGAAGUAUGGCGAAUGUAUUUCGAUGGCUCGCUGAAGCUACACGGAGCAGGAGCAGGAAUUCUCUUCACCGCACCUGGAGGCGAGCACCUCAAAUACGCCCUCCAGUUGCUAUUUCCGGCCUCCAACAAUGCAGCCGAGUAUGAAGCUCUGAUCCAUGGAUUGAACAUCGCCAUAUCAUUGGGCAUCAAGAGAUUGAUGGUAUACGGAGACUCUCUGGUAGUCAUUAGCCAGAUAAACAAAGAGUGGGAUUGUUCAAGCGAUUCAAUGGGAAAAUACUGCACUGCCGUCCGAAAGUUGGAAGACAAAUUUGAGGGUCUGGAAUUUCAUCAUGUAGAAAGAGAUCGGAACACAGCAGCCGAUGUACUAUCCAAGCUAGGAUCCAGUCGAACUCAGGUCCCACCCGGAGUCUUUGUGCAAGAAAUUCUACAGCCGAGUAUCUCAAUGGAUCAAACAGAAGAGUGCAACAUCAUAGAUCAACCCGAGUCAGACUCUAAUGACUGGAGAAGGCCAAUCAUCAAGUAUAUAAAGAAUGAAGAAGAACCAGACGACAAGAACUCGGCAGAGCGCAUUGCCAGACAGUCGGCUCACUAUACACUCAUUGGGGAAACAUUGUACAGAAGGGGUGCAUCAGGCGUCCUCAUGAAGUGCAUUCUCCCGUCCACUGGGAAGCAACUUCUGGAGGAGGUCCAUGCUGGGCAAUGUGGAAUACAUGCAGCCUCCAGAACACUAGUCGAGAAAGUCUUCAGGUCAGGAUUCUAUUGGCCAACAGCAAAGAAUGAUGCAGCCGAGUUAGUUCAGAGGUGCGAAGCUUGCCAAUACUUGUCAAAGCAACAACAUCUGCGAGCACAGCAACUGCAGACCAUACCAGUAACUUGGCCUUUUGCAUGCUGGGGACUGGAUAUGAUUGGACCUUUCAAGAAAGCUCAAGGGGGAUACACUCAUGUAUUGGUAGCGAUCGACAAAUUCACUAAAUGGAUAGAGUUCAAGCCCAUUGCUUCUUUAACCUCUGCUAAGGCCGUGGAAUUCAUACAAGGCAUAAUAUUCAGAUUCGGGAUACCAAACAGCAUCAUAACUGACUUAGGAUCCAACUUCACAAGUUCAGAAUUCUUUGACUUCUGCGAGCAAAAGAGCAUUCAGAUCAAGUAUGCAUCUGUAGCACAUCCAAGAGCCAACGGGCAGGUUGAGCGAGCCAACGGGAUGAUAUUGGAGGCACUCAGGAAAAAGGUCUUCGAUAAGAAUGAAAAAUUCGCAGGGAAGUGGAUAAGGGAAUUGCCCUAUGUUGUUUGGAGCCUAAGAACCCAACCUAGCCGAGCUCUGCAUGGAAACACUCCUUUCUUCAUGGUCUAUGGGUCGGAGGCAGUGCUACCCGCCGAUCUCAAGUUUGGGGUGCCAAGAUUAAUCUUCAAAAACAUAGCAGAAGUCGAGGCCACCAGGCUGGAGGACAUCGAUAUACUUGAAGAAGAACGGCUGAAUGCGGUAAUCCAAUCAGCACGGUACCAGCAGACUCUAAGGCGCUAUCACGACAAGGCUGUGCGACAGCGAUCCUUUUCAGUAGGAGAUCUCGUCCUCCGCCGAAUUCUAACGGGGGAAGGACGACACAAGUUGUCGCCCUUAUGGGAAGGACCCUUCAUAGUAGCAGAAGUCACUCGGCCAGGAUCAUAUCGUCUCACUCAGAUGGAUAGCACAGAAGUCGGGAACUCCUGGAACAUAGAACACCUCAGGAAGUUUUAUCCCUAGCUGUAUUUCAGAAGCUAUCGGGACGACGAUGUACUCUGUAAAGUGGAAACACGCCAUCAAUAAAAAAGGGGUUUUCAAAGAUACUCAGUUUGUUCACGAUUGACUUGCUUUCUUACUUAACUCGGGGUGACCACUAUGCCCUACUAACGGAGCAAUCGGCUUAAGUCGGCAACGACUUAAGGCGGUGCGACAUGCUCAUGCUUACUUAACUCGGGGUGACCACUAUGCCCUACUAACGAAGCAAUCGGCUUAAGUCGGCAACGACUUAAGGCGGUGCGACAUGCUCACGCUUACUUAACUCGGGGUGACCACUAUGCCCUACUAACGGAGCAAUCGGCUUAAGUCGGCAACGACUUAGGGUGGUGCGACAUGCUCACGCUUACUUAACUCGGGGUGACCACUAUGCCCUACUAACGGAGCAAUCGGCUUAAGUCGGCAACGACUUAAGGCGGUGUGACAUGCUCACGCUUACUUAACUCGGGGUGACCACUAUGCCCUACUAACGGAGCAAUCGGCUUAAGUCGGCAACGACUUAAGGUGGUGCGACAUGCUCACGCUUACUUAACUCGGGGUGACCACUAUGCCUUACUAACGGAGCAAUCGGCUUAAGUCGGCAACGACUUAAGGCAGUGCGACAUGCUCACGCUUACUUAACUCGUGGUGACCACUAUGCCCUACUAACGGAGCAAUCGGUUAAAGUCGGUGGCGACUUAAGCCGGUGCAACAUGCUCACGACUACGCAAUUCAGGGUGACCACUACGCCCUACUGACAAAAGCAAGCGACUUAAGUCAGCAGCGACUUAAGGCGAUCCGACGAAAUUACAAUUACUCAUAUAAGGAUGACUUCUAUAUCCCGCAAACAAAUUUCAUAACCAUCGCGCAUCAUUUUACUACUGCAAAUUUACAGACUGAUGAAUUCUGAAACAAUGCGAGAAUAACAAUGUCGUUUAAGUACUGAAAUGACGUCCUCUAACAAAUACUCGAUCAUGCUAACCGCGCGCUCAAAGCACGCAAAAUGUUUCUCUAUUUCGCAAUAUCUUUCUCAGGAGCGACCGAUGAGGAAGGGCGACUUGAGGAAUCAGGGACAGCAUUCACAUCAGCCCUUAUGUCUUCAGGAACAACCACGUCGAGUCUCCUCAUCAAGAUUCGCCCCGCUCGAAUAGCCUUGUCCAUGGCUCUGUCACGCUGGGCUCUGAGAGUAACAGAAGUUUCUUCGGCAACCUUGGCAUCCAGUCGAGCAGUUUCUAACUCCUGGACAAUGGAUUUCUUGGAAGCUCGGAGUUCUUUGAUGGUAGCAUCCUUUGCUGAUAUCAACUGCUUGAGGCGGGUCACUUCAUCCGCGGAUUCCUGCAGCUUACAGCGUUGAUUAUCCAACUCUUCCAUUGUAAAGCGGUGACUCCUCUCCAAGAUGGUCAGCGAGUUGCUAGAAUCACGAUACAAUCUGUCAAGACUGUCACGAGAAGCAGCAAGGAUACGCUUUUCUUCCUGCGAGCAAAAGUUAACUCCCUCAAAAACCAAGCAAGUAAUAGGAACACAGCAAGGCAAAAGCACAGUUUUGUAGAUCACCUUUUCAGAAUUGAGUUGAGCAUGGAGAGAAGAACUCAGUGCAUUGGCGUCAUCCAAGGCAGCGGAGACCUGACCCAGUUCAGUUUGGCUCUGAGAGUACUUCUCCUCAAAGUCAGCACACCGCUGGACCAAUUCAGCCUGAUCUCGGGAAUGUUUUUCCUCAAGAGUUGAAAUCUGCCGAGUCAUUCCUAGCAGGAGAUAAUCAAACAAAAAGGGGUCAGAAUGUAAAGCAGUCCACAGUGAAGGCAAAGAGAAGCAAAAAAGCACUAACCAGCAUUGGUUGCCUCCAAUUCAGAGACGCGAUGUUGAAGUGACACUGGAUUCCAACAUGCAAGAGACGAAGCUACUUCUGGGACAGAAGCACCCUGUAGCCUCAGCUGGCUAGCCAUCCCAUCCACCAAAGCCUGAUGAGGAGAACAGAUGAGUGUAAUGGCAGCAGUUCAUGCAAUGUAAAAAUCAAGCUAAAAUACAUCACGAUACCUGGAGGUUGGAAAAGAACGAAGGAAUCCCCAAAUCAGGAGAGAUCAGUUGAUAAUUAGGCGUAAGGCCACCACCCGAAGCAGCUUGCAACGAACCAGCAGGAAUUAGCUCGGUGCCUCAACAGAGCCAAAUACUCGGUCAGCGGGGACGCUGCCCUCUAAAGCGACUCCCUGGUCCAAGGUUUGGGCUACCACCAUACAGCCAGAGUGUGGAGGAGAUCCCGCAUGAACGUCCAUGGAAGUACAGAAGGGAGACCCCGCUCGGGCACCCUUGGGGGCUGGGUCAUAGUUUGCACUGCACACUUGAGCCGGAUCAUCCCCGGCAGCACCCUCGGGGGCUGGGCAGUGGCUUACACUCCGAGCCAAGUCAUCCCCGGCGACAUCCUCGGGGGCUGGGCAUGUGUCAACACCAUCCUUGGGGUCCAAGUUCUCUGCAGUAGCCACCUCUAAGGUUGACGGGCCCUCAGCUACUUCCAUAGGACCAGGACGAUCCAAGUCAGUCUCUCGACCCUCGAGAUCGCGCUCUAAGGUCGACGAGGCACGGGAUGACCUCAAUCCAGCAUCAGGCACGUCAGCGCAAACCUCCAUUGCACCAUCAUCCACCGGCUCCGAUAACAAAUCCUCUGGGACCAUAUCCUCAAGAGUCUGAUCAAAGUUGGUCAGGGACAGUUCCUGCAAACCAAUGAGGGCAGACAAAGCAGGAGAGGGAACUCCACUACUUUCGCCGCUCGCGAUGAGCUGCCGACUAUUUUUCCGAGUCAAAGGAAUUUCAUCUUCUUCCUCCUCAUCAUCCACAUUGGCAACACAAACAGCACCCCCAUUGGGAUCAGCAACAGAUGGAGCACCCACAUUAGGAUCAGCAGUGGAUUGGGUACACCCAUUGGGGUCGGCAUCAGUAAAUCCAGUCGCAGGCACUUCUUCAGUAGCAGGAACCGAGGUACCAGCGUCCCGAUCCAAACUGGAUACUCGCCGGAAGCGUCUUCUUUUCUUCUUCUGCUCAUCAGCAGAAGGAUCAGGCUGAUUGGCUCGGCAAGGGCGCCUUGGGCGAGUACUGAUAGGCUUCUGAGUAUCCAAAGUUGUAUCAGCCUCUGGGAGGGGCGCCACUACCAACGCCCCAGCAGGAGCAGCGUCGGAAGAAUCCUCAGCCAGCAAAUCAAGCAUAGCACUUAUCUCUGCAUCACUAGGGUUCAAGGGCACCUCAAAAUGGACCUGUCGUUCAUCAUCAGGAAUCUCCCCAAGCGAAGCAACCAAGGCACUAACUUCAUCAGCAGAGGGUCACACUCUAAGGCCCAAACUGCCAUCAGUGACAGGUGGAUUCGACACAAAAAGGGUGAAGGCUUUGGGAGGAGGCAGGUUCCAGGCCGAGUAUGCCACUGGAGCACCAACAUUUGACACUUUGCCCCUAAGGAUCAUCUCUAGUCGGCUCACCAAGUCUGCAGAGGGAAUUCUUCUGUUGGUAACCCGAGUUGAGUCGGCUAGCCCUCUAUACAGAUAAGCUGGGUAUGCCCUGUCUUUCACUGGCUGAAUAUUCUUGAAAACAAAAUCAGUAACCACAGCUUCAGCAGUCAGACCCCUCUCUUUCAGCAGUCCAACUUCAGCUAGCAACACACCGGCCUCAGCUACCUCCUGAUCUGUGGGAGACUCGGUCCAGCUUGGGGUGCGAACGUCCGGCUGUCUUCCCGACCGGGAGGGGAGAGAAUUCCCAUAAUUCUCAACUAUGAACCACUCCAAGCGCCAUCCCUUGAUACUGUCCUUGAGAGGGAUCUCGAGAUAUUCAGUUUUCCUCCCGCGGCGCAUCUCCAAGCUGGCACCCCCAACCAACUGAUGUUGUCCCCCGGCCAUCCCAGGGCGAUAAUGAUACAAGUAUUUCCACAGACCGAAAUGCGGCAGCACGCCAAGAAAGGCCUCGCAUAAAUGAACGAAAAUGGAGAUUUGCAGGAUUGAAUUGGGGUUCAAAUGGGUCAAGUUAAGAUGGUAGAAAUCAAGGAGGCCGCGGAAAAAGGGAGAAAUGGGAAGGCCAAGGCCGCGGAGAAGGAAAGGGGCGUAAACAACGGACUCAUGGGUAUCCUCAGUCGGAACAGUAAACCCAUGGCAAAUCCGCCAAGAACAGAGUUCCCGCGGAGGAAGAACCCCGAUGGAUACAAGGUGGAGAAGUUCGGGCUCAGAAAUGACGAACAUGUGGUUACCUGCGAAAGGCAACUGGCUGUUGGGGGCGAUUGGAGGAAUCACCACAACAGAUGAACUCGAGGCCUUCCUCUUGGGCGCCAUCUCGAUUCAACCAGCGAGUGGAGUGGGAGGCGAAUAGCAGAGAGGAUUCGGAAGCGAGAAAGCAAGAACUAGGGCACGAAAAGCAAAGGUGGCUAAAAGCGCAGCACUUAUGGGAUAUUCUCGAGCCAGAUACCGUUUCAAAAAGUGCCCAGUCAGCACCCGGCGGUUAUUUCUAAAACCCCAGCGUGCCACGUGGUCAUCUGGCAGUUAUCUCCAGAACACCGGUGCGCCACCUCAUCACUCGGCUAUCAUCCUCAAAGUGGCUCGCGCGGCCUGCUAUCACUCGGCGUUGCCUCCAAAACAUCGAUUUCGUGUUCAGUCGUUCGGCAUUACCUCUAAAAUGCCGACAUCGCCUUCCAAUCACUCGGCGUUGCCUCUAAAACGCUGAUAUAGUGUUCAGUUGCUCGGCGUUGCCUCUAAAACGCCGACGUCGCCCUCCAGUCGCUCGACGUUACCUCUAAAACGCUGAUAUCAUGUUCAGUCGCUCGGCAUUACCUCUAAAAUGCUGACGUCGCUUUCCAAUCACUCGGCGUGGCCUCUAAAACGCUGAUAUAGUGUUCAGUUACUCGGCGUUGCCUCCAAAAUGCCGACGUCGCCCUUCAGUCGCUCGGUGUUACCUCUAAAACGCUGACGUCGCCCUCUGAGUUUGUCUCAAGUCGCCCGGCAGUUAUCUCUAAGACUCCGAUAUUGUGUUCGGUCACUCGGCAGUUACCUCUAAAAGCACCGACACCGUCUACAAGUUACUCGGCAGCUAUUUCUGAAAGCAUCAGUUUGAUCCCCAAGUUAUUCAUUUACUGUCUCAAAGGAAUCAGCUUCACAAAUGAGCAGGACAAUCAUAAAGGAGAAGCCAACAUCAUUUUUUUCAUUAGAAGGAAGAUAACAUACUUACAAAUCAACUCUUUAUGAGUUGAUACUUCCCUACUACUACUACAUUACAUUACUACUACUACUACUACAUUACAUUACUACUACUACUACUACAUUACAAUAUACUACUCUACACUACUACUACAUUAUUCUAACUAUACUAUACUAAUAUCUAAAAGACCAGUGGCAUCUAGCCACUGGCCCUGUUGCUGCCGCCGCUGCCGCCCCUGGUGAUGCCCCUGCUGCUGCCGCCCCGGUUGCUGCCCCUGCUGCCGCCGCCGUCGCCGUCCCUGCUGCCGCCUCUGUCACCGUCCUUGCUGCCGCCCCUGCCGCUAUCGUCGUCGUCGUCGUCGUCCUCGUCCUCGUCCUCGCCGCCGCCGUCCGAGUCCUCCUCAUCCGAGGAGUACUCCGACUCAUCCGAGCCCUCGAGCCCAGAGCGCUCGACGGCCCGGAUGUACGUCGAGACCUCCGCCGCAAGCCCCUGGGAGUCGUCUGAGUCAUCAGACGACUCACGCAGGGGGAUGGGAGCGGAGACCCCUCAGACUCAGAGGAGAACUCCUCCUCUGAGUACUCCGAGUCACCAAACUCCUCCGAUGGAGGAGUUGGCUCACGCUUGCGCUUGUUGUUCUUGCCCAUGGUGGAAGCAGAAGGGAGAGAAGAAAGGGAAGCAACAGAGAACAGCGAGAGAUGUGAAAAAGCCAGAGAGACAACGGCGUUAUUUAUAAGAGGAGAAGGCAACCGCUCACCUCUAACCGCGGUCACUGAACAGUCGCAAAGCAUUCAAUAAGCACUUCAACCCGUCUGAAGACACGUCAGGCGGCUGACGCCGUUUCACGCAACACAACACCCAUUGGGACUCCAGUCAACAGCGCGGAGGAUAUGAUUACACUCGUCGUCACAUCACAUUACUACUCAGAAGCAGCCGGCUAAAACACUCAGCGUACCAAGUCGUCCCUUACCCACACCCAUUGGGGGGGACGCCCAGGAAUUAUCAGUAUAUUUUUCAAAACGGUCACAUCUGUGCAGGGCACGCAGUGAAUACCUCAAGACAAAAAUGAGAUAUCAGUAAGGAUCAGAGGAAAGCCAAAUAUAGCCAGUGAAGUACAAAAUAUGGCCGACAGAAGCGACGUGAAGACUAGACAGAGAACGUCCAUCAAACGUCCAAUCAGUUGCAGAGCAAAUAAAUUGCACUACCUAGCAAGAUAUGGACGGAUUGCGAACUCGGCUGCUAAAGACAAAAUAUACGCUGACCUCUGAAGCAAAAUAUUGAUGACAUAAUGCUGACCUCCAAAGCAUAAUGCGAAUAGCUUCGUUCCAAUUUCUACAAACAGAAAGGAUAAUUUUCAGCAAAGAGACACAAAAGAAAGACCUUCGAAUGGAUUAUCCUCAAAAAUCCAUUUGAAGGUCGGGGGCUACACCCAUUGGGUGCACCUCCGGUGCACCCCAUGGAUUAUCAUUCCAAGCCAAGAUAAGGCUGACUUCUAAGGCGUGAGAUAAGAUUAAAAGGCCAGCCCUCAACCAAAACGCAGGAGCACAAAUGGAAAUAAUUUCUGGGGAAGACCUUCGAGUAGAUUAUUUUCUAAAAUCUACUUGAAGCUCGGGGGCUACACCCAAUGAAGUUCAGAAUCCUACAAAUUGAAAUGCCGACCUCUAAGGCACAAGCGCGAAACAAGGCUUCGGUCUACGAGUGAUCAAAGUAGGAGAAGACAACAAGAAGUCAUUUUCUUCAAAUCACCUGCAAGCUGGACCUGGGAUCUUUGGGCUGAUUACCUCUAAAUUAACCCAAAGAUCGGGGGCUUGUGGGGGAUAGAUAUCCCCCAGGUCCACUAAAAGAGUAAAAGACCUCACGAAAGGCCUAAGGGCCCAAUAAAUCGUAAGGUCAUUCUUUCGUGGGCCUGGGGAGAGACAACCAGCAAAGCAGAUCGACAUGAGGUCGGAUUGGUGCGAACCCGGACGACCCACAACGUCGAGCGAGCGACCACAACAGAGAUCCGACUUUCCCGCGCUGGAGCCCCCAUGCAACGGAGCCAUGCGAGGAUAAGUCGGCAGAAUUACAAGGAGAUAAACUCAAGCAGUUCACUAUCUUUUAGCUACACGUUGUUAUCAUAUCCACAUGUAUUGCCCCACGGUCGAGUAUAUAAGGCCUAGGGGGCACCCCUUCAGAACGAUCGACCCUAUUACUUAGCCGCCCACUUCGACUCUCUGUAUUCUCAAUUCAGAGAGCUCUCUUGUAACCUCAUUCACUCAGCAUACUCAUCAGGACGUAGGGUGUUACGCAUCUCUAAGCGGCCCGAACCUGUAAACCUUGUCCACUGUCCCUCGUGCAACUGGCACGAACCAUUUUGCUACAGUCGUUGACACCGUCCUACUCCUAAAAACACCUUGAGGGGCAACCCCGGGUGUGCGGUCGGACCCAAAACACCGACAGCUGGCGCGCCAGGUAGGGGGUGUGUUGACGAUCCAAGUUAGCUCAAUGACCGUCACCUUCCACAGCAAGAUCACCCUUCGUCCCGGAUCCGUAUUCUGCUUCGGAACAAUCUCAUCCGUAGCCGAUGAAGAGGGAACUCUACACCGCAUUGCGGAUCCGCCGGAAAAAAAGUCUCCUCCAACAAACUCCGAAAAUGUCGGAGAAGCGCAACCUCCAGCUCUCCGGAAAAAGAUCGUCUCCGAAAAGUCAGGGGCCGAGGGCCCGCUGACCUGGAGAACUCCACUGUCUACUUCCCCGACAAAAGAAUGGACACAGAUCGCGAGGAAAAAGGAGACCAAGGGGAAGCAAGUUGUUCUUUCCGUUCCUCCGCCCUCAAAGGAGAACAGAAAGAAGGUCGUCACGACGGCAGCACCAUUCUACCCCGACGUCCUCUUCAUCGGGAGAGUGGAGUCGCCCGCCGUCUCCGACGACGAGCCGACCGCACCCGGAGAAGAACCGCCUCAACGAGAAUCCCGCCGACAGAGGAACCGGCGCAGGAACGUUCGACGACAUCACGCGGCCGGAGAACGGGAUCCGGAACAACCUGUCUCGCGAGACGAGGUCUCGGAGAUAGGAGAAACUCCGGAAGAACGCGUCUUCAGAGAACGAAGGAACUCCCGACGACGUGAUCGCCGCCGGGCUCAGGAACAAGCCGAGCAAGAUGCGAGGCAACGCCGGGAGAAUCCAUUCUUCGGGCGCAACCUGAACCCCGACUUCGCCCGAGCCAUGAACACGCUGAGUGAAGUCGGAGGAGUACUAGCUCGGAUAGCUGAUGGACUCCCUCGGACUCCCGACGCCGAGGGCUACCGACGACUGUUCACCCAGGCAGCCAACCAUCUUCUACCGCUUGCUCACCCGCCGAACGAUCUACGACACGCCAUCAACAGUCGCCGAGACGCGCGAAGCUCCAUCAAUGCUUCACGUGAACGGCGGCAUGAGAACGAGAUCCGCCGCUGGGAGGAGUACGACAGGGAUCAUGGCAUCCCGGCUCGGAGCCAGGCCACCAGAACUGAGUCGGCAACAGCCUCAACUGGCGGUACCGCCCGGGGAUGGUCGAGGAACCACAACAACUACUCCCCUCCCCGGAACAGACAUCAUCCCCGACGACAGGAGGACACGUGCGGAGUGUCUGCUCUUACUCCGCGCCUUAGGGCCAUCCAAUGGCCUCCCAACUUCAAGGUAUCCAAUGUCGACAAAUAUGAACCUAAGCAGGAUCCAGGGGGUUGGCUAGCCGUCUACACCACCGCUGCUCGAGCUGCCGGGGCGUCCGAAGACUUGAUGACCGCGUACUUACCCAUUGUCCUUGGGCAAGAUGCGCUGCAAUGGCUGCGACAUCUACCCCGACAAUGCAUCGACGACUGGGGCGACUUCAGUCGACGCUUCACCGCCAAUUUCCAGUCCCUCUCCGACAAACCGGCGCAACCAUGGGACCUCAAAUCCAUCAAGCGCCGUGGGGACGAAACUCUCCGGUCGUACCUCAAAAGGUUCCAGACCAUGAGAAAUCGUAUCCCCGAGGUCAUGGAGGCAGCCGUGAUCGAGGACUUCUACCGAGGAUCCAAUGACUCGGCUUUCGUCCGAGCCAUAUUACAGAAGGCGCCAACUACUUCCGAGGAGCUGUUCCAGAAAGCCGACCUCUACAUCACCGCCGACGAGCGGGCCCAGGACCUCAUCGAAGGAGCAAAGCCCGCACCAGCAGCACCACGACGCGACGCGAACCAGCAACCCGACAAACGCUGGGAGAAGAGGCCUCGCGAAGAAGUGCACGCCGCCGGACCACCUGCCUCUCGCGCCCGAGGAGGACCUCGCGAAGGCGAACGCACGCUGGACGACAUCCUCGACGCCCAGUGCCCGUACCACAAGGACAUGCGCCACACUCUUCGUAACUGCCGGGACUUCAAGCACUCCGUCGGGCACGGUCGACCCUUCCAACCUCUACCUCCUCCUCCGCCGAGGGGAGGACCAGAUGAACCACGACAACCCCAUCAGCAGGAGGAGGGAGGAGGAGGAGCUUUCCCGCGCGUUGACAGGGAGGUCAACGUCAUCUUCGGCGGACAUGGGUCGCAGGAGAACAAAAGACAACAAAAGCUCAACGACCGCCAGAUACUGGUGGCGACCACCGGUCCUCCCGCCCCAUACCGGUGGUCGGAGCACCCGAUCACUUUCACUCGGGAGGAUCAAUGGCUCAACUUCGACCAUCCAGGCAAAUACCCGCUCCUCGUCGAUCCGGUGAUCCGAGAGAGCCGGGUGAAGAAGGUGCUAGUGGACGGGGGGAGCAGCAUCAACGUCACCUUCCCCCGGACACUCCAAGGCUUGGGAGUUCACCUCAAAGAGCUCCACGAGUCGGACACUCCUUUCUUCGGCAUCAUGCCGACGGAAGGGGAAUACCCGCUGGGCCACAUCUACAUGUCUGUCACCUUCGAAACUCCGGAGAACUACAGAACCGAGUUCCUGAGGUUCGAAGUGGCGAACUUCGACUGCGGGUACAACGCCAUCAUCGAGAGGCCGGGAUUGGCCAAAUUCAUGGCCAUUCCACAUUACACAUACAUGAUACUGAAGAUGCCAGGACCGCAAGGAAUCAUAACUAUGCGCGCCGACUUCCAAGGCGCCGCAGAGUGUUUCCGGGUGGCCAUCCAAGCAGCCCUCACCACCAAGCCGUCGACGGUUUUGAGAGCACCUAGAGGGGGGGUGAAUAGGUGAUCCUGUAAAAACUUAAACUUAAGCCACAAAAACUUGUUAAGGGUUAGUACAAGUAUGGCCAAGUGGCUAGAGUGAAGUCUCAACAAAACACAGUACCACAAGAGAAUCAAGCACAGAGUGACACAGUGGUUUUAUCCCGUGGUUCGGCCAAGACCAACGCUUGCCUACUCCACGUUGUGGCGUCCCAACGGACGAGGGUUGCAAUCAACCCCUCUCAAGCGGUCCAAAGACCCACUUGAAUACCACGGUGUUUUGUUUUCCUUUCACUAUCCCGUUUGCAAGGAAUCUCCACAAAUUGGAGUCUCUUGCCCUUACAAGUAUAUGAUCACAAAUGAAACACAGAGUAAGGGAGGGAAGCAACACACACAAAUCCACAGCAAAAGCGCACACACACGGCCAAGAAUCGAGCUCACAAGACUAUCUCAGAGUUCUCACUUAGAACAGAGCUCGAAUCACUUAGAAACACAAACGAAUGCGCAGAGACUUAGUGUGGAUGAUCAAGAAUGCUCAAAGGUUGCUUGUAUAUCUCCUCCAUGCGCCUAGGGGCUCCUUUUAUAGCCCCAAGGCAGCUAGGAGCCGUUGAGAGCAAAUCCGGAAGGCCAUCCUUGCCUUCUGUCGUCGGGGGCACCGGACAGUCCGGUGCACACCGGACACUGUCCGGUGCCCGAUUUGUUUCCUUAAACGGCGAAGACGACCGUUGCAGACCGUUGGCAGAUCUGGCGCUGUUGGCGCACCGGACAUGUCUGGUGCACACCGGACAGUCCGGUGCCGUCUUCCGACCGUUGGCUCGGCCACGUGUCCCGCGCGGAUUGCGCGGCCGACCAUUGGCCCUGGCCGACCGUUGGCUCACCGGACAGUCCGGUGCACACCGGACAGUCCGGUGAAUUUUAGCCGUACGCCACCGGCCAAUUUCCCGAGAGCGGCCAGUUCGAGUCGCGCCAGCCUGGCGCACCGGACACUGUCCGGUGCACACCGGACAGUCCGGUGCUCCAGACCGAGCUGGGUCUUGGCAGCACACAGCCAAGUCCCUUCUCCUUUUCUCUAUUCUUCUUCUUUCUGUUUCUAACACUUAGACAAAUAUAUUAGUACUCAAAACCAAUGUACUAAGGCUUAGAAACAUACCUUUACUUCAUGAUUUUCACCUUGUUCAUCCAUGUACAUAAAUUCCCAAUUAAGCACAUGUGUUGGCACUCAAUCACCAAAAUACAUAGAAAUGGCCCAAGGGCACAUUUCCCUUUCAAUCUCCCCCUUUUUGGUGAUUUAUGCCAACACAACAUAAAGCAACUAGAACAAGUGCAAAAUCACUUUAAAUAAAAACUCAAAUUGGUUUUAUUCAAUUUUGGCAUAUAUGGAUCAUCCUUUGCCACCACUUGGUUUGUUUUUGCAAAUCAAACUCAAAUCUCUAUCUCUAAGUCAAGCACACAUGUUGAAGUAUAAAGAGAGUCAUUCCAAAAGAGAUUGAUCAAAGAUUUCAAAAACUCCCCCUAUUUCCCAUAAUCAAUACUUCUCCCCACAAGAAACCAACUUUUGAAAAUAGAGACAAUAAGAGACAAUAAAAGCUUUUGACAAAACAAAAACUCUAUUCUACUAUUUUCAAAAUCUCUCAAGUGGUAGCUGAUCCAUUUAUCACUUUGGCCUUUAUUUUCUCCCCCUUUGGCAUCAAGCACCAAAACGGGAUCAAUCUUGGCCUGUUAACCCCAUUGCCUCACCAAAGUCUUCAAUUAAGAGCAAAUGGCAAUAAGAUUUCAUGAGAUGAACUUGGAAUUAGUUACCCUCUCAUCGGAGUGCAGUGGAAGUCUUUCAUGGUCCAAGUCCACCUUUUCCCUUUCAAUCCUCCUUCGAGACUAAAUUAUCAACCUCAAGCACAUGGUUAGUCUCAAAGGGUCAAGUUGUAACACAUCUCCCCCUACACAUGUGCAUCACUUUGCAACGGACUUGUGAGGUCCAGGGAGUGUUUGUACAACUUGAGCACCAUAAUAAGCAACAAAAUGCAGAAUGAACAUGAUCAAAGGCAUAAACACAUGUAUGCUGCAAUUCAAUCCAAGUUCCGCGAAUCUAAGAUAUUUAGCUCACUACGCAGCCUGCAAAAGGUCUUCUCAUCUAGAGGCUUGGUAAAGAUAUCGGCUAGCUGGUUCUCGGUGCUAACAUGAAACACUUCGAUAUCCCCCUUUUGCUGGUGGUCUCUCAAAAAGUGAUGCCGGAUGUCUAUGUGCUUUGUGCGGCUGUGCUCAACAGGAUUCUCCGCCAUGCGGAUAGCACUCUCAUUGUCACAUAGGAGUGGGACUUUGCUCAGAUUGUAGCCAAAGUCCCUGAGGGUUUGCCUCAUCCAAAGUAGUUGCGCGCAACACUGUCCUGCGGCAACAUACUCGGCCUCAGCGGUGGAUAGGGCAACGGAAGUUUGUUUCUUAGAGUUCCAUGACACCAGGGACCUUCCUAAGAAUUGGCACGUCCCCGAUGUACUCUUCCUAUCGACCUUACAUCCAGCAUAGUCGGAGUCUGAGUAUCCAACUAAGUCAAAGGUAGACCCCUUUGGAUACCAGAGCCCGAAGCAAGGCGUAGCAACCAAAUAUCUAAGAAUUCGCUUCACCGCCACUAAGUGACACUCCUUAGGAUCGGAUUGAAAUCUAGCACACAUGCAUACGCUAAGCAUAAUAUCCGGUCUACUAGCACAUAAGUAAAGCAAAGAACCUAUCAUUGACCGGUAUGCUUUUUGAUCAACGGACUUACCUCCUUUGUUGAGGUCGGUGUGUCCGUCGGUCCCCAUUGGCGUCUUUGCGGGCUUGGCGUCCUUCAUCCCAAACCGCUUUAGCAGAUCUUGCGUGUACUUCGUUUGGGAGAUGAAGGUGCCGUCCUUGAGUUGCUUCACUUGGAACCCAAGGAAGUAGUUCAACUCGCCCAUCAUCGACAUCUCGAAUUUCUGCGUCAUCACCCUGCUAAACUCUUCACAAGACUUUUGGUUAGUAGAACCAAAUAUUAUGUCAUCGACAUAAAUUUGGCACACAAACAAAUCACCAUCACAUGUCUUUGUAAAAAGAGUUGGAUCGGCCUUCCCAACCUUGAAAGCAUUAGCAAGUAAAAAGUCUCUAAGGCAUUCAUACCAUGCUCUUGGGGCUUGUUUAAGUCCAUAGAGCGCCUUAGAGAGCUUACACACGUGGUCGGGGUACCGUUCAUCCUCGAAGCCAGGGGGUUGCUCCACGUACACCUCCUCCUUGAUUGGCCCGUUGAGGAAAGCGCUCUUCACAUCCAUUUGGAACAACCUGAAAGAAUGGUGAGCGGCAUAUGCUAGCAAGAUUCGAAUUGACUCUAGCCUAGCCACAGGAGCAAAAGUCUCCUCAAAAUCCAAACCUGCGACUUGGGCAUAACCUUUUGCCACAAGUCGAGCCUUGUUUCUCGUCACCACCCCGUGCUCGUCCUGUUUGUUGCGGAACACCCACUUGGUUCCCACAACAUUUUGCUUCGGACGAGGCACCAGUGUCCAAACUUCAUUGCGCUUGAAAUUGUUUAACUCCUCUUGCAUGGCCAACACCCAGUCCGGAUCUAGCAAGGCCUCUUCUACCCUGAAAGGCUCAAUAGAAGAGACAAAGGAGUAAUGCUCACAAAAAUUAACUAAUCGAGAUCGAGUAGUUACUCCCUUGCUAAUGUCACCCAGAAUUUGGUCGACGGGAUGAUCCCUUUGAAUCAUCGCUCGAACUUGGGUUGGAGGUGCCGGUUGCAUUUCUUCCUCCAUCACUUGAUUAUCUUGUGCUCCCCCUUGAUCAAGCGCCUCCACUUGAGGUACCUGUUCGUCAUCUUUGGUUGGGGGAUGCACCAUAGUUGAGGAAGAAGGUUGAUCUCGUUCAUCUUGUUCCUGUGGCCGUACUUCUCCAAUCGCCAUGGUCCGUAUAGCGGCCGUCGGAACAUCUUCUUCAUCUACAUCAUCACAAUCAACAACUUGCUCUCUUGGAGAGCCAUUAGUCUCAUCAAAUACAACGUCGCUAGAGACUUCAACCAAACCCGAUGAUUUGUUGAAGACUCUAUACGCCUUUGUAUUUGAGUCAUAACCUAACAAAAACCCUUCUACAGCUUUGGGAGCAAACUUAGAAUUUCUACCUUUCUUCACUAGAAUGUAGCACUUGCUCCCAAAUACACGAAAGUAAGAUACAUUGGGUUUGUUACCGGUUAGAAGCUCAUACGACGUCUUCUUGAGGAGGCGAUGAAGGUAGACCCUGUUGAUGGCAUGGCAAGCAGUGUUCACGGCUUCCGUCCAAAAGCACUCGGGGGUCUUGAACUCUCCUAGCAUCGUCCUCGCCAUGUCAAUGAGCGUCCUGUUCUUCCUCUCUACCACACCAUUUUGCUGUGGUGUGUAGGGAGCGGAGAACCCGUGCUUGAUCCCUUCUUCUUCAAGGAACUCCUCCACUUGAAGGUUCUUGAAUUCGGACCCGUUGUCGCUCCUUAUCUUCUUCACUUUGAGCUCAAACUCAUUUUGAGCCCUCCUGAGGAAGCGUUUGAGGGUCCCUUGGGUUUCAGACUUAUCCUGCAAAAAGAACACCCAAGUGAAGCGGGAAAAAUCAUCAACAAUAACUAAACCAUACUUACUUCCCCCUAUGCUUAGAUAGGCGACGGGUCCGAAGAGAUCCAUAUGCAGCAGCUCCAGGGGUCUUGAAGUGGUCAUCACAUUCUUGCUGUGAUGCGCUCCUCCCACCUGUUUCCCUGCUUGACAAGCUGCGCAAGGUCUAUCUUUUUCGAAUUGAACAUUGGUUAGACCUAUCACGUGUUCUCCCUUUAGAAGCUUGUGAAGGUUCUUCAUCCCCACAUGUGCUAAGCGGCGAUGCCACAGCCAGCCCAUGCAAGUCUUAGCCAUUAAGCAUGCAUCUAGACCGGCCUCUUCUUUUGCAAAAUCAACUAAAUAAAGUUUGCCGUCUAAUACACCCUUAAAAGCUAGUGAACCAUCACUUCUUCUAAAGACAGACACAUCUAUAUUUGUGAACAGACAGUUAUAUCCCAUAUUGCACAAUUGACUAACAGAUAGUAAAUUAUAUCCUAGUGACUCUACUAAAAACACAUUAGAGAUAGAGUGCUCAUUAGAAAUUGCAAUUUUACCUAACCCUUUUACCUUGCCUUGAUUCCCAUCACCGAAUAUGAUUGAAUCUUGGGAAUCCUUAUUCUUGACGUAGGAGGUGAACAUCUUCUUCUCCCCCGUCAUAUGGUUUGUCCAUCCGCUAUCAAUAAUCCAGCUUGAACCCCCGGAUGCAUAAACCUGCAAGGCAAAUUUAGGCUUGGGUCUUAGGUACCCAACUCAUGUUGGGUCCUACAAGGUUAGUGCAAAUAUCCUUAGGGACCCAAAUGCAAGUUUUGUCUCCCUUGCAUUUUGCCCCUAACUUCCUAGCAACUAUUUUCCUAUCCUUUCUACAAAUAGCAAAGGAAGUGUUUAAAGCACAAUAAAUUAUAGAAGGUUCAUUCACUACUUUCCUAGGAGCAUGAAUAACAUUCUUUCUAGGCACAUGAGCAAUAUUUCUCCUAGGCAUAUCCCUAUCAUGCUUAUAAGAAGAACUAGAGGCAAACAUGGCAUGAGAAUCAUAAUCAUUAUAAGCAUUUCUAGCAUUUCUCCUAUCAUAAUACAUAAAAGCAUGGUUCUUUUUAGCAUUACUAGCCAUAGGGGCCUUCCCUUUCUCCUUGACGAAGAUGGGAGCCUUAUGGCUUGUUAAGUUCUUGGCCUCUCUCUUGAAGCCAAGACCAUCCUUAAUUGAGGGGUGUCUACCAACCGUAUAGGCAUCCCUUGCAAAUUUUAUUUUAUCAACUUCAUUCUUGCUAGUCUUAAGUUGGGCAUUAAGACUAGCCACUUCCUUAUUUAAUUUGGAAAUUAAAACGAGAUGUUCACUACAGGCAUCAACAUCGAAAUCCUUACACCUAGUGCAAAUCUUAACAUGUUCUACACAAGAAUUAGAUUUAUUUGCUACUUCUAACUUAGCAUUUAAAUCAUUGUUAACACCUUGUAAAGUAGAAAUGGUUUCAUGACAAGUAGAUAGUUCAUAAGAAAGCAUUUCAUUUCUUUUUACUUCUAAAGCAUAUGAUUUUUGUGCCUCUACAAAUUUAUCAUGUUCAUCAUACAAUAAAUCCUCCUGCUUUUCUAAAAGCCUAUCCUUUUCAUUCAAUGCAUCAAUCAAUUCAUUGAUUUUAUCUAUCUUAGAUCUAUCUAAGCCCUUGAACAAGCAUGAAUAAUCUAUGUCAUCAUCACUAGACUCACUAUCACUAGAAGAAGCAUAAGUGGAGUCUUGAGUACUCACCUUCUUCUCCCUUGCCAUAAGACAUGUGAGACGCUCGUUGGGGAAGAGAGCCGAUUUGUUGAAGGCAGUGGCGGCGAGUCCUUCGUUGUCGGAGUCGGAGGAGGAGCAAUCCGAGUCCCACUCCUUUCCUAGAUGCGCCUCGCCCUUUGCCUUCUUGUAUUGCUUCUUCUUUUCUCUUUUGUUCCCCUUUUCCUGGUCACUUUCAUUAUCGGGACAGUUAGCGAUAAAAUGACCAAGCUUACCGCAUUUGAAGCAUGAGCGCUUCCCCUUGGUCUUGGUCUUGCUUGGCUGCCCCUUGCGACCAUUUAGCGCCGUCUUGAAUCUCUUGAUGAUGAGAGCCAUCUCUUCAUCGUUGAGUCCGGCCGCCUCAAUUUGUGCCACCUUGCUAGGUAGCGCCUCCUUGCUUCGUGUUGCCUUGAGAGCGAGAGGUUGCGGCUCGUUGAUUGGACCAUUCAAGGCGUCGUCCACAUAUCUCGCCUCCUUGAUCAUCAUUCGCCCGCUAACAAAUUUCCCAAGAACUUCUUCGGGCGACAUCUUGGUGUACCUGGGAUUUUCACGUAUAUUGUUCACCAAGUGAGGAUCAAGAACGGUAAAUGACCUUAGCAUUAGGCGGACGACGUCGUGGUCCGUCCAUCGCGUGCUCCCGUAGCUUCUUAUCUUGUUGAUAAGGGUCUUGAGCCGAUUGUAUGUUUGCGUUGGCUCCUCGCCCCUUAUCAUUGCGAACCGUCCAAGCUCGCCCUCCACCAACUCCAUCUUGGUGAGUAAGGUGACGUCGUUCCCCUCAUGAGAAAUCUUGAGGGUGUCCCAGAUUUGCUUGGCGUUAUCCAAGCCGCUCACCUUAUGGUAUUCAUUCCUGCACAAGGAAGCUAGAAGAACAGUAGUAGCUUGUGCAUUCUUAUGAAUUUGUUCAUUAAUGAACAUGGGACUAUCCGAACUAUCAAAAUGCAUUCCACUCUCUACAAUCUCCCAUAUACUAGGAUGGAGAGAGAAUAGGUGACUACGCAUUUUGUGGCUCCAAAAUCCGUAGUCCUCUCCAUCAAAGUGUGGGGGCUUGCCGAGUGGAAUGGAGAGCAAAUGAGAAUGUGAACUUUGCGGAAUACGAGAGUAAUCAAAAGAAAAGUUCGAAUUAACCGGUUUUCUUCUCUCGUAGUCGUUGUGGUCCUCGUCCUUUUGGGAAGAAGUAGACUCGUCGCUGUCGUAGUAGACGAUCUCCUUGAUGCGCCUGGUCUUCUUCUUCUUCCCUUCCUUCCGUCUUUGGCCCGAGCCGGAGUCGGUAGGCUUAUCGUCCUUCGGCUCGUUGACGAAGGAUUCCUUCUCUUUGUCGUUGAUCACUAUACCCUUCCCCUUAGGAUCCAUCUCUUCGGGCGGUUAGUCCCUUUGUGAAGAGAACGGCUCUGAUACCAAUUGAGAGCACCUAGAGGGGGGGUGAAUAGGUGAUCCUGUAAAAACUUAAACUUAAGCCACAAAAACUUGUUAAGGGUUAGUACAAGUAUGGCCAAGUGGCUAGAGUGAAGUCUCAACAAAACACAGUACCACAAGAGAAUCAAGCACAGAGUGACACAGUGGUUUUAUCCCGUGGUUCGGCCAAGACCAACGCUUGCCUACUCCACGUUGUGGCGUCCCAACGGACGAGGGUUGCAAUCAACCCCUCUCAAGCGGUCCAAAGACCCACUUGAAUACCACGGUGUUUUGUUUUCCUUUCACUAUCCCGUUUGCAAGGAAUCUCCACAAAUUGGAGUCUCUUGCCCUUACAAGUAUAUGAUCACAAAUGAAACACAGAGUAAGGGAGGGAAGCAACACACACAAAUCCACAGCAAAAGCGCACACACACGGCCAAGAAUCGAGCUCACAAGACUAUCUCAGAGUUCUCACUUAGAACAGAGCUCGAAUCACUUAGAAACACAAACGAAUGCGCAGAGACUUAGUGUGGAUGAUCAAGAAUGCUCAAAGGUUGCUUGUAUAUCUCCUCCAUGCGCCUAGGGGCUCCUUUUAUAGCCCCAAGGCAGCUAGGAGCCGUUGAGAGCAAAUCCGGAAGGCCAUCCUUGCCUUCUGUCGUCGGGGGCACCGGACAGUCCGGUGCACACCGGACACUGUCCGGUGCCCGAUUUGUUUCCUUAAACGGCAAAGACGACCGUUGCAGACCGUUGGCAGAUCUGGCGCUGUUGGCGCACCGGACAUGUCCGGUGCACACCGGACAGUCCGGUGCCGUCUUCCGACCGUUGGCUCGGCCACGUGUCCCGCGCGGAUUGCGCGGCCGACCAUUGGCCCUGGCCGACCGUUGGCUCACCGGACAGUCCGGUGCACACCGGACAGUCCGGUGAAUUUUAGCCGUACGCCACCGGCCAAUUUCCCGAGAGCGGCCAGUUCGAGUCGCGCCAGCCUGGCGCACCGGACACUGUCCGGUGCACACCGGACAGUCCGGUGCUCCAGACCGAGCUGGGUCUUGGCAGCACACAGCCAAGUCCCUUCUCCUUUUCUCUAUUCUUCUUCUUUCUGUUUCUAACACUUAGACAAAUAUAUUAGUACUCAAAACCAAUGUACUAAGGCUUAGAAACAUACCUUUACUUCAUGAUUUUCACCUUGUUCAUCCAUGUACAUAAAUUCCCAAUUAAGCACAUGUGUUGGCACUCAAUCACCAAAAUACAUAGAAAUGGCCCAAGGGCACAUUUCCCUUUCAGGUUUCUCCAACACAGGCGAACUCUAAGCCUGAGGAGGACCUUGCAGUACCGGCAAACGAAGCUCAGGCCGCAACCUCUAUGCGGCCGACUGAAGAAACCAAGAGGAUCAACCUAGGGUUCGCUGAUGAACGCAAGACUGCCAUCAUCGGCUCCAGCCUGGACGACAAAUAGGAAAGCGCGCUCAUCCAGUUUCUGCAAGAUAACCGAGAUGUAUUCGCAUGGCAACCUGCGGAUAUGCCGAGAGUCCCAAGAGAACUGGUCGAGCACAAACUGAAGGUCUAUCCCCAGGCAAGGCCGAUUCGGCAAAAGCUGCGUCGUUUCACGCCCGACAAGAGAGAGGCCAUUCGCGCCGAGUUAGCUCGCUUGGUCGCGGCUGGAUUUAUUAGAGAGGUGUUAAACCCCGAGUGGUUAGCCAACCCUGUUCUUGUACUCAAAAAGAAUAAAGUGGAUUGGCGCAUGUGCGUCGACUAUACUGACCUCAACAAACACUAUCCGAAGGAUCCCUUCGGGCUCCCAAGGAUAGAUUAGGUGGUGGACUCCACCGCUGGAUAUUCUGUGCUGUCUUUCUUGGAUUGCUAUUCCGGAUACCAUCAAAUUAGUUUGGCGAAGGAAGACGAGGAAAAAAUAGCGUUCAUCACUCUGUUUGGUGCUUUCUGUUAUACCUCCAUGCCGUUCGGCCUCAAAAACGCUGGAGCAACUUAUCAGAGAGCCAUUCAAACGUGCUUAGCCGAUCACUGGGGCAAGCGUGUGGAGGCCUACGUAGAUGAUGUGGUAAUCAAAACAGAGAAUUCGGAAAACUUCAUCGAAGACUUACAGCUGGUUUUCAACAGUCUGAGGCGAUAUAGAUGGAAGCUUAAUCUCGAAAAAUGUGUUUUCGGGGUACCAGCAGGAAAGUUACUCGGGUUUAUUGUCAGCCUCCGGGGAAUUGAGGCUAAUCCGGAUAAGAUUGAAGCUAUCAUGAAGAUGGAAGCACCUCGAUCACAAAAGAAGGUUCAGCGACUUACUGGAUGUAUGGCAGCUUUGAGCAGAUUUAUAUCCAGGCUAGGGGAAAAAGGUUUACCAUUUUACAAGCUACUCAAGAAGGUGGAUAAGUUUCAGUGGACUUCAGAGGCACAGGAAGCUCUAGAUGCACUGAAGAAAUUCUUGACAACACCACCAGUACUGAAGCCACCGCGACGAGCUACGUCAACUCAACCAGCUGAAGAUCUACUACUGUAUAUCUCUUGCACGACUCACGUGGUAAGCACCGUGUUGGUAGUCGAGCGAGCAUAAGAAGGACAUGCCUACCCAGUGCAACAUCUUGUUUACUUCAUCAGUGAAGUUCUAGGCCCCUCAAAGAGAAAGUAUCCUCAAGUUCAGAAGCUAUUAUAUGCAGUACUUCUAACUGCCCGCAAGCUACGUCACUACUUUGAUGACCACAAAGUCAUAGUAGUCACUGGUUUUCCGAUAGGGGAUAUUCUUCACAACAAGGAGGCCAUUGGUCGAAUAGCCAAGUGGGCUUGCGAGCUGGGAUCUCAUGACAUCGAGUUCCGACCUCGCACCGCCAUCAAAACUCAAGCACUGGUUGAUUUCGUAUCAGAGUGGACUGAACAGCAAGUACCAGAUAACCCAGAGACUGCAGAAGUGUGGCGAAUGUAUUUUGAUGGCUCGCUGAAGUUGCAGGGAGCAGGAGCAGGAAUUCUCUUCACCGCACCUGGAGGCGAGCACCUCAAGUAUGCCCUCCAGUUGCUGUUUCCAGCCUCCAACAAUGCAGCCGAGUAUGAAGCUCUGAUCCAUGGAUUGAACAUUGCCAUAUCAUUGGGCAUCAAGAGAUUGAUGGUGUACGGAGACUCUCUGGUAGUCAUUAGCCAGAUAAACAAAGAGUGGGAUUGUUCAAGCGAUUCAAUGGGAAAAUACUGCACUGCCGUCCGGAAGCUGGAAGAUAAAUUUGAGGGCCUAGAAUUUCAUCAUGUAGAAAGAGAUCGGAACACAGCAGCCGAUGUAUUGUCCAAGCUAGGAUCCAGUCGAGCUCAGGUUCCACCGGGAGUCUUUGUGCAAGAAGUAUUACAGUCGAGCAUCUCAAUGGAUCAAACAGAAGAAUGUAAUAUUAUAGAUCAACCCGAGUCAGACUCUGAUGACUGGAGAAGGCCAAUCAUCAAGUAUAUAAAGAAUGAAGAGGAACCAGACGACAAGAAUUCAGCCGAGCGCAUUGCCAGACAGUCGGCUCACUACACACUCAUUGGGGAGACAUUGUACAGAAGAGGUGCAUCAGGCGUCCUCAUGAAGUGCAUUCUCCCAUCUACUGGGAAGCAACUUCUGGAGGAGGUCCAUGCUGGGCAAUGUGGAAUACAUGCAGCAUCCAGAACACUAGUCGGGAAGGUCUUCAGGUCAGGACUCUAUUGGCCAACAGCAAAGAAUGAUGCAGCCGAGUUAGUUCAGAGGUGCGAAGCUUGCCAAUACUUGUCAAAACAACAACAUCUGUCAGCACAGCAACUGCAGACCAUACCAGUAACUUGGCCUUUCGCAUGCUGGGGACUGGAUAUGAUUGGACCUUUCAAGAAAGCUCAAGGAGGAUACACUCAUGUAUUGGUAGCAAUCGACAAAUUCACUAAAUGGAUAGAGUUCAAGCCCAUUGCUUCUUUAACCUCUGCUAAGGCCGUGGAAUUCAUACAAGACAUAAUAUUCAGAUUCGGGAUACCAAACAGCAUCAUAACUGACCUAGGAUCCAACUUCACAAGUUCAGAGUUCUUCGACUUCUGCGAGCAAAAAAGCAUUCAGAUCAAGUAUGCAUCUGUAGCACAUCCAAGAGCCAACGGGCAAGUCGAGCGAGCUAACGGGAUGAUACUAGAGGCACUCAGGAAAAAGGUCUUCGACAAGAAUGAAAAAUUCGCAGGAAAGUGGAUAAGGGAAUUGCCCUAUGUCGUUUGGAGCCUAAGAACCCAACCUAGCCGAGCUCUGCAUGGAAACACUCCUUUCUUCAUGGUCUAUGGGUCGGAGGCAGUGCUACCCGCUGAUCUCAAGUUCGGGGCGCCAAGAUUGAUCUUCGAAAACAUAGCAGAAGUCGAGGCCACUAGGCUGGAGGACAUUGAUGUACUUGAAGAAGAAUGGUUGAAUGCGGUAAUCCAAUCAGCACGGUACCAGCAGACUCUAAGGCGCUAUCACGACAAGGCUGUGCGACAGCGAUCCUUCUCAGCAGGAGAUCUCGUCCUCCGCCAAAUUCUAACGGGGGAGGGACGACACAAGUUAUCGCCCUUAUGGGAAGGACCCUUCAUAGUAGCAGAAGUCACUCGGCCAGGAUCAUAUCGUCUCACUCAGAUGGAUGGCACAGAAGUCGAGAACUCCUGGAACAUAGAACACCUCAGGAAGUUUUAUCCCUAGCUGUAUUUCAAAAGCUAUCGGAACGACGAUGUACUCUGUAAAGUGGAAAUAUGUCAUCAAUAAAAAAGGGGGUUUCAAAGAUACUCAGUUUGUUCACGAUUGACUUGCAUGCUUACUUAACUCGGGGUGACCACUAUGCCUUGCUAACGGAGCAAUCGGCUUAAGUCGGCAACGACUUAAGGCGGUGCAACAUGCUCACGCUUAUUUAACUCGGGGUGACCACUAUGCCCUGCUAACGGAGCAAUCGGCUUAAGUCGGCAACGACUUAAGGCGGUGCAACAUGCUCACGCUUACUUAACUCGGGGUGACCACUAUGCCCUGCUAACGGAGCAAUCGACUUAAGUCAGCAAUGACUUAAGGCGGUGCAACAUGCUCAUGCUUACUUAACUCGGGGUGACCACUAUGCCCUGCUAACAGAGCAAUCGGCUUAAGUCGGCAACGACUUAAGGCGGUGCAACAUGCUCACGCUUACUUAACUCGGGUUGACCACUAUGCCCUGCUAACGGAGCAAUCGGCUUAAGUCAGUAACGACUUAAGGCGGUGCAACAUGCUCAUGCUUACUUAACUCGGGGUGACCACUAUGCCCUGCUAACGGAGCAAUCGGCUUAAGUCGGCAAUGACUUAAGGCGGUGCAACAUGCUCACGCUUACUUAACUCGGGGUGACCACUAUGCCCUGCUAACGGAGCGAUCGGCUAAAGUCAGUGGCGACUUAAGCCGGUGCAACAUGCUCAUGCCUACGCAAUUCGGGGUGACCACUACGCCCUAUUAACAAAAGCAAUCGACUUAAGUCAGCAGCGACUUAAGGUGAUCUGACGUGAUUACAAUUACCCAUAUAAGGAUGACUUCUAUAUCCCACAAACAAAUUUCAUAACCAUUGCGCAUCAUUUUACUACUGCAAAUUUACAAACUAAUGAAUUCUGAAACACUAUGAAAAUAACAAUAUCGUCCAAGUACUGAAAUGUCGUCCUCUAGCAAAAGUCUGACCAUACUAACCGCGCGCUUAGAGUACGCAAAAAUGUUUCUCUACUUGGUGAUAUUUUUCUCAGGAGCGAUCGAUGAGGAAGGACGACUCGAGGAAUCAGGGGCAGCAUUCACAUCAGCCCUUAUAUCUUCGGGAACAACCACGCCGGGUCUCCUCAUCAAGAUUCGCCCCGCUCGAAUAGCCUUGUCCAUGGCUCUGUCACGCUGGGCUCUGAGAGUAACGGAAGUUUCUUCGGCAACCUUGGCAGCCAGUCGAGCAGUUUCUAACUCCUGGGCGAUGGAUUUCUUGGAAGCUCGGAGUUCUUUGAUGGUAGCGUCCUUCGCUGAUAUCAGCUGCUUGAGCCGAGUCACCUCAUCCGAAGAUUCCUACAGCUUAUAGCGUUGGUUGUCCAACUCUUCCAUGGUGAAGCGGUGACUCCUCUCUAGGAUAGUCAGCGAGUUGCUAGAAUCACGAUACAAUCUGUCAAGACUGUCGCGAGAAGCAGCAAGGAUACGUUUUUCUUCCUGCAAACAAAAGUCAACUCCCUCAAAAACCAAGCAAGUAAUAGGAGCACAACAAGGCAAAGCACAGCUUCAUAAAUCACCUUUUCAGAGUUGAGCUGAGCAUGAAGAGAAGAACUCAGUGCAUUAGCGUCAUCUAAGGCAGCGGAGACCUGACCCAGUUCAGUCUGGCUCUGAGAGUACUUUUCCUCAAAGUCAGUGCACCGCUGGACCAAUUCAGCCUGAUCUCGGGAAUGUUUUUCCUCAAGAGCGGAGAUCUGCCGAGUCAUUCCUAGCAGGAGACAAUCAAACAAAAAGGGGUCAGAAUGUAAAGCAGUCCACAGUGAAAGCAAAGAGAAGCAAAAAAGCACUAACCAGCGUUGGUUGCCUCCAAUUCAGAGGCGCGAUGUCGAAGUGACACUGGAUUCCAACAUGCAAGAGACGAAGCUACUUCUGGGACAGAAGCACCCUGUAACCGCAGCUGGCUGGCCAUUCCGUCCACCAAAGCCUGAUGAGGAGAAUAGAUAAGUGUAAUGACAGCAGUUCGUGCAAUAUAAAAACUAAGCUAAAAUACAUCACAAUACCUGGAGGUUGGAAAAGAACGAAGGGAUCCCCAAAUCAGGAGAGAUCAAUUGAUAACCAGGCGUAAGGCCACUGUCCGAAGCAGCUUGCAACAAACCAGCAGGAAUCAGCUCGGUGCCUUCAACAGAGCCCAGCACUCGAUCAGUGGGGACGCUGCCCUCUAAAGCGACUCCCUGGUCCAAGGCUUGGGCUACCACCAUACAGCCAGAGUGUGGAGGCGAUCCCGCAUGAACGUCCAUGGAAGUACAGGAGGGAGACCCUGCUCGGACACCCUCGGGGGCUGGGUCAUAGUUUGCACUGCCCACUUGAGCCGGAUCAUCCCCGGCAGCACCCUCGGGGGCUGGGCAGUGGCUUACACUUCCCACCCGAGCCAAGUCAUCCCCGGCGACAUCCUCGGGGGCUGGGCAUGUGUCAACACCAUCCUUGGGGUCCGAGUUCUCUGUAGUAGCCACCUCUAAGGUUGACGGGCCCUCGGCUACUUCCAUAGGACCAGGACGAUCCAAGUCAGUCUCCCGACCCUCGAGAUCGCGCUCUAAGGUCGACGAGGCACGGGAUGACCUCAACCCAGCAUCAAGCACAUCAGCGCAAACCUCCAUCACACCAUCAUCCACUGGCUCCGAUAACAAGUCCUCUGGAACCAUAUCCUCAAGAGUCCGAUCAAAGUUGGCCAGGGACAGUUCUUGCAGACCAAUGAGAGCAGACAAAGCAGGAGAGGGAACUCCACUACUUUCACCGCUGGCGAUGAACUGCCGACUGUUUUUCCGAGUCAAAGGAACUUCAUCUACCUCCUCCUCCUCGUCCACAUUGGCAACACAAGCAGCACCCCCAUUGGGAUCAGCAACAGAUGGAGCACCCACAUUGGGAUCAGCAGCAGAUUGGUUACACCCAUUGGGGUCAGCAUCAGUAAGUUCAGUCACAGGCAUUUCUUCAGCAGCAGAAACCGAAGUACCAGCGUCCCGAUCCAAACUGGAUACUCGCCGGAGGCGUCUUCUUUUCUUCUUCUGCUCAUCAGCAGAAGGAUCAGGCUUAUUGGCUCGGCAAGGGCGCCUCGGGCGAGUACUGGCAGGUUUCUGAGUAUCCAAAGUUGUAUCAGCCUCUAGGAGGGGCGACACUACCAGUGCCCCAGCAGGAGCAGCAUCAGAAGAAUCCUCAGCCAGCAAAUCAAGCAUAGCGCUUAUCUCUGCAUCACUAGGGUUCAGGGGGCACCUCAAAAUGGACCUGCCGUUCAUCAUCAGGAAUCUCCCCAAGCGAGGCAACCAAGGCACUAACUUCUUCAGCAGAGGGUCGCACUCUGAGGCCCAAACUGCCAUCAGUGACAGGUGGAUUCAACACAAAAAGGGUGAAGGAUUUGGGAGGAGGCAGGUUCUAAGCCGAGUAUGCCACUGGAGCACCAACAUUUGACACUUUGCCUCUGAGGAUCAUCUCAAGUCGGCUCACCAAGUCUGCAGAGGGAAUUCUUCUGUUGGUAACCCGAGUUGAGUCAGCUAGGCCUCGAUACAGAUAAGCUGGGUAUGCCCUGUCCUUCAACGGCUGAAUAUUCUUGAAGACAAAAUCAGUAACCACAGCUUCAGCAGUCAGACCCCUCUCUUUCAGCAGUCCAACUUCAGCUAGCAACGCACCUGCCUCAGCUACCUCCUGAUCUGUGGGAGACUCGGUCCAGCUUGGGGUGCGAACAUCCGGCUGUCUUCUCGACCGAGGGGGAGAGAGUUUCCAUAAUUCUCAACUAUGAACCACUCCAAGCGCCAUCCCUUGAUACUGUCUUUGAGAGGGAUCUCGAGAUACUCAGUCUUCCUCCCGCGGCGCAUCUCCAAGCUGGCACCCCCAACCAACUGAUGUUGUCCCCCGGCCAUCCCAGGGCGACAAUGAUACAAGUACUUCCACAACCCGAAAUGUGGCAGCACACCGAGAAAGGCUUCACAUAAAUGAACGAAAAUGGAGAUUUGCAGGAUGGAAUUGGGAUUCAGAUGGGUCAAGUUAAGAUGGUAGAAAUCAAGGAGGCCGCGGAAAAAGGGAGAAAUGGGAAGGCCAAGGCCGCGGAGAAGGAAAGGAGCAUAAACAACGGACUCAUGGGUAUCCUCAGUUGGGACAGUAACCCCAUGGCAAAUCCGCCAAGAACAGAGUUCCCGCGGAGGAAGAACCUCGAUGGACACGAGGUGGAGAAGUUCGGGCUCAGAGAUAACGGACAUGUGGUUACCUGCGAAAGGCAACUGGCUGUUGGGGUCGAUUGGAGGAAUCACCACGGCAGACGAACUCGAGGUUUUCCUCUUGGGCGCCAUCUCGAUUCUACCGGCGAGCAGAGUGGGAGGCGAAUUGCAGAGAGGAUUCGGAAGCGAGAAAGCAAGAACUAGGGCACGGAAAGCAGAGGCGGCUAAAAGCGCAGCACUUAUGGGAUAUUCCCGAGCCAGAUACCGUUUCAAAAAGUACCCAGUCAGCACUCGGCGGUUAUUUCCAAAACACCGGCGUGCCACGUGGUCACCCGGCAGUUAUUUCCAGAACACCGGUGCGCCACCUCAUCACUCGGUUAUCAUCCUCAAAGUGGCCCGCGCGGCCUGCUAUCACUCGGCGUUGCCUCUAAAACGCUGAUAUCUUGUUCAGUCGCUCGGCAUUACCUCUAAAAUGCUGACGUCGCCCUCCAGUCGCUAGGCGUUACCUCUAAAACACUGAUAUCGUGUUCAGUCGCUCGGCAUUACCUCUAAAAUGCUGACGUCGCCCUCAAGUCGCUCGGCAGUUGACUCUAAAAACUCCGACAUCGUGUCAGUCGCUCGGCAUUACCUCUAAAAUGCUGACGUCGCCCUCAAGUCGCUCGGCAUUACCUCUAAAAUGCUGACGUCGCCUUCAAGUCGCUCGGCAGUUGACUCUAAAAACUCCGACAUCGUGUCAGUCGCUCGACAUUACCUCUAAAAUGCUGACGUCGCCCUCAAGUCGCUCGGCAGUUACCUCUAAGGCUCCGACAUCGUGUUUAGUCACUCGGCGGUUACCUCUAAGGCGCCGACAUCAUUUACAAGUUACUCGGCAGCUAUUUCUAAAAGCAUCAGUUUGAUGCCCGAGUUAUUCACUUACUGUUUCAAAGGAAUCAGCUUCACAAAUGAGCAGGACAAUCAUCAAGGAGAAACCAACAUCAUUCCUUCAUUAAAGGGAAGAUAACAUACUUACAAAUCAACUCUUUAUGAGUUGAUACUUCCCUAUUACUACUACUACAUUACAUUACUGCUACUACUACACUACACUAUACUACUCUACACUACUAAAUACUACUACAUUAUUCUAACUAUACUAUACUAAUAUCUAAAAGACCAGUGGCAUCUAGCCACUGGCCCUGUUGCUGCCGCCGCCGCUGCCGCCCCUGGUGCUGCCUCUGCUGCUGCCGCCGCCGCUGCCGCCCCUGGUGCUGCUUCUGCUGCUGCCGCCACCGCCGCUACCGCCCCUGCUGCCGCCACCGUCACCGUCCUUGCUGCUGCUGCCGCCGCCCCUGUCGCUACCGUCAUCGUCACCGCCGCCACCGUCGUCGUCGUCGUCGUCCUUGUCCUCGCCGCCGCCGUCCGAGUCCUCCUCAUCCGAGGAGUACUCCGACUCAUCCAAGCCCUCGAGCCCGGAGCGCUCAACGGCCCGGAUGUACGUCCAGACCUCCGUCGCGAGCCCCUGGGAGUCGUCUGAGUCGUCAAACGACUCAUGCAGGGGGAUGGGAGCCGGAGACCCCUCAGACUCAGAGGAGAACUCCUCCUCUGAGUACUCCGAGUCACCAAACUCCUUCGAUGGAGGAGUUGGCUCACGCUUGCGUUUGUUGUUCUUGCCCAUGGUGGAAGCAAAAGGGAGAGAAGAAAGAGAAGCAACAGAGAACAGCGAGAGAUGUGAAAAAGCCGGAGAGACAAUGGCGUUAUUUAUAGAAGGAGAAGGCAACCGCUCACCUCCAACCGCGGUCACUGAACAGUCGCAAAGCAUUCAAUAAGCACUCCAACCCGUCUGAAGAUACGUCAGGCAGCCGACGCCGUUUCACGCAACACAACACCCAUUGGGACUCCAGUCAACAGCGCGGAGGAUAUGAUUACACCCGCCGUCACAUCACAUUACUACUCAGAAGUAGCCGGCUAAAACACUCAGCGUACCAAGCCGUCCCUUGCCCACACCCAUUGGGGGGGACGCCCAGGAAUUAUCAGUAUAUUUUUCAAAACGGUCACAUCUGUGCAGGACACGCAGUGAAUACCUCAAGACAAAAAUGAGAUAUCAGUAAGGAUCAGAGGAAAGCCAAAUAUAGCCAGUGAAGUACAAAAUAUGGCCGACAGAAGCGACGUGAAGACUAGACAGAGAACGUCCAUCAAAUGUCCAAUCAGUCGCAGAGCAAAUAAAUUACACUACCUAGCAAGAUAUGGAUGGAUUGCGAACUCGGCUGCAAAAGACAAAAUACAUGCUGACCUCUGAAGCAUAAUAUUGAUGACAUAAUGCUGACCUCCAAAGCAUAAUGUGGAUAGCUUCAUGCCAAUUUUUACAAACAGAAAGGAUAAUCUUCAGCAAAAAGACACAAAAGGAAGACCUUCGAAUGGAUUAUCCUCAAAAAUCCACUUGAAGGUCGGGGGCUACACCCAUUGGGUGCACCUCCGGUGCACCCCAUGGAUUAUCAUUCCAAGCCAAGAUAGUGCCGACUUCUAAGGCAUGGGACAAGAUUAAAAACAAGGCCGGCCCUCAACCAAAACGCAGGAGCAUAAAUGGAAAUAAUUUCUGGUGAAGACCUUCGAGUAGAUUAUUUUCUAAAAUCUACUCGAAGCUUGGGGGCUACACCCAUUGGGUGCACCUCCGGUGCGCCCAAUGAAGUUCAGAGUCCUACAAAUUGAAAUGCCGAUCUCUAAGGCACAAGCACGAAACAAAGCUUCGGUUUACGAGUGAUCAAAGCAGGAGGAGUCAAUAAGAAGUCGUUUUCUUCAAAUCACCUGCAAGCUGGACCUGGGAUCUUUGGGCUGAUUACCUCUAAAUUAACCCAAAGAUCGGGGGCUUGUGGGGGAUAGAUAUCCCCCGGGUCCACUAAAAGAGUAAAAGACCUCACGAAAGGCCCAAGGGCCCAAUAAAUCGUAAGGUCAUUCUUUCGUGGGCUUGGGGAGAGACAACCAGCAAAGCAGAUCGACAUGAGGCCGGAUUGGUGCGAACCCGGACGACCCACAACGUCGAGUGAGUGACCACAACAGAGAUCCGACUUUCCCGCGCUGGAGCCCCCAUGCAACGGAGCCAUGCGAGGAUAAGUCGGCAGAACUACAAGGAGAUAAACUCAAGCAGUUCACUAUCUUUUAGCUACACGUUGUUAUCAUAUCCACAUGUAUUGCCCCACGGUCGAGUAUAUAAGGCCUAGGGGGCACCCCUUCAGAACGAUCGACCCUAUUACUUAGCCGCCCACUUCGACUCUCUGCAUUCUCAAUUCAGAGAGCUCUCUUGUAACCUCAUUCACUCAGCAUACUCAUCAGGACGUAGGGUGUUACGCAUCUCUAAGCGGCCCGAACCUGUAAACCUUGUCCACUGUCCCUCGUGCAACUGGCACGAACCAUUUUGCUACAGUCGUUGACACCGUCCUACUCCUAAAAACACCUUGAGGGGCAACCCCGGGUGUGCGGUCGGACCCAAAACACCGACAGUACUAGUUAGAUGUUCAUACAUUGCUAGUUUGCUAUGGAUUACAUUUAUGCUUGAGUACACAAUGACAUAUCUAUGGUGAGUGAAUGUAAGUUUGAAGUCAACAAACACAAUUUAAAUCCCCAUUUAUGUAUUUUAAGUUUUUUCCAUUAAAAUGUGAGGGUAGAAGAGAAGUUGCCCUAAUGUUUUAGACAAUUAAAAUAUCUUUCAGGUAAAACAAGCAAAGUCUAAUUUUUUGCUAUCAUGCUCACAAAUAAAAUUGUAAAAAAAGAUCAUGCAGAAAACAACGACAACUUUUACCUUCACUUCUGGUGGUUAGGCAUUCUGUAUAGAAUUUGCCACUUUAUUUUUAAAAUCAUAAAAGACAUCUUAAUAACACUUUAAAAGGGUGUUUGCUUUCCUCACUAAAAUCUAGUCAUAUCAUAUUGGAUGUUUAAAUAUUAAUUACAAAUAUUAAAUAUAAUUUAGUUAGAAAAUUAAUUAUAGAGAUGAAAACUAAACAGCAACACAAAUAUAAAAGUCAACUCAUACGUGUGAUGCUAAUGUAAACAUUUUUGUCAAUAACAUAUUCAGAUACGACGUGCGGCGCUACAGCCUACACGUACACGCACCGGUAAGCAAGAACAGCCCUAUACAGUAUACUACACACUACUAGAAAACACUACUAGAAAAGAAAGACAGCCCACGUCAGCCGGGUCCGACAUCCGUGUACAAAAUCCCCCUCCGGCUCCAGGCUCCAGCGCAGCGCAACGCAACGCAAACCCAGACGGCCCGCCAGACCCAGCGGUCGCUUACUCGCAUCGCAGCGCACUCGCGCCACAGUCGGCAUCACAGACCAGAUCCCUGCGGGUGCGGCGGCCAUGGCCGAGAACUUCCAACUCCAGGGCCGGCACGGCAAGUCCCGCGUCCGCGUCUCCCGCGUCUGGCGCCGCCCGGCCGCGGCGGGGGGCGACGUCAUCGUUGAGUGGAACGUCGCCGUCAGUAUCGUCUCCGACUGCCUCCCCUCCUACACCUCCAGCGACAACUCCGCCAUCGUCGCCACAGAUUCCAUCAAGAACACCGUACGUUCCAGUGUUCCAACAGUCUCUCUUUGCUUCCUCCUUCCGCCGCCGCCCCAAAGCGGCUCUGGCGGCUUCUUGGCUACUGAUUUGGUUCGGCUUCGCUUGUGCAGGUGUAUGUCAAGGCGAAAGAGUGCACGGAAGUGGUGUCCAUGGAGGAAUUCGCCGUGAUUCUUGGAAGGCAUUUCACCUCGCUGUACCCUCAGGUAUCUCGAAACUAAUUGAUGUAUCCGGGUUUGCUGCUGAGGGAUCAAGAUGGGAUUUUUAUGGAUCUCUCUUCGUGCUGCCGUUUCGGGGCAGGUUUCAGAGGCCACGGUGACUAUCGUGGAGCGCCCAUGGGAGCGUGUGACUGUCGACGGAAAGCCUCAUUCGCAUGGUGAGAAAGAUUAUCGGCUAUCUUACUGAACACUUGCUGUUGACUGAUUGUACCGUGGAUUGAAAGAAAAUGAAGAAGAGUGGUGAACGUUCAGUAGAACUUUAGUGGAGACGUGUUCCUCCGGAUAGUAGGAUAUACAGUAUCCGCCAAACUUGGAGCUUUGACUGCCUUCAAGGAAACUUUUCCUUGGCGAAUCAUUUUCUUGGUCCCCCAUCCUCGCGUCUAUUGUCGGAAUCUUCAAUUACCAUUUGGCAACUUCCAAUUUGAGACUGUUUAUCACUGUUUACUUUUGUUGUCAUUCAUGUUCUAAGGUAGUGCAUAUGAACGUUUUGUAACUACACCAUUUACAGAGUAGAGUUUGAAACAGGAGUAGGAUAGAGGGUUGGAUAGGAAGUCUGCUGCCUAAGGAGUAGCCUAGUAUGGGCCACAUGUGUGGGUGACAUGAGUUACAGCAGUAGAAUCGCAACUCACAAGUCACUAGUAGGCAAUUUAUGCUCAAAACAUAAUUUUUUUCCAUAACUAAAAUGGAAAAAUACCUAACUCUCACUAUCAACAACUUUUACGGUUUAAAGAUUGUGACGCCCUGUCCAACUUUUGAGAUAUGUUAUGUAGUGUCACACAUCAAUAGAGCAGAGGUCAAUAGACUGUCGCACAUCAUGCAGUGCUCUAGAUUCAUUUAGAUCUGAAGAACCAUUGCUGAAGGCAAUAGUUGCAAAACAUAUAUUAGACAAACUUUGUUCCAUCUCCAAAUUUUCUGAACAUUUUUCUUUGGGAAGUGAAUAUACUUACCAAAUAUUUUCCGGAGCCACCUGAUAACACUGCAUAAUGUACUGUUGUUUAUAGGGUUCAAAGUUGGUGUUGAGAAGCACAGCACAGAGGUCAUUGUAAAAAAAUCUGGAAGCCUGCGUAUAAAUUCUGGAAUUCAAGGAUACUCGCUGCUAAAGACAACUCAGGUAUUUCUUCCACUUUUUUUUCGUGAUUGUUGAGCCAUCACUCACAUAUAAAUGCUAUACCAUGUUUAUCUCCUUAUCUUCAACUCUUCUGUUCUGGUCGAGGUUGAUUAAUUCUGUAUAAACUACAAACCAGUGUGCUGGUGCAUCCUAGCCUGCAUAAGCUAUGAAUUAUGCUGUGAUAUAGUUAGUAGAUCUAUAAUAGCCGGCGUUCCCUUAGGCGCUAGGCAUUAGUCAGGUGUAAGCCAGCGCCUGGGCUGGCAGUGUUCAGACUGAGCUUGUUCUUUUUUCCUUUUAUUCUUGGCUUUGGUUGGUUGAAUUGCGAAAUGGUCCUUCAGAAGAUGGACGUUGUAAGCCAUGUCAUGAUUCCAGGGAUUUAGUACACAUUUCCUCAGGCUGCUACUUUGCUAGCUGAAGUUUACUUGAUAAAAUUCUAAAACGAACAUGAACUAGAGUUGUUUUCUCCAGUAUCGCAGAAGUAAACUCUAAAAUUUGACUACUGCUUCUCAGUCUGGGUUUGAAGGGUUUGUGACGGAUCGCUAUAGGCUUCUUCCUGAUACAAGGGAAAGGAUAGUAGCAACAGAAGUUACUGCUUGGUGGAGGUAACUAACUCUCUUCCCUUCUGCCUGAAAAAUUCCAGUUCUCAGACCAUCUUUAAAUUUAUGACUUGUUGUAUGUGCAUACAGUUGAGAAACAAUGCUAUUAGUGUCCUGGACAAGCCAAUAUUGUAGUUCAGGUGUUGUGAUUAUAUUUUACUUUUAGGAAUUCAUCUACAAGGCUGCAAGUCAUGUAUUCAAGAGUCAUGACUUCCUAGUUUGCAAAAUAGCAAGAACGAGACAGGGCUAUCCAGUUAUUUAUGGGUCGUGGUGUUUUGUGUACGCUUCCUUUUUCUGUAUCCAGGUAUCCCUUUGAACAUGUUUCGCAGCUCCCAUCGAAGCCAUUCUGCUUCACGCAGAGAUAUCAGGAUGUAAAGAAAGUCCUUGCAGAGACGUUCUUUGGUCCUCCGGAUGUUGGUGUGUAUAGUCCAUCCGUACAAAAUACGCUAUACCUCAUGGCCAAGGAAGUCCUUACAAGGUCUGUAACUCUGAUUCGGUCGUCCCUUGUUUUCAGCCCCUUAAAAUAUGCACACAGUUUUCUUUGAUGAGUUGCAUUGCACUGAAUGCACAUGUACACUUUGAAGGUUCCCAGAUAUAUCGUCAGUCCAGCUUAGAAUGCCGAACCUUCACUUUCUGCCUGUCAACUUGGGGAGCAAAGAAGCUCCGCUGGUGAAGGUAAAACUUCCUCUACUGUAAAAAAUGUACGAAUUCUAUUGUUUCUUCUCUACCUAUUGAAUGACUCUCCAGGAUAGAAUUGCGGUGUCAAAUGUAGUUUAUAUGUACACAUCUUAUCCGCGGAACCUGAGAUAUAUUUUGUGUUUGUUUAUCAGUUUGCUGAUGAUGUGUACCUGCCGACGGAUGAACCACACGGGACGAUUGAAGCAACCUUAAUAAGCCGUCCCAUGUCAAAGCUGUAAAAAAAAUGUAGUCGUCAGGCUGGUAUUAGACUCCUGCUUCGUCUCCCCAGCAUCCCCAGGCUUAAAAUGGACAGUAAGCUGUAAGGGAAAGAUAAACUGUCAUAAAUCGUAGCCCCUAUGCUUUAUGUGUGGUGGUGGUAAUAAGUGCACAGACUUGUAUUGGAUGUUGUCAGCUGUAGCCUGUAGGCGUCCAGCUUGUGACGUUUCGCCACUGUAAUCGUGUACAUUGGUCGUCUUGUGUGGAAACCAGUUAAUAUCUUUGGAAGCUUUGGUCAGUUUUACUUCGUCGUCUGUAGUCUUUUAGCUCGUUAUUAGGCCACCAGCUUCAGUAGAUCUGAUUGUUUCUCCAUAUAUUUGAACAUAUUACGUCUCCAUAUUUGUAUUGCACUCUUCUCGGGAAUGCAUCCAUCCAUUCAUUUCGUUCGCCAGCAGUACGCCGUUGUUUUUUCUUUCAAGAGAGACGUUGAGGUUUUUUGUUUAGUCGGGCAAAGAUUUGCACAUUCGUAAUACUCGUUCAUUGAUAUAAAAGGUUGAGGUUUUUAUUUAGUGAGGCAAAGAUUUACCUGUUCAUAAAACCCGUUCGUUGAAUACAUGCUGAAGACCUUGUGGUCAUGUCACAUGGGCCAUAAGUGUAUUGAAGUCUGGAGCAUUGGGCCUGUUGGUCGCUUUCUGUUACUGGCCAGUGGCCAGGCUCGAAACCAUCCGCGCGCGAGCUGCUGCGUGAUCUAAGCACAUGUGAUGAUCUGCACAAGCACAAUGGCAUAGAACAUGGCCGCCGCCGGUUUCCGGUUUCCUCACAAUCACAUGCUUUAUAGUACAAGCUACAGCGCGGCCGAUGCUACCUACUACGCGCACAGAAAAUUCCGGCUCGCACUGCCAGGCAGUGGCAAUAAAAUGGGCAAGUACGCGAGGCGAUGAUGCGCUCAAAGUGCCCAAGUGCGCGCCGAAAGCCGCCACCUUGAUCACCCUCAACCCAGAGUCCCAGGGCCGUGGACCACAGACAGAGCCCGCACGUUCCCUGGCGCUCCACGGAUCAUGGGUGCCGGGCUGGCGGGCUGGCGGCUCCUAUGAACUGGCCCAAUCAUGAGCUCGACGCACGAGACGGCAGCGGACGGCGCGCGGGCUGGUGGGCGCUGGUCGUCGCGGUACCAAUGCGGCUGGGCCGCUGGCGUCCCGCCGGCCGCCUCAGCCUCACUUCUGGAGGAAGGCCGGCCGCUGUCGAUUUUCUCGGCGAGAGCUAGCCACCUUCACCAACGUCGUUUGAAUGCACUCCAUCUCCAUCUCCCUGUGAAACGAAACAGGACAAGCUAAGGGCGGUGUUGCUGGCUGGAUGCAGAUGAGCAGAUCUAGCUAGCCGCGCGUGUGCGGCGCCAUCCGGCCGGCAUGCAGGGUGUACAUCCUGGCAUCAGCUCGGGCAACGACGGCCGUGGCACAUGGCGCUCACGCGACGCGCAGCCUGGCGCCAAUGGAUUUCUGCUGUGAAGUAGGAGUAUAUUGGUUCCAAGUUGGGAUGCUACAUUGCUACCUGCUGGCGGGUGGUGGCGACCGUCUCGACCUUAGCUUUCCUUUCUCCGGGCCAGCUAGUUAGCUUGAGUGGCUUGAGUGGCCGGACUGGACCAACAAGUUUGACCGGGCGCCUGUCUCCUAGCGCCUCUAGUACGUGUGCACCAGCACCAUCCUCCUCUGCUUCUCGCUCCAUGGAAUUUAGGCAUUGUCCGUGUACUGUGCGACUACUAGUCUGUCUACUUGUAAUCCAAAUCUCAACAUUUUUUUUUUGCGACCGUGCCAAUGACACGUACAUCAUCAAGAAUGAGUAGAGAAAAAAGAUUACAGCUCUUUAUGAACAGUAGCUAGCAUUUAGCAACCGAAACGAGGACCCGGAGGAGCAGAGGAUUGCAUAAACGCAAAACAAAAAACGGCGAUGAUUAAUAAAUCUCAACUUUUGGGCGCUGGACCUUAUUAAAAAAAAGAACACUUUGGGUACUGCUGGAGCGGUUACCCAUCAACCGAGAUGCGCGGUACACAGGACUUUAGCGCAAAAAUGAAAAUCAGUGGGGCUAAUCUUAUCAGUAUAGUGCAAAUGUGCAAUAAAAAGGAGAGCCUAAUAACAACAAUAAUGGUAAAGGUAAGUGCGGUGACGGGUCAGCAUCACUUGGUGCCAAUGCCGGAUACUUUUUCCCUUUUCCGCCUUCAACUCGGAGAGCAAAUGUUUUUCUACGGUAGGUACGGUACGUACGUCGGUAGCUUUGGCUUCCGAAACACUUUCAUGGAUAUUUAGAAGCGCAUAUAUACAUCGAACUUAUGCGGGCAAAUUUGUCUGCAAGUACUGUACAAAAUAUAGCUAGGAUUGUAUCCUAAUGCUGUCCGUAGGACGUAAACGACGUCUCAAAAGAUAAAGAUAUAGUGCAAUGUUCCGGAGCCUAUCAACAUCUAAUACACACAGUGCGUGCUUAUUAGGGCAUAUACAGUGGUGUUUAAUGUGGGGGCUCUUAAGGUGUUUUAGGGGGUUAUUUGCAAAAAAAUCUUAGAGCCGUCUCUCCGUGAAGAGACGCCUCUGGCUCGUAAACCAAGUAACAACAGACGCCUCACUUCCCACUGUACGAAUUUGUCGUCUGUUCUAUCGAUCUGAUGUUAUACAAAUACAUUUAAUUCUGUAUUUAUUAAUAGACUACGUUUAUAGACACUCCAUUGUACAAUAGAGUCUCUUAGUUGUCUCCUGUGCUUGGAGAACCGUUUUGGUGUCUCUCCACUGUACAUGCCCUUACUACUGAUGUGGACUAUACUUUGGCAGCAGCAGCCAGCAGCUAUUGGUUUACGGACGGCGGUCACAUGAUCCGAACUUUUUGGUUGGAACUAGUCAAAUCGGAUGCACGUACGUAGAGCUAGAGCUAGUAGUAGUACUUGUUUCUAGUCUGUCGGCAAAGCGAGGCCCAGCUCAUGCUGGCCUGCGUCGAUCAUCACACGGGUUGGUCAAGGGAUUCAGCGCGAGUGAGCUCCACAAAUUGGCACUGAUGGCUGUAAACGUUGUCAGCCGUUCCAUUGGGAAAAAAAAAAUCUGGCGACAAAUCCAAUUACUCUUCUGCAGCUUUUCUCUGUAAGCGGAGACAGUAACAGAACCAAUCGUCUCGAGUUGCCCAGCGACAAAUUUAAACACGCGCGCCAAUGAUGAUGAGUGCCAUAGAUGGUUGCUAUGCAAGAUCUUGAGCUUGAAUAGUUAGAUGUAAAACAUAGUUCUAUUCGUACUUUCUUGAGUAUUGUUGCUAUGCAAGAUCUUGAGCUUGAAUAGCUAGAUGUAGAGAAAGAAAUUUAUAUGGAUCGGCCCGAUGGUUUUAUGGUUCUUGGUAAGGAGAUUUUUGUUUGCAAAUUGAAGAAUUUGAAGUAGUCUCCGAGGCAGUGGUACAAGAGGUUUAAUUUAUUUAUGAUUUCUAAUGGCUUUAAAAGGUCCUAGUAUGAUAGUUGUGUCUAUAUUACAUUUGUUAAUGGUUCAUAUAUCUAUCUGUUGUUAUAUGUUUAUGACAUGUUGAUUGACGGCAAGAGAAAGAAGGAGAUCGCUACCAUAAAGGCACAAUAAAGUAGCGAGUUUGAGAUGAAGGGCCUCGAAGCCGCUAGAAAGAUUCUUGGCAUGGAGAUUGGGAUAGACAGAAAAUCUGGUUUGUUGUUCCUCGGACAGCGCAAUUAUAUUCAGAAGGUUUUGCGCUGCUUCAAUAUGCAUGAUUCUAAUCCAGUAAGUAUUCUCAUUGCUCCUCACUUCAAGUUGUCAUCUACUCAAUGUCCAACCAAAGAUGAAUAUAUAAAGUAUAUGUCAAAUGUGCCUUAUUCUAGUGUUGUUGGUUCUUUGAUGUUUGUUAUGGUUUCCUCACGUCCCAAUUCGUCAUAUGCCAUGAGUUUGGUUAGCAGAUACAUGGUUAAUCCUGGUAGAACACAUUGGAAAGCUGUUAAGUAGAUUUUCAAGUACUUGUGUAGUACGUCUAAUGCUUGUUUGCAAUUUGGCAAGGUCAAAAAGGGACUUUUUGCAUAUGUUGAUUCUGAUUAUGGAGCAGAUUUAGAUAAGAGAAGAUCAUUGACAGGUUAUGUAUUUACAGUUGGUGGAUAUGCAAACAGUUGGAGGGCUUGUCUAUAGCCCACAGUUGCUUUGUUUACUACAGAGGCACAAUAUGUUGCAGCUUGUGAUGCUAGCAAAGAGGUCGUUGUUGGUUGAAAAAUAUAUAUGCUGAGUUUUGUGGAGAUACAUAUUGUAUUACAUUGUUCUGUACAGUUAGAGUGCUAUUUUCCUUAUAAAGGAUCAGAUGUUUCAUGAGUUGACAAAAUACAUUGAUAUUAAGUAUCACUAUAUCCGAGAAAUAGUUGCAGAAGGUAAAUCGAGGGUAUGCAACAUUAGUACACAUUUCAAUCCAACUGACGUGAUGACUAAACCUGUUCCUGGAGCUAAGUUUGGGAUUUGCUCUAACUUAGUUGGUAUAAUUGCUUAACCCUAGUGACUAUGUUGGCACCAGCAGCUUAUUCCUUCUAUUAUUCAGAAAGUUGCUUACAAGUUUUUGGCUACAAGAUAGAAUUUGUCUCAAGGUGGAGAUGGUUGAGUUUGUGAUCCAAACUCUGUAUAUGGAGGUCGUAUUAGGUGCAAGAGGGAGGGUAUAUAUAUAUUAUUGACCAUAAUUAGGUUUUGUGCUGUGUCACAAUCACUACUCCUCUUGUAAAUUGUCGUAUAAGGACGACAUUCUGUAAACACUCUAUAUGUUCUUGGUUUUUUCUUUCGUAUUAAAGGGUUUUUCACGUAAAUCUAUAUGUCGUGCUCUGUGGUUUGUUGGUUGAUCUAUUUCGUUUGCCGAUUCUGCUAACAAGCAGUCCGACCGAGGACCAAUCAGCGCGAUUAUGUAUGUGGUUUGCUGCUGAACCAGUGGCGGCAACCACAGCACAGCAUCUGAAAUCAACAACCUGGCUUUUAAACUUACACCCUGUCCUGUCUGAAAGAAAAAUACGAUAGGAUCGUCAGCGCGACGCGCGCCUAAGUAAUCUAAUCAUCCGCUAAACUCACUCUUGCCAGCCUGGCUUUGUUCUCGGGUCACAGCUACUUUCUUUUAUAUAUGUUUAUUGGGAUUAUGAUGUUGUUCAGAGGAAUUGAUGGGAUGGUUAGAUAGAGAGGGACCGGUUCUUCCCAUCCUCUUGAUGGCAACUGCUGUCCACUCACCUCAACAGUGACCACUCACCGGUGACGAGCUCGAGAAAAAAAGGCGGUAGCAACUAGCAGAAGAGCAGGAAGAACACUGUGCGUGCGUGUUUCUCACGAGUGCCGAUACUGUUCUUGUUCUUGAGAACAGGCUGCAGAUCAAGCAUCAAGGGGCUCCAGCGCCAGCGGUCCAGCGGGCACUGUAGUUGAUUAGUAGGAUGCGAGAACUGUGUGUGCUCUCUUCGGAUUCAAAGUUCAUCAGGAUUCAGGAGCUUGAGCUGACUGAGUGAACACUGAACAGGGAAGGGAGCCAGGGGGGGAUCACAGCCUGCGGUUGCGGUUCUGGGAAGAGACAGGCGAAUCAGUUCGUUCACACCGGCGGGCGGCGGUAUCCGACCUGGUGAUUGCCAGGGGGGCCCACGUGCAGUGCUGAUAUGAUGCCGCAGCAUCUGCAGGGUGUACCACAGCUUAAUAAUAUCAUAUCAUGACGUGAACCAUGGUAGAUUAGGAACGAUGGCACCGAUGAUAACAUGUAACCGGCAGCAAAAUACAAAAAGCCUGUUCUACAACAUCUGCUCUACGUAACAUCAGAUCAUCCUGGACUAUGCAUGUAGCUAACUGCUGACGGUUAUGCUAGUGUCUCUACUACUGCUUGAGGACGACCGUACCGUACCGUAGCAAGGACGACACCAUGAUUACUGUGGCAAGCUUCAUCAGAUCUGAUUUGGUGAUCCGGGAUCCCGGGAGGAUUGAAGUGAAUUGAGGGGAAAAUUAGUUCAUUUCCCCCUCAAUCCCUUCCGAUCCUCCCGAGAUUCCCUUUUCACCAAAUCAGCUCUCAAGGAGAUGCAGAUCCAUCAUCCAUGGGUUUACGGCCGGCCGGCACCUGACACCACCAUGAGUCACGGGUUUAAUUGCGACGUUAACGUACCCGCGCGUGCGGUACCUUUUACGGUCUGAUCAGGACAGGCCACGGGCCACGCCCACGGCCGUCGUCCCUUGUACGACUAGCUAAACGCCGGCCACGGUGUGUGCCAACAAAAGUGAAAAAAAAAACUAACCAUGUUUCUAACGCAAUUUUUUUAGCUUUUCCAUAUCAUAAUUGAUUUGCUGCUCUUUUGAUUGUUUUUUUUUUGCGAGAACCGGUUCGGUGCUAGCUAGUUGAUGUAAUACAGAAAUUAAAUACUUGCACGAUCGAUCGGACGAGCGUUGUCGCAAGCUUAGGCAGGUGUACCACUGGCGUCAACACUCAACAGCAUCCAGAGAGAGAGAGAGAGAGAGAGAGACGAGACGAGAUGCUAAAGUGUCUCCGUUCCCGCUUCUUCUUUGUACUUCUCGACAGAUUAAAGGAGAUGCGGAUGCGUAAUCUUUUGUAGGUUGCCAUUUUGAUGUCUACGAAGUGCUGCGUCCACUUGAUUUGUUUUCCAGGCACGAGAUUGGACAAGGACGGUGGAACCACCAAGCGAGUAUCCGCGCAAAUAGAAGAAAGAAGACCAGGCACACACACACACACAAUCAAGUACAUGGAGUUCCCGCUGUGUACCACGCUAGGUAGUGAUUCUUUCUCUCUCUCUGCAAACAAUAACCUUUUGUUUCAGAUGUAACGAGCUUAAAUUUUACAUUAUAAAAGUUAAGAAUCAAAUCGAAUUAAAAUCUGAUUCUACUCCUAUUUAUUUUGAAUUAAAAUUAAUUAAAUGCUCUAAUUAAUUAUAAAUAAACAUUUGUAUCGUGAUCUAUUACCACUAGCUAGAGAGAUCUCCGAUUGCAGCCUUUUCUAGUUCCUACUUGAAACGAUCGUAACUAAUAUGCUAAAACCUAGUGUUUGUAGCACUGUGACAGGCAUAUUAUAUUUUUAGCCCCUCUCUAUAAACCGUCAAUCACUAGUAGAAAAAGAUUCAAAGUCUAUGGUUCGGUAUAUUUUUAUAGGCGAAUUCGUUUAUCAACCACCUUUGUUUUUUAGUGGUGGUUCCUUAAAAAACCGACAUUAGAAAUCGUAUUUUUACAUGCGGUUCCUUAAAAAAUCCGCUAUUGGAAAUCUAUAAUUUCUAAUGGCGGUUUUCUUAAGAAAUCGUCUAUAAAAAUCAGUUUCUAGUGACGGUUUUCUUAAGAAACCACCACUAAAAAUCAUUUUUAUCCUUAAUUUUUUGAGUUUUUUCAAACAACAUCGUAUGAUGAAACCAACAAAAUAAAAGUUGUAAAUAUCUAAAAGUUAUAAAACUUUAUAGCGACAACUUUUUUAUUUGAAAUUAUUUCGGCUCUAAAAAAUUGCACCUAAAUUUAUCAAAUUUAAAAUUCAAAUUUUGCAAAUGACCUCGGAUGAAAAAAAGUGUCAAAAUGAAAGCCGUAGAACUUCAAAAGUUAUUCAACUUUGUAGUUGACAACUUUUUUAUUUGAAUUCGUUUACUAUCUCAAACAAGCAAUUUACACUCGGUUGGUUGUAAUAUAUUGGCAACAAAACUACAGCCUAGACACAAAACAUGUCAUAGGCGGAGUUGUAGAGGAGGGUAUACGCAAGGGUGAGAUCGAGGGUUUGAUUCCUAACAACCGUGUAGCACGCGAAUUUUGCGCGAAAAAUACUGUGACGGGUGUGGUGGGUCGAGGCCUCUCCUCAGAUAAAAUAUUUUUUUGUUGUUUUUUAAAACUCGUUUUAUGUUUCUAAAAAUAAUUUUCACUAGCGGUUUUAUUACGCCAACCGCUAAUCCUGUAAAAAUGAUGAUUUCUACUUGCCCCUAACAUUUUUUGUUGUUUUUAAAACCUAUUUUAUGUUUCUGAAAAUGAAAAUAAUUUUCACUGGUUGUUUUAUUACUUCGACCACUAGUCCUAUAAAAAUUAUGAUUUCUACUGGGCCCUAACACCGGUGGUUCUAAAAAAACGCCAGUGAAAAUAGGUUCACAACCAUUACUAUAAAGCUUAUGUGUACUAGUGAUUUAUAAUUCCUUGCUAGAAUAGAAGGGGCAUAUGAGCUAACGUUGUUUAUUAUCAUAACUAAUAUGCCCUCUGAUUCAAAUUCUAAGUCGUGUUAGACUGAUUAAAUUUGAUAAACCUUAAAAAUAUAUUAACAUGUAUAAUAUUAGGUGAAUAUAUUAUCAAAAUAUUUUAUAUGGUUAGAAGUAGUUUGCAAAUGAGUCUAUUUGAAUCCUCUUCUCUAAACUUUAGAGCUCAAGUUUUAGAGUACUUAACCUUACUAUUGAGCUCUAAAGUAAGAUGGACUGAAGUUUAGCGUUUGGAGCUCUAAAGUUCAAGGAGAGAAUCCAAAUAGGUUCUAACAGUCAUCCUUCCUCUUUCUUCUUCAUUCUUUCUCCUCAACACAAUGGUGGAAAGAGCUAGAGGUAGAGGAGGAUUCAUUGCUUAUGGAGUGAUAGGAGGGGCUAAUGUAUUAAUAUUGUCUAAUAGUAUAGGUAUUUAUAUAUUUUAAUGAAUUUGAUCAAUACGACAAAGUUAAAACAAUUGCAUUCUUAUUAGAAUGAACAUAAUAGUUUCUAAAUUACUCUCUUCAUUUCAAAUUAGAAGGGUCGUUAAGUUUGGAUUUUAGUGAUUGUCUGCGCCCUCUGGCCGGACGAUUCAUACAGGGCACUCGGGACUUAACCAAAUCGAGGCCCUUCUGACCAAUAUUGUCGGACGGUCUAGUCACUUGGCCCAGACGGUGCACAGUACAAAACUUCUAGAGCACACCUAAACGCACAAAAUCGGUCCAAAUCUUCGUUAGCCUUGCAGACGGUCCAUAAUACAUAAUUUCAACCCCUAUUCAAAUUCGCUUUUGAAAAGGUUUUCUCUCUCAAUCGAAAGCACUACACUCUCAUGCACAUGCAUCAAUUAUAUGCUCUAUGAGGCAUGAAGUACCUCGUCAAGUAAACAUCAUUGGCCAGUACGACUAUCUAGCCUACUAAUCCAAUCAAUUUACUUCUCUAAUCACCUCUCGACCGGCAAAAGCAAAAACCUAUCAUUUACUUUUGCCUUGAGCUAUUCCACAAUCCAUACUAAAGUCCUCCAAGACUUUUAUGUAGCUCAUACGUCAGUGAUCCAACCUACAUUCUUAUUUUCUCCAAAAAAUCGUUGGUCCACAUAUAACUGUCAUUACUUACCAAAACACUAUUAGGGCCUAGAUGCUUCACAAUAGGUUUGGUACCUAGGUUGUAUAACUCUUUUGCGGUAGAGAUAGUAAUACACAUAGCAAAAAUAUAGUGGAUAUUAGCAAAAUUAGAUAUUUUUAACUUAUCUAAUUCACCCCCUCUUAGGCAUCAUGAUCCCUUCAAGUGGUAUCGGAGCCAUUUGGCUCAAUUUGGACCUUUAUGUUCAAUGUCGUUAAGCCGAUGCUAUUUAGAGUGGUUGGUAUGGAUACUAACACUUUGACAGUACUAACUUUACUUAUUGGAGUGCUAUAAUGGUUGGCUAAUAGAAACUAUUAAUCUAGGUGUAUGGAGAGUCACUUGUGAUGGGAUGAAACCCCUAAAUAAUCAUGAGAAACCAAUCACAAGUGAUGAAAAACAAAUUCAUCUUAAUACGAGAGCUAAAAAUUGCUUGUAUAAAUAUUUUAGCAUGGACAUUAUUUGCCAAAUGUUCACCCUAACAAAAGCAAAUGAAAUUUGGCUAAAAUUGCUUGAGCUCCAUGACAUCACAAGCAAUAUCCAUGAGCAAACAUAUUACCUUGCUAAAUGAAGUCAUGAUUCUUCCAAUAUGAUUGAAACCAAGCUUGUUAGAUAUAUGUAUUCAUGAUUGUAUCUAAUUAUUAAUGAGUUAAAUUAUAUAGGAUUGACAAAUUUAGGUGACACGAAUAUUGUGAGAAAGACCAUCACUAUGCUACCACAUAAUAAUUAUGCAAGCAUCAUCACCAUCCUUAACAACAUGUAGGACUUGAGCACAAUGACACCUGCCACUUAUCAUUAGCAUGUUGGUGGCAUUUGAGACAUCACACAAGAUGGAUCAAAAAGAAUCCACUUCAUCAAGAAAAUGCAUAGCUAUGUCAUGUGAUGAGCAUAAGAAUAUGAAUAGCAAGAUGCAAGUUGAGACAAGCUCAAGCUCUUCAAGUGAAGAAGAUGAUGAAGAAGAAGAAGAUGAUGAUGAUGAUGAUGAAGAAGAUGAUGAUGAUGAAGAUGAAGCCUACACUCCUCCUCUAAUGUUGGCGAAGAAACAAUCCAACAAAUCGAGAAGGUGAUGAAGAUGAUUCAUGAGAUGAAUCUUAUAGGUUUGUCCAUCUAGUUCAUGAGAACAAAAAAAGGAUGUUGUGGUUGUGGCAAAGGGGCAUUUAUGGACGAUUGUCCAAACAAGGCCACAUCUAAGGACAAUAAAAGACUAUGCAAGCCUUAGGAUGAUUCAUCUUGAUAAUGAAGCGCAAUACAAGAAACACAAUCGCAAGCAUUCAUCAUUAUGUUUUUUCACACAAUCGCCUUAUGACACAAGGUAACACUAAAGGCUCAUCCUAUAGUGAGAGUGAUAGUAGUAGUGAUAGAGAUGAUGAAAAAACCCUUUAGUGAAGAACUGGCAUAUGUCAUCAAAUUCUUCAAAGAUGUUUGCACUAAGCAAAAAUAUUAAUUCAAAGUGCUAAAAUCAAAGUUAGUUAUCUCAAAAAGGCUUCUCAGAAUUUACUGAACAAUACAAAACAUUUGCAAAUCUUAAUGUUGAACUAACAAAUAAAACGAAGCAACUUGAAGCAAGUCCAACCUCACCCAUUGAUGAGAAAAUAAUUAAGAAAAAUAUAAAUUGAAAGCAAAGUUAGGUAGCUCUUAAGAAGAUUAUGAAAGUUUGCUUUGCAAAAUGCAAACUAUUUUUGAACAUAAUGAUCAAUCAACUAACAAGCUUCAUACUAUCAACUAGGUGAGUGCCCGUGCGUUGCAACGGGGACAUAUAAUACCACGGUAACUUAUAUACAAAAUGUGUGUUAUAAUGUUAUGAGAAAAUAUUUCAUAAUCCAUUUGUGAUCCUGGUCAUACAUAAAUUUUCUUAUUUUAAUCUAGCUGUUUCACCAUUACAUUGCAACCAUCAGUAUCUUGCAGAUUUCGAUAUAUGCCACGAUUUCCAUGGUCUCAUCAUUGGAGAGCACGCCCCACGCCAGCCAGAAAAAGUUCCCUCAUACAUCGCAGUCAUCAGGCACACACCACCAUACACGCUUGCUCAAACAAAAAAGCAAGUGUGUGUGUUUGCGAAGAGAAUUAAAUGCAGACCAGCACAAAAAGCUACCCCGAUGGUGGGAAGGAUGACGAACUGAUCAUUGCUGUCGGUCCUCCUCUGCGUCACCUCCGGCGCCGAGAUGACGCUACAGUCCAUGAUAUAGUAGUCAUCGAACGCGCGCAACAUGGUGAGUACUGAUGACUUUUGGCUGGGCUGCCAGACGAAGUGCACCUCGGGCUCAUCAGCAAGGUAGUAUACCUGGCCGUUGCACCACCGGAUGCGCUACUCCUCUACAUACAUCAUGUUCGAGGACACUCACACAACAUCAGCAAUGACCGUCGUCCCAGCGCACAAGAAUUCAUGGCCGGUCAGUAGCGACUUACAUGACAGGUUGGGCUUUAGAUGGACGAUGAGCUGGACGGCGUGAUGGCGCCGUCGUUGGAUACGGUGCCCAGAAAAACCCGAGAGUCGCUGACAUUGGCAACGACCAUGAGGUCCCCCUGCUUGACGAUGGACAACAUGGUGCAAUCGCUCUGGACCGCGUCCAAGCGGUGGCUGUGUCGGAGCUUGUCAUACAUAGUGGCUCAUGCGGCCACGUAGGACUACUUCCAGAGGUCGAACUAGCAGUCGUCAAGCUUCUUCUUGUCGUCGAUGAGCGACGCCAACGUGAGCGCCUCCUGCUAGUGGUGUUUGUUCAGGGUUUUCAAGCAAGAAACAUGGAUUCAUCCUUGGCGUUGGUUUAUAAAAAUGACUCACAAGUCAGAUCCAUGGAAAAAAUAUUAUGGAGAAUAAAUACCACACAUUCAAAAAAACGGAAUUUUAAGUUGAAAACAUUAUUCAAACAAAAGAAAUUGCAUGUAAGGCUCUUAUUUAAAUACUACUCCUUCUAUCCAAAAAUAUAAUUCAAGAAUUUUGGUGAUACUUAUCUACUACUACGCAUUGUGCAAGGGUAGCAGGUGGACUUAGAGAGAAAUGUAGUAGAUGUUUUCAUGUCAUAAAUGUAGAUAUAAACACACAUGUGGUGUAGCGGUAGCUACUGCUCGCUUUUUCCUGAGAGGUCGCGGGUUCGAUUCCUCUUGGAGUCAUUUGUUUUUUAGCUAGACGUGGGCUGUACGUGGGAAUGGGAAUGAGAAUGAGAAUGAGCUUUGCGGGGAUGGGGAAUGAAAAUGGCAGAACAAGGAAUGGAAAUGACAUAAUAUGAGAAUGGGCUGUGCGGGGAGGAGGGAAUGGGAAAGACAGAAUAGGGAACGGUGGCAGAACACGUAAUGACAGACUACUCUUGCAGCCUUAAUAAGCAGUAUAGAUAAUACCUCGAGACACCUAAAAUUAAAACAAUUAAAAUUGACAAAAUGGAUGUCUUUACUUCUUGCAAUGACUUAAUUGAUUUAGACUCACCUUCUUGCAAAUAAAUUUGUUUUAAGAAUAUGUUUGUAGAAUUAUGUUCACAAGUUGCAAUGGAUAAUGAGCAACUAAAGCAAGAGUAUCUUGCGUCACCAAGGACUUGAUUCAAGUAAAAGGUAAAAUGGAGUAAAUCCAACCUCAUAACACCAUUAAGGGAAUGAAAAUGCUUGAUGAGUAAGCAACCAUGGUUUGCUACAUGUACCACAAGUACUAUGAGUGCAAGGUGAAGAAUGGAGGAGUUAGCACAUUUGAAAAAGGAUCUCGAAUGCUGACUGUGCAGCACUAGACGUGCCCGGUGUGUCAUCAGACGUAACACCGGAUGUCCCUCACCGGACGUGUUUAGUGAAACACCGAGUUAAGCACCCGAUAUAAGUUUAAGAAGGCAAUGAUGCACUAGAGAGUGCACUAAACAUGCCCUGUGUGGGCACCAGACACCACACCGAAUAAGGAACCAAAGAGCACACCUUCUAAUCACUUUGACUCUAAUAGGCACCAAACAGGUAUGGUGCCAUGUCUGCUACGUGCACUGAAUGUCUAGCAUGGGUAGUGAUUAGUCUGUAUCUGUUGGAGAAGUAGAUAUCGGGAAGACCUCAGAUGUGUCCGGUGGAGGCAUCGGUGGUGCACCAGACUAGGGAUGGCAAUUUCAUCCGUGGAUUUGGAUAUCCGGCGGAUAUCCGACCCGACGGAUUAGGAUAUGGAUAUGUUUUUUGACCCGCGGGUUAGAUCCAUAUCCGAUCCGAGAUAAAAUGGGCAUGGAUUUGGAUUUUAAAUCUCACCCGCGGAUAAUCCGUUGGAUAUCCGAAAUUAACAAUUAGUACAUUAUUGAGCCCAGAUGCCAGCCCGCCAAAAUAAUAUUUAGCCCACCAAAGCACCGAGCCACGAGCGUCCAGCCCACUGCCCACCCUAAUCCCUAAUUCCCAAUCCGGCCAUCCCCACUACCAAUCGUACCGGCUUAUCUGAUAACGUGUGAGGCCAUUGCAUUGGUGUACGAGUCCACAGACCCAAUCAGUUGAAUCCCAGGCAUCUGCAUCCUGCUGUCAGCAGCCGGACGCCUCACGGCUCACGCGGCUUCUUUCCUGCGUCCGCUGCGGCACCGCCGGAGGCCAGAUCCCCAACGCGCGGACGCGCCGUCAAACAGGCAGGGGCGCAGGGCAGUUAUCUUUCCUGCGUCCGCCGGAGGCCGGAUCCCCUACGCGCCGUCAGCCCGUAACCCAGGCAAGCUAGGAUAGCCGAGCAGGGCGUUCUAAUCCAGGAGCAGCCGAGCAGGGCGUUCUUUCCUGCGUCCACCAUCGGAUCCCUAUGCCUACACGCUGUCACCCAGGCAAGCCCUGCUCUGAGGUCCGCCCUGCGUAGACGGCUAGACGCAGCUCUGAGCUCCGCGCCUCCGCCCUGCUGUGAGCGACUAAGCUUCGCCCUGCCCCUGCGCAGCUGCGCUGAGCGCCUUCAGGUUCGUCGUUCAGGUUUAGUUAUAUAUAUUAAUACAUGGAUGAUGUUCCAGUUUGGUUCCUUCAGGUUCAGUUUGGUUCCCUGCGUAUGAUGUUUCCAGUUUGGUUCAGUUUUGACAUGCGAUGUAUUAGCAGGAUGACGUCUAGAAUUGGCUCUGGCUCGCAAUCUCCUUGCCCACCAGCCUCCUCACAAGAUGGUUUGAGGAGGCAGAUCUCAAACAGAGGUAGUGCUACUACUCCAACAAGUGCAGGUGGUGCGACUGAUACUCCGACACCGUCCUCAAGUGCUGCUGCUGCUGGUACUCCAACACCUAUAGAUGGAGGUACAGAUAAUGUGGUUGUAGAUGGGGAAGAUGGUAAUGUAACUGUUGGAAGCAAAAGAAAGCUCAAAUCUGAUGUAUGGCUAGAGUUUGAACAAGUGACAGUAGGAGGCAAAUUAAAAGCUGAAUGCAAUUGGUGUAAAAAGCAUUUUGUUGGAGAUAGUAAAUCUGGCACAACUCACUUGCGUAGUCAUCUUAAAACUUGUCAAUCUAAGCAGUGUCAAAAAGGCCUAAAGCAAUAAAUAUUGAAGUUGGGCAAAAAUGAGAAGGGAGGAGCUGUGGUUGAGAAGUAUGUUUUUGAUCAAGUGGUUGCUAGAAAAGAACUUGCGCUAAUGAUCUGUGUGCAUGAGUACCCACUUUCUAUGGUUGAUCAUGUUGGGUUCAGAAGAUUUUGUGCAGCACUACAACCCCUUUUCAAAGUAGUGUCCAGAAACACUAUUAAAAAAGACAUAUUGGAUAUGUAUGAGGUGCAAAGACUUUCUUUAGUGAAUUCCUUCCAACAGUGCUGAAGGAAACGGGUGACGCCUAAGAGGGGGGGGUGAAUUAGGACUUCUUAAAUUUUUACUAAACUAGGCCACAAUUAAAUCCCUAGAGCAAAACCUAUGCAAGAAUCAAAACUAGGAUGUGCAAACUAGGUUUUGUCUAAGUGUUGCUAUCUCUACCGCAAAGGCUAAGUUUCAAUCUACACUAAAUAAGUAUGACAACAAGAUUGAAACUUAAAUGCUUAAUAUAAAUGCGGAAUGUAAAGAGCUAAGUAGAGAGGCAAACUCUCGUGGAUGACGCCGGUAUUUUUACCGAGGUAUCCGGAACCGCGCAAGGUCCCGACUAAUCCUCGUUGGUGCCCCUACGCAAAGGGAAGCCCACGCGAGGGCCAAGCACCUCGGUCGAGUAACUCCGUAGAGAGCCGCGGGCCUUCUCCACGCGCAAGUGGUGCUCCGCUUCCGGCUCCUCUCGGACGCUCCCCGCCGUCUCCACUAUCGAGCUUCCGGCCGAAACGCCGCGGGCCUCGUUCCCUCCGGUACACGGUGGCGGCCGUGACACAAACACGGUUGUCACGGUCUCGCAAGACUCUCGCCCCACUCGGUACAAUUACAACGGCUCGCGCAAGAGCCGAGGGGUUGUGAGGUUUAUCUAAACUCACUCAACUAACUAGGAUUCACCUAGAGCAAGCGCUAAAGCGGUCUAACUAACCUAAGCACUUCGCAAAGCACCUACGCUAAUCACCGAGUGAUUCUAUUAAGCACUUGGGUGUUUGAGCACUUGGAAAUAUGCACUAUGUGUAUUGGAAUGUUGCUUGGGCUCUCACACUUGAGAAUGGCCGGUUGGGGUGGUAUUUAUAGCCUCCACACCCCCAACUAGCCGUUGAACAGAAAGCAGCAGCUUUCUGUCGUCGGGUGCACCGGACAGUCCGGUGCACCACCGGACACUGAACAGUAGAUGUCCGGUGCGCCUAUGUCAGCCGACCGUUGGCGUCUGUAGCAGUCGACCGUUGGAUCCGACCGUUGGAUUCGACCGUUGCCGUCUGCCCGUUGGCACACCGGACAGUCCGGUGCACACCGGACAGUCCGGUGCUACAGCCCGAGAGCGCCUACCUGCGGCCUCUCUGCGCAGACCGUCCGGUUGUCCCACCGGACAGUCCGGUGCACACCGGACAGGUACUGUGCACUGUCCGGUGCGCCACCAGGCGCUGGCUGACAGCCCUUGUCUUGGUUUUCUUCGCUGAUUUCUUCGGGCUUCUUUGUUCUUGAGCAUUGGACUCCUAUGCAUCUUUUUAUGUCUUCUUUUGAGGUGUUGCAUCCUCAUUGCCUUGGUCCAAUUCUCUUCGCAUCCUGUGAACUACAAACACAAACACUAGAAAACUUAUUAGUUCACGGAUUGUGUUGUUCAUCAAACACCAAAACUCAAUUAGCCAAAUGGCCCGGGGUCCAUUUUCCUUACAAUCUCCCCCUUUUUGGUGAUUGAUGACAACACAACCAAAGCAAGCAAAUAAUACAAGUAUUUGAAUGAAAACUAUGCAAUCUACUUGCUAGGAUGCAUGAUUGUCCCCACAAUGUGACAUUAUGGACUUAAGCCUCCCCCUAACUCCAUAAUUCACUUACUUCCUAUUUUUGGACCAAAUAACCAAAACCACUUGAAAAGUCAUUUGUAGUUAUAAAAUUUUAAAUUGGUGGUGUUUGGUGUUUGAUAUAGUUUUCAUUGCUUUGGCCCCUAAACUUCUCCCCCUUUGGCAUCAACCACCGAAAAGGAAGACAUUAAAAGCAUGUAGGAAGUAAAUAAAAGCUUGCCCUCAACAGAUGAUAUCACUAGAGGUAUAUUAAAUUAAGCCAUGAAUGAUACCACUUGUAGAUCAUGAAAGAUACCAUGAGUAGGAGUUCCUCAAAAGAUUAUUUCUCCUAAAUGAGUAUUCUCCUUUGGAAAGAGUUUUUCUCCCCCUUUAGAGAUGAAGAAAUACUCCCCCUGACAGAGAUCCUCUACUUAGGAAAAAGCAUGUGAAAAUUAGAGGUGCAAGACAUGAUUUGAAAAGACUGACUUCCCUUAUGCAUAGGUAACAGAAUAUGAGUUAACCACUUAUGCAUUUUUAGCAACAUGGAAGCAUAUGAUAUGAAAUAUAGUCUAAUCAAAUAUUGGAGAAGACAUGUAAAUGGUACUGAAUGUAGUCUCAAAAGAUACCAAUUGAAGACCAAUUGUAGGUCAAUGGCGAGCUUGAGAGACAUGAGAGUUCUUGGAGAUUUUGCAGUGGAAGAUUGUUGUCUUUCUCCGGGGACUUCAUUUUCCUUACAAUGAGACUAUCAUAUGAAAUAGACUUGAAAAGGUGUUAGUCUCAAAGUGUUAGAUUAUAGAGUAACCUCCCCCUAAAGGUGUGCAUACAAGUUUUGAAUACUUGUAGGAGAUAUGCACUUUGAUUUGAUAUCAAGAGGGGCAAAUUAUCCAUAAUCCUAACUUUGGCACAUAUAAGUUAGAUGAUACACUUGUAGGAAUCAAAAAAUUUUCAAAUUAUGCAUCAUUUAUUAUGGAGUGAUAUAAAAGCUAUGUGCCGUGCUCUAACUAAACAUUUUAAGCCAUGUAGGUUUGCUUAAGUAUAUGAAUUCAAAAACUAGCAAUCCUACCAUAUGAUUUACCUAGUAUGCAUGAUUUUGAACAAAAGUACAUAACAAAUGUAAUACUAGGCAGGAAAGGUAAACUAGAUAAAAGAUAAAUAGAUACGCAUAUCUAAAACGAGGAAUACACUAAAACUAGUUACCUUAGUCAUGGGUGGGAAAUUUGGGUCUAAAAUUUUCACUAACCCACUUGGCAAUAAACUUGAUCCAAUAUGAUGUAUCCCAUGAUAUACAUCCCUAAUUUAGCCAAGUCUCCAAAUUUCCCGAUGACCUUUGGUUCACUCAUUUCCCUUUCGGGAUCCAAACCUUCUUGGUGCUUUUCAUGGUUGAAAUUAUCUCUUUUGGCACCCAGAUGCGUUUGGCCCCCUUUCCUUUGUUGGCUUGCUUGUUGGCCUUGAUUGCUAUCACCUUUCCAUUCUUCUUCUUCUUGAUCAAAUAUGGUGUAGCGUCCUUUUUGUUCACCUUUUUGAUGUAGGUGCUGGAGAUUUUGCUUGUCGGCUUUUGCUUGAGCUUUUGCCUUUGUUUAUUCCCGGUCAUCGCCUUGCAUUGGAAAGACUUGUGGCCUUCCUUGUGGCAUAGCCUACAAAUCACAGUUUCUCCCUCUACAGGCUUGUUCACUCCCGCAGUGGUGUUAUCCUGUGGAGGUCGGAUUUGUUUGGCUUUGCCUUUCUUGUCAUACAAAGCCUUGCCAAGACGAGCCACUUCUUGCUUUAAUUGUUCAUUUUCCUUUGCAACCUCAUCAGAGCAUGUCUCUACAACAAUAUUCUCAACAACAACUUGGUUGCAGGGGUUAGAAUCAUCAAUUAAGUCAAAGCAGGAAGUAGAAGCAUCUUUCUUAAUAAUUUCAGGAAUUUCAACUAAAGAUGCUGCUGGGGUGCUACCAAUGUUUUCUAGCUUAGUAGUUAGCUCAUUAUUGUGUAUGCUAAGAAUUUCCAUUUUCUCUAGCAAAUUUUCAAUAGCUUCUUGGGAGCUAGCUAACUUAGCCUUAAGUUUUUCAUUCUUUUUAAUAAGGCUAUCAUCGGUAGCAGUGGAUGGAGCACUAGAUUCUAGCAGCUCAAUUUUAGUUGAUAGCUCACUAUUUAAGUUUGCAAAAGUUUCAAAUUUUUCUAGCAAACCUUUGUAAUCAUUUUGAGAGCUAACCAACUUAUUUUUCAAAUUUUUAAGUUGAGCUUUUUGCUUAGUGCAAACAUCCUGAAAAAAUUCUACGGCUUCUGCAAGCUCAUCUAGAGAGGCCUUUCCCUCACCUUCAUCAUCACUACUACUUUCAUCACUAGAGGAUGGAAUGCUUUUGUUACCUCUUGCCAUAAGGCAUUUGUGUGAUGUCCGUGAUGAUCGUGACGAGGACCGGUGGCUGCGCGUCCUUGGAGAUUCAUCUUCACUUGAAGAGUCAUCCCAAGUUCUAACACUUGUGAGCGCCUUGCCUUUGCUCCUCUCCUUUUUGGGUUUGGCCAUAUUUGGACAGUUGUCCCUGAAGUGGCCCUUCUCCCCACAUGCGAAGCAUCCUCUCUUCCUUUGCUUUUUCCUGUCAAUAUUAAAGAGAAGAUCCUCGACCUGCAGGGGCACACCCAUUAGAUUAAUCUUGCGGAUCAUCCUCAUUACCUUUCCGACGCGUCGGAUUGUUUCUUCGUCCUCGGAGGAUGAUGUACAUGAUUGAUUAUCUUCAUCAUCAUCACUUUCUUCUUCUUCUUCCUCUUUUUCGCUUGAGGAACUUGGAGUGGGAGCCUUCUUUUUGCCCUUCCUUUCAUCACAUGCAAAAGCAUAUGGCUUUGAGGAAGUUGGCUCCUCUCCCCGACUCAUUUUUCGCGACAUCUCAAAGGCCGCGAUUUUCCCAAUCACAAUGGUCGGGGUCAUGUUGCUCAAGUUCUCCAUGUUGUGAAGGAUGGUGAUGAUGCUCCCAUAUUUUUGUUGUGGUAGCAGGGAGAUAAUCUUCCUCACAAUGUCCGCAUCACCUAGCUUGUUAAUGCCAAUAGAAUUGAGCUCAUUGAUAAUUAGAUUCAAGCGAGAAUACAUGUCUCUAACAAGCUCAUCAUCUUUCAUAGCAAAAGAAUUAUACUCAUUUAAGACUAGGCAAUGUUUUUGCUCACGGACAUUGGAUGUGCCGUCAUGGAGCUCAUGCAAUUUUAGCCAAAUCUCAUUAGCAGUUUUCAGGGUAAAUACUUGAUUGAAAAUAUCCAUGCUAAGAGAUUCAUACAAGCAAUUUUUGGCUCUAGCAUUUAAAUGAAUUUCUUUUUCCUCACUCGUGGUGGGUUUCUCGGGAUUCUUGAGGGGUUUCAUCCCGUCACGAGUGACUCUCCAAACACCUAGAUCAACGGCCUCUAGGUAGCAAGCCAUUCUAGCACUAUAAUAUGGGAAAUUAGUGCCGUCGAAGUGUGGUGGCCUAUGGGUAUCCAUCCCUUCCUCUAAAAAGCGUCGGCUCUUUUAGCGGUGAAGCUAAAACGUUUCAAAUGAGCCAAACCGAGCUUUGAUACCAAUUGAAGGAAACGGGUGACGCCUAAGAGGGGGGGGGGGUGAAUUAGGACUUCUUAAAUUUUUACUAAACUAGGCCACAAUUAAAUCCCUAGAGCAAAACCUAUGCAAGAAUCAAAACUAGGAUGUGCAAACUAGGUUUUGUCUAAGUGUUGCUAUCUCUACCGCAAAGGCUAAGUUUCAAUCUACACUAAAUAAGUAUGACAACAAGAUUGAAACUUAAAUGCUUAAUAUAAAUGCGGAAUGUAAAGAGCUAAGUAGAGAGGCAAACUCUCGUGGAUGACGCCGGUAUUUUUACCGAGGUAUCCGGAACCGCGCAAGGUCCCGACUAAUCCUCGUUGGUGCCCCUACGCAAAGGGAAGCCCACGCGAGGGCCAAGCACCUCGGUCGAGUAACUCCGUAGAGAGCCGCGGGCCUUCUCCACGCGCAAGUGGUGCUCCGCUUCCGGCUCCUCUCGGACGCUCCCCGCCGUCUCCACUAUCGAGCUUCCGGCCGAAACGCCGCGGGCCUCGUUCCCUCCGGUACACGGUGGCGGCCGUGACACAAACACGGUUGUCACGGUCUCGCAAGACUCUCGCCCCACUCGGUACAAUUACAACGGCUCGCGCAAGAGCCGAGGGGUUGUGAGGUUUAUCUAAACUCACUCAACUAACUAGGAUUCACCUAGAGCAAGCGCUAAAGCGGUCUAACUAACCUAAGCACUUCGCAAAGCACCUACGCUAAUCACCGAGUGAUUCUAUUAAGCACUUGGGUGUUUGAGCACUUGGAAAUAUGCACUAUGUGUAUUGGAAUGUUGCUUGGGCUCUCACACUUGAGAAUGGCCGGUUGGGGUGGUAUUUAUAGCCUCCACACCCCCAACUAGCCGUUGAACAGAAAGCAGCAGCUUUCUGUCGUCGGGUGCACCGGACAGUCCGGUGCACCACCGGACACUGAACAGUAGAUGUCCGGUGCGCCUAUGUCAGCCGACCGUUGGCGUCUGUAGCAGUCGACCGUUGGAUCCGACCGUUGGAUUCGACCGUUGCCGUCUGCCCGUUGGCACACCGGACAGUCCGGUGCACACCGGACAGUCCGGUGCUACAGCCCGAGAGCGCCUACCUGCGGCCUCUCUGCGCAGACCGUCCGGUUGUCCCACCGGACAGUCCAGUGCACACCGGACAGGUACUGUGCACUGUCCGGUGCGCCACCAGGCGCUGGCUGACAGCCCUUGUCUUGGUUUUCUUCGCUGAUUUCUUCGGGCUUCUUUGUUCUUGAGCAUUGGACUCCUAUGCAUCUUUUUAUGUCUUCUUUUGAGGUGUUGCAUCCUCAUUGCCUUGGUCCAAUUCUCUUCGCAUCCUGUGAACUACAAACACAAACACUAGAAAACUUAUUAGUUCACGGAUUGUGUUGUUCAUCAAACACCAAAACUCAAUUAGCCAAAUGGCCCGGGGUCCAUUUUCCUUACAAGUGCCAAUCUCGAAUUGCUGUAACUACUGAUAUGUGGACAGCAAACCACCAAAAGAAAGGAUACAUGUCGGUUACAGUACAUUUUAUCAAUGAUGAUUGGAAGCUGAAAUCUUUUCUUUUGAGGUAAUAUUUUCUUUCGUUUCAUGUUCUCUACUAUAGUCUUAUAAUCUUGUUGUGAUGGUGUUGCUAAAAUUGAUAUGUUGGGUUAUUAUAGGUUCAUAUAUGUGCCCGCCCCACACACUGGUGAAGUUAUAAGUGAUGUCCUUUAUGAGGUACUACAAGAUUGGAAAAUAGAAAAGAAGGUGUCGACUGUGACUCUUGAUAAUUGCACCACCAAUGAUAGUUUGAUGAGUUCUAUGCAAGAUAAGUUGCCCCUCGUCUCCCUCAUGCUAGAUGGUAAAUUGUUACACAUGCGUUGUGCAGCACACAUCAUUAAUCUUAUUGUGAAAGAUGGAAUGACUGUUAUGGAUAAAGGCAUUGAAAGGGUACGUGAUAGUGUUGCAUUUUGGUGUGCCACGCCAAAAAGACAUGAGCGUUUUGAACGCAUAACUGCUCAAAUGAAUGUUAAAUAUGAUAAAAGGAUAGCUCUAGAUUGUAAGACAAGAUGGAAUUCAACUUAUAUUAUGCUUAGCACUGCACUAGAGUAUCAAAUAGUAUUUGACCGCCUUGCAAGUAAAGAAAGACUUUGUACUUCAUUUAAGCCAACAACAGAGGAUUGGGAAUUUGCUAGGGAGCUUUGUAGUAGACUAAAGAUGUUUUUUGAUGCAACUGAGCUAUUAUCAGGAACAAAUUAUGUCACAGCCAACCUUUUUUCCCUAAAAUAUGUGGUAUUUAUUUGGCUAUUGAGAAAUGGAGGACUAGUGCAAUCCCUAAGGUAGAAGAGAUGUCAGCAUUGAUGAAAGAAAAAUUUAAAAAGUAUUGGAUAGAUGUUCAUGGGCUUAUGGAGGUAGCUACUGUUUUAGAUCCUAGAUACAAAUUGAAGUUUGUGAAAGCUUUCUAUAGCACCAUUUAUGGGGAAGACAAUCAAAGAACCAACAAUGAAGUGUGUAGAGUUCGCUCUUUGUUGUAUGAGUUGGUACUGGAAUAUCAAGUAUCAAUGGAGGGCAUGGCAACAACUGAUGGUGUAGGGACAUCAAAUAGAAAUGUUGUCCUCAAUGAAGGUGAUGACCUUAUGUUUGGCAUAUUUGACAAAUUCUUGUCUGAGGAACCAGAAGAGCAUUCAACCUUUGUACGGACUGAGUUGGAUUUGUACUUGGAGGAACCAAUACUGCCAAGAACUCAAGAGCUUGACAUUAUCAAUUGGUGGCAAUAUGCAGGGAUCAAGUAUCCAACUUUGAGAAAAAUUGCUCGAGAUGUAAUGGCAAUUCCUGUUACAACAGUGGCAUCUGAGUCUGUCUUUAGUACUGAGGGAGAGUAAUUAGCCCACAUCGUAGUAGACUUGCUCCAAAAAUAGUAGAAGGGUUGAUGUGUAUGCAAGCUUGGGCCCGAGCUGACAUGUUAGGCGACCAAUCCUGUUUUAUAAAUGUACUAAUGACUUGUUUGGAGGAUGAAGAGGAAGAAAUGGUAACAUGAUUCAACUCUUUAGUAUGUUGUUAUAUUUUGGUUAUCAAAUCUGAUCAUUGAUUUAACCAUUUAUCUAUUUUGUUGUUUGCCAGGAUGAACAUGAUUCUACUAUCAUUGACUAGCUCAAGUGCUCAACACAACACUACACUCGGAUCAGAUCAGAAUCAAAAGACUUAAGGCCAAAAGCAGACAUGGAUUUGUUUUUGUGUCGAGACAUGUAGACAUGUAUUUUUGUCAUGUUGAGAAUGUUGCUUGUUGAAGGACAUGUAUAUUUAAAUUUUUAUUCAAUUUUAAGUUGUGUAUGAUGUCGAAUUAGGAAGCAUUUUGAUUAAUUAUGUUAUUCAAUUGUUGAAAAUGGUUUUAUCAUAUCCGAUGGAUAUCCGAAACCCGAUGGGCAUGGAUAUGGAUAUGAAUUUCUACCCGUGGAUAUAAUCGCGGGCGGAUAUUAUCUAUGACCGUGGAUAUGACUGCGGGCGGAUAUUUUCAAUAUCCGAUCCGAAUCCGACCCGUUGCCAUCCCUACACCAGACAUGUCUAGUGCCCCCACACUUUGGCACUUUUUGAUAACAAUGAGUUGUGCCCUCUCUUCUAUAAAUAGAGGGAUCACCAACUCAUUGUAUACAUAGAGAACCUUGGGGAGGUGUUGCCAAAUGUUGUGCUUUACUUAGGACUUCUACUCACAUAUGCUUGAUAGAGAUCACAUCAAUUGUGUGAGUGAUUCCUAACGUGUUUGUAAUGACUAGCACUAGGUGAUCAAGUUGCAAACCCAUGGUGCUUGUUACUUUUGUAGGUUGCCACCUCCUAGAUUGUUUGCGGGUUGUGGCUUCAUUGAAGCAUGCAACAAGGUUGUGCAUGGCUCUAGAGAAGGCACUAUGAGGGGUACCAUGCUCACCCCAUGAGAGAAGUAAAGAACGACACCAAUAGAGCAAGGUGUGAAGAGUGCCAAUUGGUUAAACCGGAUCAAGUGCUAGAGCUUGGUUGUGAGUACUCCAUGUGUGAUAGUAUGAUUUGCGUGUCACCUUUAGCAAGAGAAUUGGUGGCAACCUUGAGCUUGCCUCAACAUCAAGUAAGUGGUUGGAAAGCGACCAAACCCCGGGAGAAAUAUUAUCAUGUCAGCAUUUGUCUCCUCGUUGGUUUGCAACUUCCUAACAGUAGCUUGUUAUUACUUGUUCGUACUUGUGCUAGUGUUUAGUGUUGUUCUUGUGACUUGUUUACUUGUGUAGUAAAUUAUUUGCUCUCUUGUGCUAGUAAGAUUAUGUAGCUUAGUAUCUUUGAUUUGCUUAUGUAGCUAAGUUGUUUAGCUCUCUAGUUUGGCUUGUGUGCAUUUGCUAGUUGAGUAGUGCUAGUGUGCUUAGGCUUUGUACACUUUGCUCGCUAGCACGUGUAGGAGCUCCCAAAUUGCUUGAGUACCAGCUGCAUAGGUUUGUGUGAUCUUGCUAACUAUAGUGCACCUUAGUUAUUUAAGUAGGAUCCUUUUAAGGUGUCUAUGAUAGACAUAGGGGUAUAGUCUUGGCUAAAUCAAUUACUUUAAUUUUGCACUUGUUUUGCUUAGAAGGUGUGUUUAAGUUUUAGAAAAAAACUAUUUUGCCUCCCACUAGCCUGUCAUGUCAACCCCUUCAACAUUAUGUUUCUAGACAUGCUUGUGCAACUAAAGUUACACCUUUUGAGUUGUAUAUGGGUAAGAGGUUGUGUUACCUGUUGAGAUGAUUUUGUAUGCAUAUAGGCUUGCUAAACAAAACAAAUUGUCUAUUGUUAUACAUCAUGAUUUGAUGACGGAAAUAUCGAUGAGGUGCUAGAUAAGAGACUAAAAACUCUCAAGGAUAUAAAGGAAGACAUGGCUUGAGUUGUCGGGAGGAGGAAAACAAGCUCAAACACUACAGAGUGCAACUACCUUCCAGCUUUCCAUCACCUCACGAUUGUGGUGGAAAUUGUGAUGGAAGUUCAAGCCUAAUGGUUCUAAUCUACCUUUAUCCCUACCUACUAAGAUGACUCCAGUGUAAGGGUAUGAUGUCGUUAGCUUGAGAGCAUCUAACCUAGGAUCAACCUCCAAAAUGUUAUAAACUCUUAUUUUUAUUAUGCAAGAGAUUUGAUAUGUUACAUGAACCUCAGAUUCCACCCGCUAAGAUUUAAUCACCCUAUUUUGUAAUCAUGUUUUUGGAGUCCUGCCCGAGUUCAUGCUUUGAGUCGUGGUGUAGAGACGGUCUAGAUAGAGAUAGAGAAAACAAAAACAUGUGAAGCAGCAGCCCUUACUACAAAACUAUAAUUUAAUAAAGAAAAUAAUUAAAUAACGUAGAUGGAGAAAAGAAAAUAUGCUUGGCUAAACAUAGCAAGCAAGGGCUGCAAGGCGAAGGCGACAACCGGCAAACAUACGGGACAUCGUGAUGGGGACAUCUCAUCGGUAUAAAGGGCACAACAAAAUUAUUCAGAUUGAGAUUCUAGUUUACAUGUUCGUUGGCUAUUGGAUCAUUAGAAGAAUAUUAUGAAUUUGUACCGAAUUUGAUUGCACAGCAGCAACCACGGUUUAUUGAACAAAAAAAACGAUCUCCAUUCCCACCCGAAUCAGUGAGCAGCACUGGCCCUAGUAUCUUUUAAUUUUAUGUCAAUAGAUGAUCGCUUUGUCAAGCAGUACUAGUGACCUCUCAUUAUUACCCCGCAGUGGCUCAUCCGCUCAUGGCUGACGGAAGGCGCAUAUAUAUAUAAGCGCCUCUUCCUUUCCCAUAUGCGGAUUUAAAUAACCAACCAACAGCACACACCAGAACAAAAACGAGACGCCAGAUCAAAGGCCACACCAAAUCCCCUCCAGCACAGCAGGGGAAGCCGCGGGGCACCACAGACCACGAGCGCAGCCGCGGAGGCCGGAGACGUCGGCGACGCGCGCGCGGUCCCACCCCGUCGAGGGGACUCGGCCGGAGCGGGAGAGUCACCGCCGUGUGGACCGGCGGCUGGAGCGCUCUGCCUGUGGCCAAUGUCGGUGGAGAGAGGCCCGCCAGCGGUAAGGUCCCUGUCCCGAGCGGUGGCGGUUGGUGGGAACUGUGCGCGGUGCAGUUGAUAAACUUCUAGCUUUCCUGUGAGGGACGGGCGACCUUUUCCCGUGCGUGCGUGGUACGGUUGCUGAACUUCAUCCGUGAGUUUGUGUGGCCGAAUGUUUUUUCAUCGAUUGUCCUAUGUGAUUGAGUUAGUAGGUGUCUUUAGGAUUACGAUUGGAUAUUUGGAUUGGAUGGAACAGGGGUAGGUUUUCUUCAAUUUUGAGCGGCGGAGCCUGCACUGAAGACUGAAGCUGCUUGAGUCACGCCUGUUCCGACGAUUUUUGCAGAAAUCGCCCAGCCUACGGGACUGAUUGGGCUUGAAGUUGUGGCGCGUACGAGAGAUGCCUCAUGCCAGAGCUUCUGUUAUUAGAGACUGAAGUUCUGCAAGCGCGUGCUGCUGCUCUGGAGUUUUAGCAGCUGUGUUGAGUGGUUGGGAGCCAUGGAGUCACGGAUGGAUCAGUACGAGGUUUUGGAGCAGAUUGGUCGCGGCGCCUUUGGUGCUGCCAUCCUCGUCAACCACAAGACAGAGAAAAAGAAGUACGGUUCAAUUUAGUUACUGAGCCUGUUUCCCCGUGAAUUUGCCUAGCCGACAGUCUUUUGCUUUGCUACUGCAGGUAUGUGUUGAAGAAAAUACGUCUUGCAAGGCAGACAGAGCGAUGCCGCAAGUCUGCUCACCAGGAGGUCAGCAGAACAGAAAUUUACACGCCCUUUUUCAUUUGUUUGUUUGUCAUUUUGCACUGUCUUCGGUGAACUGAUAGAGCAAAUGGAAAUUGCAGAUGGCUCUUAUUGCUCGCUUGCAACAUCCUUACAUCGUUGAGUUCAAGGAGGCAUGGGUUGAGAAGGUUGGUUCUUCAUGAACAUGCUUCUGUAUUUGCCUUUUAUUUGGUUCCGUCCUCUGUUACCUCAACGCAUGAGUUUUGAUAGGGCUGCUAUGUUUGCAUUGUGACGGGAUACUGUGAAGGUGGCGAUAUGUGAGUGCUGUGUGCUGUUUUGAACUAGCUUUUCUACCGCCUUUGUGAUGACUUUUUGUCUAAUUGUAUUCCUCUUUGACAAUUGGCAGGGCUGAAUUGAUGAAAAAAGCGAAUGGGACAUACUUCCCAGAGGAGGUUGCUAUGAUUUUUCAGUUCCUUUUUUCACGUGUCAAGAGAAAAUUUUGGAAAUAUGUGCUAACUGUUUCUUAGUGACCUACAGAAACUACUGAGAUGGUUUGCGCAAUUGGCAUUAGCUGUUGACUACUUGCAUUCAAACUUUGUUUUGCAUCGAGAUCUCAAGGUAAGUGACAAAGAAUAGAGAUGUUGUCAGUUUAAGAAGCAGGAUUCAGUGUUGACCUCUCUUUUUUUGGCAGUGCUCAAACAUAUUUCUUACCAAAGAACAGGAUAUUCGUCUUGGUUAGUUUCCCAUGCUAUUUCAAAUUCUAUAACUCUACAUGUUUUGCAAUGCUUCAUUUCUGUGGUUUUAAUAGCUCAUUUCACUUGCAGGAGAUUUUGGCCUGGCCAAGACUUUAAAGGCAGAUGAUCUAGCCUCUUCGGUAGCCUUUUUUCUCUUAUUUCUUUUGUUUCUUGCUUGAAAAUUUGUCCUUCAUUUCUGUUUUUGUUUCAUAUUCUAAAAUCCUAAUGAAAACAGGAACCACAUGUUUGACUAAUUCAUGUCUGUUUUUCUGCUUUCAUUAUGUUAGUUGCCUUGUCUGCUCUCAGAAUCUUAUGUUCUAGAAUGAUGUUCCUUAGGUUGUGGGAACACCAAAUUAUAUGUGCCCAGAGUUGCUUACAGACAUUCCCUAUGGAUUCAAGUCAGAUAUAUGGUCUCUUGGUAAUAGUUUCUUACAUAUAAAGAGAUGCUUAAAUAUAUUAAUAUUAGAUGCCUCUUUUAACUGGUGUCUUUGCAGGAUGUUGUAUGUAUGAGAUGGCUGCUCAUCGACCUGCUUUCAAGGCUUUUGUGAGUUCUUAUUUGGCUUAUACUCCUCGACGCUAGUUUCUGUACAGAGAUGAUUUUCAUAUUUGUCUGCAAGUGGAUGCUGUCAAUUUGUGUUCAGGCCCCAUUUCCAAUAAUGUUAAUUUUGAACCACAUUCUUCUUUCCAUAGAUACAAGAGCGUGAGUGUAACAAAACACUAACCAAGCCAUGGAUUUGGCAUGUAAUCUAACCAUUUUUUACCUACUAAUGAAAUGACACGCAGCUCUCACGCAUGUUCGAGAGAAAAAAAUAAACUCUCAUCCUUCUAUAACUUAUUAACGAGUAAACCAAUCAAUUACGAAAAUGAGCAUGUGUGUCAUAACAGAUUUAUAGAAAAGACGACAUGCCAAUUGAUACAGAAAAUCCCUAAGCUAACUACUGGAAGGAUCAGUGUGAUUAGAGUCAUUCGAAAUUAGGGUAUUAGCUAAGCAUGCUGCUAUUGAAAAAGAAAAGCUAGAACUAUAUGGUUUUCAGAAUCCAAGCCUUGGUAGCGAAGAGUGACUGUGCAUCUUCUGUUGAGGGAUUGUGGCAUCUAUGCCACUUUCAGUUCUUCUAUCACUUCCAUUUUAUCAGUCGCCAAAAUGACCAGACAACUUAGAAAUAUUGAACUCUUCAGCCUGUGGCUCUGGCAUUUGCUUGGUGUUUGACUCCCUCAGACUCUCUCUCUCUCCCUCUCUGCCUACUUGGUUCCCCUCUUUAUGUAUUUGCGAGUGCACAUUACAUGAGCAUGCUACAUGAAGCAUUAUAUAGGGCAAGGAUAAGUUUAUCUUUCAGCUUCACAACAUAUUGGAUCAAAGUUCUUCAUGAUUCAUCCAAGCAAUUCAUUCCUGAGUCCUGACUUUUGAGUGCUUUGCAUUUAAACCUAUACAAGUUAGAGCAUGAAAUUAGAUGGAUAUUUUGAAUUGAAAAUGGUGUAUAUACCACUGCGCUUUAUCAAAUUGCUGCUGUGCCUCAGUUGCAUCUCAUCUCUCAGCCUUUGCAUAUUUUACUAUGUAGUGUUAUUAAUUUCAAAAGUAUAGAAGUUGAGGUAAGCUUGAGCUUACUCCAUGUUUCUUUCAGGAUAUGGCUGGACUGAUAAGUAAGAUAAAUCGCUCCUCCAUUGGCCCUUUGCCUACUUUCUAUUCUUCAUCUAUGUAAGUAUUGAACAGUACAUUUGGCAAUGAAAUUGGUCAUAUGUAAAAGUUUUCAAUCCAUCUUUCUUGUUUGUUUGGAAAUAUUAUCCAGUGCAUGACUAGCUAAUGUACCAUUUUACUGUUGAAUACAGGAAAACACUUAUCAAAAGCAUGUUGAGGAAGAGUCCUGAACAUCGACCUACUGUAAGCUACUAAGCAAAGAGAUACCUCCCCUGCAGCUGCAAUACUUGUUUGUCACGCACAUUUAUUAGAUUCUUAGAGUAUCUGUUACAUUUUUGUUUACAGGCAUCCGAGAUUAUAAAAAAUCCAUACCUCCAACCUUAUGUGAAUCAAUACCGUCCAUUUGCUAAUAUAUUACAUCCUGGUCGAUCACCAGAGAAACCUGGCACCGAUUCACGGAGCAGUCAGAAAAGUAUGUCUGGGAGUCAGUGUAGUAGCAUUUCUGGAACUGGCAGUGAUAUGGAUAGCAUACAAUCAAAUGAAAGAAACACGUCAGGACUAGCUUCAAGUUCCAGCAACACCAUUGAUACCGAGGGUGCUGAAACUACUGAACUUCAGAGACAUAAAGAUACUGCUUGUCCUGGACUCAAGAGACAAGAUUCAUCAAAAUCCGUACAAGAUAAUCAACAUCCUGGACAUGAGAAUAAGCAACCAAAGAUAAUUAAGAAGAUACUAACAACUCUAAGAGAGGAGAGCAAAUUUAGGGAAAGCAAUUCUCCUGUUAGAGCUAGCCGUGUAAAGCUAAAUUCACCUAGCAAUAGAGAACGCUCAUCUGACGACUCAAAGCAAAGUGAUAUUUCCUCCAGUUCAAGGUCUAGUGAAGUUAUGUCACAUGAAUCAGCAAAUGCAAGCUGUGAACCUGUCAAACGAGGACAUGCAUCUCCUCCCUUGAAGCAUUUGGUAAGGAUAAAUGGUUUUCUUGUGCUAAAAGCGUAAAUCCAUUUCUCUAAGUUUGCUAAUUCUUUUCUGGUUCUAUUCAAUCUUGCAGUCACCAAUUGUUGAGCAUUCUCCGAAGGUUAAAAUUAAAGUAGAUGAGCUAUUACAUCCACACCUUGCCAAGCAGGUUGGAGAAGUUGUUGAUGCAGCUGCAGGGAAGGUUAAGAACAGAACACCGCCCAUUUUUAUUAAAUGCACCAGUAUUCCUACUCGGAGGCAAGGAGUAGCAAGUCCAAGCCGUCAACACACUGGGGUAAAGCGAGCUCACAAUAAGGUCAUGGCAGAGCAUGCAAGGAAUCCUUGUCAGCAUCUCCAUAGUCCAAGCAACGCUCUUGUGAAACUUCCAAGUGUUCCAAUGGUUCCUCCAAGUCAUCUAGAAGAUCUUAAGAGAAAACCAGACAAUACACGAGCAAAAUCUGCUCCUCCUAGGGCUUUAGCAACCAAGGAAGACAACAGUGCUUGCUCCAGUUCUACGAUUGGUAAUGCUGAAAACACCAACCAGUCUGAACCGUCUGAACCUGACUCACCAACUUAUUUGGUCUCAUCCUGCAAAUGUUUGAUACCUGACACUAUCAUACAAAAGCACGGCAUAACAAGUAAAAAAAGUUCAGAAAUCAUCACAACCAAUUGUGAGAAGAAAAUGACUAGUAAUGGUGAUCUUAGUCUAAGCGCAGCCAUGGUGCAAUCUUCUGAUAUUCCUGAACAAGAGUUUAUUUGCAAGGAUGGAAUGCUCUCCAGUCAGGUGGGUCAGUGCAGUGAAACAGUUACUGUACCAAGCGAUGAAGACAAGUUCACAGUGCGGGAACUGCUUUCAUCAGUACCAGAUCUUUGUUCCUUGGUCCCAACAACAAUGAUGAACACUGAGCCAGGAAGAGGACCCACUCUCACCCAGUCAUCAGAGAAACCAUCGGGUCCUCAUUUAAAUCCUCCUCCAGUUGAGGACAUUAUACAUGUCAUAAGCCACAGCAGUUUCCAUGUGAAUGGUGAGCAGGCAGUAAAAGAAACUGGAUCAGAGAGCAUUGAUGUUGACAAACGUCUUAACAUGGUAAGAGAAGAGAUAGGUGUAAGAAGCACCGAGCCAAACCUCAUACCUUCUGGACCUAUAGAUUCUGAUACGGUGAAGCCAAAUGUAGUAGAAGCUAAUAUUACCUUUCAGAAACCAUCCAGUACAGAUGCCAUAAAACUGCCAACCAUACCGGAAGGAAAUUUUAGUACUCUGGAGACCAACAAUGGGUUUAAGCAGGAAGCAGCUCCGGCUAAGGAAAUACUAGAUGUGACAUCUUUCAGGCAGCGAGCUGAGGCUCUGGAAGGUCUCUUAGAACUUUCUGCAGAAUUACUGGAACACAGUAGGCUGGAGGAGCUUGCGAUUGUUCUAAAGCCAUUUGGGAAGGCCAAGGUGUCCCCUCGAGAAACAGCAAUAUGGUUGGCUAAAAGUUUCAAAGGCUUGAUGAAUGACGAAGCAAGCCGCAGUUCAACGUGAGUACGCGUAGCUUUUGUGCCACCCUUUUUACUUUGGUUGAUUUCUGCUUGUGCUCUGAAGAUGCUAUGGUUGUCUUGUUCAUAUCUGGCUUCUUGGUAUCGUGUGUCGGUGUUUCCAUUUCGAUAGUUAUUCAUUCUUUACAGCACAUGUUGUAAAUAGCCCAGAUUUGUGAACAGAAAAUAAUACAUGCCAGAAAUGGUGUUAAUUUACAUGGUUGAAGUAACAGAGACUAAUUUGAUCAAUUAUUGUUUUGCCUACGUGCUCCUCUGAAACUAUCAGAAUUCUACGAGAAAAGGUACAAAAUUGUGUUGUUGCAUUUGUUGUCAGUAUACUUAGUUUCUCAACUACUCUUAGAACAUCCCACACCACAUAUGAGCAUCUUGAUUAAAGUAUGUGACUAUUUAGUAAGCCGAUUUAGCAUCCGACACACACAAGUCCUUUUUGUUCAGGCAGAGUUGCAUUUUUUGCAGUAAUUAUACUCCUUCAUUUCCUAUACUGAAACCGCAGAACCUACACCAUAUAAGCUUACAAAUCCCCCCUUGUUAUAUGUGAUGCUCACACUGUUGGGACUUGGGACGGCUUUGUUUUAUAGCCUCUUUGUUUUGUAGCCUUACUAGCUGGUUGCAGUUGGAGCUCCAUUUGUUCCCAAGCAGCUUCGCCACUUUCUAUUUCAGCUGUGGCUGCCUGCGUCCCUGCGCUGCUACUGCUACCAAGCCCAAAUGCUCCAUCUCUUGGUGCUGAGUAAUGUCAUUAGUUAUCAUGGACACAUUGGUCAGGAGUCACGACUCUUAGUCACUUCCACAUAGGGUUCUUCCAUUGUCAAACUCAAACCUCGUUUCCUGGCGCAGAACACCUUUGGAAGUUGGAACGGGAAAGUUCCAUUUAGCUGCAAUUUUCCCUUUUGCUAGGUCGUUGGGAAUGGCAGAGGAACAACAUAAUAUAUUUAGAAAACGGCUUGAUGAGUGUACAGGAGCCAAUAUCAGAGUGGAGAGAAAGGACUGGAGCUUAGCCAGCAAUUGCACAUUGUCGCAUUUACAAUGUGGUUUCCUAGUGCCAGUUUUCAUGUUGCUGGACGUGGUCGUUUCCGUUUCUUUUUUGUCUGUAAUAUAGUUUCAUUAGAUCUCCGUAUCCCUGGGCCUUGAGUCCCUGGCGUCUAGUGAAGACCGCUCUCUAGUGUGUUUUUUUUAGUGCAAUACGUGCCAUGGCCGAUACGUUCUCGAACAAAGAAUUUUUUCCCGAAAGAAAGCAGAGAGCAAUGCUCAACUGCCUAACGGAUGGCUUCUACGGGAGAUCCGAAGAUACCCUGGAACGUAUCGUCCGUCUUGUCUUGAGAUGCCGUCACAAUUUCGCACACAUGUACGUAUCAUCAUCAGCCUUGUAGAACACCGGCCCUCUAUAUCAUCACUCCGUUCCCUGGCGUCAACUCAUCAUAACGGCAUCGACUGAUCUUCAGUCAUGAACCACCAUCCACAGGAGGGGGUUGUCUAUGGCUACACCGAGGUCACCUACUUGGCCAGCACCGGUCCUCCCCCGCCGUACCAUCCUCCUCCUCCUCUUCCUCCUCCGCCGCCGCCACCACCACGCCGCCCGAGCCCGUUCCGCAUCAUCGUAAGAGUCUUCAUCGGCGUGUGCGUCUUCAUCGGGGUCCUCGCUCUCCUCAUCUGGCUCAUCUACCGGCCCCGGACGAUCCAGGUGGCCGUGGCCACCGCGACGCUCGCCCGCUUCGACCUCAACACCACGUCGAUCUUCACCCCGCCGGUGCUGUCCUACAACCUCACCGUGAUGUUGUCCGUCUCGAACCCCAACAGGCGCGUGUCCGUCUAUUACGACCAGCUCCAGGCGGCGGGGCUCUACCAGGAGGAGCGCUUCGGGCGCGCCGCGCUGCCCGUGUCGUUCCAGGGCACGAGGCGCGCCGACGCGGUGCCGGCCCUGCUCGUGGGCGACACGCCCAUGGGGUUCGGGGACUCCGGCGUCGCCGCGUUCGGUGAGGACAGACGCGCCGGGGUGUUCCCCGUGGACCUUUGGGUGGAAGGGGUCGUGCGGUACAAGUUCGGUGAGCUGAUGACCACCACGGCGAGCACGCUGACGAUCAAGUGCCAUCUGGCGCUGAAGCUCAUGCAGGCGUCGGGUUGGGUCGAAUGUACUGUGAGCGACUCAUGAUGGUGGGAAGAACCCUCUCCUUCCCUUUGGAAUUUAGAUGGGCCGCCUAAGAGUCCAUGUACUGCACUGUAGGCUGGCGCCGGAACAGCAGUUCCCAAGGCUUCUUUUAAAGAAAAAAACUAAAAAUAUUUUAAAUUAGUAGUGCAUCUAAAUAUUUUUUAGACAAAUCUUCAACUAGUAACUAGCCCUUAAUUAGCUAGAUUUACACUCAAGCUAGAUUUAGACUCAAAGGCCCAAACAGGAAAGAGCAUGUUACGGGCCCAGAUAUGAAUUGGAACGACUAUUCCUCCCGCUGCGUUUGAUAAAACGCAGACAACACAACACGCAGUGGCAGAUUCAAAAUGAGAUCUAAGGAGGGGCUACUAGCUAAAAUUUGUAGACAAAACUAAAUGAUCUAAUUAAUAUGGAUCAAUUAAACUGGUAUGAAAUCUAUAAAUAUAACACUCAACAUACCAUCAAUAGGUUGUGUUAGAAACAUCCUUUUGGUUCUUUAUGAGAAAUUUAUCCCUAUUAUCUUUAUAAACGUAAAAAUUAAUUUUAUCAACUAACCUAACAAAUAAUUGAACAAACAAAAAUAACUAAAGUCUAAAACUGAAUCUAAUGGCGAACAACAAUAUAUGUUUAGCACGUGAAUAGUGAGCAUUAUAUGUGUUAAAGAAGUACUUAAGUCUGUAUUCUAGUCGAUAGACAAGUGACACAAGUGACGUUGAUUGAAACAGGGCAUAAUUUACACAAGUGACGUUGAUUGAAAUGAGGCACAAUUUACACCAGUGUCCGCUGUGUUGCCGCGCAAGCGCAACCGGGGCCCCGCAGUCCCGGAUUCAAAUCCACUCCUCACAACACGUUUACACACCUUAGAGUGAGUUUGGGAGCAUCAAUACCGGAGGGGAUUUUAGCCCCUCAAAUCCCCUUCGGGUUUUGGACUUCCAAACUAGCUCUCAAGAUUUAUAUUACCAGUUUACCAUGCACAAGAUAUAUUCCUCUAGAGCAGAGGUACUAGUAGUACCUUUAGGACUAAUUUAGGAGAAGUGAAAACAAAUCCAGAAAGGAGAAACCCCUAUAAAUAACUAAAUAUCUUAUUUAAAGGAUACAUUUUAGGAUUACUAUUAGGAAUGAGAGAGAUACGUGAGGGGAUUUGGAUUCCCAAACUGACCCUCUGGCUAUCUCUAGCAAACCGUGUAAAAAGUCGUGCAAAGUUAGAGAUGACAAUGGGUAAAUAUCCACCGGGUGUUACUACCUCGUACCCAUACUCGACACAAAAAUAAUCCUAUCAGGUCACCCAUAUACACUGGUGAGUAUGGAUUUACCCCAUACCCAUACCCAUGUGGGUAUGGGUUACCUAUCGGGUCACUCAUACCCACAAAAAUUAAACAUCUAUCAAAAUAUUAUAUUAACAAAUAUCAAGUAUAUCCAUAUAAAUACCAUUACAAAAUUUCUAGCGACCCAUCGGGUCACCCGUACCCACAAAAAUUAAACAUCUGUCAAAAUAUUAUAUUAUACAAAUGUCAAGUAUAUCCAUAUAAAUACCAUUACAAAAUUUCUAGCGUCAUUUAAUCAUCCAUUCAACACACCAAAGAUAAUUGGAUAAAGUAGUAACACUAGGAUAGUACUACAUAGCACAUUACAUGUUCCAUUACAUGGUCAUUAAAUUGUUGUUAAGCCUUAUAUGACAUUAUGACCUAAAAGAUUGUUAAAUAGUAAAAAAGAUGGAUGACUAAAGUCCAAGUUCAUACUUAGGCUAAGUUUAUAUUGGGUAUUUUAUACCCACACAUAUGGGUGAAGGCGGAAUGUUUUAAUACCCGUUUAUCUAUUGGGUGAAGAUUUUUUGUCCAAUAACAGACCCAAUGGUAGAAUAUUUAGCCCACAUACAUACCCUAAUAGAGUAAAUACCCAUCGGGUAUCGAGUCGUGUAUAUCCAUUGCCAUCUCUAUACAAAGUAUUGUUUUACAUUUUGUUUGUAAAGUGAAGUUUAAAGUAGAGAAUGAGACAGAAAGUGUGAUAGGGAGUGAAUCUACGUGAGAUACUACCAAUUUACCAAGCAACCGGAACUUCGGUCCGGAGCUCUACUAGGCCACGGACGAAUCUGCUGAAGGAGUUAAAGGAGAUAAUCAGGCGUCUCAUGCGCGUAAGACCGACUCGAACGAGGCACCUUAAAAAUUCUGUCCUAUAUUAUACACUUCAACGAUACAUAUUAAAAAAACAUUCUUCCAUCAUAUCGUCUAUAUACAAAGACUCACUCUUAUUUUCUCUAUUUAAUUUUAUACUUUAGGUAAUACAUUAAAUAGAAGUAAAAAAUAUAAGUAUGAUAAAUACCUACGCAAAACAAAACUAGAGUAAAAUAUAACUUUUUAAUAUAGAUGUUUAAAUUAAGAGCUAGAUGUAUAGAAUAUUAUUGGAAGAAAUCUUUUAAAAGGAGUCUAUAGAGAAGAAAAGAUAGAGAGGAUGUGAUCAGAGAUAGUCUAAUUAGACUCUCUCCUGCAAUGUCAUCUAUAUUUAUACUUUAUAGUCUCCUCUAAACAUUUCAUCUAUAUCUCAUUUCUCCCUAAUAGUGUAUCUCAUCAUCUAUACGUAAAUACUUAUAUUAGGGACAUAUCUUAAUUUUAUUUUUUUGUACUUAAGUAUUUGUCAUAAUUAAAUGUGUUGUACUUAUUUUAGUUUUUUUUAUCUAAAUCAAGUAUUAAAAUGGAUUGAUGAGAGGAGAGGAGAGAAAAACUCUAUAUAAAGAGUAUGUAGCAACGUCGCGGAAUUAAACUUUAGUUCCUUCUACUAAACUAAUUGGUUCCAUCUCCUAAUUUUUGAGUUAGCUAUGUUGCGGCUAGGGGUGGAUAUCGAGUCAGCUCGACUCAUUAUGGCUCGUUACUGUAACGAACCAGCUCGGCUCGGCUCGUUAUACUAUCGAGCUAAACAUCUGGCUCGACUCGACUAGUUAGGAAGCUCGAGCCAGCUCGUUAGGCUCGCGAGUGACACAACUAAAUAUAAAAAUCUAUGUACAUAAAUAUAUAUAUAAUCAAAAAAUCAUAUUUUAAGUGUUUAACACUACAAACCCAAAACUUUUAUAAUAUUAUUAUCAUAUCAUCGUCUUAGUUUCUAACUUUUAAUAUUAAAUUAAAUAACCAAAUAUGUAUUAACUUACAGAUUUACAAACCCUUAUUAUAAUGACAGCAACAAGCAUCAUUAUAAAGCAAUUCAUCAUCCAUUCCACAAACAUGUAACAUUUUAUUGCACAACACUAACAUCAUAUGCUGCUAGAAAUAAAGUUCACAAAACCAUAACCAAUAAUCAAAUAUUAAAUAUAUAAUGUAGGUAUCUAGCCAUGCAAUAAUGCAAAUAUUUAAGCACAUGGUACAUCCACACAUGUCCACAUCAUAGAUCAUAACUACGAGAAAACAAGACUAAGAUGAAAUGACACCAACGACUAGACAAACUUGUAUUGUGGCUUGGCUCGUUUGGCUCGCGAGCUAGCUCACGAGUUAACCCGAGCUGGCUCAUUAGAGAACCAAGAUAGAAUGCUAGUUUGGCUCGCUACAAAAUUAAAACGAGUCGAGUCGAGCGAGUUAUCGAGCUAGAGUAUUUCGUCCAGCCCUAGUUACGGCAUUCGGGACAGGUUUUUCGUUCAAAAACUUUCAAAUCCAACACGCCGUACGCCGUACCGCGUACUAAAAAUAUAAUGCGUAGAAUACAAAAAUUGUGUUCUGACUCCAGGCGAACUCCUCGCGACGAAAUUUCGGGCAAAACACAGCCAGUAUAAGAACUUCUGAACUUUCCGCGAAGCUGCCAUCUCUGGCUCCUUCUCGUAGUUCCUUAACCCGAUGUUUCCACACACAAAACAAGAAUGUCGCGCAGUAUAUUCGAAGGCAACGAUCCUGUCCUACCAACAGAAAAAAAAACACGCGUCUCGAACUCUGACUGAGGGGCUGUUCGGUUGAUCAGGAAUGAUGACAUGAAAUUAUUCAUGUCCGGAUUGUUUACCUAUUUUAUAUAAGAUUUCAUGAGGUGGAAUAAAUCUAGGUCCAAUCCUGGACAACCGAACAGGCCCUGAUGAAACGCGGUUCCAUUCCAAUUCCAAGUCCCUCCCUCAUUUCGCCGUGCUCCUCAAUCCUCAUCUCGACUGCUGCAUAUAAAUACUACUGCACACAUGACACAUCGUAUACCUGUCGCUAAAGUAAAGUACGUACGUGACCGGUGGCCAGCCAAAUUGACCACGCACACACCUGUCUGUGCCUGCGACUGCGAAGAAGCAAAAUGGCAGCCUACGAGAAGCAGCAGCGGCCGGAGACGCCGCUGAACGCCGCGUACUACGGCCAGCCGAUCCCUCCGCCGCAGCCGCCCGCGUACUACCCGCCACCGCCGCCGCCGCCACCCGUCCCACGCCGCGGCGGCCGCUCACGCUGCCUGCUCGGCUCCGUCGUGGCCCUCGUCGUCGCGCUCGGCGUCGCCACCCUGGUGCUCUGGCUCAUCUUCCGCCCGGACAACCUCAGGGCCUACGCCGACUCCGCCGCGCUCUCCCGCUUCGACCUCGGCAGCGGCGGGGACCUCCUCCAGUACAACCUCACCGUGGACAUCCGCGUGCGCAACCCCAACCGCUUCGGGAUCCGCUACGACUACGCCGAGGCGCAGGCGUUCUACGACGGCGACCGCUUCGGGUUCGACCCGCUGCAGCCCUUCUACCUGGGCCGCAGGAGCGACGCCCGGGUCACGGCCACGUUCAGCGGCUCGGCGGCGAUGGACGACGGCGGCGACGCGCUGCGCACGUACCGGAGGGAGAGCGGGGAGGGCUUCUACUACGUCACGGUGAAGGUGUACUCGGACCUUAGCUUCAGGGUUAGGGUCGUCCGCCGCCAUGACUUCAAGAGCAAGAUCACCUGCGUGCUGCGGCUGCCCGUGCCCGCUGCCGGCGGCAACGCCAACUCCACCACGGCGAUGACGACGCUCGGGACGAGGUGCGACGUGGACUUCUGAUCAUCCUUGCCGCCGACUGUGCAAAGGGCGCUCUGUGCAUGCAUCCUUUCGCAGUUUGUAUUAUUUGGCCGGCCGGGCCGGGCCGGGGAUAACGUUAUGGACAAUGUCUAUAAUUGUUUGAACGGUACACUGUGAAUGCUCAUUAUUUCCUUCUUUCAUAUGCAUGCAUAUAAUUGAAUAAAGUGUUUGGUUUUUAGAGAUUAAUUUUUAAUCCCUGCAUUUAGUUAUAUUUUAGGUAUUAAAUUGCUAAAUACCGAAAAUAAAAUUCUAUUUGAAUCGUGAUUUUGUUGUGAUUUGAUUGGAUGUGUCUUGUAAAGUUUAAACUGGUGGAUUAUAUAGUGGCACGUGACAGCCAAUCCAUCCCUCCUCGUCUACUAAAAAACAUGAAAAAAAAUGGGAUGGAAAUAUGGAAUUGUCUCAUUAGACCGCAUCCCCUCGUCUCAUGAACAAUCACACCCUAAAUUGGGCAUUAUUGUUCGAAACAAAAUUAUUUGUUAACUGUUUUUAAAGACUAAAUCGUGUUUCAGUUUUCGACGUGUGUUUAAAGCCUUAAAGCUUUGCUGCAAGGAUUCGUAAUUUCGUAGCCUUAACGGUUUCCUUUCUACACAGUGCUUGUUCAAGAUUUGGUACUCCCGAAAAGUGCACAGUUACGUCCACCCAUAAAAUCCCAAUUCUUUUCGGACUUUACUUUUCAACGGGCAGACGCCGUACACAAUUCACCUCCGCGUUCCGUUGGCCGCCUGCCUGCGCGGGUCAAGGACGCAACGGCAACGGCAACGGCCCGUAAUGUCCCGGGAACGUGAGACCCUCAGAAACCACCACAACCUAGGCUACGGCCUGUGUGUCAGUGUGUGCUGUGUACAUAGACGUUCCCUCCAUCGAUACAUGCGUGCACUACUAGCUGAUAAUCGGAAGUUGCAGAAGGCCAUGGCCAGUCACGAGCACAAGAUCGACCAGCCCUACUACGGGCGCCCGCCCAUCCCUCCCGAAGCACCGGCCGCCGGCGUCCGCCCGCUGGCGCGCCGGGACGCGUCGUACGCGCUCCUCUGCCACGCCUUCCGCGCGCUGACGCUGGCGCUCAUCGCCGUCGGCGUCGUGGCGCUGGUGCUCUGGCUCGUCUACCAGCCCAGCAGCCUCAAGGCGUACGUCGACUCGGCGCAGCUCACCCGCUUCGACCUCGACAACAGCGGCACCCAGACCCACCAGCUGCGCUACAACCUCACCGUGGGCGUCAGCAUCCGCAACCCGAACCGGAAGCAGGCCGUGCUGUAUAGGCGCCUGGACGCCGUGGCGCUCUACGGCGGCGAGCGGCUCGGGUACGUGGACUUCCCGCGGGCGCGGCAGGAGCGCAGGAGCACGAUGGAGGUGCGGCCCAGCUUCCGUGGACAGGCCGCCCUCGCCGGCGCCGGCGCGGCGGCGGCGCUGUUCGGCAGGGAGAAGGGCGAGGGGUUCUUCAGCAUCAACGUCAAGCUCCACACGAGGGUGCGGCUGAAGGUGGCCGUCGUGGACAGCGCCGAGUACAGGCCGGACGUGGACUGCUACGUGAGGGUUCCCGACCCGGGCAACGCCACGGCAGUGGCGCUGGGGUUCACGCCGACGCAGUGCCAUGUCGACGACUUCUCGUGACACAGAGAGCGGAAACUGCGAGGAAUAAGUUUGAUGUUACGUGGACGAAUUGAUCUGUCAUUUCCUGUUUUUAUUUAAAUCUAAAGCCAACUAAUCGUAGCUAGGACGAUUGUUCUAUUAUAAGAUAACAUAUAUAGAUCCUGGUUGUCCUUAGGCCUUGUUCGUUUACGUCGGAUUGCAUCUGGAAUCGUUCCAGCUAAUCAAAGUCUAUAUAAAUUAGAGAAGCAAUCUGGUUAGAAAUCGUUCCGACCCAUUAAUCCGGCACAAACGAAAAGGCCUUAAUCCUUAAACUUUUCAUGAUUGUUUGUAUUUUUCAUGUAUGUAAUUAUGGGGGGAAACGCAACUAUUCAUUGUUACGUGGCGCGCGUGCCCCUCGAUAGCACAGCGUCCUUGGUGACUUUGUUAGUACUAACCCCUAAAUUUAGCUAACUAGCUAGUCUCCAAAAAAUGCUUAGUACUCCAUCACUAAUAGAACAAACCACCAAUUGCGUCUACAUUGAAAUGGAUAGGCUUUCUAUACAAUUUUGAAUAGAAAGAUAUUUAAUCACUUUCAACUCUCCUCAAUCCAUCACUAAUAGAAUAAGCCACCAAUAGGUUGAAACGCACCCCAAACUCACCCAACCCAUUGCAAAUAAGUCGUUUUCUCUUACCCCACCCAACCCAAUUAUCCAACUAAAUAACUCAGUCAAACCUGACCAAGCUUGUUCGUUGCGGCUUGCUGCGGCUUUAAUUCGAUUGCGACUACGACUUUUACAGUAUNNNNNNNNNNNNNNNNNNNNNNNNNNNNNNNNNNNNNNNNNNNNNNNNNNNNNNNNNNNNNNNNNNNNNNNNNNNNNNNNNNNNNNNNNNNNNNNNNNNNNNNNNNNNNNNNNNNNNNNNNNNNNNNNNNNNNNNNNNNNNNNNNNNNNNNNNNNNNNNNNNNNNNNNNNNNNNNNNNNNNNNNNNNNNNNNNNNNNNNNNNNNNNNNNNNNNNNNNNNNNNNNNNNNNNNNNNNNNNNNNNNNNNNNNNNNNNNNNNNNNNNNNNNNNNNNNNNNNNNNNNNNNNNNNNNNNNNNNNNNNNNNNNNNNNNNNNNNNNNNNNNNNNNNNNNNNNNNNNNNNNNNNNNNNNNNNNNNNNNNNNNNNNNNNNNNNNNNNNNNNNNNNNNNNNNNNNNNNNNNNNNNNNNNNNNNNNNNNNNNNNNNNNNNNNNNNNNNNNNNNNNNNNNNNNNNNNNNNNNNNNNNNNNNNNNNNNNNNNNNNNNNNNNNNNNNNNNNNNNNNNNNNNNNNNNNNNNNNNNNNGGAAGUCCCGCGGCCUUCGUGUUCGUCCCGCGCCCAGGUCGGGUGCGCUUGCAGUAGGGGGGUUACAAGCGUCCACGCGGGUGAGGGAAGCGAGCGGCCCCAAGAGAGCGCCUGUCCCGUCCUCGGUCCCGCGCGGCCAACCUUCUCUAAGAAGGCCAUGGUCCUCCCUUUUAUAGUCGUAAGGAGAGGAUCCAGGUGUACAAUGGGGGGUGUAGCAGAGUGCUACGUGUCUAGCGGAGAGAGAGCUAGCGCCCUAGGUACAUGCCAAUGUGGCAGCCGGAGAGGUCUUGGCACCUUGCUGGCGUGAUGUCGUGGCUGUCGGAGGUGCGACGGAGCCUGGCGGAGGGACAGCUGUUAGAGCGGUCGAGUCCUUGCUGACGUCGCCCUGCUUCCGUAAGAGAGCUGGGGGCCGCCGUCGUCACAGAGCUUGUGGAGUGCCAUCAUUGCCCAUCCGGCGAAGCUGGCCGGAUGGGACGCCGGUCUUGUUCUCCGUAACCCGAGUCGAUUCGGGGUAGGACGAUGAUGGCGCUUCCUGUUGACGUGGCGGGCCUGUGCCCUAGGCAGGGUGACGUGGGGGCUCCUCCGAAGCCGAGGUUGAGUCUGUCUUCUGUUGCCGAGGCCGAGCCUGAGCCAUGGGGUCGGGCAAGGCGGAGGUCGUUCGGCUGAGGCCAGGGCGGAGUCCGAGCCCUGGGGUCGGGCGAGGCGGAGUUUCGUCGUCUUCCGGGUCUUAGCCCGAGUCCGAGCCCUGGGGUCGGGCGGAGCGGAGUUCGCCGUCUUCCGGGUCUUAGCCCGAGUCCGAGCCCUGGGGUCGGGCGGAGCGGAGUUCGCCGUCUUCCGGGUCUUAGCCCGAGUCCGAGCCCUGGGGUCGGGCGGAGCGGAGUUCGCCGUCUUCCGGGUCUUAGCCCGAGUCCGAGCCCUGGGGUCGGGCGGAGCGGAGUUCGCCGUCUUCCGGGUCUUAGCCCGAGUCCGAGCCCUGGGGUCGGGCGGAGCGGAGUUCGCCGUGGCGCCUUUGGCAAGGCCUGACUGCCUGUUAGACUCACUCUGUCGAGUGGCACCGCAGUCGGAGUGGCGCAGGCGGCGCUGUCCUUCUGUCAGACUGGUCAGUGGAGCGGUGGAGUGACGGCGGUCACUUCGGCUCUGCCGGGGGGGCGCGUGUCAGGAUAAAGGUGUCAGGCCACCUUUGCGUUAAAUGCUCCUGCAACUUGGUCAGUCGGUGUGGCGAUUUAGUCAGGGUUGCUUCUGAGCGAAGCCAAGCCUCGGGCGAGCCGGUGAUGUGUCCGCCGUAAAAAGGGGGGCCUCGGGCGAGACGGAAGUCUCUCGAGGUCGGCUGCCCUUGGCCGAGGCUAGGCUCGGGUGAAGCGUGAUCGAGUCACUCGUGUGGACUGAUCCCUGACUUAAUCGUACCCAUCAGGCCUUUGCAGCUUUACGCUGAUGGGGGUUACCAGCUGAGAAUUAGGCGUCUUGAGGGUACCCCUAAUUAUGGUCCCCGGCAGUAGCCCCCGAGCCUCGAAGGGAGUGUUAGCACUCGCUUGGAGGCUUUCGUCGCACUUUUUUGCAAGGGGACCAGCCUUUCUCGGUUGCAUUUUGUUCCGGUGGGUGCGCGCGAGCGCACCCGCCGGGUGUAGCCCCCGAGGCCUCGGAGGAGUGGUUACACUCCUUUGAGGUCUUAAUACCUUGCGUAAUGCUUUGGCUGGUCUGGUCGUUCCCUCAUGCGAACUGGCCGUAGCCCGGGUGCACGGUCGGGGCCCAAGCUCUCGGGCUGGUAUGUUGACGCUGUCAACGGUUUGGCCGGAGCCGGUUUUUGCGAGAGCAGCCCCCGAGCCUCUGCAUAGGGCGAGAGGACGAUCAGGGACAGACUCGACUUUUUACAUACGCCCCUACGUCGCCUUUCCGCAAGGAGGAGGGGGGUGUGCGCCAUGUUACCCUCGAUGGGCACCGAACAUGGUGUCUCCGGUGAGCUGCAAGCGGGUAAUCCGAGUGGACGUCCGUGCCCCGUUCGUUGGGGGUCGGCUAGGGGCCCAGAGGCACGCCCAAAAGUACCUGCGGGUGAUUUGCCGGACCCGGUCCCCUGGCGACGGGGUCCGAGGGCUCGAUGCCUCCCUCCGAUGGGAUUCCGUUACAAGAUCGUUCCCGCUGGUCUCGGAAAUGUCCUAGGGUACCUCAGGAGCGCAGCCCGAGCCUCGGUUAUGUAUCGAACGUACCCCUGGUCAUCCCUCGCUCGGUGUCUGAGGCGACUGUGAACCCUUCGGGGGCCAGCCUUCGAACCCCUGAUCAGUAAUGGGCGCGGAGCCCGAGUAGCCUGAGGCGGCCAUGGAACCCUUCGGGGGGCUGGCCUUCGAACCCCUGACCAGUAGUGGGUGUCGGGCCCACGCGAUCUGAGGCGACUGUUGAACCCUUCGGAGGGCCAGUCUUCGAACCCCUGAUCAGUAGGGGGGGCUCGGAGCCCGGUUCCUUCGUGGAGAAGGAUCCUUUUCGGGGUAUCCCCCUUUCCCGGUCCCUGUUGCAAGAGAUAGAGAAAGAGGAAAAAGGAAAAGGAUACGAAAUCGAACGACGUGGCGUACCUUUUCUGACGCGGUUAUUACGGCGAAGGUGAAGCGUCGCGCGCUCCUCCCGUCAGAGGCGCCGCGUGUCCCGACGCGGAGUUAAUGCGACGGGGCGAGUGAUUGGCGGGGCGGCCGUUACGCGCGCGCAAGCCGUUCGAGGAACGGGUCACGGUGCACCGUCUUCACGUCGUGGGAGGAGGCUCUCUUGCUGUCCCAGGAUGAGACGUGAGCCUGACUGACGACGUGACUGCUGCGCCCGCCCGCCUGCCACCGCCAUUACUGCCGGCCCACUUUCGGUCGCUUUGACCAACGCGCCAGGCUGGCGCUGCUGGGUCGCCUCGAGUCGCGGCAUAGGCUUCGCAACCGAAGAGGCGCGACGGUGGCCCAAGUGGCGGUGCGGUUGCCUGUAUGCAGCAACUGGCGCGCCGGUUGCUUGACGCGUGGGCCUGGGCUUCUAAGCUGUCGUGUCAGAAGUCGGAGAAGCGCGUCCACCUGGCGCGGUUGCAUGCCGCCUGCAUGGCUGCCCGCCCCUUCCGCCCGUUGGUCUGGGCAAAAGUGGGGGGUCGCUCGUAACCGCUGGGCGGUCGUGCGCACCACGCGCGGCGGAUUGGCUUCUUCUGCCCUGAGCCGGUUUGCAUGACAUGCGGGACCCAGCCCCCGAGUCGCAGGGGAGGGUCUUGGAGCGUGUUGGAGAAGACUCAGCCUGCGGCGUCUGGGGGCGCACGUAGGGAGAGUUGCCUUUAAAAGGAGGGAGACUCCUUUCAGAAGGCAACCAUGUCUUCUUCCUCCCUUAUGCGUCGUGUCUUUCCAUCUUCCAAGCCCCCGGAUGGGGGGUAUCCGCCGUCUUUCCGCCUCCUCGUUGGAGGAACGCAACUCCAUGGGAGUUGGUACCUCUCAGCCAUCAUUCGGCUUCAAGGAUUUUCAUCAGCCGGCCCGGCCGCACCGCCACGCCGGCGAUCACCCAGGAUGGUGACCACCAGUUUCUGGGUGGGGAAGAGCAAGCCGGGCUGCGAUCUUGGUCCCACCCUCAGCUUCAAGGAUGUUCAUCAUCCUCGCUGAGGUGGGGGCCACGCUGAGCCGGCGCCCUACCUCCCGCGCGGGUCCGCGGGUCACCCUUUUCCGCGGCGUUCGGGGGCGGAGGCGCUCGCUGGCCCUGCGGACGGCGCGGACUUAGACAACGUGGGGCUGAUCGACGGCGGGCGUCGUCACCUCCAGCGUGUCGGAGUCGUCGGCUGGGCUUCCGGCGGCCCUUCCUGCCGGGGGGCGACCGCCGUACCGCGUGCACGGGAGGACCACCCACGAUGUCGCGCGCCGUUAGGGCGGCGUUCGUGUUCUGGGGUGGUCCUGCUUUUGCACUGGGACGACGCCCUCGCGCAGAGGCCGGUGCCCCACUCGUCCGGGAGGAUUUGAGUGGGGAUCUGCCGGGGGGCUGGUGUCCCCUGCCAUCGGCGCCGAGGCGGAGGCGGCUCGAGAAGUCCUCGUCGCCGACGGGAUCACUGCCACCACCCGCGCCCCGGGCCAUCGCGCCGGCGUACUUGUCCUCGCCCCUCGAGCGUCGGCGGGGGCGAGAACAAGAUCGCAGCAACGCCGGUCCACUGUCGCCGUAGUCAGAACGGGCGGCGGCGAGCCGCUCGUCAGUCUUCUGUUGCUCCGCAGGCCCUCCCCAUGGAGUGGGGUCGUUCGUGCCUGCGGAGGGGGAACCGGAGUUCCGUUCGUAAUGGCACUUCGAAUGCCGGUGAGUUUGUUCAUUGCGGCUGUCGGGGCCUGAACAUGUAUGUAAUUUCGGCACGGAGCCGUGUUUUUUCCUCAUUUUCGAGCGCUAAGUCUCGCCUAUUGAUUAUCUGAACCGCUUUACCAAGCAUGAGUCGCCCCGUGUCAAGGUGACGAGUGAGGUAUCCGUAUCCCGGAGGCGUAGAAAUCCCUCGGCCCGAUCGGCCUUGUUGUCUGGGGCUCCUCUAGCUUAGUUAAAGAGACCCCUCGGCCGCCCUUCGAUGAGCCGAGGCCAGGGGUAGCGAUAUCAGUAUGAACAGAGGCGGAGUUGGCUCGAGAAUGGGAACCUGGUUGGCUGGAGCCUAGCCGUGUUGUCCGUCAGCGGAGCCGACGCCAAAGUCGAUCAGCCGAGGCCUCGGGUCGGGCUGGCGCCCUUGGAAGCCGGUUGGCCGAGGCCCCAGGGGUAACCGGCCGAGCCGCCUGCUCGGGCCGGAUUCCCGGAGGAAUUCCUGGACCGCGUCGCCGUCCGAGGCUGGGUCGGACUUUGCUGAAGACGUCGUCGAUGCCGAGGGUGCUACGGCUCCCUUCAGCGUGAAGAUCCGAGCCUACAGGAUCAGAUCGUCUUGUAGCGUGUGCCUUCUGCGGCCGCCGAGGCCAGAAAAACACACCCUCGCCGUGCUUGCGAAGCUGCGUCUUUUUUCCUCUUGUUUCGAGCAUCUGGACUCUCUGUCGGUAACAGGGAUGUUUGUGUGAGCGAGAGUUGCUUCUCGCGGAAGGGACGAGUGAGGUAUCCGUAUCCCAGAGGCGUGGGAAUCCCUCGGCUCGGUCGGCCUUGCCGCUUACGCGUACUUCCACCCGUCCAUGAGGCCCUGUCCUCGACUCAGUCGAGAAAGCUUGAAGGACUGCUUCGGCAGGAGAGCUUCCGAACGUGAAGACUUGUUCGGUCCACGGAGUCGCUUUAUCCGAGCGCGAGUUACUUAUCGCAGAAGGUGAUGAGUGAGGUAUCCGUAUCCCGGAGGCGUAGGAGUCCCUCGGCUCGGUCAGCCUUGGCUGCUUACGUGUACUCCGUCGUUUCCAGGAUCCGCUUUCCGAAGUAGUCAAGAAGCACGAAAGUAAUCCUGCUAAAAAGAGAUCCUUUUUCGAGGAAAAAUUCGACGCAGAGGGGGUCUCCCCCCUUUUAGCCCCCGAGGGAGGGUCGGGCUUUGCCGAGGCUAGGCCGACCCUUCCUUGACGACUAAACUUUGCGUAGGUGCGAGGUAUAUGAACAACUUGGAAACAUCUUAAGGGUAGAAGCGACGUAGCUGUUUGAUGUUCCAAGCGUUGCCAUAGAUCUCGCCUUGAUUGUUGGCCAGCUUGUAUGUUCCGGGCUUCAGAACUUUGGCAAUGACGAAUGGCCCUUCCCAGGGGGGCGUGAGCUUGUGCCUCCCUCGGGCGUCUUGCCGCAGCCGAAGCACCAGAUCGCCCACCUGGAGGUCUCGGAACCGGACCCCUCGGGCGUGGUAGCGUCGCAGGGACUGCUAGUACCGCGCCGAGUGUAGUAAGGCCCUGUCCCGAGCCUCCUCCAGCUGGUCCAGCGAUUCUUCUCGGCUAGCUUGGUUGCUUUGAUCGGUGUAGGCCCUCGUCCUCAGGGAGCCGUAUUCCAGGUCAGUGGGCAAGAUAGCUUCAGCCCCGUAGACCAGGAAAAACGGCGUGAAACCCGUGGCACGACUCGGCGUCGUCCUUAGGCUCCAGACCACCGAGGGGAGUUCCUUCAUCCACCGCUUGCCGAACUUGUUGAGGUCGUUGUAGAUCCGAGGCUUGAGCCCUUGUAGAAUCAUGCCGUUGGCACGCUCUACUUGCCCAUUCGACAUGGGAUGAGCCACGGCGGCCCAGUCCACCCGGAUAUGGUGAUCCUCGCAAAAAUUCAAGAAUUUUUUGCCGGUGAACUGGGUGCCGUUGUCGGUGAUGAUGGAGUUCGGGACCCCGAAGCGAUGGAUGAUGUUGGUGAAGAACGCCACUGCCUGCUCGGACCUGAUGCUGUUCAGAGGUCGGACCUCGAUCCACUUGGAGAAUUUGUCGAUGGCGACCAGCAGGUGCGUGUAGCCCCCGGGCGCCUUCUGCAAGGGACCGACGAGGUCCAGACCCCAUACAGCGAAGGGCCAGGUGAUGGGUAUUGUCUGCAGAGCCUGAGUGGGCAGGUGGGUCUGCUUCGCAUAGAAUUGGCACCCUUCGCAGGUGCGGACAAUUCUAGUGGCGUCAUCCACCGCCGUUGGCCAGUAGAAGCCUUGCCGGAAAGCAUUCCCGACAAGGGCUCGGGGCGCUGCGUGGUGGCCGCAAGCCCCCGAGUGUAUUUCUUGCAGCAGUUCCCGACCUUCGGCGAUGGAGAUGCAUCGCUGGAGGAUGCCCGAGGGGCUGCGAUGGUAGAGCUCCUCUUCAUCGCCCAGCAAGACGAACAACUUGGCGCGUCGCGCUACCCGCCGAGCCUCGACUUGGUCGGGGGUAGCUCUCCUCGACGGAGAUAUUGCAGGUACGGGGCCUGCCAAUCUCGAUCUGGCGUGGCCCCGCUCUGCUCUUCCUCGACGUCCAGUGCCUCGCCCUCGGGGGCCGAGGGUACCUCGGGCUGGGCCGAGGGUGCCUCGGGCAGAGCCGAGGGUACCUCGGGCUCGGGUGCGUCGUCGAUCUUGACAGAGGGUUGAUGCAGAUCCUGGGAGAAGACGUCCGGGGGGACCGUCGUUCGCCCCGAGGCUAUUUUAGCCAGCUCGUCUGCGGUUUCGUUGUAGCGCCGAGCGAUGUGGUUGAGCUCGAGCCCGAAGAACUUGUCUUCCAGGCGCCGAACCUCGUCGCAGUAGGCCUCCAUCUUCGGGUCGCGGCAGUGGGAGUUCUUCAUGACUUGGUCGAUGACGAGCUGCGAAUCACCGCGGGCGUCGAGGCGUCUGACCCCUAGCUCGAUGGCGAUCUGCAACCCGUUGGCCAGAGCUUCGUACUCGGCCACAUUGUUGGACGCCGGGAAAUGGAGGCGCAGCACGUAGCGCAAGUGCUUUCCGAGGGGCGAGAUGAAGAGCAGGCCCACGCCGGCUCCUGUCUUCAUCAGCGACCCGUCGAAAAACAUGAUCCAGAGCUCCGGUUGGAUCGGAGCCGUCGGCAACUGGGUGUCAACCCAUUCGGCCACGAAGUCCGCCAACACCUGGGACUUGAUGGCCUUCCGAGGGGCGAACGAGAUCGUUUCGCCCAUGAUUUCCACCGCCCACUUUGCGAUCCUGCCCGAGGCCUCUCGGCACUGGAUGAUCUCCCCCAGGGGGAAGGAUGACACCACAGUUACCGGAUGAGACUCGAAGUAGUGUCGCAGCUUCCGCCUUGUCAGGAUCACAGCAUACAGCAGCUUUUGAACUUGUGGGUAGCGGAUCUUGGUCUCGGACAGUACUUCGCUGAUGAAGUAGACCGGCCUCUGAACGGGCAAUGCGUGCCCUUCCUCUUGCCUCUCGACCACAAUCGCGGCGCUAACCACCUGAGUGGUCGCGGCGACGUAGACCAAGAGGACUUCUCCAUCCGCCGGGUUCACCAAGACAGGCGCCUUUGUAAGGAGCGCCUUCAGGUUCCCGAGGGCUUCCUCGGCCUCAGGGGUCCAAGCGAAACACUCGGCCUUCCUUAAGAGGCGGUACAGAGGCAGACCUCUUUCGCCGAGGCGUGAGAUGAAGCGGCUCAGGGCCGCGAGGCAUCCCAUGACCCUCUGUACACCUUUUAAGUCCUUGAUGGGUCCCAUGCUGGUGAUGGCCGCGAUCUUCUCCGGGUCGGCUUCAAUGCCUCGCUCGGAGACGAUGAACCCUAUGAGCAUGCCUCAGGGCACCCCGAAGACACACUUCUCAGGAUUGAGCCUGACUCCUUUCGCCUUGAGACAUCGGAAUGUCACUUCAAGGUCGGAGAGGAGGUCAGAAGCCUUCCUUGUCUUGACUACGAUGUCAUCGACGUAGGCCUCGACUGUGCGACCGAUGUGUUCGCCGAACACAUGGUUCAUGCAUUGCUGGUACGUCGCGCCCGCAUUCCUCAAACCGAACGGCAUGGUGACAUAGCAGUACAUGCCGAACGGCGUGAUGAAAGAAGUCGCGAGCUGGUCGGACUCUUUCAUCCGGAUCUGGUGAUACCCUGAGUAGGCAUCGAGGAAGGACAGGGUUUCGCACCCAGCGGUGGAAUCCACGAUUUGAUCGAUGCGAGGCAGAGGGUAGGGAACCUUCGGACAUGCUUUGUUGAGACCAGUGUAGUCUACACACAUCCGCCAUUUCCCCCCUUUCUUCCUCACAAGCACAGGGUUGGCAAGCCAUUCGGGAUGGAAUACCUCUUUGAUGAACCCUGCUGCCAUUAGCUUGUGGAUCUCUUCGCCAAUCACUCUGCGCUUCUCCUCGUCGAAUCGGCGCAGAGGCUGCCUGAUGGGUCGGGCUCCGGCCCGAAUAUCCAGCGAGUGCUCGGCGACAUCCCUCGGUAUGCCGGGCAUGUCCGAGGGACUCCACGCAAAGACGUCGGCGUUUGCGCGGAGAAAGUCGACGAGCACUGCUUCCUAUUUGGGGUCGAGCCCGGAACCGAUCCGGAUCUGCUUGGUGGUGUCGCCACUGGGGUCAAGAGGGACGGCCUUAACCGUCUCCGUUGGCUCGAAGUUGCCGGCAUGGCGCUUCACGUCUGGCACCUCCUUGGAGAGGUUCUCCAGGUCGGCGAUGAGGGCCUCGGACUCGGCGAGGGCCUCGGCGUACUCCACGCACUCCACGUCGCAUUCGAACGCGUGUUUGUACGUGGGGCCGACGGUGAUGACCCCGUUGGGGCCCGGCAUCUUGAGCUUCAGGUAGGUGUAGUUGGGGACGGCCAUGAACUUCGCGUAGCAUGGCCUCCCUAGUACGGCGUGGUAGGUUCCUCGGAACCCGACCACCUCGAACGUCAGGGUCUCCCUUCGGAAGUUGGAGGGCGUCCCAAAGCAGACGGGGAGGUCGAGUCGCCCGAGGGGCUGGACGCGCUUCCCAGGGAUGAUCCCGUGGAAGGGCGCAGCGCCUGCUCGGACGGAGGACAGAUCGACGCGCAGGAGCUUGAGGGUCUCGGCGUAGAUGAUGUUGAGGCAGCUGCCCCCAUCCAUCAGGACCUUGGUGAGCCUGACAUUGCCGACAACGGGGUCGACGACGAGCGGGUAUUUCCCCGGGCUCGGCACAUGGUCGGGGUGGUCGGCCUGGUCGAAGGUGAUGGGCUUGUCGGACCAGUCUAGGUAGACUAGCGCCGCCACCUUCACCGAGCAGACCUCCCGGCGCUCUUGCUUGCGAUGCCGAGCCGAGGCAUUCGCCGCAUGUCCUCCAUAGAUCAUGAAGCAGUCGCGGACCUCGGGGAACUCUCCUGCUUGGUGAUCUUCGUUCUUGUCGCCGUCGCGGGCCGUGCCACCCUCGGCGGGUGGCCCGGCCCUGUGGAAGUGACGCCGAAGCAUAACGCACUCCUCGAGGGUGUGCUUGACGGGCCCCUGAUGGUAGGGGCACGGCUCCUUGAGCAUCUUGUCGAAGAGGUUUGCACCUCCGGGGGGCUUCCGAGGGUUCUUGUGCUCGGCGGCGGCGACAAGGUCCGCGUCAGCAGCGUCGCGUUUCGAUUGCGACUUCUUCUUGCCUUUCUUCUUGGCGCCGCGCGGAGCAGACGCCUCGGGAGCCUCUUCCGAUGGGCGGCCCUGGGGCUGCUUGUCCUUUCGGAAGAUAGCCUCGACCGCCUCCUGGCCAGAGGCGAACUUGGUGGCGAUGUCCAUCAGCUCGCUCGCCCUGGUGGGGGUCUUGCGACCCAGCUUGCUCACCAGGUCGCGGCAAGUGGUGCCGGCGAGGAACGCGCCGAUGACAUCCGAGUCGGUGAUGUUGGGCAGCUCGGUGCGCUGCUUCGAGAAUCGCCGGAUGUAGUCCCGGAGCGACUCCCCCGGCUGUUGCCGGCAGCUUCGAAGGUCCCAGGAAUUCCCGGGGCGCACGUAUGUGCCCUGGAAAUUGCCAGCGAAGGCUUGGACCAAGUCGCCCCAGUUGGAGAUCUGCCUCGGAGGCAGGUGCUCCAACCAGGCGCGAGCAGUGUCGGAGAGGAACAGGGGGAGGUUACGGAUGAUGAAGUUGUCGUCGUCCGUCCCACCCAGUUGGCAGGCGAGGCGGUAGUCCGCGAGCCACAGUUCCGGUCUCGUUUCCCCCGAGUACUUCGUGAUAGUAGUCGGGGGCCGGAACCGGGUCGGGAAUGGCGCCCGUCGGAUGGCUCGACUAAAGGCCUGCGGACCGGGUGGUUCGGGCGAGGGACUCCGAUCCUCCCCGCUGUCGUAGCGCCCCCCACGCCUGGGGUGGUAGCCUCGGCGCACCCUUUCGUCGAGGUGGGCCCGACGGUCGCGUCGAUGGUGCUCGUUGCCGAGGUGGCCCGGGGCCGCAGGCGCGGUGUUGCGCGUGCGCCUGGUGUAGACCGAGGCUUCCCGCAUGAAUCGGGAAGUCUCGGCAUGAGGUUCCGAGGGAUAUCCCUGCCUUCGGGAGGCGGUGCUCUCGGCCCGUCGGGCCGCAGCGCCUUCCAGGAGAUUCUUGAGCUCUCCCUGGAUUCGCCGACCCUCGGUGGUUGAUGGCUCCGGCAUCGCGCGGAGGAGCAUCGCUGCGGCUGCCAGGUUCUGACCAACCCCGCUGGAUGCGGGCGGCGGCCUGACCCCGGCAUCGUUGGCGACGCGGUGCUAGAGACCUUGGGGCAGGUGACGUAUUUCUCCGGCCAAGGGUUGGCCCGCCCAUACCUGCCCGACGUCCCGACGGAUCGGCUCAAGCGCUCCUGUUCCCUCGUUGAGCCUGGCCUGCGCCUCGCGGGCUUGCUCGAGUUGUGGGUCGUAACCCCCCGCCGGAGCGGGGACCACAGCUAGCUCCCGUGGGAUGUCGGCGCGAGGCACCGGCCUAGGAAGAUCACCGUCCUCCGGCAUGCCGAGAUGGUUGCCUUCGGAGGGAUCCCCUAGCUCGAUGUGGAAACAUUCGCGGCUUGGGCCGCAGCUCUCGUUGCCAAGGCUGCGGCUUCCGUCAGAACAGUCGGAGAGGCAGUAGUCGCAUGCGGUCAUGAAGUCCCGCACGGCACUGGGGUUGCCAAGUCCGGAGAAAUCCCAACAGAUGCUGGGAUCGUCAUCUUCCUCGGACCCAGAGGGCCCGUAGGUCGAGACGUCCGCCAGCCGGUCCCAAGGCGACCGCAUACAAAACCCCAGUGGGGUUGCACUCGCCUCAAUGAGAGCGCCCGCCAAAGCGAGGUCGUUUGGCGGGUUGAGGCCGAGUCGAAAUGACGCAAGAUGGGAGUUAGUCGGUACCUUUUGGUCGACGAGGAGCGACGUAGUCACAUCGGGGACUGGUUGCACCGUCAUCUCAGGUACGAGGGCGACGUCCUUCGUCUUGAAUGCGAGGUCGACGUCCGGCGUGCCUUCCGUCGGGGCGUCGGGGGCGUCGAUUCGCUCGACGGCCAACGAAGCGCGGCCUCCCGCUUGUCCUUGAUGGCCCCGCCUCCUCCUCCGUUGGCGGGGGAGAGAACGGAGCGAGCUCGAAUGUUGCUCUUCCACCACGCGGGGAAGAUGUCAUCGAUUCCGCUGCCGGCGGGCGGGUUGUUGGCCGCCAUUGUCGUUGUCGCGCGGCGGUGGAAGAAGUAUCAUGUCGUAGCUGCCGUCGAAGGACAUGAACUCAAGAGUCCCGAAACGAAGCACCGUCCCGGGCCGGAGAGGUUGCUGGAGACUGCCCAUCUGGAGCUUGACGGGGAGCUGUUCGUCAGCACGCAGCAGGCCCCUACCUGGCGCGCCAACUGUCGGCGUUUCGAGACAGGGGGGUCCCUAAGCCGACGAGUGAGUGUGCUGCGUGCCCCAGCCCAGAUGGGUCGAGCGCGUGGGCGAGCGCGAAGGGGGGAGAGGCGAGGUGGCCGGAGCCGAGCGUGAGAGAGGUGGAAGUCCCGCGGCCUUCGUGUUCGUCCCGCGCCCAGGUCGGGUGCGCUUGCAGUAGGGGGGUUACAAGCGUCCACGCGGGUGAGGGAAGCGAACGGCCCCAAGAGAGCGCCUGUCCCGUCCUCGGUCCCGCGCGGCCAACCUUCUCUAAGAAGGCCCUGGUCCUCCCUUUUAUAGUCGUAAGGAGAGGAUCCAGGUGUACAAUGGGGGGUGUAGCAGAGUGCUACGUGUCUAGCGGAGAGAGAGCUAGCGCCCUAGGUACAUGCCAAUGUGGCAGCCGGAGAGGUCUUGGCACCUUGCUGGCGUGAUGUCGUGGCUGUCGGAGGUGCGACGGAGCCUGGCGGAGGGACAGCUGUUAGAGCGGUCGAGUCCUUGCUGACGUCGCCCUGCUUCCGUAAGAGAGCUGGGGGCCGCCGUCGUCACAGAGCUUGUGGAGUGCCAUCAUUGCCCAUCCGGCGAAGCUGGCCGGAUGGGACGCCGGUCUUGUUCUCCGUAACCCGAGUCGAUUCGGGGUAGGACGAUGAUGGCGCUUCCUGUUGACGUGGCGGGCCUGUGCCCUAGGCAGGGUGACGUGGGGGCUCCUCCGAAGCCGAGGUUGAGUCUGUCUUCUGUUGUCGAGGCCGAGCCCGAGCCAUGGGGUCGGGCGAGGCGGAGGUCGUUCGGCCGAGGCCAGGGCGGAGUCCGAGCCCUAGGGUCGGGCGAGGCGGAGUUUCGUCGUCUUCCGGGUCUUAGCCCGAGUCCGAGCCCUGGGGUCGGGCAGAGCAGAGUUCGCCGUCUUCCGGGUCUUAGCCCGAGUCCGAGCCCUGGGGUCGGGCGGAGCGGAGUUCGCCGUCUUCCGGGUCUUAGCCCGAGUCCGAGCCCUGGGGUCGGGCGGAGCGGAGUUCGCCGUCUUUCGGGUCUUAGCCCGAGUCCGAGCCCUGGGGUCGGGCGGAGCGGAGUUCACCGUCUUCCGGGUCUUAGCCCGAGUCCGAGCCCUGGGGUCGGGCGGAGCGGAGUUCGCCGUCUUCCGGGUCUUAGCCCGAGUCCGAGCCCUGGGGUCGGGCGGAGCGGAGUUCGCCGUGGCACCUUUGGCAAGGCCUAACUGCCUGUCAGACUCACUCUGUCGAGUGGCACCGCAGUCGGAGUGGCGUAGGCGGCACUGUCCUUCUGUCAGACUGGUCAGUGGAGCGGUGGAGUGACGGCGGUCACUUCGGCUCUGCCGGGGGGGCGCGUGUUAGGAUAAAGGUGUCAGGCCACCUUUGCGUUAAAUGCUCCUGCAACUUGGUCAGUCGGUGUGGCGAUUUAGUCAGGGUUGCUUCUGAGCGAAGCCAAGGCCUCGGGUGAGCCGGUGAUGUGUCCGCCGUAAAAAGGGGGGCCUCGGGCGAGACGGAAGUCUCUCGAGGUCGGCUGCCCUUGGCCGAGGCUAGGCUCGGGUGAAGCGUGAUCGAGUCACUCGUGUGGACUGAUCCCUGACUUAAUCGUACCCAUCAGGCCUUUGCAGCUUUACGCUGAUGGGGGUUACCAGCUGAGAAUUAGGCGUAUUGAGGGUACCCCUAAUUAUGGUCCCCGACAACACAGUACAUCUCCACUAGAUGAGAAUGAUUCACGAUGAAUGGGCCACGAAAGCGUUGCGAGUGUGAUGUUGAAAGUGAAAUCCAUGACCACGAUGCGAGGCCGUUUGGUUGGAUGAAAGUCGUUGUAUUGCAUUGCGUUCAGGUUCUCUUAACAAGACUUUGCAACAAUUAAUGGAGGAUGUUGAACGCACUAGGCAAGGAUGGAGACUUUGGUACGAACCAAGCAAAGCAAGCACAAGAAAACUCAAGCAAAUUCGUCCUGCUUAGAGAACUGGCUGUCAGGAGUUGUGGAGGUAGGCUAUGCUCCAGUGACUCCGAGGCAUCCUCGCAUCGGUCCUCUCUGUCGUCAGAAUGAAAACCCAAUUGGGUUCCGGGUGAUGUUGGUGUCAAAGUGAAUUGCAGGUUCUCUGUCUAAUCCACAGGUAUAGUUGGUCAAACGGGCGGACCUGGCCCAACAUAGGCCCAUUAUAGCAAGACACGUUUAGGGCACCUCGAACUCCGACGGUCUUAAGAAAAAAGCUUAACCGCACUCUCCUAACCAAGAGGACUUAUCAACUGCAACUGUGUUAUGCAUAGAAUUGAUAUAGUGUAUAUAAAUAUAUGUGUGUGCGCGCUAGUAAUUGUAAAUGAAAAAAUGUAAUCGUGUCGUGCACGGACCAAGACAGUGGGCCAGACACGACAUUGUAGCCGGGUCGUGCAUGGAUCGUACUUUUUCGUGUCAUGCCUAAGCCGACCUAUCGUGUUAGUGCUAAUUGUCUAUCUAUAUCCGCAGGACCGAGGGGCACCGUGCGGGAAUGUCCGCAUGCGGGUUUGUUGAGACUUAAGCGACUAACAUGCGCUCGCCACCACGCUUGAUUGGAGCCAUGGUGUGCCACGACGGAGGUCAUCGCCUUUAUGCCAUACAAAACAUUUGGAGGUCACGGAUUCUGCGUACUCGAUGUCCACUAGACACGGAUGGUGUGUGUCGCGGUGGUGCACGAAGUUGGUUAAAGAACAUGGGUGAAAAAGAAUUUAAUCUAAUAAAUCGACAAACUUAACCUAAGUUGACCAGUUUAACGACGAACAUAGUCGACGACAUAUCUUCAUAUCUUCGAAGGACUUAAUAGGUUAGGUUCGUGCGAGCCAACAGACUUAAUAGGUUAAGUUCAUGAGGACCCACGUUCUAAAGUAAAAUUAAGAUCAUCGGCAUCCGCGUUCUUAACUUAAAAACAUGCCCCCAGGAACUUAAAGUUAAGAAUGUCCUUUUAGAAACAACAUCCUCACUCAUAUUAGAUUGGUUAUUUCUCAUGCAUUUCUGAAAGACACGCCGUCUCUAUUAUAUAAAGGAUUAGCCUCAGAAUAACCAUGUGCAAAAAGGAAGACACUAACCCGAUUGGGAUCUCCACCAUCAAAUAGAUUUAAUUGUAAACUUGUUGCGCAAGGCAAAGUCAAUCGUAGCAAAUGGUAGAUACAAACGGAAUUCAUGAGUCACAUGUCACACAAAAAAAUGUGAAACACACGUGUGCACGCGUGCGUGUCACAUUAGCUUUCUCUUUCACUUUUUUUUAAGAAAUAGCAAAAGACAAGUAAUUUAAGUUUGCUCCAUCUCUCUUCAACUCACCACUCUCAUUCCUACCAUACAUGAGGAGGCCCUUGAGAUUUAUUCUAAACUUCAUUGUAAGCUAAAUGAAUAAUAAAGCCUAAUACACUUCAACAGCCUGCUCUAUCUAUGGUUCCCUUCUCUAAUUCUGAAGGUGAUCCACUUUUCUCUUUUUCAGUUAUAGAUUUUGAAGUAUAUAAAAAUCCUACGGUACACUCUUGAGCUUCUUUGGCGCACUUUUGGUUGGACAAAUGGGCUGCCGUUGGUCCGCUUGUCGUUUAGCUGAACAACGACAAGUAUAUAAAUAAAGGAUAUAGAACUAUAAAUGAUAUUAUUUGACACUAUUUGAAGUGUGGAGUUUGAAAUAGAGGAUUAGAUAGAGGAUGUGCUGAAGAUAGUCGAGCAAAUUCCCUAUUCCAACAACAAGCGUGGAGAACGGAAAGACGAAAGUGUCACACUGUUCGGUUGGGAUUAAAGCAAAUUGUUCGAACUACUGUAUCUAUCUAUAAUCAAUAGAGCAAAACACCGUAGACAUAAUAGAAAGCCAAGCGAACAUACUCCGCGAUCAAGCGGAAACCGUCAGCCAUCUUGUGCUGGGCUGCGCGUGGUUAGUAGGCAUCUAAUCCUUGGGUCGAUCGGUGCUGCAGCCACGGCCCACGGUGCCAAACGUUGAUGACAGCCUGCCCGACGGGACUGGUGGUUGCAUUGCACCGAAGGGCAAGUAUGCUGCAACAUGGCAGCCAUCUAGCAGCGAGGGAUCCUUGUGGCUUGUGCUUAUACAGACCCCCUCCCUGAUUUUGUAAUUGCCUCUUACUAAUACAAGCACGUGUCUCUUACUAAUACAAGGCCCUUGAGCGAGUUAUUACUGAUAAAAAAAAUCUAGCAGCGAGGGACGGGGCAGACCCGCAUGCGAGGGUGUCGCUGUUGAUCCCCGAGUCCGCGUUCAAAGCUGGGUUGCUGAGCACGAACGAGGUGGUCCGUGUCCGUCAAUGACGACGCAAGAGGGGGAGAGAGACAGUGACCCGAGUAGCGUAGGAGGCAGGACGUUGCAGUAACUGCUUCCAGUGAUCUCUGAACGCUGAACACGGACCACCGAUCGCUCGCUAGCGGCCGAUGGUUGCACGCAGACCCAGCACGCCUCACUUCCUUCAUCCAGGAGGGGCCGAGAUGUCUGGACACUUUCAGCGGCAUGACGAAUUGACGAUGACGACGUGCAGUUACUUGGAGUAAUUUAUUCGUACACUGUCUUUAGCAGUACACCUCGGUUAGAAACUUCCAUUAACCAGCAAAAAUAUCUUGCUACGACGUAAGUACAUGAUCUUGUACAAAAUAAUGUUACUCUUCUUUUGCAACAUACUAUAUGGUUUCAACUGGCUGUCACGACUGCUUGCUCAUGCAUGUCUCUCUCACACUCAGCUCGUAACCAACAACAACACAGUUACACACGCAGAGAAAGUACCCCCACUGUUACGUUACGCCUGACGAAGCUGCACCGCGACGGUCUCCAUGCCGAGGGCCGGGGCCCGGGCGUCGCGUCGGUCAGGCGACGCCGACGGCGUGGAGAAGGCGGGCGUCGUGCCGUCCUUCUCCGUCCCCUCGUCGAUCGUGGACAUGGACCUGUUCGGGCCGCGGAAGAUCUUCCUCCACCGCGCGAUCUCGAGCUCGUCGGGCUCCACGACCGGGUCGUCGUCCGCCGCGGCCUCGCCGCCGCCGCCGGGCGCGUGCUCCACCCGGCCCUCGCCCGCCGCCCGCCGCGCCCAGCCCCGCUCCACGGACGGCGGCGGCGGCCUCACGGCGUGCCGCUGCUGCCUGUCGUCGGCGAAGCAGACGUCGAACAGGACGAAGCCGCGGCGUGGGGGCGCCACAGCGUCGAGGCGCCGCCGCCAGCAGUAGUGCCGGAGGACGGCGGCGCCGAGCAGGACGAGGAACAGGGCGGCCAGGGCGGCCGCUAACGCGACGAGGAGAGCGAAACCGGCGUCCCCCAUCUCGCACUCGCCCGCGAGUGUUCCACGCUAGCGGAGACCGCGGCGGCAUGCGAGCCAUGUACAGAUGUACUAGGUACCAACCGCGGUGACGGACUGGCCGGCUGACAAGUACUCAGAACGCCUGGACGACGAAAUGUCUUCGCCGGUCACCACACUCCAAAGUUGCCAGCGACAGCGCGAAAACGCCAGCGCAUUUACGUCUCCGGCGACCGAAGCUGUGACAGUAGUUACCCAGCGGCGCUGGUGCCGCUUGUCGUCGUCGAGCACUGCACUGCACUGCACAUUCCUGCUUGGUUUUUUAUCGGCGACUCGUUGAUAUAGACAUUUGCGGGCGCUUUUCGGAUAGGUUAUUCUUAUUGCUCCCUCCGUCUUAUAUAUUAGAAUAGAGCUUCUACUAUUUUUACAUGCCGCCAUCGCAUUAGGUGAUACGAGCCUGAUCGUUUGAUUUUAAUUGGUUUCUACUGUUUUAACAUGUUUAAUCCGAAGCGAAAAGACAUCGGCGCUGGUGCCAUCAUGCCGUGUCGUUGUUGUUUGUCGAGUACUGUACAUUCCUGCUUGGAAUUUAAUUGGCAACUCGUUGAUAUAACAUUUGGGGGCGCUUUUCGUACAGGCUAUAUAAUGUUUCUUCUUAUUGUUCCCUCCGUCUUAUAUAUAUCAAAAAUAAGAGGCCACAUUAUAAUUUUUGACCACCACUCACUCUGAUCAUAUAAAAAAAUUAUGCUAUAAAAGUAGCUGCGUUAGAUUUGUAUUUAGAAAUACUCACUGUCGAUUGAUUUUUUUUUUUUGUUGGCACGUCCAAGGAUUACACUGCUAUGACUGCACAUUAGAGACAAGAUAGGAAUACUUAAGCCUAUGCUAAAGAGUACCCAUUGUCCGACAAUCAUGUAACUAUUUCCUUCCUUGAGUUAUAAAAGAGAGAGUAGAACAACUUUGAAAGGGUUCCUACUAGACUGAAGCACAAACUAGAAUAAUCAAGUAUUCGGUAAGGCAAAGGCAAAUUAGAUGCCCCUUAGUCUAGAACUCCCACCAAAAUUAGAAGAAAAAAAGAGAAGCAGUCGGUCAUCUGUCGAUAUAUGAGUGUGUAAUCUUUUGUCCAAGCGUCUAUAAAUCAUUCGUGUGUUGGUAGUCAUAGCUGCACAGGAUCAAUGCCCCUUAUGUCUAUCACUAGCUAUGUCCCUAGUUCUUUCUGCUUUCCGAGUGCGGUGUCGUUACAUGAUGGUAGCUAUCGUUAUUAAUUUUAACUAAUAAAGAGAUUAUUAGUAACUCCAACUCUUAAUUCUCUGAUGGUGUAAUUUUAAGGGAGGGCAAGAUGGUUUGGUUAGCAGAGAAGAUUACUAACAAUAUAGUAAUUGUAUGGUACUACUUAUAUUGGAGUGACAAAAAUAUCUUUGAUGGUUUUUUUUUGUCCAACUGUAUAGUUUUAGACUUGUCGAGUACUGCUGAUUUGCUAUUGGUCUCGUCUCCAUCUGUUCUAAAAAUAAAUAUCAAAAUUCAUGAACUUAAACAAUGAUGAGACAGUAAUUGACUUCAAAUAUAAAUAUAAAAAAUGAAUAUCUGUUUUUUUUCAACGGCGAUUCUAUCUUCGCUCCCGACUAGAUCAAUUAAUUAAUGAAGCUAUACUUUUUUUUCAGGAAGAAAUAAGAGUUGUACAGUACAACUGUUGAACAGGAGUUACUAGACUAGUAGUACUAGUUCCAUCAUCGUGUGAUGUUAUCCGUACGUGACAGGCCGGCAAUUUCAGGAUUAGCACGGUAAGAAAGGAGGAUAGUAAUUAGUUAAUUGCUAGUACAGGCUUAAUUGUGAUCUACCGUUGAUUUGACUUGCCCACGGAUCGGAAGCAGACUUUGGUAGCUAGGGCCUAGGGGCCAGCAGAUUCCUAAACACCACUCGAAUAGAGCUAGCCUAGCCCUAGCCCACACAAAAAGUAACGCAAAUCCCAUUCUAGUGCGCAGCCGAGAUCUGGACAGAGAGAGAGAGAGGCGAGAGAGCUCACUCUACCGACCAGCUAGGUAGGGCACACAAUUGCCACUUCAAAACUGCCGACCCCGUAGCUGCAUCCAGUUCUUCAGCCAGAAAAAAAAAAGAUUAAUCAGUGGGAGUAGCGAGUACACCGGCCCAUACUGCCGCUUGGAUUUAACUAAUGCACGAGUAAUCAAAUCAACCACAGGCCUGGGUUUUUAAAAAAUCGUGGCUGGCAGGCACUGGCACUGGCAGCGGGGGUGUGGAUUGAACUCUCUGCGCUGGCCUGUCAGGCAGCAUUGGGAUCGGAUUAGACCGGUCUUAAAACUCGAGGACCAGGGAAGCGCAGGAGGGAGGGACACAGCUAGCCCGGAUUCGCAUGGGGUGGAUUUGGAAUGGAAACCCGGCGUGCUCUGCUCCCCCGGCCGACCCUGAUCGAUUCGAACUCGAAGAAGAGCAACGACGACGCACCGCAUCGAGCUCCGCAACCGACACCGCCUUAAAACAACCACUUGUUCGAGACUAGUACGCAGAUCGAUGGAUCGGUUCAUCGGUGUUUGGCGUGCACUGGCAAACGGAGGCUUCUAUUCUGCGAUGAUCCCUUCUGUGAACCUUCCCAAUCCCAAGCAUGCGCAUUGCCCCUCUGACGGCCGGUCUGACUUGAGGCCUCGGGAAGAUCCGCUUUGACUUUUCUCUCAAACGGCGCAAGCGAACUGGGUUAUAUUAUCGGUGCUAAUCCACGCUAGGUAGCUCCGUAGCUGUUGUCAUGUUAUGAGAGAUACUGCUAGCUAAUACCAGCAGGCAGCAGCGCUGCUUUGGGUUAAAGAUAAUAACCGGCCGGGGCUUGUAUGUAGCUAGCUAGCUGGCAAAUUCUUCUGGAUCUGGGAAUGACCAGCGAUUCUUCAACAGAACCCGAAUCUCAGCGCAUGUGACCAUGAUUAGCUUGUUGGUACGCGUGUUGUGCGUGUGCAUCACUUUUUUUUUCAGCGAGUGAACCUCACCCAGCCCGAGCCGCAGUGCCGCACAGUGAAAAAAAAGCGCAUGAAGUGUGGACAGCCCAAGACGGGUCUCUGCAGUCUGGCCGUCUGCUGCAUGCGCGCGGCAAGCCGUAUCGAAAAAACUCCUUUCAGGUUGGCCGCUGGCUUUCAUGGCUUCUCGCCUUCUCCAGUCCACCGCCUUCGGGCAUGUUUGGUUCAGCUUUUUUCUGACCAGCUUUUCUGAAAAUCUGACUGUGGGGACAAUCUGGCUGUAUAGAGAAUCUGAGUAUCAUUAUGAUCACGUGCGAAGAAAGAUAAAGGUAUCCAUAAGACUCAGGAUCUAGAAAGUGACGGAUUCCUACUAUUGCAACGACUCAACCGAUUAUGUGUUUAUGUUGAUUUUGAAUGAUUUUUACCCAAACGAAUUUUAUAGAAGCUGAGCGUUUGGCAGUCCGCAGCAGCUUUUGGUGGCCAGAAGCUCUAAAAAAUUGAAACAAACGGGGGCUUCGUCGGGCCAGGGAGCCAUAUGGAAAGAAGCGAAAGGGUGACCUCAAUGUGCGCAGCGGGCGGACGCUGCAAUGCAAUUUUUCAUCAGGCAACAAUGCGAGAUUGCAGAUUCGCACUUGCAAGCCUAGCCGGGGUAGGCAGUCAGAGCCAGGCAGGAAGGCAAAGGCGUGGUAGCUAGAGCCUGCGGUUAAUUCCAAUGCAGGGGCACAGGCCGCAGGCACAUAAUUCCCCUCGAAGCGCACACGCGCGAGACGUGCACUUCAUCAAUAAUGUCGUAGAUCGUGUCGCAGAUCCAUCUCCUCCUUCCUUUCGCUUACAUUACAUUUAUGCAUGCAUGGCCGUGCCUCCCCUAACCUGACGUCGAUCGACAAUACUCCCACAUGCAUGAAACAUACAGGUUCGGUGUUCUCCUGCCGGGGCACUUGAUGGCAUUCGGUUGAGCACUGUUCCAGCUUUCUCUGGAGAUACGCCCACGAACAGGUCAGUGAGGGACGGGGGAAAGCGAGAGCGAGCGGACGAGACACGCAGAAAGCUAGCUACAGAAGCCACCACGGACAGACAGGGCAGGUACUAUAGUUAGCAGCGCGCCGAUGGCUUCAUGGCGCCGAGGGGCAAGGGCCCGUGGCCGUGACUGCAGGUGCACUUCUUCCACCACGUACGGUCCUGUGAUGGCGUACGUCUUGGUGCCGGACUGCCGGCCGGCGGAUCAAACGCGUGGCUCGUCUGCCCGGAAAUGACGUAUCAGCCGGCCCGGCCGGACCUGGGAGGAUCUUGGACGCAGUUCGUUUGCUCCUCCCUCGUUUCAUUCGUCUAUGUUCCUCUGCACUAUCUCUGGUCUUUUUUUUGCUAUGGUACAUUUACUGGUCGUACCGCAUAUCUAUGGAAAUCUACCUGAUAAAUACUGUUAGAAUCUACAGUACCUCCAGCUUGGUUUUGUCUGCUUGUGUGCUAAAACAAAAAAAAACGAACUGCAUAUAAUAACAUAUCACUAGACUAGCUAGUGCACUACUUUCAUUCAAAAAGAAAAAAGUAGACUAGUGCACUACCUGUUAUUAGUAUAAUCAUCAUGGACCGCUUCUCAAAGCCAUUUUUCGUUCAUCUGGUACAUCCAUAUAAGAACGUACUACAAGAACUAUUAAGAAAUCUACUUACUGCCUAUAAACACUGCACAUAGCUACAUGCAAUUAGCGAGUAGCAGCCAGUCGCCUCAACAGAGAAGCUAUGCACGAGCUGGAUCAGCUCUUGUCCUCACAUGACCAGUUAGUCAACUCCAACAGCUAGCCCUGCAGACGAUCCUGCCGUGUGUGCCCAGAAUUUACUGCGCACGUACGUAAGGUUUAACCACUGUCCAGUCACACCAGCCAUAUAUGCAAAUGCUUACAUCUGUUGCCCCUCUCUGACAUGAUCCUCCACAGGAUCCAAUCUGGACGUGCUGCACACAUCAUCACAAUACACAUGUAGAGGUACUGUAUCUCUCUGCACUCUCUCUCUCUCUCUAGUCCUUUUUACGCUGUGUGUGUAUCUAUCUCAGCCUCAGCUCGUUUUACCAGCAUGCUGCGUGCACGCCCGAAUUUUUUUGUUUUUUAGCCCCUUUUGUGACACAAAUUUACUUUUGGACCCCCAGAAAUUUUAAUUGCAUAUUUGGACCCUAUGCUCGGCGUCAUAGGCUGUGGCGCCGAGGUAACACAGCUCGGCGCCAUAGCCUGUGGCGCCGAGCUGUGACGUGGCAGCACCGGCUGAGGCUGACCUGGCACCGACGUGGGCGACGCGGCCUCGUAGCUCAGCGCCACAGAUCUUGGCGCCGAGCUGCGUCUGCCUAUAAAAACGCCCGCGCGGCUGGCCGAGAGCAGCGGAUUUCCUCUCAUUUCGAAACUUCGUCAAAAUUUGCUGGAUUCAAAGAUUUGACUCGGUUCACUUCGUAGACCAAGGUAUGGUGCUCAACUUGAUUCGUUUUGUAUAUUGGGGUGUUAGUUUCAUAGUUGCUCAUAGUUUCAUAUUUUAAUAGUCUGUAUAAACCUAUUAUAUUAUCAUUUCGAUUAUUAGUUUGUGUAAACUUAUUAUAAAGCAUAUUAGGUACAAGUGAUAAUUAUAAUCGUUUAUUAGAUGAAAGACAUGUACCGAGAGGCGUUGUGGCAGAAGAGAGGUCGUCCUCGGGAGUUAUAUCCGGACGUAUCUAGUAAGGAUGCUCCUGUUCCUCCUGAACUCCCCGUGCCUAACUGUGACUGUGGCAGACUGGCUUGGGUACAUCAAUCACAACAUCCAGACACGACUGCUCGCUGCUACUACCUUUGUGGCGGUUUGGACGUACGUAGCUUAUGACUUGUCACUUAAUUUUGUUCGCAUUCAUUAUUUUGUAAUAGUGCUUCUUUCCAUUAUUUUAGGGACAUCAGAGGUGUUUCUUUUUCCAGUGGAUCGACGGUCCUGAUAAAUUUGACCCUCGAUAUCUUCUUUUCGUUAAUUGGUUGAGUGGAAGGACCAUUCAUGAGCGUUUUAAGCGUUGGGUACCUCCUCCCCCGAAUCCUCCACCAAUGACGGAUGCGGAGAAGGAGGUAGCAACAGAAAGAAGGUUGGACUCACCGCCUCGAUGCGAUUGUGGAGACCGUGCUGUCAUCGACGAAGACUAUGACAAGCAGUUCUGUUGUCCGAACAUUGAUUAUGUGAGCCCAUUGAUACGCUAAAUGUAUGAACUAGUUUUUAUUUACAAUAAAUUACUAAUUUUUUCUCCUGCAGCCAUACGAGUGGCGUAAGUGUCGUUUCAGAGAGUGGUUGUAUGGUCAUUUGUCCCAUUGGCCAGAGCCAGAGGUAAAGGAAAAGAGAUACAAGGGGUGGGCGGCAGAAGAGGUCAAAUUUGAUCCAGUACUCUGCAAAUGUGGUAUUGAAGCUAAGUAUGAAUUAGUUCCUUCGGCAUAUGCACGGGUGGAAUGACUUAGACUGCUAAAUUCAUGUACUGCAGGGUCACGCUCCGGACACAAACGUCUUAUGAGUUCAAUUUCUUGCUCGGUCAUUUCUUGAACCGGACGGUCAUCAUCAAAAUCUAAGGCCCGUGCAGCCUCAUAUGGCUCCUCCUCAUCCUCAAUCUGAACAUCAACACUAUUGGAUGCCCUGCAUAUGUUGUCCAUAUUAUAUGACACAGGCACAUCAAGAUAAGCACCAUUAUCGAUAUGUGGAGAUCCUGCAUCGGGUCGAAGCAAGAAAAACCACAUUACAAAGUGUAAUCAAACGAAAUAACGAUGGAUACGAACAACGUGUCAAAGACACUUACUAGGAUGAUCGUGAACUGGAUCCUGGGUCAAUGGGAUCUCUUGGGGGGUACCACCGGAUUAGAAACCCCACAAACGCCAGGAAGAGGACGAGAAAUCUCAUACUCGUGCGGCCCCGAUUGAGCAUCGGGCACAACAACCACUUCUUCAUGAUGCUCUACCAAAGGAGCUUCAAUACGAGAUGUAUUUGGCAUUUGUGGAGACAAACCGACUGGACCAUCGCAAUGCUUAACGGGUAACUUUUGAACAACCACAUCCAAACAUGGUGGAACCAUCGUCUUCACAAUUCUUAAAUAUAUCACCCAAUCAUCUUCUGAUGUAAUGGAGAUCAAUCGUCGGACAACUGUUCCAUAUGUAAUAUGGGACAACAAACCCUGAAUUGAUAUUGUAGGGUCGUUUAUGUCGCAACUAAUCUCCUCACAAGCUCGAGCGAAAAUCUGGUCAAAAGAUGGUCUUUCAUCGAACAACAUGGUCACGAUCUUCAUACCAUCAAAAGUAACAUUCCCAUAAGCAUCUAUCUCCACCCGUCCUCCAUGGUAUAGUGUUACUAGGCUCUCCAUCUAUUGCAAAAAUGGAUUACUAACUCAAUAAUGGCUAUAUACUUAAGCCUAAAAACUUACUAAGUAAUAAAUAUAUAUUACCUAAUAACUAUAUAGUAAAUAUUAAAUGAACACAUCAAACGAAAUUACAUAAUCUAUGAAUAAUGUACGAAAACAAUGUAUACCUGAGAUCGCGUACGAGUCCAGCUAACGGUGGAGAAGGUCAAGUCGAACGAACACCUACGUACAAAAAAAACUAUUGCCAAUAAAAAAUUUGGCAGCACCUCCCCUGUAAAGUUAUGUUUAUAGAACCUGCAAAUAAACGACAACACGAUGGUUGCCAACAAAAUGCUAACGAAAUGGUUAACACGAUGGUUAACACGAUGGUGCCAACGAUGGUUGCCAACGAAAACAUGUAAUAUCAAUGCGCUAAACAAAAUGCUAACUAUAUAAUCACUAAGAAUUUACUAAACACUAACAAUAUGCUAAGCAAGACACUAGCUAACUAUUUUACUAAACACUAACAAGAAAAUAUCUAACUAUUUACUAAACAAUAAAAAAAUACCUAACAAUAGCUAACAAUUUACUAACUAAUACCUAACAAUAGCUAACAAUUUACUAACUAUGUAAAUACCUAACAAUAGCUAACAAUUUACUAACAAUAGCUAACAAUUUACUAACUAAGUAAUUAAAAAAAACCUAGCGGCAGCGGCCGGGUCGGGGCGCGCGGCAGCCGGGGCGGGAGCUGGCGCGGCGGCCGGUGGCCGGGCCCGGCCGGGGCGGUGGCGCGGUGCCUGGGGCGCGCGGCGAGCUCGGCGGCCGAGCGCGCUCCGCGGGCGGGGCGGGGGGAGCGGGGGAUGCCGGUCGCCGGCGCUGGCGAGCUCGGCGUGCGGGGCGGGGGGGGCACGGUCGCCGGCGCUCGGGCGGCUGGGAGUGCAGAGCGCGGCGCAACGGCGGGGAGGGCGGCGGUGGAAGGCAACGGCGGUAGCGCGCGUAGAGUGAAGACAGAGAAGAAACGAAGAGGAAAGGGAGAGGAUUUCGGUUAAAUCCUAGCUCGGCGCCAAGAUCUGUGGCGCCGAGCUUUCGUAGCUCGGCGCCACAGAUCUUGGCGCCGAGGUACGAGGCCGCGUCGCCCACGUCGGUGCCAGGUCGGCUAGGCCACGUCACAGCUCGGCGCCAUAGGCUGUGGCGCCGAGCUGUGUUACCUCGGCGCCACAGCCUAUGGCGCCGAGCAUCGGGUCUAAACGUGUAAAUAAAAUUUUUGGGGGUCCAAACGUAAAUUUUUGUCACGAAAAAGGCUAAAAAACAAAAAAUUCGGCGUGCACGCUAGCCGCUCUAAUUAUCCCCCUUCACAUGUUUGUUCCCGCUCUCAUCCUCUUCGCACCUUCAAUCUCAGCCGGCCCGCCAGUGUUCACGUUGCUCUCUUUAACUCUGCCAUUCAAUCGUUUCCCCCCCCCCCACGCCGUCACAUGUGGCGCUCCAUUAAUAUAUAGCACCGCGCCACCAAGCUCAUCGUCCCGCUCGCUCCAAGCUCCGAGAACGCAAACAGCUCACUGUACCAGUGUACCCGAGCUCGUGGCCUCGCCUAGCCUGGCCUGGCUAGCGUUUCUUCGUGCGUGCGCAAGCAAGCACCUAGGCUGCAUCCUGCGGCCACCAUGUCGUCGGGCACGGGCACGGGCAGGUCGUCCACCAGGAGGGGAAGGGGCGGCAGCUUCACGCUGAGGCAUCAGCCGCCGGUGGUGGACAUCGGCUGUAACUGCCGCCGCCCCAAGCUGUUCUCCGUCUUCUCGUCGUCGCUGUUCCGCGGCGGGGGCAAGCCCAAGUCCCCCAACGCGUCGUCCACCUCCACCACCACGGCGUUCACG
RNAcentral lists this long non-coding RNA (474126 nucleotides) under Zea mays. Its description in RNAcentral is "long non-coding RNA (ZMAY_LNC001930)". Lineage: Eukaryota; Viridiplantae; Streptophyta; Magnoliopsida; Poales; Poaceae. The record is from RNAcentral.